ACAUGCUUGGAGAAUCUGGAGGUGUAAUAGUUGAGCCCCAUGAUGUCACAUGACGACGCUAGUUUCUCUUGCUCCUCCUUGGUGAACAUGGGUAGACGAUCUCCGAUCAGUGAUCUCAUGGAGAAGGGGUAGUCACCACGAACCACUGGCUCCAGGAACCAUCCCAUGUUGUAGUCAAUGGAUCUUUCCCGGGCCUGGUCGUCGAGGAAGGAGUCUUGGUAUGGCUCGUAACCCAUUACGUCAAAAGCCAUUCCUAUUUUGGAAUCUCCAUGCUGCAGUUGGUUCGUCAAUAUAAAUAAAUUAAAUAUACAAGUAGAUACCACUAGUUGUUACUUGUUUACUAGAUAAUGUAUAUCUCUCUCUUUGUGUAUGUACCAUGUUGUAACGAGCUUUGAACAGCUGAACAGCCUCAGCAUGAGCUAGGAGGAUGUGGUGACCAGCAGUGUAUGGCUCUCUGAGCGAGUCUCCUUCUGGGACGGCACAAUCCAUCCCCGGCGAGCACCUCCCAGGAGCAUGAAUCCCCUCUCCAUAGGAGAAACAACAAUAUGUAUGUGGCUCGUUAAAGGUGAACCAGUUCUUCACCCUGUCACCGAAGUUCUUAAAGCACACCUCGGCGAAUUGUUUGUAAUCAUCUCUGGAAAAAAAAUCAAACCCGAAGGAUGUUCAACAAAAUUGUUUCUUAGCUUAACAAUAAGUAGUUAUGUUAGUUUACUGAUGCAUCAUUGAAUGACAGUACAACAUUGUUUGUGAUCUGAAAAGAAACGUUUUUCUACUCAUGGUCCACUAAUGGCCUUCAUCCAAACCAAAUAGUGUAUAAGCAAAAUCAUAUAUAAAGUAAUCUUGUUCAAAUCGAAUUUAACAAUAUUAUAGUUCGUAGUUUUUGUACAUAUCGUGAUUGCAAUUACUGAUCUUUCUUCAGAACCAUUUUCUUACAAAUCAAUGUACUGUUGUUUGCCGCAUACUUACACAAUCUGCCUAUUUAAGAAGCCGCCGUACUUGUCUUCCAGUGCUUGAGGGGUGUCCCAGUGCCAAAUUGUAACAUAUGGCACUAUGUCUGAGUUUCAAAAAACAAAUAAUUAUUUGUGCGAGCUCUUAUGAGUCUGACUCAUUAAGCACUAAUCAAACAAAGAAAAAAAGGGUUUUCACCGUUAUCUAUCAGCGAGUUGAUCAGCUUAUUGUAGUAGUCGAUGCCUGCCUGGUUUACUUUUCCCGUCCCAUCUGAAAGCCAUAGUAAACAUGUGCUGAAAUUAGGACCCAAAUAUUACAACAAGUCUUAUCGGCUGCGUCUAAUUUGUAGAGGACAUCUUUAUUGUUCCUAACUUAUUCACCAUACAAAAUAUACAUGGUUAUUUUGUAUUUACCUGGCAGUAUUCUCGACCAAGAGAUGGAGAACCUAUACACUUUCAUGCCCAUGUCCUUGAGCGCUUUGACAUCCUCCUGUCAGUCAUAAAUGAUGACAUGAAUAAUGAUGACAACAUAUUAUCAUGCAUAUUUCUAUUUUUAUUAGAAGUGCAUAUUCCAAAUGGUUUUUCAAAAAAAAAAUGCAACGACAUAAAAACAGUCCUGUCAUAAUUGAGAUUUGUUAGAUUUUUGUUUGGAAAAACCAUUGGUCCCGUCAGAGUACUUACUUCAUAUAGAUGGUAGGAGUUUGCUGCAACAUCCCCAUUGGUCAUGUCGGAUAUGCGCUCUGUUCGUAUAUAUACACAUGAAAUUAAGGAGAAGGACGCACGAUAGACUAAUAUGAGUAUGUUUGUAAUAACACUGAAAAGGUAUAUGUUACCAGGAUAUGUGUGGCAGAAGUGGUCCCAAGUGCUUGGCCCCUUGCCAUCUUCAUUCCAAGCACCUUCAAUCUACACGGAUGACGACAUAUAUAACAUUUUGUGCAAUCGAACAAACCACUAAACAUGCAUUUUGACAUCAUGUUUUCCCUUAGGUAUUUGUUAUCAUUGAAACAGUUGACACCAUUAUUUUAUUUUAAAUUAACAGAUAUAAGGUUGUGCAAGAAAAUAAUUAGUACCUGGUACGCUGAAGUGGAGGCACCAAAUAGGAAGUCCUUGUCGAACCAGUCCCUUUUAGGGAUUUGCCACGGCUUGAGCUUAGUGAACACAGGCCCAAUGGGCUCUGCUGGCUUUGACGGUGUGCCUGCCCUGAUGGUGAGGUUACAGAACCUUCCCUUGCUCUUCUGUGAUGAAGCAGUAGACCGGAGCCAUAGGUUCUCACUGUUGCGUCCUGCACGGCUUCUAAGGCUAAGGUGGGUGGUGGGAUUCAGGGUAGCAGCAGCAAGUAGAGCCAUCUCUUGCUAGCAGCUGGCUGGAGUGUUGUGAGCAGCUUGAGGAGUGAGUUCCCUUGCAGGCUUAUGCAUCUAUUUAUAGAUGAGGAUGGAGAAUCUGUCAAGUGGGCGUGGUGGUGGGAUGAUAAUGAAGCUGCGGCUGGAACCCUAGCUAAGACACAAGGCAGUUGGCUAACCUGGUGGGAGCUCUUUGUAACUUACCACUGGGCAUUCCUGCAGCCCACCCCCAAAAAAUAUGGCAGAGGAACAUAUCCUUCUGCUGGGUCAAAUGCAACAAAAAAAAUGUGUUUUGUACAUUAACUAAAGAGAACAGUGAAAAGUUGUGCCUGUAGACAUUCGAAUGGCACACAUAUAAACUUGAACACACAAAGUUAAAGAGAAAUUGCCAAACUGUUUUCUUUAAAUAUCAAUCUCUCUACCCCAAUAGACAUGUUGAAACUCUUCUUAUCUUAAGCUAAUUAACAGUAGUGUCAAAUCUUUACCCCCACGUAGUGCCUGUAAAAUUUUUUUCUUCGAAAAGGGACACUUUAUUACUUAAAAGGUUUAUAAGCAUUACACCCAGCCUCUGCAUAACUAAGAUGCACACAGCCAACAAAGUCCUCACGACAAGCCAAAAUAAAAGAAGAAGGUGAAAUAGAAAGAAGAAUAUUUGUAUAACACCUAAAUCGUAGGUGGCCCAAUUCUAAGAUCAUGCUGCCACCCAUGUUGGGUGAAUGUAUCCCUCGCCGUAGCCCCCAAUCGUGUACACACCACCGUAAACAGGUCUCGAUUCUCCACUCGCUAUAGAGAGGACCAUAAACGAAGCAUCUCGGUACAUCUGUAGGUAACUUGCAUAAGAGAAGUACUUUUAUCGUUAAAAACCUUAUCAUUUCUACAUAACCAAAGCGACCAAAUCACAGGAAGCGCUCCCACCCUAAGAAGAAUUCUAAACUUGUGAUCAAUACCAUGCAACCAGUUGCCAAAUAUAUUAGCAACACUACAAGGAGGAUACAAGCUAGAAGCUAUUUGGAUGACUGACCAUAUAGAACGAUCCAAUUUACAUUGAAAGAAUAAAUGCUUUAUUGUCUAAUCAUGCGAACAAAUGUUUUCUUGUAGUGCCUCUAAUAUGUCCGGAAACAAUUUUCUACACACAUUCUUGUGGGGCGGCUGCCUUAUGUUAGGCAUUGUUGCCCACUAGGAAUGAUGUGGUUCUUAACAAUAAUUGUGUUUUGUUUCAUACCUUAUGAAGGUUAUUCAUGCAUGUACGCGAUGACCCCAUACUUGGUCUAUCCUGCACAGCCCGGAGGACUGAGACCUUUCUAUGAUGGUGUCUACCCGACUGGAGCAUACGGUCAAGGAGGUUUUCUCCCUUCAUGAUGGCGGUGUAAUCUCCAGAUAUGAUCCACCCCACCUUAGGUUGGACUCUUUAUUAUUUUCGUAAAAAGGCAUUUUAUUUUUGGUUGUGUUGGACGUGUUGGCUGCGUGCAUCGUGCUAUGUAGAGGACGCUUUUUAAUGUGGUUGUAUCACCUUGAUAUAUCAAUUAAAUGAAAUGUCCUUUAUAGAAAAAUAACAGUAGACAAAAAGCAUGACUUGACUCUACUUCCUAUAGAAAGUACAAAAUAUAUAUGUUCACCUAGAGGACCUCGACACUAUAUGUUGCAAGUAUUUCAGAAACUUGUUGUUCACAACUUUUAUUGCAUCACUCCAGUUAGCUUAACUUAGCGGCGUGGCCCGAUGCUAGCUCUGCCCCUGAUCAGAUCUAUUGUCUUUCCUAAAGAAAUACCCACCCUUUUCACUUCAAAAUCUUACAUUCUUAAGAAAUUGCUCCCCACUUCUACCAAUUCUCUCAACAUGCACGCUGUCCAUGUCAGCUUCAUGCCAUGUCACCAAUUUCCACAACGGCAUGCAUUUUGUUUGCAGCCGUUAAGACAUGCAACCUUCCAGCUCAGCUUCCUUUACUUCGGUCUAUGGUCUGGGCCGCAAUAUCUUCCACGCAAAUGAUGCAAAAAGAAACGGAUGGUUCUUAAUAUCCCCACUAUCUCACGGCCCUUCAACUUUUCCAUGUACGUUUAAGAAAGAAAAAAACUUCUCCAUGUAAAGAGCAACCCAAGAGGCGUUGAGAAAUUAUUUUCACCUUUAAAUACCUCAUUAGACCACAGAUGUUGCAUGCCCGUCGUCCCCAUUCUUCUCACACAACGUCUUCCUAGAUAGCAACGAUUCAUUGUUGAGGUCGGUUUCUCCAUAAAAGACUGGAGAUGAUGGAGACGGAGACACCAACGAGGGAGUGAGGCAUUGCAUGCAUGUCUUCCACCAUACCGGCCAAGUUGGAUGGCCGGACGCGGAGACGCGGCUGCCACUACUGAUUAUGUUGCCGAUGCCAUGAAGCGUGGGGUGAAACCAUGAAGCGCUCAAUCUAGGCCAUCCGCCCCGCCUUCUACCGAAGCGUCAUAUGCAACACAACAGGUCGCUCACACAUGACUCCCUCAUCACUUAAUUUCUUUCCUUCAAGUACCUGUCUGAUUUCUAUCCCCUACACGAGCAGGUCACCAUGCUGCCACAGACCGUUACGAUGCCAGUUGGCCUUCACAUCCGCUGCGUGGGCUGCACAUCCAGUUGCUGUGGGGAGAAAGAGCCUACAAGUCUUUAUACUAUUUUCAACACAAACGUCAGAAUUUUGUUUGCAACCUGGAUGCUAGAUAGUAGAUGUACUUGCAGCACUAUAUAGAAGUUGAGUGUAGUCACGUUCCAAGAAAUAUUAAAGCAAGGAAUUCAUUCAAGGUGCGGGCAGAGCAAAUUCAUGCCGUGAUGGUCAUGUUGUUUCCUUUAUUUCCCUUCUCUGAUUAGUAAUACAUUUUAUUUACAUAAAUUAUGUGCUAAUAUUUUUACAUUAGCAGAACAUCAGUUUGAAUUGCUUUCGUUGCCAUUGAGAUGAACAAAAUACUUUUGAUGAUCCAAUGAAUACGAAGAUCAUGUACAAGUUUGGUCACAAGCUUAUCAUACAGAGAAAGAUGGUUUCAGAGUUAGAUUAUAUAUGCACCAUCUUCUCCAGUUGUCUUUAUCAAUGAAUAUAAAGAUCAUGUACAAGUUUGGUCACAAGCUUAUCAUACAGAGAAAGAUGGUUUCAGAGUUAGAUUAUAUAUGCACCAUCUUCUCCAGNNNNNNNNNNNNNNNNNNNNNNNNNNNNNNNNNNNNNNNNNNNNNNNNNNNNNNNNNNNNNNNNNNNNNNNNNNNNNNNNNNNNNNNUGUCUUUAUCAAUGAAUACAAAGAUCAUGUACAAGUUUGGUCACAAGCUUAUCAUACAGAGAAAGAUGGUUUCAGAGUUAGAUUAUAUAUGCACCAUCUUCUCCAGUUGUCUUUAUCAAUGAAUACAAAGAUCAUGUACAAGUUUAGUCACAAGCUUAUCAUACAGAGAAAGAUGGUUUCAGAGGUUGAUUAUAUAUGCACCAUCUUCUCCAGUUGUCUUUAUUUUUUUUCUUUUCUUAUUAAAGUGCCCUUCUACUUUGACCUCUUUGUCACACUAGCAUCCCGCUGCAACGCGCGGGGUAUUGUCUAGUUAUCUAAACUAAGUCACCCUUAAGCAUAUACAUAUAUCCCACCAUAACACCCUAUAGAAGAAAGAAACCCCCUAAAUCCUCAUCUAAAUCACCUACCUACUACAUGAUCAGAAUAGUCUAGCCCCCUAAAUUUGCAUCUAAAUCACGUACCCAUCUCUGUGAGGAAUAUGCCGACGAUGCUAACGAAUCAAGGAUUUACCGUGUUCUGUGGUGACAUGCAUGGAUCCGAACACAGUGGCCCUUUUAACCUUCUUGCUACUCACAGUUCGUGGUUCUUGCAUUUGUCAGUACAGUCCACACAUCCAGUGUGUGGUUGUCUGUCAUCACAUGCAUGUGGGGGAUGUAGGAUUCUCGCCGCGUUUCUCAGCGGCGUCAGUUGAGAUCAAGACAAGGCGAUCUUACACUGUCCCUAUAAAAAAGUUUAUCUUGCACAUCAGUUGGUACCAUAUCUCUAUAAGUUAAACGUACCUUGCUUGAUUGAUUGUACGUAAUAUAUUGCAUCGCAUAGCGUACAGCUAGCGUAUCGCAUAUUGAUGUCACCGGCAAGUUCUUGAAUCUAAGGGUAUUAAUCUACAUAUUGAUGUCACCGGCAUGUUGUCAGUCCAGCUAGCGUAUCGCAUCGCAUCGCUAAACGAACCUUGCUUGAUUGAUUGUACGUAAUAUAUUGCUGCUUGAUUCACAAUAACACAUACAGUAGUACGAACACCGUCCUGAUUUAUUACCCCUCUUCGUAUUUAGAGUCAUAUUUUGACCAUACUUAUAACCAAUAAAAUAUAAGUUAUAUAUAGCAAAAAUAAUAUUAUCAAAAAAUAUCUUAAAAUGCGAAUCCAACGGUAUUAUUUUUAGUGACAUGCAUUAAUAUUUAUAAGUUAAAUUUAUGCUUAAAAUUUGACACAAAAUAUGAAGAGGCUAAUAAAUCAAGACCAAGAUAGUGCUACUACUCCCUCCGUUUUUAUUUACUUCGCAUAUUAGCUUUGGUCAAAGUCAAACUUUGUAAACUUUGACAAAGUUUAUACACAAAAGUAUUAAUAUAAACAAUAACAAAUCAAUACCCUUAGAUUCAUUAUUGAAUAUACUUUCACAUCAUAUAGAUUUGUUAUUAUAAAUGUUCAUAUUCUUUUAUAUAAACUUGGUCACACUUUGUGAAGUUUGAUUUUAGUCAAAUCUAAUAUGCAGAGUAAAAAACGGAGGGAGUAUGUCUUUGUUAGUGGUGAGGAUCAAUGCGCCACGUCAGUAUCACAUGGCUAGGAAAGAAGAAUCUGCCAUGUCACUAAUAUUGUUUGGCCUGAUCACAGCAGGGCAGAUGUGCUAUAUUAAUUGUGCUACUAAUGAAUUUGUUCGCUCUAGUGGGAGUCUCCGCAAAUUACGCUGUGGUUAGGCUAGUUGUCAUGGAGAGUAUCGUAGUAUCAUACAUAUAAUACUAGUGUAUAAUAGUACCUUCCUAAUGUAUAGUAUCAUAUAUUAGUAUCAUGUAGUACUUUAUUUAUUGCCAUGCAUGAUACGUAGUAGCAUAGCAUUUAUUAUGAUAUGGUAUCAUGAUAUGAUACUCAACCGUCUCUUUCUUCAUUUAAUUUCAUGACACCUCAUCAAAAUUGCCUAGUUGGCAUGCAUGAUACUUCCAUUACGACCAGCCUUAGCUCGGUUUUUACAGCGGAAGCGAUUACUCCCUACUGUAGACACCACAUUUUGCCACGACAAAAACUUCUAUAAGAUGAACUCAAAUGGGAAAGUGUACAAUAUCAAAAAUCAUCAUGUGUUUGAGAUGAACAAUUUUGAUGUUUGGUUCAUGGCCCUCCGGUCUCAUCUCAAGGGCCAAAGUUGUGAUCAAAGUAAUAAUAUUUGGUAUUCAGAGUACUGUUCGGUCAAAUAUGCCUCCAAGCUAGCUCAUAUGAAAAAAGUGCUCUAUACAGAUUGUUUUUGCCUCAUCAAGUCGAUCGAUUUUGAUAUUUGGAUCAUCUUAAUCCGAGAUCAUACGCAAAAGUUAGAGCCAGCGCAGUGCGCCCCUACCAUGAGCAUUAAGUGACGUCCAGCACCCGACACUCAUAUGACUAUGUCUGAUCGAUAGUACGAGUUAUUGCCUGUUUUGCACUAGUUAUUCGGUGCUCAAUAUGAUCUCGAAUAAAAAAUGUCCAAGACAAAAGUUGCCUCAAAAGUGGCCCGCAAGAUGCAGCCAGGUUUUAAACCGAACAAUUUUGAAAAGUUUGAACCAUACAUCGCAGGAAACAUGUAAGUGCUAAGAUACAUUUGGUUCCAAUGCGGUUAAUCCGGGACCAUCUGCAUUGGGCACGCAGGAACACAUGUCAAGUGCUAAUAUACAAGUACGGUGGGCACACGAAAGUGCGGUGCAUUGUCGCCACUGAUACAGAGACGUGCUAGCGUGGAUCACGCAGCAAUAAUGUACUCCUCCCAUCCAGCCAACUACCGUCGUUAGCGAUGAAGAUAAGGAGGGUACCUGCAGUGGAAGAUCCUUUAUGUCAACGGUCAUGUGAUGUGAUGUGUGUUCUGCCUGCCUGGCAAAAUUAUAGUAAACGAGAGACAUUAAUGUUUAUUUGCUAAUUAAUAGUAUUGCAUGCAAUGAACUAACCACUGUAUGUCGUGUUUGAUAGUCUCAAGUCAUUAAAAGCAUGCACACCCUCAUCUUUUAUUGGUUGAUAUGUCAAGAAACAAGAACGAGGUAGAAGUUAAUGCACCGCGCCUAAGUGUUUUGUGAUUAUUUGGUUUUUGUAAGAUGAUUUACACACCUAGACGGAGGGAGUAUCUGUUCAAGCCUACUACCGUCAAUGGAAGAUCCUUUAUGUUUCCCAUGCAUGCAGAUCCAGAACAACCCGACUGCAUGCCCAAUCCGCUGCACCUUGUUGACCCCCAAAUCCUCGCCGCAUUCUGUAAAUAUCGCAGGAACUCCACUGCAUGCCCUCAUCACCCAUAGAAUCUCGAUAGACUAUUUUUUCCUCCUUCGAAUAAUGGAUGUGAUUUCCUUUUCGGGUUAGAAAGAGGGUGCGAUUAUUGCACACGUCCUUUUAUUAUUGCAAAGUUUAUUAAAACCCAACAUCUCACACGGUGGUACAGAUGGCCACAAGGCUACGGUCGACAAGGCUAAAACAGCCAAAACGAAAUAAGAUCGUAUGGUGACGAGUGGCCACUGAUGCAGACCUGCUAGUGUGUGGAUCAGGCAGCAAUAUAUCACCAUCAGCCAAGCUUACGUCCAUGACCAAAGUUUUCAAUCAGUCAAAUAUAUUGUCUUAUGAGAGCAUCUAGGACCGGACCUCUCAAACCCGCCACAUACAUUCAGGCGGGCUGCCCGGUCACUGCUCGGUCACGGUUUUUUGUCCAGACGGGUCUCUCAAACGCCCGGACUGACCGGCACUUCCCAUAUCCAACCCAAAUAUGGGGCGGAUAUAUGGGAGCCCGCGCACACCCGGACACGCCCGUCACGGCGGUCUGACGGCAUGGCCCCACAUGGAAACGUCCGGCAGCCCGGCGGUCCGACAGGUGCUGCCUCCGUCGCCGCGGUGUGAACGUCGCAUGAUUCCGCUCCGGCUUGCCGCCCAAGACGAAAUCGGGUUAUUUUCGCCGACCGGCGUCCCACAGCCCUAACCCACCCCCACCCCCCUCUCUGCGCCGCCGGUCUGAACCCAUCCACCUCCUCCCUCUCUGGCUCCGGCGCUCUGCCCACACUCCCGCACUCUGCCAUGGCGAGAGCAAGAUCACCUAUUAUGUCAUGCUGACGUCGGAGCGCCGCUACGAGAUCCAGUAGCGGAUCCGGAGUCGGACGCACUCUUUGUCGAGCUCGACAUGAACAUAGAGGCGGAGGAAGCCGGAGCGGAGCAGCUGGAGGCGCAGGAGGAGUCGGAGCUGCAGCUGCCGCCCAUGCUUCCGGAGCCGAGAACGGAGAUCGCCGUGAUCUCUGACGAGGAGUAGGUAGGAUCAACGUAGUGCAUAGGUUUAUUUUAGUUUGCAUGUCUUUGUAUGGAUUUAAGAAUCUGGUAGAAGAUGUCCGGAUGUAACAAGUGAAAUUUAGGGUGUGUCUGGUCACUGAGAAUGACGCGUCCGUGGGCAUUUAAGGGGCUGGAUGUGCCAUAUGUGUCUCUAGAUGCUCUGAUCAAAUGUUGAUUUAAAAUACGAGGGGCACAAUAAACCAAGAUGGAGGAAGUAUGUGUCAGUGUGGAGUAGCAUACAGCCAUAUAUGUUUAUGGAUGUGAAACACUAGCUGGACCGACUACAUACCGGUGUCAUCAAUGCAUGUGACUGACAACCACUCGGUGCCAUCAUUCACUUUGGUACUUGUUGUGAUUAAUUAGCAUAUAUUAAUUAGAGGAAAAUCUCCUCUUGUCUAAUAGUGCGUGCGGUUCUCUAUAGCAACCGACGCGUCUCCUUUUCUCAACCGUCAUGACUUCUAACCUAUGACGGUUCAUGUAAAGACGUCUCCUACUUGCGUCCCUUGUACGCAUAUAAAUAGCUACUCUAUCAAUACAAAGAUCAGUCGAUCAUUUUUCAUUCAAACAGUACUGUUAUCGACAUGGUCAUGCCAGCACCUGUAUAGGAGUGGUGACCGCGGCACAUCGCACGACUCGUUCACACAGAGUUUAUUUUUUUUUAGCCUGUUUCAAGUGCUUUGUAUUCUUUGGUGAACUUUUGGAAUUUACUUGAUUCUUUUUCAGAAGAACAAAAGAAAAAGGAACACGCAGUUUGAAUCCAUUGGGCCUGGAGGGAACGUGGCGAAUGUCUCCUGGCCAAGAUACAAGCGCCGUGGGCACGGUGCAAGGGCGACGUGGCAGUUUGGACGCCGAUGCGGCGCAUUGUCGCCACCAAUACGGACGGCCUGGCGUGGAUCACGCACCAAUUUAGAUGCCAUCCAGAUCGAGGACAGCUACGUCGAGCGAUGCGAUUGGCCAGCUCGACGAUAUGCCGGCGCAAGGAAAUAUGCCGAUCCACACAAGAAACACGACGGCGAGAAUCGCGCGUACGCCCCACAUGCAUAUGCAUGCGACUUCGGACAGCCCCGCUCACCGAGUACCACUAUUAUUGGGGUCCAUGCACGCACGGCACCACACACCACACGUAAAUGCCAUGUGAUGCCUGGCACCACAGCAGGCCACAGACCAUCCAUGGACCGCGAUCACUGAGUACGUUUACUCUCUUUGGUAUUAUGCUUAAUAUGCCAUGUGAUGUGUACGUGUUUAGCCUUAAUUAGGGGGGCAGAUCCUUCAUGCUCCCCCAUAUGCAGAUCCAGAUCGAGCCGACCGCCCAAUCAGUAGCCACGGCUGACCACCAUAUCCUCAGCGGCUGGUUCUCUCUAGGACUCGGUCGACUUAGACAUCGCGAAGUGUAAGUCGGCUGAUGUCACCUGUUCAUAUUUUUUCGUUCCUGUCCAAACUAUAUCCCCGUCGUUGCAUCUUGUGGCUUUUUGGGCUGGCCCCCCUUUUUUGUCUUUGGUCUGUGCGUUUAUCAAGUUGUGUUGAGCCAGAUAUUUUGGGCAGUUAUUUCUUGUUUGGUGCUGCUGCUCGUUGAUUAUGUAAUCUUUAGCUAUUGUUUGAGCAUUUUUUCUGAAACCUUUAGCUAUUGUUCGAGUAUAUUAGCUUUGUGGUACACCGGCCAGCUAUAUUAGUUGUUGUUCCUACAGUUUUCUUAACAUGCUAUUUCUUUCGUUUUGUUUGGAUUUCUUUUUCAUUUUUAUUUACAUUUUCACAUUUUGUUUCUAAAAAUUGUAAACAUUAGUCAAAUUUUUUUCGUGCAUUUUCAUAAAUACUCAUCGUGUAUUUGAAAAAUAUCUAACGUGUCACUAGAAAAUGUUUAAUAUUAUUUAAAAAUAUUCUUCAUGCCAUUACAAAAAUAUUCAAUGUUAGUUAACGCUCGUUUUUAGCUUGCAUUUUCUUUGUUUGAUUGGGUUGAGUCGGGCAUUGUUUUACUCGUCUGUUUGUAAUUUCUCUAUCAUCCACAAAUUGAAAAAGGUACUAACAAAAAUAAAGAGAGCUCAUCAUAUGUUGUUUCACAUGCGAUGCGGGCAUGCAACUAGGUUUGUGUGGCAUGCUUUUAAAAAAUUCCAAAUGUCUCUUUUUAGAUAAAAAACAAAUAUAAUAUAAUAUAAAAUAUAAAAUUCAUUUAAUAAUAGGAUGUGGAUACGGCUCGGUCGACUAAGACUUAGAAAGAAGUCUCAGGCAGCUGGCAUCAUGGCGGGGUGCUGUAGUAGCCCGAGGCAACACUUUCAGAUGCAGGUCUAGUUGCAUGCAUGCAAUUGUCCAUCUUCCGAGAAAAACACCAGGAGUUGCAGUCCUGGGCGACACAUGUAGUUGCAUGCCAAGUGUCGGACUUGCAACUUCUCCCUCCCAGACAAAAUACCACAGAGAUGCAGUCUGGUUUAAGACAUGCAGUUACAGUUGUCGGAUACCGGGUUCCGGCAAAACCCUUAAGGUUCGAACAUUGGGGUGCGCACGAAGAUUUCUCCCUAUCGAAUCUUGCUCUCUCUGCCUCAUCGCGAUCACUAGGCUUAGCUAAACGAAAUCACAGAACAAGAGACACAAGGUUUAUACUGGUUCAGGCCACCAUUGUGCUGUAAUUCCCUACUCCAGUGUGUGGUGUGGUGGAUUGCCUCUUGGGCUGAUGAUGAACAGUACAAGGGGAAGAACAGCCUCCUGAGGCGAGGUGUUCUUGUGAUCUAUGGGUGGUUCUGGUCCGAAUGGAUCUCUUCCUUUUUAUGGUGGUGGCUAGCCCUAUUUAUAUAGGCCCUGGUCCUCUUCUCAAAUAUUGAGCGGGAAGGGAUUCCACAACGGCGGGAUUUGAAAGGGGAAAACCAGUACAGGCUAUCCUGACUAAAGGUGGUCUUCGCCUGCCAAAGGCUCUGGUGAUGACGACGUCUUGGGCUUCACCGUGACCUCCAUCUUGCCGUCCUGCUAGUCCUGGUCUUGUUGCACCGAUAUGGAAACCUUUGCGUGAUGCCUCGGUACUCCGCGCCUGCGCUUGCCCCCUUAGCACCAAAGGGGAACGAGUACACUGUGCGCGCUGGAGCCCGCCUGGCGUUGGUCGUCAUGGCUUGCGUCAGGGGAACCUCGCGAGGUACCCCGUGCCUUGAUCUCUCCGCCUCCCUCGUGAGCCUGCCUGAUGAGGCCGCUCUUGAGGAGGCCUUGCGUCGUCCGCUCCACGAGGCUUGGCCCCUCGCGAGGGUCUUGAGUGCUUGGUUGAUGAAGACGGGCCGCACUGGACCGCCCGUGGAGUCACGCAGCGGGCCGCAGGCAGGCAAGUCUGGAUACCCCCAUAUCCAGAACGCCGACAACAGUCUGGGGCAACACUUGCAGUUGCAUGCGUAGUGUCGGGCAUGCAACUACCCCCGCCUCUCCCCGUUGCUCUUCGACAAAAACACAAAGGACAUUUGCAGUUGGGAGGGAUGCGUGCAAUUGCAGUCGAGGGCAGCACGUGGAGUUGCAAGCCUAGUGUUGGCCAUAGAACUGCCCCCCUCUCACGCUGCCCACCGACCAAACAAAAGGUUGGGUGCGGUUGGGUGUGUUGACAUGCAGUUGUAGUCGAAGGCGACACUUGAGUUACAAGCCUAGUGUCUGGCAUGCAGUGUUCUGCAUUAAUUGUGGCCACUGAUGCAGACCUACUAGUGUGAAUCAGGCAGCAAUAUAUUCCUGUUAGUCAAAUAUAUUGUCUUAUGAUCAAAAUUUGACUUAAAAUACAAGGGGCACAAUGAACCGUGAUGGAGGAACUGUAUGUGUCAGUGUGGAUCACGCAACAAGGUAUUAGAGCAUCCACAAUGUAGUGGUUUUCAACCUCGUUAGCUGCCUCUAAAGGCUUGGAGCCCGCCUCUACACACGGCAGACAUUGCCUCUAUGUUUUUUAAGCUUGGCGUAGGCGCUAGCCUUGGAGGCUGCCUCCAAGGAUUAAACAACAACAUGGUCCUACUAGUCAGUGGAUAACUGAGCGUAGCUUAGAUGCAAGGCGCGGGAAUUCGCAGUUAGACCAUCAAGGUUUAAGUCUCGGCUUGAGAAUUUGGAUCUCACGGGGUUUUCUUUUAUAAAAAAAUGUCAACUGGAUAGUCUAGCCCGGGUUGGUCUCUUUCAUUUUUUUCCCUACUAGUCAGUGUAUGGUUGUGGCUAGGCCAUGCAAAUUGAUCAAUACACUCUUCAUUGUUUAUUCUAUUAUGGGACCAUUCCUUAGAGUCAACAGCCGAUGCUACACACUACAUGGUUUCUAGAUCUGAUUAGAGGCUGGAGGUGGGGCCCAGGAUAGAGGCAGCCUAGUGCCCUUAUUUACACCAUCCAACCAUCUAUGUUUACCGAUGUGAAACACUCACUACUAGGGAAAACCCUAGCAGUAGCGCUGGUUUUGUGCUCACUAGUAGCGCGGGUAGGCGCGCUACUAAUAAGGCGCUACAACUAUUGCUUAGCAGUAACGCGUGCCCGCACGCGCUACUGCUAGGACAAAUAGCUGCAGCGUUUGUUCAGUACCACGCUACUGCUAAGGUAACUACUUGCAGCGUGUUUUUUGUCCAUCGCUACUAGUAUUUUUUUAUUUUUUAUUUUUAGUGUAUUUAUGCGCCAUCGUACAAAUAUUGGUACAAUACCAGUUAUGAGGUUUACAUCAUUAUGUCCAUAACAGUGUGUCAAAUGAAGGUGGAUUAGGUUCAAGUGGAGGCAAUAUGUGGUGCAUGUCAAAAGUAUACUACUAAUCCAAACUUGAUCUAGUUUGGACUAGUAGUACUUUCGAUGUGCACCACGUGUUACCUUCACUUGAAUCUAAUCCGCCAGCAGAAGCUAUUUAAUCAUCAUCAUAGUCAUUACCACCAACAUUAUUUAUUUAAUCACUACUAACACUAGCUAAUAAUAAUCAUCACAGUCAUUACCACCAACACUAGCUAUUGUAUCAUCAUAUAAUAGUGUAGCACAUCAUCAUCCUCAAACUCAUUUCUAGCUAGCUAAUCACUCCUGCUGCUCUCUCUUAGUUAAAUAAUAUAAAACAUGUAUAGCUCUCCUCCUUGAUCAAGCUAGAGCAUGCAGAUGAACCUGUCUCCUAAUCGUGGGUAGCACAUCUGUUUGCUGCCCCCUAGUACUUCUCUGUGCUCCCCUAUCACAUAUUUGGUCCAGUCUUGCACUAUUAAGCAUCCGUCGCUAAUCUUGAAUGCACUAAAGUAAUCUGUAGGAUAUCUUGGCCGUAAGCUGGUAAUACUCAUGGUACCUUUAGUCUCGAUUUCAUAAGGCACAACAUUCAUCGGGAGUCCCUGUUGAAGAACAUCGUAUGGUAACAUACUUAGCAAUGAAGUUUAGCUUCAAAAAUAAUGUAUGGAAAAGAUGCACUGAUGACAAAUAGUAAAAAUCUUAUCAUCCUUCCUAAAUGGAUGUGACCGUAGUUCAUUACAAACACUAUUGGUCGCACAUUUUCAGUACUAACAUUUCUAAAUGCAGAAAGAAAAUUUGUCUUGACAGUAUCAAGAUCCUCAAGCCAUGAAACAUAAUGACUGAGCUCCUCGCAGUUGAGUUCAGCCCCAGGACAGUAUACGGCUCUGUCUACCAAGCGCUGGACAUGUUUGUUUGCACCGAAAUAAGCUGACAAUACAAAUUAGUUGUCAACUAUUUUUGAAUAAACAAUAUCAAAGACAUAAAAUAUGGUUGAUAAACUUACAUAAUGGUAUAACUGGAGGCGUUUGCACAUCGACCCAGAUGCCGGUAUUACCUUCAAUAUCAUCUUCCGGACGAAUAUCAAUGGUGAUAACCAUAUCAGGAUCAAAUGCAUAAGUCUUGCAUAGUGCUCGCCAUGUUUUGCAUCCAAAAUAGGUGUAGUCGUCUGAAUUGUACAAUUUUGCAUGGAAAAUAUAACCAUGCUCGGUCUUCAAGUAAACUUUCUUUUCCUCCAUACUAUGACUGAAACCUAUCUAAUCCAAUACAAAAACUCUUGCAUGGCAGGGGAUAUGCUAGUAGAAUAGUAAAAAAAAAAUAUAAGUUGAAGCUAAUGAAGCAGAUGUCAUGCUUAAUUACGAAAAAAGACUUGUCGUUGUGACUUACUGUAUCAACUUCGAAGUUCUCGUCCAGCUUGAUGCUGAAGCGCCUAUCAUCAUCUAGGAAGAUUCCGUCGCACAGGCCACGCUCGUCUUCGCAGUAUUUGCAAAUACCGAAAUCCUUUUCAUCGUCAGACAUUUCCUAUGUUCAUAGUUAAAACAUUAAUUAAAAAUUGAUCAAAGACAACUACCAAGAUACUCAACACACAAAUUCGGGGCACUCGAUAUUUCCUACAUAUUCUGGCACAAGUCAUGCCAAAAUUCACGGAAAAAUCCGGCAUGACCUUUGCUAAAAUAGGACAUAUCGAGUGCCUGAAAUUUGCCGGAACGGAAAUGAAUCAACACUCCGGCAAAACAUAGGCCACUCGGAGGUGUAACCUGCAAACAUGACCGGCCACUUGGAUAUUGAGCAACACAAGAUAUACAUUUCAAAAAAUCUUAUAGGACUCAAAUUAUCAUGCAUUCAAUAAGCAAAAGUUAAUCAUCUCAUGCGUCUGUACAUCGUCGAAUAUUAUCACUAAUACAUCACGAAUAGUGUCAUACAUAUAACAUCACUAAUACAACUAAAAACCUAGCACACGACGGGUAUCGGCGCGGGCGGUGGACACCCAGAGAGAAGGAACCAUCACGGGAUCAUAGCUGCAGUGAGAUCCCCGAAGAACCUGCCAGGUAUUGGAGAAUGGCCUGUGCUCCAACGCAAACAAGUAGCGACGGACAUGCGCGUCCUCCUCACUGACACGGUGAUGCACCACCUCCGUGGAGUCCUCGAGCCUCUGGAUCAUCACUGGCCCAUGCAACCGCCACCAAAGAAGGUUCGGGUCAACGACAGGCUGGAUCCUCACCAACCUACGCCCCCCGGUAGGUAACGCCUCCUAGUACCACCCCAGCGGAGCCCAGUCCCGUACAUGGCCGAUCUGGUCAAGCAGGUGUCAUCCUCCGCCGACUCGACGACGAGGAUGCGGGAUAGGCAUCGUCCACGUCGAGGCGGGAAAAAUUGCUUUAACUAAAAAAUAGAAACAAGUUCUUACUAACUAGUUCUAUUAAUUCAACUAGUUCUUACUAAAAAUAAACUUACUAUAAAUAAAAAUAUUCUAGUACCUAAUUAGUACCUAGUUCUUACUAACUAAUUAGUACCCAGGAACUACUGCCCUAAUUACCAUCUAAUUUGAUGAACCUAUAGGGGUGGAAAGUGGUAGCGGAUAUUUCAAUUAUCCAACUAUAAAGUGAAAUAAGUGGUCAAAUUUUACUCGUUUUAUGAUUCAUCUUAGAAAUUUGAUUCGUUUUCACCCUUACAUGAACCCUAACUCAUUUGAGCCGCAUCCGCAUCCGAUUUGUUUCCGCUCUUACAUGAACCCUAACUAAUUUGAUGCAACUAAAAUAUAAAGAAACCCUAGGCAGAGGUAGGGGAGAGGGAGGAGCGGGCGUGCUCACCUCGGGUGCCUACGACGAGGGAGGGGUAGGGCGGCGUCGAGGUCGGGGUCGGGGCUCGGGCGCGCGGUGGAUGGCGCCCGGCAUCGAGGUCGGGGUCGGGGCGGCGUUGAGGUCGGGGGCGGGGGCGGCGUUGAAUCUGGGGUCGGGGCGGCGUAGAGGGUGCGGAGAGCGCGCGGCGGCCGACGGGCGACGGCGGCGGCGAGAGUGGAGAGAGUUGAAUUUGGGGGAAGUGGCCGCGUGGGGAAGGACGAACCCCGUGGUUAAGUUAGAAGUAGCAGUAGCGCGUUCCAGGAAAAGCGCUGCUGCUAACUUAGCUACAGCGCGUUCUGUGAUACACGCUACUGCUACUCCUUUCUUUUUUUCCCUUUUUUCAUUUAGUUUUCUUCACAAUUUAUUUGUUUCCUUUCACCUUAUUCUAUUUCUUUCAUUUUCAAUUACCUUUCCAUUUUCUUUCCAUUUAAUUUUAUAACCUUUAGCAGCAGCGAGUUUAUAUUAAAACGCGCUGCUACAAACAAAGUAGCGGUAGCGCGGUUCGUCAUAGAUCGCUACUACUAUGUGUAGCCUAUCCGCUAAGCCGUGGGAAUUUUAGUAGUAACGUGUGUACAGCAAGACACGCUACUGCUAGAUCUUUAUCUGCAGCGCGGUUUCCUCAGGCGCGCUACUGCUAAUUAGCACCAGCGUGCUUUUUUGACCCACGCUACUGCUAAAGUUCUGUGUAUAAGGUUUUCCCUAGUAGUGACUAGCUGGACUGACAUGUCGGUGUCAUCAAUGCCAUGUGACUGAGAACAACUCACUCAAUACCAUCAUUCACUUUCCGACUGUUAUCAACAUGGUCAUGCCGGCACCGGUAUAGGAGUGGCGAACACGGGAGUUAAUUGCAGAAAACCACCAUAAUUGUGGCUAGGUAUGUAGAGAACUAUCUAGUCCCUAUUUUUUUCCAAAAGCCACUGCGUUUCUAGUAAAAUUUCUAUAGAAAGCAAUGACCAGGUGAUUUGGUGCAUUUGAUCACUACCUGACAAGUAGGGCCAAUUGUAAGGAGCCGAUUUGGCAAAAAAUGACGUACACCCCAUGGAUUUCACAAAGACACCUUAUCCAAAACAAAAAGCAAUCACCCCCCCCCGCCGGUCGCACGUUGCGUGCCUCCUUAGAGGUGGUGGCUGGACAUUGGGAGCCGGCCUCCGGCAGGACCUUGCUCGCGGGGCAAGACGGCCUCCCUCCUCCCUGGCCGUCGUGGCUGGCCAUCGACUCACCCCUAGCUGCAAGCUCACAACCCUAGCAUGGACACGUGAUGACCCACAAGUAUAGGGAAUCAAUCGUAGUCCUUUCGAUAAGUAAGAGUGUCGAACCACAUGAGGAGCAGAAGGAAAUGACAAGCGGUUUUCAGCAAGGUAAUGUCUGCAAGCACUGAAAUUAUAAGUAACGAGUAGUUUGAUAGCAAGAUAAUUUGUAACGAGCAAGUAACAAUAAUGGUAACAGAAGUGCAGCAAGGUAGCCCAAUCUUUUUGAGGCAAAGGACAGGCCAAAACGGUCUCUUAUGAUAAGCAAAGUGUUCUUGAGGGCCCAUGGGAAUUUCAUCUAGUCACUUUCAUCAUGUUGGUUUGAUUUGUGUUUGCUACUUUGAUAAUUUGAUAUUUGGGUGGAUCGGUGCUUAGGUGUUGUUCUUACAUGAAGAAACCUCCUACUUAUGAUUAAACCCCUCGCAAGCAUCCGCAACUACGAGAAAAGUAUAAGAAUAAAUUCUAACCAUAGCAUUAAACUUUUGGAUCGAAAUCAGUCCUUUACAGAAUAACACAUAAACUAGUGUUUAAGCUUCUGUCACUCUCGCAACCCAUCAUCUAAUAACUACUCCACAAUGCAUUCCCUUAGGCCCAAAUAUGGUGAAGUGUCAUGUAUAGUCGACGUUCGCAUGACACCACUAAGGGAAUCACAACAUACAUACCAUCAAAAUAUCGAACACAUAUAAAAUUCACAUGAUUACUUGCAACAAGAUUUCUCCCGUGACCUCAAGAACAAAAGUAACUACUCAAAAAUGAUAAUCAUGCUCAAGAUUAGAGGGGUAUUAAAUAGCAUAAUGGAUCUGAACAUAUAAUCUUCCUCCAAAUAAACCAUAUAGUAAUCAACUACAAGACAUAAUCAACACUACUAGUCACCCACAAGCACCAAUCUAUAGUUCCGGUACAAAGAUUGAACACAAGAGAUGAACUAGGGUUUGAACGGAGACGGUGAUGUUGAAGAUGUUAAUGCAUAUUGCCCUCCCCAAGAUGGGAGAGUUGUUCGUGAUGAUGAUGACGAUGAUUUCCCCCUCCGGGAGAGAAGUUCCCCUGGUGGAAUCGCUCUGACGGAGGGCAAAAGUGCUCCCGCCCAAGUUCCUCCUCGAGACGGCGGCGCUCCAUCCCGAAAGUCAUCUCUAUAUUUUUUUUCUAGGUCAAAACGACUUAUAUACCGGAACAAGGGCACAAGAGGUGGGCAGGGCUGAGCAAAACCCACCAGGGCAUGCCCUGGUAUCUUGUGCUCACCAGGUGGCCCCCCUCCGGUACUUAUUUGCUGCAUUAUUUCUUAUUUAUUCUAUAAAAAAUUCUCGUGAAGUUUCAUCUCAUUUAGAGUUGUGCAGAAUAGGUAGCCUGCCGAAAUUCUCCUUCUUUGUGUGAACCUUGCAUAUUAUGAGAGAAAAGGCAUUAGAUUUACUGCAAAAGGCAUUAUUAUGCAUAAAAAUAUUAUAAAUAACAGUAGGCAAACAUGAUGCAAAAUGGACGUAUCAAGAGGCGGCCAAUCCCACAUGUUCACCCGGCCCUGUUGUUGUGCUACCAGAGCUCCACCGGCCUACGAGCGCUCCGCCCCACUGCCAACCGCCUCCUGCUCUACUCAUCUCCUCGAUCCUCUUGCCGGCGAGCUCGCCUCGCGCGUCGGACAUCCAUGACCAUGGCGCCGCCUGCCAUAAACCUAACCCCAAAUGUGGUGGUUUUCUGCUUUUAACUAAGAUCGCGGCGCAUCUCCCGGCUCGUUCAUACAGAGUCAUUGGGUGGUUCAAGGACCUCAAUGAAUUUUUUACCAUGUUUGGAGUACUUUAUACUUUUUGGUGAACUUUUGGAAUUUAUUUGAUUCUUUUUCAGAAGAACAAAAAAAAAGGAACACGCAGUUUGAAUCCAUUGGGCACGGAUGGAACGUGGCGAAAGUCUCCUGCCCAAGAUACAAGCGCCGUGGGCACGGUGCAUGGGCGACGUGGCAGUUUGGACGCCGAUGCGGCGCAUUGUCGCCACCAAUACGGACGGCCUGGCGUGGAUCACGCACCAAUUUAGAUGCCAUCCAGAUCGAGGGCAGCUACGUCGAGCGAUGCGAUUGGCCAGCUGGACGAUAUGCCGGCGCAAGGAAAUAUGCCGAUCCACACAAGAAACACGACGGCGAGAAUCGCGCGUACGCCCCACAUGCAUGCGACGUCGGACACCGCUCACCGAGUACCACUAUGAUUGGGGUCCAUGCACGCACGGCACCACAGGCCACACGUAAAUGCCAUGUGAUGCCUGGCACCACAGCAGGCCACAGACCAUCCAUGGACCGCGAUCACUGAGUACGUUUACUCUCUUUGGCGUUAUGCUUAAUAUGGCCAUGUGAUGUGUACGUGUUUAGCCUUUAUUAGGGGGGCAGAUCCUCCAUGCUCGCCCAUAUGCAGAUCCAGAUCGAGAGCCGACCGCCCAAUCAGUAGCCACGGCUGACCAUCAUAUCCUCAGGACAAAUUUGACAAAUUUGACCUAUAGACGGAAUUAAAUCAUAGAAUGAACUAUCCGUGAAACUAUUUUACGCGGCUGACCUUUUUGUGUGACGCCCGCCACGAAGGCGCCACACUACACUGUGCAACGCCUCACAGAUAGGCGCUACACAACCAGCGUCGCACACGUGUGAUCAGAAAAUUACUAAGUCGUGUGCAGCGCCUGAGAGCUAGGCGCCACAGGUCAGCCGCGUGAAAUAGUUCUAUGGACAGUUCAUUCUGUGAUUUAAUUGCGUCUAUAGAUCAAAUUUGUCAAAUUUGCCUAUCCUCAGCAGCUGGUUCUGUCUAGGACUCAGUUGACUUGGACAUCGCGAAGUGUAGGUCGCUGAUGUCACCUGUUUAUAUUUUUUGUUUAUGUCCAAACUAUAUCCCCGUCGUUGCAUCUUGUGUCUUUUUGGGCUGGCCUCCCUUUUUGUCUUUGGUUUGUGCGUUUAUCAAUUUGUGUUGGGCCAGAUAUUUUGGGCAGUUCUUUUUCUGUUUGGUGCUGCUGCUCGUUGAUUAUGUAAUCUUUAGCUAUUGUUUGAGCAUUUUUUCUGAAACCUUUAGAUAUUGUUCGAGUAUAUUAGCUUCGUGGUACACCGGCCAGCUAUAUUAGCUGUUGUUCCUAACAUGCUAUUUCUUUCGUUUUGUUUGGAUUUCUUUUUCAUUUUUAUUUACAUUUUCACAUUUUGUUUCUAAAAAUUGUAAACAUUAGUCAUUUUUUCGUGCAUUUUCAUAAAUACUCAUCGUGUAUUUGAAAAAUAUCUAACGUGUCACUAGAAAAUGUUUAAUAUUAUUUAAAAAUAUUCAGCAUGCCAUUACAAAAAUAUUCAAUGUUAGUUAACGCUUGUUUUUAGCUUGCAUUUUCUUUAUUUGAUUGGGUUGAGUCGGGCAUUGUUUUACUCGUCUGUUUGUAAUUUCUGUCAUCCACAAAUUGAAAAAUGGUACUAACAAAAAUAAAGAGAGCUCAUCAUAUGUUGUUUCACAUGCGAUGCGGGCGUGCGACUAGGUUUGUGUGGCAUGCUUUAAAAAAAUUCCAAACAUCUCUUUUUAGAUAAAAAACAAAAUAUAAUAUACUAUACGACUAAUAUAUCCACCAGUCGACUGUUCAUUUGCUUCAAAUCCGCACGACUCGACAGCCGUCCGAUCCAGAUCCAACGGACCGCGUCGCUCCUGGUGCGCGCAGCGCGGGUGGCGGUAGCCGUUACCAUCGAUGUGUGUCGCUGACUAGUGGGUCCACUGGAACCGCCCAUAUCGCCCAAUGCCACGAUCCCCACUCGUCCCCUCUCGCGUUCGCCCGCACUACUUCUUCUUCCUCUGAUUCCGGCCUCUCCAUUCGAAUCUCCUCUCGCUCCCCUCCCCCUCAUGCGCGACGGUUGCUGCUGGUGGCGCGUUCCGGUUCGCGGCGGACGGCGACUGGUGGAUACGGUGAGGAACGCAUGCCCCGCGCCCUGUUUUCCUUCUCUUUUUGCUCCGCCGCUCUGGUCCGCCAUUGAUUUAGGUUGGAGCCGUCGAAUCUGGUAGAUUGUUGUUCCUAUUAGGUUAGAUUAAGGACGGCUUCUAAUUUCUGAGUCGAAGUUGAGUAGCGCAUCCCCCAUUCCCCCACCCAUCCACCCGCCCCAUUCUGUAUUUCCUGUUGCUCCGCCUCCAUGCUUCGCCGUUAAUUUUUGGUGCUCGGACUCUUUGAUUCUGGCGGUCGUUGUUGCUAUUAGGCUAGGUUAUGUCGCCUUCUAAGUUCAGUUUGAAUAUGGUUCGGACAUCUGGUUUAAUUUUGUGGUAAUCGUGGGCGUGGAUAGGUCUUAGUGGUGGUAAGUGUGGUUGGUUCUAAUAGGGAUUUUGUUAUGGUGUUACUGUUGUGGAUGUGGUUGUUUAGUACAUCCAAUAAUGUUUGGUGUUUAUGAAUUUCAAGUUGUGCAUCAGUGGAUGAGGAUUUAAAAAGCAACCAUAAGUUUUUUCACAUAAUGUUGUUUUAUGUUGGUUUUGUUAGAUGCGGUUUGUCCAUUGAUUAGGCUUUUGUGCUGCUCCAAUUAGCUUGUUUACAUUGCUUGAUUUGCUUGUUAUGUUUUGUUCCGUUCAAUUAUCAUGAUGUCUAUAUUGAACUUACCAACUAUAUUGCACUCAAAUUAUCAGAUGCUUUAAACUCAGUUAUUUAUCAUUGUUGUCUUGUUAUGGUUGAAUUAUCAUGGUGAUGGUUUUACACUUACCUCUGUCAUCUUACCGUAGUUUCCAUAAGUUUUUGCUAGACUAACUAUAUGUAGCACAACCCUUAUUUCUCAAUCAUUUUGUUUUGGUUGGGUUAUUAAUGAGCAUGUGUGAAUGCUAUUUCUUAUCAUUGGUAAUUUGGUUGUAACUUACCAAUUGCAUUGUGCCUCAAUUAUCAGUCUCACAUGCUUUUUAUAUACCUGUGCUAUCUGUUUUACUUUUUUUUAGCAUGUGCGACCAAUUUGCGGUUUGCUUGUUUCCUUUUAUCAGCUGUAUUAUUGCUUUGUCAAACACUGGUUUUAUAAACAAUGUAUUCAUUUUUUUCUUACGUGUCAGGGAGACAAUGCCGAGGAAGCGUAAAGGAGAUGGUGAUGGAAUCGAUGAGGUUCCUUCGAAAAAGGCGAAACGCCCUCCUCCGCGGAAUAGAGCCUCACCCGGUUCGCUUCUUCUAGCGUGCAAGGACAUGAAUGAUGACAGGAAGGGUGCCAUUGAUGAUAUGGAUUUAACUAGCCUUCGAAAUAUCCAAUGUGACCAUCUAUUCAACAAUCUCAGUGUGUGGCUUGCUGAUCUCUACGACCCCAAUUCGCGUGAGGUGGUCGUACCAGGCCGAGGCAGGCUUCCGGUCAAUGAAGAAUACGUGCAUCGUGUUAUGGGUGUGCCGUGUGCAGGGAAUGAUGUCCCUUACAACCUCCCAUCUGAAACUGAUAUUGAGUUAGGGCUUGAGUUGUUUGGCGAGCUCGGAUAUGCCCCUAAAAUGACUGAUCUUGUUGAUCUCAUAAAGGGUUCUGAAAAUUCUGAUGACACUUUCAAGCGUAUGUGGUUUCUUCUUGCGGGGAAUACAGUCAUUGCCCCGACCACCUCCAACAAAGUUAGCCCCCAUUGGUAUGUUGUGCUGGUAAGUUUUUUUGUGAAUAUGUCAUUUUCUUUCUUGUGUGCCUCAUAACUUUUAUAUAUGUCAGUGUGAUAACUUUCGUUUUUUUUGUGGUGCAUUCGGUGAACUUCAGUGCUGUUUUUUAUAUUGCAGCGUGACAUCAAUGGUGUUAAGAAUCUUAAUUGGUCCAAAUUUAUUGCUGAUGAACUGCACAAGGCGAUGUUGAAACGCAAGCCUACCAGGGGUUGCCUUCUUUUCUACAAUGUAAGUGACGAUGCUUUCCUCUUACCUUCUCUUUUGUCAUUUAUCAUUUUCCUUGUCAUUUUGUGGCUGGUUUUUGUAAGUGUUUACCAUGGCGCUUCUGUUUUUCUUAUCAGCUGUUGUACAUUCAUGCGAUUGAUCUUUCUGGACUUGGCAUCGAACUGCCUGAAAGUCCUUUUCCCAUCAAUGUAUGGACAAAGAAGCUGAUAACUCUUGUCCUCAACAAGGAUGUUCAGACUGACAAAGUUUCUUUCGGGAAACUACCGGUAUUAUAUAUCUAUGUUUUUCAGUUCACAGUCUGCUUUUCAACUGCAUUUUAUUUUCAUUGUUUGUUUGUUGUUACUUAUCUGUGAUGGCUACAUUUUUUUCCAGUUGAAGCCUGAGUUUGGCAUGAAUUUCUGUCUCUUUGGUGGUGUGGAAGGUCUUGACAAGUUUAUGCGUGUUCAUACUGCCCCAAGCUGCAGUGAAGAGGUGAGCAUGUAACCUAGUUUCUUGAUCUUUUUUUUGCUAUUUUAUGUUCUUUCAUUUGCUGAUAAAUUAUUUUUUGCACCCAUUUGUGGUUACCCUGAUUUGUUGCCAACUUGUCACUCUUUUAGUAAUCUGGAUGAUUUCCAUUGUGGCAUAUCCUCUAUAUAAAAUAUAAUUAUGAUGCAACCAUGUGAUAAUUAUUAGUGCAAUGCCUUGAUAACUUUGCAGCAUUUCUGUGAUAACUUGAUAUCAUGAUAACUUUUGGUUGCAUUUAUUAUGAUGAUUGUGGCAUUCCCGUGAUAACUUGAUAUUCAUGAUAACUUUUGUUGCAUUUUUGUGAUAACUUACUAGUUAUUUCCAUUCUUUUUUCAUUUUUUUAUGUUGAACAGAAAUUUGCCAAAUCAACUGAGAUAGUUGCUCGAUUCACGUCCGCCAUGGCUGGCAUCCUAGGCAAUCUUGUGGAAUCAUUCACCGCUUUAGAUGAUGAGGGCCAUUCACAUGCAUCUCGUCAGCUAGACGCUGGAUUGAACGUUAUCUCCUCUGCCGCCCGUACGAUGUCAAGGACUACGCGGUCAUCGCAAGGCAGGCGGACAGAAAGUGCUGGAAAGAAUGUGGCUGAAGAUUCUGACAGCGAUGACGAUUAUCACGGAGGUGAUGAUUCUGAUUCUGACGCUGACUCCGAUGAUGAUGAUGAUGACUAUCGAGUUGUUCCUCGUCGCCCUAAAGAUCCUUUUGUUGCUUCAGGCAGUGGUACCGUGGAUGUAGACAUGGGCAGCGGUCCAGCUGAUGAUGAGACCACACAUCUUGAUGGUGCAACUGUCAAAGCCCAUGAUGGCACAGGACCAAAUGUUGAAGACACCCCUGUCCGCUCUGUCGGCAAUAACCUCGUUGAUUCAUAGAUCUUACUCACUGGAACAUCUCAUGCAGCAUCCGUCGAAUCAGGUGAUCGAGGGAUUAGCCAGCAAGGUCUGACAGACACGCAAGCUGAGGCGGCCACUGACUCUUCUGUCAAGCGGUGCGGUGCUGAGCUUUUGAAAAUUUUGGCUUACCAGAGGCGCAAGAAGCUGAGGCUACCAUCACCCNNNNNNNNNNNNNNNNNNNNNNNNNNNNNNNNNNNNNNNNNNNNNNNNNNNNNNNNNNNNNNNNNNNNNNNNNNNNNNNNNNNNNNNNNNNNNNNNNNNNNNNNNNNNNNNNNNNNNNNNNNNNNNNNNNNNNNNNNNNNNNNNNNNNNNNNNNNNNNNNNNNNNNNNNNNNNNNNNNNNNNNNNNNNNNCCGUCUUCACCAAUUGCACUGUCAGCAUCUGAGAUUCAUGUAGCUGUGAAGAAAGUUGUGGUCCAGGAGCUUGGUAUACGCGUGGCUGAAAAGGGAACCGGUGCCUUCGUCCCACUGUCCACUUUGCGGAAGGAGGCCCCACGCAGGUGAAUUAUUACUUUCCAAUGUCCUUCUUAUCAAUUGUGUGCCUGAAACAACAUGGUAAAUACAGUCAUUUGUUUAAGGUAGUUUGGGUAAUUUCAUGCCGGUGAUCAACUUGCUUAUUUUUCAUCUGCAGGGCCCCCGGCAAACAAUCUGUUGCUGCUAAGGAUUCAGGGAUUGCACCAGUGAAAAGGUAUUCAAAUUGUUACUUUCGUUUAUGAUCAGCAGUUAUUUUGUUCUUGUUGUCUGAUAACUCAUUUUGAUGAACAUUGGUAACUCAACUUUGCCCCCCUGGUAAUUUAGAGUUACCAAUCUUGAUAGUUGUAUGUGCUUGUAACAUUUGGUUAUUUUUUCAUUCAGUGCACCUAUGAAACAAGUUGCUGCUGCUAAGGGUUCUCCAAGUGAACCAGGAAAAAGGUGUUCACAUACCUAUCUAGUUUGCAGUUAUUCAAAAAUAAUUGUUGGUUUUUUUGUUCAUAUGAUUUGAUAACUUUAUAUUUAUAGUCCUUGAGUACUUUGUAAUUUUUUCCCUGGAUGCUACUUAUACCUGAAGUAUGUGACAUCCUUUUUUGAUUGAAGCAUGUGGUAACUCAGGUUUAACAACAUGUGUAAUCUCACUACUACCCUUGUGUAUCAAUUUUUUCAGUCGUUCAAAAGAUAAAAGUGCAGUGAAAAAGGUGAAAUUCUCCAAGACCAGAUCCUCUCCACGAUUAAGGGCAACAUUGUCGUAGACAACGUCAUCGGAGACAACAGAAGUUAUCCAUCUUGAUGAAUCUCCCACGGCGACAUCUCCGUCUGAAAAAGCAGCAGCAUCUAGCGAGGGUGCAUCUGAUGCUGUUGCGGCGACAUCGGCUGGUGUUUCUGAUGAUGCUGUUUUUCAGCUAGCUGCAGCAGCAACUGUUACUGCUGCUGUUGAAGAUAUCGCCAGUGUGGCUGUAGCUAUUGAAUGCGAAAAUGAAGUCGUCCCUAAUAUAGCGCAUGAUGGAAGUGAAGGUAGUUCUGUUCGCCAUCACAUUUGUUUUUUGUUUCUUGUGUUUUUAUGAUGUUUUUUGUUGACGAUGUGUUUAAUCUUUUUCCGCUGUAGCUGAGAAAGUUGUGGGAAAUACCAGAGAUAAUAUGCCUACUGAUACGGCUACAGCUGGAGGUGAAAAGAAUGAUGCCGAUAAUCCUGUUGUCACAGGUUGGUAACUUAAUUUUCUUAUGUUGAUAACUUGUCUGUCUAAUACAUGAUAAUUCAAGAUAUUGUUUCUGCCACUAACAAAUACAAUGUCAUCUACAUGUUUUCCUGAUGCCUUUUUUCCUUAUUUGUGUGUUACUUGUCAUGUUUUGAAGCAGUAGCUCACCAUGCAUUGGAGUUGAGCACCACUGGAGCUGGAAACUACGAUGGUAAUUUUACGCCACCCAGCUGCUCUCUUGGGCUGGAUGACAUCUUUGGUGCGAGUCCUCAAGUGCCACCAUCUGCUGAAGCAACUGCAACAGCUCAAGCUGCACCAACGUUGGCUCAAGUACCACCUGCAGCACCAGAAGCACCUGCGGCGGCGCCAUAUGCUCAAGUACCACCUGCAGCACCAGAAGCACCUGUGGCGGUGCCAUCUGCUCAAGUACCACCUGUAGAACCAGCUACUGGCCCUGACGCCGUUCUAGGGCUCGCAGCUCCUGUUGAUGCCGACUCGAAGGGCAAGGCAUUGAUGAAAGUUACCAAGGCUCAACCGGUUGCUUGGGCUCCGCCACCCAACAACUCUAGUAAGUGAAGACCUUGUGUCUUUGCUUUUAUGCCGCGAGAGUGAUGGAUUGAGAUAUGUCAGUGUUCAUCGUAUUGUUUUGUUCCUUGGUGUGCUCUUUUUAUUUAUGUGUUUGGAACUUUCUAUCAUUCCGUGUGUAUGGAUGAAUGUAAUACUACUUGUAUGCUUUGUGUGAUGUAAAUGAACAUAUGUGCUUUCAGUACCCGUAAUAUAUAUUUCUGUUGUGUCCGCUACAAUAUUUUGUACGAUGCUAGCAUAGACGAUAAGUCCAUCCUCCUCCCCCCGGUAACUUUGUCAGUUUUGAAAGCCGAUGUUAUCUGUUACUGGCUUUUAGUAAGCGCGUGAUACAUACAUCUCCUAUCAUUGCCUAUUUAUUUUCCUUAAUUCAUUGUCAUGCUUACAAAACAGUACUAUACUCGUAGUUAUUCAUCUGACCUUUUUCAUUACUCCUUCAAUUUUUUCCAAUCACCCUGAUAACUCCAUAUGACAUAUCUUGGUAACUCAAAUGUUCAAAUCCUGUCAAUUUAUGAUCCAUUGACACAAUAACUCCAGCCAUAUGCAUUCUUUGCCAAUUUUCUGGGCUAUACAAUUCUUUUUGGUCUUCUUUUUAACAUGUUAUGAUGAUUAGUUUAUAUCACAGCUGUUGCUCGUUAUGCACCAGUGUUAUCUAAUUUGUUCCUUAAAAGGCCCAUACAUGUGUGCUGGUAAUCCACAUUCACAUUGCCUGGUAUAUUUUAUAUUGUGUUCCUGAUAACUUCUUGUAUCUUGUCUCAAUUUUUAAUACCUGAUUUUUUUGCAACAAUUUAUGUUGUUUAUCACUACUGUUCAUGUCCUCAUCGCUGUUUUUUUAUUUAAGUAACACCGGAAGCUGGUCGUGUGCAAGUGUAUGAUGUUGAGAUUGACGAUGAUGAGGUUCUCAUGUGGUGGGAAGAAUUUGAACAUGGCAAUCCAGCAUUAAAAGGGAAAUCUAAUGUUCAAAUAGGUGAUUUUUUUCUGCUCCAUGAACAUUGCGACCCUUGCACAAACCACUUUCUUUGUUUUUUCAAUUAUGGACCACCACUUGAUAAUCAAAACAUGUGGCAGUUGAUAUGUUUUGACCCAUCACUUGAUAAUUCUUUCUCCCAUCUGAUGAUAAUUCAUGGUUUUCCAUUUUUUCUAUUUCUACCAGACAACCCCCAAAGUCCAACAUUUGUUACACCAGAGUUACCACCUCGCACAGAGCAUUUAGUACGCAGUUCAACACCUAAAUCCUUUAUUCGGAAAGUUAGGGUCACCCACCCGUCCAAAUACCUGCUCCCACCUUUUGCCUCCCUCACACCGAGCGAGGAGGCAGAGUACAUUUACAAUGAAGUUAUCAAGCAUACUACUGAUUCUAACUCUAAGAUUAAAGAGUAUGUUUCCAUCCUUUUUCUCAUCUUUCUUAACACAAAUCAUUAUUUUGUACGCCUUUUUUUAAAUGUAUUUUUUAAAUCUUUUUUUUGUUUUUUUGUUUUUUGUAGUCUUAGGGUCAUCAACAUUGAUGGUAGGUGGGUUACCCUUGGUGAGCUUGCCAAUUGUGUGAAGGGAGUUGGGCAACUAUCAACCAGCAUUGCCGAUCGAGUUACAUGUUCGCGUUCUCCAGUAUAAGGAAACGCCAAACAGGCUCAUCUUUCCUUGGGUGCUCUCUGUGUAUCUGUUGUGAGGAGACUUCAAAUCCAAGUGUUUACUGAAGUAUUUUUGACAGGACAAGUUUUACAUUCUUAGUCACCAGGAUCAGGUAUGUUAUGUUUGAUGGAUCUGGUAACUGUACAGUUAGUGUCUUGGUAACUUCCUGAUAAUAUCAUGUAACUUCCUGUUAUUUGCGGAUAUUGUUUGUUCUUCAUGUCAUGAUAACCUGUUUCAUGCACACUGAUAACUUUUGACCUUUCUGCCCUGAUAACUUCCUUUUCUAGUUGCCUCCCGUUGUGAAUUUCAUCACCAUUUGUUAUCUUGGUAAUUUUGUUUCUUUUCCAACUACUUUUAUGCUUACUGCCUAUUAAAUUUUUUCAGCUGCUAUUCCCUGCUUUGCAAAAGUUGGCCCGCGGUCUAGAUGACGGGCAUUGGUAUGUGUUGUCACUAAAUCUUAGGGCGAAGCGGUUUGAAGUUCUAGAUUCAUUGCGUGACCAAGAUAGUCCUUCUCUUCUCGAGCAUGUGACAAGAUACAUGAACGCAAUAAAGAAGGCCUGGUUGAUAAAUUACAAGGACUUGCAUAAGCAGAUUGAGGACUAUGAACUUGUGUACAUUGAUGUGUUGAAACACGAAAAUGGGUUAGUUGUGGAUUACUCACUCUCUUUUUAACAUCCCAACUAUAUGUUUGUCAUCCUUGUUUAUUUUGACCCGGUCUGAAACUCCAAUUAAACUGAUUUUGUGUUGUUUUUUUCAUCACAAAUGUUUCAGCAUUGAUUGUGGAUUUUUCGCCAGUGGCGCUAUCAUCUGUUUGGCAGCGGGUGAUGAGGUGAUAUUUUUUACUACAUCGUGAUAAGUUCUACCAAACUGUGAUGACAACUUUUUUAUUUGAAUCUGUCAUGACAAUGCCAUGGAGCAAAGUGUUGACAUGUUGUUUUACUAUAGUAUACACAGUCCAAAAUCACUGACUAUAUGAUAUAAUUCACUACUAUGAUUAUAAUUUGUUCAUAAGCAAUUUUUAGAAGUGCAAGGAGGACUAAUUUUUUGUCCAUAAGUAAUACAAUGCAGUGCUGGUAGCCUUCAAAAAAUGUAGAUAUAAAAACAUUGGCUUUUACAAAUCCAUGUCAAUUCCAUCAUACAUUGCUGGUAAAUGGCAUAAUAAUGUACUGAUAGCUUGGUUAAGAAAUAAAAAUUUUGGAUUUACAAAUCCAUGUCAAUCCCAUCAAACAUUUGCUGGUAACUGGCAUAACAGGGUACUGAUAGCUUGCUUAAAUUAUAGAGAUACACUUUGUUUUUGCAUUACAAAGCCAUGAUAAAAUCUAUGAUACAAUGUUGAUAACUGGAAUGUUAUGGGGCUCGUAGCUUGCACAUUAUGGUCCAUGAAAAAAAAUGCAGCCACCAUCUUCCAUUUUAAUAGCACCUUCUUCAUUUAUCUUGCUAGGGGAGAUUUGCAUGUGCGUUUGUCAUGUUCCAGACUCCUGCACACACCACAUUUCCUUUUUGUCUUUGGUUUUGCAAUCUCAAAACCUGAUUGCUUUCUUUUUAACUUUGGCCGCCCUUUCAUUACAGUCUUGGGAGGGUCUAGUAUCAACUUUGCGUUUGAGGAUGGAGCUGCAUCAGGAUGUGGGGGUUGGAUGACAAAAGCGUGAUUGUUUUUGCUAGCAUGUAUCAUCACCCGCACACUUUCUUGCUGUGUGGCAGGGUUACCCUGUCGCUGCACAUUAGUAGCACUUUCUUGUUGUGUGGCGGUGUUCUCCUGUUCAUUCACAUUGGUGGCACUUGUUUGCUGUGUGGCUGGGUUCUCCGGAUGUCUUGCAUCGGGGGUGUUUUGGUGAUAUGUGACAGGGUUGUCUUCAUUCAUCCGCCCCACAUGUAUCGAGCAGGGAUCCGGCUGUCCUUGAAACAAUCCUUUUGCUUCUUCCUUUUCCUUUCUUGCUUUUUUAAGUUGAUUGUUCUUCAGGAUUUCAAGCUCCUCCUUGAAAUUAUACAGGUGCUUUCUUGCCAAUCUGGUCUCGUCAUCUGUUAGGCAAGCAUCUUUGGCCGAUGCCUUAAAUUCUUUAAGAAUUGACGUGUAUCGCAUGACGCUUUUCCCCUCCUCUGGCAUCGACUUCUUAACUGUUGGCUGUUCGAAAUCAGGUUGAAUAAGAUCCUCCUCUGGAUCCCAGGUCCACCUCUUUAGGAUAUACUUUUCAGGUAUCUCGUAUACCCCAAUUUGGUCCAUAACUCGUAGUACGUGCGCGCACAGUAGCCCGUCACGAUCAAACUUGCAGCAACUACACGAGUAUGUCUCUUCAACCAUGUUUGCUUGCACAUGGUAGUCCCUGUCUUCAUAUUUCAGUAUUAUCCCGCGCACUGAGCUGACCUUGAAAGUACCAUCAUCCAAUGCGUCGCAUCUGUAUGCUGAUUUCACCUUCAUCUCCACCUGGAACUUGCAAAACAAGUUAUGUGUGUAUAGCCCCCGCACCUGCAUCUCCAGCGAGUUCAUCGAGUACAUUUCGGUUUCUUUGUACACUAUUUCCAACUGCUCUCUUGACACGCUAGCCAUCACCUUAUCCUGUAUCGCAGUGUACUGUUAUGCGAAUUCGACCAAUGAGUUGUUUGGGUUGACAUACUUCUUGAGCACAGUGUUAAAUCCCUCGCUUCUUGCCGUGGUCUGCAAGAACGGGAAAAAGUCGUGCAUAUAGUAUACCGGGACCCAACACUUCCUGUUCUCCCACAGCCAAUGGAAAUGCUCGUUGUCAGUCUGGCCAUACGCUUCGAUCAUCACCCACCACUUGUGCUCAAACUCAUCAACUGCAUUCAUAAUAUAAACAUGGUAACAUCAAUUAUUGGAGGAUGGUAACAUCUGUUCAAACAUAGCUGGUAACUAGGAACACCAAUGCUGUUGAUAAUUAUGUCACACACACAUGGUUACUUUAGUUGAAGGAUCAAGGUAAGUACUUUGCAGACAGGAUAAGAUUUUAUUUUUCCAAAGCGAAUACCACUCUCUGUGUGUAGUACAAGCAACAUUUUUAACUAGCAACAAAAAGAUACUCAUAUUAAUCAGACUAGCUGGUGAUUGAAAAGUUUUGUUGUAACUAGUGGGAUGAACAACUGAAAUGUGUACAUCAAACACGGACAUUAUAGGGGUAGUACAGAAAGCAACUAAUGUAGGUAAUUUUGUUAUAAUCCUCUGGUAACUUGUCACUUUGUUAGAUGGUAACUGUUGUUAUCAUGCAUCUAAACCCAUUUUCUAUGUGCCCAUUUUUUAUGUGUUUUAAGCUAGUGAGGGGUGGGAAGUAAAAUACCAGUCAGGCUGUUGUCAACACAAUCCUUGAAUGCAUUGUUUAGUGGGUCAUUGUUAGCCAUCAGCUUCCCAAGCUUCUCUUGUGCUUUUUUCAUUAUAUGCUAGCGGCAAUUCCUGUGUACUAUCCCGAUGAAGACCUCAUCAAUAGCACUCCUCAUUGCAAAAUCUUGAUCUGUUAUUAUGUUCUUUGGCGCAAUUCCACCCAUUGCAUGCAAGAAUGCAUUAAACAGCCACACAAAGUUACCAGAUAGUUCGUUUCGAACAAACCCACAACCAAAUUGGAUCGACUGCCCAUGGUUAUUAAUGCCAAUGAAGGAUGCACAGGGCAUUUUGUACAUGUUUGUCAUGUAUGUUGUGUCAAAUGAGAUGACAUCAUUGUAUCUAGCAUAUGCCCUGCGCGACGCACCAUCUAUCCAGAAUAAAUUCUCCACUCUGUCCUCAUCAUCAAGAUUUAUUCUCCAAUAGAAAUCUGGAUCUUGUGCCUUCAUAUCUUGGAAGUACGAGAUUGUGCUCCCCACAUCAGCAUGGCGGUACUCCAUUCGGAAUUUAGCUUGCUGGUUUGCGAUGUCCUUUGUUGUGUAUGGUACAUCUUUAGGAUUUCCGUAGAACCAUUCCAUUAGUUGCAUCUGUCUAGCUGUCUCUAUGUUCCAUCCGUGCAAUAUCUUCAAGAAGUCCUGCUCAUCUUUUGGAAUGUUCCUAUGUGAUGAUAGGAACUUUGUCAAGGACGGCUUUCUUAUUAGAGGGUGGUUGUGGUCGUCGUUGAAGCAUUUGACUCUCCACCACGCAUCCGUGUGGGUGAUGUAAAGGUGGGUCGGACAUCCCGACCUCACAACCUUCCCUCGUUUCGUCUUCUUCACGAUGCCUUUUGGGUCAUGCACAUCCUCUAUCUCUUCCUUGUUUGUUUUUGGCUUGCCGUAUUUCCCACAAACCAGGAGGACUCUGCUUACAGUAUUAUCUUUGAUUGUUUUUCUAUUCCAGUCUCAUUCCAAACCCAUGUCUCUAUGCAUAUUGCCUGUAGUGUUCAUAAGCUUCCUCAAAAGUAUCAAACUUCAUCGUUUCAUCAGGAGGUUUCGGUGUGGAGUAUGCCUCAGUAUUUUUGUCUCCCUGUUCAGCAUUCUCUCCCCCUGUUUCUGGACUCGCUGGCUCACUGACUGAAUGAUCAAAGAAGCUUUCUCUCCCCCCUAUGCUGCUAGUAGUCGGUUCUUUGCUUGUUUCUCGAACCAUCGGGUUGCUUCUAGAAGUAGCACCUGUAAUGUUUUUGAAAGUUGUUAUUUUGUGUUAUAUUUUUCUGCAUCCCAAAACUAGUGGUAACUUGUACUCCAGUUGCUUGGUAAAGUUUGCAUGCCAAAACAGAUGUUUUUUUUCUGUGGCUGUAAAGUGAAAGCAUGAAAUUCCAAUUGCAAUACAUAUUGCAUGAUAAUUCGUAUGCAGCAAGUGAGGUAACUAUGCCUAAAUUCAUGGUAACCAGCGAAAGCAUGUAAUACCAAUUUCAAUACAAAUUGGAUGAUAAUUUGUAUGCAGUAAGUGUGGUAAUUGUACCUAAAUUCAUGGUAACCUGUGUUCAUCAAGCUACGUCAUUUGUCAACUGUUUCAUGGUGAAUGUGAUAGUUGUAAAUAACCUAAGGUGGUAGUUGCAAUUCAAGUAUGAUGGUAACAAAUUUGUGUACAAAAUUGUGGUAGCAUGGUAAAUGUUUUACCUUCAUCUGUUUUGGCAGAACCAAAGCUUGCCGUGUGUGCAUAUUCACACUGUUGGUUUGUCCCCACACCACUCAUCAUGACAUCCACAUUACCCCCGUUGUCAUGCGCCAUUUUCUUGUGUCGUAGCACCUGCUAGUACAUAUGAUUGCACCAAUUAAUUUUCCACAAUUACUAGCAAUCUUGAUUAUUUUUUCACAACAACUAUAUUUUUUCCUUUUAAUGCCAUGAUAACUUCUGUUUUAUAACAGGUAUCGUUUUGGCAGUAACCAGCAUAUGGGAGUAUGACUGCGACAGUUUCUAUGAACCUCAUUUCAUGAACAUCAUUUUUAUCAAAAAAGAAUGGUGGCAACAAUGUAAAUCAACACAUGGUAUUCUUGUAGUGUUUUUAGCACCUUUGGUUCUGAGUUUUUCCUGGUAAUUUGUAAUGAAUUAGCACGAUAACUUGUUCUGACAUGGGUGUGUUCGAUAUAUAAAGGAUGGGUGUGUUCAAUAUAUAAAGGAAGAAAGGGAUCUUUUUUUGUGUUGAAUAAGUCUUACAGGAUGCUGAUUACUCAAUGCACAUACUCUGGUAAUCUAUUUUCAAUCGAGAUGGUAUGUCAGUUUUAAUGAGAAAAUUCAUACAUGUAUUUUCUAACUUGACUGUAAAAGAUGAAAUUUAGUCAAUCUUUUUGUUGGUAACCUGAUUGAAUUUGAGUGGUAACUCAAUUUCAACAUGGGAAUUACACACAUGUAGUAAAAAUACUACCUUUUCUUGCAUGCUUUAGUUCUUGUUGUUUUUUCCCCAUGUUUUCCCCGCUUGAUUUUAUUGGUAUGAAAUGCAAAUGCAGCAUGGGUAUAGAGGUAGCAUGGGUAUAGAGGUUGAAUCAGUUACCUCCUUUCUUUUUUGACUGAUUAUGACGAAAUAUGGACGAAUUGAUGAUAACCCCUGUGAUGUUCUUGUGGUAAACCGGGGCCCUCCCUCAAAUCCUUGUGUUUUGGUGUUGUUUUUUCAUGGUUUCCCUUUUUUUUGGUGGAUCUGAUCCGGCGUCGAUGUUGCCGGCGAUGGUGGCGCGUCGGGGAGAGAGGAGAGAACUGAUCGGGGCAGGUGGCUGUUUCUUGCGAUGGAGGUAAGAAAGUAGGGUUUGGGUGGUAAGUCACGUGCAGGAGGGGGGAGGUGGGCCAAAUUGGGCUUCGAUCCGUUGCACGGGGAAGGACGCAGUAGGGGGGAGGUGGGCCUAGUGAGAGAAGUCUGGGUCGUGGGUGGAGCUACCGAAUUGGAUCACGCGCGGGAGGGACUCAGGUUCCCGAUCGUGCGGAUCUGUCGCUAAACCACCAGUAGGCUGGUGGUUAGUCGCGUCCUAUACUAUAAUAUAUAAAAUUAAUUUAAUAAUAGGAUGUGGAUACGGCUCGGUCGAUUAAGACUUAGAAAGAAGUCUCAGUCAGCUGGCAUCAUGACGGGAUGCAGUAGUAGCCCCAGGUGACACUUUCGGAUGCAGGUCUAGUGGCAUGCAUGCAAUUGUCUAUCUUCCGACAAAAACACGAGGAGUUGCAGUCGUGGGCGACACCUGCAGUUGCAUGCCAAGUGUCGGACAUGCAACUUCCCCCUCCCAGACAAAAUACCACAGAGAUGCAGUCUGGUUUAAGACAUGCAGUUACAGUCUGGGGCAACACUUGCAGUUGCAUGCGUAGUGUCGGGCAUGCAACUAGCCCCUCCUCUCCCCGUUGCUCUUCGACAAAAAUACAAAGGACAUUUGUAGUUGGGAGGGAUGCGUGCAAUGGCAGUCGAGGGCAGCACGUGGAUUUGCAAGCCUAGUGUCGGCCACAGAACUGCCCCCUCUCACGCUACCCACCGACCAAACAAAAGGUUGGGUGCGGUUGGGUGUGUUGACAUGCAGUUGUAGUCGAAGGCGACACUUGAGUUACAAGCCUAGUGUUUGGCAUGCAACUGCCCCUCUCUCCCCCCGCCCUCAUACAAAAACACAUGGCCAAUUGCAAUUAGGGCGGAGGCGUGCAACUGCAUUCGAGGGUGGCACUUGUACUUGCAGCCAUUUUGGGAGACAUGAAGUUGAAGCCAUGGUGACACUUGCAGUUGUAUGCCUAGUGUUGGACAUGCAAUUUCCCACCUCUCUCGCCGCUUACUUGAAAAAAGGUCAGUUGUAGUCAAGUGUGUAGGCAUGCAAUUGCAGUCAAGGGCGACACUUGCAGUUGCAAGCCUAGUGUCGGAUAUCUAACUACCACCCCCUCUCUCAUUGUCCACCAUAAAAAAAGGUCUGUUGCGGUCGGAUGUAUGUACAUGCCGUUGCACUCGAGGGCGACACUUGCAGUUGCAAGCCUAUUGUCAGACAUGCAACUUCCCCCUUCUCCCACUGCCCUCCGACAAAAACAUAAGGCUAGUUGCUGUCGAGAGGGAGACAUUCAGUCGGGAGUGACACUUCUAGUUGUAUUGCUAGUAUUGGACAUGCACCCCCCUCUCCAAUAGCCCACUUACAAAACAAAGGUCAAUUGCAUUUGGGGUGUGUGGGCAUGCAGUUUCAAUCGAGGGCAACACUUGCAGCUGCAUGCCUAGUGUUACCCCGCCUCUCCCCACCGCCCACUAACACUUGCAGUUGCAAGCCUAGUGUCGGAGCUGCACCUGCCCCCUUCUCCCGAUAAAAAAAAGGAGGAAAUAUACGCAAAAGCCAGUCCUUCAUCAAUUGCAUGAGGAGUAAGACGUGUGUAGUUAUGCAUGGAUAAGCGAACUUGCUACAUACACUCAAUAUUUCUUUUGAGGCUAAAAAGUAAAGAAUAAAUAACAACAUAGUUACAUGCCGAUACGAUGUGUGCGGUCACAUGUGGAUGGAUGUACAUGUAGCUGAUAGUAUGAUUUGAGAAAUGACAAAAACAAAUGUGAACAAUUAAGAAUUAAUAAAAUAUAAAAUAAAAAUGAAAAAGCACACAAACAUACUUCAAAGAAAGAAUUAUGAGAGAAAAGAGAACAAGAAAAGAAUGAGAAGAAUGAAAUAUGUAAUAAUUUCAAAAGAAGCAACAAAAAAAUUUAGAAAGGAAAACUAUCCUUGAAAUCCAAAAUGAAUUGGCUCAAGCCAUUUUGAAAAAUAUUAUAAACAAUGUUGCGAUCGGAAAAAGGAAAUGCAACACAAAUUUGCACCAAUCUUGGCGCAUAAAGAUUGAACGGUUUUUCGUAUAACCAAAUCGUAUAUGAGCAAACCUUGACAUACAACAUGGUGGAAAAUAAAAAAACGUGGAGCAAAAUUAAGAGUGUGCAUUGAUCAUGACAUGCUAAAAGAUAUAGGGGAAGACACUGAGCGUGGAGGACACACAUGCUGGUCUAGUAGAGAAAAUGAGUAAAAACAAGACAACACACAACACCGCUCCCGCAUCCGUCCAUGGACAGGGGGACCAGUCCACGGACACGAAUGCGGGAGGCGGCCAUCCAACACUGCCAGUAUACAUUUCAACAACUUUUUAAAUCAGUCGAACGAAAUUUUUGCAAACAUGAUGUAUUUCAUUCAAGUUCGGUUAUAAUUUACAUGAAAAGAUCAAUAUUUCAAUUGUUUAACAAAACAACUAGGAAAAAACCCUAAACCCUAUACCGAACAACCACCAUGUAUGUGUGGCCGCCCUGCACUGCCGCACCGCCGUCGCUGUCCGUGCCACCGAUGUCAUUGUCGUUGUCGUCCCUCUAGCGGCGAAGCAGCGCAGGACGACCGUGACAGUCUUGUCCAACGGUUGCCUGCCGCUCGCGGAGGAGCCGCUCCGCCUCUUGUUGCGCGGUGCAGAGAGCCGCCGUGGACACUGUCUUGAUCGGCGUUGGCAGAGUAGUGGCUAAGAUACCACUCCUCACUGUCAAGGCGGCGGCGGCGCCUGGCGACCGUCUCUAUGGUGGUGAUGGAGCUGUCGUGCGUCCAUGCGGCAGAAAGGUCAGGGUCAUUGCCGGAACAUUCUGGCGCCACGUCCGACUUGGCGAACGCGGAGCGGUGACCGACAUUGCACAGGUCGUAUCUCGCGCCCUGCCUCGCUGCGAGCUCCGCCUCGGAAAUAGUUGGUUCGUCGGUCGUUUUGCCCCGUUUUACAAAUUCACUAACUUUUUUUGAUAUUUUGUAAACAAUUGUAUUGAGCCAGCAAACAUCUUUCGAAAUUUGGGAACAAUAUUUGAAAUUUAGGUACAUUUUUUUGUUUCUGACGAAUAUUUUUUUGAGUUCAUGAAUACUUUUUAAAUCAGCAAACAUUUCUAAAUCUUUUGCACAUUAUUUGAAACUCGGGAAUAAUUAUCAAAAUUCCUUCAUUUUUUUAAUAUUGUGAUAUUUUUCUAAAUUUCUAAAAAACUCAAAGAUUCAUGAACAGUUUAUGAAAUCAUGAAUUUUUUUUGAAAUAUUAAAAAUUUAAUAAAUUCACUACCAUUUUUUACCAAUUCGUGAACAUUUAUUUCAAAUGCGUUGUUUUUUUUGAAAAUUUGAACACUUCCAAAAAAUCCUCAACUUUUUAAGAAAAUUCAUGAACAUUUUUUUAAUACACGAACAUGUUUUGGAAAUCACAAACCUUUUCUGAAUCUGUGAGCAUCUCUCAUUUCCUGAACAUUUUUUUAAUCAUGAAUUUCUUUGAAUUUACAAACAAUUUUUACAGUAUGUAACUUUUUGGAAAUCGGGAAUUAGUUUUUGAAUGGAAAAUACUGAUAACAGAAAGAAGAACAAACAAAGGGACAACCCACCGCCACAUGGGUCGGCCGAUGAGGGUUUGUUGUGGAGACGGGUGGGGUAUAAGCGCGGGCGUGGGGAGCUCCAAUUGCGUGCAUCAAAAAAAAGGAAAAGAAAGGUAAAAGAAAGAAAAAGUGGAAAGUUACCAGAUCAUGCUGGUGGCGGGUUGGUUACGCUACGGUACAUGAUUAAGGUGGUUGCUCAACAUGGCAAUGAGUACCCGCGAACCCGACGGGUAAAAACUCUAUUGGGUAAGGGUUUGAGAAAGUUAAAUACCCAUGGGUUUUUAAAUGUGAUAAAAAUUUAACCUUCGGGUAAGCCGGGUAUGGGAACAGGGAGGCAAUACCCAUACCCGUGUACCCGCCUACCCAUCGCAUAUUAGUACAUCUUAUAGGUAGGUCCCCUAUGUCAUUCACUAAGAAAAGGAAAACCCUAGCCUAACCCAGCCGCAGCUUGCACACAAAAUGCCCUCCCCUCACCCACCCAUCGCUUCCUCACACUCAUAGAAUGCAAACACCGUAUCUCCAUCUCACCUCGGCUGAAAUGCUAAAUAAACAUGCUGAAAUGUUGUGUUUCAUCUACUGAAAUGCUGAAAUUAUACAUUGUACAAUUUGAAUUGAAAGGUGACCGAGAUGGGUAUUACCCGCACCCGGUCGAGAUUGGCAAUUUGAAUUGAAAGGUGACCUAGAUGGUUGUGAAAAAAGUUGAUCAUGUAUUUAAAAUAUGUUAAAGAACUAUUUGAAAAAUGUUAAUCAAGCUUUAGAAAAAUGUUGAAUGUGUAUAGGGAUAAUGUUGACCAUCUAUUAAACAAAUGAAAAAAUAUUUUAAUCAUGUGUAUGAAAAUAUGAAUCAAGCAUUUAAAAAAAUGUUGAACAAGUAUUUCAAAAAUGUUAAUCAAGCCUUCGGAAAAUGUUAAAUGUGUAGAAAAAAUGUUUACCAUGCAUUCAAAUAAAUGCUAAUCUUGCAUUUGGAAAAUGUUGGUAAAGCAUUUGAAAAAUGUUAAUUAUUCAUUCAAAAAUAUUUGACCAUGUAUAAGAAAAAUGUUGACCAUGUAUUAGGAAAAUAAUAACCAUGUAUUUGAAAAAAAUGUUAAUCAAUCAUUUGAAAAAAAUUAAAGUGUGUAUAGGAAGAAAUGUUGAUCAUGGACACCAAAAAUGUUAAUCUUAUAUUUAACAUAUGUUAACCAAGCGUGGUGGUGAUGGUGGUGCUGGAGUCGGAAUACAGGCAGGGCUGCGCUAAGCGAAAAAACCAUGGACGAGAACUAUGCCGGGAGGGAGAGACGGGGCAGCAGCUAAGGCCAAUGUAUUGGGUACCUUUGCUGCGCCCCCUCCCCCAUAUUUAUAUGCAUGUGGGGGGAGGCUUGGAGUCCAGCCCUACUCCUAAUAGGAGUUGGGGCCAAAGGGGUAGAGGACUUGGACUCCAAGUCCAAUUCUAUUCCUACUAGUAGUCCCCCUUUUCCCUUCCCUAGCCAUAUGGGCUUUUGAGAACUUGGUGCGCCUAGCCCAAUAAAGCCAGGGCUCCUCCCCUUAGCCCAUGCCAGCCCUUGGGACUUGGUGAACCCACUUGUGGACUUCCGGACCCCUCCGGAACCUUCUGCAAGCUUCCCGAUACAAUACUGAAAAAACUGCAUCAUUUUUCUAGAACCCAAAAAUAUGAAUUCUCAUAUAUAAAUCUUUACCCCUCAACCAUUUCUGGGACUCCUCGUGACGUCUGAGAUCUCAUCCGGGACUCUGAACAACAUUUGGUUACCAACAUACAUAUCCCAAUAUUACUCUAGCGUCACUAAACGUUAAGCGUGCGGACCCUACGGGUUCGAGAAUGAUGUAGACAUAACCGAGACACUUCUCCAGUCAAUAACUAAUAGCGGAACCUGGAUGCCCAUAUUGGUUCCUACAUAUUCUAUGAUGAUCUAUAUCACCUUUAUGACAAUGAUACGUCUCCAACGUAUCUAUACUUUUUAUUGUUCCAUGCUAUUAUAUUAUUUGUUUUGCAUGUUUUAUAUGCAUUAAUAUGCUAUUUUCUAUUAUUUUUGGGACUAACCUAUUAACCUAGAGCCCAGUACCAGUUUCUGUUUUCCUUGUUUUUGAGCCUCGAAGAAAAGGAAUACCAAACUGAGUCCAAACGAAAUAAAACCUUCUCAAUGAUAUUUCUUGUACCAGAAGACACCUGUUGGAUCUGGACUCCUAGUCAGAAGACCUUGGCGUAGACGACAAGCCAUUGGGGCGCGCCCUACGGCGGUGGGCGCGCCCCUACCUUAUGGCCUACUCCAACACCCCCUGACCUAAUUCUUCGUCCUAUAUAUUCACAAAUAUUCCCAAGCCACUAGAGACAUCAACAAAACACAUUUCCACUACCGCAACCUUCUGUUCCCAUAAGAUCUCAUCUAGGGGCCUUUUCCGGCAUCCUGCCGGAGGGGGAUUGGAUCACGCAGGGCUUCUACAUCAACUCUAUUGCCCUUCCGAUGAAGCGUGGGUAGUUUACCACAGACCUAUGGGUCCAUCGCUAGUAGCUAGAUGGCUUCUUCUCACUCUCUUUGAUUCUCAAUACCAUGUUCUCCUUGAUGUUCUUGGAGAUCUAUACGAUGUAAUCUUCUUUUGCGGUAUGUUUGUCGAGAUCCGAUGAAUUGUGGAUUUAUGAUCAGCUUAUCUACAAAUAUUAUUUGAAUCUUCUUUGAAUUCUUAUAUGCAUGAUUUGAUAUCUUUAUAAUUUUCUUCAAACUAUUGGUUUAGUUUGGCCAACUAGAUUGGGUUUCUUGCAAUGGGAGAAGUGCUUAGCUUUGGGUUCAAUCUUGAGGUGUCCUUUGCCAGUGACAGUAGGCGCAUCAAGGCACAUAUUGUAUUGUUGCCAUCGAGGAUAAAAAUAUGGGGUUUACAUCAUAUUGCUUGAGUUUAUUCCUCUACACCAUUUCAUCUUACUUAAUGUGUUACUUUGUUCUUUAUGAACUUAAUACUCUAGAUGCAGGCAGGAGUCAGUCGAUGUGUGGGGUAAUAUGUAGUAGAUGCAGGCAGGAGUCGGUCUACUUGGCACGGACAUGAUGCCUAUAUUUCACAAUCAUUGCCCUGGAUAUCGUCAUAACUUUGCGCUUUUCUAUCAAUUGCUCGACAGUAAUUUGUUCACCCACCGUAUUAUUUGCCUUCAUGAGAGAAGCCUAUAGUGAAACAUAUGGCCCCUGGGUCAAAUUUCCAUCAUAUUAGUUUCUGAUCUACUAUUUUGCAAUCUUUUACUUUUGCAACCAAAAAACCCAAAAAUAUUUUAUCUGUUGUUUAUCUAUCUCUAUCAGAUAUCACUUUUGCAAGUGACCGUGAAGGGAUUGACAACCCCUUUAUCGUGUUGGGUGCAAGUUGUUUGAUUGUUUGUGCAGGUAUUGGUGGCUUGUGCGUUGUCUCCUACUAGAUUGAUACAUUGGUUCUAUAAUUGAGGGAAAUACUUAUGUCUACAUCGCUGCAUCACCCUUUCCUCUUAAGGGGAAAAACCAAUGCAAGCUCAAGAAGUAGCAGGAAGAAUUUCUGGCGCCGUUGCCGGGGAGAUCUAUGCCAAGUCAAGACAUACCAAGUACCCAUCAUAAAACUCUCAUCUCUUGCAUUACAUUAUUCGCCAUUUGCCUCUCGUUUUCCUCUCCCCCACUUCUAAAACAAAUUUCGAAAAGAUUUGCCUUUUUAUUCGCCUUCUUUCCGUAUGACUUUUUGCUCGUUUGCUAUCUUUGCUUGUGUUCCCGUGUGCCUUCUAUUUGAUUGAAUCUUUGCUUGCUAAAAAUCUUUCGAUAUGGAACAACUUAAAGUUUUCUACUUGGAUCAUCUUCGAUCCAUAUGUGCUCGUGCUCAAACCCCAACUAGUUUAGUUGAGGGAAAAUCUUUAGAUGAGCAUGCGCAUUUUGUGCGUCAGCGUAUGUCAGAAAAGGGAGACUCUUAUGGAAUCAAAUAAAUUAUUUGCUAUGUUAUGCUUCGAAUCUUUGUGAACUUUGUGAUUUUACUUGUUGCUCUAAGAACCCUAAAAACACCUUCCGUACCUAUCUGAGUUUAAUGAUAAUGAAAUCUUAUCUUCUUAUGAAAAGGGUGUUUACAGUUAUUAUGAUAUCGAACAAAUUAAAGAAUUUGUUGCUUUUAAGGGUGCUUAUGAAGUUGCUUCUUUCUUUGAAAAGUAUGAUAUUACUCUCUACAAAUCUGAAAAUUUUGACAUACUUCAAUAUUGCUAUCAGUACUAUGCUCAUAAUGUCUAUGUUAAGGAAUUUACUGAGAGAAUGACUGUUUCUUUCGAAGAAAAUAAUGAUAUGCAUGAAUCUAUUGAUCAUUAUAAUUCCGAUGAUUUGAUUGAAAUAUCCUUUGAUGAACAUGAUGCUUGCUAUUCUUAUGGACAAGAUGAAAAUAUUAAUUAUUCUUAUGGACAUGAACUUGUUGUAGUUCCUUAUGUUAAACAUGAAAUUAUUUUUAUUGCAACCACACUUGAUAGUUCCUUCGAUGAGAAGCAUGAUUGUAAUGAUGUUAUCCCAAAUUCUAUUAAGGUCAAUUGUGUUAAUGAUAUGCAAAACCCCAAGCUUGGAGAUGCUAGUUUUGUUAUGUCCACUACUUGUUGCAAUGAUCAUGAUUGGGGUGAUUCUUCUUAUGAUCUUGAAAAUUUAUUUAAACCUCAUGAUGAAUAUGUUUGCUAUACUAUUGAAAGUAGGUUUGGAAGAGUGUCAACUUUAGAUCCCACAUAUUUGGGUAAUUUUCAAUCUUAUGAAGUUUUUGAUAAAAGUGGGUUUGGAGAGGUCAUGACUUUAGUUAAUGUUAAUCCCACUAUUUUGGAAAAGUGUCAACUUCACAUGCAUGCGGAUCUUGUUGAGAAUAUGUUAUAUGAUAGCUAUAUUGUUGAAUUUGAAUAUGAUCCCACAUGCAAUUAUUAUGAAAGAGGACAAUAUGGUUGUAGAAAUUUUCAUGUUACUAAAUCACCUCUCUUCAUGUUGAGAUUGUCUAUGUUUUAUUUUUCUUCCUUGCAUAUGCUAGUUUUUGCUUUCCUUGAUAAUUUGUUUGCUUAUAAAAUGCCUAUGCAUAGGAAAUAUAUUAGACUUAGAUGUGUUUGGCAUGUGUUCUAUGAUGCUCUCUUUGCGCAUCAAUUCUUCUCUUUUAUGUGAGCAUCAUUGAAAUUAUCAAUGCGUAGCUAAAGGCUUUAAAGAAAAGCGCUUGUUGGGAGACAACCCAAUAUUUUUCCUUCCUGUUUUUCAAUAAAUAAUUCAUCUAGCCUCUGGUUAGAUGUGUUUUUGUGUUUUAGUUAGUGUUUGUGCCAAGUAAGACCUUUGGGAUGGCUUACGGUGAUAAUUGAAUUGAUCUUGCUAAAACCAAGAAACUUUUGUGCCCAGGAAAAUAAUUUUCAUUUUUACAGAAGAGUGCUUUUGAUCUCAUUAUUUUUGCACAAGAUUGGUACACAAAUUUCCCAGUGUGUCCUAAUAUUUCAGAAUUUUUGGAGUUACAGAAGUAUUCGAAGUUUCCAGAUUGCCACAGAUUGUUCUGUUUUUGACAGAUUCUGUUUUCUAUGUGUUGUUUGCUUAUUUUGAUGAAUCUAUGGGUAGUAUCGGGGGGUAUGAACCAUGGAAAAGUUGGAAUACAGUAGAUAUUACACAAAUAUAAAUAAAGAAUGAGUUCACAACAGUACCAAAAGUGGUGAUUUAUUUUCUUAUACUAACGGAUCUUAUAUGAUUUUUUGUUGAGUUUUGUGUUUUGAAGUCUUCAAGUUUUGGGUAAGGAUUUGAUGGACUAUGGAAUAAGGAGUGGCAAGAGCCUAAGCUUGGGGAUUCCCAAGGCACCCCAAGGUAAUAUUCAAGGAAAACCAAGAGCCUAAGCUUCUGGAUGCCCCCGAAGGCAUCCCCUCUUUCGUCUUCGUCUAUCGGUAACUUUACUUGAAGCUAUAUUUUUAUUCACCACAUGAUAUGUGUUUUGCUUGGAGCGUCUUGUAUAAUAUGAGUCUUUACUUUUUAGUUUUCCAUAAUCAUCCUUUCUGUACACACCUUUUGAGAGGGACUCGCAUGAAUCAUAAUUUAUUAGAAUACUCUAUGUGGUUCACUUAUAUCUUUUGAGCUAGGAAAUUUUGCUCUAGUUCUUCACUUAUAUCUUUUUAGAGCACGGCGGUGGCCUUAUUUUGUAGAAAAUGUUGAACUCUCAUGCUUCACUUAUACUAUUUUGAGAGUUUCUCUAAGCAGCAUGGUAAUUUGAUUUGGUUAUAAAUUUAGUCCUACUAGUGGAGUAUUAUGAGAAGUUUGAUACUAUGAGAAGUUUGAUUCCUUAUGAUUGUUUAUGAUUGUUUUGAGAUAUGAGGAUGAUGAUAAAGUGCAUUGAAUACUAUGAGAAGUUUGAUUCCUUAUGAUUGUUUUGAGAUAUGAGGAUGAUGAUAUUAGAGUCAUGCUAGUGGAGUAAUUGUGUGUUGUAGAAAUACUUGUGUUGAGGUUUGUGAUUCCUGUAGCAUGCACGUAUGGUGAACCCUUAUGUAACGAAGUUGGAGCAUGAUUUAUUUAUUUAUUGUCUUCCUUAUGCGUGGUGGUCGAGGACAAGCGAUGGUAUUUUCCUACCAAUCUAUCCCUCUAGGAGCAUGUGCUUAGUACUUUUUUCGAUGACUAAUAGAUUUUUGCAAUAAGUAUGUGAGUUCUUUAUGACUUGUGACACCCACGAUUCAAUCGUAGACUAAUCAUACAUGCAAAUGUGUACAAUGAACAUCAGGGACUCACGGGAAGAUAUCACAACACAACUCUAGGCACAAAUAAAAAUUAAUACAAGCUUCAUAUUACAAGCCAGGGGCCUCGAGGGCUCGAAUACAAGCUCGAUACACAAGAGUCAACGGAAGCAACAAUAUCUGAGUACAGACAUAAGUUAAACAAGGAUGCCUUAAGAAGGAUAGCACAAAAGAAAUAUGAUCGAAGAGGCAAGGCCUCCUGCCUGGGACCUCCUAACUACUCCUAGUCGUCGUCGGUCUCAACGUAGUAGUAUCCGUCGACGGUGGCAUCUGGCUCCCAGGAUCCACUAUCUGGUUGCAACAACCGGAAAGGAGAAAUAAGGUGGGAAAGGGGUAGCAAAGCAAUUGUGAGUACUCAUCCAAAGUACUCGCAAGCAUCAGAUCUGUACUAAGUAUGCAUUGGUAUCAAAUGGAAGGUUGUAUAUGUCGACUGGACUACAACAUGCCAGAAUAGAGGGGGAAGGCCUAGCCUAUCAAAGACUAGCAUCUUCAAGCAGCUCCAAGCAACUUGCAGCAUGUAGAAGAGUAAAGAAUAGCAUUUUAAUAUUAAACAAACAUGUUGUAGAACCAACACCCAGAUAUCCUUCCUCGACUCCAUGCGAGGAAGCAAUCCCGGAGCCACAUAUCCAUCACAUAUCUCAAGUGUCCAUAUAUAGUUAUAUAAGAUCAGGAUACAAGUUUGAACGUCCAUUACCACGGACACGGUAUUCGAAUAUAUAUCUUCCCUGCAGGGGUGCACCACGUUACCCAACACGCUGGAUAACUCUGGCCGGACACACUUUACUGGUUUAAUGCCCGGCCUCGGAAGAUCAACACGUCGCAGCCCUACCUAGGCUUAGCAGAGAGGUCCCCGUCGGUCUACAUCCUAAGCACUCCGGGGUCUUGGGCCCAUCGCCUGCAGCACUCUGGGUCGUUUUGUGCAGGGUGGAUACCAGCACCUCCUCGGAUGGCCAACACGAUUCGACCAUGCCACAAUGUUGAACUGGACGUCUAACAAAGCUUCGGCUGGUACUGUGACGUCGUGGCCCAUAACUAUACUCGCAUGGUGGUUAGUGCGUAAAUGCCAGAGGCCAACACAGAACAAAUCCCCGAACCUGUUAGUGUAUUGGGGGCUCGCGAGGACGAGCACAGACUUACAUUAAGGUGACCCCGUCGCCCCGUCUCGUGGACUUACGGCAAGGGCCCAGACUGCCUGGUUGUGCCACGUGGAAAACUCGCGGGUGUGCUCUCUGGGCCCACCCGACAUUCACAUCAACUCGCGGGUACCCCUUAGGGCCGACCCGACUUCAACAAAGGUCUCAAGUAUAGUCAAGGUAACUGUGUGUCCAUAACAUCAAGGAGGAAAACCCGAGGAAUCACCCCCCGUGGAUUCCACUCGAUGUAACCAUCAAGGUGAACGUAAGAGGAAACACCCUCGAGGUUCACACUUGAGGGUUGCUCGACGGAGUAUUAUCGGGAGUGGUCUAGCACUACAAGAAAUAUGUCAACUUGUGACCACCACUAUUGGUCACUGAAAGGUCAUGGUUUGUCAUUUACGACCUUUUUGUGACCAAAAACAGAAGGUCAAAAGCUGGCGGUCGUAAACUAACUAUAGCGACCUUUCUUCUGGAAUGGUCGAAGACGUUUAUGACCAAAAUAUGUCCACUGUGGCGUUUUGGUCACUAGCAACCUCCCUAGGCCACUUAGGCAUCCAGCGUGGCAAGCUGAUGUGGCACAAGAUUCAGCCCGGUCCAAUUUGGUUUUCUACAUGGGCCUAGCCCACCAAUUCGGCCUUUCUAUAUUUUUUUCCUGUGCUUUUAUUAGCUACAUGGGCCUGGCCCAAGAAUUCAGCCUUUUUAUUUUCUAGGCCAUGGCCUUUUUUAUUUUAUUUUUUUCCAAAAUAUGAGCCCACUAGUGAGGUGGGACCCAGUUGUCAGGUUCUAACAAGUGGGUCCCAGGUGUCGCUGUUAUAUUAUUCAAAUCUCAAUUUUCCAGUAGAUAAAUAACAAUAUUUAAAUCCGAACAGAGAGAAAACAAAAUGCUUCAAACAGAGCACGACUAAUCAGGAAAAAUAUGGUACACAUCACGAAUACAAUCAGAAAGAGCCAAACUUGGCACAUUAUUACAAUCAAACUUGUUCAUCCUGGUAACACAGCAAGGAUGGUUCAUCCUAGUAACACAUUAUUACAGCAAAAUAUGGUUCACAUCAAGUUUACAAUAAACAAAAAUGUUCACAACAGGUAACACAAGUAUCACAGUAUAACUUGCUCCAAUGCUUCUCCCAACUUGUUCAUCCUGGACCUCACAACAAAACAUGAAUGAAGGCCAGCAUCUGCAAGUUAUCAAGAAAAAUGCUUAGAACAAGCAAAAUGCGACAUUUUUACCAUUUAAGCAUAGAAGAACAGGGUCAACAACAUUUCGAUCUUUGAAAAUGAACCAAGAUUUCAAUCUUUGAACAGCAAAAAAUUGAUACAGUAGAUCAUCUGCGGUUCAAAACAACCCCUAAGAAGAGACAUGUUGACACAUUCAUUUGGCAACAUCUGUAGAAAUUGAACCUCGUAAACAUGCAAUGUGAAAUUUGUAUCUCAAAGAAGUAUACAUACUUAUCAGAUUUUGAUGACAUUAACAUGCAGUACAAGCAAAGAUGGCAUGAUUGAACCUUGCAUAGUAAAAACUUGCAAGUAAAUAAGAACAACAAUGCUAAGAAGAUAAAACAUGCACAUUUCAGCCUGCAAUUGUGAAAAGGUCGAAUGGAUCCAAAUUAACAUACAAUUCAGAAAACAAUCAAUCUAUCUAUUAUAUACUUAAAACAAUAGAAAAGUAACGGUGGAGAUUAAGCAGUCUAAAGUUAUGGUAUUUGAAUGGCUGGGAUUAAAAGUUCCAAAAGUUUUUUAUAGGUAAAAGUUCUAAAAGUUACUUAGAACAUUAUCCUGUACAGUUCUUAGAAUCCGACACGUAACUGUCACAAAAAAACAGAAGACCGUGUACUUUAAUUAGGUGAAAAAAUAACAUGUACGUACGUCCUAUCAACAGCCAAUCGAAAUAAGUAAAAAAAAACCCUGCAAAUAUCAACAUGUGUCGUUAACACGUACUACUACAAGUUGAGUCCAACACGGAUAAGUAAGGAUUAGAUCACAUAAAGCCAAGUCCAACACGGACCAAAUAGGAACCAGAUCACGUACGUGUUAAAAAGAAACAUGCAUGUGGUGACCGUACCAAUUAGAUAAGAGUUGGAUUAGCAUUGGAUGCAACGACCUCAGGAUGAUGUCAUCGGGUAAAUAACAUGUACUGCUAAUUUGCUUCUAUUCCGAUUCACGUGGCCGGACGUCUGAUGGUGGUUGUACAUUGAGAUUAAUUCACUUCGGCAUAAAUAACUUAAUUAUUAGCAAAUUUACGUAAAAGUAUUUAAAUAAAGUUUUAGAUAAAUUAAUACAGGUAUACUUCACAACGAACACUGACAAUAAUUAGUAAAUAUAUUUAUAUUUCGUAGUACAUGAAACUCAGUGUAAAAUUAUGUGAAAUAAAAAAUUAGAAAGUUGAAUUGAUUGGAAGAAAAAAUAAUUUUGCAUUAAUAAUAGUAAAGUAAAAAAAGGUUUCAUAGGAAUAAAAUUCCACAAAUAGCUUAAUUUAUUACAAUGUUUUAAAUCAAAUAAAGAGUUAAUAUUGCAUAAAAAACUAAUCAUGUUUUAGAUUAUAUAUUAUCACAUAAAAAACUAAUAGUUUAUUAAAACAAGACACAAAAAUCCAUCAUGUUAAUUCAUAUACGCUUAAAAAUACAUGUUCUGUUGAUCCAUAUAACAAAGACUGAGAUUAAAAGAUUUGAAGACUUUAAUACAAGUCCUGUUAGAGAUUAAAAAAAAACUACAUACCGAUGUAUAUAGACAUAUUUUAGAAUAUAGAUUCAUUCGUUUUGCUCCAUAUGUUGUCCAUUAUUGGAAUCUCUAAAAAGACUAAUAAUUAGGAACAGAGUGAGUACAAUGAUAUUGAAGUGUAUACACGUGUUUCAUUGGAAACGUACAACACAUGUAUACAUUUUUUUUUCUAAACACAGUAGCAUACACAGGUUUAUUGGAACGGAUUUGCUAAUAGAAAAGUAAAAACCAUUAUGCUACUCGGAAGGGAGAUACCAUGUCUACGUAUGUGGAUUGAAAUUGGUGUCCGGCAAUAAUUUAGAACUAAUACAUCGUCCAGAAAAAGAAUUACAACUAAUACGGUCACAGACAAGAAUUACAGCUAACUAAUAUAGUUGCAUGAACCUACCAAGAAGUAUAUGCAUGCUCAACUUGACAUGACCUUAACUGAUUCAAAUAAUAUUUUUUAACAUUGUAACAUUACGCAACAAAAACAAACGUCUCAUAGUCGCUAGAGACAAUUUGGAAAGAAAAUAUUGGAAACUGACAUUAGCGUGUAAAAGAAGGGCAAAUUAAAAAAACACUAAUACCUCAAGACGUCCAAACAACGCUAUGGAAUCACAUGAAGCGAUGUGGGGUGGAAAUCACGUUGCGUAAACCUCCGGGCAAGGGAAAUUUCACGGAAUACAAUACAAUUCCAAAAAAACAGACAAGGAAACGAACACACAUGAUGAAGACAUGGAGUGAUUUGGGGCCGAAAUCACGUCGCGCAAAUGUGGUGCCAAGGGAAUGUUGAAUACAAUUUCGGAAAAGAUACAAAGGAAUCAGGACAUCGACACACAUAAAAAUGGAUAAGGACAAAAAUAUUCACUUUCUACAUUACGGAUUUGUAACAUGUACAUUAACCAAGUACCAGGAAGCAAUGCAAUUUUGUAGUAAGCAUCGGGAAAUAAUGUUAUGGCAACAAUGAAUAGUGUUAUGCAUGCAAAAGACCUACAACCGUGGACACAUUUUUAAGUCGAUGCGAAAUAACCUGAGUGCGACAAGGAUUAGCUAUAGAGAGACCGAGUGAGUAAGUGAGAGGUGAUGUUUUACGUAUAUUCAUAUUAAUGGAAACCGGUAUCUAUAUUCACUACUAGAAAAAGGGUCAAAUGUGAGACACAUUAGUCCCGGUUUGUAAUAGAACCGGCACUAAUGUGUCCAUUAGUGCUGGUUCCAACGGCUAGGUGGGAGGAGCUCUUUAGUACCGGUUCGUGGCGAACCUUUAGCACCGGUUCGUGCCACGAACCGGUACUAAAGAAAGUGGUGGCAGGAUGUUGUCAGAGUGGGGCCCUUCCAGCACCUUUAGUACCGGUUCGUGGUACGAACCGGUACUAAGGUCGUCCUAUAUAAACCCUUCGUCCACCCGCACUCUGUUCUUCCCCCUUUCCCCUCUCCCUCUCCUCUGUUCUUCCCUUCUUCCUCUCGAGUUCAUCACAAAAUUUGCCCCAAAUUUGUCAAGAUUUGCAGGCCCUCAUCCAUUCAAAUGAUCACCAAGGUUAGCAACUUUGUCCUUUCAUCUCUCAUUGCUAGAUUAGCUCUUGCAUUGGUUUAUAUAGUGAUUAAUUGUGGGUUUUAGUAAUUUGGGAGGAAUUAUAUGUGGUAGUAUUUGAUUUAUAUGCAAUUUGAGGUCAAAAUAACACUUAGGUUGCAUAUGUAGGUGUGGUUUACUUAGUGCCUUCUAAAUCUCCGUCGUAACCACCGUCGAUCGCCCGCACCGUCCCGUCGCCGGCACCACCUUGUGGUGAGCCUCUUGUUCAUGAAAUUUUAUAUAAAAAAUUGAUGUUUGUGUGAUUUGGAUAUAUAGUUACUCGUAUAAUAAUUAUCUUACCCGUACGUUGUUUGUUAUACAUACUGCCAUGGUUUUGAUAUCCGUCCCCGUUGGCCCUCGUCCUUGUUAUGAUUCGGAUGUGGUAUAUUCUCUUUUAAAACUAUUUGUUGCAUUUCGUGUUUAUGACAAAUUAUGCCCAUCAAGUUGACAUAGAUAUUUUUAUCUAGGAGGUAUGUGAACCGGAAAUUCCAACCGACCAUAUUGUCGAGAGGUUAAAUUUAGUUGAAAGAGAAAAUGAGUACUUGAAAGAAAAAUUGAAAAGAAUUGAGGGGGAGAGGAUGGAAUUGGAGUUGCAUGUUGCCGAUGUCGUCGAUGAUCACAAGAUCAAGAUGGAGAAAAUGCUCUUGAAGAUUAGAAAGAUUAGAAAAUAUGCCAUCGAUAGUGAGGCUUGGUAUCAUUAUGCUGUUGGAUCAAUUGUUACCUUAGUUGCGAUCUUGAUCGCAUUUGUUGUUGCAUUUAAAUGCUUUACCUAGAGAGUUAUUUGUUUGUUGCAUUUAAGUGUUGUAUGAACUUUAUGUAUGAACUUGUAUUAAUUUGGUCUAUUCGGUGUUGUGUAAUGAAGAUGAGCCGGCAAUGGAUGUACGAUGACCGAUGCUCUCCCCAGUUCGUUGAGGGCGUGCAUACUUUUCUGCUUGCGGCUGAGGCAAACAAGCGGGCGGAUGGUUUUAUGCCUUGUCCAUGUGGUGGCUGUAAGAAUGGUCGCAAUUACUCUACGUCAAGAACCAUUCACGUCCACCUGUUUAAGUCCGGUUUCAUGCCCCACUAUAAUGUUUGGACCAAGCACGGAGAAAGAGGGGUUAUGAUGGAAGACAAUGAAGAAGAAGAGGACGACAACAGCUAUCCUGGCCAUGGGUUCCCUGAAUACGAUGAUACAACAAUGGGGGAAGAAGCUGAGCCGAUAAUGCGGAAAGAAGCUGAGCCGGCAAUGCGGGAAGAAGCUGAAGAAGAGGCAUCAGAUGAGCCCGUUGAUGAUCUAGGUCGGGCCAUUGCCGAUGCAAAGAGAAGUUGCGCAAGUGAUUUGGAGAAGAAGAAGUUGCAGCACAUGUUAGAGGAUCACAAAAAAUUGUUGUACCCGAAUUGCGUAGGUGACAAGAAAAAGCUGGGCACCACACUGGAAUUGCUGCAAUGGAAGGCAGAGAAUGGUGUAUCUGACAAGGGUUUUGGAAAGUUGCUGGUAAUGAUAAAGGAUAUGCUUCGAAAGGACAACAAAUUGCUCGAGAGUACGUACGAAGCAAAGAAGGCUGUCUGCCCUCUAGGGUUAGAGGUGCAGAAGAUACAUGCAUGCCCUAAUGAUUGCAUCCUCUACCACGGUGAGUACGAGGAUUUGAACGCUUGCCCCGUAUGUGGUGCAUUGCGCUAUAAGAUCAGCCGCGAUGAGCAUGGUGAUGUCGAGGGCGAGCGCCCCAGGAAGAAGAUUCCUGCCAAGGUGAUGUGGUAUUCUCCUAUAAUACCACGGUUGAAACGUUUGUUCCAAAAAAAAGAGCAUGCCAACGCGAUGCGAUGGCACAGAGAAGACCGUAAGAAAGACGGAAAGUUGAGAGUACCCGCUGACGGGUCGCAGUGGAGAAAACUCGAAAGAAAGUACGGGAAGGAGUUUGCAGAUGACGCAAGGAGCGUAUGGUUUAGUCUAAGCGCAGAUGGCAUUAAUCCUUUUGGGGAGCAGAGCAGCAACCAUAGCACCUGGCCUGUGACUCUAUAUUUGUAUAACCUUCGUCCUUGGUUGUGCAUGAAGCGGAAGUUCAUUAUGAUGCUAGUGCUCAUCCAAGGCCCUAAGCAACCCGGCAACGACAUUGAUGUGUACCUAAGGCCAUUAGUUGAAGAACUCUUACAACUGUGAAAUGAAACAGGUGUACGUGCGUGGGAUGAGCACAUGGGGGAAUAAUUUGACCUAAAGGCGUUGUUGUUCAUGACCAUCAAUGAUUGGCCUGCUCUCAGUAACCUUUCAGGACAGACAAACAAGGGAUACCGCGGAUGCACGCACUGUUUGGAUGAUACCGACAGUAUAUAUUUGAAUAGUUGUAAGAGGAAUGUGUACCUGGGACAUCGUCGAUUUCUUCCGAGCAGGCAUCCCGUAAGAAAGAAAGGCAAGCAUUUCAAAGGUGAGGCAGAUCACCGGACGAAGCCUCACCACCAUACUGGUGCUGAUGUACAUGAUAUGGUCAAGGAUUUGAAGGUGAUAUUUGGAAAGGGUCCUGGCGGACAACCUGUUCCGAAGGACGCUGACGGACGCGCACCCAUGUGGAAGAAGAAAUCUAUAUUUUGGGACCUGCCAUAUUGGAAAGACCUAGAGGUCCGCUCCGCAAUCGACAUGAUGCACGUGACGAAGAAUCUUUGCGUGACCCUGCUUGGCUUCUUGGGCGUGUAUGGGAAGACAAAAGAUACACCUGAGGCACGGGAGGACCAGCAACAUAUGCACGGAGAAGACGACAUACAUCAGGGUCAUGGAAGCUACGCUCUUACCAAAGAAGAGAAGGAAAUCUUCUUUGAAUGCCUGCUCAGUAUUAAGGUACCGUCUGGCUUCUCAUCGAAUAUAAAGGGAAUAAUAAACAUGGCAGAGAAAAAGUUCCAGAACCUAUAGUCUCAUGACUGCCACGUGAUUAUGAUGCAACUGCUUCCGGUUGCAUUGAGGGGGCUUCUACCGGAAAACGUUCGAUUAGCCAUUGUGAAGCUAUGUGCAUUUCUCAAUGCAAUCUCUCAGAAGGUAAUCGAUCCAGAAAUCAUACCAAGGUUACAGAAUGAUUUGGUGCAAUGUCUUGUCAGUUUUGAGUUGGUGUUCCCACCAUCCUUCUUCAACAUCAUGACGCACGUCCUAGUUCACCUAUGCGAACAGAUUAACGUUUUGGGUCCUGUAUUUCUACACAAUAUGUUCCCCUUUGAGAGGUUCAUGGGAGUCUUAAGGAAAUAUGUUCAUAACCAUGCUAGGCCAGAAGGAAGCUUCUCCAAGGGCCAACAAAAUGAGGAGGUCAUUGAGUUUUGUAUUGACUUUAUUCCUGACCUUAAGCCGAUUUGUGUUCCUGAAUCGCGACAUAAGGGCAGACUGGAUGGAAAAGGAACUCUAGGAGGGGAAUAAAUAAUAUGUAUGGACAGACAUUCUCUCACUGAAGCACACUACACAGUUCUACAGAAUUCCGCCUUGGUGGCUCCAUAUAUGGAUGAACACAAGAAUUUGCUAAGCUCCAAACACCCGGAGCGAUCUGAUGACUAGAUUACACGUGAACAAACCAGGAGUUUCGCCAGCUGGUUGCAGACACGUACCAUGCAUGACACCUCUAUUGAAGAUGACCUAUACUUGCUGUCCCAGUUACCAUCUUCGAAUAUAAUGACUUUCAAAGGGUACGAGAUAAAUGGUAAUACAUUUUACACGAUCGCCCAAGAUAAGAAGAGCACCAACCAAAACAGUGGUGUCCUCUUUGAUGCAGAAACCAAGACGGGAAAGGAAACAUAUUAUGGUUAUAUACAGGACAUAUGGGAACUUGACUAUCGACGUGGUUUAAAGGUCCCUUUGUUUCGGUGCAAAUGGGUCAAUAUGACACGAGGCGGGGUAACGGAAGAUCCGCAGUACGGAAUGACAACAGUGGAUCUCAACAAUCUUGCGUAUGCAGACGAACCAUUCGUCCUAGCCAAUGAUGUGGCACAGGUUUUCUAUGUGAAGGACAUGUCUACCAAGCCAAGAAAAAGAAAAGAUAAGGAAGCGAAUGCAUCGUACGAUGAGCCAAAGCGGCACAUAGUUCUUUCUGGGAAGAGAAACAUCGUGGGACUGGAUGACAAGACAGACAAGUCAGAAGAUUAUGAAAAGUUUGAUGAAAUUGCUCCAUUCACAGUGAAUAUUGACCUGAGCAUCCCGUUAAAUGAUGAAGAUUUUCCAUGAUUACGGCGCAAAGGGACACACGCGAAGAAAAAGUUUCACACCCAAAGUUCUGGGAUGUGAUCGGCUUCACUAUCAUCACUUUCUUCUGUGUUUCACACCCAGAGGGGAAUCGCUGUAAUAGUUAGGGUAGUUAUGUGUUUUGGCAUUUGAAACGCGAAGAAAUUUUAUGUGCAAAUAAAUUCUUUCAUGCCUUUACUGAUUUUUAAAGUUAAGUUAUUCACAAACUAGUGAUUCACACUAAUUUCAAAUAAUUCAAAAUUUAAACUAUUCAAAUUUGAAAAGUACGGGCACUAACAGAAAGUUUGUAAUUUUUUGUACCUAAAGCAAAAAUAUUCACAAAGAAACUCUAAAUACACAAAAAAAAAACAACACAAAAAUAAAUAAAGCAAAAAAAAUUAAAAAAAAGCCUGCCUACUAGGCCAGAGCGGCCUACAUACGACUGGAACCCCAACCUGUUGUUGGGCCAGGAUGCAGGCCCGCAAAGGCCAAGUGGGCCCACAUGGCAGCAAAGAACACGUAGGCCCAGUAGGCCUGCUUUGGAGAGGAGCUCGAGAGAGCGACCGCAAGGGGGUUUAUAAACCAGUGCGGUCGCCCCUCGGCUAGCGAGGUGGGACUAAACUUGCCGCACCGCACCUGCGCCAGCGCACCCCCUUCAGUACCGGGUCAUGGCGAAGGGUCAAAUGUGAAGCACAAUAGUGCCGGUUGGAAUUUCAGCCGGCAGUAAUGUGUACACUAGUGCCGGUUCGUGGCGGCGAUGAAUAGCAACGCUUCGUGGCGAACCUUUAGUACCAGUUCAUGCCACGAACCGGUACUAAAGAGGCUGUGUCAGCCUCCGGUCAGGCUAUGGCCCCACCAUCACCAUUUAGUGUCGGUUCGUACCACAAACCAGUAGUAAUGAGGUUGUGUCAGGUAAGGCUGGGGCCCCACGAGCACCUUUAGUACCGGUUCAUGGAUGAACCAGACAUAAGCUGUUUUUUAGUCCCACCUCGCGAAGUGAGAGGGACUAGGAGCGGUUUAUAAGCCCUGAGUGCAGAGACGAUGAAGAAGAGGCUCAAUGCUCACGUUGCUUAGCUUCAAGCCUUCAGGAAUACGGUAGACUACACGGAGCUAUGCGCAGUGCAGUUUACACUAUUCCGAAAGGCUUGAAGCAAAUUAACGAGCAUUGCACCUCUUUUUUAUUUUAAUAACUUAUUACAACUCCGGACUUCUUCUGUUAUGGCAAAAACUAAUUGCACGUCGACAUUUCUUUUUUUAAGUUAUAACUCCAGACUUUGACCAUCAAGUUUUGCAGAAAAGGAAAAAUAGCAGAAAAGAAGAAAAACUAUAGCUGAAAAGAAAAAACUAUAUAAAAAAACUACUCAAAAAUAAAUAGAAGAAAAUAAAUAUAGCAGAAAAGAAAAAACUACUCAGAAAUAAAAAGAAGAAAAAAUAAAGCAGAAAAGAAAAAAAAUUAUAUUUGCUAUUUUUCAAUCAUUUACAAAAUGACCGUGAAAUUGAAAAUCACUACAAAAUGAACUCUGAAAUUGUUGAAUUUUGGCAAACUAGAUGAAAAACUACUCACAAAUAAAUAGAAGAAAAUAAAUAUAACAGAAAAGAAAAAACUAUACAAAAAACUACACAAAAAUAAAUAGAAGAAAAUAAAGCAGAAAAGAAAAAAACUAUAAAAAAAAUUGGGGCGCUGCCCUGUGGGCCUGAUAGGCCACAGGUGUGUAAUUACAGGCCUUAAAGGCCGAGCAGACUCACAGGGCAACGCGCAGAGUUUAGGCCCACAAGCCUGCUAUAUAGAGGAGUUCGAAGUGGUAGGCGCGGCUGGGUUUAUAAACCAGUGUGGCUGCCCUUCGCCCGGCGAGGUGGAACUAAACUUUGGGGUGGCAGCGCGAGGCCUUUAGUACCGGUUGGUGGCUCCAACCGGUACUAAAGACCACCCUUUAGUACCGGUUGGUGGCUCCAACCGGUACUAAAGGCCUCGUCUUCCCGCCUCUUCGCCUGGCCAAAGUUGGCCUUUAGUACAGGUUGGUGGCUCCAACCGGUACUAAAGGCCUCUCCUAUAUAUACAACACUUGCGAAAAUUUCAUUCUCCCUCUGUUUCUUCCUCUGUUUCCCCAUUGAAGCACCGCCCGCGCGCCCCGAUCGAUCGACGCCGUCGCCGUCGCCGCCCCCGUCCCCGUCGUUGCCCCCGUCCCCGUCGCCGCCCCCNNNNNNNNNNNNNNNNNNNNNNNNNNNNNNNNNNNNNNNNNNNNNNNNNNNNNNNNNNNNNNNNNNNNNNNNNNNNNNNNNNNNNNNNNNNNNNNNNNNNNNNNNNNNNNNNNNNNNNNNNNNNNNNNNNNNNNNNNNNNNNNNNNNNNNNNNNNNNNNNNNNNNNNNNNNNNNNNNNNNNNNNNNNNNNNNNNNNNNNNNNNNNNNNNNNNNNNNNNNNNNNNNNNNNNNNNNNNNNNNNNNNNNNNNNNNNNNNNNNNNNNNNNNNNNNNNNNNNNNNNNNNNNNNNNNNNNNNNNNNNNNNNNNNNNNNNNNNNNNNNNNNNNNNNNNNNNNNNNNNNNNNNNNNNNNNNNNNNNNNNNNNNNNNNNNNNNNNNNNNNNNNNNNNNNNNNNNNNNNNNNNNNNNNNNNNNNNNNNNNNNNNNNNNNNNNNNNNNNNNNNNNNNNNNNNNNNNNNNNNNNNNNNNNNNNNNNNNNNNNNNNNNNNNNNNNNNNNNNNNNNNNNNNNNNNNNNNNNNNNNNNNNNNNNNNNNNNNNNNNNNNNNNNNNNNNNNNNNNNNNNNNNNNNNNNNNNNNNNNNNNNNNNNNNNNNNNNNNNNNNNNNNNNNNNNNNNNNNNNNNNNNNNNNNNNNNNNNNNNNNNNNNNNNNNNAUUAGUUUAGAUUAUUUAGAUUAUUAUUUUUUCACUAUUAUAUAUGUAUGAAUGCAUGUUAGAUGGAUAUAAUUAGUGUUUAAUUAGUAUGGAAUUUUUUUAUAUAAUGUUGUUUUUCAGUUUUUUAAUGGAUGUAUAGAAGUUGUGUUUUCUAUUUUUAGUGUUAGAUGCUUAAUUAGUAUGAAAUAGUAUAUAGAUUUUUGACAUAUGCAAUGAUAGCAUAAUUAGUGUUAUAUAGAAAUGUUAGAAAUUUUAGUUAUCAAAAUCCAAUCAUUAAAAAAAUGUUACUUUUUGCGGGCAUAUAGCUAGUAUUUGUUCUCAACGAUGCCCGGCCCGCAUCCUCGCCGUCGACCCGUCCGCGACGACGUCCGGCUGACCCAUGUCUGGGACUGGGCUCCGCCGGGCUGGCACUGGGAGGUGCUGCCUGGAGGGGCGCGCCGCUUGAUGAGGAACCCGGCCCCGGGUCCCGUCGUCGACCCUGAUCUCGUUUGGUGGCGUUCACGUGGGCCAGAUUCGGUGCGGAGGGCCCCGGCCCCGCCGGAGGUGGUACGUCACCGUGUCAGGGAGGAGGACGAGCACGUCCAUCGCUACAUGGUUGCAUUAGAAGGCGGCAGGUUCUCCAAUACCUGGUAGUUUCUUCAGGGAUCUCACUUUAGCUAUGAUCCUGUGAGGGUUCCUUCUCUUUGGGUGUCCACCGCCCGCGCCGCAGGAACCGCGAGUGUCCUAGAUUCUUCUGUAGUAUUUGAUCUUUAAUUAGCUACCUAGCCAGUGAUGUACUAUUCAAUAUUAUAUAUUAUUCGAGACGAUGUAUUCGAGAUUAUAUCUAUUAUUCUAGACGAUGUAUUCGAGAUUAUAUCUAUUAUUCGAGACGAUGUAAUUUGAAUACUAAAUUGUUUUAUAUUUCUUUUGGAUUAGUUAAAUAAAAGCUAUGGCAGACAAUACCGACAGAGAGGGAGAACAGACCAUGUUCGAUAUGAUACGCGGGCCAGAUGAUGAUCAGAAUGAAGAAGAAGAUUAUGACGGCUCCGAAUCUCUAAACAACACCGAAGAGGGUGAUAUGAUAUUCGAUCGCGAUGACCGAAUUGAUGAAGUCCUGAACUACGAUUAUGACGAUGACAAAGAACAUGUUGAUCCUGAAACAACAAAGACCGGCGAGGUAUAUUUAUAUAAGCAGGCAUCUGGUGAUCAUCACAUGUUUUAAAUGACUUGAAGAUAUAUUAACGAAUUGAUCUUUGUUCUUUCAGCCAUCCGGAUCGAGCAAAUCUUCAGGCAAAAGGACGAAACGAGGCCCGAACAAAAAGUUGAAGGAGGGCAUAAAGUACAAUAUCGAGGUAGCCAGACCUAAUGGCGAACCAUUAGCACCUAAGAAGAUUGCGGACAAGUUCGUUCGUCAGUGCGGAGUUCUUGUGAAGGACAAACUCCCGAUCAAACUUCAAGAAUGGAGAGAGCCAGCAAAGCCACGUCCAAAUGUUACUUUCGUCGAUAAGAAUCAAAAAGAUCUGCUUUGGGAUACUCUCAUGGAACAUUUCACCCUACCAGAUCAUUUCACAAAAGCAGAUGUGCAUAAAGUCAAGGACGCUGCUCUUAGGAAGAUGGCGGUUGCAUUCAAGAACCACAAGAAUCGUGAAUGGGACAAGUACGUCAAGGGAGGAAGGAAGACUCCAGUAUUCGAGGGAACACUAGAGAACCAACGUGCUCAUUGGGACGAUUUCGCGAAAUUCAAGGAUUCGGAAUUAGCUAAGGAACGGUCGAGAAUAAACAAGAAGAAUGCCGAAAAAAAUGAUAAGUUCCAUAAGCUGGGGCCAGGUGGCUAUGCGGUGGCAAUGCCUAAGUGGGAUAAGUCUGAGAAAGAGAUGGAGGAUGCAGGUGUCACUCUGGUUACUAAGAGCUGGCCCCCCAGGUGCAGGACUUGGUUCUAUGCGCAUGGGGGGAGUUGGACCCGAAGACAGGCAAUGUUUCGACGAAGGCAAGUCUGAAGGGAGCCGACGAUGCGAUACUUGUUGCAAUAGAAGAGGCACGAUCGGGGGUGUUCCAGCCCAACAGAGAGAACGACGAGCUUACACGUGCCCUGGGAAAUCCUGAUCACCCGGGAAGAACACGAGUCAAGGGCGCUAUUCCGUGCUAUGAGGGGUUUUCAGACUGGAACACCGACUACAGAACCCGUGCGAGAAAGAAGAUUGCGGAGGAGAAGAAGAGGAAGAUGGAGGAGGAGCAGAGGAAGCGGGACUAUGAACGCCUUCAAGGCCUAGAAGCAAGUCAAGCGGAAUUGGCAGUCAAAUUCCAGCGGCAGCAUGAGCAGAUCGACUCACUUACCCAGCAAAGGGGGUCUCAGCAGCUGCAGCAGCUAGCGGAUGAUCCAACAUUGGAUAGCACCGCCCCAUCCAUGCCGAGAAGCAGCAUGGGUUCCGCCCCGGAUAACGCAAUGCUGGGUAGAUACCCCGUGGAUGACAUCACGGAGAACACUAACUGCGAGCUACACGUCAAAAUAACGAACAUAUCCAUGAAGGUGGCGGACGCCGUUGCUUUUACAAAUCCCCCCGAGGCAACCUUCCAUGGCAACCCGAUUCCAGCGGGCUAUGCUCGUGUCUUGGUUGAUGAGGUGGUGGACCCACCAUAUUCGGAGCUACAGCUUGACAUUCCUGGAGGUGACGACGAGCGCUUUCUCGGAGAGUCCAAACAUCGUAUCAUCCUAUGGAAAAAGGAUUGCAUCAUAUUUCGAAGGCCACCGACACCACGUCAGCCGACUCCUCGUCGAAGUCCGUCACCGAGUCAGCAGACUCCCGCUCCUGCAAGUCCACCAAGUCCGGCAAAGUGUCAGGCCACUCCUCCUCCUCCAAGUCCACCACAGCGUCAGACGUCCACUCCUCCUCCUCCAAGUCCGGCACAACCUCAUGCCACUCCUCCAAGUCCGGCACAGCUUCAGGCCACUCCUCCUCGUCCAACUCAGCACCGUCAGCCGUCUCCGCCGCCUCAGCAAUCGCAAAAGAGACACCCCGCAGCUAUGGUGCGUAGCGGUACGAGUCGAGGUAGUACAGGAAGUACAGGCGGAGGCAAGCGAUAUAAAUAUGGUCCAAGCCUCACGCCUCUUCCGCAGAGGCCUUAUGACAAGUCCGAGGAGGAAAACGCAGUCAUAUCGAAGGCCGAGGUGGAAGCCCAUUUUGCACCGAAACCGCCACCGCCGCCAAGGGAGAAAGUGCCUGAGGAAACGAUUGACCACUUCAUUCGUAUGGCUCAACCACCAGCUCCCAAGCCUGUUGACACAGACUGUGAGCGCCACAUCAGGAAAUUAAAUCGAGCACGUCUACGUAAGGAGGCGAGCUCGGGAUCGAGCAAACAACAAGCAGCUGUCAAAAAAUGCGGGAAAACCAUUCCCCGGCUGGGAGAACAGGCGGCGCAAUCGAUCCCCUCGCUUGUUGUGCCAACAACACGUGACAAUACGCGCGCCCAAUAUUAUUGUGGGCAAACAGUUUACGUUCCCAAGGUGGGCAAUGUGGUAAUAACCAAGGACCAUAUAAUGCAGGCUGAAGUUCUCAACAUCACUGUUGGACAACUCCUCGAGAUCGAGCCCAUGCCUGUGCUUAGAGAGGAUGAAAUAAAACGGAAAUAUGUCCGGGGCCAACCUUUAGUCGAGCCAGACAAGGUCAAGAACCUCCCAACGAGAAUGUAUGAUUUGCAUCAAUGGUACAUGAACAUUACCAAGAUUUCAGAUCGAUUGUCCCUCAUGGUGAAUGUCAAGGAGGAUCAUUACUUCCAUGAGAAAGCUCUGUCCGUUGAGUAUUCUGAACUGUUUCAGUUAUACAAUCAAGACGCACUCGACAAAUCUAUCGUCAGUUGCUAUUGUCUAUAAGUGAUUUCUUUCUGUAAUUUAAGUCUCAAGCUAGCUGCAGUGAUCCUUUUGAUCAAUCAUUACCUGUAAUUAUCGUCACUAUAUUCUUUUCUGUGGUAUUAUGCAGGAUGAAGAUGUAUGAAAUGAGAAAAGGUGGACGCUUUGGCAUUGGGUUCGUUGACCCAAACACUGUUAAUGAAUACACAUGGCGGAUAAAUCCACAUCAUCAAAAGGACGUAGAGGACAACAUGCUAGAGUUCUUGAAGCGCCUCAAAUACAAUGAAGAUAUACUACUUCCUUACAACUUCUAGUGAGUCAAACUGUCUUGUACUACAAAUUCUCUGUUUUUGCCUACUAGCUAGCUACAUGUUUUUGCUUACAUAUGCCCGCUUAAUUAAGACAUGCAAACGUGUGUGCAUGCAGAUUUCACUGGGUCUUGUGUAUCAUUAAAGUUGACGACGGAACAGUUGAAAUACUGGACUCCCUACUCAAAGUGAAAACUGACUAUAACAUCUUGUUUGGGAGAGUCAACAGGUAAUUUCAAUCAUUAUUAACUAUAUAUCUCGGCCUAUUUAGUUCUUCAUUUCAUGAUAUGAACUAUUUAAUAACCCCUUUAUUCAUUUUCUUUGUCGGCGGGCAGGGCUUGGGCAAGGUUCAUCAGCGUCACGGAAGGCGAAUGGAAAAAAAGUUUCAAUAGUUUCGACCCAAGGUAAGUAAUUAAGUAGUACUAGCUAGCUAGCUAGCUGCCAUCUCUUUAAUUAUCAUGCUUGAUUAAUUAUUAUCUGAUCAAAUUCCAUUCUCGUAAAGGCCCUGAAGCAGGCGCAGGGGACUGAUCUGUGUGCAUUCUGAAUUUGCGACAACAUUCGCAUGAUGGCGUCCGAAAGGAGCAGAUCUCAAAGACAAGAAUGGGUACGCUUGUCAGAACAGUAUUCACAAUUUUUACACCAUUAUUGAUAUCUAGUCACACAAGUAAUACACAUGCAUAUGGAUCUCCUUCUUAACAGUUCAGAGAGGUGCGGGAGAAGCUCCUAGAAACGGAGCGCGUAGAAGCACUUCAAGAGGAAAUAGUGGGAUUUUUGCUCGACUAGGUCAUAAAUCCGAAGGGAGAAUACUAUUACCCGCUACCGCCCCCAUGAAAACCACUUCCAAUUGUCAUCGUGCUCCGAAGGCACCAAUUAGGCUAAUGCCACUGGCUCCGAAGGCAACAUGCAUAUGUAGGAGAAAUUGUAUAUAGCUAUACAUGUGUGUAUGUGUGAAUUAAUUAAUAUGAUGGUUUGUGAGACAUUGAUGAUAUAUAUAUGCAUNNNNNNNNNNNNNNNNNNNNNNNNNNNNNNNNNNNNNNNNNNNNNNNNNNNNNNNNNNNNNNNNNNNNNNNNNNNNNNNNNNNNNNNNNNNNNNNNNNNNNNNNNNNNNNNNNNNNNNNNNNNNNNNNNNNNNNNNNNNNNNNNNNNNNNNNNNNNNNNNNNNNNNNNNNNNNNNNNNNNNNNNNNNNNNNNNNNNNNNNNNNNNNNNNNNNNNNNNNNNNNNNNNNNNNNNNNNNNNNNNNNNNNNNNNNNNNNNNNNNNNNNNNNNNNNNNNNNNNNNNNNNUACCAGCAAACGAAAAAGAAUUAAAAUAGAAACACAAAAUUAAAUGAAAAAGAAAUCAUAAAACUAAAAAAACCCCAAAGCUUAUAGUACCGGUUGGUCUUACCAACCGGUACUAAAGGGCUCCAGGCCCCCGGAGCUGGCUCGUGCCACGUGAUUGCCCUUUAGCACCGGUUCGUGCUGAACCGGUACUAAAGGAGGGGGGGGCUUUAGUGCCCACACUUUAGUGCCGGUUACGGAAUCGGCACUAAAGGGCCUUACGAACCGGUGCUAUUGCCCGGUUCUGCAUUAGUGAUUGUCUUAGAUGGGCGAGGGAGAUAGUGUAAGAUUAUCAUGUUUUCAAGCUUCAAUAUGAGAGAUGACGAGUCAAGUGGAGAAAGAGAAAGCAAGUAUACGAACUAUAAGAGUAUAUAUUUAAUAUUAUUAAGUAAUCCGUAUUAAAUUAUAGACGGUCUCCACGAUAAUUGAUGCAAAGUUUAUAUUUAAGAACCGAUGUACAUUUAAUUAUUUGAACGACAUGGAUCAUUAGUCAUACAGAAAAAGAGGCUUAUAUUUUCUGUAGGCAAUAACCAUUGAGCGGUUACAAUUUUAAAAUUUUAACAUUUUAAAAUAUAUUUAUGAAUGAAUCUAAAUUCCAUGACACAUGCUAAAAGAUGCUUUAAACUAUUUAUUUCCAACAAAAUAAAAUUUCACAUUUAAAUACCAAAUAAAAUAAUAAUACAAUCUAGCCGUGCAAAUGCGCAGGUGACCCUGCUAGUUUAGAUUUGAUUUUCAAAAAUUGAUCGUGAUUGAUUCUUUCACAUAAAGAUAUUACUAACUUGGGCCAACAUGGAAAGUUCUUCCGCUCUCUUUUGUUGUGUGAGAGGCUCACACGAAACUAAACCGGUGGGGUGAGGGAGGGGCAAAAAAACUAGCAAAAUAAAAUGGUUGAAAAUGGUGGGACGAAAAUAAAUCGUGGAUACUAUUCUACCAACUCGGACAUUAGAAAUAGAGAUAUUGAUGUCACUGGCAUGUUGUCAGUCAAGCUAGCGUAUCACAUUACAUCACCAAACGUACAUGCCUUGAUUGUACGUAAUAUAUUGUUGUCUGAUCCACGCUAAGAGCAUCUCUAGCAGACCCCAUAUAUCGCCGACCCACAAAACUCAUUUAAAGUUUGCUGAAAAACAGUUUCGCGGGCCGGCGCGGGUCGCGGUCGAGCAGACCCCGCAUAGCGGAACUGUAAAACGGGAUAUUCACGAAUAUUCCGUCUUACAGUUCCGCUAUGCGGGGUUUGCUCGGCGCAGCCCGCGCUAACCCGCAAAUCACAUGUGUUUUUAUCCGAAUUUGACACAGAUGCCACAUAUUCAGAAUUAUUAAUUCAAUAUAAGAUAAAAUUUCAAUAUUACCAUACAACAAUCAUCCAAAUUACAAUAAUUAUUGAAAUCACCUAAGCAAACUAAAUAAUUCAAUAGAAAACUUGCCUCGAAUACAAAUCAGACAUGAAUUAAAUGAAAUGAAUGCAAAAAUGGAAUGUCUUACCGCCAUCCCUUUGUCAAUCACUAGUAGAAAAACACCUAAUAGUCCCGGUUCGUAAGGGUCUUUAGUCCCGGUUCAUGAACCGGGACUAAUGGGUCGUUACUAAUACCUCCACCCAUUAGUCCCGGUUCAAACACGAACCGGGACCAAUGUGCCUCCACGUGGCCCUGUGCGCCGAGCCCAGUCAGGGGGCCUUUGGUCCCGGUUGGUUGUACCAACCGGGACCAAAAUGCAUCCACGCGUCAGCAUUCCAGUGGCUGGGGUUUUUGUUUUUUUUAAAGGAGGGGGGUUGGGGAUUUUGGGGGGUUAAUUUAGGUGUUUCAUAUAUGGUGUUAGCUAGCUAAUUAAUAGAGAGAAGUGUCCUCUCUUACGUCCGUGCUUGAUCGACGCUACGUACUAUAUAUACAUAAGUGAUGAGAGAACCAUUGAGUACAGAAGUUUGUCAUGCAUACCGAGAGAAGUGAUUGAUCGACCUCUCCUUCUCCGAGAGAUUGGUCGAACAACAAGUUUUCGUAUCAUGUAUCCAACGCUACUGGCUACAUACAUGUACAAUAUGUAUAAGAUCUCUUAAUUACAAUCCCCUAGCAAUUGAAUUCAAUUUCCACAUGGUAUUCUCCGACUUUAUUGAUGACGUGGUCAAGAAAGAAUCCCGCCAAUUCCUCUUGAAUUGCUUUCAUGCGAUCUGGUUCUAGGAGUUCAUUCUGCAUCUGCCACAUCUAAUUUGAAGAAGGGGGUUAAUUAAUACAUAUAUAUGAAUGAAACUCAACAGAAAUGAUGGUGUAAUAAAAUGAAAUUGUGAAUAUUAUUGCUUACGCACUUCAUAUUGUCUUUUAGAGUAGCCCCGCUUGUUUUUCAAAGUCGCGUUGUGGAUGAACUCGCACACGUAGUAUCCACAUAAAUCAUUCCCUUCUUCCUGCCACAAGCACUUUACGAGAAAUAGAGGUCAAUCAAACUGAUAAUGAAGCAUUAUAAAUGGCAUUGAUGAAAGUAUAGCUAUAGAAUCAACGGGAGAUGCGUGCAACUAGCUAGCCAGUAGUACUUACUUUCGGGUAUGUAUAUCGCAGCUCCUUCGGCAGUCCCGGAGCUUCUGCGGUGAACUGUUUCCAAACCCUGCAAGACAAAGCAAAUAAUUAUUAUUACUUGAUAUAUCAGGAAAUGAACAAAAAGUUGCCGAUAUGGUGCGAUAACGAUCGAUUGAACUUACUUGUUGAGAAAUUCAGUCAUGUCCGCAUAGGUUUUGGGAUCUUUCCGUCUCGAGUCUAAGACGGUUACUAGUCCCCGCUCAAUAUUAAUCUCCAGAAGAACAUAGUGGUACCUGCGCACGCAUGCAUUACUCAUCAAUUACAUUACUAUAACCACGCUGAAGUAAUAAGGGAAACCGAAUAUGCACACGACAGUAACACUCACUUGCCGUUGUAAGGAAAGAGUAUGGUAUCUUUGUUUUGUUUUUUGAUCAACGAUCGUAGCAAGUUUUCCUCAGCCUCUUUGACGUCCUUUUUAACCAGAAAUUCAUCUAUGAUAUUUGUGUUAAUGAACCCAAUAUCAUAAAUUUCUUGUUUUUUGCACUCGACGAUCUUCAAUCUGCAUAAUAUAUUGAGGAUAAUUAAUUAUAAAUACAUGAAAUGAAAGAGCCGAGCUAUAUAUAGAGACUUAAUGACAGAAAUAGUACUUACAGACAGUAGCAAAAGACCAUUAGUUUAUCGAGGGCCUUUUGAUUGAAGAACGCGAAGAACUCAUCAAAUGGAACAGUCAACAGAUCAGUUGCAACGAGGUCUUGCUCCUCUUUAAUAUUCAGAUACAAAGCAUUCGUACCCCAGACUCUCUGCAGGUUUCCAUGUUCCAAUUAUGGAAUCUUCGCAUCGUUGUUGUCAGAGAUUUUUCAUCUUUGACGAGAGGCUUCCCGUACUCGUAUCUGUGUUCGUCCACCUCCAAGAAAUCAGGAAGUUGAUCGUCAGGAAGGUAAUCUGCAAGAUUGCCAUAACCGGCCACCGUCCCCGGAGCAUUAGACACAUUGAGCGGGGGGCACGAUUGCUGUGCUUGUUCACCGAGCUGGGCAAUUUUUUCCCCUUUGCUCGUUUUUUUAUCCUUUUAGCACUGACAGUAGUUCCCGACCGCUAGGCUUGGAGAUAUGUCUGUUCAGUAAUGCGCUCAUAGUUGGUUCUCGACGGAGACUUUGGUGGUUUCCUCAGGGCAUCGAUAGUGCGCUUUGCUUUCACCGGAUCUACCUUCUCCUCCGGAGGUGGAUGUCUCUUUGCUUUCACCCCUUCAAAGAACUCCUUCACGUGAGUCCGCACAAUCGUAUCGUUUUUCUCCUCGGUCCUCUCGUACGGUAACUUCUCUAGAGGCUUGAGAGGUGGACCGUAUAUGUAUUGCCUCCCUCCUCUGGUUGUGCUGCCAGACGCCGGAGCAGACGGAGCGGCUGCGGCGUCUGUCUUCUUUCGUGCUUGCUUACGAGGCGGAGGAGAAGGAGUACGACGCGCCGGAGCAGCCGGGGCGGCGGUGGGUCUCUUCCGCCCUUGCUGGCGAGGCGGAGAAGAAGGAGGCUGCUAGCUGCUCCGGAGCGCCGGCGUAGGCGGAGAAGGAGGCAGAGUGCCGCCACGCGCCGGAGAAGGAGGCGGAGUGCCGCCACGCGUGCCCUGAUCGUCACUCGCCGGAGGAGGAGGCGGUGGAGGAGGCGAAGUGCCCUGACUCGCCGGAGGAGGAGGAGGAGGUGGAGGCGUCCAGUUCGGAAGGUUGAUGAGCUCCUUCCGCCAUAGGCAUGGAGUCUUCAGAGCAGAACCCAGCCUAGUCUCCCCUUCACCGGUAGGGUGGUCAAGCAGGAGGUCCUCAAAUCCCUCCAUUAUUUCACCCACCAUCACCUUAGCAUAUCCUUCUGGAAUCGGCCGGCAGUGAUAAGUUGCUCCGGAUCCAGUAGGAUAAACAGAGCCAACAGCCUCCUUGACCUUCAAAUUCAUCCAUCACGCCAUAAUGUGGCAAUGUUGAGACUUCGUGAUAGCAUCCACGGGAUAGCUGGCAGGAGCCGUCAAGACAUGCUCCGGCUGAAGCAGCUUGGUGGAAGCCACGCCGCUUCUCCGCUGAGAUGGCGGGGUAGCUUCGGGGGAAGCUUUGGCAGGUCGUUUGCUGCGAUCUGCUGCUUCUCGUUCCUCUUCUCGUUCCUCUAGCCCCAUUACCCUUUCGUGCAGCGCCUGCAGUUGGCCCUGCUCCAGUUUCUUCCUCCUCUCGUGGGUUUUGUAACCCCCUGCGUCCGGAAAACCAACCUUCCACGGAAUGGAGCCUGGCGUGCCUCGUGUCCGUCCAGGGUGCUAAGGAUUCCCGAGGGCCAUUGUGAGCUCGUCCAUCUCCCUGUCUGGUACGAACGUCCCUUUCUGCGCUGCAUUGAUAUAGUGUCGAAGGUUCUUGACUGGUAUUUCCAGUUGCUCGUCCGUCCAACGGCACAUCCCUGAUACGGGGUCCAAGGUUCCGCCAGCCCCGAAGAACCAAGUCUGGCCAUCUCAUUGUCUCUGGUUCGAUCCCUUUUUCAAGCAGAUCAUUCUCCUCCUUGGACCACUUAGGCCGGGCUUUGAGGUAGCCACCUGACCCCGUGCGAUGGUGAAGCUUCUUCUUCGCAGCAUUUUGCUUGUUCGUCGCCGACAUCUUCUUACUCUUUUCCGAUGUCUUGUGGGCCACAAAUGCGGGCCAGUGAUCUUUGAUCUUCUCAUAUUUGCCGAUGAAUUCUGGUGUCUUUUUUUUCGACAAAAAUGUUUCAACUCUUUCCUCCACCUUCUUAAGAGCACGAGACUUGAUUAAUUGCUCUUUAACUGGCUUCUCCGGAUCCUCCUCUGGCGGUAGGGUGAAAUUUGCCUUCAGCUGAGUCCAAAGAUCUUCUUUCUGCAUAUCAUUGACAUAAGACACCUCAGGGUCGUCCUUAGGAUUAUACCAUUGUUGGAUGCUGAUCGGGAUCUUGUCCCCAACAAGAACCCCGCACUGAGCAGAAAAUGCGUUCUUUUUCCGGAUGGGUUCAAUCGGUUCGCCGUCGGGUGCGAUUUCUAUGAUCUCAAACCUUUCAUCCGAGCUCAACUUUUUCUUCGGGCUUGGUCUCCUUACCGAAGUUGUGCUCGAUCCGGAGGGCUAGAAAUGAAAAGGAAGAAAGACGAGAAUAAUUAAUAUGUGUACAUAUACCAAAACAAUGAAUGCAUCAAUUAACUAGUCAGCACGGGCUUAACUUAUAUAUAUAUACCUGGCCGGACUCGGUUCGGUCACCGGAGCAGUCAGCACGGUCUCCUUCUUGUACCUACAUUGGGUCAUCAUCGGAGCCAUCACGAACAUAGCACUCUUCUUGUACCGGCAUUAAUGGGCCGGAUCCAUCAUGAACAUAGCCCUCUUCUUCACCCAGUCCUUCCUGACCAACGACGUCGUUGAAAAAUGACGCAAUGACAUCAGUUCCUUCUGCAAUCAUCUCCCCCAACAUUGCUUCUGUUGCUUCGUCUUGGUAGUGCUCCAUAGUUUCUGCAAAUAUUUACAACAUGUCAAUUAUUAUUCAAACAUGGUACAGAUGGAUACAUAUUAGUGGCAAACAUAGAACUAGCUAGCUAAUCACAAUAAGGAAUCAUGUUAGUGGCCUCGACGCUGCUUCUCUAGGGUUUGGGAUCGCCUUGACACAACGCUUCAAGGGUUUGGGGUGGCCUCGACGACAACGCUCUUUUAACUUGGUAAAUUUGGGUGGCCUCGAGAGUUUUGGUCGAGCGAGAGGGCCGAGGGGGGUGCUGCCGUUGUAUAGGUUAUCACGGUCGAGAGGGGGUAUAUAUAUCGACCGCCCCUCAUGUCGAAGUUAUCUCGAGGGAGCGGCGAGGGCGAAGGCGAGCAGCUUGACGGUGAUAGACCCGAUAAAACAUAAGAAAACGAAGAAGAAAUAAAAAGAGGAGAAGAAGAAAGGAAUAGAGGAGAAGAUCGAAGAAAAAAAAAGAAGAAAAAAAAAGAGGAGAAGAAGAAAGGAAUAGAGGAGAAGAAGAAAGGAAUAGAGGAGAACAAGAAAGAAUAGAAAAAUUCUAUUUUUUCUUCUUCUCCUCUAUUCCUUUCUUCUUCUCCUCUUCCUUUUCUUCUUUUUUGUUCUUCUUAUUUAUUUCUCCUCUAUUCCUUUCUUUCUGCUUCUCCUCUUGCUUCUUUUUCUUCUUCUCCCUCGAGAAAGGAAAACAAUUAAGGAAAAGGAAGAAAAGAGGAAGAAGGAAGAAGGAAGAAGAAGAAGAAAGGAAUAGAGGACAAGAAGAAAAAAUAGAUUUUUUUUCUAUUUUUUCUUCUUCUCCUCUAUUCCUUUCUUCUUCUCCUCUUCUUUUUCUUCUUUUUUCUUCUUCUUAUUUAUUUCUCCUCUUCUUUUCCUCUCCUCUUCUUCCCCUUUCUUCUCUUCUUAUUUUCCUUUUUCCUCUCAUUCUUUUUCUUCUUCUUCUUCCUUCUUCCUUCUUCCUCUUUUCUUCCUUUUCCUUAUUUUACUUUUUCCUCUACACUAACCUAAUUAAAAUGCACUAACCUAAAAUCGAUAUCUACUAACAACCUAAAUAAAAAAUUAAUACAUAUAUGAAAAAACNNNNNNNNNNNNNNNNNNNNNNNNNNNNNNNNNNNNNNNNNNNNNNNNNNNNNNNNNNNNNNNNNNNNNNNNNNNNNNNNNNNNNNNNNNNNNNNNNNNNNNNNNNNNNNNNNNNNNNNNNNNNNNNNNNNNNNNNNNNNNNNNNNNNNNNNNNNNNNNNNNNNNNNNNNNNNNNNNNNNNNNNNNNNNNNNNNNNNNNNNNNNNNNNNNNNNNNNNNNNNNNNNNNNNNNNNNNNNNNNNNNNNNNNNNNNNNNNNNNNNNNNNNNNNNNNNNNNNNNNNNNNNNNNNNNNNNNNNNNNNNNNNNNNNNNNNNNNNNNNNNNNNNNNNNNNNNNNNNNNNNNNNNNNNNNNNNNNNNNNNNNNNNNNNNNNNNNNNNNNNNNNNNNNNNNNNNNNNNNNNNNNNNNNNNNNNNNNNCAGGGGCAACGACGGGGGCGUGCGGACGGCGUCGGGGCGGCGCGUGGACGGUGCUGGGGCGGCGGGCGGCGUCGGGGCAGCGGACGACGUCGAUCUGGGCAGCCUGGCGGCGUCGAUGAGCUCGGCGUCGUCGGGCGGGCCGGGGGAAACUGGCGAUGUGUUCGUCAAAUUUUCCUAAGUGUUGUAUAUAUAGCAAGAGCAUUGGUUCCGGUUCGUGAGACCAAUCGGGACUAAUGCCCCCUUUAGUCCCAGUUGGUACCACCAACCGGGACCAAAGGCCUCAUUUCAGCAGCCCAAAGGGCGGGAAGAGGUGACCUUUGGUCCCGGUUGGUGGCACCAACCCGGACUAAAGGGUGGGCAUUGGUAUCGGUUGGUGCCACGAACCGGUACCAAAGGACCCUGUGCUGCCAGCGUCGGGGCCAAAAUUUAGUCCCACCUCGCUAGUUGAGAGGGGCGCACAAUGGUUUAUAAGCCCCACUGCCGCACCCCUCUCGAGCUCCUCUCCACCGUAGGCUUGCGGGCCUAUUUCCUACUGCUUUGCCUGAUGGGCCUUCUGGGCCUACUGCGGGCUUGAAUCCUGGCCCAUGGUAGGGUUUCUAGUCGUAUUCAGGCCGUGGGGGCCCAGUAGGAGGCAUUUUUUUGUUUUCUUUCUUUCUUUAUUUAUUUAUUUUGUUUCUACUUACAACAAAAUACUUAUUGUUGAUAUUUUAAUUAUUUUCCAGUUUUUUUGUUUUAUUUUCUACAUUAUUUAUUUUCUUUUGUUUUUUGCUUUAUUUUUUAAUUCUUUUUGAUUUUAGUUUUAGAAAAAUUAUAAACUUUCUGUUAGUGCCAUUAGUUUUCAAAUUUGAAAACACUUUUUUUGUUUUUUGUUUUUUUGUUUUCUUUCUUGCUUUAUUUAUUUUAUUUUGUUUCCACUUACAACAAAAUACUUAUUGUUGCUAUUUUUACUUAUUACGAGGGCCGAACCAUAAGACAUUAAAGCAUUUCAAAUGAACUAUGAAAAAGUUGAAAGUUGGCAUGGUAUCAUAAAUUCACCCACAUAGCAUGUGCAUGUACAAAAUGGACAAUGGUAUCAUAUUCGUGUGUUACAAAGUUGGCAUGGUAUCAUCAUAAUAGUUGCGGGAGAAAGUCUUCACUUUUUCUUCGCUUGUGUCAUUUCUUAUUGCGCCGUAACCAUGGAUAAUCUUCACCGCUUAUCAGGAUGCUGGGGUCAGCCUUGACUUUGAAGGGAGGAGUUUCAUGAAACUUUUCAUAAUCUUCAGAUAUGUCUGUCUUGCCUUCCACUCCCACGAUGUCCCUUUUUCCUGAAAGAACUGUGUGGCGCUUUGGCUCAUCGUAUGAUGUAUUCGCUUCCUUAUCUUUUCUUUUUCUCGGUCUGGUAGACAUGUCCUUCACAUAGAUAACCUGUGCCACAUCAUUGGCUAGGACGAACAGUUCAUUAGUGUACCCAAGAUUUUUCAGAUCCACUGUUGUCAUUCCGUACUGUGGGUCUACCUGUACCCCGCCUCGUGACAGAUUGACCCAUUUGCACUUAAACAAAGGGACCUUAAAAUCAUGUUCGUAGUCAAGUUCCCAUAUGUCCACUAUGUAACCAUAAUAUGUGUCCUUUCCCCUCUCGGUUGUUGCAUCAAAGCGGACACCGCUGUUUUGGUUGGUGCUCUUUUGAUCAUGGUCAAUCGUGUAAAAUGUAUUCCCAUUUAUCUCGUAUCCUUUCCAAAUCGUAACAGUCGAAGAUGGUCCCUUGGACAACAAGUACAACUCAUCACAAACAGUGUUGUCACCUCUGAGACGUGCUUCCAACCAACUGCUGAAAGUCCUGAUGUGUUCACAUGUAAUCCAGUCGUCACACUACUCCGGGUGUUUGGAGCGCAGACUGUUCUUGUGUUCAUCGACAUACGGGGUCACCAAGGUAGAGUUCUGUAGAACUAUGUAGCGUGCUUGAGACCAAGAAUAUCCGUCCCUGCAUAUUAUUGAGUCCCUUCCAAGUGUGCCUUUUCAGUCAGUCUCCCCUCAUACUGCGAUUGAGGGAGACCUAUCUUCUUAAGGCCAGGAAUGAAGUCAACACAAAACCCAAUGACAUCCUCUGUUUGAUGGCCCAUGGAGAUGCUUCCUUCUGGCCUAGCGCGGUUACGGACAUAUUUCUUUAGAACUCCCCUGAACCUCUCAAAGGGGUACAUAUUGUGUAGAAAUAAGGGGCCCAGAAUGACAAUCUCGUCAACUAGAUGAACUAGGACGUGCGUCAUGAUAUUGAAGAAGGAUGGUGGGAACACCAGCUCGAAACUGACAAGACAUUGCACCACAUCACUCCUUAGCCUUGGUAUGAUUUCUGGAUCGAUCACCUUUUGAGAGAUUGCAUUGAGGAAUGCACAUAGCUUCACAAUGGCUAAUCAGACGUUUUCCGAUAGAAGCCCCCUCAAUGCAACCGGAAGCAGUUGCGUCAUAAUCAUGUGGCAGUCAUGAGACUUUAGGUUCUUAAACUUUUUCUCUGACAUAUUUAUUAUUCCUUUUAUAUUCGACGAGAAGCUAGUCGGGACCUUCAUACUAAGCAGGCAUUCAAAUAAGAUUUCCUUCUCUUCUUUGGUAAGAGCAUAGCUGGCAGGACCUUCAUACUGCUUUGGAGGCAUGCCGUCUUUUUCGUGCAAACGUUGCAGGUCCUCCCGUGCCUCAGCUGUAUCUUUUGUCUUCCCAUACAUGCCCAAGAAGCCUAGCAGGUUCAUGCAAAGGUUCUUCGUCACGUGCAUCACGUCGAUCAAAGAGCGGACCUCUGGGUAUUUCCAGUAGGGUAGGUCCCAAAAUAUAGAUUUCUUCUUCCACAUGGGUGCGUGUCCCCCAGUGUCACUCGGAACAGCUAGUCCGCUGGGACCCUUUCCAAAGAUUACGUGUAAAUCAUUGACCAUAGCAAGUACCUGAUCACCGGUAUGCAUGGCGGGCUUCCUCCGGUGAUCUGCCUCGCCUUUGAAAUGCUUGCCUUUCUUUCGACAUUGAUGGUUGGUCGGAAGAAAUGGAUGAUGGCCCAGGUAAACAUUCUUCCUGCAGCUUCCCAGGUAUAUACUAUCGGUGUCAAGUAAAUAGUGCGUGCAUGCGUGGUAUCCCUUGUUUGUCUGUCCUGAAAGGUUACUGAGAGCGGGCCAAUCGUUGACGGUCACGAACAGGAACACCUUUAGGUGAAAUUCCUCCUGUUUGUGCUCAUUCCACGUACGUACACUGUUUCCAUUCCACAGCUGUAAAAGUUCUUCAACUAAUGGCCUUAGGUACACAUCAAUGUUGUUGCCGGUUUGCUUAGGGCCUUGGAUGAGAACUGGCAUCAUAAUGAACUUCCGCUUCAUGCACAUCCUUGGAGGAAGGUUAUACAUACAUAGAGUCACGGGUGAGGUGCUGUGAUUGCUGCUCUGCUCCCCGAAAGGAUCAAUGCCAUCCGCACUUAAAGCAAACCAUACGUUCCUUGGGUCACCUGCAAACUCAUCCUAGUACUUUCUCUUCAUUUUUCUCCACUGCGACCUGUUAGCGGGUGAUCUCGACUUCCCGUCUUUCUUACGGUCCUCACCGUGCCAUCGCAUCAACUUGGCAUGCUCUCCGUUUCUGAACAGACGUUUCAACCAUGGUAUUAUAGGAGCAUACCACAUCACCUUCGCAGGAACCCUCUUCCUGGGGGGCUCGCCGUCAACAUCACCAGGGUCAUCUCAUCUGAUCUUAUACCGUAAUGCACCGCAUACCGGGCAUGCAUUCAGAUCCUUGUACGCACCGCGGUAGAGGAUGCAGUCAUUAGGGCAUGCAUGUAUCUUCUGCACCUCCAAUCCUAGAGGGCAUACGACCUUCUUUGCUGUGUAUGUACUGUCGGGCAAUUCGUUAUCCUUUGGAAGCUUCUUCUUCAAUAUUUUCAGUAGCUUCUCAAAUCCUUUGUCAGCCACAGCAUUCUCUGCCUUCCACUGCAGCAAUUCCAGUACGGUACCGAGCUUUGUGUUGCCAUCUUCGCAAUUGGGGUACAACCCUUUUUUGUGGUCCUCUAACAUGCGAUCGAACUUCAGCUUCUCCUUUUGACUUUCGCAUUGCGUCCUAGCAUCGACAAUGACCCGGCGGAGAUCAUCAUCAUCGGGCACAUCGUCUGGUUCCUCUUGAUCUUCAGCAGCUUCGCCUGUUGCAGCAUCAUCGUGCACAUCGUCUGGUUCCUCUUGAUCUUCGGUAGCAUCACCGUAUUCAGGGGGCACAUAGUUGUCAUCGUACUUUUCUUCUUCGCCGUCUUCCAUCAUAACCCCUAUUUCUCCGUGCCUCGUCCAAACAUUAUAGUGUGGCAUGAAACCCUUGUAAAGCAGGUGGGUGCAAAGGAUUUUCCAGUCAGAGUAAGACUUUGUAUUCCCACAUAUAGGGCAUGGACAACACAUAAAACCAUUCUGCUUGUUUGCCUCAGACACUUCGAGAAAUUCAUGCACGCCCUUAAUGUACUCGGAGGUGUGUCUUGAACCGUACAUCCAUUGCUGGUUCAUCUGCGUGCAUUAUAUAUAAUUAAGUGUGUCAAAAAUCAUUACAAAACAUCAUGAAUAGAUAAUUAAGUGACCAAAUUAAUAGAAGUUCAUCAUCACAUUAAAACCAAAGUACAUACAUAGUUCUCAUCUAACAACAUAAAGCUCUACAGAGCAUCUAAAUUAAUUAAACCAUACAUUGAAACUAUGUAAAACAUUUCAAUGCAAAAACAAAUGCGAUCAUAAUCGCAACCAAUGUAACAACUGAUCCAACGGCAUAAUGAUACCAAGCCUCGGUAUGAAUGACAUAUUUUCUAAUCUUUCUAAUCUUCAAGCGCAUUGCAUCCAUCUUGAUCUUGUGAUCAUCCACGACAUCUGCAACAUGCAACUCCAAUAUCAUCUUCUCCUCCUCAAUUUUUCUAAUUUUUUCCUUCAAGAAAUUGUUUUCUUGUUCAACUAAAUUUAACCUCUCGACAAUAGGGUCGGAUGGAAUUUCCGGUUCAACAACCUCCUAGAUAAAUAAAAUCUAUGUCACGUUGGUCGGCAUAAUUGUCAUAAACAAUAGAUGAACCUAUAGUUAUGAAAAUAUAAUAUAUACCUCAUCCGAAGCAUAGACAGGACGAGGGCCGACGGGGGCGGAUACCAAAACCAUCGCACUAUAUAAGAUGCAAUAAUAAAAGUAAGAAAAUUAUACAAGUAUCUAUAUAAACAUACAAGUAAGAAUUUUUUUCCCUUUUAGAAAUAAGAUAAGAACAAGAGCCUCACCACGGAGGUGUCGGCUACGAGAUCGGCGCGGGCGAUCGACGACGGUGAAGACGGGGACGGGACGUGACGGACCGCUAAACCUAGACAAAUAUUGAGGAAAAUGGAGCUUGGAGGUUGAGCUUGGAGAGGAGAAAGCUUAAGUAGUGUGGCUCGGGCAUUCCAUUGAACACCUCUUGUGCAUAGGAGGUGAGCUAGAGCACCACAAAGCUCUCUCCUCGCCGGCCAUGAAAAACAGAGCAGUGAGAGUGCUCUGCUCGAGGGCGAGGGGUAUAUAUAGGCAAUUAAUUGGUCCCUUUUCAUUGCUUGAACCGGGACUAAAGGGAAGCCUUUGGUCCCGGUUCAGGCCACCAACCGGGACCAAUGGUGGUGGGCCAGGACCAAGGCACAUUGGUCCCGGUUCGUCCCACCAACCGGGACCAAAAGGUCCAGAGGAACCGGGACCAAUGGCCCAUGUGGCCCGACCGGACCCUGGGGCUCACGAACCAGGUCCAAUGUCCCCAUUGGUCCCGGUUCUGGAUUGAACCGAGACUAAUGGGCUGACCCGGCCAGGACCAUUGCCCCCUUUUCUACUAGUGAAUGGUGCUCAAUGAGAUCCUCUUGAAGCUGAAAGUGGGUGUUUGCAUCUUCAAUCUUCCGGUAGGUUUGAAGAAAUUCUCUAAUGCGGUUAGAGUCUCUAGCUAGCUUCACACGGCUACCCACAUUGUCGUAGAAGAACUCCAAAUUCAUGCCUCUCUCAUCUUCGAGAAUCAUAUUGUGAAGAAUCACACAUCAUGUCAUGAUGUUUUUGAGGGAUCACUUGUCCCAAAAACGAACAGGACCAUGAACAAUGGCAAACCUAGAUUCCAAAACCCCGAAUGCUCUUUCAAUAUCUUCUCGGGCUGCCUCUUGUACCCUUGCAAAUUCACAAUGUUUCUUAGUUUUGGGCUUUUUGAUGCUCUUGACAAAUGUGCACCAAGAAGGGUAGAUACCAUCUGCAAGAUAGUACCCCAUUGAUAGUGUACUUGCAAGCAGGAGCAUCACCAGUAGCAAGCCUAGCAAACAAAUGAGAUCGUUGCAACAUAUUGACAUCAUUGAGAGUACCCGACAUACCAAAAAAGCAACGCUAAAUCCGUAAAUCAUCAUAUGGUACGGCCUCUAGCGCAAUUGUUGCAUCACGAGACUUGCCACAAUACAUUCCCUGCCAUGCCCUCGGGCAGCUUUUCCAAGUCCAAUGCAUACAAUGAAUGCUUCCUAGCAUGCCAGGCCAACCUCUACUCAUACUUGAUGCCAUCAACUUUUUUGUGUCCUCCUCGUUGGGUGACCGAAGAUAUUCAAGAGUAAAGACAUGGAUGAUUACUUUGACAAACAUAGUCACUGACUUAAUUGUAGUAUCUUCAACAAUGCGAAGGUACUCAUCGGCAUAGUCAGCCGGAAUGCUGUAUGCAAUUACCGGCAUAGUUGCCGAGAUUUUUUGAUAUGCACUAAAUACCUUCAAGCCCACGACAUUUCUUUUUUGAGUAAAAUAGCGACAAUUAGCCUCGCAAACUUGCACUAUUUUUACAAAGAGGGAUCGACGCAUUUGAUACCUUCUCUGGAAGAGGUGCGGCGGAUAUGUUGGAUUGUCUGCGAAGUAAUCGUCCAUCAACAUCUCGUUCCCGAGAUAGCGAUUGCGAGGAAUGCAAAGACGGCUGAUGGCCAAUCCUCGUCAUCUCUUUCAGUUCUCAUCAUUGUGCUCCUUCACGGUAAGGGCCAUCGCCAAGAUCUUCUGCUGAUGGUUCUCAAGAAGCAUCUCAACAUUCGAGUCGUCCAAAUCGGACGAAUCCUCGAGAAAAACCUCUUGCAAGGGCUCAGUUCCAUCUAGAAACAAAAAUAUGAACACCGCAUGAACCAAUUAUGCACAUCGCAUCCGAAAGCACAAGAACAUGUACUCAUCGACGGCUCGAGGCGGUGGCUCUGCGAUGGUCGAUCCCAGGGCGGUGAUGGCGACUCGGGGCGGCUCGGCUCACCGGAUCCGGGGAGCCGGUGAAGCGGCUAGGUGGAACCGGGUGAGGGGCGGCCAGGCGGCGUGAUUCCGUCCGUAGAUAAGGCCGGAAUCACUGGCGGUGUACAGGCAGAACCGAUGGCGGGCGACUGUGGAAGGGGGUGGGGAACGCGCACGGGCUAAAAUGUCCCUCUCGCCAACCGCUUUUCUAAGAUACAGGGCACCGUCGGGUCGAGGGGAAAACCUGUAUUUUUGCGGGUUGGAGGUUGGAUUUUAGCGCCCCCUAAAAUUUUUUCACGGGUCCGACGCGUUUACAGUGUCGGAUCGAGCGGCUUUUUUCACGUGGACCCAUAUUUUAGCGGUUAUUUUGCUAGUCGGGGCAUUAUACGGGGCUGCUAGAGAUGCUCUAGCCAUAGUGGUGGUAUAUAGCCGGUAUCAUGCACUCACAAGGAAAUACACUGAUGUGGCAGAUAAUUAAAUAAGAGAGGGUUAGGCUACUCAUAGUGGGGAAUAUCAUAUACUAGUAUCAUGCACAUGAUAUUAGUGUAUGAUACUAUCUUCAUAGUGCAUAGUAUCAUAGAGUAGUAUCAUAUUUAUUGCCAUGCAUGACUUAAAGUAUCAUAGCAUUUAACAUGAUAUGGUAUCUACCUAUGUUAGGCUGGCCAUAGUUUGUGGUAUCUUAGCGAGUAUCAUGCACUUGGGAAUAGCAAAUAUGCUAAUGUGGCAGAGAGUUAAAGAAGAGAGAGAGGGUUAGAGUAACAUAACUAGAUAUUGUAUCGUAUUAAAUGCUGUGCUACUUUGUGUCAUGCAUGACAAUAAAUAAGAUAAAUAAAUGAUAUGAUACUAUAAACUAUGAAAAUAGUACUUCCUCCAUCUAGGUGAAUAAGUCUUCUUAGGUUGUGCACCGUGACCAAGGUGGAGAGGAAAAUGAGAGAACUUAAUGCUUAUUUGCUAAUUAACACCAUUGCAUGCAACGAAAUGACCACUGCAAGUCAUGUCUGGUAGUCUCAAGUCAUUGAAAGUAUACACGCCCCACGUCUGUUAUUGGUUGAUUCCUUUAUUUAUGUCAAAAAACAAGAAACAAUGUGUCAAUUAAUGCACCAAGCCUAUGUGUUUUGGACUAUUUCGUUUUCGUAAAAUGACUUACUCACCUAGACGGAAGAUCCUUUAUAUUUCCCAUGCAGAUCCAGAUCAUCCCAACUACCCAAUCCACAGACACUGUUGAUCACCAAAUUCUCACCGCAUUAUGUAAAUAUCGCAGGAGCUCCACUGCACCCAUCAACCCUAGAACCUCGAUAAAUGAGGUUUUUCCCUUUCGAAUAGAUGAUGCAAUUAUUUUUUGGGGUUUAGAAAGAGGGUGUGAUUAUUGCACUUGAAAGUUUAAAACCCAGCAUCUCACGGGGGGUACAAAAGGCCAGAAGGCUAAAACAGCCAAAAGGAAAUAAGAUUUUUCUUUUGAGGGAAAAAAGAAAUAAGAUUUUAUGAUGUCGACUGGCACACAGUGCUAUGCAUUAAUUGUGGCCACUGAUGCAGACCUGCUAGUGUGUGGAUCAUGCAGCAGUAUUUCACCAUCAGCCAAGCUUACGUCCAUGACCAAAGUUUUCAAUUAGUAUUGUCUCCAAGGCGGACAUUCAAACGCCUGUUGCAUGUUCGGACCACUUUUACCAUUUAACGGGGAAUUGUCCGCUUAGCAGUCCGGACAUACGGAUUCUGGUAUCUUAGAGACCAACAUGAUAGGCUUUGCCGAAGUCCGGACAUGCACUUGACAAUUCACAUGGAUGCCCCCCCCCUCUUCUCUCCUUCUCCCAACCACAUAUGCAUUGCCCCCUCUCCUCUCUCCUUUCAACCAGACACCAAACCAUUAAUAUCUUAGCACAUGCAUGAUCUCAUCUACUUUCUCCCCUUCCAAUUAAAUUACUUUAUGAUUAGCAUUAGAUGACUCCUUCCGACAUCAUUUCCGCGUGAUGGUGUCCUGGACUAUGGGUACUGACCAUGUCGUCUCCUGACCAGUGGGUCAAGCUGAGGACCCCCAUGGCGGUCCAUUAAUGGGCCAGUUCAGAUAGCCGAUAACAUAUAUGAGGAAGAUUCCACAAGACUUGGUGAUCAAUACAAGGACUCCUAUCCACCGACUUAUUCGACUAGGACUCUUGUUAUCCUAGGCCUCUGGUAUAUUAUAUAAGCCGAGGCUAGGCUAGUCGAUAGAUCAUUAUGAAAUUACUCAACACGCCCCUAGGGUUUAGAACACAACAUAUUAUCUCGAGGUAGAUCAUCUCUGUAAUCAUACACAUCGAAUAUAAUUGAGCAGGAGUAGGGUUUUACCUCUUAGAGAGGGUCCGAACCUGGGUAAACACCGUGUCUCUCGUCUCCUCUUAUCCAUCGAUCCUAGGACACACAGCUUGGGACCCCUACCCAAGAUCUGUCAGUUUUGACACCGACAUUGGUGCUUUCAUUGAGAGUUCCGCUGUGUGAUCGGCAAAGGAUCAAUGGCUUGCCUGCAGAUCAACUGCAAGGUCGGUAUCUUCGUCUCCGGCUCAACUGUUUACCUUGGCUCGACCGAGGACUGUCCUCUGCCACCGAUCGUCAUGUUCGGAUGAGGGCCUUCAACAACAUCAACUCCGAUCUCUAUCAAGAUCGUGGAGGAAUCAUCCAUGCAGCUCGGGGCUCAACUUUGACAUUUCCCUCGAGCAAUCGUGCUGUUUUUUUGGAAAGCGAACUCAUAUCCGCUGGCACCGCCUCCUCGAGCAUCGCUUUGACAAUUACUUUUGUGGAACUGUGUGGAAUUGAGUCUAAUAACCCUGCAAAAUUUCGCCGCGUGCCGAUGAAGCAAUCUUCGUUGAUCUCUGAUAUACCGGAGCCCCGACGAAUCUGGACGAGAAACCAGACCAGUUUGGAGCGUGGUGUCCAGCAUCUAGCUCGGACGUCCUUUGGAAGAUCCAACCGUUUAUCGGCUGCGGAAUUCCGAUAUGUACCGCCCCUCAAAAUUUCAGCUCGAUCUGACCGUUCAAACUCCGAGGAACCUCCGAUGAGCGCACCAAUUUUCAGAUAUGUUUACUGCGCGAAAAUGAAUCCAACCCAAGUUCAUCUUUCUUCAUGAACAGGAUAUUGGACAACCUUUUUUGAGGAAUCUCUUUCUAGGGUAUUGUGUUUUGUUUCUGAUAACAUGCUCAUAAUUUUUUCUCCUUUUCGGAGGUAACAUUCACCGUUGCGCCGGUGUCAAACCAGCCCGACAACGUUGCUGGCCGGCUGCCGACCUACGCUAGAGGGGUCGUCGCUUCAUCAACUGGACUUAACCUCUUCGGAUCAUUAUCUCGGCAAGACGAACAAGAGUUCGGCAUUGUGAAGGGUAAAUCAUCACCAAAUUAUGCGGAGCGGGCACACUGGCAUCAUUGCAUGGCCACUUCAUCAAGUGGGCAUCGACCGCGUCGCAAGAUAUGGUCCGCGUCGGCAUCGUUGCACUAUUGCUUCUUCAAGCCUGGAUGGACCUCUACGUCCGAAGAUCGGGAGUCACUUCCGGCCGGACUCGCCUCUCUUAUCCCGUAUCCAGCUUCAAUCCUGGACGAGACUUCGGUGUCCGAACACCAGGAGUCAACCCUGGCCGGACUCGCCCCUUGCACCAUAGUACAUGAGGACGAUUCCGAAGAAAUCCCGAAUACUAAUCCGGCUGACCAAGCCGAUGUCCACCAUGCCGACUUGCUUCGACACCUUGGCCGGCAUGGGGUUGCAAACAUCAUAAUACCGACCUGCCCCGUCACCUCGGCUAGAUCGGGGCUUCGCCAUCUCUUCAUCAACUUACUCCGGUGACUUCCGCGUCACCAGCCGACCAGCUUCGUCACGUUAGCUGGACCAGGGGAUUCGCCUCGCCACAUCGACCGUGUGGCAUCACCACCUCAUCAAGUCGAACUCCUCGCUCGGUUACCUCGGGCUUGGGGGCUGGGACCUUGGCUAGGCUGCGGACUACGUCUUCGUCCCGCCAUGAUCUUGGACCUCGUCAACAAUACCGAGCAUAUUAACCAGCUAAGUCGCCUCCAUGCUCUGGUUUUUUCUUUAAUUUUUUUAUUUCUUGUUCGGUUCAACCAAACAUUAUAUUUGUGUUAAAAAAAGUUGUUCAUUCAAACAUUGAUUGUUAAACACUUCUUUUUUCCGCCAAGCUCUUCAUCACCUCUAUCAUGAGGGUUUUUGUCACCUCGGCUGGACCAGGGGCUUCGGCUCGCCACGCUGAUCUUGCGCCAUCGCCACUUCAUCGAGUCGAGCUCUUCGCUCGGGCACCUCGGGACCGGCUUGGGGGCUAGGACCUCGACCCGCCGCAAGCUCGGCCCACAUCAUCAACACCGAACCCAUUAACCAGCUAAGUCGCUUUCAUGCUCAAAGCUUUUUCAUUUUCAAUUUGUGUUCAGUUCGACCAUGCUCACAUUCGUUGUUUGUUAAGACACUUCCUGUCAUAGGUUAACUGGGGGCUCUUAAAUUUAUACGAGCCAUUUUAUAAUGAAUGUUUUUCUUCUCAGUCGUUGCAAAGUCUUUUUCUACCACUCCUUUCUCGGCUCGAGUGUGUGGUCAAAUGCCGGAUAGCCUGGUUUCUCCAUAAAGCCGCUCGAUUUUAGUUUUCUAAAGUGGCCUAACGAGAAGUACUCCGCCUUCGGGAUAGGAGGUUGAAGCUGUAGGCUGACCCACUUGAAGUCUUGAGAUCGGAUGUGUCAUGUUACAACACGACAGAAGCACAAACUAAUUUAAGACCAAUCUUCGGAUUGGCACCAAAAAACCUGAUUUAGUUCGGCGUCAAGUUUUUGCAUAAGUUUUUUGGCUUUUCGAGCUUAUGGCACUUUUUAGCUAUUUGUAUAUUUUUCUUUCAGGAAGCAGGAUAUCCUCAUGAUCGAGGUUCCCUGCACAAUAAUUCUGCUCGGGAGAUCUUUUCUGACCCAUAGCUCGACAUCUUUCGCACCAAACUAUACCUCGGGCGCCACAUCAGGACUACUUCCUGAGUAGUGCAAUGGUAGACGCCUUUAAAACAUUGGCAAUAUUAACGGGGGGGCUGCAACUGAAGCUGAACCCACCAAAAGCCAAGGUGCUCCAUGGACUCCUCGGCAAAAUGUUCUCGGGUAUUACUUUGUAUGCAUCGGUUUCGAAUUGUGUCUUUGGUCAAUAUUUGGAUUGUCUGACUCCUGUUCUUGCCUUCUACGUUUCGCUUUGUUCCGCUAGGUGUGCAAAGGAGAACCACUGUGAUUGUGCUUCCAUCUGCAUGGUUAAAGUGCCUCAUUGGAGAAAGCCGAAAACUGUCUGUCACAAUAAGCACAAACUGGUCAGCGAUCCGAUGACAGUGUUAAACUAUAAGAUCGAUAGGGGUCACUCCGUGUUAAAUGAUGGGCAGAUCAUAGCAUUGGCCGAAGUGUUUACAACUUGACUUCGGUUGUCUCCGAACACUAACCGGGGCUAGUAACUGGCCUCCCAACUUUACGCUCCUAUGACUAAGUGAAAGUUAUAAAGCCCGCAUAUAUGAUUGCCUCGUUUCCGCUAACACAACCGCCUUCGGGCACCGAGACGUCGGCUAAGGGUUCUUUUUUUUAUUGUGUAUACACCCUACAUAGCAUCUACAAAGGGGUAGAAGCCGACGAUGGUCCACUUUCAACUGAUAAGCUGUCACAACGGAGUCAAAAUAAGCAUAUCAUCAACAUUUGCUUUCAGUAUGGAAGCGUUGCCUUCCGUAAUUAUCGUUAUAAAGCCAUAAAUAUGCAUCAAUUUGACUUAAGAUUUUGGACAAGCUGGGUUGCCUGGCUGCUGUGCUUACCCCUACAUUCCCGAUUGUUCGGCUAGGCGGUAAAGGGAGCUCCUCUAUGAUUGUUACUAUCGGGUCAUUCGAGUUAGUACCUCAGACUAGGUGAAGCCAAAAGCUAGCCAUCUUAAAGGAUAUAAUUGGUCGACAACGGCGGAAGUGAAAAUCUCGGUUCAUUAGACCAUAGAGUUUGGGAACUUUCCCCAAACUAAAUCCUCAAUAUUUUUCUCACACAUUGAUCGGAGGUGAGGUUUCAUUAUCAUGGUCAGCAUGACAAGCCAAAGAAAGGAACCGAUAGUGGGACUAUUUUCUUUGGAAGAUGUUUCUUACGUUAGUAGUAAUAUAACAUAUCUCUCCAUGUACCUUUGUUUAUAAAACCAUAUCGCCGGAUUGCCUUGUUUGCUGUAAAUCUUUGCCCUUAUAAAGGCUUUGUAAAGUAGGACAAACACUCCUCGGCUACUGACCCAGGAGGUUGAUUCCAAUGGUCGGUCAACAAAGUUUUGUAUUGUGCGGAUCCGAGCAUUAAUGAUGUAGAGUACUUGGAUACAUAGAAUCAUUGAACAUAAUUUGUGAUUUUACUCCGGAUAUCAAUCCUUCAUUCGGCCACCCAUGCCCACAUUAAGGCUCGGGGGCUAUUGGGCUUCGCACUUAUCAUUUAAAAGUAGUAAAUGGACUAGUGUUUGGGGGCUACUGCAUUGCCUAUUCAAUGGAGAAAAUUCAAAGUGUCUGUUGUUCGGCUUGACUGAACUAUGGGCAAACGUGUCUUCGAACAACAAUAGAUACCAUCUGGACCUAUCCGGCAUGAAGCUAAUAUAUUACGGAACUUCUCAAGACCCUCUCUCAAAGGCCCGUUCGCUGAUCGCUAUUUCCUCUAAUAUAUUGCAUCGCAUUUCUAUUGCUAAGUAUGUUGUCGAGAUGGGAAUUGGUCCUCGGGCCGAUUUCAUGAAUGACUCAGUGCUAUUGGGGUCUGCAGUUUGAUUUUAUCCUUCAGGUGCAUCCCAGAUAUUAGGCCAACACGCACCUUGAGGGCUACUGGCUAUACAUCUCGGCAGAAAAUACAUUGCACAAAUUGGAAUUAAAUUCAUAAAAAUCAGCCCAAACCCGAGAUGGUGCAUCACCUCGGAAGCAGUCCGGCAUAAAGCUUGGUUGCAAGUGGCUGGCCACAUAGAGGGCAUCUCGAGCAUUAAGCUCGUUUGAACCCUUUUAACUCUUUCAAGAUCGAGGUAAUCUAUGACACCUUGGAUACAGUCGGGCAUUGGAGCUCGGAUACAUUCCGACAUUGGAGCUCGGAAGCGGUCUGGCGGUUGUACUUGGCUCCAAAAAGAUACCUCAAAUGCAGCCCGACGUUGGAGCUCGGAUGCAAGAGGACACUGCCGCACGAGAAACACUUCGAACCCAAGGUGUGGCCUAAAAAAUAAUAAAGACAUUGAUAAAGGCCGAUAACUUAAAGGGGCUCCUCGGAUACCUGGCGUGUAAGCUCUUCGGAUUCACUUCUGCGAUCCUCAAGAUCGAAGAUGAGAAGAUUUGUUGAACCAGUUUUCAAGACCGACGGCCGAAGAUGAAGAAUAGUUCGGAAGAAUCGAGGAGCGUCCCCAACUUGAAGACCGGUUCAGGGGGGCUACUAAUAGUGUCCUAGACUAUGGGGUACUCACCAUGUCGUCUCCUGACCAAUGGGUCAGGCCGGGGACCCCCAUGGUGGUUCAUUAAUGGGCCAGUUCGGGCACCCGAUGACAUAUACGAGGAAGAUUCCACAAGACUUGGUGAUCAAUACAAGGACUCCUUUCCACCGACGUAUUCGACUAGGACUCUUGUUAUCCUAGGCCUCUGGUAUAUUAUAUAAGCCGAGGCUAGGCUAGUCGAUAGAUCAUUAUGACAUUACUCAACACACUCCUAGGGUUUAGACCACAACAUAUGGACUCGAGGUAGAUCAACUCUGUAAUCAUACACAUCGAAUAUAAUCGAGCAGGAGUGUGGUUUUACCUCCUAUAGAGGGCCCGAACCUGGGUAAACACCGUGUAUCUUGUCCCGUGUUACCCAUCAAUCCUAGGACACACAGCUUGGGUGCCCCUACCCGAGAUCUACCAGUUUUGACACCGACACCGCGGACCACGCCUAGACAUAAAAACUAACAUAUACCGAAGACAUUUGCGUGUCAGCUUUGGAGAUGCCCUUGUGAUCAAAAUUAGACUUGAAAUAUGAGAGGCACAAUAAACCAAGGAGGAAGUAUGUGUCAGUGUGGAUCACAUAAUAAGGUAUUAGGCCAACUCUAAUGAACGACCCCAGACGGACGCCCGUUUUGUCCGGAUUCUGUCCAUUUAGUUUGGCUAGAGGCGCAUUGUCCGGCCGCGCCUGACCAAACCUGGUCAGUGCGACCAACCGUCCGACGUAUUUCGUCGGGCGCCAGAAUUAUUUGCAAUAAAAUAAAAUCUGAAAUUAGGGCUCGCGACCAUAGUCAUGCCAAGAGCCGUCAUUCAUGCUAGCCUACAACAAGAUCACCCCUAGCUCGCGUCGAAACACUUGCCAGCAACCGCACACUUACCAUCGCACAUAAAAUGACCAUAGUUUUUGCAUUGCGGCCCUAGUUCAUGACGGCCAUACAAAAUGAUGUCGCUCUCGGCCAUAGCUCAAUCAUCUAGCUCAAGCAUUUCCUUCUGCUUCUUCUAAAACCAAACUCUUCUCCUGAGGGACACCUUUCUCAAGUCCCCUCCACCUCCUUCGCCAAAAAAGCGAGUGCCAGCUCUUUUACUUUGGUCUUCGCAUUGGUUGACUCAAUCACAAGCUUCUUGGUUUGGACGUUCUCCUCCAUCUUGAGUUUCUUCUUUUGUAUCUCUAUGUAGGCCUUCAUUUGCUCCUAUUUCUCUUGGCGCUUCCUCUCCUACCUUGCUUCCUUUUGGGUCAUCAUGCCUUGCAAUGUUUCUUGGAAGGCGAAUAUCUCCACAUCACCCUUCUCAUCCACCUUGGACUUGGUCUUGCCCCUCGUUCGCUUCUCCCCUUCUUCAUUCUCAAUGAUGGUCGUUAGCCUUCCAUUCUUCUUUUGGGUGACAUAUUGCUCCUUGAACUAGGGGCAAUUGCAAAUGAUCGUCCAACAGUGGGUGAUGUUGAAUGGCUUGUUCCCAUGUUGGGAUUUGAAGGCUUCUAAAGUUUGGAAUGCCUACAAAUAAAAGGGAAGGCCACAAUGUAAUAGUGAAGGGCACAAUGCAACAAACAUGAAUAGGCAUAUGAACAAAGAGAAGAAAUUGUAUACCAUAUGGCUCAUGCCUAGGCCACUCAUGGGACAGCCUUGGAUGCUCUCAAGGGCGACACAAAACUUGUUGCAUUCUUAUUGGAUGAAACCCCCACCACUUUUGAAUUGAACCAAACUUGGUCAGUAUCUUUCAUACUAGAUAGGUUAUUCUCACAAUGAGUGUUUAUUCACUUGUCAUUGCACGAGAAAGUGGUAGGUAAUAGGGAUUUUCCAGUCUCAUAAUCAAUCAAAAAAUAUAAAAAAUAAAUACCCCCCCAUUGAAAGUUUGGAAGGCACCUGUGGAUACGGCUAGCCAUGAAUUAUGGAAGAAUGGUGGAGGGGGAGUAAAACUUUAUUUUCUGUUUGAGAACUGCAUAUAAUGUGUCUAGCCUGGGAGAUAUUGGAAACUUUUGGUCAUGACAUUGACAGGAAAAGCAUGCCUCUCAAAAUAAUUCCUCUCUGAUAUAGGGUGUGAGCUCUAGCACCUCUAUAAAUCGAUGCUUCCCUCUGCGUAGGACCCAUCUCACUAUUGCAGGAAUGCCUAGCAGUGGCGGGUGGGAAAACCCCAGUAGUGGCGGGCAAGGCUCUGAGGGCUGCCCGUCACUCCUAGAAUGCCAUCAGUGGCGGUCGCCCACCCGCCAUUGUUAGGCCAUGAUCAAUGGUGGGCUCUAGGUCGUGCCCUCCACAACACUCCGUGUUGCCCGCGAAAUGAUUUUCAUGCUGUCAUGGUGGUCCUUUUCUACCGCUUGCCACUGCAAUUGUUGCAUGUCGACAUGAUUCAAUUACAACAUAUUGCAGCUGGAUCAUAUCAUCAGGUUACAUUUGGUACAUAAAUUCUGGUUUGAACCUUCAUCCACAUAUAUGCACCACAUUACAAUGAUUUCAGUUUAAUGAAAUGUAGUAGUCAUAAAAUAUAACAAGUGCAUUAUAGUAAUUAAUAAGCAUAUAUAUUUCGCGAUCAUCACAUAAUGAAUGGUUUGAUGAGUUUUUUUGGAGUGAAGUGAGUGUUGGCCAAUGUUCGUCAUGUAGACUGUUAGUAUAAGCCGCACAUACUACAUGAAUUAGUACUUGAUGGAAUGAACGGGGACCAAUGGGCCGCCGGCUCUAGAAUUGGAAUUUUUUCUUCUCGAAGAGGCCAUUGCACAACCUCGGCGGGCGUGGGUACAGUGGUUGGACUCAUACCCAGCCAGAUCCUCAGUAUCUCAUCCAGGGUCGCCUCCACAAGGAUGCACACUAGGAGGUCAGUGGGCCGCCUCUCUACAAUCUUGUCAAUCGCUGGGAGAGAACAAUGGGCCAUUGGAACACUUUUGACCCAAGCUAACAUCACCUCCUUGAGGUGCUCUAUGGGUCCAUAGCUAGUAGCUAGAUGGCUUCUUCUCUCUCUUUGAUUCUCAAUACCAUGUUCUCCGCGAUGUUCUUGGAGAUCUAUCUGAUGAAAUAUUCUUUUGCGGUGUAUUUGUCGAGAUCCGAUGAAUUGUGGAUUUAUGAUCAGCUUAUGUAUGAAUAUUACUUGAAUCUUAUCUGAAUUCUUAUAUCCAUGAUUUUAUAUCUUUGUAAUUCUCUUCAAACUAUCUGUUUAGUUUGGCCAACUAAAUUGUUUUUUCCUGCAAUGGGAGAAGUGCUUAGCUUUGGGUUCAAUCUGGCGGUGUCCUUUCCCAGUGACAGUAGGGGAAGAAAGGCAUGUAUUGCAUUGUUUCCAUCGAGGAUAAAAAUAUGGGGUUUACAUCAUAUUGCUUGAGUUUAUUCCUCUACACCAUGUCAUCUUACUUAAUGUGUUACUCUGUUCUUUAUGAACUUAAUAUUCUAGAUGCAGGCAGGAGUCAGUCGAUGUGUGGAGUAAUAGUAGUAGAUGCAGGCAGGAAUCAGUCUACUUGACACAGACAUGAUGCCUAUAUUUCAUAAUCAUUGCCUUGGAUAUCGUCAUAACUUUGCACUUUCUAUCAAUUGCUCGACAGUAAUUUGUUCACCCAUCGUAUUAUUUGCCUUCAUGAGAGAAGCCUAUAGUGAAACCUAUGGCCCUCGGGUCUAAUUUCCAUCAUAUUAGUUUCUGAUCUACUAUUUUGCAAUCUUUUACUUUCAGAUCUAUCAACCAAAAAGACUCAAAAAUAUUUUAUCUUUUGUUUAUCUAUCUCUAUCAGAUCUCACUGUUGCAAGUGAUCAUGAAGAGAUUGACAACCCCUUUAUCGCGUUGGGUGCAAGUUGUUUGAUUAUUUGUGCAGGUAUUGGUGGCUUGUGCGUUGUCUCCUACUGGAUUGAUACCUUGCUUCUCUAACUGAGGGAAAUACUUAUCUCUACUUUGCUGCAUCAUCCUUCCUCUUCAAGGGAAAAACCAACGCAAUAUCCAGAAGUAGCAGACAACAUACUUAGUUCCAUUUCUCCGUCGGUGUGUUACUUUAUCUCGGUAUCGGCAAGUCUCUUUCCUCUUUCCAUAAUAGAUUAUCAUGUAACUAACUCCUUAGUCAUUUCAUGAUGUUGUAUUACCAAGAGGGCCCAGAGAUACCUCGUACAGAGUGAAAAAUCCCAGUCUUGACCCAUGCCGACUCAACAAACACCUUCAGAGAUACCUGUAGAGCACCUUUAUGAUCACCCAGUUACAUUGUGAUGUUUGAUAGCACACAAGGAACCUCCGGAGUCCGGAGUUGCAUUAUCUAGUGGUCGAAGAAACAUCUAUUUGAAAUUACGAAAGUAGUAGCAAUAAACUGAAAGAUCAUAUGCUAUGCUAACGGUUGGGUCUUGUCCAUCACAUCACUCUCCUAAUGAUGUGGUCCUGUUAUCGAAUGACAACUCAUGUCUAUGGUUAGGAAACCUUAACCAUCUUUGAUCAAUGAGAUAGUCUAGUAGAGGCUCACUAGGGACAUGGUAUCUGUUUAUGUAUCCGCACAUGUAUUUAAGUUUCGGGUCAAUACAAUUCUAGCAUGAAUAAUAAACCUUUAUCGUGAAUAUGGAAAUAUGAUAAUAACAACUUUAUUAUUGCCUCUAAGGCAUAUUUCCAUCAUUUGAAUUGAUCUAUGAGUGCUAAGUUUGAUCUCCACCAGAAAGAGCCAACCUUAUGAUAUCCUGGGAGUUGUCCAUUACUAUAGUCUCUCUCCCAAAUUAAAUUAACCGAGGGUAUGUCAUGCCUAUUGAAGAACUUAUGAAGGUUUGUUAUGAGCAGAGUCUUGUUUUGUUUGUAGAUAUCCAUAACUCCUAGGCCUCCUUGAUAUUUGGGUCUACAAACAGUGUGCCAUGCAACUAAAGCUGGUCUGUGAUCUUCCAAAUCAGGGCUUCUCCAUAGACAGUGUCUCAAGUACUUAAUGAUCUGUUCCUUGAUGGUAAUAGGUAUGUCCAGGCAACACUUGCAGAAAAUUGGUAAUGAUGCAAGCACUAAUUUUGACUAGGAGCAACCUUCCUACGUGAGUCAUAAAAGUAGAAAUACCUGCUAAUCUCUUAGCAAUUCUGUUGACUAGGGGCAAACAUUGUUCCACAGUUGGUUUAUAGAUUCCUAAAGGAAGGCCCAAGUAAGUAAAAGGGAAUUGUCCUCUUACACAUUGCAGUGUGUGAGUGAAAAUAUUUAUUCUGUCUUCUGCAAUGUUUAUGGGCACCAUGAUUGAUUUCCAAUAAUUGACUUUUAGUCCAGCGGCUGAGGCAAAUGUGUUUAACAGGGCUUUGAGACAUAUCAGCUACUUUGCAUUUGCUUGCAUAAGAACCAGGGUAUCAUCUACAUACUGUACUACUCGAGAAUUAGGACAGGAGUAGACUUGCAGUGGUGGAGUAAUUAUACUCAGUAUGCUGGCCUUAUUAAGUAUUGAUUGUAGGAGAUCAGCAGACAACACAGAAAUCAAUGGGGAAAGGGGAUCACCCUGCCUCACUCCUCUUCUAUAGUAGAAUUUUAUUGGCAUGGAAUCCAUUCAACAUCACAGCAUAUGUGGCAGAUGUGAAAACUAAGUGCAUCCAGAAAAUCUACUUGUCUCCAAAUCCCUUUACUCUGAGUAUAUCAACAAUUUCCUGAUGUUCGAUAGUGUCGAAAGCUUUCUCAAAAUCCAUUUUAAUCACCAGCAUCACUUCUUUUGAUUUAUGACAUUGAUGGAUAUAUUCAUAUUGUUGGGGAACGUAGCAUGCAAUUUCAAAAAAAUCCUAUGCUCACGCAAGAUCUAUCUAGGAGAUGCAUAGCAACUAGAGUGGGAGAGUGUGUCCAUGUACCCUCAUAGGACGAAAGCAGAAGCGCUAGCUUAAUGCGGUUGAUAUAGUCGAAAAUCUUCUCGAUUCAACCGAUCAAGCACCGAACGUAUGGUACGUCCGUGUUCUGCACAUGUUCAGCUCGAUGACGUCCCUCGAACUCUUGAUCCAGCAAAGUGUCAAGGGAGAGUUUCGUCAGCAUGAUGGCAUGGUGACUGUGAUGGUGAAGUGAUCCGCGCAGGGCUUCGCGUAAGCACUACGACAAUAUAACCAAAGGAGUAAACGGUGGAAGGGGGCACCGCACACGGCUAAGAACAAUUGAUGUCCGUCGAGGUGCCUCCCCGAACCCAUAUAUAAAGGAGGGAGAGGGGAGGAGGCCGGCCUAGGGCGCGCCAAGUGGAGAGGAAUCCCACUUGGACUCGUAGUCCUGUUCGCCCCCACCCCUCUUUCCUUCUAUCAGAGGGGAAAAGAUGGAAGGAGAGGGAGUAGGAGAAGGAAAGGGCGUGACGCCCCCUUCCCUUGUCCAAUUCGGUCUCCUUUCUUGUGGGGGCACACCAGCCCCUUGUGGGCUGGUUAGCCUCCCUCCUACGGCCCAUAUGGCCCAUAUCUUCCACCGAGGGGUUCCAGUAACCCCUCCGGUACUCCAGUAUGUACCCGAUACACUCCGGAACCCUUUCGGUGUCUGAAUACUACCUUCCAAUAUAUCAAUAUUUAUCUCUCGACCAUUUAGAGACUCCUUGUCAUGUCCGUGAUCUGAUCCGGGACUCCGAACAACCUUCGGUCACCAAAACACAUAACUUAUAUAAUAUAUAUCGUCAUGUCAACAUACGUUAUUCCCUUUGUCAUCGAUAUGUUACUUGCCCGAGAUUCGAUCGUCGCUAUCUUCAUACCUAGUUCAAUCUCGUUACCGGCAAGUCUCUUUACUCGUUCCGUAAUGCAUCAUUACGCAACUAACUCAUUAGUCACAUUGCUUGCAAGGCUUCAUAUGAUGUGCAUUACCGAGGGGCCCUAGAGAUACCUCUCCGAUACUCGGAGUGACAAAUCCUAAUCUCGAUCUAUGCCAACCCAACAAACACCUUUGGAGGUACCUGUGGAGCAUAUUUAUAAUCACCCAGUUACGUUUUGACGUUCGAUAACACACAAGGCAUUCCUCCGGUGUCCGGGAGUUGCAUAAUCUCAUAGUCAGAGGAAUAUGUAUUUGACAUGAAGAAAGCAGUAGCAAUAGAACUGAACAAUCAUUAUGCUAUGAUAACGGAUGGGUCUUGUCCAUCACAUCAUUCUCCUAAUGAUGUGAUCUCGUUCGUCAAAUGAAAACACAUUUCCAUGGCUAGGAAACUUAACCAUCUUUGAUCAACGAGCUAUUCAAGUAGAGGCAGACUAGGGACACUAUGUUUUGUAUGUGUAUUCACACAUGUAUCAAGUUUCUGGUUAAUACAAUUCUAGCAUGAAAAAUAAACAUUUAUCAUGAAUAAGGAAAUAUAAAAUAACAACUUUAUUAUUGCCUCUAGGGCAUAUUUACUUCAGUCUCCCACUUGCACUAGAGUCAACAAUCUAGUUCACAUCGCCAUGUGAUUUAACUCCAAUAGUUCACAUCUUUAUGUGAUUAACACCCAUAGUUACAUCGCCAUGUGACCAACACCCAAAGGGUUUACUAGAGUUAAUAAUCUAGUGUCACACCCUGAUUUUCAUGGCACCACACUUAAGCUAAUAAAUCAUGAUAAAUUGUGGUUUGACUAAAAACUUUUGUGUGUUUUGGUCUUUGUUUGAUUUGAUUCUUUUCUGUUGUUUGCAAGUGCUCUAAAAAUCAAAUACAUCCUCCAACUCUUAUACUCCUUCUCCUUGAUCCAGAAACCUUGCCCAGUGAACAUGCCAUGUGUAUAGGACAUAAAAAUAAUUUCUUAUAAAAAUAAUUUGGCCAAAUAGUAUUUUCAAAAAUUAGUUUUCCAAAAACCCCUGAAUUGAGAUUUGCACUGCAAGUACUUAAUUAAGGGCAGUAAAAAUCUUUACAAAAAUAUAUUUGACUCCUAUGAGGUAUAGGACACCCAUAAACCCCAAAAAUAUAAUUUUAAAACUUAUUUUAUUAUUUUAUUUAAAGGAUUUUUCUUUAGGCCAGAAAUGAUCUUUAAUAGGUUAAAAUUGUUUUAAUGGUUUAAAAAUAUUUGUGAAAAUUUAGGGAAACGAAGUGGACAUAUAUUGUCCAGAUAUAAGAGUUUCAAUAUAGGGUCAUGUUCAAAAUAUUGGUCAAAUCUCUCAAAAACCCUUUCUGGAUAUUUCAAGCUUUUGAAAUAUUUACAAAGGAAAUAUUCUCCAAAAAUUCCAAGAAAAUUCUAUCAUGUCACAUAUGACACGUUGGAUGAUCUUGACAAGUCUCAUGUCAUGCAGAAUAGUAUAACCCCAUGAAACCCUCUCAAAACCAUUUCUGCCCUUUUUCAAGUUUGAACAACUUUGCAUUAGAAAACUUGUCCAAAUACUCUCAAGCUUGGUCCACAUGCUACAAUGGUCCAAUAAAUAAUCUAGACUAAGUAUAAAAAGUUGGAGAACAAGUUAACUUGCUCAAAGUGCCCUAAAACCCUUCCUAUCCAGAACCAAAUUUGAACAACUCAACAUUGGAAACUAUCUCUUUUUGAUCUCAACUUUUGUGGACAUGUUCAGAAUCUCAAAUGAUGACACUACACCAAGUAGUGCACCAAUGAGAAGAGUUUAGCUUAGCUAGAUCUAAGCAAGUCCAUUUUUGUUAAUUUCUAGAGUUUACAAAAGUUGCAUUGGCAACUUUGCCCAAAUGGACUCAACCUUGGUGGAACCUAUUAUUAUAUCAUGCCAUUUGACCCUGUCAAUCCUCAUGACAAGAGGAGUUCAUCUUAUUUCCCAAACCAGCAACAAACACCUUCUCCCAUUUUAUUAAAACCCCUGUUUUGACCAUUUCCACUCUUCUCCUUCCUCUCUCUUCAUCCACUGGCCACCCAAAGCAUCCAAGGAGAAGAUCCCUUCCUUAGCACCCCCAAAGACUACUGGACAUGCAAGGGCGCGCCCACAAGCAUAGAAAAUGGCCUGGACAGCCAUAUGGGCGCUCUGGAGCGCGCUACAGUGCGCCCUUGCACUGUAGCCGCUCUCUGCCCAAGCCACCCGACGACCUCGGGGGCCGGGAGCGUGUCCCUCGAGUCUGUCUCGGCGUGCGUGACACGCCUAGCUGUCGGGCCCGUCGCCCAUCGGCCUCCUUUGCCCCUGUCGAGCUCACCCGAAUGCCGCCCAAGCUCACCGGUCGUUGCACUCGUGCGGGACCUUCUCUGGCGUCGCCCCGCUCCCCCUCUCACCUUACUCGCUCCUGGAUGAACUCCACGAGUGCCACUGACCCAUCCAAGAACCCUCCCUCGACCACCACCAUGAUUUCCGCGAGCACCCGUGAGCUUGGCUCACGGUGCACCAUGGCCUCGCCUUAUAGGGCCUCCCCUGGUCUCUCCCUCGUCUCCAUUCACUCUCCCCCUCCCCUAGUCCUGCUGGACCAACCCUCUCUCUCUCCCGCGUCCCCUAUCCUCCCCCACAGCCAAAGAAUCGCCGCCGGCCGCCGCCAAAAUUCGUGGUAUCCCGAGCUCCUCCGCGGGUGUGAAGCACAUGGACGGGAUCGGCGCAUUGCGCUGAGUCCUCCGGUGUGCUGGGCACCGUCGCAGGUGACCGGAGCCGCUGCAACGGGCACCGGUGCCGCUCGGCCGCGCCUCCCCUGUCGCUCCUCUCCCUCAGGUGCAAGGUAGGGCACGACCACUCCGCCAGCUCGCAGGGGGCCCGCCCGUCAGCGGCAGAGGUGACCGAGCCGGCCCACCAGUCGGGUUAAGUUGAAACGGCUUCGGGCCGACCCGCUUGCCCCGCUGGGUGGCGCCCUCCUGCAGUGCGCCUUCGACGUCACCUCCUCCCUCGCGCAGCUGAGCCACUGGGCCGAGCCCAGUAGGCGCUGUUUAGCUGGGCUUCGCCCAUGCGCUUUAUAAGCUUGACAUCUUUUCUUCCUUUUUCUUUUUUUAAAUAUUGUAAAAUCUCUAGAGAAUUCAAAUGGACUCCAUAUUUGAUGAUUCAAAUUUCUGGUAGCUCAUAAAAUCAUGGUGUAUCUUAUGGUGCAACUUGCACAUUUUUCCAGAAACCUUUUUUUCACAAAUAUUUAUAAUAUCCUAUUUUUCCUAUUUUUGUGAUAAACUUUAGAAAAUCACAGAGAGCUCAAAAUUGAUUCAAAUGCCUUGAUUCGAAUUCCUAGAUGCUUCUAAGUUCAUAACUUAGUUUAUGAACAUUUUUAUUAAUAUUUUCUGUGCCCCACAAAAUAAUGAGCCAUUUCUUCAUAUUAGCCAACUUUGCCAAUUCCUAGGAAAAUCAUUUGAACUCCAAAUCCAGUAAAACCAACUCCGAGAGGCUUCUAAAAUCAUGCUUUGUUAAAUGGGUGCCUUUGCUCAUUUUUCAAUAUAAUGUUUCUAUGCACUUAUUGCAAAUGCAUAAACCCCUUGAUUCCAUCAUAUCGAAAUGUUUCGAAAUAUCCAUUGAUCCACUUCCAAUGAAACCACCUUGGUCAUUCCUCAUAUGACCAGAGGUAUCCUAGAAAAGUCCAACUCACAUUUUUUUAGAGCACUUUUAUUUUGCCUGGUCGUGUUGCUUAUUAUGGUUGUUUUCGGCGAUAUUUGACGAAGUAGAUGAAAUGCUCGGAGUUAGACCAGAGAUAUUUGAAGACCUCGAAGACUUUGUUAAAAUAGGAAAGCAGCCCUUUGACCAUGUCUAUGAUACCCUUUUUAUGCAUGUCAUAUAGCACUUUUAUUGCUUGCAUCAGAGACAUGAUACUGUGGUAACCACAUGGGGUGGUUUGCCACCGUUACUUCCUCGUUGAUACUUGCAUUGUGCAUGACCCUACCUUCUUAUGAGGGUUAUGCCGGUGGGAGUAGAUAGGAUGCUAAAGUAGAUGCUACGCAAAAAGGGACGGGUAUAUGCAUGGUGAAGGAGACAAAGUAUUUUCAAAAGACUUUUCGAAAACCCCGUCGGGUGCCACUUAUGCCCGAGGGAGAUGAUGAGAUGGGUAACCACUUGAUGACAAAGUGGUGUACCGAGGCAAGUGUGUUUUGUUUUCGAAAACGGAUUAGAUUUAAGAUUUGUCGACUGUCCCAACCUUACAUGCGCAACCACUCUACCCUUGUAUGGGAAAGGGCAUUAUUGAUUUCCUAGGCCGAUACUAGCUUGGAGCCCGCAUUACUAGUGACGGCGGAGAGUUGGUGCUCUCCCUCGGGACGGGGUCGUGCCAGGUAGGGCGGCCAUGACUGUUUUCAUAGGGCACCAGAUACACCGUUGUGUCCCCUCUCGGAUGUUACGAUCUCGAGUGACUCUCGUAUGAUGUACAUCGUGAGAAUACGGAACAACGAGUGGACUGCUUGUUAGUGUCGUCUAGGGAAAGAUAGUGAUCGGGUGCUUACUCCGGGUACUUGAGGUAUCGCGGGUCGUGGAUGACACGGAAGUUCCCCGGAUCUUGUGGGUAAAGUGUGCAACCUAAAACUAUUCGAAUAGCCGUGUCCACGGUCAAGGACAGUUGGGCGGUGCUGCUUAAACUACAUCCAGAGCUUCACAAACCAGUGUGUGUGUUCGGAUAAUUGGGGAAAACUACUUGGGUCAAGUCAAGGGACUUGACAUGAUUGAGUUGGGUUGAUGCCCACUCUAUUUAUGUUGAUAUCUGUAACCUGUCCUCAUGGUUACUUGAAUUCUCCUGAUGCAUGUCUUACAAGUUGUUGAACAUGUCAUUGCACUCAAAACUAGCUUUCUGCAAAAUUUACCUAUAUCAUGCAUUGUUACAUCUUGGACCAAAACAUGGGUUGCUUGCGAGUACAUUCAAAGUACUCAUUGGCCUGCCACUAGUUAUUUAAUUGGCCAGGCAUGGAAGAACCAGAGUUUGAAGAAGAGUUCUUUGGAGACGAACAUGCUUUAACUAGGAUGUUUCCCAGUCAGAAUACCUUUAGGGUUAAGGCAGAUGGCAUGGGUUCUACUUAUCGACAAAGAGUUCCGCUGCUUAUAUUUCAUUUGAUGCUCAACCCUUAAGGCUUUAUCAAUGUAAGACUUGACCAUAAUGGUCAUAAUUUGUGUAAGACGGUAUGAAUGGAUGUAAGACUCUUGUUAUUCAGCUUCUGUGUGUUCAGUGAGCAUUGAUCUCUGGGAUCACUGUACACUUGCAUUCGGUGAUCAUGACUUAUGAGUCGGGGUCCCCACUAGUUCACAUCGCUAUGUGAUUAACACCCAAACAGUACUAAGGUGUGAUCAUGUUUUACUUGUGAGAGCAGUUUAGUUAACGGGUCUGCUACAUUCAGAGCCGUAUGUAUUUUGCAAAUUUGAUACGUCUACAUUUCUCUACAUGGAUAUAGUCUAGCUAAUUGCUCCCACUUUCAAUAUGUAUCCAUAUUGAGACUUAGAGUCAUCCGGAUUGGUGUAAAAGCUUGCAUCAACGUAAGUCGUUACGACGACCUCUUUAUCACCUCCAUAACGGAGAAAUAUUUCCUUAGUCCUCUUAGGUAACUAAGGAUAACUUUGACCGCUAUCUAGUGAUCCACACCUGGAUCACUAUCGCACCCCCUUGCCAAACUCAUACCAAGACACACAACUGGUCUGGUACAUAGCUUGGCAUACUUUAUAGAACCUAUGACUGAGGCAUAGGGAAUGACUUUCAUUCUCUUUCUAUCUUCUACCAAGACACACAACUUUACACCUUGUAAUACAGGCAAGAACUCCUUCUUUGACUGGUCCAUUUUGAACUCUUUCAAAAUCUUGUCAAGGUAUGUACUCAUUGAAAGUAUUAUCAAACGUCUUGAUCUAUCUCUAUAUUUUCUUGAUGCCCAAUAUGUAAGCAGCUUUCACCGAGGUCUUUCAUUGAAAAACUUUUAUUCAAGUAUCCUUUUAUGCUAUCAACAAAUUCUACAUCAUUUCCAAUCAACAAUAUGUCAUCCACAUAUAAUAUUAGAAAUUCUAUAGAGCUCCCACUCACUUUCUUGUAAACACAAGCUUCUCCAAAAGUCUGUAUAAAACCAUAUGCUUUGAUCACCUCAUCAAAUCGUAUAUUCCAACUCUGAGAUGCUUGCACCAGUCCAUAGAUGGAUCGCUGGAGCUUGCACACUUUGUUAGCACCUUUAGGAUCGAGGAAACUUUCUGGUUGCAUCAUAUACAACUCUUCUCAGAGAUAUCCAUUCAAGGAUGUAGUUUUUGACAUCCAUUUGCUAGAUUUCAUAAAAUGUGGGAAUUGCUAACAUGAUUCAUGCAGACUUAAGCUUUGAGAUGGGUGAGAAAGUCUCAUCAUAGUCAACUCCUUGAACUUGUCGAAAACCUUUUGCAACAAGUUGAGCUGUGUAGACAGUAACACUAUCAUCAGCGUCAGUCUUCUUCUUGAAGAUCCAUUUAUCCUAUGUGGGUCGCCGAUCAUCGGGUAGAUCAACCAAAGUCCACACUUUGUUCUCAUACAUGGAUCCUAUCUCAGAUUUCAUGGCUCAAGCCAUUUAUCGGAAUUUGGGCUCAUCAUAGCUUCUUCAUAGUUCGUAGGUUCAUCAUGGUCAAGUAAGAUAACCUCCACAACAGGAUUACCAUACCAAUCUGGUGCGGAUCGUGCUCUGUUUGACCUACAAGUUUCUAUAGCAACUUGAUCUCAAGUUUCAGGAUCUGUAUCAUUAUUUUCCUCUGCAUUUGGUGUAGGCAUCACAAGAACUGAUACGUCUCCAACAUAUCUAUAAUUUUUUAUUGUUCCAUGCUAUUAUAUUACCCAUUUUGGAUGUUUAUGGGUUUUACUAUACACUUUUAUAUCUUUUUGGGACUAACCUACUAACCGGAGGCCCAGCCUGAAUUGUUGUUUUUUGCCUAUUUUAGUGUUUCGCGGAAAAGGAAUAUAAAACAUAGUAAAAAUGGAAUGAAACCUUCGGGAGCAAUCUUUUUGGAACAAACGCAAUCCAAGAGACUUGGGGUGGACGUCAAGAAGCAGUCAAGGCGGCCACGAGGGUGUAGGGCGCACACCUAGGGGUGGGAGCCCCCUGCCUCGUGGGCCUCCCGUGCCUCCCCUGACCGACCUCCUUCGCCUAUAUAUAUCUAUGUACCCCGAAAACAUCCAGGGGCACCACGAAAAACUAUUUCCACCGCCGCGACCUUCUAUACCCAUGAGAUCCCAUCUUGGAGCCUUUUCCGGCGCUCCGCCGGAGGGGGAAUCGAUCAUGGAGGGCCUCUACAUCAUCAGCAAGGCCUCUCCGAUGAGUUGUGAGUAGUUUACCACAGACCUUCGGGUCCAUGGUUAUUAGCUAGAUGGCUUAUUCUCUCUCUUUGAAUCUCAAUACAAAGUUCUGCUUGAUCUUCUUGGAGAUCUAUUCGAUGUAACUCUUUUUGCGUUGUGUUUGUCAAGAUCCGAUGAAUUGUGGGUUUAUGAUCGAGUUUAUCUAUGAGAAAUAUUUGAAUCUCCUCUGAAUUCUUUUAUGUAUGUUUGGUUAUCUUUGCAAGUCUCUUCAAAUUAUCAGUUUGGUUUGCCCUACUAGAUUGAUCUUUCUUGCAAUGGGAGAAGUGCUUAGCUUUGGGUUCAAUCUUGUGGUGUCCUUUCCCAGUGACAGUAGGGGAAGCAAGGCAUGUAUUGCAUUGUUGCCAUCGAGGAUAAAAAUAUGGGGUUUACAUAAAAUUGCUUGAGUUUAUUCCUCUACACCAUGUCAUCUUACUUAAUGCGUUACUCUGUUCUUUAUGAACUUAAUACUCUAGAUGUAGGCAGGUGUCGGUGUCAAAACCGGCGGAUCUCGGGUAGGGGGUCCCGAACUGUGCGUCUAGGCGGAUUGUAACAGGAGACAAGGGACACGAUGUUUUUACCCAGGUUCGGGCCCUCUCGAUGGAGGCAAAACCCUACUCCUGCUUCAUUAAUAUUGAUGAUAUGGGUAGUACAAGAGUUGAUCUACCACGAGAUCAGAGAGGCUAAACCCUAGAAGCUAACCUAUGGUAUGAUUGUUGUUCGUCCUACGGACUAAAACUCUCCGGUUUAUAUAGACACCGGAGAGGGCUAGGGUUACAUAGAGUCGGUUACAAUGGGAGGAGAUCUUCAUAUCAUAUCACCAAGCUUGCCUUCCACGCCAAGGAAAGUCCUAUCCGGACACGGGACGAAGUCUUCAAUCUUAUAUCUUCAUAGUCCGAGAGUCCGGCCAAAGGUCAUAGUUGGCCAUCCGGACACCCCCUAAUCCAGGACUCACUCAGUAGCCCCUUAACCUGGCUUCAAUGACGACGAGUCCAACGCGCAAAUUGUCUUCGGCAUUGCAAGGUGGGUUCCUCCUCCGAAUACGUCAUAGAAGAUGUUGAACACAAGGAUAGUGUCCGGCUCUGCAAAAUAAGGUCCACAUACCACCGUAGACAGAAUAAUAUCUGCACAAAUCUAAUCUGUUGACGUAUUCUGCAGCGUGACAUCACGCCACGGCCAGGCCUUUAUUUGAAUCAUUUUACUGUUCCACCUCAGCGCGUUUAGCGAGGCGGUUUCCUAGGCACGUCUUGUCAAAGCAGAGAUCGUGUCCCCUUAUUCCGGGAUUCUCAUCAAUACGAGCGUGGGUAACCCAACCGUGCCUUUGGUAUGACUCCCUAAUUGAAAGUGCGUCCCAAACGGUUACGGGGAGGGCUCUUGGUAUUCAACCCCUAUAUAAAGAGACCAAGGCUCGACUCCUUUCUUUUCAAUUCAAUCGAAUCCGCCCCUCGCCUCGAGUUCCAACACUCAAAGCUCCAGUUUUAGGCGCUUCGGACCUUCGAAGAUGUCCGGCUCCGACCUUCAAGGCCGGUGGAUGCCUUCCUCCGUUACGAAAGAAGACGUGCGAAAGCUGAGAGAUCCCAGGUAUCUAACCGGCGAAAUCUCGCAUAGGCUGCCUGCUCAAGGGCAGGCCAUUCCCACUCCCCAGCCCGGUGAGAGCGUGGUGUUCACAUCUCACUUCCUUCGGGGGCUAGGCUUCCCGAUUGAUUCCUUUGUGAGGGGGCUUAUGUUUUAUUACGGGCUGGAAUUUCACGACUUAGCUCCGGAGUCCAUCCUCCAAAUCUCAUCGUUCAUUGUCGUGUGUGAGGACUUUCUCCAUAUUACUCCUCACUUCGGAUUGUGGCUUAGAACCUUCAAGGUGGAACCGAAGAUGAUCGAGGGGCAGCACGCUGAGUGCGGAGGAGCUAUCAUAAGCAAGAUGGCCGACGCUCCAUGGCCCGAGGGCUCUUUCCAAGAGAGUUCGGCUUAUGGCAACGGGACUAGUUUUACAUCACAGCCCCCAGGGGCACCACAUGGGUGGCGCCACCUGCUUUUCGGUCGGGUCCCCCACCACGGCUAGCGUCAUGGGUCAAUGAAGGGCUUAUCUGGGGGACGUCCCAAGACGUGCCCUUGCUGCAGGACCGCAUUCGAGAUCUCCUAGAAAGAGAUAUCAACUUGACCGUAGUGGCGCAAGUUAUGCUGAUUCACCGCAUGCUUCCCUACAAACGUCGCCCUCUCCGCCUGUGGGAAUUUAAUCCGGAGGGACCGCGAGUCCUUCAACACUUUAUGGGCACGACGCCCAUGGAGAUGUACAAAUUGUUCUUCGGAACAGAAGCAAGGUGUCCGGACUUGUCCGAGGACGCAGGUCUGAGCUGCAAUCGCCCGGAUGCUCAAGUAAGUCGCCCCGUAUUUGGACACGCCAUCCGUAUUUUCAUCAUAGAAUUGCCCUUAACAGAGCUAUCCUUUGAACAGGAGUGGAUAGCGAAGGCAAAGCUUAUCAGGUGUCCAGCCCCCCUGCCUGAGACCGUGCCGGAUCCCGUGUUAACCAGGAUGCUGGAGAUUGUGCUUUCGGCAAAAGGAGAAGAGGGGAACCAAGGAGCUACCGCCUCCAUGAAGGAGGCUGUCAGGAAGGGAGGAAUCGAGAAUUCCCCCAACCCGGGAAAGAAAAGGACUGCCUCUGAAGACCCGGAGGGGAUGGCCUCAAAACGGGGGAAGAAAUCUUUGCCAGAGGAUCCGACGCCGGAGAAUGCCCCGGCUGCAUUGCGCCCUCAAGGGGAUCAGCUCUCCUUCGAGACGUUAGUAAAGAGAGGGGUUCCAAAAUGAGUGGCAUCCCUGUUUUAUUUCUGAGGAAGAUAACUGAAAUAUUACCUUGCAGUUCGGAUCUCAACCCUUCUCAACAGAGGUCAUCUUCAGGGGAUCUUCGUCCAGAGAUGAUGGAGAGCGAAACGUCUCCCCUAGCUGCACCAUCUUACGAGGCAGGCGACCCUGAGGUGUCGUCCCGGGGGGGUUUUCCAAGUCCGGACCCUAAAAAAGGUCGUCAGGCUAGUCCGGCACCCUCUGGUGCGCGGUCGGAGGGGCUGAAGGGUAUGCUCGGGCGAGCGUACAUCUCAGAAGAACACCGUAUGUUGAUGAACAUGGUGAUAGGAAGGAUUUCAUCCGCGGAAAGCGGAUUGUACGAGGCCGCCAGGAGUUUACUGACAGGCUUUGAGGUACGUGGAAAGGUGUACCUUUUGGUGGAGCCGCAUAUAUAAAAUGCGCCCUGUAUAAAUAGUAGCCCCUGAGACUCUGUGUGUCGUCAAAAGUGACGGCGCACAGAGGAUCAUAACCCCAGGUAUAAUAUGUCACCUUUUUAUGAAAGUGGCGAGGCGUUCGGUGGCUAGCCGGACUGAUGAAUCUGUCGAGCUAAAGCGGCAACUUAAUGUGGCAGAUGCCGACAUCGCGCUUGUAAAUAAGUGGCUAGACGAGGCACAAGGUAUGUUCCAAAUACAUCUGAUAAGAGGAGUUCGAUUCUCGUGCCUUAUAGGAUAUGUGCUUAAUGUAGAUGGUGCUGCUGCCGUGGAGAACCUUUGGGCCGAACUUGCCCGAGCCAAGGAGCAAGCCAGGAAAAGUGAUGCGGCUGCCAUUAAGGCGGCUGAAGAGCUAAAAGCCGAACAGGCUGCUCACUGCCAGAGCAAGAAAGUAAUAGCCGAGAUGGCUAUAAAAUUGAAGGAUGCUGCCGAUCGCUGUAAAUUUCUUGAACAAGAAGAUAGGGCGGCUCAGAAGGACCUUGAAAAGAUCACUGCCGAGGCCAAGGAUACUCGGUCUGCAAUAAGAGUUAUGAAGGAGGAGCUACGUCAGGCCGGAGAUAUCAUGGUUGGAAAGCCCUAUAUGCUGCGGAUGAAGUUCGGGGAUCCUAAGUAUGUCCGUUAGACCGGCAGUGGAGUGCGGAAAACACUUAUCUGGAUUUGGCAGCGAGUGCGGCAGACGCAACCGAACACUUCCGAGGUCGAGGUGACCAUGAAUUGGUAGAACUUUUUUGGUCGUAGUUCCACAAUCCAGAACACCCACUUUCGGUAUCCGACCGUUUGGCCGCCUGGGCGGAGCUAAACAGGUUAUCCGGACUCGCCACGAGGUAUGUUGCGAGUCGUUUGUGGCCGGAAGAGCCAGAGCCGAAGAGUUAGUUUAGCUUGGUGCAGCAGUUCCUUGGUUCGGUGCCGCAUGUUGAUGCAAUGAAGAGGUCGGCGUGCAUAGAGGGUGCAUAAAUGGCUCUUGCCCGUGUCAAAACAUACUGGGCGGAUAUGAAGGCCAGUGUUGUUGCAUCCCGGGAUUCGGACGAAAGCCGAGUACCUUCCAAGCACUACUUUGAGGAAGUUCUUCCUGGCGCUCGUUUAAUAGAGGCGCAGUGCUCGAAGGAUGUUGUGUUCGAAUAGCAUGUGCUAUUGUAAAAUGAAUAUUUUGAUAGAAUAUAAAAGCUUUUUAUACUUGUGCUUGCAAGAAUUAUAAUACCUCCUGCGCGGCCGUUAAUGUAUAUGUGUAUAUAACCUGAAAGAUGGCAGUCGUUGGCUUCAGCCCCCACGCAUAUAAUGCAGGGGUGUUUGCAAAAAGGCGUCUUUUCACACAUAAUAGAACGUCUUGGUCCUACAAAGGAGGUGAUAGCGCAGCGAACUAGGCAACCGGACUAUAAUGCUUUAUCACUUUCACUUAGCCAUAGGAGUUGGACAGUGGGGCUACUUAAUAGCCCCUAGGGGCACCGCGCUCGCCCGAAUUCAGGGCGCGUGUGUGCCUGACCGGAAAGCGGCCCUUCGUUAAUGCGGAGGAAUCCUAAAUAUUCCGAGAGUCAUCGAGUGGUUGACCAGUCUCUCGCUAUAUCAUGACAGUCAGUUUUCGGCUUUUCUCUACUGAGGUGCUCGCCUGGCUGAACCGGGGCACAAUCGCAGUAGUUCUCCUGGUGCCGCCUUAGCCAAUAGAGCGCAACGUAAGGUAGCAAAACACAGGAGCCGGGCAAACCCAACAUUUGACCAAAGACAUGUUUCGGAGCUGAUGCAUAUAAGGCCAAACUCGCGACGCCGAACACUCCCUAAGGUAUUCGGUCUUUAUGAAGACGGGCCGAACCAAAGCCCUUGGUAAAAAAGCCCCUGGUGUCCAGGUACGCGCAAAAUUCUGGCAUGGCCACAUGCCAAGACGCCAGCCUCCUCCUCGGUUAUAGUGAAAACCAGGGGAUUUCAUCAACAAGAGAUAGUAAAAAAGGUUUACACAGGAUCUUAAUCUGAAAAGAAUCCUUAAAACGGGUCCCUACUGCACGUCUGUGCCUGUGUCUCCGUUGUGCCGUAUCCUGGACGGGCGUAGCACGGUGUUCAUCUGCGAAAGAGAGGAACUUAGUAAAAAGUAAUCAUGCGAGAAAUCUGUAUUAAAAUAAACAAAAUAUAAUCCAGAGACAUGAGCAAAAUUGAGCUGUGUUGUCUCCUGGUGUAAACACGCGGAGCCCCUUGUACAGGGUUAUGCGGCUAUUAAGCCUUUGUAUGUUUACGCCGGACUCGUCGAGCCGUGUCCGGGGUAGUAGGGCUGGAUUAGUGUGCGGGUGUUCAGGCGGCCGCACCAUUACCCGUACUUUGGGGAUCAAUUGAUAUUUCCCUUUAAAGAGAUGAUGCCUCGUGGACCGGGCAUUUUGAGUGUAAGGGAUGCAUAAUGCAGUAUUGCGUUAAAGCGGGCGAAAGCUUCACGUCCCAGUAGUGCUUGAUAGCGACUUAUGAAUGGGGCGAUAUGGAAGGUUAGCUUUUCGCUUCGGAAGUUGUUGGGUGAGCCGAACAUGACUUCUAACGAAAGGGAACCCAUAAUCUGGAUAUCUCGGCCCGGCGUGACUCCUUGAAAGGAUGUGUUGCCAUGGCGAAUUAUUGCUGGGUUUUGUCGCAUCCCUAGUUCUGGUAUGACCUAGACUAGCUAGCCAGUUGUGCAUCAUUUUUAAAUUCCUUUUAAUUUUGAAAUGAGGACUUGUGAAACCCUCAGAAUCAUCUCUGAAAAUGACCCAAAUAAAAAAUUGUUCCAAAAAGGUCCAAGAAAAUGUUCAUGUUGCUCUCUGAAAAUAUUGGUCAGAGGUAAAAUUCAAACAAAUAUUUUAGGAGCUCAUGGAUAUUUAUUUUGGCCAUUUGGAUUAAUCCGAUAAUUAUUUGCAUUGGAUAUAUAUAUGUCAUAUAUAUAAUAUAUGUCCAAAAAUUAUGCCAUUUGCUGAGGAGCUCUGGAAUAAUAUAGUUAGCUCCUGCAAAAAUUGGCAUAAGGUAAUAAAAUGAUUUUGUAUUUUAAUUAAAGCAAAACAAAUGUCAGAAAAAUAGAAAAAGAAAUAAAAGAGGAAAACCCUACCUGGACUUACCCGCGGCCUGGCACUGUGUGGCCUGGCCUAGCGGGCCAGCAGGCCGGCCCAGCCAGCUGGCCGACGCCAGUCGCCCCCUUCCUCGCGCCAGUCGUCCCCUUCCAACGGCUGGGGCCACGUCUCCCCGCCACCUCCUGCUUCUCCCCCUCGUCGUCUGGAUGCCCUGGGCGACGCCACGUGCCCUCCCGACCGCUCUCACUCUCCCCCUGUUCACUCCCUCGCCGUUUCCCACCGUGCCCGAACGCUGCCGUCGCCGCCGCACGCCGUUGCCGUAGCCACCGCCUCCCCCUCGCCUCUCCGACACGCGCAGGAGCUCCGCCUCCUCGCUCUGAAGCUCUCCGCCGAGCCACACAAGCCGGAGCGCCUGUGGAGCCGUCGUCGUCGCCUUCAUCACCUCCGGCCGCCGCAGAUCGCCAUCGCCGCUUUGUCGCCUCCCGCGCGUCCCUGGCCACAACGAGCAGCCCUGCAAGUCCACCGUGAGCCCUGCUUCUUCUCCCCUCUCUCCCCUGGUCGCGCUCUCCCUCUAGCUAUCGUCUCCACCGUGGCUGAACCUUCGCCGCCACUGAGCUCGCCGUCGACGCAGCUCCGGUGACCAUUUGGUCACCCCGGCGAGUCCAACAAGCUCGUAAGGCCCCGUAGAGCAUCCCUAGCGCUUUGCUUCUCUCGUCUUCGAGCUCCAAACGCGCUCUCGUGCACGACCAAACUCCGGCGCCCGCAACCGAGAUCGCCGCCGCCGACUCCGGCCAUCCCAGGCCCAGCCACGGCCACCGGCCGACACGCCAUCGAGCUGGCUCACCAACGCGCCUAGCCGCGCGUCAUUUGGAGCACCACAGAGGAAACCCGGGGCCCAAGUACGCCGCGGAUCUCGCCGGCGACUAACCGCCAGCGGGUUUGACUUGUUUGACCUGGGGUUUGACCCGCCCAGGGUCACUGACACGUGGGCCAUGCCCCUGUUUAGUUUAGGUGUUAGUUUAGUUAGCGCUAAUUAACUUAGUUAAUUAGUUGUCUCUCUGACAGGUGGGCCCAGGCCCUAAUUAACCUAGGUUAGUGCUAACCUAACACAAACUAACUCUGUUAGUUAGAUGUUCCACUGACAUGUGGGUCCCAGCCAUCAGGUUUGACCUGGUCAGCACCGUUGACCUGCUGACGCAGGCAUGACGUCAUGCUGGCGCAAUAAUAUAUUUUCUGGAAUUAAAAUAAAUCAGGAAAUUCCAGAAAAUGUUCAAAACUUCAAAAAUUCAUAUCAAUUCCACUGUAGCUCAGAUUGAAAUAAAUUAUAUAUGAAAAAUUAUCAGAAAAAUGCAACUUAUCCAUCUGUACCAGUUUCAUGCAUGAAAAACCAAGUUAUACCUGCUGGAUAAGUGAAACACUAAAAUGGCUUAUAUGAAGAGCUUAUUUGGAGAUGCAUUUGAACCUUUGGUUCAAAUGGACUUCAAACCAAAUGAAUACUAGUUGCAUUAGCUCAAACAGCAUCACAUCUUCAUGCCAUGUUCAUGCAUCAUAUUGUUGCAUAUGCUUGUGUAUUGAUUGUUGGCACCGUUCCUUCUCGAUAGGUCCUGCUCCGGAGACCGUUCCAGAGUACCUGUCUGAGGAGCAGUGCCCCCUUGUUGAUCUACCAGGCAAGCAAAGCCCCUUGUUCAUUCCGAUACAAUCCUACUCUCUCGCUCCUGCUCUUAGUUAUUGCAUUAGGACAACAACGAUUCAUCUGCUACUUUGUGCUGCGGUAGUUGAACCCAUUCCUCUGCAUGACCCGUCAUUGCCAGAGUAAAUAGUUGAAACCCACUAGCAUGUGUAGGAGUUGAUUGAGCCAUGUUGUGUUCCUACCAUGCUAUGCCUGCUAUUGCUUAGAGUUGUGUCAGGUCUGGUUCAUUGGGAAUGAAUUGGAGUGUUACGAUAUGUUCUGAUGCUGAGAGUUAAGUGUGUGAACACGAUUUGGUAAAGGUAGCGGUGAGAGGCCAUGUAGGAGUACAUGGUGGGUUGUCUCACUGGAACCGUCCUUAAGCACUUAGUUCUGUGUAUGUUGUCCAAUGACCAGCUACUACCACACAUUGGAAUGCUUAAGUGCCCCUCUCGACUUGUUAACCAACUUGGUCUCUGUCCAGGAGUCGCAACUAGUUUCUGGUGUUUGUAGGUAGUGUUAGUAGUCUACCAAGUGGCACACGGCCAGGUGGGCUUGGGACAAACUAGGCACAGUGGCAUGGUGUACCAAGUGGCACCCGGAUGGUGGGCUUGGGAACCCUGCACACAUCGUUUGGGGCCAUGAGCGACACCCCGGCCGGAUCUCCUUGCGGAUAGAACCCGAAUAGGCGAUAAACCUGGACUAGAGUCUUGUGUGGUUAGUCAGGUCAUGGCCGACACCCUCGCCAGGCUUCCGCUUGAAGGUUGCCGAGAUACAUGACGUGUACAUGGUGGUAAGUGGCGAGAGCGUGUGUGAAGAAGUACACCCCUGCAGGGUUAACAUGAUCUAUUCGAAUAGCCGGGUCCGCGGUUAUGGACUUCUUGGAUGCUUACAUGGUACAUAGACAACUUGUAGUGGAUACUCUAAAAUGCUCAAGACAAGUGUGUGUACUAUGGAUGGCCUUCUCGUAGGGAGACGGGGAUGAAUCCAUAGUAGUGUAUUGCAUGGUGAUUAGUGGACUCGUGUGUGCCAUAUCACCUCAAAGAAGUUCUGGUAGUCGUAGAACAGGAUAGCCACAGAGUCAAAGCUGGCUUGCUGCAACUAAACCCCACAUUACCCUCUUGAUACAAAUGCAUGUAUGAUAGGAUCUGAUGUAAGUCUUGCUGAGUACCUUUGUACUCAUGUUGCUUUAUUUAUGCUUUUGCAACGGAGACUUCGGUCUUACUAGUGUUCUCGUGGACUUCAACGAGUAGCUUGUACCUCAGCUACGAUCUUGAUCGGAUGUUGUAGAUAGCCAGACUCUUCAGCCUUUUUCAUUUGUAGAUGUAUGUACUCAGACAUGUAAUGCUUCCGCUUGUUGCUUGAUUGCUCUGAAUGUUGGGUCAUGUGACCCCUGUUUGUAAUAAAUGCUAUGAUGGUUCUUUGAGCCUUAUCUAUAUGAGUUGUUGAGUUAUGUGGUGAUGCCAUGUUGUACAGCACAUACUUGCAUGUUAUGCGUACGUGUAAUGUGUAUUGCUAUGUGUGGGAUCUAACUAUCUAGUUGUUUAUCCUUAGUAGCCUCUCUUAUCGGGAAAUGUCUCCUAGUGCUUCCACCGAGCCCUGGUAGCUUGCUACUGCUCCGGAACACUUAGGUUGGCCGGCAUGUGUCCUUCUUCGUUCCUGUGUCUGUCCCUUCGGGGAAAUGUCACGCGGUGUCUACUGGAGUCCUGUUAGCCUGCUACAGCCCGGUUUACCGGAGUCCUGCUAGCCCAGUUGCUACAGCCCGGAUUCACUUGCUGAUGACCGACACGUUCGAUGUUGGGUCAUGUAUGCCUGUCCCUGUAAGUUAGUGCCACUUUGGGUUCACGACUAGUCAUGUCAGCCCGGGUUCUUUAUCAUAUGGAUGCUAGCGACAUUAUCAUAUACGUGUGCCAAAAGGCGCAAACGGUCCCGGGCAUGGUAAGGCGACACCCGUGGGAAUACCGUGCGUGAGGCCGCAAAGUGAUAUGAAGUGUUACAUGCUAGAUCGGUGUGGCAUAGAAUCGGGGUCCUGACAGCUUUGGUAUCAGAGCCUGACUACCUGUAGGAUUACCAAGCCAAACUGGUCGAAGUUGAGUCUAGAAAUUCUUUAGAUAUGUAAGGGAAUUGAUUGUGGGAAGGAACGUAAGGCUCUUUUUACUCCUUAUACCUCAUGGCCUUCUGAUCUGAGUCAUCCUAUCUUUCCUACGGGGUUAAGGAAUUAGGCAUUCUCUUCCGUCUAUCAGGAUCACGUGUUACUACUCCAUAGUCCCAUAGGAUUGGUUGAUCAGAGUCUUACCCCAGUUUCGAGUACUUCCGGUGUAGCCUGUUUAGUAGGAUCUUAGAACCUUGAGUGAUGAUGUUGAGUAUGUUACUACCCCAUCUUAGCAGGAUGUCUCAUUCUGAGCAUUUUACUGCCGUUAUGCCGCCGGAAUUGCCCUAGGAGUUCGAGAGAUACUAAUUUCCUUGUCCUACAUUCUGUAGCCUAUAGUUGAUGCUGAUUCCGUCCUUGGUUUCGUUUCUCAGGAUGUCAUCAGCUAAGAGAAGUUCCAUUGCUCGUAAACAGAACCGCGGAGAUGGUAGGGAUGAGGAUCCUCCCGACCAGCCUUCGUUGGCAGAAUUCAUGUUAGAAAUGGAGAGGAACAAGCGUGAGUCUAACCGCUUGUUGGCACGUAUCGAGGAGAACACCGCACAUCAGUUCAAAGGGCCUGCUAUCAUUCAUGACUUCAUUCGCUUGCACCCACCCACCUUUCAUCAUUCUAUUGAGCCACUCGAUUUAGAUGACUGGCUCCGUAGCAUCACUCAUAAGUUGCGUUCCGCAAACGUAUCUGAAGAUGACAAGGUCACCUAUGCCACGUUCCACCUGGAAGGUCCUGCUAGUCUUUGGUGGCAGAACUAUGAGGCUAUGCUUCCUGCUGGUCAGAUUCCUACCUGGAGAGAUUUCACUGAGGCUUUUCGCGAGCAUCACAUUCCUGAAGCCCUCAUCGAUCGCAAGAGAGAAGAGUUCUGUAGUUUCACCCAGAGUAAGAUGGCUGUUGAUGCUUAUAGUAGAGAGUUUGAGAACCUCGCCCGCUAUGCCACAGAAGAGGUGUCCACGGACGCCAAGAAGCAAGCUAGGUUCCGGAAGGGUCUCAACCCCAAGUUGCGUCGUGAUCUCCACCUGCAUCAUUGUGAUACAUUCCAAGCCCUUGUGAACAAGUCCAUUAAUGCAGAGACAACUCAGCUCACUUACGAGGAGUCUCAUAAGCACACCCGUGAUCUGGGAUCUUCCUCCGGUUCUAGUUCUUAGAAGCGCCGGAUUUGGGUUCGAAACUCCGCUCUUCCUUCCAGAUAUGCACCGAGACCAUCUUAUGUGGUGCCAUCCCCAGCUCAGUCAUAUGUUCCACCCAGGCCUAUUGGUAGACCGCUUGUCAGUGCGGGUCAACGUCCAACUUCAGGGACUUGCUUCACAUGCGGGAAGCCAGGACACUAUGCACGUGACUGCUCUCAGACUAGUUAUUCUCCACCCCAGCCCGAGAAGUCUGUUGACUAUGUUAAGCCAUCACGCAAGAUGAUCAAUGUUAAGUCAGCUCCCACUGAACGUGGGCGUGUGCAUCACGUCUCAGCUAAAGACGCUCAUGAUGAUCCGGAUGUCGUUCUUGGUACACUCCUUGUCAACUGUCAUCCAGCAUCAGUUUUGUUCGAUACUGGAGCGUCUCACUCCUUCAUUUCUGAAAGCUAUGCUAACUUGCACAACAUGUCUUUUUGUGUUAUGCCCUCCCCACUAGUCAUUCAAACUCCUGGAUCCAAAUGGCAAACUUCUAGUGUAAGCCAUGGUAACGGAAUCCUUGUAGACAGACUUGUAUUCCUUGCAUCUCUUAUAGCCCUCAAGUCUACAAAUAUUAACAUCAUCUUGGGUAUGGACUGGAUGACAGCUCAUUAUGCCAAGAUUGAUUGUUACGCCAGGUCCGUUCAGCUUACACACCCAUCUGGCCAGAUAGUCACUGUCUCCACUAGAGUUGCAAGGCGUCAACUCUAUUCUGUUAAUGCCAGCCCUCUUCCAGACCUUGAAGAUAUCCCGGUUGUCCAUGACUUUCCGGAUGUCUUUCCAGAAGAACUGCCAGGUGUUCCACCUGACAGAGAUGUAGAGUUCAUCAUAGAUCUUAUCCCAGGAACUGCUCCAAUCUCUAGGAGACCUUACAAGAUGGCACCCUUAGAACUAGCCGAGCUUAAGAAACAACUUGAUGAGUCCUUGCAAAAGGGUUUCAUCCGCCCUAGUUCUUCCCCUUGGGCUUGCCCCAUCCGCUUUGUCAAAAAGAAGGAUGGUACGGACCGGAUGGUUGUAGAUUAUCGUCCCGUUAAUUUGGUCACGAUAAAGAACAAGUAUCCGCUCCCCAGGAUCAACGACCUGUAUGAUCAGCUCGCUGGAUCCUCAGUCUUCUCCAAGAUGGAUUUGAGGUUAGGCUACCACCAAAUCAAGAUCAGAAAUGGGGACAUCCCCAAGACGGCCUUUGUCACUCGUUAUGGCCAGUACGAGUACACCGUCAUGUCCUUUGGUCUAACCAACGCUCCAGCUACUUUCUCCCGCUUGAUGAACUCGAUCUUCAUGGAGUACCUAGAUAAAUUUGUCGUGGUUUACCUCGAUGAUAUUCUUAUUUACUCGAAGAAUGAGGAAGAGCAUGUGGAACAUCUUAGACUUGUGUUAGAAAAACUCAGAGAGCACCGUCUUUAUGGCAAGUUCUCCAAGUGCGAAUUUUGGUUGCCAGAAGUGACCUACCUAGGCCACGUAAUCUCUGGUAAGGGCAUUGCUGUCAAUCCCGAGAGAGUUAAGGCCGUUCUCAAUUGGACUCCACCUGAAACAGUCAAACAAGUUAGGAGUUUCCUUGGUCUAGCCAGUUAUUGUCGCCGCUUUGUUGAAAACUUCUCUAAAGUGGCCAAACCUCUCACGGAACUUCUCAAGAAAGAUAAAAAGUUUGAGUGGUCCCCACAGUGUGAGUACAGUUUUCAGGAACUGAAAAGACGCCUGACUUCUGCUCCCAUACUUGUGCCACCGGAUUUCACUAAAGACUUUGUUAUCUAUUGUGACGCCUCACGACAGGGACUAGGUUACAUUCUUAUGUAGGAUCGUCAUGUGAUUGCCUAUGCAUAUCGGCAGUUGCAUCCACAUGAGGAGAAUUAUCCUUCACAUGAUCUAGAGCUUGCAGCCGUAGUCUAUGCACUAAAGACUGGCCUGGCGACAUUACCUCCUUGGUAAACGUUGCGAGAUCUACACUGAUCACCAGAGUCUCAAGUAUAUCUUCACCCAACCAGAUUUGAGCCUUAGGCAAAGACGUUGGUUGGAAGUGAUCUCAGAUUAUGAUCUAGGGAUUACUUACACUCCAGGCAAAGCUAAUGUCAUGGCUGAUGCGCUAAGUCAUAAAUCCUAUUGCAACAAUCUCAUGUUGCAGCAGGGCCAACCACUUCUGCAUGAGGAAUUCUGUAAGCUUAACCUUCACAUUGCUCCUCACGGAUUCCUUUCUACCUUGGUGGCGAAACCUACCCUCAAGGAUCAGAUCAUUACUGACCAGAAGUUUGAUAGGGGUGUUAUCCGCAUCAAGAGAAACAUUAAGAAGGGAGUUGGUGGAUGUUUUUCUAUGGAUGAUCGAGGUGUUGUUUUCUUUGGGAAUCCCUUGGUGGUUCCCAAAAAUCAACAUCUGCGACAAUUGAUUCUUAAGGAGGCGCAUGAAUCCCCUCUCACGAUUCAUCCCGGUAGUACGAAGAUGUAUGAAGACCUACGCCAAAGGUUCUGGUGGACUAGGAUGAAGAGAGAAAUCGCUGAGUUCAUUGCUAAAUGUGAUGUCUGUCGUCGCGUUAAGAUAGAGCAUCAAAGACCUACUGGCACUCUUCAGCCUCUAGCCGUUCCUGAGUGGAAAUGUGAUAAAGUUGGUAUGGACUUCAUCACCGGCUUUCCCAGGACCAAAAAAGGGAAUAAUGCUAUCUUCGUAGUCAUUGAUCGUCUCUCCAAAGUGGCUCACUUCCUUCCUGUUUGAGAGAGUAUCACUGCUAGUCAGCUCGGUGACUUAUAUAUUUCUCGAAUAGUGUCACUUCAUGGUGUUCCAUUAGAGAUCAAUUCAGACCGUGGCAGUCUUUUCACUUCUCAUUUCUGGGAGAGUUUCCAAACUGCCAUGGGAACCCAUCUUUCCUUCAGUACCGCUUUCCACCCUCAGUCGAGUGGUCAGGUGGAAAGGGUCAAUCAAAUCCUGGAAGACAUGCUUAGAGCUUGCGUUAUCUCAUUCGGUAUGGAUUGGGAGAAAUGUCUUCCUUUCGCCGAGUUUGCUUAUAACAAUAGCUAUCAAUCCAGUCUCAAGAAAGCUCCUUUUGAGGUUCUCUAUGGACGAAGAUGUCGAACACCUUUGAACUGGUCAGAAACCGGUGAAAGACAAUUCUUUGGACCGGACAUGAUCCAGGAGGCAGAAGAGCAAGUUCGCAUCAUUCGUGAGAAUUUGAAAACAGCCCAGUCUCGUCAAAAGAGCCAGUAUGAUCGUCAUCAUAAGGAUAUGACUUAUGAAGUUGGCGACAAAGCUUACCUUCGGGUUACUCCUUUGAAGGGUACCCAUCGUUUCGGUAUCAAGGGCAAGUUGGCUCCUCGUUACAUUGGUCCUUUUCGUAUUCUCGCUAAACGAGGAGAGGUUGCCUACCAGUUGGAACUACCCACACAUCUUUCUCGAGUUCAUGAUGUCUUCCACGUCUCUCAACUCAGGCGUUGCUUCUCGGAUCCUAUCCGCGGAGUGGACCACGAAACGCUUGAUCUCCAAGAUAACCUCACAUACCGAGAGUACCCGGUUCGCAUUCUUGAUCAAGCAAAGCGUGUUACCCGACGUCAGAAAAUCAAGUUUCUCAAGGUUCAGUGGUCUCAUCAUUCCGAGAGAGAAGCUACUUGGGAGCGAGAAGAUCGUCUUCGAUUGGAGUACCCCACCUUCUUUCCGUCGACCCCUGAAUCUCGGGACGAGAUUCUUUCAAGUGGGGGCGAGUUGUCACAUCCCUAGUUCUGGUAUGACCUAGACUAGCUAGCCAGUUGUGCAUCAUUUUUAAAUUCCUUUUAAUUUUGAAAUGAGGACUUGUGAAACCCUCAGAAUCAUCUCUGAAAAUGACCUGAAUAAACAAUUGUUCCAAAAAGGUCCAAGAAAAUGUUCAUGUUGCUCUCUGAAAAUAUUGGUCAGAGGUAAAAUUCAAACAAAUAUUUUAGGAGCUCAUGGAUAUUUAUUUUGGCCAUUUGGAUUAAUCCGAUAAUUAUUUGCAUUGGAUAUAUAUAUGUCAUAUAUAUAAUAUAUGUCCAAAAAUUAUACCAUUUGCUGAGGAGCUCUGGAAUAAUAUAGUUAGCUCCUGCAAAAAUUGGCAUAAGGUAAUAAAAUGAUUUAGUAUUUUAAUUAAAUCAAAACAAAUGUUAGAAAAAUAGAAAAAGAAAUAAAAGAGGAAAACCCUACCUGGACUUACCCGCGGCCUGGCACUGUGUGGCCUGCCGACGCCAGUCGUCCCCUUCCUCGCGCCAGGAGGACAGGGGCACGCGCCGGCGCACGCGGCCACGCGUCCGGCUGGGGCCACGUCUCCCCGCCACCUCCUGCUUCUCCCCCUCGUCGUCUGGAUGCCCCGGGGGACGCCACGCGCCCUCCCGACCACUCUCACUCUCCCCCUGUUCUCUCCCUCGCCGUUUCCCACCGUGCCCGAACGCUGCCGUCGCCGCCGCAUGCCGUUGCCAUAGCCACCGCCUCCCCCUCGCCUCUCCGACAUGCGCAGGAGUUCCGCCUCCUCGCUCUGAAGCUCUCCGCCGAGCCACACAAGCCGGAGCGCCCGUGGAGCCGUCGCCGUCGCCUUCAUCACCUCCGGCCGCCACAGAUCGCCUUCGCCGCUUCGUCGUCUCCAGCGCGUCCCCGGCCACAACAAGCAGCCCUACAAGUCCGCCGUGAGCCCUGCUUCUUCUCCCCUCUCUCCCCUGGUCGCGCUCUCCCUAUAGCUGUCGUCUCCACCAUGGCCGAACCUUCGCCGCCGUCGAGCUCGCCAUCGACGCAGCUCCAGUGACCAUUUGGUCACCCCGGCGAGUCCAACAAGCUUGUAAGGCCCCGUAGAGCAUCCCUAGCGCUUUGCUUCUCUCGUCUUCGAGCUCCAAAUGCGCUCUUGUGCACGACCGAACUCCGGCGGCCGCAACCGAGCUCGCCGCCGCCGACUCCGGCCAUCCCAGGCCUAGCCACGGCCACCGGCCGACGCGCCAUCGAGCUGGCUCUCCAACGCGCCUAGCCGCGCGUCAUUUGGAGCACCACAGAGGAAACCCGGGGCACAAGUACGCCGCGGAUCUCGCCGGCAACUAACCGCCGGCGGGUUUGACUUGUUUGACCUGGGGUUUGACCCCCCAGGGUCACUGACGCGUGGGCCAUGCCCCUGUUUAGUUUAGGUGUUAGUUUAGUUAGCGCUAAUUAACUCAGUUAAUUAGUUGUCUCUCUGACAGGUGGGCCCAGGCCCUAAUUAACCUAGGUUAGUGCUAACCUAACACUAACUAACUCUGUUAGUUAGAUGUUACACUGACAUGUCGGUCCCAGCCGUCAGGUUUGACCUGGUCAGCACCGUUGACCUGCUGACGCAGGCAUGACAUCAUGCUGGCGCAAUAAUAUAUUUUCUGGAAUUAAAAUAAAUCAGGAAAUUCCAGAAAAUGUUCAAAACUUCAAAAAUUCAUAUCAAUUCAACCGUAGCUCAGAUUGAAAUAAAUUAUAUAUGAAAAAUUAUCAGAAAAAUGCAACCUAUUCAUCUGUACCACUUUCAUGCAUGAAAAACCAAGUUAUACCUGCUGGAUAAGUGAAACACUAAAAUGGCUUAUAUGAAGAGCUUAUUUGGAGAUGCAUUUGAACCUUUGGUUCAAAUGGACUUCAAACCAAAUGAAUACUAGUUGCAUUAGCUCAAACAGCAUCACAUCUUCAUGCCAUGUUCAUGCAUCAUAUUGUUGCAUAUGCUUGUGUAUUGAUUGUUGGCACCGUUCCUUCUCGAUAGGUCCUGCUCCGGAGACCGUUCCAGAGUACCUGUCUGAGGAGCAGUGCCCCCUUGUUGAUCUACCAGGCAAGCAAACCCCCUUGUUCAUUCCGAUACAAUCCUACUCUCUCGCUCCUGCUAUCAGUUAUUGCAUUAGGACAACAACGAUUCAUCUGCUACUUUGUGCUGCGGUAGUUGAACCCAUUCCUCUGCAUGACCCGUCAUUGCCACAGUAAAUAGUUGAAACCCACUAGCAUGUGUAGGAGUUGAUUGAGCCAUGUUGUGUUCCUACCAUGCUAUGCCUGCUAUUGCUUAGAGUUGUGUCAGGUCUGGUUCAUUGGGAAUGAAUUGGAGUGUUACGAUAUGUUCUGAUGCUGAGAGUUAAGUGUGUGAACACGAUUUGGUAAAGGUAGCGGUGAGAGGCCAUGUAGGAGUACAUGGUGGGUUGUCUCACUGGAACCGUCCUUAAGCGCUGAGUUCUGUGUAUGUUGUCCAAUGACCAGCUACUACCACACAUUGGAAUGCUUAACUGCCCCUCUCGACUUAUUAACCAACUUGGUCUCUGUCCAGGAGUCGCAACUAGUUUUUGGUGUUUGUAGGUAGUGUUAGUAGUCUACCAAGUGGCACCCGGCCAGGUGGGCUUGGGACAGACUAGGCACAGUGGCACGGUGUACCAAGUGGCACCCGGAUGGUGGGCUUGGGAACCCUGCUCACAUCGUUUGGGGCCGUGAGCGACACCCUGGCCGGAUCUCGUUGCGGAUGGAACCCGAAUAGGCGAUAAACCUGGACUAGAGUCUUGUGUGGUUAGUCAGGUCGUGCCCGACACCCUCGCCAGGCUUCCGCUUGAAGGUUGCCGAGAUACAUGACGAGUACAUGGCGGUAAGUGGCGAGAGCGUGUGUGAAGAAGUACACCCCUGCAGGGUUAACAUGAUCUAUUCGAAUAGCCGGGUCCGCGGUUAUGGACUUCUUGGAUGCUUACAUGGUACAUAGACAACUUGUAGUGGAUACUCUAAAAUGCUCAAGACAAGUGUGAGUACUAUGAAUGGCCUUCUCGUAGGGAGACGGGGAUGAAUCCAUAGUAGUGUAUUGCGUGGUGAUUAGUGGACUCGUGUGUGCCAUAUCACCUCAAAGAAGUUCUGGUACUCGUAGAACAGGAUAGCCACAGAGUCAAAGCUGGCUUGCUGCAACUAAACCCCACAUUACCCUCUUGAUACAAAUGCAUGUAUGAUAGGAUCUGAUGUAAGUCUUGCUGAGUACCUUUGUACUCAUGUUGCUUUAUUUAUGCUUUUGCAUCGGAGACUUUGGUCUUACUAGUGUUCUCGUGGACUUCAACGAGUAGCUUGUACCUCAGCUACGAUCUUGAUCGGAUGUUGUAGAUAGCCAGACUCUUCAGCCUUUUUCAUUUGUAGAUGUAUGUACUCAGACAUGUAAUGCUUCCGCUUGUUGCUUGAUUGCUCUGAAUGUUGGGUCAUGUGACCCCUGUUUGUAAUAAAUGCUAUGAUGGUUCUUUGAGCCUUAUCUAUAUGAGUUGUUGAAUUAUGCGGUGAUGCCAUGUUGUACAGCACAUACUUGCAUGUUAUGCGUACGUGUAAUGUGUAUUGCUAUGUGUGGGAUCUGACUAUCUAGUUGUUUAUCUUUAGUAGCCUCUCUUACCGGGAAAUGUCUCCUAGUGCUUCCACCGAGCCCUGGUAGCUUGCUACUGCUCCGGAACACUUAGGUUGGCCGGCAUGUGUCCUUCUUCGUUCCUGUGUCUGUCCCUUCGGGGAAAUGUCACGCGGUGUCUACCGGAGUCCUGUUAGCCUGCUACAGCCCGAUUUACCGGAGUCCUGCUAGCCCAGUUGCUACAUCCCGGAUUCACUCGCUGAUGACCGACACGUUCGAUGCUAGGUCAUGUAUGCUUGUCCCUGUAAGUUAGUGCCACUUUGGGUUCACGAAUAGUCAUGUCAGCCCAGGUUCUUUAUCAUAUGCAUGCUAGCGACAUUAUCAUAUACGUGUGCCAAAAGGCGCAAACGGUCCCGGGCAUGGUAAGGCGACACCCGUGGGAAUACCGUGCGUGAGGCCACAAAGUGAUAUGAAGUGUUACAUGCUAGAUCGGUGUGGCAUAGAAUCGGGGUCCUGACAGGUUUACCCCCAGUUUGCGGAUUGUGUCCUGAUAUAACAGGUUUAGGUCACUGUUGCCGUCGAUUAGGACUUGUGUAUAUUGGAGUCUGUCAAUAAUCGAAUCCAAGACCAAGUCAGUCCAGCCUGUGUUCCGGACCCCUCUGGAGUAAUCAUGAUGAUCGAAGAUGAUUGGUUGUAACAACCAGUGGCGGUGCUCCUCUGGGGCAGGCCGUAUGGUGCGUAUCUUCGCAAGCGCCGUUCUGUUUUUCCCUUUUGUCAUCUGAAGUGAAUUUACUGUUUUGACUUCGCGUGGGAACUUCUUUUGUUCUCUGGUGUUCUGCUUGUGGGGUGUGUCGUCAUCCUCGUUUGGUGUGUCGAGCCCCUUGUGUGCGGCGUGAAGUUUGCCGGACUGCUUGAAGACCCAACAAUCUCUGUAGGUGUGGUUUGCAGGUCUCCCGGGAGUACUGUGGAUUUGAAAUAUUUUGUCCAAGAUUUUGUUGGGGUUAGAUAGCUCGUCCCUGUCAUCUUUGGGGGGUGGCUUUUUCUGAUUUGCCGAGAGCUUUUGAAUCCGGCAUUGACUGUCGUGCUCAUUGGGCUGUUAUCCUUGAUCCGGCGCUGUUCUUUGUUACGGCACGGUUUCCCAUUUCCAUCUCUGAGUUCGGAUGUACUUGGGUCGCUGGUGCUGCUUCUUGCCAACCAGCUAUCCUCUCCUGCGCAAAAGCGGGUCAUGAGGCUUGUUAAUGCGGCCAUUGUUCUUGGCUUUUCUUGGCCGAGGUGUCUGACGAGCCAUUCGUCUCGAACGCUAUGUUUGAAAGCUGCUAGGGCCUCGGCGUCCGGACAGUCGACUAUCUGAUUCUUUUUAGUAAGAAAUCUGUUCCAGAGUUCCCGGGCUGACUCUCCGGGUUGGUGAGUUAUAUGACUCAGAUCAUCUGCAUCCGGAGGUCGGACAUAGGUCCCUUGAAAAUUUGCCCGGAAAGCAUACUCGAGCUCUUCCCAACUUCCCAUGGUGUUUUCGGGAAGACUUUUAAGCCAAUGCCGGGCUGGCACUUUGAGCUUAAGGGGUAAGUAUUUUAUGGCGUGAAGGUCAUCUCCUCUGACCAUGUGUAUGUGGAGGAUAUAAUCCUCAAUCCAGACUCUAGGGUCUGUUGUUCCAUCGUAUGCUUCUAUGUUUACGGGCUUGAAUCCUGCUAGAAAUUCAUGAUCCAGUACCUCAUCGGUAAAACAUAGGGGAUGUGCGGCGCCCCUGUAUGUUGAUGUGCCGCGAUGUUCGGAUAUUUUUUGCGUUGCAUUGCUCACUAGAGCUUGCUUUCUUGGCCCAUAGAUGGAUCUGGUUGGACCGGUUUUUUGAUGCGAAUCCUUGGGCGGAUCGCGUGCCGUAUUGAGUGCGGCGCCCUUUGUCGCUUGAGAUCGAUCGUGGGGUCAUCUAUCCGACCUGGUGGCUUCCUUGUUUUUUGACUGUGGGGCCUCUAAGGCCUCUUCAUCAAAUUCCGGUAGUAAUUUCCGCUUCGGAUAGCUCUUUGUGUGAUGACUGUUGCCGUACUUGUGUGCGGUAUUGAGUACUUUCCCCCAUCUAAUUCUGAGUGCAUCUUCCGCUGCCUUGAGCUUCCGCUUCUGCUUUUUCAGGCUACGUGUAGUGGCGACGAGCCUUUGGUGGAGGUUCUGGUGUUCGAGCGACUUGUCCGGCGUGAGGUCGUCCGGACUAUUAUCUUUCCCGGGGACGGAUUGUUCGGUUUGUCCGCCCUGUUUGGACGGUUGCUCAAUGGCAUGUUCGUCUUCCGUUGAUUCGCCCUGCUCUAUGGCUGGGUCUCUGUCAAGGUGGGGCUUGGCGCGGUGCUUACGCCGCCGCUUUGAUUGUUUUUCGAGGGAGCGAUCCCUGGUUGCGCCCUUUUGAUCCUCGUCGUUGCUUCUUUCAGGUGUGUCCACCAUGUAUACAUCAUGUGAUGAGGUGGCUUUCCAGUGCCCUAUAGGUGUUGGUUCUUGGUCGUCUCCUUCAUCGGCGUCCAUACCGUCGAUGUCUUUGGAGUCGAAGUCGAGCAUGUCGGUUAGAUCGUCGAUAGUGGCUACAAAGUGGGUGGUGGGUGGGUUUCGAAUUUCUUUGUCGUCCGCAUCCCAACCAUGCUGACCGUAGUCCGGCCAGGGCUCUCCUGACAAAGAGAGAUACUUUAGUGAAUUCAGGAUAUCGCCAAAGGGAGAGUGCUGAAAGACGUCCGCGGCGGUGAACUCCAUGAUCGGAGCCCAAUCGGGUUCGUUCGGAAGGGGUGCGGAAGAUUCGGAGUCUGGAACGAAGUACGGCACCUUGGAGUCACGGGCCUCGCGAAGGACUAGGCUAGUAUUUGGCUCUAUCGCCGUAGAGAUUGCGGCUCCUGGGACGGCGUCCAACCGUCCGUCUCCGACUGCCGCAGUCGACUCCGAGCUAAUGGUCGGAGCGGGCACCUGAUCGGUGCUCUGGGCGCUGUCCGGCGGCACAGCUAGAUCAUGCUCAUCGUGACAGUGCGGCGCACUCGGCCGUGGCUUGAAUCCAUCGGAGAUCAAGUCCCCGCGGAUGUCGGCCGUGUAGUUUAAGCUUCCAAACCUGACCUGAUGGCCAGGGGCGUAGCUUUCGAUCUGCUCCAGAUGGCCAAGCGAAUUGGCCCGCAGUGCGAAGCCGCCGAAUAUGAAGAUCUGUCCGGGGAGAAAAGUAUCACCCUGGACCGCGUCGUGGUUGAUGAUCGAAGAAGCCAUCGGGCCUAAAGGUGAGGACACAUAGGAACUCUCAAUGAAAGCACCAAUGUCGGUGUUAAAAUCGGCGGAUCUCGGGUAGGGGGUCCCGAACUGUGCGUCUAAGCGAAUGGUAACAGGAGACAAGGGACACAAUGUUUUUACCCAGGUUCGGGCCCUCUCGAUGGAGGUAAAACCCUACUCCUGCUUGAUUAAUAUUGAUGAUAUGGGUAGUACAAGAGUUGAUCUACCACGAGAUCAGAGAGGCUAAACCCUAGAAGCUAACCUAUGGUAUGAUUGUUGUUCGUCCUACGGACUAAAACUGUCUGGUUUAUAUAGACACCGGAGAGGGCUAGGCUUACAUAGAGUCGGUUACAAUGGGAGGAGAUCUUCAUAUCAUAUCGCCAAGCUUGCCUUCCACGCCAAGGAAAAUCCUAUCCGGACACGGGACUAAGUCUUCAAUCUUGGAUCUUCAUAGUCUGGGAGUCCGACCAAAGGUCAUAGUCCGGCCAUCUGGACACCUCCUAAUCCAGGACUCCCUCAGUAGGAGUUAGUCAAUGUAUGGAGUAAUAGUAGUAGAUGCAGGCAGGAAUCGGUCUACUUGACACGGACGUGAUGCCUAUAUUUCAUAAUCAUUGCCUUGGAUAUCGUCAUAACUUUGCGCUUUUCUAUCAAUUGCUCAACAGUAAUUUGUUCACCCACCGUAAUAAUUAUGCUAUCUUCAGAGAAGCCACUAGUGAAACCUAUGGCCCCCGAGUCUACUCUUUAUCCUAUAAGUUUCCAAUCUACUUUAUUUUGCAAUCUUUACUUUUCAAUCUAUAUCAUAAAAAUACCAAAAAUAUUUAUCUUAUCAUAUUAUCUCUAUCAGAUCUCACUUUUGCAAGUGGCCGUGAAGGGAUUGACGACCCCUUUAUCGUGUUGGUUGAGAGGUUCUUGUUUGUUUGUGUAGGCGUGAGGGACUUGUGUGGAGCCUCCUACUGAAUUGAUACCUUGGUUCUAAAAAACUGAGGGAAAUACUUACGCUACUUUGUUGCAUCACCCUUUCCUCUUCAAGGGAAAAACCAACGCAUGCUCAAGAAGUAGCAAGAAGGAUUUCUGGCGCCGUUGUUGGAGAGGUCUUCGCUCAAGUCAAGACAUACCAAGUACCCAUCACAAACUCAUCUCCCUCGCAUUACAUAAUUUGCCAUUUGCCUCUCAUUUUCCUCUCCCCCACUUCACCCUUGCCGUUUUAUUCGCCCUUCUUCCGUUUGAUCUUAUGUUUUCUUGUCUCUCCAUGUGCCUACUAUGUGCUUCCAUCUUUGCUUGCUAAAAAUCUACUGAUAAGGAUCCGCUUAAAGUGUUCUACUUGGAUCAUCUUCAAUCCUUAUGCGCUCGUGCUGAAACCCCAACUAGCCUAGUUGAUGGAAAAUCUUUAGAUGAGCAUGCUCAUUUUGUGCGUCAUCGUUUGUCUGAAAAAGGGAAGCUCUUAUGGUAUCACAUAAGUAGUUUGAUUUGCUAUGAUUGGAAUCUUUGUGAAAUUUAUGAUUAUACUUGUUGCUCUAAGAACCCUAAAAAACACUUUCCCUACCUAUGUGAGCUUAAUGAAAAUGAAAUCUUAUCUUCUUAUGCAAUGGGUGUUUAUAGUUACUAUGAUGUUAAACAAAUUGAAGAAUUUCUUGCUUUUAAGGGUUCUUAUGAAGUUGCUUCUUUGAUGGAAAAGUAUGAUAUUACUCUCUACGAAUCUGAAAAUUAUGACAUACUUAAAUAUUGCUAUGAAAACUAUGCUCAUAAUGCCUAUGUCAAAGAAUUUAUUGAGAGAAUGACUGUUGCUUUGGAAGAAAAUAAUGAUAUGCGUGAAUCUAUAGAUAAUGAUUCCAUUGAUUUGAUCGAAAUAUCCCUUGAUGAACAUGAUGCUUGCUAUUCUUGUGGCCAGGAUGCUAAUAUUUAUGAAGAUGAAUUUGCUAUAGUUCCUUAUGUUAAAUAUGAGAUCGUUGCUAUUGCACCCAUACUUGGUAGUUCCUUCAAUGAAAAGCAUGAUUGCAAUGAUGUUAAUAUAAAUUCUCUUGAUGUCAAUUGUGCUAAUAAUAUGCAAAACCCUAAGCUUGGGGAUGCUAGUUUUGCUAUGUCUACUACUUGUUGCAAUGAUCAUGAUUGGGGUGAUUCUUCUUUUGGUCUUGACAAUUUAUUUAAGCCCCGUGAUGAAUAUGAGAUUGAUAAUAGUGUUGGCAAUAAUAUUGGAAGUGGGUUUGGAGAGGUCAUGACUUUAGUUAAUGUUAAUCCCACUAUUUAGGAAGAGUGUCAACUUUGCAUGCAUGUGGAUCGUGUUGAAAAUAUUUUAUGUGAUAGCUAUUUUGUUGAAUUUGCUUAUGAUCCCAUGUGUAAUUAUUAUGAGAGGAAAAUAUGAUUGUAGAAAUUUUCAUGUUACAAAAUUUCCUCUCGUUAUGUUGAGAUUGCUAUUGUUCCUUUCUUCUUCCUUUCAUAUGUUAGUUUUUAUUUGCCUUGAUAAUUUGUUUGCUUAUAAAAUACCUAUGUAUAGGAAUUAUGUUAGACUUAAGUAUGUUUGUCACAUGUUUUAUGAUGCUCUCUUUGUGCUUCAGUUCUUGUCUUUCAUGUGAGCAUCAUUGAAAAUUUAUGCCUAGCUAGGGGCGUUAAACGAUAGCGCUUGUUGGGAGGCAACCCAAUUUUAUUUUUGUUCCUUGCUUUUUUCUCCUGUUUAGUAAUAAAUAAUUCAUCUAGCCUCUGUUUAUAUGUGGUUUUAUGUUUUAAUUAGUGUUUGUGCCAAGUAGAACCUAUAGGAUCAUCUUGGGUGAAAGUUAAUUUGAUCUUGCUGAAAAACAGAAACUUUUGCGCUUACGAGAAAAAAAUCUAAUAAAUCACAGAAACGUGAUUUUGAGUUGAUUAUUUUUGAAGUAGAUCAGUAGGAAACAUACCUAGGACUCCCUAUUUUGGUACGAUUUGUAGAGUUCUAGAAGUAUUUGAAAGUUAUAGAUUGCUACAAACUAUUCUGUUUUUGACAGAUUAUGUUUUUCCUGUGUUGUUUGCUUAUUUUGAUGAAUCUAUGGCUAGUAUCGGGGGGUAUGAACCAUAGAGAAGUUGGAAUACAGUAGGUUUAACACCAAUAUAAAUAAAGAAUGACUUCAUUACAGUAACUUAAGUGGUGGUUUUCCUUUCUUGCACUAACAGAUCUCAUGAGAUUUCCUGUUGAGUUUUGUGUUGUGAUGUUUUGAAGUUUUGGGUAAAGAUUUGAUGGACUAUGGAAUAAGGAGUGGCAAGAUAAUAAGCUUGGGUAUUCCCAUGCCCCCCCCCAAGAUAAUUCAAGGACAACCAAAAGCCUAAGGUUGGGGAUGCCCCGGAAGGCAUCCCCUCUUUCGUUUUCGUCUAUCGGUAACUUUACUUGGAGCUAUAUUUUUAUUCACCACAUGAUAUGUGUUUUUCUUGGAGCGUCUUGUAUGAUUUGUGUCUUUGAUUUUUAGUUUACCACAAUCAUCCUUGCUAUACACACCUUUUGGGACAGACACACAUGAUUCGGAAUUUAUUAGAAAUACUCUAUGUGCUUCACUUUUAUCUUUUGUGCUAUACAAUUUUGCUCUAGUGCUUCACUUAUAUCUUUUUAGAGCACGGCGGUGGUUUUAUUUUGUAGAAAUUAUUGAUCUCUCAUGCUUCACUUAUAUUAUAUUUAGAGUCUUUUAGAACAGCAUGGUAUUUGCUAUGGUUAUAAAAUUGGUCCUAAUAUGAUGGGCAUCCAAGUUGGGUAUAAUAAAAACUAUCAUAGAAAGUGAAUUGAAUACUAUGAUCAACUUGAUGCUUGAUAAUUGUUUUGAGAUAUAAAGGUGGUCAUAUUAGAGUCAUGCUAGUUGAGUAAUUCUGAAUUUGAGGAAUACUUGUGUUGAAGUUUGUGAUUCCCGUAGCAUGCAUGUAUCGUGAACCGUUAUGUGAUGAAGUUGGAGAAUGAUUUAUUUUUUGAUUGUCUUCCUUAUGAGUGGCCGUCGGGGACGAGCGAUGGUCUUUUCCUACCAAUAUAUCCCCCUAGGAGCAUGCGCAGAGUACCUUGUUUCAAUAACUUGUUGAUUUUUGCAAUAAGUAUAUGAGUUCUUUAUGACUAAUAUUGAGUCCAUGGAUUAUACGCACUCUCACCCUUCCACCAUUGCUAGCCUCUCUCGUGCUGUGCAACUUUCGCCGGUACCAUACACCCACCAUAUAACUUCCUCAAAACAGCCAUCAUACCUACCUAUUAUAGCAUUUCCAUAGCCAUUCCGAGAUAUAUUGCCAUGCAACUUACCAACGUUCCGUUUAUUAUGACACGCUCCAUCAUUGUCAUAUUGCUUUUGCAUGAUCAUGUAGUUGACAUCGUAUUUGUGGCAAGGCCACCUUUAUAAUUCUUUCAUACAUGUCACUCUUGAUUUAUUGCAUAUCCCGGUACACCACCGGAGGCAUCCACAUAGAGUCAUAUUUUGUUCUAAGUAUUGAGUUGUAAUUCUUGAGUUGUAAGUAAAUAAAAGUGUGAUGAUCUUCAUUAUUAGAGCAUUGUCCCAAGUGAGGAAAGGAUGAUGGAGACUAUGAUUCCACCAUAAGUCGGGAUGAGACUCCGGACUUUAUUGAAAAAUAAAAGAGGCCAAAGAAGCCAAAAUAAAAAAAGGCCAAAGAAGCCCACCAAAAUAAAAAAUGAGAUAAAAUGAGAGAAGGGACAAUGUUACUAUCCUUUUACCACACUUGUGCUCCAAAGUAGCACCAUGAUCUUCGUGAUAGAGUGUCUCCUCUGUUGUCACUUUCAUAUACUAGUGGGGAUUUUUCAUUAUAGAACUUCGCUUGUAUAUUCCAAUGAUGGGCUUCCUCAACAUGCCCUAGGUCUUCGUGAGCAAGCAAGUUGGAUGCACACCCACUUAGUUUAUUUUGUUGAGCUUUCAUACACUUAUAGCUCUAGUGCAUCCGUUGCAUGGCAAUCCCUACUCACUCACAUUGAUAUCUAUAAUGGGAAUCUCCAUAGCCCGUUGAUACACCUAGUUGAUGUGAGACUAUCUUCUCCUUUUUGUCUUCUCCACAACCACCAUUCUAUUCCACAUAUAGUGCUAUGUCCAUGGCUCACGCUCAUGUAUUGCGUGAAAGUUGAAAAAGUUUGAGAACAUCACAGUAUGAAACAAUUGCUUGGCUUGUCAUCGAGGUUGUGCAUGAUUUAAAUAUUUUGUGUGAUGAAGAUAGAGCAUAACCAGACUAUAUGAUUUGUAGGGAUAGCUUUCUUUAGCCAUGUUAUUAUGAGAUGACAUGAUUGCUUUGUUAGUAUGCUUGAAGUAUUAUUGUUUUCAUGUCAAUAUGAACUUUUAUCUUGAAUCAUUUGGAUAUGAACAUUCAUGACACAAUAAAGAAAAUUACAUUGAGAAAUAUGCUAGGUAGCAUUCCACAUAAAAAAUUCUGUUUUUAUCAUUUACCUACUCGAGGACAAGCAGGAAUUAAGCUUGGGGAUGCUUGAUACGUCUCCAACGUAUCUAUAAUUUUUGAUUGUUCCAUGCUAUUAUAUUACCCGUUUUGGAUGUUUAUGGGCAUUACUAUACACUUUUAUAUCAUUUUUAGGAUUAACCUACUAACCGGAGGCCCAGCCCAAAUUGUUUUUUUUCUUAUUUCAGUGUUCCGCGGAAAAGGAAUAUCAAACGGAGUCCAAACGAACUGAAACCUUCGGGAGCGAUCUUUUUGGAACAAACGCAAUCUAGGAGACUUGGAGUGGACAUCAAGAAGCAGUCGAUGCGGCCACGUGGGUGUAGGGCGCGCUCUAGGGGGGCGCCCCCCUGCCUCAUGGGCCCCCCGUGGCUCCCCUGACCUAUCUCCUUCGCCUAUAUAUAUCUAUGUACCUCGAAAACAUCCAUGAGCACCAUGAGAAACUAUUUCCACCGCCGCAACCUUCUGUACCCGUGAGAUCCCAUCUUGGAGCCUUUUCCGGCGCUCCGCCGGAGGGGGAAUCCAUCACGGAGGGCCUCUACAUCAUCACCAAGGCCUCUCCGAGGAGUUCUGAGUAUUUUACCACAGACCUUCGGGUCCAUAGUUAUUAGCUAGAUGGAUUCUUCUCUCUCUUUGAAUCUCAAUACAAAGUUCUCAUCGAUCUUCUUGGAUAUCUAUUCGAUGUAACUCUUUUUGCAGUGUGUUUGUCGAGAUCCGAUGAAUUGUGGGUUCAUGAUCAAGUUUAUCUAUGAGAAAUAUUUGAAUCUCCUCUGAAUUCUUUUAUGUAUGAUUGGUUAUCUUUGCAAGUCUCUUCGACUUAUCAGUUUUGUUUGGCCUACUAGAUUGAUCUUUCCUGCAAUGGGAGAAAUGCUUAGCUUUGGGUUCAAUCUCGCGGUGUCCUUUCCCAGUGACAGUAGGGGCAGUAAGUCCUGUAUUGCAUUGUUGCCAUCGAGGAUAAAAAGAUGGGGCUUACAUCAUAUUGCUUGAGUUUAUCCCUCUACACCAUGUCAUCUUACUUAAUGCGUUACUCUGUUCUUAUGAACUUAAUACUCUAGAUGCAUGCUGGAUAGAGGUUGAUGUGUGGAGUAAUAGUAGUAGAUGCAGGUAGGAGUCGGUCUACUUGUUGCGGACGUGAUGCCUAUAUACAUGAUCAUGCCUAGAUAUUCUCAUAACUAUGCACUUUUCUAUCAAUUGCUCGACAGUAAUUUGUUCACCCACCAUAAUAAUUAUGCUAUCUUGAGACAAGACAUUAGUGAAACGUAUGGCCCCCGUGUCUACUAUUUAUCAUAUAAGUUUCCAAUCUACUUUAUUUUGCAAUCUUCAUUUUUCAAUCUAUAUCAUAAAAUAGCAAAAAUGUUUAUCUUAUCAUAUUAUCUCUAUCGGAUCUCACUUUUGCAAGUGGCCGUGAAGGGAUUGACAACCCCUUUAUCGCGUUGGUUGCGAGGUUCUUGUUUGUUUGUGUAGGCGCACGGGACUUGUGUGGAGCCUCCUACUGGAUUGAUACCUUGGUUCUCAAAAACCGAGGGAAAUACUUACGCUACUUUGCUGCAUCACCCUUUCCUCUUCAAGGGAAAAACCAACGCAUGCUCAAGAGGUAGCAGGAACAUGUUUCUCGGAUGAGCUACCUUCCAAAUUGAGAGUAGGUACAAUUACCUCAUCAAGUGUUACUUUCCUCCCACUCACUUCUUUUGAGAGAAACUCCUUCUCUAGAAAUGUUCCGUUCUUAGCAACAAAAAUCUUUCCUUUGGACUUGUGGUAGCAGAUGUAACCAAUUGUCUCCUUAGGGUAUCCUAUAAAGACACACUUCUUCGAUUUGGGUUCGAGCUUAUCAAGCUGAAUCCUUUUGACAUAAACAUCGCAUUCCCAAACUUUAAGAAACGACGGCUUAGGUUUGUUGCCAAACCAAAGUUCAUAUUGUGUCGUCUCACCAGACUUUGGUGGUGCCUUGUUUAAGGUGAAUGCAGCUGUCUCUAAUGCAUAACCCCAAAUCGAUAGUGGUAAAUUAGUAAGAGACAUCAUAAAUCGCACCAUAUCUAAUAAAGUGUGGUUAUGACGUUCGAACACACCAUUACGCUGUGGUGUUCGAGGUGGCGUGAGAUGUGAACCUAUUCCACAUUGUUUUAAAUGAAGGCCAAACUUGUAACUCAAAUAUUCUCCUCCACGAUCAGAUCGUAGAAACUUUAUUUUCUUGUUACGAUGAUUCUCCCGUUGAGGGAGUCCUGGAUUAGGGGGUGUCCGGAUGACCGGACUAUAACCUUUGGCCGGACUCCUGGACUAUGAAGAUACAAGAUUGAAGACUUCGUCCCGUGUCCGGAUGGGACUUUCCUUGGCGUGGAAGGCAAGCUUGGCGAUACGGAUAUGUAGAUCUCCUCCCAUUGUAACCGACUCUGUGUAACCCUAGCCCUCUCCGGUGUCUAUAUAAACCGGAGGGUUUUAGUCCGUACGACAAACAACAAUCAUACCAUAGGCUUGCUUCUAGGGUUUAGCCUCUCUGAUCUCGUGGUAGAUCUACUCUUGUACUACCCAUAUCAUCAAUAUUAAUCAAGCAGGAGAAGGCUCGAACCUGGGUAAAGACAUCGUGUCCUUUGUCUCCUGUUACCAUCCGCCUAGACGCACAGUUCGGGACCCCCUACCGGAGAUCCGCCGGUUUUGACACCGACAUUGGUGCUUUCAUUGAGAGUUCCUCUGUGUCGUCAUCUUUAGGCCCGAUGGCUCCUCCGAUCAUCAACAACGAUGCAGUCCAGGGUGAGGCUUUUCUCCCCGGACAGAUCUUUGUAUUCGGUGGCUUAGCACUGCGGGCCAAUUCGCUUGGGCAUCUGGAGCAGGUCGUAAGCUACGCCCCUGGCCAUCAGGUCAGAUUUGAAAGUUUGAACUACACAGCUGACGUCCGCGGAGACUUGAUCUUCGACGGGUUCGAGCCACAACCGAGCGCGCCGCACUGUCAUGAUGGGCAUGAUCUAGUUCUGCCGCCGAACAGUGCCCAGGAGGUUGCACCACUGUCCUCUCCGACCCUUAGCUCAGAGCCGACUGCGCCAAUCGAGGACGGGUGGUUGGACACCACCUCGAGGGCUGCAAUCUCUACGGCGAUCGAGCCGAACACCAGCCUUGUCCUCUGCGAAGCCCAUGAUUCCAAGGUGCCGGACUCCUCCCCGGACUCCGAACCUUCCACGCCCCUACCAAUCGAAUCCGAUUGGGCGCCGAUCAUGGGGUUCGCUGCCACGGACAUCUCUCAAUACUCGCCCUUCGGCGACAUUCUGAAUUCACUAAAGUCUCUCUCUUUAUCAGGAGAGCGCUGGACGGACUAUGGUCAGCAAGGAUAGGAUGCGAAUAACGAAGAAAUUCAAAGCCCACCCACCACCCACUUCGUAGCCACUGUCGAUAAUUUAACCGACAUGCUCGACUUCGACUCCAAGGACAUCGACGGUAUGGACGACGAUGUAGGAGAAGAACAAGAACCAGCGCCUAUUGGGCACUGGACAACCACCUCAUCUCACGAUGUAUACAUGGUGGGCACACCUAAAAGAAACGACGACGAGGAACAAAGGGACGCAACGAGGGAUCGUUCCCUCGAAAAGCAGUCAAAGCGGCGGCAUAAGCGCCGCUCCAAACCCCACCUCGACAGAGAUAGCAGCCAUACAGACCCAGCCACAAAGCAGGGCGAACCGGCGAACGACGAACACGCCAUCGAGCAACCGUCCAAACAGGGCAACUUGGGUAAACAAACCGAACAACCCGUCUCCGGCAAAGAUAAUAGUCCGGCGACCUCACGCCGGACAAGUUGCUGGAGCAGAAGAACCUCCACAAAAGGCUCGUCGCCACUGCGAGUAGCCUUAAAAAGCAGAAGCAGAAGCUCAAAACAGCGGAAGAUGCACUCAGAAUUAGAUGGGGCAAAGUACUCAACACCGCAGACAAAUACGGCGACAGUCGCCACACAAAGAGCUAUCCGAAGCGAAAAUUACUGCCGGAAUUUGAUGAGGAGGCCUUAGAGCCCCCGCAAUCAAAAAAUAAGGAAGCCACCAGGUCGGAUAAACAACCCCAUGGCCAACAUAGAGCAGCAAAUGGGGACGCACACAAGAUGGCACGCGAUCCGCACAAGGAUUCGCAUCAAAAAGACGGCCCUGCCAGAUCUAUCUACGGGCCAAGAAAGCAAGCUCUAGUAAGCAACGCAACGCAACAAGUAUCCGAACAUCACGGCACACCCAAAUAUAGGGGUGCCGCACACCCCCUAUGUUUCACCGAUGAGGUGCUGGACCAUGAAUUUCCAGCGGGAUUCAAGACCGUAAACACGGAGGCAUACGAUGGAACAACAGACCCUGGAGUCUGGAUUGAGGAUUAUAUCCUCCACAUACACAUGGCUAGAGGAGAUGACCUCCACGCCAUAAAAUAAUUACCCCUCAAGCUCAAAGGGCCAGCCCGGCAUUGGCUUAAAAGCCUUCCCGAAAACACCAUCGGAAGUUGGGAAGAGCUCGAGGAUGCUCUUCGGGCAAAUUUUCAAGGGACCUACGUCCGACCUCCGGAUGCAGACGAUCUAAGUCAUAUAACUCAACAACCGGGAGAGUCAGCCCGGAAACUCUGGAACAUAUUUCUUACUAAAAAGAACCAGAUAGUCGACUGUCCAGACGCCGAAGCCUUAGCAGCUUUCAAACACAGCAUUCGAGACGAAUGGCUCGCCAGACACCUCGGCCAAGAAAAGCCAAGAACAAUGGCCGCAUUAACAAGCCUCAUGACCCACUUUUGCGCAGGCGAGGAUAGUUGGUUGGCAAGAAGCAGUACCAGCGACCCAAGUACAUCCGAAGUUAGGGAUGGAAACGGGAAACCACGACGUAGCAAGGACCAGCGUCGGACCAAGGGAAACAGCCCGAAGAGCACGGCAGUCAACGCCGGAUUCAAAAGCUCUCAGCAGAAUCAGAAAAAGCUGCCCCUCAAGGAUAACAGGGACGAGCUAUCUAACCUAAACAAAAUCUUGGACAAAAUAUGCCAAAUCCACAGUACUCCAGGGAAGCCUGCAAACCAUACCCACAGAGAUUGUUGGGUCUUCAAGCAAUCCGGCAAACUCAACGCCGAACACAAGGGGCUCGACAUAUCAAGCGAGGACGAUGACGAACCCCACAAGCAGAACACCGGAGAACAAAAGAAGUUCCCACAAGAGGUCAAAACAGUAAACUCACUUCAUGUGACAAAAGGGAAAAAUAGAGUGGCGCACAUAGAGAUACGCGCCAUACAGCCUGUCCCAGAGCAGUCCCGCCACUGGUUGUUAAAACCAAUCACCUUCGACCAUCAGGAUUACUCUAGAAGUAUCCGGAACGCAGGCUGGACUGCCUUGAUAUUAGAUCCGAUAAUUGACGGACUCCAGUUUACAAAAGUCCUAAUGGACGGCGGAAGUGGUCUAAACCUGCUAUAUCAGGACACAAUCUGCAAAAUGGGGAUAAACCCAACAAAAAUUCGCCAUGGCAACACUUCCUUUCAAGGGGUAACGCCAGGCCCAGAUACCCAUUGUACAAGUUCUCUCCUGUUAGAAGUUAUGUUCGGCUCCCCCGACAACUUCCGCCGCGAAAAGCUAACCUUCCACAUCACCCCAUUUACAAGUGGCUAUCAAGCACUACUAGGACACGAAGCUUUCGCCCGCUUUAAAAUGCCCGGUCCGCGAGGCAUCAUCUCAUUAAAGGGAAAUAUCGAGUGUUCCUCAAGCGCGGAAGACUGUGCGGCUGCCUUGCCAGCCACACACUAAAUCGGCAUCACUAAUCAAAGCACCUAAACAGGUCGUGCAGACCCAGACAUGGCUAGACGAGUCCGGCGUAAACAUACAAGGGCUUACUAGCCGCAUACCCCCGUACAAGGGGCUCCGCGCGUGUACAACAAGAGACAAUAAAACUCAAUUUUACCCAUUUUCUAAAUUAUACUUUGUUUAUUUAAUAUAACAUAGAUUUUUGCAUGAUCUUUUUCAACUAAGUUCCUCUCUUUUACAGAUGAACAUCGUGCUACACCCGUCCAGGAUACGGCACAACGGAGACACAAGCGUAGACAUGCAGUAGUUACCCGUUCCAAGGAUUCUUUUCAGAUUAAGACCCUGCGUAAACCUUUUUCACUGUCUCUUGUUGAUACACAUCCCCCGGUUUCUUGUUAUAACCGAGGAGGAGGCUGGCGUCUUGGCAUGUGGCCAUGUCCGAAUUUUGCGCUUACCUGGACACCAGGGGCUUCUUACCAAGGGCGUUGUUCAGCCCGUUUUCAUAAAGAACGAAUACCUUAGGGAGUGUUCGGCGUCGCGAGUUUGGACUUAUAUGCAUCAACUCCGAAUCAUGUCUUUGGUCAAAUGUUGGGUUUGCUCGGCUCCUGUGUUUUGCUGCCUUACGUUCCGCUCUAUCGACUAAUGCGGCACUAGGAGAACUACUGCGAUUGUGCCCCGGUUCGGCCAGGCGAGCAUCUCAGUAGAGAAAGCCGAAAACUGACUGUCAUGAUAUAGCGUGAGACUGGUCAACCAAUCGAUGACCCGCCGGAAUCUUUAGGAUUCCUCCGCAUUAACAAAGGGCUGUUUCCCGGCCAGGCACACAUGCGCCCCGAAUUCGGGUGAGCGUGGUGCCCCUAGGGGUUAUAUAGUAGCCCCACUGUCAAACUCCUAUGGCUAAGUGAAAGUGAUAAAGCAUUAUAGUCUGGUUGCCUAGUUCGUUGCGCUAUCACCUCCUUAAUAGUACCAAGACGUUGGAUCAAGUGUGAAAACGCGCCUUCUGUGAACACCCCCGCAUUAUAUGCGUGGGGGCUGAAGCCGAAGACUGCCAUCUUUCAGGUUAUAUACACAUAUACAUUAACGGCCGCACAGGAGGUAUUCUAAUUCUUGAAGGCACAAGUAUAAAAAGCUUUUAUAUUCCAUCGAAACAUUGUUUUACAAUAAUACAUGUUAUUCGAACAUAACAUCCUUCGAGCAUUGCGUCUCUAUUAAAUGAGCGCCCUGUAGAACUUCCUGAAAAUAGUGCUCGGCAGGUACUCGUCUCUCGUCUGAAUCUUGGGAUGCAGCAACAAUGGCCUUCAUCUCCGCCCAGUAUGUCUUGACACGGGCAAGAGCCAUCUGUGCACCCUCUAUGCACGCUGACCUCUUCAUUGCAUUAAUAUGCAGCACCACACCCAAGAACUAUUGCACCAAGUUAAAAUAACUCUUCGGCUCGGGCCUUUUCGGCCACAGAUGACUCACAACAUACUUCAUCGCGAGUCCGGAUAACCUAUUCAGCUCCGCCCAUGCGGCCAAACGAUCUGUUAAUGGAAGUGGGCGCUCUGGGUUGUGGAACUGCGACCAAAAAAGCUUUUCCACUUUGUGGUCCUCUUGAUCGCAGAAGUGUUCGCCGCACUCCACUGCCGGUCCAACGGAGCAUAUUUAGGAUCCCCAAACUUCAUCCGUAGCAUAAAGGGCUUUCCAGCCGUGAUAUCUCCAGCCUGACGUAGCUCCUCCUUCAUAGCUCUCAUCGCAGAGCGAGUAUCCUUGGCCUCGGUAGUGACCUUUUCUAGGUCCUUCUGUGCCACCCGAUCUUCUUUUUCAAGAAGCUUGCAGCGGUCGGCAGCAUUCUUCAACUUUACAGCCAUCUCAGCCACUUCCUUCUUGCUUUGGCUGUGAGCAGCCUGUUCGGCUUUUAGCUCUUCAGCUGCCUUUAAGGCAGCCACAUCGCUUUUCCGGGCCUGCUCCUUGGAUCGGGCAAGUUCCGUCCGAAGGUUCUCCGUGGCAGCGGCACCAUCUGCAUCAAGGACACAUGUUGUAAGGUACGGGCAUCAAGAUCCUCUUACCAGGUGUCUUCGGAGAAAUUACAUACCUUAUGCCACGUCCAGGCGCUUGUUGACAAGCGCGAUGUCGGCAUCUGCCACGUCAAGUUGCCGCUUUAGCUUGGCAAAUUCAUCAGUCCGGCUAGCCACCGGACACUUCGCCACCUAGAUAGGAAAGGCGGCAUAUUAUACCUGGGAUUAUGAUUCUCAGUGCACCGUCAUUUUUUGACAACGCACAGAGUCUCAGGGGCUACUAUCUAUACAUGGCGCAUCUUAUAUAUGCGGAUCUGUCAAAAGGUACAUCAUUUUGUGUACCUCAAAACCUGUCAGUAAACUUCUGACGGCCUCGUACAACCCGCUCUUCGUGGAUGAAAUCCUUCCAAUCACCGUAUCCAUCAACGCACGGUGUUCUUCUGGGAUAGACGCUCGCCCGAGCAGAUCCUUUAGCUCCUUCGACCGUGCACCGGACGGUGCCGGACUCGUACGAUGGCCUUUUUCGAAGGCCGGACACGGAGGGCCUUGGGGGGGCAUACGACUGCCUUCCGGCCCUGCCGGAUUUGGAGAAACCCUCUGUGACGACACCUUAGGGCCGCCCGCCUCGCAAAGCGGUACGGCAGGGGGAGGCAUUCCGCUCUCCAUAAUCUCCGAACGAAGAUCCCCUGAAGAUGAGCUCUGUUGAGAAGGGCUGAGAUCCAAACUACAAGGUAAAAUUUCGGUUAUCUUCCUCAGAAAAUAGAACAGGGAUGUCUCUCAUUUUGAAACCCCCCCUCUUUACUUACGGCUCGGUAGAGAGCUGAUACCCUCGGGGGCGCAAUGCGACCGAGGCACCCCCCCGGCGCCAGACCCUCUGACAAAGAUUUCUUCCCCCGCUUUGAGACCAUGGCCUCCGGGUCUUCAGAGGCGGUCCUCUUCUUCCCCUGGUUAGAGGAAUUCUCGAUUCCUCCUUUCCUGACAACCUCCUUCGGGGAGGCGGUAGCUUCCUUGCUCCCCUCUUCGCCUUCGUUCAAAGGCGCAACCUCCAGCAUCCUGGUUAACACGGGAUCCGAUGUAGUCUCAGGGAGGGGGGCCGGACAUCUGAAUAGCUUUGCUUUCGCUAUCCACUCCUGUUUAAGGGACAUCUCUUUUAAGGUCAAUUUCAUGAUAAAUACAUGGAUAGCGUGUUCAGGUACAGGGCUACUUACUUGAGUAUCCGGGCAAUUGCAGCUCAGACCUGCAUCCUCGGACGAGUCCGGACACAUUGCUUGUGAUCCGAAGAACAAUUUGUACAUCUCCAUGGGCGUCGCAGCCACAAAAAGUUGGAGGGAUCAUGGUCCUUCCGGAUUAAACUCCCAUAGGCGGAGGGGGCGACGUUUGCAGGGCAGGAUGCGGCGAAUCAACAUAACCUGCAUCACUACGGCCAGAUUGAUAUCUCUAUCUAGGAGAUCUCGAACGCGGCCCUGCAACAAGGGCACGUCCUUGGAUGACCCCCAGUUAAGCCCUUUAUUGACCCAUGAUGCUAGUUCUGGUGGGGGACCCGAGUGAAACGCAGGUGGCGCCACCCAUUUGGUGCCCCUGGGAGCUGUGAUAUAAAACCACUCUCAUUGAAAAGAGCCCUCGGGCCAUGGAGCGUCGGCAUUCUUGCUUAUAACAGCACCUCCGCACUCUGCGUGCUGCCCCUCGAUCAUCUUCGGCUCUAAUUUGAAGGUCUUAAGCCACAAUCCGAAGUGAGGAGUAAUACGAAGGAAGGCCUCGCACACGACAAUGAAAGAUGAGAUAUGAAGGAUGGACUCCGGAGCUAAGUCAUGAAAUUCCAGCCCGUAAUAAAACAUGAGCCCCCUCACGAAGGGGUCCGUCGGGAAGCCUAGCCCCCGAAGGAAGUGAGACGAGAACACCAUGCUCUCACCAGGCUUGGGAGUGGGAAUAACCUGCCCUUGAGCAGGCAGCCUAUGCGAGAUUUCGCCGGCUAGAUACCUGGCAUCUCUUAGCUUUAGCACGUCUUCUUCCGCAACGGAGGAAGGCAUCCACCGGCCUUGAAGGUCGGAGCCGGACAUCGUCGGAGGUCCGAAGCGCCUGAAUCUGGAGCUUUGCGUGUUGGAACUCAAGGUGAGAGGCGAAUUUGAUUGAGAUUGAAAGAAAGGAGUCGAGCCUUGGUAUCUUUAUAAAGAGGUUGAAUACCAAGAGCCCUCCCCCUGGCCGUUUGGGACUCGCCUUCGAUUGAGGAGACAUACCAACAGGCACGAUUGGGUUACCCACGCCCGUAUUGGUGAGAAUCCCGGGAUAAGGAGACACGAUCUCUGCUUUGACAAGACGUGCCAAGGAAACCGCCUUGCUAAACGCGCUGAGGUGGGACAGUAAAACGAUUCAAAUAAAGGCUUGGUCGUGGCGUGAUGUCACGCUGCGGAAUACGUCAGCAUAUUAGAUUUGUACAAAUAUUAUUCACUCUACGGUGGUAUGUGGAACUUAUUUUGCAGAGCCGGACACUAUCCUUGUGUUCAAAAUCUUCUAUGAAGUAUUCGGAGCAGGAACCCGCCUUGCAAUGCCGAAGACAAUCUGCGCGCAGGACUAUGAAGCCUGGUUCAGGGGCUACUAAGGGAGUCCUGGAUUAGGGGGUGUCCGGAUGACCAGACUAUAACCUUUGGCUGGACUCCUGGACUAUGAAGAUACAAGAUUGAAGACUUCGUCCCAUGUCCAGAUGGGACUUUCCUUGGCGUGGAAGGCAAGCUUGGCCAUACGGAUAUGUAGAUCUCCUCCCAUUGUAACCGACUCUGUGUAACCCUAGCCCUCUCCGGUGUCUAUAUAAACUGGAGGGUUUUAGUCUGUAGGACGAACAACAAUCAUACCAUAGGCUAGCUUCUAGGGUUUAGCCUCUCUGAUCUCGUGGUAGAUCUACUCUUGUACUACCCAUAUCAUCAAUAUUAAUCAAGCAGGAGUAGGGUUUUACCUCCAUCGAGAGGUCCCGAACCUGGGUAAAGACAUCGUGUCCUUUGUCUCCUGUUACCAUCCGCCUAGACGCACAGUUCUGGACCCCCUUCCUGAGAUCCACCGGUUUUGACACCGACACCCGUUCACUCUGAAAUUCUUGGAACUAUUCAAAUGUUUCAGACUUGUGUUUCAUUAAGUUGAUAUACCCAUAUCUGCUCAAAUCAUCUGUGAAGGUCAAAAAAUAACGAUACCCGCCACGAGCCUCAACACUCAUCAGAACGCAUACAUCGGUAUGUAUUAUUUCCAAUAAGUCAUUGAAUUGCUCCAUUGUUCUGGAGAAUAGUGUUUUAGUCAUCAUGCCCGUGAGGCAUGGUUCACAAGUAUCAAAUGAUUCAUAAUCAAGUGAUUCCAAAAGUCCAUCUGCAUGGAGUUUCUUCAUGCGCUUUACAACGAUAUCAGAAACGGCAGUGCCACAAAUAUGUUGCACUAUCACUAUCAACUUUGCAUCUUUUGGCUUCAAUAUUAUGUAUAUGUGUAUUACUACGAUUGAGAUUCAAUAAACCAUUCACAUUAGUUCUACGACAAUGGAAGAUUUUAUUCAUGUAAACAGAAUAACAAUUAUUCUCUAACUUAAAUGAAUAACCGUAUUGCAAUAAACAUGAUCUAAUCAUAUUCAUGCUCAACACAAACACCAAAUAACAUUUAUUUAGGUUCAAUACUAAUCCCGAAAGUAUAUGGAGUGUGCGAUGAUGAUCAUAUCAAUCUUGGAACCACUUCCAACACACAUUGUCACUUCACCCUCAACUAGUCUCCAUUUAUUCUGCAACUCCUGUUUCGAGUUACUAAUCUUAGCAACCGAAUAAGUAUCAAAUACCUAGGGGCUACUACGAGCACUAGAAAGGUACACAUCAAAAACAAGUAUAUCAAAUAAAACCUUUGUUCACUUUGUCAUCCUUCUUAUCCGCCAAAUAUUUGGGGUAGUUCCGCCUCCAGUGACCACUUCCUUUGUAGUAGAAGCACUCAGUUUCAAGCUUGGGUCCAGCUUUGGGUUUCUUCCCAGGAGUGACAACUUGCUUGCCAUUCUUCUUGAAGUUCCCUUUCUUUCACUUUGCCCUUUUCUUGAAACUAGUGGUCUUGUUUAAGUACCAACACUUGAUGCUUUUUCUUGAUUUCUACCUUCGUCGAUUUCAGCAUCACGAAGAGCUUCGGAAUCUCUUUCAUCAUCCCUUGCAUAUUAUAGUUCAUCAUGAAGUUCCAGUAACUUGGUGAUGGUGACUAGAGAACUCUGUCAAUCACUAUCUUAUCUGGAAGAUUAACUCCCACUUGAUUCAAGCGAUUGUAGUACCCAGACAUUCUGAGCACAUGCUCACUAGCUGAGCUAUUCUCCUCCAUCUUUUAGGUGAAUUCCUUGUCAAAGGUCUCAUACCUCUCGACACGGGCAUGAGUCUGAAAUACCAAUUUCAGCUCUUGAAACAUCUCAUAUGCUCUGUGGCAUUCAAAGAAUUUUGAAGUCCCGGUUCUAAGCUGUAAAGCAUGGUGCACUAAACUAUCAAGUAGUCAUCAUAUUGAGCUAUCCAAACAUUCAUAACGUCUGCAUGCGCUCCUAUAAUAGGUCUGUCACCUAGUGGUGCAUCCAGGACAUAAUUCUUUUGUGCAACAAUGAGGAUAAACCUCAGAUCAUGGAACGAGUCCGCAUCACUGCUACUAUCAUCUUUCAACUUAGUUUUCUCUAAGAACAUAUCAAAAAAUAUAGGGGAGCUGCAAUGCGAGCUAUUGAUCUACAACAUAAUUUGCAAAUACUAUCAUGACUAAGUUCAUGAUAAAUUAAAGUUCAAUUAAUCAUAUUACUUAAGAACUCCCACUUAGAUAGACAUCCCUCAAGUCAUCUAAAUUAUACGUGAUCCAAAUCAACUAAAUCAUGUCCGAUCAUGACAUGAGAUGGAGUAGUCAUCAAUGGUGAACAUCUCUAUGUUGAUCAUAUCCACUAUAUGAUUCACGUUCGAUCUUUCGGUCUCCAGUGUUCCGAGGCAAUAUGCAUAUGCUAGGCUCGUGAAGUUUAACCUGAGUAUUCUGCAUGUGCAAAACUGGCUUGCACCCAUUGUAUUUGAACAUAGAGCUUAUCACACCCGAUCAUCAUGUGGUGUCUCAGCACGAAGAACUUUCGCAAUGGUGCACACUCGGGGAGAACACUUAUACCAUGAAAUUUUAGUAAGGGGUCGUCUUAUAAUGCUAUGGCCGUACUAAGCAAAAUAAGAUGCAUAAAGAUAAAUAUCACAUGCAAUCAAAAAUAUGUGACAUUAUAUGGCCAUCAUCAUCUUGUGCUUUUGAUCUCCAGCACCAAAGCAAAGUCAUGAUCUCCAUUGUCACCGGCUUGACACCUUGACCUCCAUCAUAGCAUCGUGGUCCUCUCGCGAACUAUUCCUUCUACGACUAUCGCUACCGCUUAGUGAUAAAGUAAAGCAAUUACAUGGCGUUUGUAUUUCAUACAAUAAAGUGACAACCAUAAGGCUCCUGCCAGUUGCCGAUAACUUUUAACUUUCACAAAACAUGAUCAUCUCAUACAACAACGUAUAUCACAUCAUCUCUUGACCAUAUCACAUCACAACACGCCCUGCAAAAACAAGUUAGACGUCCUCUACUUUGUUGUUGCAAGUUUUACGUGGCUGCUACGGGCUUCUAGCAUGAACCGUGCUUACCUAUGGCACAAAAGCCACAACGGUGAUUUAUCAAGUUUGUUGUUUUAACCUUCACAAGGACCGGCUGCAGUCAAAUUCGAUUCAACUAAAGUUGGAGAAACAGACACCCGCCAGCCACCUUUAUGCAAAACUAGUCGCAUGUCUAUCGGUGGAACCGGUCUCAUGAACUUAGUCAUGUAAGGUUGGUUCGGGCCGCUUCAUCCAACAAUACCGCCGAAUCCAAAUAAGACAUUGCUGGUAAGAAGUUGACGAUCACUGCCCACAACUCUCUGUGUUCUACUCAUGCAUAUCAUCUACGCAUAGACCUGGCUCGGAUGCCACUGUUGGGAAACGUAGCAUGCAAUUUCAAAAAAAAUCCUACGCUCACGUAUGAUCUAUCUAGGAGAUGCAUAGCAACAAGAGGAGGAGAGAGUGUCCACGUACCCUCGUAGACCGAAAGCGGAAGCGUUAGCUUAACGAGGUCGAUGUAGUCGAAUGUCUUCUCGAUUUAACCGAUCAAGCACCGAACGUAUGGUACCUCCAAGUUCUGCACACGUUCAGCUCGAUGACGUCCCUCGAACUCUUGAUCCACCAAAGUGUCAAGGGAGAGUUACGCCAGCACGACGGCGUGGUGACGGUGAUGGUCAAGUGAUCCACGCAGGGCUUCGCCUAAGCACUACGACAAUAUGACCGGAGGAGUAAACGGUGGAGGGGCACUGCACACGGCUAAGAACAAUUGAUGUGCUUAGAGGUGCCCCCCGCCCCCAUAUGUAAAGGAGGGAGAGGGGAGGAGGCCGGCCUAGGCCGCGCCAAGUGGGGAGGACUCCCACUUGGACUCCUAGUCCUAUUCGGUCCCCUUUCCUUCUAUCGGGGGGGGAGGAGGGGGGAGGAGAGGGGGUUGGAGAAGGACAGGGGGUGGCGCCCCCUUCCCUACUCCAAUUCGGCCUCCUUCCUUGUGGGGGGCGCACCAGCCCCUUGUGGUCUGGUUAGCCUCCCUCCUAUGGCCCAUAUGGCCCAUAUCUUCCACCAGGGGGUUUCGGUAACCCCUCCGGUACACCGAUAUGUACCCGAUACACUCUGGAACCCUUCCAGUGUCUGAAUAGUACCUUCCAAUAUAUCAUUCUUUACCUAUGGACCAUUUUGAGACUCCUCGUCAUGUCCGUGAUCUCAUCCGGGACACCGAACAACCUUCGGUCAGCAAAACACAUAACUCAUAUAAUACAUAUCAUCAUCGAACGUUAAGCGUGCAGACCCUACGGGUUUCAGAACUAUGCAGACAUGACCGAGACACCUCUCUGGUCAAUAAAUAACAGCGGAACCUGGAUGCUCAUAUUGGUUCCCACAUAUUCUACGAAGAUCUUUAUCGUUCGAACCGCUAUGUCAACAUAUGUUAAUCCCUUUGUCAUCGGUAUGUUACUUGCCCAUGAUUCGAUCGUCGGUAUCUUCAUACCUAGUUCAAUCUCGUUACUGGCAAGUCUCUUUACUUGUUCCGUAAUACAUCAUCCCGCAACUAACUCAUUAGUCACAUUCCUUGCAAGGCUUCAUGUGAUGUGCAUUACCGAGAUGGCCCAAAGAUACCUCUCCGAUACUCAGAGUGACAAAUUCUAAUCUCAGUCUAUACCAACCCAACAAACACCUUCGUAGUUACCUGUGGAGCAUCUUUAUAACCACCCAGUUAUGUUGUGACGUUAGAUAGCACACAAGGCAUUCCUCCGGUGUUCGGGAAUUGCAUAAUCUCAUAGUCAGAGGAAUAUGUAUUUGACAUGAGGAAAGCAGUAGCAAUAAAACUGAACGAUCAUUAUGCUAUGCUAACGGAUGGGUCUUGUCCAUCACAUCAUUCUCCUAAUGAUGUGAUCCCGUUCAUCAAAUGACAGCACAUGUCCAUGACUAGGAAACUUAACCAUCUUUGAUCAACGAGCUAGUCAAGUAGAGGCGUACUAGGGACAUAGUGUUUUGUCUAUGUAUUCACACACAUGUGUAAAGUUUCCGGUUAAUACAAUUCUACCAUGAAUAAUAAACAUUUAUCAUGAAAAAGAAAAUAUAAAAUAACAACUUUUAUUAUUGCCUCUAGGGCAUAUUUCCUUCACAUAUGCCCAAUCAAGGCAGUCCUGGAUAAUUCUAGCUUUGAGGAACCCAUGUUGAUUGAUAUGUAGCAUCUAGAGAAUAACUCUUUGUAAUCUAUUGGCCAACAGUUUGGUAAUUAUCUUAAGUACUCCAUUGAGUAGUGAGAUUGGUCUGAAAUCAUUGGGUGAUACUGGCACUUGCUUUUUUGGAAUCAAUGUAAUGAAGGAUGUAUUGAUGCUUUCAAGAUUUAUAUUACCAUCACGAAAAGCCAUGAUAAGCUCAGUGAUAUCCACUUUAAUGAUGUACCAACAAGCUUUGAUGAACUCAUUAUUAAAUCCAUCAUGACCUGGAGAUUUAUUUGUAGGAAUGUUUUUUACCACUUCAUCACUUUCCUCCUGUGUAAAAGGCUUCUCAAGAUCUUGCAAGAUCUCAGGCUCAACUCUAUGUUCAUCUAGAUCAUUCAAAUCAAAGUGCAUUGUGUGACCAUUAGAUUGUCCCAAUCUUUUUUUAAAAGCCUCCCAAAGAAUAGUUGUUUUUUUCUUCAUGGUCAAUAAUUUUCACUUGAUCAUCAUUCAGUAGUAUAGCAAUUUUAUUAUGUCUAUGAUUAAUAGUGGCUUUGGUAUGAAAGAAUUUGGAGUUCUCAUCACCAAACUUAUGACCUUUUAUUUUCCCUCUUUGCUUCCAAUAAAUCUUCUGGCUAUUAAGUACUGGUAAUAGGAGUUCCUUCAGCAUAGUUCUAAAAUUCCCAUCAAAUACUGAGAGAUAUCUAUAUUCCUCAAUCAAGUCCCAAAGGAAAAUACAAGCAUUUAAAUCCUCAAACUGCUUUUUAAGACAUGACAAACUCUUAGCCCACAAUUUUAAAGAUCUUCUCAAAUUCUUAAACUUUGCGUUGAUUUUUUUGGCAGGAUCAGUGUAACAAACAUGAAUAUUCCAUGCUACUUGAACAAUGUCUUUGAAAGAGCUGUGUUUCAACCAAUAAUUUUCAAACCUGAAUACCUUGGACUUGGGAAUGCAAACCAAACCAAUAUUCCACAGUACACAAUUUUUAUUUGCAGACCGAUUUCAAAAUUGUCGCCUCUAUUCAUUUCCGUUGUCUAAUCUACUAGCCAAUUAAGUCUGAACCGAGAACCGAACCUAAAUCUCAGUCGACCGAAUCUUUGGUUAGGAAUUUUCCCAAAUGACCAAUCGGCCGUCUUUUUUUGAAAACUGAAUUUCUUCAAAAGCUGAAGAACCAAACAAAACGGUUCGGUUACACAGAAUGCCCAGCUCUCCAAACGCCUCCACUUUCUCCCAGUUGAACAUGUGAUAUUUCUUACACCGAGUCUUCUUGCCAAAGCAAUCUUCUCCCAAAACAAUCAAAUAUUUUCUUUACUCCUACUAGCACAUAUGCCCUUGCGUUGCAACGGGAAAAAUUGAUAUUUUAUGCAAACAUAAUGUCCCAUAAUAUCAGAUUCACUAUGAAGAACAUGCUGCAACGCAACAUCGUUCUACAAAAUGAACAUAAAAAAUACGUUGCAAUUUAGCCGUGUUCAUAUUUUCUAUGUCGGGCAUAAUCUCCCACUGAUUUCAUCUAAGUUUUAUCCCUUUUAAUGGCAUUUAAGUAUUAUCCUUUCGUUAGUUACCAUGACAUCCUGAUCUGUUUUAGUCGGGAAUCGGAUCCUUACUUUUCUAAUUUAGUAGCCCCAACACAUUGAAGCCUACAAUUUUUUUUAAUUAUCCUACCUUUUUACCUCAAAUCCUUCAUGUAAAAUUUAUUAAGAUCACAAUCUUUCUUUUAUUUAUUCCACCGGUUUACCCAUAGUCCUUUCUUUAAUUAGCCACAUCCAUUUAAAUAUUCUAUUCAAGCCCACAAUCCUUCCUUUAUUAGCUCAUUCACUUAGUUAGAUCGCUGUAAACAUGAUGAUUGUCACUCGUAUAUUUAGAGCGAGUUUGGAUUAGUAAAUGUGAAAGACGCAUAGGUCGUUGGUAGUUACAUCGAAGAGCCAGACAUGAGAUCACGUGUUUAAUUUCCACAAUGUUGAUUUAAUUUGUCCCAAUUAUUUUUCGUGGUUUCUAUAAAAGCCCAUAAAAGGUCCAUCAAUGUACAAGUACCUGGCCCAAAUCGCUUAGCGUGUAAACCAAACGAAAAAUACUAAAUCAAACCAAGAAUACCUAUUCCCUUUAAUUGUAGGUAUAGAUAUAGAUUGGCAAGCCAUAAAAGGAAAGCAUGCACAACAGUUUAUAUUUUCUAGACUACUUACUCUGGAGCAAAGCCCCGGUCCUUUAUUCAAAACCAAAUAGUAUGUACAGGGGUCAAGUAGUCAGCUACAUAUACAAAACAUACCUACUUACCUAGCAAAAAGGAAAACUAAGGGAGGCUGGCAAUCUAAGCCAGAAGAUUCGGCCUACCACAAGCCCUGACUCUACAAGAAAUAAGGGUUAUAUCAUGUACAAAUUUACAACACCAUGAGCCAAAAGUGGCAUAGCUCCAAAUGUCCUUCCAUUUAUGACAAUCCAGAUAUUUCAUUUCCAAGCAGAGUCAGCAUAACCUCGAAGAAGAAAGGAUGGGCAAACCUCAUGUUUGCCCCGACAAUGCAUGGUCUGAUCUCAGACCCAUGUGCCGGAUCUAUCUGCAUGUAAUUCCAGAUCCUAAGGCUGAACUAGCGGGAGAAGAAGAGAAGUCUGUAACACAUUACACAUGGGUUUAUUGCUCAAAGAAGCAGUGAGAAAAGAGAACAUGCCUCCAAUGGAUGCUAAUUUUCCUUGCCAAUAUUCUAAUCUUACAAAAAAACAUGCCAUCAUUAAAAUAAAUUUAUGGAUGGUUGAGCCUUUGAGGCUUUGAGGGAAGAAUCCAACAACAAAUAUGCCCAAUUUUCCCUUUGAGAUUUACUUUUGCCCCUGACAAAUACAGGCCAUGAAUCGUCAAUACUAAAUCAACAUCAGAAAACAGGCACAAGGCUUGACUUUAUAGAUAAAUCGACGAGCUCCACAAGAACACAAUUAUUGAAUACAAAGGUUCAGCAAAAAAGUGAAAUAGUUCACCAGCCAACAUAAAAAAACACGCAAAUGGCCUCAGUUUAUAUAGAUAAAUCGACGAGUUCCACAAGAACACGAUUAUUGAAUACAGAGGUUCAGCAAGCAAACAGGAAAUAGCUCGGGCUGGCGCAACAGCAUAGGUAAGCCCAAAAUAAAGAAAAAGAAAACAAACUACGGAGCCGGAAUCUGGUGAGCCACCCUCCGGAAGCCAAGAAGGAGCCCAUCCAGUCCUCCGUGAUCCCGACGCCAAGCGAGCACCUGCCAUUGCAGAAUCGAUCGAGGCUACUAGCUAAUUCAACAUCCCCGGCAGUGAGCUGAAACGGUCACAUCCCUUCAUUUUAUUGCGUCCAUCCGAUUAUUGAUUUCUUGAAAUAAACAGCAUGCCAUGCAUUCAGCAUUGUUUUAUUUAUUUGAACAUAGCACAACCAUCAUAUGGAAACGGAAGCAGGCACGGCUGGCGAGUUAUUGGUAGUCUUAACCAAGACUUCUGGGACGGAGUUGAACUUGGCAAACCACUUGGCUGACUUCUUGAGCUUGCGCUUGUUGCUGUCCGUCUUGUCGAUGUAGACGAGGCUGAAUCGUGUGCUGUAGCCAAGGGUCCAUUCGAAGUUGUCGAUCAGACCCCAGGUGAAGUGGCCCCGCACGUCCGCGCCCUGGCUGAAAACACACAUACAUGAAAGCGCGCUUAGCUAGACUUCAACCAUGUGUCUGUGUGUAUGUAUACAUGUGCAUGCAUGAUAACAUACGUAGUACUACCUCGGUCCUGGUUUAUUGGUCCCUAUUAUAUUUCGUGUCAAAUUUGACCUUAGAUUGAACUAAUAAAAUGUUCAUGCAUGUCAUAAAAAAUUAUGCCAUUGAAAACUAUGUUCAAAUACGAAUCCAAUGAUAUAAUUUUUGUUGACAUGCAUUAACAAUUUGUUAGUUAAAUCUUUGAUCAAAAUUUGACACACAUUACAAAGGGGUCCAAUAAACCAGCACCGAGGCAGUACCUUACAUUAAUCAAUGUGCUAUUAGAGUAAUGUAGGUAAGAGUGCAAAGUAAGUGAAACAAAAAAGAUAGGAUUUUAGGGUGGGUAGUUACUCUAUUGCGUCCUUGACGGCUGAGAUGUGGCGCUGGAGGUAGUCUAGCCUUUUCCAGUCAUCCAAUGGAUCCGGCAUGCUUUCGUCGCCUUCCACGUCAGCGAUUCCUAAGUGCAUCCAGGAAAUCCAUUUCUCUCCAAAUCCCUUUGCUCUGAGUAUAUCAAUAAUUGUCUGAUGUUCAAUAGUGUCAAAAGCUUUCUCAAAAUCCAGUUUAAUCACCAUCAUCUCUUCUUUUGAUUUAUGACAUUGAUGGAUAUAUUCAUAUGCCCCACCAAGGCAGUCCUGGAUCAUUCUAGCUUUGAGGAACCCAUGUUGAUUGAUAUGUACCAUCUAGAGAAUAAUUCUUUGUAAUCUAUUGGCCAGUAGUUUGGUAAUUAUCUUAAGUACUGCAUUGAGCAGUGAGAUUGAUCUGAAAUCAUUGGGUGAGACUGGCACUUCCUUUUUUGGAAUCGAUGUAAUGAAGGAUGUAUUGAUGCUUUCAAGAUUUAUAUUACCAGCAUGAAAAGCCAUGAUGAGCUCAGUGAUAUCCACUUUAAUGAUGUUCCAACAAGCUUUGAUGAACUCAUUAUUAAAUACAUCAGGACCUGGAGAUUUAUCUGUAGGAAGGUUUUUUACCACUUCAUCAAUUUCCUCCUGUGUAAAAGGCUUUUCAAGAUCUUGGAAGAUCUCAGACUCAACAAUAUGUCCAUAUAGAUCAUUCAAAUCAAAGUGCAUUGUGUGACCAUUAGAUUGUCCAAAUGUUUUUUUAAAGCCUCCCAAAGAAUAGUUGUUUUCCUUCAUGGUCAGUAAUUUCCACUUGAUCAUCAUUUAGAAGCAUAGCAAUUUUAUUAUGUCUAUGAUUAAUAGUGGAUUUGGUAUGAAAGAAUUUGGUGUUCUCAUCACCAAAGUUAACACGUUUUAUUUUCCCUCUUUGCUUCCAAUAAAUCUUGUGAUUCUUAAGUAAUGUCAAUAGGAAUUCCUUCAGCAUAGACCUACAAUUCCCUUCAAAUACUAAGAGAUAUUUAUAUUCCUCAAUCAAGUCCCAGAGGAAAAUACAAGCAUUUAAACCCUCAAACUGCUUUUUAAGAAAUGACAAACUCUUGGCCCACAAUUUUAAAGAUCUUCACAAAUUCUUAAACUUUGCAUUGAUUUUUUUGGCAGGAUCAGUGUAACCCACAGGAAUAUUCCAGGCUGCUUGAACAAUGUCUUUGAAAGAGUUCUGUUUCAACCAAUAAUUUUCAAAGCUGAAUACCUUGGACUUGGGAAUGCAGACCAAACCAAUAUUCCACAAUACACAAUGUUUAUUUGCAGACCAAUUUCAGAAGUGUCGCUUCUAUUCAUUUCCGUUCUCUAAUCUACUAGUAAAUUAAGUCUGAACCGAGAACUGAACCUAAAUUCCGGUCCACCGAAUCUUUGGUUAGGAAUUUUCCCAAUGACCAAUCGGCCAUCCUUUUUUGAAGACCGAAUUUCUUCAAAAGCUGAAGAACCGAACCGAACGGUUCAAUUACAUAGAAUGCCCAGCUCUCCAAACGCCUCCACUUUCUCCCAGUUGAACAUGUGAUAUUUCUUACACCGAGUCUUCUUGCCAAAGCAAUCUUCUCCCAAAACAAUCAAAUAUUUUCUUUACUCCUUUUGGCAAGCCAUAAAAGGAAAGCAUGCACAACGGUUUAUAUUUUCUAGACUACUUACUCUGGAGCAAAGCCCCGGUCCUUUAUUCAAAACCAAAUAGUAUGUACAGGGGUCAAGUAGUCAGCUACAUAUACAAAACUUACCUACUUAUUACCUAACAAAAAGGAAAACUAAAGGAGGCUGGCAAUCUAAGCCAGAAGAUUCGGUCUAUCACAAGCCCUCAUUCUACAAGAAAGAAGGGUUAUAUCAUGUACUCCCUCUGUUCCGAUUUACUCGUCGUGGUUUUAGUUCAAAUUUGAACUAAAACCAUGACGAGUAAAUCGGAAUGGAGGGAGUACAAAUUUACAACACCAUGAGCCAAAAGUGGGAUAGCUCUGAUUGUCCUUCCAUUUAUGACAAUCCAUAUAUUCCAUUUCCAAGCAGAGUCAGCAUAACUUCGAAGAAGAAAGGAUGAGCAAACCUCAUGUUUGCCCCGACAAUGCAUGGUCUGAUCUCAGACCCAUGUGCCGGAUCUAGCUAUCUCCAAGUAAUUGCUGAUCCUAAGGCUGAACUAGCGGGAGAAGAAGAGAUGAAGUCUGUAACACAUUACACAUGGGUUUAUUGCUCAAAGAAGCAGUGAGCAAAGAGAUCAUGCCUCCAAUACUAAUUUCCUUGCCAAUAUUCUGAUCUUAAAAACAUUAGAAAACAAGCACAAGGCCUCACUUUAUAUAGAUAAAUCGACGAGUUCCACAAGAACACGAUUAUUGAACACAAACGUUCAGCAAGCAAAAGGGAAAUAGUUCGGGCUGGGGCGGCAGCACAGAUAAGCCCGACAUAAAGAAAAAGAACACAACCUACAGAGCCCGCCGGAACCGGAAGCUGGCGAGCCACACCCUCCGGAGGCCAAGAAGGAGCCCAUCCAAUACGCCGUGAUCCCGACGCCAAGCGAGCAUCCGCCAUUACAGAAUCGAUCGAGGCUACUAAUUCAACAUCCCUGGCAGUGAACUGAAACGGCCACAUCCUCCCUUCAUUUUAUUGCACCCAUCCGAUUAUUAAUUUCUUCAAACUAACUGCAUGCCAUGCAUCCAGCCUUGGAUUAUUUGUUCGAACAUAGCACCACUUCGUUCUCCAUCAUACAGAAACGGAAGCAGCUGUCAUGGUUGCGUUGUUAUUGGUGGUCUUAAGCAAGGGUUUUGGGACGGAAUUGAACUUGGAGAACCACUUGGCCGACUUCUUGAGCUUGCGCUUGUUGCCGUCAUUCUUGUCGAUGUAGACAAGGCCGAACCGUGAGCUGUAGCCGAGGCUCCAUUCGAAGUUGUCGAUCAGACCCCACGUCAAGUGGCCCCGCACGUCCGCGCCCUGGCUGAAAGCACACAUACAUUUGAGUAAUCAGUGUGCUAUAUUAGGGUAUGUAUGUAUGUAGGUAGGUAAGAGUACAAAAUAAAUGAAAAAAAUAGGUAGGGUUUUAGCGUGGGUAGUUACUCUAUUGCGUCCUUGACGGCUGAGAUGUGGCGCUGGAGGUAGUCUAGCCUCUUCCAGUCAUCCAAUGGAUCCGGCAUGCUUUCGUCACCUUCCACGUCAGCGAUUCCUGCACACACACAAGUUAGAGGUAAUCCAUCACACUUCCUUUAAAAAAAACCUCCAAUGAACCAUUACAUCAUAUCUCCAUGGAUUAGGUUCUUGUCUGAUUUGAGGGAACUAGUGCCACUCGAACACAAAGAUUGUUUACAGAUUAGUGUGUGUCAAUCUUCAUGAGGAUUAGGGUAAUGAGGAUCAUGGAAAUUUGACUAGUUACUUUUGAUGUCAGAUUUUCAACCUUUUUAUUAACGGCAAGUCAACUAAAGUUUGAUAUGAACCGAUGACUGGUCAUUCGAUUACUACAAAAUCCAAUGCUAUAUACACACACACAUAUCACUACUUACCGUUCUCAGUGAUGAAGACAGGUGGGUUUCCGUAUUUCUCCUUCAUGAUCAGAAGGAGGUCCGUUAGGCCUUUUGGGUACAUGUAGAUCCAAUAAGUCCCGGUCUGCAAAUGGAUGUCCAAAAUUUUAAUUAGUAACGACAAAAAACUUCAGAUUUGUUUAAGCUUUAUUGCAGAAACAAAGCAUUAUCAUGUCUAUGCGACUUAACCAUUUUGUUCAAAAGUUUAACUAAAGUCCUGGCUGACUAGUUCUACCAUAAGAUUUUGGUGAAAAUAAUCUACAUUAUCACUAUCAUCAUAUAUGUCGUAUGCAAAAUUAACCAGGUAGUAGGAAGAUACAUACUAUAGGACCGAUGUCAUUCCCAUCACUCCCUGUAGCUGCUCGAACAGAAGGGAAAAAGUCCAGCAUUAGUAUGAGAACAUCAAAUUUCUCAAAGGAUCUGUAAAGUAUACUAACUAAGGUUUGUCCUCAACCAUAUUUUCUUACUUUCUGAACUGGCGUAAGCGUCGUCGGUGUUCAGCGUUGGCGUAAAGUCUGGUGACAUGUCAACAUGCUUGGAGAAUCUGGAGGUGUAAUAGUUGAGCCCCAUGAUGUCACAUGACGACGCUAGUUUCUCUUGCUCCUCCUUGGUGAACAUGGGUAGACGAUCUCCGAUCAGUGAUCUCAUGGAGAAGGGGUAGUCACCACGAACCACUGGCUCCAGGAACCAUCCCAUGUUGUAGUCAAUGGAUCUUUCCCGGGCCUGGUUGUCGAGGAAGGAGUCUUGGUAUGGCUCGUAACCCAUUACGUCAAAAGCCAUUCCUAUUUUGGAAUCUCCAUGCUGCAGUUGGUUCGUCAAUAUAAAUAAAUUAAAUAUACAAGUAGAUACCACUAGUUGUUACUUGUUUACUAGAUAAUGUAUAUCUCUCUCUUUGUGUAUGUACCAUGUUGUAAUGAGCUUUGAACAGCUGAACAGCCUCAGCAUGAGCUAGGAGGAUGUGGUGACCAGCAGUGUAUGGCUCUCUGAGCGAGUCUCCUUCUGGGACGGCACAAUCCAUCCCCGGCGAGCACCUCCCAGGAGCAUGAAUCCCCUCUCCGUAGGAGAAACAACAAUAUGUAUGUGGCUCGUUAAAGGUGAACCAGUUCUUCACCCUGUCACCGAAGUUCUUAAAGCACACCUCGGCGAAUUGUUUGUAAUCAUCUCUGGAAAAAAAAAUCAAACCCGAAGGAUGUUCAACAAAAUUGUUUCUUAGCUUAACAAUAAGUAGUUAUGUUAGUUUACUGAUGAAUCAUUGAAUGACAGUACAACAUUGUUUGUUAUCUGAAAAGAAACGUUUUUCUACUCAUGGUCCACUAAUGGCCUUCAUCCAAACCAAACAGUGUAUAAGCAAAAUCAUAUAUAAAGUAAUCUUGUUCAAAUCGAAUUUAACAAUAUUAUAGUUCGUAGUUUUUGUACAUAUCGUGAUUGCAAUUACUGAUCUUUCUUUAGAACCAUUUUCUUACAAAUCAAUGUACUGUUGUUUGCCGCAUACUUACACAAUCUGCCUAUUUAAGAAGCCACCGUACUUGUCUUCCAGUGCUUGAGGGGUGUCCCAGUGCCAAAUUGUAACAUAUGGCACUAUGUCUGAGUUUCAAAAAACAAAUAAUUAUUUGUGCGAGCUCUUAUGAGUCUGACUCAUUAAGCACUAAUCAAACAAAGAAAAAAAGGGUUUUCAUCAUUAUCUAUCAGCGAGUUGAUCAGCUUAUUGUAGUAGUCGAUGCCUGCCUGGUUUACUUUCCCCGUCGCAUCUGCAAGCCCUAGUAAACAUGUGCUGAAAUUAGGACCCAAAUAUUACAACAAGUCUUAUCGGCUGCGUCUAAUUUGUAGAGGACAUCUUUAUUGUUCCUAACUUAUUCACCAUACAAAAUAUACAUGGUUAUUUUGUAUUUACCUGGCAGUAUUCUCGACCAAGAGAUGGAGAACCUAUACACUUUCAUGCCCAUGUCCUUGAGCACUUUGACAUCCUCCUGUCAGUCAUAAAUGAUGACAUGAAUAAUGAUGACAACAUAUUAUCAUGCAUAUUUCUAUUUUUAUUAGAAGUGCAUAUUCCAAAUGGUUUUUCAAAAAAAAUGCAACGACAUAAAAGCAGUCCUGUCAUAAUUAAGAUUUGUUAGAUUUUUGUUUGGAAAAACCAUUGGUCCCGUCAGAGUACUUACUUCAUAUAGAUGGUAGGAGUUUGCUGCAACGUCCCCAUUGGUCAUGUCGGAUAUGCGCUCUGUUCAUAUAUAUACACAUGAAAUUAAGGAGAAGGACCCACGAUAGAAUAAUAUGAGUAUGUUUGUAAUAACACUGAAAAGGUAUAUGUUACCAGGAUAUGUGUGGCAGAAGUGGUCCCAAGUGCUUGGCCCCUUGCCAUCUUCAUUCCAAGCACCUUCAAUCUACACGGAUGACGACAUAUAUAACAUUUUGUGCAAUCGAACAAACCACUAAACAUGCAUUUUGACAUCAUGUUUUCCCUUAGGUAUUUGUUAUCAUUGAAACAGUUGACACCAUUAUUUUAUUUUAAAUUAACAGAUAUAAGGUUGUGCAAGAAAAUAAUUAGUACCUGGUACGCUGAAGUGGAGGCACCAAAUAGGAAGUCCUUGUCGAACCAGUCCCUUUUAGGGAUUUGCCACGGCUUGAGCUUAGUGAACACAGGCCCAAUGGGCUCUGCUGGCUUUGACGGUGUGCCUGCCCUGAUGGUGAGGUUACAGAACCUUUCCUUGCUCUUCUGUGAUGAAGCAGCAGACCGGAGCCAUAGGUUCUCACUGUUGCGUCCUGCACGGCUUCUAAGGCUAAGGUGGGUGGUGGGAUUCAGGGUAGCAGCAGCAAGUAGAGCCAUCUCUUGCUAGCAGCUGGCUGGAGUGUUGUGAGCAGCUUGAGGAGUGAGUUCCCUUGCAGGCUUAUGCAUCUAUUUAUAGAUGAGGAUGGAGAAUCUGUCAAGUGGGCGUGGUGGUGGGAUGAUAAUGAAGCUGCGGCUGGAACCCUAGCUAAGACACACGGCAGUUGGCUAACCUGGUGGGAGCUCUUUAUAACUUACCACUGGGCAUUCCUGCAGCCCACCCCCAAAAAAUAUGGCAGAGGAACAUAUCCUUCUGCUGGGUCAAAUGCAACAAAAAAAAUGUGUUUGUUACAUUAACUAAAGAGAACAGUGAAAAGUUGUGCCUGUAGACAUUCGAAUGGCACACAUAUAAACUUGAACACACGAAGUUAAAGAGAAAUUGCCAAACUGUUUUCUUUAAAUAUCAAUCUCUCUACCCCAAUAGACAUAUUGAAACUCUUCUUAUCUUAAGCUAAUUAACGGUAGUGUCAAAUCUUUACCCCCACGUAGUGCCUGUAAAUUUUUUUCCGAAAAGGGACACUUUAUUACUUAAAAGGUUUAUAAGCAUUACACACAGCCUCUGCAUAACUAAGAUGCACACAGCCAACAAAGUCCUCACGACAAGCCAAAAUAAAAAAAGAAGGCGAAAUAGAAAGAAGAAUAUUUGUAUAACACCUAAAUCGUAGGUGGCCCAAUUCUAAGAUCACGCUGCCACCCAUAUUGGGUAAAUGUAUCCCUUGCCGUAGCCCCCAAUCGUGUACACACCUCCGUAAACAGGUCUCGAUUCUCCACUCGCUGUAGAGAAAACCAUAAACGAAGCAUCCCGGUACAUAUGUAGGUAACUUGCAUAAGAGAAGUACUUUUAUCCUUAAAAACCUUAUCAUUUCUACAUAACCAAAGCGACCAAAUCACAGGUAGCGCUCCCAUCCUGAGAAGAAUUCUAAACUUGUGAUCAAUCCCAUGUAACCAGUUGCCAAAUAUAUUAGCAACACUACAAGAAGGAUACAAGCUAGAAGCUAUUUGGAUGACUGACCAUAUAGAAUGAUCCAAUUUACAUUGGAAGAAUUAAUGUUUUAUUGUCUAAUCAUGUGAACAAAUGUUUUCUUGUAGUGCCUGUAAUAUGUCCGGAAACAAUUUUCUACACACAUUCUUGUGGGGCGGCUGCCUUAUGUUAGGCAUUGUGGCUCACUAGGAAUGAUGUGGUUUUUAACAACAAUUGUGUUUUGUUUCAUAUCCUACGAAGGUUAUUCAUGCAUGUACGCGGUGACCCCAUACUUGGUCUAUCCUGCACAGCCUGGAGGACUGAGACCUUUCUAUGAUGGUGUAUACCCGACUGGAGCAUACGGUCAGUGAGGUUUUCUUCCUUCAUGAUGGCGGUGUAAUCUCCAGAUAUGAUCCACCCCACCUUAGGUUGGACUCUUUAUUAUUUUUGUAAAAAGGCAUUUUAUUUUUGGUUGUGUUGGACGUGUUAGCUGCGUGCAUCGUGCUAUGUAGAGGACGCUUUUUAAUGUGGUUGUAUCACCUUGAUAUAUCAAUUAAAUGAAAUGUCCUUUAUAAAAAAAAUUAACAGUAGACAAAAAGCAUGACUUGACUCUACUUCUUAUAGAAAGUACAAAAUAUAUAUGUUCAGCUAGAGGACACCUCGACACUAUAUGUUGCAAGUAUUUCAGAAACUUGUUGUUCACAACUUUUAUUGCAUCACCCCAGUUAGCUUAACUUAGCGGCGUGGCCCGAUGCUAGCUCUGCCCCUGAUCAGAUCUAUUGUCUUUCCUAAAGAAAUACCCACCUUUUUCACUUCAAAAUUAUCUAAAUUAAGUCACCCUUAAGCAUAUACGUAUAUCCCACCAUAAUACCCUAUAGAAGAAAGAAACCCCCUAAAUCCUCAUCUAAAUCACCUACCUACUACAUGAUCAGAAUAGUCUAGCACCCUAAAUUUGCAUCUAAAUCACGUACCCAUCUCUGUGAGGAAUAUGCUGACGAUGCUAACAAAUCAAGGAUGUACCGUGUUCUGUGGUGACAUGCAUGGAUCCGAACACAGUGGCCCUUUUCACCUUCUUGAUACUCACAGUUCGUGGUCCGAACAGUAAACUGCUGGUGCAACGCACGCGUGGGCGUGGCUCGUGGUUCUUGCAUUUGUCAGUACAGUCCACACAUCCAGUAUGUGGCUGUCCGUCAUCACAAGCGUGUGGGGGAUGUGGGAUUCUCGCCGCGUUUCUCGGCGGCGUGAGUUGAGAUCAAGACAAGGCCAUCUUACACUGUCGCUAUAGAAAAGUUUAUCUUGAACAUCAGUUGGUACCAUAUCUCUAUAAGUACACUAUUAAUCUACAUAUUGAUGUCACCGGCAUGUUGUCAGUCCAGCUAGCGUAUCGCAUCGCAUCGCUAAAUGUACCUGGCUUGAUUGACUGUACGUAGUAUAUUGCUGCCUGAUUUACAAUAACACAUACAGUAGUACGAACUCCGUCCUGAUUUAUUAGCCCUCUUCGUAUUUAGAGUCAUAUUUUGAUCAUACUUAUAACCAAUAAAAUAUAAGUUAUAUAUAGCAAAAAUAAUAUUAUCAAAAAAUAUGUUAAAAUGCGAAUCCAAUACAUAUUAUUUUUAGUGACAUGCAUUAAUUUUUAUUAUUUAAAUUUAUGCUUAAAAUUUGACACAAAAUAUGAAAAGGACUACUAAAUCAAGAUCAAGAUAGUGCUACUACUCCCUCCGUUUUUAUUUACUUCACAUAUUAGCUUUGGUCAAAGUCAAACUCUGUAAACUUUGACAAAGUUUAUACACAAAAGUAUUAAUAUAAACAAUAACAAAUCAAUACCCUUAGAAUCAUUAUUGAAUAUACUUUCACAUCAUAUAGAUUUGUUAUUAUAAAUGUUCAUAUUAUUUUCUAUAAACUUGGUCAAACUUUGUGAAGUUUGAUUUCAGUCAAAUCUAAUAUGUAGAGUAAAAAACGGAGGGAGUAUGUCUUUGUCAGUGGUGAGGAUCAAUGCCCCACGUCAGUAUCACAUGGCUAGGAAAGAAGAAUCUGCCAUGUCACUAAUAUUGUUUGGCCUGAUCACAGCGGGGCAGAUGUGCUAUAUUAAUUGUGCUUCUAAUGAAUUUGUUCGCUCUAGUGGGAGUCUCCUCAAAUUACGCUGUGGUUAGGCUAGUUGUAAUGGGGAGUAUCAUAGUAUCAUGCAUAUGAUACUAGUGUAUAAUAGUACCUCCCUAAGGCUGCUUGUAAUGGAUAGUAUCAUAAGUUAGUAUCAUGCAUAUGAUAUUAGUGUGAUAUACUACCUCCCUAAUGCAUGGUAUCAUGCACUAGUAUCAUAGAUGACUUUAUUUAUUGCCAUGCAUGACACAUAGUAGCAUUGCAUUUAUUAUGAUACGGUAUCAUUGUAUGAUACUCAACCAUCUCUUUCUUCAUUUAAUUCUAUGCCACAUCAUCAAAAUUGUCUACUUGGCAUGCAUGAUACUAGCUAUGAUACUACCAUUACGACCAGCCUAAUGCAUAGUAUCAUAUAUUAGUAUCAUGUAGUAUUUUAUUUAUUGUCAUGCAUGAUACGUAGUAACAUAGCAUUUAUUAUGAUACGGUAUCAUGAUAUGAUACUCAACCCUCUCUUUCUUCAUUUAAUUUUAUGACAUCUCAUCAAAAUUGCCUAGUUGGCAUGCAUGAUACUCCCAUUACGACCAGCCUUAGCUCGGUUUUUACAGCGGACGCGAUCACUGAUGAAGCAAUGUACUGUUAGGGAACGUAGUAAUUUCAAAAAAAAUCCUACGCACACGCAAGAUCAUGGUGAUGGCAUAGCAACGAGAGGGGAGAGUGUUGUCUACGUACCUUCGUAGACCGUUAAGCGGAAGCCUUAUGACAACGCGGUUGAUGUAGUCAUACGUCUUCACGAUCCGACCGAUCCAAGCACCGAACGUACGGCACCUCCGUGUUCAGCACACGUCCAGCUCGAUGACGUUCCCCGGGCUCCAAUCCAGCAAAGCGUCGGGGAUGAGUUCCGUCAGCACGACGGCGUGGUGACGAUGAUGAUGUUCUACCGGCAUAGGGCUUCGCCUAAACUUCGCGACGAUAUAACCGAGGUGGAAUAUGGUGGAGGGGGGCACCGCACACGGCUAAGGAACGAUCCGUAGAUCAACUUGUGUGUCAUGGGGUGCCCCCCUGCCCCCGUAUAUAAAGGAUCAAGGGGGAGGCCGGCCGGCCCUUGUGGGCGCGCCGAGGAGGAGGAGUCCUCCUCCUAGUAGGAGUAGGACUCCCCCUUUCCUCCUCCUACUAGGAGGGGGAAAGGAAGGGGAAGAGGGGGAAGGAAAGAGGGGGGAGCCCCCCCCCUCCUAGUCCAAUUCGGAGCACAGGGAGAGGGGGCGCGCGGCCCACCCUGGCUGCCCCUCUCUCUUUCCACUAAGGCCCAUGUGGCCCAUUAACUCUCCCGGGGGGUUCCGGUAACCCUUCGGCACUCCGGUUUUCUCCGAAAUCACCCGGAACACUUCCGGUGUCCGAAUAUAGUCAUCCAAUAUAUCAAUCUUUAUGUCUCGACCAUUUCGAGACUCCUCGUCAUGUCCGUGAUCACAUCCGGGACUCCGAACAAACUUCGGUACAUCAAAACUUAUAAACUCAUAAUAAAACUAUCAUCGUAACGUUAAGCGUGCGGACCGUACGGGUUCGAGAACUAUGUAGACAUGACCUAGAAUUAUUCUCGGUCAAUAACCAAUAGUGUAACCAAGAUGUUCAUAUUGGUUCCUACAUAUUCUACGAAGAUCUUUAUCGGUCAAACCGCAUAACAACAUACGUUGUUCCCUUUGUCAUCGGUAUGUUACUUGCCCGAGAUUCGAUCGUCGGUAUCCAAUACCUAGUUCAAUCUCGUUACCGGAAAGUCUCUUUACUCGUUCCAUAAUACAUCAUUUCGUAACUAACUCAUUAGUUACAAUGCUUGCAAGGCUUAAGUGAUGAGUAUUACCGAGAGGGCCCAGAGAUACCUCUCCGACAAUUGGAGUGACAAAACCUAAUCUCGAAUUAUGCCAACUCAACAUGUACCUUUGGAGACACCUGUAGACCACCUUUAUAAUCACCCAGUUACGUUGUCACGUUUGGUAGUACACAAAGUGUUCCUCCGGUAAACGGGAGUUGCACAAUCUCAUAGUUGUAGGAACUUUGUAUAAGUCAUGAAGAAAGGAAUAGCAACAUACUAAACGAUCAAGUGCUAAGCUAAUGGAAUGGGUCAAGUCAAUCACAUCAUUCUCCUAAUGAUGUGAUCCCGUUAAUCAAAUGACAACUCUUUUGUCCAUGGUUAGGAAACAUAACCAUCUUUGAUAAACGAGCUAGUCAAGUAGAGGCAUACUAGUGACACUAUGUUUGUCUAUGUAUUCACACAUGUAUUAUGUUUCCGGUUAAUACAAUUCUAGCAUGAAUAAUAAACAUUUAUCAUGAUAUAAGGAAAUAAAUAAUAACUUUAUUAUUGCCUCUAGGGCAUAUUUCCUUCAGUCUCCCACUUGCACUAGAGUCAAUAAUCUAGUUCACAUCAUCAUGUGAUUUAACACCAAUAUUCACAUCUGUAUGUGAUUAAUACCCAUAGUUCACAUCGUCAUGUGAUCAACACCCAAAGGGUUUACUAGAGUCAAUAAUCUAGUUCACUUCGCUAUGUGAUUAACACCCAAAGAGUACUAAGGUAUGAUCAUGUUUUGCUCGUGAGAGAAGUUUAGUCAACGGGUCUGUCAUAUUACAGAGUCAUAUGUAUUUUGCAAAUAUUCUAUGCCUACAAUGCUUGUCACGGAGCUACUCUAGCUAAUUGCUCCCACUUUCAAUAUGUAUCCAGAUUUAGACUUAGAGUCAUCUGGAUCGGUGUAAAAGCUUGCAUCGAUGUAACUCUGUACGACGAACUCUUUUAUCACCUCCAUAAUCGAGAAACAUAUCCUUAUUCUACUAAGGAUAAUUUUGACCAAUGUCCAGUGAUCUACUCCUAGAUCACUAUUGUACUCCCUUGCCAAACCAGGGAAGAGUAUACAAUAGGUCUGGUCCAUAGCAUGGCAUAUUUUUAUAGAACCUAUGACUGAUGCAUAGAGAAUGACUUUCAUUCUCUUUCUGUUUUCUACCGUGGUCGGGUCUUGAGUCUUACUCAAUUUCACACCUUUGCAACACAGGCAAGAACUCUUUCUUUGACUGUUCCAUUUUGAACUAUUUCAAAAUCUUGACAAGGUAUGUACUUAUUGAAAAACUUAUCAAGCGUCUUGAUCUAUCUCAAUAGAUCUUGAUGCUCAAUAUGUAAGCAGCUUCACCGAGGUCUUUCAUUGAAAAACUUUUUAUUCAAGUAUCCUUUUAUGCUAUUCAGAAAUUCUAUAUCAUUUCCAAUCAACAAUAUGUCUUGCACAUAUAAUAUCAGAAAUGCUACAGAGCUCCCACUCACUUUCUUGUAAAUACAGGCCUUUCCAAAAGUCUGUAUAAAACCAUAUGCUUUGAUCAACUCAUCAAAGCGUAUAUUCCAACUCCGAGAUGCUUGCACCAGUCCAUUGAUGGAUCGUUGGAGCUUGCACAUUUUGUUAGUACCUUUAGGAUUAGCAAAACCUUCUGGUUGCAUCAUAUACAACUCUUCUUUAAUAAGUCCAUUAAAGAAUGUAGUUUUGACAUCCAUUUGCAAGAUUUCUUAACAUGUGACAAUUGCUAACAUGAUUCGGACAGACUUAAGCAUCUCUACAGUUGAGAAAAUCUCAUUGUAGUCAACAUCUUGAACUUGUCGAAACCUUUUCGUGACAAGUCGAGCUUUCUAGAUAGUAACACUACUAUCAGUGUCCGUCUUCCUAUUGAAGAUCCAUUUAUUUAACAUGGCUUGCUGAUCAUCGAGCAAGUCAAUCAAAGUCCAUACUUUGUUCUCAUACAUGGAUCCUAUCUCAGAUUUCAUGGCCUCAAGCCAUUUCGCGGAAUCUGGGCUCAUCAUCGCUUCCUCAUAGUUCGUAGGUUCAUCAUGGUCUAGUAACAUGACUUCUAGAACGGGAUUACCAUACCACUUUGGUGCGGAUCUUAUUCUGGAAGACCUACGAGGUUCGGUAGUAACUUGAUCUGAAGCUUCAUGAUCAUCAUCAUUAACUUCCUCACUAAUCGGUGUAGGCAUCACUGGAACUGAUUUCUGUGAUGAACUACUUUCCAAUUUGGGAGAAGGUACAAUUACCUUACCAAGUUCUACUUUCCUCCUACUCACUUCUUUCGAGAGAAACUCCUUCUCUAGAAAGGAUCCAUCUUAGCAACGAAUCUUGCUCGGAUCUGUGAUAGAAGGUGUAUCCAAUAGUUACCUUUGGGUAUUCUAUGAAGACGCACUUCCCCGAUUUGGGUUCGAGCUUAUCAGGUGAAAACUUUUUCACAUAAGCAUCGCAGCCCCAAACUUUAAGAAACGACAACUUUGGUUUCUUGCCAAACCACAGUUCAUAAGGCGUCGUCUCAACGGAUUUUGAUGGUGCCCUAUUUAAAGUGAAUGCAACUGUCUCUAAUGCAUACCCCCAAAACGAUAGUGUUAAACCGAUAAGAGACAUCAUAGAUCGCACCAUAUCCAAUAAAGUGCGGUUACGACGUUCGGACACACCGUUACGCUGUGGUGUUCCAGGUGGCAUGAGUUUGUGAAACUAUUCCACAUUGUUUUAAUUGAAGACCAAACUCGUAACUCAAAUAUUUGUCUCCACGAUCAAAUUGCAGAAACUUUAUUUUCUUGUUAUGAUGAUUCUCCACUUCACUCGGAAAUUAUUUGAACCUUUCAAAUGUUUCAGACUUGUUCUUCAUUAAGUAGAUAUACUUAUAUCUGCUCAAAUCAUCUUGUGAAGGUCAGAAAAUAACGAUAGCCGCCACGAGCAUCAACACUCAUUGGACCGCAUACAUCGGUAUGUAUUAUUUGCAAUAAGUCAGUAGCUCGUUACAUUGUUCCAGAGUACGGAGUUUUAGUCAUCUUGCCCAAAAGGCGCGGUUCGCAAGCAUCAAAUGAUUCAUAACCAAGUGAUUCCAAAAAUCCAUCUUUUAUGGAGUUUCUUCAUGUGCUUUACACCGGUAUGACCCAAACGGCAGUGCCACAAAUAAGUUGCACUAUCAUUAUUAACUUUGCAUCUUUUGGCAUCAAUAUUAUGAAUAUGUGUAUCACUACGAUCGAGAUCCAACAAACUAUUUUCAUUGGGUGUAUGACCAUCGAAGGUUUUAUUCAUGUAAACAGAACAACAAUUAUUCUUUGUCUUUAAAUGAAUAACCGUAUCGCAAUGAACAUGAUCAAAUCAUAUUCAUGCUCAACGCAAACGCCAAAUAACAUUUAUUUAGGUUCAACACUAAUCUCGAAAGUGUAGGGAGAGUGUGAUGAUGAUCAUAUCAAUCUUGGAACCACUUCCAAUACACUUCGUCACUUCACCCUCAACUAGUCUUUGUUUAUUCUGUAACUCCUGUUUCGAAUCACUAAUUUUUAGCAACCGAACAAGUCUCAAAUACUCAGGGGCUACUAUAAACUCUAGUAAGGUACACAUCAGUAAUCUGUAUAUCAAAUAUACCCUUGUUCACACUGCCAUCCUUCUUAUCCACCAAAUAUUCAGGGUAUUUCCGUUUCCAGUGACCAUUUCCUUUGCAGUGUAAGCACUCAGUUUCAGGCUUUGGUUCAGAUUUGGGCUUCUUCGUGGGAGUGACAACUUGCUUGCCAUUCUACUUGAAGUUUCCCUUUCUUUCCCUUUGCCCUUUUCUUUAAACUAGUGGUCUUGUCAAUCAUCAACACUUGAUGCUCUUUCUUGAUUUCUACCUUCAUCGAUUUCAGCAUCACGAAGAUCUCGGGAAUCGUUUUUCGUCAUCCCUUGCAUACUAUAGUUCAUCACGAAGUUCUAGUAACUUAGUGAUGGUGACUAGAGAAUUCUGUCAAUCACUAUCUUAUCUGGAAGAUUAACUCCCACUUGAUUCAAGUGAUUGAAGUACCCAGACAAUCUGAGCACAUGCUCACUAGUUGAGCGAUUCUCCUCCAUCUUUUAGCUAUAGAACUUGUUGGAGACUUCAUAUCUCUCAACUCGGGUAUUUGCUGUAAAUAUUAACUACAACUCCUGGAACAUCUCAUAUGGUCCAUGAUGUUCAAAACGUCUUUGAAGUCCCGAUUCUAAGCCGUUAAGCAUGGUGCACUAAACUGUCAAGUAGUCAUCAUAUUGAGCCAGCCAAACGUUCAUAACGUCUGCAUCUACUCCUGCAAUUGGUCUGUCACCUAGCGGUGCAUUAAGGACAUAAUUCUUCUGCGCAGCAAUGAGGACAAACCUCAGAUCACGGAUCCAAUCCGCAUCAUUGCUACUAACAUCUUUCAACACAAUUUUCUCUAGGAACAUAUCAAAAUAAACAUAUCAAAGCAACAAUGCAAGCUAUUGAUCUACAAAAUAAUUUGCAAAAUACUACCAGGACUAAGUUCAUGAUAAAUUAAAGUUCAAUUAAUCAUAUUACUUAAGAACUCCCACUUAGAAAGACAUCCCUCUAAUCUUCUAAGUGAUCACGUGAUCCAAAUCAACUAAACCAUAACCGAUCAUCACGUGAGAUGGAGUAGUUUUCAAUGGUGAACAUCACUAUGUUGAUCAUAUCUACUAUAUGAUUCACGCUUGACCUUUCGGUCUCCAUGUUCCGAGGCCAUAUCUGCAUAUGCUAGGCUCGUCAAGUUUAACCUGAGUAUUCCGCGUGUGCAAAACUGGCUUGCACCCGUUGUAGAUGGACGUAGAGCUUAUCACACCCGAUCAUCACGUGGUGUCUGGGCACGACGAACUUUGGCAACGGUGCAUACUCAGGGAGAACACUUCUUGAUAAUUAGUGAGAGAUCAUCUUAAAAUGCUACCAUCAAUCAAAGCAAGAUAAGAUGCAUAAAAGAUAAACAUCACAUGCAAUCAAAAUAUGUGACAUGAUAUGGCCAUCAUCAUCUUGUGCCUUUGAUCUCCAUCUCCAAAGCAUCGUCAUGAUUUCCAUCGUCACCGGCAUGACACCAUGAUCUCCAUCAUCUUGAUCUAUAUCAAUGUGUCGUCACAUGGUCGUCUCACCAACUAUUGCUCUUGCAACUAUUGCUAUCGCAUAGCGAUAAAGUAAAGCAAUUAUUUAGCGCUUGCAUCUUAUGCAAUAAAGAGACAACCAUAAGGCUUCUGCCAGUUGCCGAUAACUUUAACAAAACAUGAUCAUCUCAUAGAACAACUUAUAUCUCAUCACGUCUUGACCAUAUCACAUCACAACAUGCCCUGCAAAAACAAGUUAGACGUCCUCUACUUUGUUGUUGCAAGUUUUACGUGGCUGCUAUGGGCUUAGCAAGAACCAUUCUUACCUACGCAUCAAAACCACAACGAUAGUUUGUCAAGUUGGUGUUGUUUUAACCUUCGCAAGGACCGGGCGUAGCCACACUCGGUUCAACUAAAGUUGGAGAAACUGACACCUGCUAGUCACCUGUGUGCAUAGCACGGCGGUAAAACCAGUCUCGCGUAAGCGUACGCGUAAUGUCGGUCCGGGCCGCUUCAUCCAACAAUACCGGCGAACCAAAGUAUGACAUGCUGGUAAGCAGUAUGACUUGUAUCGCCCACAACUCACUUGUGUUCUACUCAUGCAUAUAACAUCAACACAUAAAACCUAGGCUCGGAUGCCACUGUUAGGGAACGUAGUAAUUUCAAAAAAAUUCCUAUGCACACGCAAGAUCAUAGUGAUGGCAUAGCAACGAGAGGGGAGAGUGUUGUCUACGUACCCUCGUAGACCGUUAAGAGGAAGCGUUAUGACAACGCGGUUGAUGUAGUCGUACGUCUUCAGGAUCCGACCGAUCCAAGCACCGAACGUACGGCACCUCCGUGUUCAGCACACGUCCAGCUCGAUGACGUUCCCCGGGCUCCAAUCCAGCAAAGCGUCGGGGAUGAGUUCUGUCAGCACGACGGCAUGGUCACGAUGAUGAUGUUCUACCGGCGCAGGGCUUCGCCUAAACUCCGCGACGAUAUAACCGAGGUGGAAUAUGGUGGAGGGGGGCACCGCACACGGCUAAGGAACGAUCCGUAGAUCAACUUGUGUGUCAUGGGGUGCCCCCUGCCCCCGUAUAUAAAGGAGCAAGGGGGGAGGCCGGCCGGCCCUUGUGGGCGUGCCAAGGAGGAGUCCUCCUCCUAGUAGGAGUAGGACUCCCCCUUUCCUACUCCUACUAGGAGGGGGAAAGGAAGGGGAAGAGGGGGAAGGAAAGAGGGGGGCGCCGCCCCCACCCCUCCUAGUCCAAUUCGGACCAGAGGGAGAGGGGGCGCGCGGCCCACCCUGGCUGCCCCUCUCUCUUUCCACUAAGGCCCAUGUGGCCCAUUAACUCUCCCGGGGGGGUUCCGGUAACCCUCCGGCACUCCGGUUUUCUACGAAAUCACCCGGAACACUUCCGGUGUCCGAAUAUAGUCGUCCAAUAUAUCAAUCUUUAUGUCUCGACCAUUUCGAGAAUCCUCCUCAUGUCCGUGAUCACAUCCGGGACUCCGAACAAACUUCGGUACAUCAAAACUUAUAAACUCAUAAUAAAACUAUCAUCGUAACGUUAAGCGUGCGGACCCUACGGGUUCAAUAACUAUGUAGACAUGACCUAGAACUAUUCUCGGUCAAUAACCAAUAGUGGAACCUGGAUGUUCAUAUUGGUUCCUACAUAUUCUACGAAGAUCUUUAUCGGUCAAACCGCAUAACAACAUACGUUGUUCCCUUUGUCAUCGGUAUGUUACUUGCCCGAGAUUCGAUCGUCGGUAUCCAAUACCUAGUUCAAUCUCGUUACCGGCAAGUCUCUUUACUCAUUACAUAAUACAUCAUUUCGUAACUAACUCAUUAGUUACAAUGCUUGCAAGGCUUAAGUGAUGAGUAUUACCGAGAGGGCCCAGAGAUACCUCUCCGACAAUCGGAGUGACAAAACCUAAUCUUGAAUUAUGCCAACUCAACAUGUACCUUUGGAGACACCUGUAGAGAACCUUUAUAAUCACCCAGUUACGUUGUGACGUUUGGUAGCACACAAAGUGUUCCUCCGGUAAACGGGAGUUGCGCAAUCUCAUAGUUGUUGGAACUUUGUAUAAGUCAUGAAGAAAGCAAUAGCAACAUACUAAACGAUCAAGUGCUAAGCUAACGGAAUGGGUCAAGUCAAUCACAUCAUUCUCCUAAUGAUGUGAUCCCGUUAAUCAAAUGACAACUCUUUUGUCCAUGGUUAGGAAACAUAACCAUCUUUGAUAAACGAGCUAGUCAAGUAGAGGCAUACUAGUGACACUAUGUUUGUCUAUGUAUUCACACAUGUAUUAUGUUUCCGGUUAAUACAAUUCUAGCAUGAAUAAUAAACAUUUAUCAUGAUAUAAGGAAAUAAAUAAUAACUUUAUUAUUGCCUCUAGGGCAUAUUUCCUUCAUGUACCUAGGGUAGGCUCAUGGACCUGUCCAAGAUACCCUCCCCAAGGACAUCUCUAGAAGAAAUCACCUUUCAAUCGACCUGGAAAUGUUCCACUCGACGGACUCAAAGACACUCGACCAUGAAGCCAUCCACUCGACAGCCAGGAGACCUAAAGUCACUCUGCACGCCAACGGUCGGUCAUUAAGUAGCUUUUAUGGUCAUCAUAGCACUUUAUUUGUAGCGUUAUCAGUAACGCCCAAUCUUAAUGUAUCUUAAACCCUGCAUAACUGAGGGCCGGAGGGGUCUGGUGGACUCUAUAUAAGCCACCCCCCUCCUCAGUGUAAAGGGUUCGCACCCCUGUAACUCAUACGCAUAUAAUCUAGUCGACCGCCUCCGGGCUCCGAGACGUAGGGCUGUUACUUCCUCCGAGAAGGGCCUGAACUCGUAAAUCCCUUGCGUACACAACUACUCCAUAGCUAGGAUCUUGCCUCUCCAUUCCUACCCCCUACACUACUGUCAGACUUAGAACCACGACAGUUGGCGCCCACCAUGGGGCAGGUGUCUUAGCGACUUAUUGGAGAAGUUGCGAUUUUUUCCGAUCUCCUUCAUCAUGGUUUCAGGCGGAGUUUUGGUUGAGAGCCGCCAGAUCCUUCUCGGCGCGCUCACGUUCAUCGCCGACGACUCUACUUGGCUUCAGGAGGCUCCGCUCGACAUCGACGCGCUCCUAGUCCGCGGAGCGACGCACUUUCACGCGUGCAUCCGCGGUGUCCUCCUGCGGCAACCGUCGACCCAGUAUCGGUCGGUCCUUGUGUCGUCCUCCCACCCUGUUUCCUACCGGCGCAAGCGCUCCGGUCGGUCGAGGCUUCAGCGAUGGGUGAGACACGCGGUGGAUCGCCAGUCGGCCACCCCCCAAGUCACGGCAAUCAAGCCCGACGAAUCUCUAUGGCUUGUUCGACCUGUCGACUGGCUCCGCAGAGACUGCAUCCGAGUGCGACAGCAGUGAUCCAGCGGCGGAGGUUCUGAUGGUCGAUGCACCACACGGUCCUCCCGGUUUUCCUGGCACCGACGAAGGAGAUAGCGGAGGCGAUCCGCCACAUGCCCAUGAAGAGUAUCUCCUCGAGCCCCUCACUUCGCUACAAAGGGAAGAACUUCGCUGCUGGAACAUGGAUGCGCUUCAUACUCCUAUCAUUGGAGAAACUCCCGAGGCUCGUGCAUUAGAGGACGCGCUUGGCCAACUUGGCUGAGCGCACUCGACUGGAGAACCUCCAGCGAGCACUCGACGAGCGUGCGCGGCAACGGGUUCCAGAAUCCAGUCGAUGUCAACUCUUUCCACCACCGCCUCAGGUAUAUCGAACUCCGAUUCAGAAUUUAGCAGCUGCAGCCCGAAUAGCAGAGUCGAUUCAGCCUUCCCAGUCAGAGGCUGGCAGAGGCUUGUUACAGAUCAAAGAUUUACUCUGGGCAGCCGGAGAUCAGAAUUCAGUUGUAUCGUAGUCGCGGAAUAGGAUUCACAGCAGGUCCAUAACUUCAAAUACAGUCCAGUCGGCCCAUAGCCCCAGAUCGCCCCCGAGGCAUGAGGAGCGUCGAGACCGGCGUGAUCAGUAAAAGAACCGUGAGUAGUAUGAUCACCGAAUCGAUCGCGAUGAUCGACGUCGAGUGCCCACCCCUCCCCCAAGGGGUGGAUCGUACGCACCUCGACAACAGGAUGAUAGACGCCAUCACAGUGUUGGGCGAAGGAUUCCAGUCGACCCCAGGGAACCAGGCUUUGAUGCGAGAUCCAUUAUCAUUCAAGGUUUGGUCGACAGGAACAAAGCUCACCGAGAAGGUCACGACAGAGAUGUACCCACCAGCAGCAGAGUGCACGUCUUAGGACCGGAGUGUUUCAGCAGAGCCAUCAGGGCCGCGGUGAUGCCUCCCAACUUCAGGUUGGCGACUGGAGUUAGUAAGUUCACUGGUGAGUCCAAGCCUGAUACUUGGCUUGAAGACUACCGAGUGGCUGUUCAUAUUGGCGGCGGCAAUAAUGAGGUGGCCAUGAAACACCUGCCUCUUAUGUUGGAGGGCUCGGCCAGAGCAUGGUUGAAUUAGUUAGCACCCACCAGCAUUUACACUUGGGAAGAUCUUGCCCGAGUGUUUGUCAGAACGUUUGAAGGAACUUGCAAGCGACCAGCAGGAUUGAUAGAGUUGCAAUCUUGUGUGCAGAAGUCGAAUGAGACUUUGAGAGAUUACAUCUAGAGAUGGAUCACAUUGCAUCACACGGUAGAGAAUGUGUCUGAUCACCAGGCAGUCUGUGCCUUCAAGGAAGGCGUUAACUGCAGAGAGCUAAACCUAAAAUUUGGUCAAACCGGAGACAUGUCUCUGAGUCGAAUGAUGGAGAUAGCCACCAAGUAUGUCAAUGGUGAAGAAGAGGAUCGGCUCCGGAGUGGCAAGCACAAGUCAGUCGCCCACGAAACCGGAGGAGGGAACUCCAGUCGGAAGCAAAAGCGGAAAGCCGAGCCAGCUACUCCUGGAGAAGCCUUGGCCGUGACUCAAGGAAAGUUUAAAGGGAAGCCCAAGGGGUCUUGGAACCCUAAGAAGGUGUAGGACAAGGAAGGAUAUGACAUGUUGGAUUUGUCGUGCCACAUCCACACGAACAAAGAUGAAGAACGUAAACUCAUUUACCCGAAACAUACCACUCGAUAGUGUCGGCUCUUGAUCUAGCAAUUCCAGGGGAAACAGCCCAAGGAUAAGGAAAAGGAGUCGGACAAAGUUGAGGACGAAGAAGAUAGUGAUGAUGGAUAUCCCCGGGUCAAUUCCACCCUGAUGAUUUUUGCUGACGUUGAAAGCAAAAGUCUAUUGAAAGUUAUAAACCGAGAAGUGAAUAUGGUUGCUCCGGUGAGACCCAGUUAUCUAAAAUGGUCUCAGACUGCCAUCACAUUCGACCAGUCUGAUCACCCGACACGCAUAUCCACCCCUAGGAGGCAAGCUCUGGUGCUCGACCCAGUCGUCGAAGGCACUUGACUGACUAAAGUUUUGAUGGAUGGCGGCAGUGGCCUGAAUAUAUUGUAUGCAGAGACGUUGAAAGGGAUGGGCAUUCCGAUGUCCAGACUCAGUACCAGCAACAUGAUCUUCCAUGGAGUCAUUCCUGGAAAGAAAGCUGAGUCACUCGGUCAAAUUGCUCUUGAUGUGGUUUUUGGUGAUUCCAAAAAUUACCGCACAGAAAAGUUGACGUUUGAAGUUGUGGAUUUCCAGAGUGCUUAUCACGCUAUUUUGGGCAGGCCAGCUUAUGCGUGUUUUAUGGCUCGACCAUGUUAUGUGUAUCUCAAAUUGAAGAUGCCUGGCCCCAAAGGUGUGAUCACUAUUACUGGCAAUCGGAAGAAGGCGGAAGAGUGCUUUCAGAAAGGCUCAAAGAUCGCCAAUGCUCAGAUGGCAGCGGGAGAGUGGUUGGAAUACCAGAAAACUGUAGACCCGAGUUAUUGUUGCGAGCCAAGAAGCCCGCUACGGAAUCAGCAUUUCAGUCGUCUGGUGAGACAAAACCGAUUCACAUUCACCCGACCGACCCUAGUGCUGCUCUGACUCAUAUCUCUACAACACUCGACUCCAUAUAGGAAGAAGCGCUCAUCCAGUUCCUCCGUGAGAACUGGGACAUCUUCGCAUGGAAACCUUCUGACAUGCCGGGUGUUCCCAGGGGGCUGGCUGAGCGCCGUCUACGAGUCGACUCAAAAGUGAAACCUGUUAAAGAACAUCUUCAACGGUCCGCCGUCCAGAAAAGAAAGGCCAUUGGCGAGGAGGUGGCUCGGCUCUUAGCUGCAGAGUUUAUCCGAGAAAUUUAUCACUCCGAGUGGCUCGCCAAUGUUGUCAUGGUCCCCAAGAUGGACAAGUCACUUCGCAUGUGCAUUGACUUCAAACAUAUCAAUCGGGCCUGCCCGAAAGAUCAUUUUCCUCUGCCCCGCAUAGACCAAAUAGUCGACUCGACUGCGGGAUGUGAGCGCAUGUCUUUCUUAGACGCCUAUUCCGGGUACCAUCAGAUCCGUCUGUAUGGACCCAAUGAGAUCAAAACAGCUUUCAUCACUCCAUUCGGGUGCUUCUGUUAUGUCACCAUGCCAUUCGGCCUCAAGAAUGCCGGAGCCACGUUCAUGAGGAUGAUUCAGAAGUGUUUGCUCACUCAAAUCAGUCGGAAUGUGGAAGCAUACAUGGAUGAUAUUGUGGUCAAGUCACGGAAACGUUCCGACCUGCUGACUGAUCUUGCAGAGACAUUUGCCAACCUCAGGAGGUAUGAUAUCAAUAUUAAUCCAUCAAAGUGCACAUUCGGAGUUCCUGGCGGAAAGUUACUCAGUUUUCUCGUUUCCGAACGAGGAAUCGACGCUAAUCCAGAAAAAGAUGGUACUAUACUCCGAAUGAAACGUCCUGUGCGUGUGCACGAUGUCCAGAAGCUUACUGGUUGCUUGGCCGCUUUAAGUCGAUUCAUCUCUCGUCUCGGUGAAAAGGCAUUGCCUCUUUACCGACUGAUGACGAAGUCAGACAAGUUCGAGUGGACUCCUGAAGCUGAUGCAGCGUUUGCAGAGCUAAAAACCCUGCUUUCCACCCAGCCGGUGCUUGCUGCCCCGAUCAGCAAAGAGCCUUUGCUGCUUUACAUUGCAGCCACGGGACAAGUCGUUAGUACAGUACUUACGGUCGAGCGGGAAGAAGAAGGAAAAGACAUUAAAGUUCAGCGCCCAGUGUAUUAUAUUUCUGAAGUUUUGACCCCAUCAAAGCAAAAAUACCCUCAUUAUCAGAAGCUUGUAUAUGGGAUUUAUAUGACCACGAAGAAGGUUGCUCAUUACUUCUCUUACCAUUCCAUUACAGUUGUCAGCGACGCUCCAUUGUCAGAGAUUUUGCACAACAGAGAUGCAACCGGUCGAGUGGCAAAAUGGGCGAUUGAACUCCUUCCCCUAGAUAUCAGGUUUGAGGCAAAGAAAGCCAUCAAAUCCCAAGCAAUAGCAGAUUUCAUCGCCGAGUGGACCGAACAGCAACUGCCGACUCAAGUUCACUCAGAGCACUGGAUCAUGUUCUUUGNNNNNNNNNNNNNNNNNNNNNNNNNNNNNNNNNNNNNNNNNNNNNNNNNNNNNNNNNNNNNNNNNNNNNNNNNNNNNNNNNNNNNNNNNNNNNNNNNNNNNNNNNNNNNNNNNNNNNNNNNNNNNNNNNNNNNNNNNNNNNNNNNNNNNNNNNNNNNNNNNNNNNNNNNNNNNNNNNNNNNNNNNNNNNNNNNNNNNNNNNNAGGAGAUAAGCUAAGAUAUGUGCUCUAGAUUCACUUUGGUUCCUCCAAUAACGAAGCAGAAUAUGAAGCACUUUUGUAUGGGUUGCUUAUGGCCAUUUCACUUGGCGUCCGUCGCCUCAUGGUCUAUGGCGACUCUGAUUUGGUGGUUAACCAAGUGAUGAAGGAGUGGGACAUCAGAAGCCCAGCCAUGACUGGUUACUGCAAUGCAGUGAGAAAGCUAGAGAAGAAAUUCAAGGGGUUAGAGCUUCAUCAUAUACCCCGACUGAAAAAUCAAGCAGCUGAUGAUUUGGCAAAAAUAGGUUCCAAGAGAGAAGCCAUUACCAGUAAUGUGUUUUUGGAACACAUCCACACACCAUCAGUUCAAGAGGAUCCUUUCACCGAAGAAGCCCCGCAGCCAAAAAGUGCCACGGAUCCGACUGAAGUUGAGGUCCCAGCUGUGGUCGACCUGAUCAUGGAAGUUUUGGUCAUCACUCCCGACUGGACAGUGCCGUACAUCGCGUAUAUCCUAAGGAAAGAACUCCCAGAGAAUGAAGAAGAGGCUCGAUAGAUCGUCUGUCGAUGCAAGGUCUUUACUGUGAUAAAGAGACAGUUGUACAGGGAAAGCACGACUGGAGCCAGUCAGAAAUGUAUAACGCCAUAAGAAGUUCGGAUAAUUCUUGACGAUAUCCACUCGGGGACCUGUGGCCACCAUGCGUCCUCUCGGACUAUUGUGGCUAAAGCAUACCGAGCGGGGCUUUACUGGCCCAGAGCAAAUGAAAUGGCGAAGGAGAUAGUCGACAAGUGUGAAGGAUGUCAGUUCUAUUCCAAUAUGUCACAAAAGCCCGCCUCAGCCUUGAAGACCAUUCCACUCGUCUGGCCCUUCGCUAUUUGGGGAUUAGAUAUGGUUGGACCACUGAGAACUGGCAGGAGCGUCUUCAGCCAUGUACUGGUGGCAGUCGACAAGUUCACUAAGUGGAUCGAAGCCAAGCCUAUCAAGAAUCUUGAUGCCUCCACUGCUAUCAGCUUCAUUAGAGACUUGAUAUUUAGAUAUGUAGUUCCGCAUAGCAUCAUCACUGAUAAUGGGUCAAACUUCGAUUCCGACCAAUUCAAAGCCUUUUGUGCUUCUCAAGGCACGCGAGUCGACUACGCUUCCGACGCUCACCCCCAGUUGAAUGGACAAGCAACAAGAGCAAACGGCCUAAUUCUCAAAGGACUGAAACCCCGGUUGAUGCGUGAUCUCAAACACACAGCAGGCGCGUGGGUCGACGAACUUCCAUCAGUCCUUUGGGGAUUGAGGACUACUCCUAAUCGGUCGACUGGGCAAACUCCAUUCUUUCUGGUCUAUGGAGCUGAAGUGGUUCUGCCGAGUGACCUGCUUCACAAUGCACCCGAGUCGAGCUCUACUCUGAAGAUGAAGCAGAAGAAGCUCGGCAGGACGCAGUCGACCUUCUAGAAGAAGAAAGGGAGAUGGCCAUGAUCCGAUCGACCAUCUAUCAGCAGAACUUGCGUCGAUUAAAUGCCAGAAACGUGAAGAGUCGAGCCUUCCAAGAAGGAGACUUGGUCCUCCGAAUGGAUCAACAGAAGCCACACAAACUCGCCCCUACUUGGGAAGGCCCCUUCAUCGGCACCAAAGUUCUCCACAAUGGAGCGUACCAUCUUUACAAUGUCGAUCGCCAGAUUGAUGAGCCUCGAGCUUGGAAUGCGGAGCUGCUCCGCGCCUUUUAUACUUAAGUACUCACUCGGAUGAGAUGUAAUAAAAAGUACCUCUGUAGUUCGUUUAUCAAAGACAAGAGGGCUAUAAUUUUCCCAUUGUUUGUUGUUGCUUUUGUUUACAUGUGAAAUCCCCCAGUGGGUGGCUUAGCUGCAAACCCGUUUCGCCUAAGUUUGUAAAAAAAAAUCUUCUACCGGGUAACGAGCAAGCCUCUUGCUCGGGGGCUUAGCUGCGAAUCCGUUUCGCCCAAGUAUUUGAAAAUCGAAGCGAGUGACGAGCAAGCCUCUCACUCGGAGGCUUAGCUGCGAAUCCGUUUCGCCUAAGUAUUUGAAAAUCCUACCGAAUGGAGAGCAAACCUCCCACUCGGAGGCUUAGCUGCAGUCCAGUACUCGCCUAAGUAUUUGAAAAUCCUACCGAGUGGAGAGCAAACCUUCCACGCGGGGGCUUAGCUGCAGUCCAGUACUCACCUAAGUAUUUGAAAAUCCAACCGAGUGGAGAGCAAACCUUCCACUCGGGGGCUUAGCUGCAGUCCAGUACUCGCCUAAGUAUUUGAAAAUCCUACCGAGUGGAGAGCAAACCUUCCACUCGGGGGCUUAGCUGCAGUCCAGUACUCGCCUAAGUAUUUGAAAAUCCUACCGAGUGGNNNNNNNNNNNNNNNNNNNNNNNNNNNNNNNNNNNNNNNNNNNNNNNNNNNNNNNNNNNNNNNNNNNNNNNNNNNNNNNNNNNNNNNNNNNNNNNNNNNNNNNNNNNNNNNNNNNNNNNNNNNNNNNNNNNNNNNNNNNNNNNNNNNNNNNNNNNNNNNNNNNNNNNNNNNNNNNNNNNNNNNNNNNNNNNNNNNNNNNNNNNNNNNNNNNNNNNNNNNNNNNNNNNNNNNNNNNNNNNNNNNNNNNNNNNNNNNNNNNNNNNNNNNNNNNNNNNNNNNNNNNNNNNNNNNNNNNNNNNNNNNNNNNNNNNNNNNNNCUCGGGGGCUUAGCUGCAGUCCAGUACUCGCCUAAGUAUUUGAAAAUCCUACCAAGUGGAGAGCAAACCUUCCACUCGGGGGCUUAGCUGCAGUCCAGUACUCGCCUAAGUAUUUGAAAAUCCUACCGAGUGGAGAGCAAACCUUCCACUCGGGGGCUUAGCUGCAGUCCCGUACUCGCCUAAGUAUUUGAAAAUCCUACCGAGUGGAGAGCAAACCUCCCACUCGGAGGCUUAGCUGCAGUCCAGUACUCGCCUAAGUAUUUGAAAAUCCUACCAAGUGGAGAGCAAACCUCCCACUCGGAGGCUUAGCUGUAGUCCAAAGCGCUCGCCUAAGUAUGAAAUCCAACGUGCUCUCUGCAAGGCCGACGAGGUGCAGGUCGACUGCUAACUUCUCCUUCAGAGCUACGCCACAAAUACAAUGUGCGCUCUGCAAAGACGACGAGGUGCAGGUCGACUAAUACCUUCUCCUUCGGAGCUACGCCACAAAUACAAUGUGCGCUCUACAAAGACGACGAGGUGCAGGUCGACUGCUAGCUUCUCCUUCGGAGCUACGCUACAAAUACAACGUGCGCUCCAUCUCGAUCCGCAAGGACGCAGGUCGACUGCAAUCUGUGCUCCGUCCCUACCUGCAAGAGCGAUGAGGCGCAGGUCGACUGGAUUCUCCACCUCGGAGUUGCGUCUCAAGCAGUAAAGUAUAUUCCGAGUGAAGAACAAAGUUUGCUCGAAGGCAAAUGCAAGCAUAUUCAACGAUAAGCCAAGUUCAGAUAACAACCUACGGAUUCAGAAGUGCUUAGGCAUCAAGCCUAUAAAAUUUUAUUGGUUAAAAAACCACUUGGCAUUCCGAGGCAAAUUUAAGGCGAAGCAUAGAAGUUUUUCUUACUCCUUGGGUGGAGGACUGGAAGGCGCGACAAACUGGUCCAGGUCGAUUCCAUCAGCAAUCCGAGUAGUAGCAGCAAUGAAGGUCUCCAUGAAAGGUUGGAAGUCAUGCUUCUUUGUAUUGGCCACUUUGAGGGACGCCAGCUUGUCCUCUCAUGCAUCCUUGCAGUGAACACGGACCAGGGAUAGAGCAACAUCAGCACCACACCUGGCAGAAGACUUCUUCCAUUCUUGCACUCGACCUGGAACUUCAUUCAGUCGAGUCAUUAGAGACUCGAGGUCAUUUUGAAGCGUCUCUCCCGGCCAGAGUGUCGUGUCCAUUCGCGACGCCUCAACCUUCAGUUGAGCAAGGUAGUCAACCACACCAGCAACACGAGACUCCAGUCGGAGCACAUUCAUGGCAGUUUCAUCCUUCACAGGAGAGUUGAUGGGAUCCAAGCCUGUCUCUACUCGGCUGGUCUCCUCCUCGAAGUUUUGGCAGAAUUCUGUAAACACAAUUCAAAGAUAAACCAGCAGUUCUACGUUCAGUCGACGGUAACAAGUCAGUCAGGUAGGAGAGAUUACCCUCAAGCAUGAUGAAUAACUUCUUGGCAAGCCCCCAGAUAGACCUCCAGAUCGUUCUUCUUCCCCGCCAGUUCACUAGCCUUGUCACUCAGAGCUAUCUUGUCAUUCUUCAGACGGCUGACCUCCUUGUUGGCCGCGUCGAGAGCAGCUUUCAGAUUGGCGUUCUCCUCUUCAAGUUUACCGACUGAAGCCAGUUUUUCUUCCGCAAGCUUCAUUUUUUCCAAAGCCGCCUUCUGCGCCUCGGCAAGGUCAUGGUCCUUCUUUUUUAGAGCCUCCUUUAUUUUAUCUGUAAAAUGACAAUGAGAUCAGAAUUAGGAAUGAGCAGAAAGAUAAAGACAGUUGUCAAGUUCUCACCAAUCAUACCUUUUGCUUCGUCCUUCGCCUUCUGAAAGUUCUCCUGAGCAAGCUUCAAGUCAAGGUCGAGCUGGAUAUGUUUUUUUCCAACUCAGUAUAGCGAGCCACAAGUUCGCAAGAUUUCUGUGAAGAGUCAGUCGACAAACAUCAAAGAGAGGUUGCUUCUAAGUAACUAAGAGAAAAACCAUAGCAUUUCUAAGACUACAGUCGAAUCAAAAUAUUCAACAGUAGUCUCGGAGACUACACCCAGUGGGUGCACUCAGCGUGCCCCCACUGGUUCUACCGACUUGGUCCGAUCAGUCGGCCGAAAAGAGACAAAGAGGUUAUGAUCCUAAAACUAUAGCUCUAUAGCUAACUACCAGCAGUCAGCCUUGGUCUCAUCAUGAUCUACCAAAAAAACAGGUUCUUCAGACUACAGUCGACUGCCAGCAGUCCACCAUAGUCUCGGGGACUACACCCAGUGGGUGCCCUCAGUGUGCCCCCACCGGUUCCAAGAUUCCAUUCGACAUGGUCCGACCAGAUCGAGUGAAAAAGUUGGAGUGAAGAAAUUUAAAAUACGAAGACUACAGUCGACUGCCAGCAGUCGACCAUAGUCUCGGGGACUACACCCAGUGGUACACUCAGCGUGCCCCCACCAAUCCAAAAAUUCAAUCGACACACCCAGUGGGUGUACAGAUACAAAGAUCUUCGGAAAGAAAGUCUUCAGAUAGCAUAUCCUAACAGAACAAGCGGUGACCAACUAACCUGGACGUUGCUCUGAAGAGAUGAGCUAGCAUCAUAGGCCGCUUGGCUGGCUUCCCGGAUCGCCUUCACAUGCUCCAUCAUGAUCCCCGCCUGGCGUAUAGCCUCCUUAGCAGCACCCGCUUGGUCCUCUGGGACAUGGUGUGUGGCGAAAAGGGAGGGCGGGUCAGCAGUCGACGACGACGGUCGGGCACUCGUCAGCGGCACAGCGAAGGACACGGAAUGCCGAGUGAUGUUGUCACCCUCUUGAACCAACGUCUCAGGCAUUGACGCAGUCUGAGUAGUCUUGCCAUUCGGCACCUUUGUAUUUCUCCUCGACCUCAGCGGCGCCUCGUCAUCAUCAUCAGGGAGAUCGAUGACAUGAGGGUGAACUACAGGAAAAAUCCAAAGUUGAAAUCAAAAAUCCAAUUGACCAAAAGUGAAAUUACAUAAGGCAUACCAUGGUUGGAGGUGGCAGCGUCUUCCAUUUCCUGGUCUUCGUUCUUGGCAGAGGUCUCGGAGGUAGCAGCACUGCAGGUUUCAGAAACCAGUCGGUUAAUCAAUGAGUCGACCAAGAGUUCGUCCGUGCUAAACAAGGAAACACAAGUUCUGCUGUUACCCAGAAAUGGUGGGAAUGGCCAUUCUCAUCUUGGGCAAGGCCUUCGGCGGCUUUGAUGGCACCGCUCAUGGAUGCUUCGGUGCUUUUUUAGUCGGCGCCGGAGAAGCCGCCUGAGGGCGCUUUGACGAUUGCACAACGGGCACAACCGCUUUGCCGCGCUCGCUCACGGGGUCGUGGGCGAGCUUGGAUCGCCUUUCCGUGUGAGGAGGAUCGACUUCCUCCUCCUCCUCUUCGCUGGAGCCGUCGUCAUCCUCUUCCCCCUCACCAUCAGAUUGCCACUCCUCCUCACUUUCACCUCCACUCGCCUCUCCCUCCUCGGCAUGUUCUUGCGCCCCGUUGGGCAUCGAGUACAUCUCAGUCGUGGCCUAGAAGAAAACAAACAACAAGAAAGUCAGUCGACUGAUUUUAAGCAAACAGAAUGAAGAAAGCACGAUCACAGUCCGAGAUGCAGAAUGGGACCUUGUCUACUUCGUAUGAUUGGUCGAGUGGAGGAAUCCUCAUGGAUCCUCGGGGGUUGUCUUUGUUCCCUGUGAUGCUCCCCAGCCACCACUUCAGUGUGGCAUCGUCAAUCUCCUCUGGGUCGAUCCGAGUGGUGUCCUGAGUACUAGAAUACAACCACAUCGGAUGGUCUCGGGCUUGAAGCGGCUGGAUGCGUCGGAGGAGGAAGACCUCCAAGAGGUCCAUGCCGGUCACCCCGUCACGGAUAAGCUGGAUGACAUGCUCGACCAGCACCUUAACCUGCGCCUUCUCUUCCGGGAUCACCUUCAAAGAGGAAGGCUUCCUCACUCGUUCCAUGGAAAAAGGAGGGAGUCUGGUCGACUGCCCUGGCGUCGGCUGGUCUUUGCAGUAGGACCAGGUCGACUGCCAUCCACGGACCGAGUCAGGAAGGAUCAUGGCCGGGAAAGAGCUUUUUCCUCUCAUUUGAACCCCAAGACCCCCACACAUCUGAAUCACUCGUGUUCUCUCAUCACUCGGAUUGGCCUUUUUCACCGUCUGGGAGCGACAGGUGAAGAUGUACUUGAAAAGACCCCAAUGAGGCCGGCAACACAAGAAAUUCUCGCACAAAGACACGUAAGCAGCGAGGUACACGAUGGUGUUGGGGGUGAAGUGGUGGAGUUGCGCCCCAAAGAAAUUUAGAAAUCCCCGAAAGAAAGGGUGAGGCGGCAAAGAAAACCCACGGUCGCAUGGGUGGCCAAGCGAACGCACUCACCCUCCUGAGGCUGCGGCACGGACUCCUUCCCCGGGAGCCGCGCCGAUCCAUGGGGGAUCAGUCCUCCAUCGGCCAGGUCAUCAAGAUCUGCUUCACGAAUCGUCGAGCGGAUCCAGUCGCCCUGGAUCCAGCCCUGCGGCAGGCCGGCCCUCGAUGAAGAUCCGCCUCGACUGGUCGCCCUUCCCUUCACCUUCGCCGUCGCUUUCUUCGCCCGCUCCAGGGCCGCCGUCUUCUCUUUCACCAUCGUCGCCGGCGAGACGCGCAUGGGGUAGCGGCGCUGAGGCGGAAGCGAAUGCGGCGGAUAAGUCUGGAGAAGAGAGGAGGAAAUGAGAACGCACUGUUCAAACACCCCCGUCCGGCGCCUUAUAUGAGGAUACUUCUGAGUGACUGACUUGUAGGCCCGGACGAUCCUGUCAAAUCCCGCAACAGUCGCGCGUGCGAUACGUGGCGAAAAAGGUGGCACAGAGAUUGAGGCGGCCCUGCCUUACCCCAUCCGAUUACUGCGGCCUCCUCCGCCCCGCGCGUGUGACACUCCAAAUUUUUUUUUAUUUUUUUUCAGAAAGAGCCCUUGCUUGGUUUGAAAGAAGGUUAUUUAAACCCUUCCUAAAAACCAUCUUCUAAAUUUGCCCUCUCAAAAAUCCUUUUCUUGGAUUUGGUUUCUUUUAAAAAUGAAAACCCUUUUAAUUUUGGACUUUUAUUUGGUUUUGGUCCCUUCAAAAAUUUCACCAUGCCUCCUAUGCUGAAAAUUUUCCCAAACCCACUCCUUCCACUUUGGUUCAACCCUAACAAUCUGUCCAAACUAAUAAAAUCCAUUUUUGGAUUUUAUUCCAACUAUUUCUCCUCCCAAAAUAAAUCUGUCUAUCCUUUUGAGCCUAGGUGGAUUGCAAAGCAACCUCAACUCAGCACCCUUGGAUAGUCCUUUGUACCCACAACCCAGAACCAUCUUGAUCCACUCUUCUCCUGUUCAAAUAUUUCAAAUUGCACUCACUGCAAGUUUCGACAAGAUUUGCCAAAUUUGGUGAAAUUCAUAUCUAUACCUCUCCAAAAAUUCCACAAAUAUUCAAGCAGCCUCUAGAUGCAAUGAGAGGCCCCUCCACCAAAAACCAGCUCAAGGAAAAAUCCCUACAUGCCUAGAUCAUUCUGUCUAACACCUUGCAUGCACUGUUCUGGCCAUAUUCAGUUAAAUUCAGAAGUUCAGUGUCGAUCUUCGUCAGUAACUUCAGUCACGAGCCCACAGUGCGCUUGGCACGUAGCUCGCGGCCAGCCUUGCUUGUCCGGAGCCUCACACGCGCACUUGGCGCCUUCCUGGCGUCGGUGGCACCCUGGCCCGCCUGCGCAGGCGUGUCUUGCGGCGGCCGUAGCGCCAUAGCGGCCGACAGGAAGCAGAACGGCGGCGCGCAUGGCCCAAGCGUCCUGGUGGCUCCGCGUGGCCACCUCCUUGCCAGCGCACGCAUGCAGCACCGUCGCCGUGGCGCCCCAUUCCAUCGAACUCACCCUAAACCCCCAAAUCCCGACGUGGUUAGCACCAAAACGGAACCAUGGGACACCCACGACGACGUUCAGCCUCUGAAACCUCCCGUGCAACCGCAGCACCGCCGUAAUCACCUCGCCGGAGAACCCUGUUCUCGGCAACCGCCUCGGGGCGGCUAUAUAUAGCACCCCGAGCCUGCUCUCGCCCCCGGCGCACCUCCUCUACCUCAUCAGACCCCGCACAGCCAUUGAAUGAGCCACGAGGAGCUCUCCUUCCCCGACUCCGGCCACUCCGUUCCGCCUCGGCCCCCACCGUGAUUCACUCUGGUAAGGCCAUCUCCGGCGCCCUAGCCUCGUCAGAUACCUCCUCAUACUAUCGCGAGUCUAACCCCCUCACCAUUCCACCUCCGCAGCUCUCUCCGGCGAGAUCCACGGCCACCCGAAUCACCGUCCGCCGGAGCAAGCAUCGCCGCCGACGUGGUACUCGCCGGCGACCACCACCACCUCCCACAGACGCGGAAUGGCGCCCUGAUCACGGAGGUACACUCCGAUCUCCCUGCCUUGUCGUGGAUCACCGCCGGCGACCACCGCGGCUCUCGGGCGCCGACGAGCCCUGACACCCCUGUUUGAACUUUCAAACCUGACGGGUGGGACCCGCCCAUCAGCCUCUCUUUAGUUUUUUUAAAAUCAUUUGCAGAAGGCGUACUCUGGCAAAUACGCUUUCUCUCUGAACCGUUUUUUUCUGGAUUCUUCUACAUAGCCCCCUGGAAGAUUUCUGUUUCAUUACAGAUGGGUCCUUGGACCAAAACUCUUAUAACUUUUGAUCAGAAAAGUAUUUUUGAUUAAUUCUUUUUUUGUUCUCUUCAGAUUUUUGUCUAGUUUUUUAUCAUAUUUAUUUGAAAAAUAUUUGGAACACUUUUCUGUACACUCACGGUAUUUACGUUGCGUACAUAUUUUUCUUAUACCGUAGAUACCGGAGGAGGUGACGGAGCCGCAAACUUCGCACAGUUAGACUCCGACUACUCCGAACUAGGCAAGCAUGUUUGAACUCUUGAUAUGAUGAGUGUUGUUGCAUGUUUGCAUUUUAGUAUAGUCACGGCAUGUUUAUGAACAUCACUUUGUAUGAUAUAUCUCAUGCACAUGAUCGGAAAGUAGGUUUUGGAAAGCACUAUGUUGUUGGAUACAUAUUUGCAAAGCCAUGUGUUGGUAUGUGGAUGGGUAAGAUGGUAGUGUUGUGACAUGCCAGUCUUAUGCCAGAUUAUUUGACUUCCGUGUCGUCAUGACACAAUUCACAUUCCCAUUCAUUCCAUCCUAUACUGUCACAUGUUUUCCGAAAGGAAUAUGGCAUAGUAAGUUGCAAGUCGUUUUCCUGGUACACACCAAGUGGAGAGGCCGGGAUGAGGGUUCCAUGGCCCUGGAUUAAAGCCCGUCAUCCGGUCAGGGGGCAUGGGUGUUUCCGGUUGGGACCGAGAGGGGGGCACCCCUUAGAGCGCGCGUAUAGAAAUUCGAUCCCAUGCUAUUCGAGGUUGUGGCCUCCCCGUCUCAAAGUUUUUCUUGGACGUUGUCCAGGGUGAUUCCUGGCAUCGUGAGGUGAAAUGGGUGUGUACUAGUUAAAUGUGUUUCUACUGAAAUGCCGUAAACGGAACUAGUCCUUCGUGACUACGGAAAUCCGUUGGCUGUGUUCAGUUCUUCCAAACUCUGCAGAGUCUCAAUCUUUCAAUUAUCUUGUACUUUGUUCAAGUACUAUAAUUGUCUUAUCUUGUCAGGUAUUCAGCCUCAGUGAGAAAAACUCCGGUGGGAUUUAUGUGUAAUAAAUCCGGUUAAAAGAUUAUUCUUGUGGAUGAACUAAUCUCGUUAUUUACAUUUGUUACAAGGCCCUGUCUGUGAUGUCGCUCAGACGUCCGACGGUGGCAUACCUAUUAUUUUGCUAUUGUUAAAGCCCUGUCUGUGAUGUCGCUCAGACGUCCGACGGUGGUAUUUCUUAUAAAGCCCUGUCUGUGAUGUCGCUCAGACGUCCGACGGUGGUAUUUCUUUUUAAAGCCCUGUCUGUGAUGUCGCUCAGACGUCCGACGGUGGUAUUUCUUUUUAAAGNNNNNNNNNNNNNNNNNNNNNNNNNNNNNNNNNNNNNNNNNNNNNNNNNNNNNNNNNNNNNNNNNNNNNNNNNNNNNNNNNNNNNNNNNNNNNNNNNNNNNNNNNNNNNNNNNNNNNNNNNNNNNNNNNNNNNNNNNNNNNNNNNNNNNNNNNNNNNNNNNNNNNNNNNNNNNNNNNNNNNNNNNNNNNNNNNNNNNNNNNNNNNNNNNNNNNNNNNNNNNNNNNNNNNNNNNNNNNNNNNNNNNNNNNNNNNNNNNNNNNNNNNNNNNNNNNNNNNNNNNNNNNNNNNNNNNNNNNNNNNNNNNNNNNNNNNNNNNNNNNNNNNNNNNNNNNNNNNNNNNNNNNNNNNNNNNACUGUGGUAUUUCUUUUUAAAGCCCUUUAUGUGAUAUCGCUCAGACGUUCGACUGUGACAUUUCUUUUAAAGCCCUUUACGUGAUGUCGCUCAGACGUCCGACUGUGGCAUUUCUUUUAAAGCCCUUUAUGUGAUGUCGCUCAGACGUCCGACUGUGGCAUUUCUUUUAAAGCCCUUUAUGUGAUGUCGCCCAGACGUCCGACUGUGGCAUUUCUUUUAAAAGCCCUUUAUGUGGUGUCGCUAAGACGCCCGACUGCGGCAUGUAUUUUAUUUAUUUACCUUUCGAGGUGUCGCUCCAGACACCCGAUCGGUUUUCAAUUAUUAAAUUUUGAUGCAUCAAGUUCUGCAUAUUACCGUGGUUAUUUGAGUAUCAUACCUCAUUCAUGAUGCAUUCAUGCAUUCAUUGAUUAUAUCUUUAGUCCGAACUGUCUUGCGAGUACUUUCAAGUACUCACCUGGCUUGUUGAUUUGGCCAGAUGCUGAUGAAGGCGAUCUCUUGGAUGAAGAGUUUGAUAGCGAGUCCGACGCCUAGAGGAAUCCCAGUCAGUCCCGUGCGAUCCUGUCUUGGUCAUUGUAUUAUCUGCUUCCGCAACCCCGAAUAAAUUCAUCGAGCCUCACCUCGACGCACGAUGUACUGCCAGUAAAAGUCAAGUUAUCCACCACCACUUUUCCUCGAGCUAGUAGCAUGCCACCCCACCCCUGUGUCAUAACCUCCCACAUGUAAUAUAUUGGCGAGUCUAUAAUAAAUUGUUGAGCAGCCUCAGCUCAACCUUGUAAUAUAUUUGAUGCUACUGGUUCUCUGUUUAUCAAGCUUUUUGUCUACCAGAAAGGAUGACUUUUCCUAUACUGGGAUUUAAAGAUUGGUUUUCUCAAUAAACAUUUUUAAUGAAAAACCGGUCGUGACAGACUUGGUAAUCAGAGCCAGGCUGACUGUAGGAAGCCACUAGGUGCGAUUGCUAAUUGGUUAUUAGCAUGAUAGAAUUAUUCAUGUUUUUACAACUAUAGUUAUUUUCUGACAGUCAGCAUAAAAUUUAUGAUCUGACCACUCAGAAUUUUUGCCUACUUUUGUAGAUGGCCGGCAAUGACUGCGAGUCUCAGAUGUUCGCCAACGUGCCUGAGGGGUUCGUCAAACUCCUCUCCUUCAUCGUUCAGGUCGCGAUGGGGCCAUCCGUGCGCCCGGUCUUCACGCUUUAUCCACACAAGAUCAACGACAGUCUGACUAUGCACCAGGCCGCGGUGCAAUUCAGGGGAGGCCAUGCUGAAAUACGCCGUCUCCGAUUCGUGGGGAGAGCCAUGCCUACAGAAAGGCAUGCUAUGCAGAUGGCUGCCCGCGAGACGAUAGCCCGUCUUCGGGAUGUUCUUCCUGCAAUGAAGACCCGUCGCUACCGCUACCUUCCAUGCCAUGUGCCUUACACCUGUCACUACUCGUUCUCUUGCCCAGAGGAGAGCGAGACGAAGCUUUUGAGAUGCUUGUCGAGUACCUCCGAGCCCUGGAGGCAGCAUUCGACUGCAUGGUGGAUGACCUCGUAGCUGCACGCAUGGACUCAGUUCAUGGUUGUGCUGCUAACAGGAGGGAACUCCUGCACACCGCUCCACCACUGACUUUUGUGUCAUCCACAGCCUCUCACUCACCUACCAUACUCGCCUCUGCUCGUCGUCUGCCUACCACAGAGGAAUUUAACCAGGCUAUUGCACCCACUCCCGUCCGCUCUGCACCACUUGUUGCACCCACUCCCGUCAGCUCUGCACCACUUGUUGCGCCCACUCCCAUACGAGCUACCCCACCUAUUCCACCCACUCGUAUUCGUGUUAUUCCGCCUACGGCACCUGCUCCAUCAGCUCAGCACAACGUUUCUCGUCUGGAACCUAUUAGCGAGGAGGAGGUCGAUUCCCCAGCGUCUCUGUGUCUCACCCUCGGUAGGCCAAGGGAGAUCCUCACCAUCUCCGACUAAGUACGCAUAGACGCCAUGCGAUGUAUCAACUGGUGUAAUAUGUUUUUAUGUUCUCAGGUUAUGAGAAGUAGCCUGUUUGCGCAUCAUGUAGGAUCUGGAGGAGUGCACUAGUUUAAAUAACAUGUCAGUAUUAUGUACGCAUAUCCUGAGUGAUGUAAUGUAUAAUUAUGGCCGCGUGUAAGAUAUGCACUAGUCCUUCUCCGCGCGCAAUUGUGUGUUUAAAAAAACCAUGGAGUUUAAAAAUGUUCUUUGUGUGUGAUUUUAUUGACUUUUGCGACUCUUCUUCUUGUCUUACGAGUUCACAAAAAUAUAUCCCCAGAGUGAAAGAUGUCUCGUCCUUGGACGUGCUCCAUGCCAACUCAGCCAGAAGAAAAUUAUGGCACACCGCAGAACCAGAAUUUCACUCAGGGUCAGACAAGUCAACAGGAGAGUGAAACAGCUUUUACACAAGUUUGUCGUUUGUAUGAACAGAGUCAGCAGCAACACCUGGAAAUGAUGAACCAAUUCAUCAAUAUAGGAAGUAACGGUGGUCAGUAUCAACCGCAAUCCAAAUUAUCUGAGUUACAAAAGACGCGUCCUCCAACAUUUUCUCAUACUGACAAGCCUCUUGAGGCCGAGGACUGGCUUCGAGACAUGGAGAGAAAAUUAAUUAUCGCACAGUGUUCAGACCGUGAAAAAGUACUGUAUGCACCACAUUAUCUCAUAGGUGCAGCUGCAUCGUGGUGGGAAAACUUUCUGCACAUACACCUCAACGAAAAUGAAAUCACCUGGGAAAAUUGCAAAGAAGGUUUUCGUGGGGCACAUAUUCCUAAGAGCGUCAUGAAAAGCAAGAAGAAGGAAUUUGAUGAACUCAAGCAAAGAGCCAUGACAGUGUCAGAAUACAACAGCCAAUUCACACUGCUGUCUCGCUACGCCAAUGAAGAACGCAUGACCGAAAGCAAGAAGAUGGAAAAAUUCUUGGAAGGCCUGGCACCCGCCCUUAAGUGCCAGCUAGUUGUGCACACCUUUCCAGAUUUUAAAACACUGGUGGAUAAGGCCAUUACCCUGGAAAAUGAGCGACGUAGCCUGGAAGAUAUCCGCAAAUGGAAAAGGGACCAGACUAAUUUUUCUCGCAAUCCCGGAAGCAAGAAGGAAUUUCAGAAGGGGGAUUCACACAAAACCCCGGCGAAUAAUUCACGUCCAACCAAGAAUUUCCAUGCAAGAGACAAAGAGUUCACCUAUCGCCCAGGCGUUACCUGUUAUGCUUAUGGAGAAGAAGGGCACUAUGCCAAGCAGUGUCCCAAGCCAAGGAACUCAAACCCGAAGCUCAAUAAUGGUGGAAAUAAUACAGCACCAAAGCGAAGCAAUUUCAACCCCAACAACAACCACCGGAAAGGUCACUUGAACCACGUGACCAGAGAGGAAGCACAGAACGCCCCAGAUAUCGUACUCGGUACGUACCCCGUCAACACAAUACCUGCCAUGGUUUUGUUUGAUUCUGGAGCUUCUCACUCAUUCGUUUCGAAAAGUUUUGCUUUGCAAAAUAAUUUUUCGAUGCUUCCCUUGGAAAAAUCAAUGAUCGUCAAGUCCCCUGGGAUUAAGCAAGUGACCCAGAGUUACUGUCAAGGUGUGGUUAUUGAAUUUGAAGGAUUGAAAUUUUUCGCCAACCUUAUUGUACUGGAAAGAAAAGGACUGGAUGUCAUCCUAGGAAUGGAUUGGUUGACCACCAACAAAGGUUUUAUUGAUUGCUUCAACCGUACCGUGAUUCUCACUCACCAUCAAGGGAAGAAAAUAAAAGUUUCAGCCAAGGAGAGACAAAUACCUCGGCAACCUAGAUUAAACAAGGUAGACGUUUCUGAGCUGAACAAGGUUCCAGUGGUAUGUGAAUUUCCAGAUGUAUUUCCAGAAGAACUACCAGGCAUGCCACCAGACCGAGAGAUAGAAUUCAGCAUUGAGCUCGCACCCGGAACCACUCCUAUUUACAAGAAACCUUACAGAAUGGCACCAUCCGAGUUGGUAGAGUUGAAGAAGCAAAUAAAAGAAUUAAUGGAGAAAGGAUACAUACGAGCCAGCUCCUCACCUUGGGGUUCUCCAAUUUUAUUUGCCAAGAAGAAGGAUGGAACAAUGAGGUUGUGUAUUGAUUAUCGAGCUCUCAACAUGGUCACAAUCAAGAACAAAUACCCAAUGCCCCGAAUAAAUGAUUUAUUCGAUCAGCUCGCACAGGCCAAAGUCUUCUCAAAAAUUGAUUUGAGAUCAGGAUACCACCAAUUAAAAGUAGGAACAGAAGAUAUUCCCAAGAUCGCUUUCACCUCCAGAUAUGGGCUGUAUGAGUUCACAGUAAUGCCAUUUGGGCUAACCAACGCCCCCGCAUACUUUGUUCACCUCAUGAACAAAGUGUUUAUGAAGUAUAUGGACAAGUUUGUUGUGGUAUUCAUCGAUGAUAUUCUGAUAUAUUCCAAAACACCAGAAGAGCACGCCGAACAUCUCAGGAUUGUACUCGGAGAACUCAGGAAACAUCAACUGUACGCCAAAUUCAGCAAAUGUGAAUUUUGGCUAAGGCAGGUGGGUUUUCUGGGCCACGUGCUAACCCAAGAAGGUAUUGCAGUAGAUCCAGAAAAAGUCAAGGCCGUACUUGGCUGGAAACCGCCAGCUAACGUAACGGACGUACGGAGUUUCUUGGGAAUGGCAGGCUAUUAUCGGAGAUUUAUUGAAGGAUUCUCCACUAUAGCAAAGCCCAUGACACAAUUGCUCAAGAAAGGCAAAAAAUUUGAAUGGACAGAAGCAUGUGAGAAAAGCUUCCAAGAGCUAAAAAGAAAAUUAACAACGGCACCAGUACUAAUUGUGCCAGAUAUACACAAGAACUUUGAGGUAUAUUGUGACGCAUCCCGGAAAGGCCUCGGAUGCGUAUUGAUGCAAGAAGGCAAGGUAGUUGCGUAUGUCUCCAGACAACUACGCAAGCAUGAGGAAAAUUAUCUCACUGAUGACCUAGAAUUAGCGGUCAUCCAUGCACUUUAGGAAUGGAGACACUUCCUACAUGGGAAUCGUUGUGAGAUAUACACAGACCAUAAGAGUCUUAAGUAUAUUUUCACACAGCCAGAGUUAAAUUUACGGCAACGACGCUGGUUAGAGUUGGUGAAGGAUUAUGAUGUUGGAAUCCACUAUCAUCCCAGAAAAGCAAAUGUUGUGGCAGAUGCACUUAGUCGAAAUCCCAUCACGGAAGACGACAAUAUACCAAAAUUGAGGCCAGAAUUUCAACAAGAAUUUGCCCGACUCAAUCUAAUAAUGGUUACCGAAGGCAGUGUGUCGAAUAUAGAAAUACAGCCUACCCUAAUGGAAAGCAUCAAGGAAGCCCAGCACGGACACCCCAGCAUUGAGGACAUUAAAAGAAAAGUGAGUUUGGGAAGAGCCUCAGAAUUCAACAUAGAUGAGCAAGGAAUAUUGUGGUACGGAGAAAGGCUAUGCGUACCAAAUGUCAAGGACCUCAAAUAGCAGAUAUUAACUGAAAGUAACACCGCUCCGUAUUCAAUCCAUCCUGGAGGGACAAAAAUGUACAAAGACCUUCAGGAAAAUUUUUGGUGGCACGGUAUGAAGAGAGAUAUAGCCACAUUCAUUGCAUGCUAUGACUCUUGUCACCGUAUCAAGGCCGAGCACUAGAAACCAGCCGGACUAUUACAGCCAAAUAAGAUACCCGAGUGGAAAUGGGACGAGAUUGGAAUGGAUUUUAUCGUUGGACUGCCACGGUCACAACACGGAAACAAUGCCAUAUGGGUCAUAACCGGCAGAUUAACCAAGGUGGGACAUUUUAUUCCGGUAAAAACAACUUACACCACUCAGAGACUAGCCAGACUUUAUCUUGCCCGUAUUGUCUGCCUACAUGGAGUCCCUAAGACUAUCAUCUCCGAUAGAUGCACACAGUUCGUCUCUACAUUCUGGGAUCACCUACAACAGGCACUGGGAACCCAACUAGCCAUCAGUACCGCAUACCAUCCCCAGGCUGAUGGACAAACGGAACGCGUAAACCAAAUCUUAGAAGACAUGCUAAGAGCCUGUGUCCUCACCUACGGGAACAGUUGGGAAGAAAGUUUGCCAUAUGCAGAGUUCGCAUACAACAACAGCUAUCAAGCCAGCUUGCAAAUGGCACCCUUUGAAGCUCUAUAUGGGAGAAGAUGUCGUACCCUGCUAAAUUGGUCAGAGACCGGAGACAGCCAUAUCUUUGGCCUAGAUAUGCUCAAGGAGGCCGAGGAGAAAGUUAAGACGAUUAGAGAACGACUCAAAACAGCUCAAAGUCGGCAAAAGAGUUAUUACGGCCGAAAGCAUCGGGAAAUCAGUUUUGAACCCGGAGAAUUGGUAUACCUGAGAGUUUCUCCUAGGAAGGGUCUGCAACGAUUUAAGAUUAAGGGGAAACUAGCACCAAGAUUCAUUGGACAAUUUCAGAUAGUGGCCCGACGAGGCAAGGUAGCCUACCAGCUGGACCUACCCGGAGACUUGUCUGGUAUCCACAACGUGUUUCACAUCUCGCAGUUGAGAAAAUACAUAAGCAACCCAGAGAAGCAAGUUUCACAUGAGUAUAUUGACGUGCAAUCAGACCUCACUUACCGGGAACACCCAAUAAAAAUAUUAGAAGAAUCUGAGAGGAGGACCCGACAGAAAACCAUUAAGUUUUUCAGAGUUCAAUGGAGCAAUCACACCGAGAAUGAAGCAACUUGGGAGAGCAAGGAUUUUCUUCGGAUAGAACACCCACACUUGUUUAAGGAUCAGCUGAAAUUUCGGGGAUGAGAUUUUUCCUAAGGGGGUAGGUGGUGUGACACUCCAAAAUUUUUUUUGAUUUUGUUUUCAGAAAGAGCCCUUGCUUGGUUUGAAAGAAGGUCAUUUAAACCCUUCCUAAAAACCAUCUUCUAAAUUUGCCCUCUCAAAAAUCCUUUUCUUGGAUUUGGUUUCUUCUAAAAAUGAAAACCCUUUUAAUUUUGGACUUUUAUUUGGUUUUGGUCCCUUCAAAAAUUUCACCAUGCCUCCUAUGGUGAAAUUUUUCCCAAACCCACUCCUUCCACUUUGGUUCAACCCUAACAUUCUGUCCAAACUAAUAAAAUCCAUUUUUGGAUUUUAUUCCAACUAUUUCUCCUCCCAAAAUAAAUCCGUCUAUCCUUUUGAGCCUAGGUGGAUUGCAAAGCAAGUGCCUUAAUGCUUUUGAUUUUUGACCUCAACUCAGCACCCCUGGAUAGUCCUUUGUACCCACAACCCAGAAGCAUCUUGAUCCACUCUUCUCCUGUUCAAAUAUUUCAAAUUGCACUCACUGCAAGUUUGGACCAGAUUUGCCAAAUUUGGUGAAAUUUAUAUCUAUACCUCUCCAAAAAUUCCACAAAUAUUCAAGCAGCCUCUAGAUGCAAUGAGAGGCCCCUCCACCAAAAAACCAGCUCAAGGAAAAAUCCCUACAUGCCUGGAUCAUUCUGUCGAACACCUUGCAUGCACUGUUCUAGCCAUAUUCAGUUAAAUUCAGAAGUUCAAUGUCGAUCUUCGUCAGUAACUUCAGUCACGAGCCCACAGUGCGCUUGGCACGUAGCUCGCGGCCAGGCUUGCUUGUCCGGAGCCUCACACGCGUGCUUGGUGCCUUCCUGGCGUCGGUGGCGCCCUGGCCCGCCUGCGCCGGCGUGUCUUGCGGCGGCCGUAGCGCCGUAGCGGCCGACAGGAAGCAGAACGGCGGCGCAACGCCGUUCGGCGCCGCCCAAGCGUCCUACUAACUUCGCGUGGCCACCUCCUUGCCAGCGCACGCAUGCAGCACCGUCGCCGUGGCGCGGCACGCGCAGAGCACGCUCCCUGCCGCUGACGGGCCCGCGCCGCCCCGUUCCGUUGAACUCACCCUAAACCCCCAAAUCCCGACGUGGUUAGCACCAAAACGGAACCAUGGGACACGCACGACGACGUUCAGCCUCUGAAACCUCCCGUGCAACCGCAGCGCCGCCGUAAUCACCUUGCCGGAGAACCCCGUUUUCGGCAACCGCCUCGGGGCGGCUAUAUAUAGCACCCCGAGCCUGCUCUCACCCCCGGCACACCUCCUCUACCUCAUCAGACCCCGCACAGCCACUGAACGAGCCACGAGGAGCUCUCCUUCGCCGACACCGGCCACUCCGUUCUGCCUCGGCCCCCACCGUGAUUAACUCCGGUAAGGCCAUCUCCGGCGCCCUAGCCUCGUCAGAUACCUCCUCAUACUAUCGGGAGUCUAACCCCAUCACCAAUUCCACCUCCGCAGCUCUCCCCGGCGAGAUCCACGGCCACCCGAAUCACCGUCCGCCGGAGCAAGCAUCGCCGCCGACGUGGUACUCGCCGGCGACCACGACCACCUCCCACAUACGCGGAAUGGCGCCCUGAUCAUGAAGGUACACUCCGAUCUCCUUGCCUUGCCGUGGAUCACCGCCGGCGACCACCGCGGCUCUCGGGCGCCGACGAGCCCCGACUCCCCUGUUUGAACUUUCAAACCUGACGGGUGGGACCCGCCCGUCAGCCUCUCUUUUGUUUUUUUAAAUCGUUUGCAGAAGGCGUACUCUGGCAAAUACGCUUUCUCUCUGAACCGUUUUUUCUGGAUUCUUCUGCAUAGCCCCCUGGAAGAUUUCUGUUUCAUUACAGAUGGGUCCUUGGACCAAAACUCUUAUAACUUUUGAUCACAAAAGUAUUUUUGAUUAAUUCUUUUUCUGUUCUCUUUAGAUUGUUGUCUAGUUUUUUAUCAUAUUUAUUUGAGAAAUAUUUGGAACACUUUUCUGUACACUCACGGUAUUUACGUUGCGUACAUAUUUUUCUUAUACCGUAGAUACCGGAGGAGGUGACGGAGCCGCAAACUUCGCACAGUUAGACUCCGACUACUCCGAACCAGGAAAGCAUGUUUGAACUCUUGAUAUGAUGAGUGUUGUUGCAUGUUUGCAUUUUAGUAUAGUCACGGCAUGUUUAUGAACAUCACUUUGUAUGAUAUAUCUCAUGCACAUGAUCGGAAAGUAGGUUUUGGAAAGCACUAUGUUGUUGGAUACAUAUUUGCAAAGCCAUGUGUUGGUAUGAGGAUGGGUAAGAUGGCAGUGUUGUGACAUGCCAGUCUUAUGCCAGAUUAUUUGACUUUCGUGUUGUCAUGACACAAUUCACAUUCCCAUUCAUUCCAUCCUAUACUGUCACAUGUUUUCCGAAAGGAAUAUGGCAUAGUAAGUUGCAAAUCGUUUUCCUGGUACACAGCAAGUGGAGAGGCCGGGAUGAGGGUUUCAUGGCCCUGGAUUAAAGCCCGUCAUCCGGUCAGGGGGCAUGGGUGUUUCCGGUUGGGACCGAGAGGGGGGCACCCCUUAGAGCGCGCGACUAGAAAUUUGAUCCCAUGCUAUUCGAUGUUGUGGCCUCCCCGUCUGAAAGUUUUUCUUCAACGUUGUCUAGGGUGAUUCCUGGCAUCAUGAGGUGAAAUGGGUGUGUACUAGUUAAAUGUGUUUCUACUGAAAUGCCGUAAAAGGAACUAGUCCUUCGUGACUACGGAAAUCCGUUGGCUGUGUUCAGUUCUUCCAAACUCUGCAGAGUCUCAAUCUUUCAAUUAUCUUGUACUUUGUUCAAGUACUAUAAUUGUCUUAUCUUGUCAGGUAUUCAGCCUCAGUGACAAAAACUCCGGUGGGAUUUAUGUGUAAUAAAUCCGGUUAAAAGAUUAUUCUUGUGGAUGAACUAAUCUCGUUAUUUACAUUUGUUACAAGGCCCUGUCUGUGAUGUCGCUCAGACGUCCGACGGUGGCAUACCUAUUAUUUUGCUAUUGUUAAAGCCCUGUCUAUGAUGUUGCUCAGACGUGCGACGGUGGUAUUUCUUUUAAAGCCCUAUCUGUGAUGUCGCUCAGACGUCCGACGGUGGUAUUUCUUUUUAAUGCCCUGUCUGUGAUGUCGCUCAGACAUCCGACGGUGGUAUUUCUUUUUAAAGCCCUUUAUGUGAUGUCGCUCAGAUGUCCAACUGUGGUAUUUCUUUUUAAAGCCCUUUAUGUNNNNNNNNNNNNNNNNNNNNNNNNNNNNNNNNNNNNNNNNNNNNNNNNNNNNNNNNNNNNNNNNNNNNNNNNNNNNNNNNNNNNNNNNNNNNNNNNNNNNNNNNNNNNNNNNNNNNNNNNNNNNNNNNNNNNNNNNNNNNNNNNNNNNNNNNNNNNNNNNNNNNNNNNNNNNNNNNNNNNNNNNNNNNNNNNNNNNNNNNNNNNNNNNNNNNNNNNNNNNNNNNNNNNNNNNNNNNNNNNNNNNNNNNNNNNNNNNNNNNNNNNNNNNNNNNNNNNNNNNNNNNNNNNNNNNNNNNNNNNNNNNNNNNNNNNNNNNNNNNNNNNNNNNNNNNNNNNNNNNNNNNNNNNNNUCUUUUAAAGCCCUUUACGUGAUGUCGCUCAGACGUCCGACUGUGGCAUUUCUUUUAAAGCCCUUUAUGUGAUGUCGCUCAGAGGUUCGACUGUGGCAUUUCUUUUAAAGCCCUUUAUGUGAUGUCGCCCAGACGUCUGACUGUGGCAUUUCUUUUAAAAGCCCUUUAUGUGGUGUCGCUAAGACACCCGACUGCGGCAUGUAUUUUAUUUAUUUACCUUUCGAGGCGUCGCUCCAGACACCCGAUUGGUUUUCAGUUAUUAAAUUUUGAUGCAUCAAGUUCUGCAUAUUACCGUGGUUAUUUGAGUAUCAUACCUCAUUCAUGACGCAUUCAUGCAUUCAUUGAUUAUAUCUUUAGUCCGAACUAUCUUGCGAGUACUUUCAAGUACUCACCUGGCUUGUUGAUUUGGCCAGAUGCUGAUGAAGGCGAUCUCUUGGAUGAAGAGUUUGAUAGCGAGUCCGACGCCUAGAGGAAUCCCAGUCAGUCCUGUGCGAUCCUGUCUUGGUCAUUGUAUUAUCCGCUUCCGCAACCCCGAAUAAAUUCGUCGAGCCUCACCUCGAUGCACGAUGUACUGCCAGUAAAAGUCAAGUUAUCCACCACCACUUUUCCUCGAGCUAGUAGCAUGCCACCCCACCCCUGUGUCAUAACCGCCCACAUGUAAUAUAUUGGCGAGUCUGUAAUAAAUUGUUGAGCAACCUCAGCUCAACCUUGUAAUAUAUUUGAUGCUACUGGUUCUCUGUUUAUCAAGCUUUUUGUCUAUCAGAAAGGAUGACUUUUCCUAUACUGGGAUUUAAAGAUUGGUUUUCUCAAUAAACAUUUUUAAUGAAAAACCAGUCGUGACAGUGCGCUUCCCGAAAUAUGAAUCCCGCUAAAUCCGCGAGCUGCAGAAGAACUUGUCGGAUGAAAGAUCUCCUCCGCUCUAUCGCUCGGAGCUCUCCAAGUAAAAAACUUUAAUCGACGGAUACAAAGAAUGGAUCAAGGCGACUGAAAAAGAAGUUGGUGCCGUGACCUAAAGUUCAUUGUUCCAGAACAAGACAUACGCAUAACACGGAAACGAGUCGGAAGUGUGUCCAACUCCUUCUCCACUCAAACCUCGAUCCAUUCGGGGGCUAAUGAUGAAGCUAUGUACUUAGGGUAGGGUCAUGGACCUGUCCAAGAUACCCUCCCCAAGGACAUCUCUAGAAGAAAUCACCUUUCAAUCGACCCGGAAAUGUUCCACUCGACGGACUCAAAGACACUCGACCAUGAAGCCAUCCACUCGACAGCCAGGAGACCUAAAGUCACUCUGCACGCCAACGGUCGGUCAUUAAGUAGCUUUUAUGGUCAUCAUAGCACUUUAUUUGUAGCGUUAUCAGUAACCCCCGAUCUUAAUGUAUCUUAAACCCUGCAUAACUGAGGGCCGGAGGUGUCUGGCGGACUCUAUAUAAGCCACCCCCUCCUCAGUGUAAAGGUUUCGCACCUCUGUAACUCAUACACAUAUAAUUCAGUCGAUCGCCUCCGGGCUCCGAGACGUAGGGCUGUUACUUCCUCCGAGAAGGGCCUGAACUCGUAAAUCCCUUGCGUAUACAACUACUCCAUAGCUAGGAUCUUGCCUCUCCAUUCCUACCCCCCUACACUACUGUCAGACUUAGAACCACGACAAUCACUCCCUACUGUAGACACCACAUUUUGCCACGACAAAAACUUAUAUAAGAUGAACUCAAAUGGGAAAGUGUACAAUAUAAAAAAUCAUCGUGUGUUUGAGAUGAACAAUUUUGAUGUUUGGUUCAUCGCCAUCCGAUCUCAUCUCAAGGGUCAAAGUUGUGAUCAAAGUAAUAAUAUUUGGUAUUCGGAGUAUUGUUCGGUCAAAUAUUCCUCCAAGCUAGUCAUAUGAAAAAAGUGUUCUAUACAGAUUGUUUUUGCCUCAUCAAGUCGAUCGAUUUUGAUAUUUGGAUCAUCUUAAUCCUAGAUCGUAUGCAAAAGUUAGAGUCGGCGCAGUGUGCCCCUACCGUGUGCAUUAAGUGACGUCCAGCACCCGACACUCAUAUGACUAUGUCUGAUGGAUGUGAUUUUCUUUUCAAGUUAGAAAGAGGGUGCGAUUAUUGCACACGUCCUUUUAUUAUUGCAAAGUUUAUUAAAAUCCAACAUCUCACACGGUGGUACAGAUGGCCAUAAGGCUACGAUCGACAAGGCUAAAAUAGCCAAAACGAAAUAAGAUCGUAUGGUGACAAGUGGCCACUGAUGCAGACCUGCUAGUGUGUGGAUCAGGCAGCAAUAUAUCACCAUCAGCCAAGCUUACGUCCAUGACCAAAGUUUUUUUUCCAGAGAGUACGCCAAUGACAUACCAUAUCUUUAUAGAAGGGAGAAAAACAAUUUACAAGAUUUGUGCGAUCAAUGCAAACAUCGAUCACCCGAGCACCCACUCACACCUACCGAAAGAUCAAACAUGAUCUCUCACAAAACGAUCUAAUCCACCCACACCAACACUUGUACUGUGCCACUCGUAAAUUUCCUCAAGGAUGACUCUAGCUAGCUCUCUGCAGUCUUUGACUUGUUCUGGCCGGUUGAACACCCUAGCGUUCCUCUGCUUGCAUAGCAACCAAGCCGUGGCAAUGACGACUGAAUCAAAGCCUUGCUUGUGCUUUCCUUAAAAGCCAGAUCGAGCCCUUAGCCACCAAUCAGCAAAAGUGUCCGUGCUGUUAGGGGGGGAGACGGUGAUUUGCAUGGAGUCAAAACACGUGUGCCACACCUGUCUUGCAUAAACGCAUUGCACCAUGAUAUGCUCAACCGUGUCCUCAUCCUGCAAACAAGUGUAACAAGGCGAGGGGCUGUCCUGCAGUCCAGGUCAUGCCCGUCUGUCGGAUGUCCAUAAUCGAUGCUGCACCGCGAGCCAGGCAAAGAUCUUUCAUAAUCGAUGACCAAAGUUUUCAAUCAGUCAAAUAUAGUCUUAUGAGAGCAUCUACGACCGGACCUCUCAAACCCACCACAUACGUUCGAGCGGGCCGCCCGGUCACUGCUCGGUCACAAUUUUUUGAUCCAGACGGGCCUCUCAAACGCCCGGGCUGACCGGCACCCCCUCAUAUCCAGCCCAAAUAUAUGGCGGAUGUGUGGGAGCCCGGGUGCGCCCGGGCAUGCCCUUCAUGUCGGUCGGACGACAUGGCCCCACACGGAAACAUCCGGAAACCCAGCGGUCCGACGGGCGCUGCCUCCAUCGACGCGGUGUGAACAUCGCGUAACGCCGCUCCGGCUUGCCGCCCAAGACGAAAUCGGGCUAUUUUCGCCGAUCGGCCUCCCGCAACGCUAACCCACCCCACCCCCCUCUCUGCACUGCCAGUCUGAACCCAUCUACCUCCUCCCUCUCCGGCUCCGAUGCUCUCCCCAUGCUCCAGCACUCUGCCAUGGCCAGAGCAAGAUCACCUACUAUGUCAUGCUCACAUCGGAGCGCCGCUACGAGAUCCAGCAGCGGAUCCGGAGUUGGACGCGCUCUUCACUGAGCUCGACUCGGAGAUAGAGGCGGAGGAAGCUGAAGCGGAGCAGAUGGAUGCGCGGGAGGAGUCGGAGCUACAGCUGCCGCCCAUGCUUCCGGAGCCAAGAAUGUGAUCGUCGUUGUCGGUGUCAAAACCGGCGGAUAUCGGGUAGGGUGUCCCGAACUGUGCGUCUAAGGUUGAUGGUAACAGGAGGUGGGGGACACGAUGUUUACCCAGGUUUGGUCCCUCUCUAUGGAGGUAAUACCCUACUUCUUGCUUUAUUGAUCUUGAUGAAUAUGAGUAUUACACGAAUUGAUCUACCACGAGAUCGUAAUGACUAAACCCUAGAAGUCUAGCCUGUAUGAUUACGAUUCUGUGUAUGCCUCUGCGGACUAAGCCCUCCUGUUUAUAUAGACAUCGGAGGGGAAUAGGGUUGUACAAAGUCGGUUACAGAGAAAGGAAUCUUCAUAUCCGGUCGCCAAGCUUGCCUUGCACGCCAAGGAGAGUCCCAUCCGGACACGGGACGAAGUCUUCUGUCUUGUAUCUUCAUAUCCCAUCAGUCCGGCCCACAUCAAUAGUCUGGCUGUCCGAGGACCCCUUAAUCCAGGACUCCCCCGGUAGCCCGUGAACAAGGCUUUAAUGACGAGGUGUCCGACGCGUAGAUUGUCUUCGGCAUUGCAAGGCUGGUUCCUCAUCCGAAUACUACAAAUCUUCCUUCAAACACAUGAAACAUGUCCGGCUGUGCAAAACAAAUACCACACACAACCGCAGAGAGUAUAAUAUUUUACGAGUCCAAUCUGCUGACAACUUUUUGUAGCGUGCCAUCACGUCGCCGCCCGGUCUUUAUUCGAACCAUUUUUUAGCCUGCCGCUCCAUAUUUCGAGAUGCGGCUUCAUUGGCAUGUCUUGUCAAAGCAGAGAUCGUGUCCCCUUAUAGUGGGAUUCUCAUCAAUACGGGCAUCGGUAAUCCCACCAUACCGUUUGCACGGCCCUCGGGGAUAAGCGAGUUUUUGGGGCGAGUGGGGAGGCGCUUGAUAUUCACUGCCUUUAUAAAGAGAUAAGGAUCCACCUCUUUUCACCCAUGCCUUAUUUCUCUCUGCUUCCCCCCAUUCUCGAGAUCCAGCGCCCAAGUUCUCAUCUUUUUCGCCCCCAAAAAACAAUUCAGCCAUAUCCAGAUCCGGAGCGCAUGGCAAGUGGAUGGUCUCCUCCGUUAAGGACAAGGACAUUACAAAGCUCUGGGAGGCCGGGUAUCUGGCCAAGGAAAUCGCCCACCGACUUCUGGCCGAGGGACAGAUCGUCCCCACUUCGGAACCCCAGGAGAGGGUCGUAUUCCUCUCUCACUUCAUUCGCGGGCUGGUAUUUCCUCUCCACCCCUUCAUCCACAGACUCAUGUACUACUACGGGUUAGAUUUCCAUGACCUAUCCCCAAAUUCAUUCCUCAACAUAUCGGCAUUCAUCAUCGUGUGUGAGGCUUUCCUCCACAUCCCACCACACUUCGGAUUGUGGCUAAAGACCUUCAUGUGAAGCCGAAGGUGGUGGGCGGCCAACACGCAGAGUGCGGAAGCUCCAUGGUGAGCAAGAUGCCUAACGUUACAUGGCCAUUAGGUACAUUUAUUGAGACCGUCAAAGGGUGGCAACAAUAGUGGUUCUAUGUCACUGAGCCGCGCGACACCACCUGGGUCGCAGCCCCCGAAUUCCAAUCUGGAGCUCCGAUGCGGCUCACCUCCUGGCCCGAGAAGGGUCUGGACGGGUCUUCGUCAGACGAGCUGACAGUGCUUCAGGAGUGCAUCAAGAGCAUGGUGGACAAGAACAUCAAGCUUGUCAACAUGAUCCAGGUGAUGCUAGCUUGCCGAAUACUUCCAUGCCAAAGUCGGACUUGCCAUCCAUGGGAGUUCGAUCCGGCCAAGCACCAGACACUACUGGAGUUCUUUGGCACUAUGCACGAAGACAUCUGGAAGGUGCUAUUCAAGUCAAGCAAGACAUGGCCGGACACGGACGAGGAUCAUGGGCACAACUUGGCCCGUCCCGCUAGUCCGGUAAGUCUUUACAUGUUUUCAAGGUGUAUCCUUUACUUGCAUACUUGAGGAAAACGCCUAAACUUCCCUACCGAUUCUCUCGGGGAUAGACAAAGAUGGCGGAGUAGAUUUACUAUCCGGCCCCGCUGCCGAAGACCCAGCAAUUCUACUUCUGACGAAGAUGCUGAUUCUGGCGCCCUAUAAAGCGCCGGAGAAGAAGGCCAAGAAGAAGGCCAAGGAGACCAAGGAGACCAGAAGCGGUCUCCAUCACAAGAGUGCUUCGGACAUGACGUCCGAAGACGCCGAGACUCACUCCUCCGCCUCCGAGGACGACAAGGAAGAGGAGGAAGAAGAAAGCCAUUCCCCUCCUGGGGGGGGGGAGGAAGAAGAUGGCAGCCUCCAUGCGUCUGGAGGCCGAAGCGUCCAAGAAGGGAAAAACUACCUUCCUGGACAACUCCACAAUGGCCACCGACAGCAGCUCGGAAUGGCGCCCGAGGGUCAACCCCCUGGCCAAAUCGUGAGUACUCAAAAACCCAAACACAUUCAUAUAUCUGGCCUCUCUACUUUAUAGUCUUAACAUGUUAAGUUAUUCAUCUGCAGUCUGGCUCGGUCCGACCUUGAGCGGUCCUCGUCUUUGGGAGAUUCGCUGGACCUGGAGGCAAUGGACAGUGGGCCCUCCCGGCGGUCUCCUCUCCCAAGGCCAUGGAUGGUGCCGAGGCGCUGUCCUGAAGGAUCCCAGGCCAAGAAGAGACUCGGGAGGCCGUCAAGGCGGUGCCGAAGGGUGAAACCUCGGCCGCCAGACACAUGGAGGAGUAGAUCCCCAGGGAGACUGGCAAUGAGGGCCAUAUCCAAUUCAGUCCCCAGCCGAAUACGAUUCCGGAGAUCUAUACGGCUCCGGAAUCAGGCAAGCAGCCUCUUUCAAAAGAAGGAGGUGUGCCUAUUCCAUCGGUAUCCUCUGUCCAUCCGGAGGCACCGAAUCAUUUGCUGGAAGCGCUGCGAGGCACUUCCAUUGUUGAGGAACACCGUAAACUUAUGGGUGCGGUGGUUGAGAAGGUCCAGUCUACGAAGAGCGGACUGACCGAAGCCUGCACAAGCCUUCUAACAGGCUUUGAGGUAAGCAAAGAAAUUAUGUAAAAAGAAUGUCACAGUUUAGACAGUAGCCCCUUAGACGAUGUCCGGUGUUCGGAAAGAAAAGCCAAACAGAGGAUCAAAUAACUAUCGCAGGAGAACAAACUAACAUGUCUAUAUGUAUAAGCAGGCAUCAUUGCUGGUUGCAACCUGUCAUGCUACUGAGGUCUCCGGACUGAAGCAAAGUAUGGAGCGGACCGAGGGAGAGCUCGGCCAUGUGAAGAAACAGCUGGAGGAUAAUCAAGGUAUGCAAUAAUGCGAUAACCUUGUCCAUAUUUCAGGAAGGAUGAAUGUUUUGUACUGACUAAAGUGCCAUGACAUUUAUUAGGCGCGGCGACCAAGGUGGAGACCCUUAAGAAGGCGCUGGACGAGGCCGAGGAGAGAGCGGUCAAGGAAAAAGCCUCCCGUGAAAGGCAUGAGGCCAGGGUCGUUGAGGUCCAGCAGGAGAUCCAGGACGCCGUGAAGAGAUGUGAGUCCUUGGAGCGCGACAUUACAAAUCAAGAGACCGAACUGACCAAGGCUCGCCAAAGCGCACACGAUACCCGGGUUGAAGCCCAGGGCACCCUCCAAGAAGUCCAAGAGGCAAGAAAAAUCACGGCGGGUAAGGCAUUCAUAAUGCAGAGCAAAUAUGUAAGAAAAGGUUCCUCUUAUUGACCCGAAUUUGGAGUUCUCCAGGGGCAUUCGCGGAUCUUCCGCGCAGCAUUUUAGAUGCUGCGGAGUUCUUCCGAGCCGAAGAGGGGAGCUCUACGGAGAAGUUGUUUUGGUCGCAAUAUCUUGCGCCAGAACAUCUGGUGCCCUUUAGCGACCAGUUAAAACAGCUGGUCGAACUGCAUAGGGUGGCCGAACUAGCCAUGAAGGAUUUAAUAAUCUGGCUAUGGCCUGCCGAAGCCAUACCCAGCAGCUACUUCGGGCUCAUGAAGCGGUUGGUCAAAGCCUGCCCUUGGCUUAAUGACAUCAAGCGGUCGGUCUGCAUCGAAGGCACGCGAAUGGCCUUCGCACGAAUCAAGAUGCAUUGGGUCAAGAUGGACGCCGUGAAGCUUGUAACCGAGGGACCACCCGUGGGCAAGGAGCAACGCACGCCCGAGCUGUAUUUUGACAAUGUCCUGGAGGGGUCCCGCAUUGUAGCAGAGAAAUGUACGAAGGAUAUUAUCUUGGAGUGACUACAUUCAUGUUAUCCUGUCCUGUACAAUGAAACAGAAUCGCUAUGUAAUAUAAUGCCUGUUACUUUAAAAUUUUACCUCAUGUGUGGCCCUUUUGUUAAAUCUGAGAGUUGGCCAGUCAUCGGCUUCAGCCCCCACGUAGAAAGUACGGGGGUGUUCGGGAUGAAUCUAAACAUUCUUUACUCCAGAGUUUGGUCCUUCAAGGAGGUGUUUAGCGCGACGAACCAGGCAAUCAUACUAUAUGGCUUUAUCACUCUCACUUAGCCAUAGGAGUUUGACAAUAAAAAUUUAGGCACAACCCCUAGUAUUCGGACUUGGGGUACUGUAAAUACCUCAUCGGGUAAAAACCGAUUCGUCGUAUAAUGCGAAAAAAAUCGCAAAAGAUUUGUGACCUCUCAAACAACUGACCGGCUCAUGUCGCAUCAUGACAGUCAGUUUUCGGCUUUCUCUACUGAGGUGCUCAUCCGGAAUAAUCAGGACACAAUCGCAGUAGUUCUCCCUUUACUACCUUAGUCGAUAUAGCGGAAUGUAAGGUAGCAAGCACACGAGCAGGGAAACCCAACUAUUGAGCAAAGACAUGAUUCGGAGCCAAUGCAUAUAAUACUAUAAGUUCGGGGUGCCGAACUAUACUUAAAAAAGCAUUCAGACUUUGUUGCCGUAUUGUGGGGCGUAAUGAAGCCCCUGGCGAAUUUAAAGUGUACCAAAGUGUACGGGUGCAUUCAAUAAGAAUAACGAAAUAAAAUGAAAAAGCAAGUUAAUGCCACAUAAGUUGGGCCGCAGACUAUUUUUAUCGUAAUUUCAUUGAUACGUCGAAGCGUAUUUGCAUAGAUAGUGUGUUAAACAAUAUAGCUGAUUAACCUGCCCAAACCAGGGGGAGCUGCAUGCGGUUCCCAAAGACAGGUUGAAUGAUCAUAGAAGAGAACAUCUAUAGAUUCCCUCGCGAGUCCAUACUGCUUCCCGCCUUGGUAUGUGUAUAUCAUUCGAAAGGAUCGACAAUCAGGACACCAGGAAAACCUGGAAAAAAGAAACCUGAAAAGAAAAAAAAAGUAAAAGUAUGUGGGUCCACGGGAGGUUGAGCCGUAUUAGGGACCACAAUAAUGUUACGCUCCGUCUAUGCCCAUGGUAUUUUGUGUGCCUAGUUAUGUACGCCCGGUACGUAUGCCGCCAUUUGAUCGGGAUUACGGCGGUGGCCAAAUUGCUUAUCGAGCUCUUGAUGAGCUGGGUUGUCCUUCUGCAGAGUAGUCCGGACUCGUUUGACGGUGUCCGGGAGCCUGGCCGCCGAAUUGAAGUUCUACUUGUUAAGGCUGCUCUGUAUCUCUGCUGCCAGCGCGGCGGUGCGCUCCUCAGUAUGAAGGGAGAGUUCUGUGUUUCCAUUGACUGUUAUAACACCGCGUGGUCUGGGCAUCUUAAGUUUGAGAUAAGCAUAGUGUGGCACCGCAUUGAAUCGGGCAAAUGCUGUUCGUCCGAGCAAUGCGUGAUAGCCACUGCGGAAGGGGAAGAUAUCGAAGAGCAACUCUUCGCUUCGGAAGUUAUCCGGGGAUCCAAAGACCACUUCUAGUGUGAUUGAGCCCGUACAACGGGCCUCUACACCUGGUAUGACUCCUUUAAAGGUGGUUUUCGUGGGCUUGAUUCUUGAGGGAUCAAUGCCCAUUUUGCACACUGUAUCCGGAUAGAGCAGGUUCAGGCUGCUGCCACCGUCCAUGAGGACAUGUGUGAGAUGGAAUCCAAUAAUGAUUGGACCAAGGAACAAAGUGGUUGAACCGCCAUGAUGGAUACUGGUCAAAUGGUCCCUGCGAUCGAAAGUGAUCGGGCAGGAUGACCGUGGGUUGAAUUUUGGGGCGACUGGCUCCAUCGCAUAGACAUCCCUGAGCGCGCGCAUGUGCUCCCCCUUGGGGAUAUGGGUAGCGUAUAUCAUGUUAACCGUUUUAACAUGGGGGGGGACUUCUUCUGUCCCCCUGUGUUCGGUGGCCGGGGCUCCUCAUCAUCUUCCUCGCUUUGUGACCCCUUCUCCUUAUUCUCGGCAUUUAACUUGCUGACCUGUUUAAAAACCCAACACACUCUGUUGGUAUGAUUGGCUAGUUUAUCAGGAGUGUCGUGGAUUUGACAUGGACGAUCGAGUAUGCGCACCAAGUUGGACGGGCCCAGAUUGUUUAUUUUUUAUGGCUUCUUCCGCUGACCGGACUUAGAGCCGCUGAAUUGGUGUUCACCGCCGUGUAUUCGGUGUUGUCACCGUUGCUUCGACGCUUGUGUCUGUUGCGUCGGGGCUUGCCAUUGCUAUUUCUGGCUUCAGAAAUGCCAGGUUCGCUUAUAUUGUUGUUGCUACAGACCAGCCAGCUAUCCUCACCCGCACAGAAGCAGGUCAUAAGCGUCGUGAGGGCUGCCAUAGACUUCGGCUUUUCUUGGCCGAGGUGUCGGGUGAGCCAUUUGCCGUGGAUGGUGUGUUUAAAGGCCGCUAGGGCUUCGGCAUCCGGACAGUCGAUGAUCUGGUUCUUUUUAGUUAAGAAUCUAGUCCAAAAUUUCCUAGCGGACUCUCCGGGUUGAUGAACUAUGGGACUCAAGACAUCGUCGCUUCGAGGUCGGACGUAUGUGCCUGGAAGUUAUCGAGGAAGGCAUCCUCCAGGUCGUCCCAACUGCCAAUUGAGUUCUUUGGCAAACUGUUCAACCAGUGCCGAGCAGGUCCCUUGAGUUUUAGCGGGAGGUAUUUGCUGGCGUGAAGGUCAUAACAGCGGGCCAUAUAUAUGAAUAUGUAGGAGAAAAUCCUCGAUCCAUACCGCGGGGUCUGUUGUCCCAUCAUAUGAUUUGAUGUUCAUGGGUUUAAAUCAUUCUGGGAAUUCAUGUCCCAUUACUUCAUCAGUGAAGUAGAGGGGGUGUGCGGCACCUCUAUGUCGGGCCACGUCGCGAUGUAGCUAGGAUGGAGUUAGUCUGCGGUAUUCGGCCCGUACGGGGUUAUAUUUGUCACGUCCAGCCUGAUAGGCAUCGUCGUGCAUCGAGGCACGCCCCCGCGAUGCAUAGAUUGAUCUGGUCUGACAUGCUCUGUUUUCCAGGAAAUGCCGCAGGUCAUAUGUGUAUCCUCGAGCUGUUGUGUCUUUGUUUUUUCGGAAAAGUAAUGCGAGAUGGUGUUCGGCUUGAGUUGCCGCUUUGUCCCGUCCACGCGGUGGCCGGUCAGCCGCAUUGUGCGCUCGUAGGACGGGCUCCAGCCCCUCGUCAUUGAAUUGGGGCAGCAAUUCGCACUUUGGGUAACUUUUGGUUGGCGCUCGAGAUCUUAUUCCUUGGCUGCCAGGACAUUAGUCCAUCUGUCAUUGAGUAGAUCUUGAUUAGCUUGAAGCUGCUGCUGCUUCUUUUUCAGGCUCAUUGCAGUGGCUAUUAGCUGGCGCUGAAAGCGCUCCUGGUCGAUGGGCUCCUCAGGCACGAUGAAGUUUUCGUCGCCGAGGCUCGACUCAUACUUGAAGGGUGGAAGAUAAGUGCUGUCCUCCGAGUCUUCGUUAGUGGCCUGUUCGUUAGGGCUGACUCGCCCAUCCUCCCGUUCAUCCUAUUCGGAAGUUGGCUCAACGGGGUCUUCGUUGUCUUCGGCAUCGUCCGGAGUAUUUUCUCCUGUGCCGAUGUUGCUGUUUUUCCCAUGGCAUGGUCUAGAGCGGCGCCGCUGACGUCGGUGCUUUGGCUGCUACUCAAGAGGCUUAUCCUCAACUGGAUCCUUUCUGUUGUCCUUGUUAUCUUUGGGUGUAUCCACCAUGUAUACGUCAUACGAGGAGGUGGCUGUCCAGCGCCCUGUACGCGGUGGUUCUUGAGCCUGCUCCUCUCCGGCAUCGUCGUCCAUACCGUUAAUGUCUUGAUACGUCCAUUUUGCAUCAUGCUUUUAGAUCAAUAUUUACUGCAUUAUGGGCUGUCAUUACACAUUAUAUCUCAAUACUUAUGGCUAUUCUCUCUUAUUUUAAAAGGUUUACCAUGAAGAGGGGGAAUGUCGGCUGCUGGAAUUCUGGCUGGAAAAGGAGCAAACGUUGCAAACCUAUUAUGCACAACUCCAAAAGUCCUGAAACUCCAUGAAACAAAUAUUUGGAUUUAUUAAGAAUUUAUGAGCGAAAGAAAUAGGCCACGGGCCCACACCCUGUCCAGGAGACAGGGGGCGCCCCCCUGUAGGGCGCGGCCCCCUAUCUCCUAGGCCCCCUGGUGGGCCUCCGGUGUCCAUCUUCUGCUAUAUCAUCACUUUUACCCUGGAAAAAAAUUGGGGGCAAGCUUACGGGAUGAAACUCCACCGCCACGAGGCAGAACCUUGGCGAAAUCAAUCUAGGGCUCUGGCGGAGCUGUUCUGCCGGGGACACUUCCCUCUGGGAGAGGGAAAUCAUCACAAACAUCAUCACCAACGAUCCUCUCAUCGAGAGGGGGUCAAUCUCCAUCAACAUCUUCACCAGCACCAUCUCCUCUCAAAACCCUAGUUCAUCUCUUGUAUCCAAUCUUGUAUCAAAACCAUAAAUUUGUACAUGUGGGUUGCUAGUAGUGUUGAUUACUCCUUGUAGUUGAUGCUAAUUGGUUUACUUGGUGGAAGAUCAUAUUUCCAGAUCCUUUAUGCAUAUUAUUACUCCUCUAAUUAUGAACAUGAAUAUGCUUUGUGAGUAGUUACGUUUGUUCCUGAGGACAUGGGUGAAGGCUUGCUAUUAGUAGUCAGGUGAAUUUGGUAUUCGUUCGAUAUUUUGAUGAGAUGUAUGUUGUCUUUCCUCUAGUGGUGUUCUGUGAACGUCGACUACAUGACACUUCACCAUUAUUUGGGCCUAGAGGAAGGCAUAGGGAAUUAAUAAGUAGAUGAUGGGUUGCUAGAGUGACAGAAGCUUAAACACUAGUUUAUGCGUUGCUUCGUUAGGGGUUGAUAUGCACCCAUAUGUUUAAUGUUGUGGUUAGGUUUACCUUAAUACUCUUUUUUGUAGUUGUGGAUGCUUGCAAUAGGGGUUAAUCAUAAGUGGGAUGCUUGUCCAAGUUAGGGCAGUACCCAAGUGCCGGUCCACCCACAUAUCAAAUUAUCAGAGUACCGAACGUGAAUCUUACGAACGUGAUGAAAACUAGCUUGACGAUAAUUCCCAAUGUGUCCUCGGGAGCUCCUUCCUCAUUAUUAGAAUUUGUCCAGUCUUAUCCUUUGAUACAUAAAGGAUUGGGCCACCUUGCUGCACUUUAUUUACUUUAUUUACUUUUUGCUCGUUACUAUUUAUCUUAUCACAAAACUAUCUAUCACCUAUUAUUUCAGUGCUUGCAGAGAAAACCUUACUGAAAACCGCUUAUCAUUUCCUUCUGCUCCUCGUUGGGUUCGACACUCUUAUUUAUCGAAAGGACUAUGAUAGAUCCCCUACACUUGUGGGUCAUCAAGACUCUUUUCUGGCGCCGUUUCCGGGGAGUGUAGCGCUUUUGGUGAGUGGAACUUGGUAAGGAAACAUUUAUAUAGUGCGCUGAAAUUUUCUAUUACUUGUCACUAUGGAAACUAAUCCUUUGAGGGGCUUGUUUGGGGUAUAUUCACCCCAAACAGAAGAGAAAAGAGAUGCUCCUCAACCUACUGAACCUUAUGAAAAUAUUCAUUUUGAGAUUCCUUCGGGUAUGAUAGAAAAACUGCUAGCUAAUCCUUUUGCAGGAGACGGAACAUUGCAUCCCAACUUACACCUUAUCUUUGUGGAUGAAGUUUGUGGAUGUUGUCAAAAGGAAGGUCUUCCCUUUAUCUUUGAAGGGAGAUGCAAUGACAUGGUAUAGGCUAUGUGAUGAUACGAGAUUUUGGAAUUAUAAGCGACUAAAGUUGGAAUUUCACCAAAAGUUAUAUCCUAUGCAUCUUGUUCAUCGUGAUCGUAAUUACAUAUACAAUUUCUAGCCUCGCGAAGGAGAAAGCAUCGCUCAAUCUUGGGGGAGGCUUAAUUCAAUGUUAUAUUCAUGCCCCCAAUCAUGAGCUCUCUCGGGAAAUGAUUGUUCAGAAUUUUUAUGCUCGGCUUUCUCUUGAUAGUCGCAACCUGCUCGAUACUUCCUGUGCUGGUUCCUAUAUGCUGAAGACUAUUGAUUUCAAAUGGGACUUAUUGGAAAGAAUUAAACGCAACUCUAAAGAUUGGGGUUCCGACGAUGGUAAGGAGUCAGGUAUGACACCUAAGUUCGAUUGUGUUAAAUCUUUUAUGGAUACCGAUGCUUUCCAUGGAUUUAGCUCUCAGUAUGGACUUGACUCUGAGAUAGUAGCUCCUUUUUGUGAAACUUUUGCUACUCACGUUGAUCUCCAUAAAGAGAAGUGGUUUAAAUAUAAUCCUCCUGUUGAAGUGAAGGUAGUUGAACCUAUUACAGUCGAAGAAAAGACUAUUACAUAUAGUGAUCCUAUUAUUCCUACUGCUUAAGUCAAAAAACCUCCUUUUCAUGUUAGGAUAAAAGAUCAUGUUAAAGCUUCGACUGUUGUUCUUAAGAGUAAUACUAGGACUUAUACACCUCCUGAGGAAAUUAAUGUUGAACCUGGUAUUGCUAUGAUUAAAGAUCUCUUGGAUGAGGACUUAGAUGGGCAUUUUAUCUCUUUCUUGGGUGAAACUGCUAAUAUUGCUAGGCCCGAUACUAAGACACGUCGGCCUGUUGUAGGCACGCCUGUUAUUUUUGUUAAAAUAGGAGAUCAUUGUUAUCAUGGCUUAUGUGAUAUGGGUGCUAGUGCUAAUGCGAUACCUUAUGAUCUUUAUAAAGAAAUUAUGCACGAUAUUGCACGUGUUGAAUUAGAAGACAUUGAUGUUACUAUUAAGCUUGCUAAUAGGGACACCAUUAAACCUAUUGGGAUUGUUAGAGAUGUUGAAGUCUUGUGUGGGAAGAUUAAAUACCCUGCUGAUUUUCUUGUUCUUAGUUCCCCACAAGAUGAUUUUUGUCCCAUUAUUUUUGGUAGACCCUUCUUGAAUACUGCUACUGCUAAGAUUAAUUGUGAAAAGAAUAUUGUCACUGUUGGCAUAGAUGGUAUGUCUCAUGAUUUUAAUUUCGCUAAGUUUGGUAGACAACCUUGUGAAAGGGAACCACCUAGUAAGGAUGAAAUUAUUGGUCUUGCUUCCAUUGUUGUUCCUCCAAUUGAUCCAUUAGAACAAUAUUUUUUAGACCAUGAAAACGAUAUGUUUAUGAAGGAAAGGGAAGAAAUAGAUGAUGUGUUCCUUAAACAGGAACCUAUGCUGAAACAUAACCUUCCGUUGAAAUUCUUGGGGAUCCCCCUCCACCCAAGGGUGAUCCCGUGUUUGAACUCAAACCAUUACCUGAUAAUCUUAAGUAUGCUUAUCUUGAUGAAAAAGAAAUAUAUCCUGUUAUUAUUAGUGCUAACCUUUCAGAGAAAGAAGAAGAAAGAUUAUUGAAAACUCUGAAGAAGCACUGAGCAGCUAUUGGAUAUACUCUGGAUGAUCUUAAGGGCGUUAGUCCCACGUCAUGUCAACACAAAAUUACAUUGGAGGACGAUGUCAAACCAGUUAGAGAUCCCCAAAGACGAUUAAAUCCCAAGAUGAAGGAAGUGGUAAGAAAGGAGAUACUAAAGCUCCUUGAGACAGGUAUUUUUUAUCCCGUUGCUGAUAGUGAAUGGGUAAGCCCUGUCCAUUGUGUCCCUAAAAAGGGAGGUAUUACCGUUGUUCCUAAUGAUAAACAUGAAUUGAUCCCGCAAAGAAUUAUUACAGGCUAUAGGAUGGUAAUUGAUUUCCGUAAGUUAAAUAAAGCUACUAAGAAAGAUCAUUACCCUUUACCUCUUAUUGAUCAAAUGCUAGUAAGGCUAUCCAAACACACACAUUUUUGCUUUCUAGAUGGUUAUUCUGGCUGCUCUCAAAUACCUGUGUCCGCGAACGAUCAAUCUAAAAUUACUUUUACUUGCCCUUUUGGUACUUUUGCUUAUAGACGUAUGCCUUUUGGUUUAUGUAAUGCACCUGCUACCUUUCAAAGAUGCAUGAUGGCUAUAUUUUCUGAUUUUUGUGAAAAGAUUUGUGAGGUAUUCAUGGAUGACAUCUCCGUCUAUGGAUCCUCUAUUGAUGAUUGUUUGAGCAACCUUGAUCGAGUUUUGCAGAGAUGCGAAGACACUAGUCUCGUCCUGAAUUGGGAAAAGUGUCACUUUAUGGUUAAUGAAGGCAUUGUCUUGGGGCACAAGAUCUCCGAGAGAUGUAUUGAAGUUGAUAAAGCCAAAGUUGAUGCUAUUGAAAAGAUGCCAUGUCCCAAGGACAUAAAAGCUAUAAGAAGUUUCCUCGGUCAUGUCAGCUUUUAUAGGAGGUUCAUUAAGGACUUUUCUAAAAUCUCUAGGCCUCUGAUUAAUUUAUUGCAAAAAGAUAUUCCGUUUUUCUUUGAUGAUGAUUGUGUAGAAGCAUUUGAAACACUUAAGAAAGCCUUGAUCACUGCACCUAUUGUUUAGCCACCUAAUUGGAAUUUACCUUUUUAAAUUAUGUGCGAUGCUAGUGAUUAUGCUGUAGGUGCUGUUUUAGGACAAAGGGUCGAUAAGAAAUUGAAUGUUAUCCAGUAUGCUAGUAAGACUCUUGAUACUGCCCAGAGAAAUUAUGCUACUACUGAAAAAGAGUUAUUAGCAGUUGUGUUUGCAUGUGAUAAGUUUAGACCUUAUAUUGUUGAUUCCAAAGUUACUAUUCACACUGAUCAUGCUGCUAUUAAAUAUCUUAUGGAAAAUAAAGAUGCUAAGCCUAGACUCAUUAGAUGGGUUCUCUUGCUCCAAGAAUUUGACUUGCAUACUAUUGAUAGAAAGGGAGCUGAGAACCCCAUUGCAGACAACUUGUCUAGGUUAGAGAAUGUUCUUGAUGACCCAUUGCCUAUUAAUGAUAGUUUUCCUGAUGAACAAUUAGCGGUUGUCAAUGCUUCUCGUACUGCUCCUUAGUAUGCUGAUUAUGCUAAUUACAUUGUUGCUAAAUAUAUACCGCCUAGUUUCACAUACCAGCAAAAGAAAAAUUCUUUUAUGAUUUAAGACGUAACUUCUGGGAUGAUCCACACCUUUAUAAAGAAGGAGUAGAUGGUAUUAUUAGACGUUGUGUGCCUGAGCAUGAACAGGAACAAAUCCUACGCAUGUGUCACUCUGAAUCUUAUGGAGGACACCACGCUGGAGAAAGAACUGCACACAAGGUACUACAAUCUGGUUUUUAUUGGCCUGCUCUUUUCAAAGAUGCUCGUAAGUUUGUCUUAUCUUGUGAUGAAUGUCAAAGAAUUGGUAACAUUAGUAGACGUCAAGAAAUGCCUAUGAAUUAUUCUCUUGUUAUUGAACCGUUUGAUGUUUGGGGCUUUGAUUAUAUGGGACCUUUUGCUGCCUCCAAUGGUUAUACAAAUAUUUUAGUUGCUAUUGAUUACGUUACUAAGUGGGUAGAAGCUAUUGCAACUAGUAGUGUUGAUCAUAACACUUCUAUUAAAAUGCUUAAACAAGUUAUUUUUCCGAGGUUUGGAGUCCCUAGAUAUCUUAUGACUGAUGGUGGUUCACACUUUAUUCAUGGUGCUUUCCGUAAGAUGCUUGCUAAAUAUGAUGUCAAUCAUAGAGCCGCAUCUCCUUAUCACCUGCAGUCUAGUGGUCAAGUAGAGUUGAGCAAUAAUAGAGAGCUCAAAUUAAUUUUGCAAAAGACUGUGAAUAGAUCUAGAAAGAAUUGGUCCAAAAAAUUUGAUGAUGCAUUAUGGGCCUAUAGAACUGCAUACAAAAGUCCUAUGGGUAUGUCUCCAUAUAAGAUGGUUUAAGGAAAAGCAUGUAAUUUACCUCUUGAACUUGAACAUAAAGCAUAUUGGGCUAUUAAAGAGCUCAAUUAUGACUUCAAACUUGCCGGUGAGAAGAGGUUGUUUGAUAUUAGCUCACUUGAUGAAUGGAGAACCCAAGCAUAUGAGAAUGCCAAGCUUUUCAAAGAAAAAGUCAAACACUGGCAUGAUAAGAGGAUACAAAAGCGUGACUUUAACGUAGGAGAUUAUGUGUUAUUAUUCAACUCUCGUUUAAGAUUUUUUGCAGGAAAACUUCUCUCAAAAUGGGAAGGUCCCUACGUUAUCGAGGAGGUCUAUCGUCCUGGUGCUAUAAAAAUCAACAACUUCGAAGGCACAAAUCCGAGGGUGGUUAAUGGUCAAAGAAUUAAACAUUAUAUUUCGGGUAAUCCUAUCAAUGUUGAAACUAAUAUUAUUGAAACCAUAACCCCCGAGGAAUACAUAAGAGACACUUUCCAGAACGUUCCAGACCCCGAAAAGGCAUAGGUACAUGGUACGGUAAGUAAACUGACUCCAAAACAACUCUAAUGGCAAUUUUUAUCAGUUUUGGAUUAUUUAAGAAUUUUAGGAAGAAAGAAGUAGUCCGAAAGGGACACGAGGCUCCCACGAGAGAGGAGGCUGCGCGCCACUUUGUAGGGCGCGCCCCCUGUCUCAUGGGCACCUCGUGUGCCUCCCGGACUCCAUUUUCUUGUAUGUUACGUAUUUUGGUCGGUAAAAAUUCAUUAUAUAUACUCCCGAAGGUUUUGACCACCGUAUCACGCAAAUAUCCUCUGUUUUCAUUUCGAGCUGUUUCCGUUGCAGAUUUAGAGCACCAUGACUUCUCCAUCCUCCAACAACGAAGACAAGGAUGCUUGGCUAUUGAAGAUAGAGUUGAAAAGAGAGGAACCAGAAGAGAUCAACAAGGAUGAAGGUAACAAUAAGGCCAUGGCGGUUCAAGCUCCGGUGGUAAAAAAGAAGACAUCCCUCAACCUUUACCUAACCUUUUCACUCCAACAGAGAUUGAAGCUUUCAAGAUGAUUGAGUUAGCCCGCAUACAGAACAAGUAUCUCACACAGGAGAAUAUUUUGUUGAAGGAUGAUAUUGUUGGGCUCAAGGGCAUUAUCCGCAAGUUGGAGGAGCUUUUACGCUCGAUGUGCGAUUAUCCACCGUCAUCAUCACCACCUCCAUCUCCUCCGAGGAAAUAAUCACAUGGGUAUGGGCACUCCCCUUGGCAACUGCCAAGCUUGGGGAGGUGCCCCGAUAUCGUAUCACCAUCACACUCCUAUCUUUACCGCUUUAUUUAGUUUGAUCCUUUUAGUAGUAUCUUGAUCUAGUAGAUUGAAGUUUUGAUAUCAAGUAGUUUUGAGUUUUGCAUUGUGAUCUCUUUAUGUAAGCGAGUCUGUGUGCUAUCUAUAAUAAAGGUUAGUGUUGAGUCAAGGGCUUUGCUAUCUUGCUAUGAUCUUAAGAAAGUAGAAAGAACAAAAGAGUUCAUAUUGAUCUUAUGGAUAGUGAUAACUUCACACAUAGAAAGUAUGAGGCAUAAAAAUUGUUGAGAGUUGAUGAACGUAGCCUUGGUCAUCGUUGCAAUUAAUAGGAAGUGAUAAGGAAAGAGGGGUUCACAUAUAGAUAUAUUAUCUUGGACAUCUUUUAUGAUUGUGAAUCACUCAUUAAGUAUGACAUGCUAAAAGAGUUGAUGUUGGACAAGGAAGACAACGUAAUGGUUUAUGUUUUCCGACAUCUCAGUUAAAGUAUAUUGUCAUUGACCUUCCAAACAUGUUGAGCUAGCCUUUCCCCCUCUUGCUGGCCAAAUUCCUUGCACCAAGUAGACAUACUACUUGUGCUUCCAAAUAUCCUCAAACCCAGUUCUGCCAUGAGAGUCCACCAUACCUACCUAUGGAUUGAGUAAGAUCCUUCAAAUAAGUUGUCAUCGGUGCAAGCAAUAAAAAUUGCUCUCUAAAUAUGUAUGACUUAUUAGUGCAGAGAAAAUAAGCUUUGUAUAAACUUGUUGUGGAGGUAAUAAAAGCGACGGAUUGCAUAAUAAAGGUCCACAUACAAGGGGAAAUAUAAAGUGACGUUCUUUUGCAUUAAGAUUUCAUGCAUCAACCCUAAACGCGCAUGACAACCUCUGCUUCCCUCUCCGAAGGCCCUAUCUUCUACUUUAUGUUUUCACUUUAUGUUUGAGUCAAGGUGAUCCUCACCUUUCCCCUUUUUCAUCUUAUCCUUUGGCAAGCUCCUCGUCUUUGAAAGAUCAUGAUACAUAUAUCCAAUUGGAUGUAAGUUGGCAUAGGCUAUUAUUGUUGACAUCACCUAAAGGUGAAUACGUUGGGCGGCAACACAAUAAGCCCCUAUCGUUCUUAGUGUCCGGCUGAAACUAUAUAACCACGAGUAUUGAGUGAGUGUUAGCAAUUAUGGGAGACUACGAGAUAGUUGAGUAUGUGAGCUUGUUGAAAAGCUCUAUUAUUGACUCUUUCUGAUGUUAUGAGAAAUUGCAAUUGCUUCAAUGACUGAGAUUAUAGUUUGUUAGUUCCCAAUGAAGUUUAUGAACCAUACUUGACAUUGUGAAUUGCUUAUUACUUUAGCAUAGGAGAUCAUAUGACAAAAUCUAUUUAUGUUACUGUUAUUAGAAUGAUCAUGAUGCCCUCAUGUCCGUAUUUUAUUUUUAUCGACACCUCUAUCUCUAAGCAUGUGGACAUAUUUUUCGAUUUCGGCUUCCGCUUGAGGACAAGCGAGGUCUAAGCUUGGGGGAGUUCAUACAUCCAUUUUGCAUCAUGCUUUUAUAUCAAUAUUUAUUGCAUUAUGGGCUGUCAUUACACAUUAUAUCUCAAUACUUAUGGCUAUUCUCUCUUAUUUUACAAGGUUUUACCAUGAAGAGGGGGAAUGCCGGCAGCUGGAAUUCUGGCUAGAAAAGGAGCAAACGUUGGAAACCAAUUCUGCACAACUCCAAAAGUCCUGAAACUCCACAAAACAACUUUUCAGAUUUAUUAAGAAUUUAUGAGCGAAAGAAAUAGGCCAGGGGGGUGCCCCCCUGUAGGGCGCGGCCCCCUAUCUCCUGGGCCCCCUAGUGGGCCUCCGGCGUCCAUCUUCUGUUAUAUCAUCACUUUUACCCUGGAAAAAAUCGGGGGCAAGCUUACGGGACUAAACUCCGCCGCCAUGAGGCGGAACCUUGGCGGAAUCAAUCCAGGGCUCUGGCGGAGCUGUUCUGCCGGGGACACUUCCCUUUGGGAGGGGAAAAUCAUCACCAACGUCAUCACCAACGAUCCUCUCAUAGAGAGGGGGUCAGUCUCCAUCAACAUUUUCACCAGCACCAUCUCCUCUCAAAACCCUAGUUCAUCUCUUGUAUCAAAUCUUGCAUCAAAACCACAAAUUGCUACUUGUGGGUUGCUAGUAGUGUUGAUUACUCCUUGUAGUUGAUGCUAAUUGGUUUACUUGGUGGAAGAUCAUAUGUUCAGAUCCUUUAUGCAUAUUAUUACUCCUCUGAUUAUGAACAUGAAUAUGCUUUGUGAGUAGUUACGUUUGUUCCUGAGGACAUGGGUGAAAUCUUGCUAUUAGUAGUCAUGUGAAUUUGGCAUUCAUUCGAUAUUUUGAUGAGAUGUAUGUUGUCUUUCCUCUAGUGGUGUUAUGUGAACGUCGACUACAUGACACUUCACCAUUAUUUGGGCCUAGAGGAAGGCAUAGGGAAGUAAUAAGUAGAUGAUGGAUUGCUAGAGUGACAGAAGCUUAAACCCUAGUUUAUGCGUUGCUUCAUUAGGGGUUGAUAUGGACCCAUAUGUUUAAUGUUGUGGUUAGGUUUACCUUAAUACUCUUUUUUUAGUUGCGGAUGCUUGCAAUAGGGGUUAAUCAUAAGUGGGAUGCUUGUCCAUAUUAGGGCAGUACCCAAGUGCCGGUCCACCCACAUAUCAAAUUAUCAAAGUACCGAACGUGAAUCUUACGAACGUGAUGAAAACUAGCUUGACAAUAAUUCCCAAUGUGUCCUCGGGAGCUCCUUCCUCAUUAUUAGAAUUUGUCCAGGCUUAUCCUUUGCUACAUAAAGGAUUGGGCCACCUUGAUGCACUUUAUUUACUUUAUUUACUUUUUGCUCGUUACUAUUUAUCUUAUCACAAAACUAUCUAUCACCUAUUAUUUCAGUGCUUGCAGAGAAAACCUUACUGAAAACCGCUUAUCAUUUCCUUCUGCUCCUCGUUGGGUUCGACACUCUUACUUAUCGAAAGGACUACGAUAGAUCCCCUACACUUGUGGGUCAUCAUGUCUUCGGUGCCGUAAUCGAGCAUGUCGGUUAAGUCUUCGAAAGUGGCUAUGAAGUGGGCGGUGGGUGGGAAGCGGAAUUCUCCACCCUCAGCUUCCAAUUCGAAAUGGAUAUAUUUCGGCUGAGAGUUCCCCAACAAGGAGAGGGCUCUUAUUGAGUUUAGCACAUCGCGGAAAGGUGAGUGCCGGACGAUGUCCACGGAGCUAAACUCAAAGAUCGGCGCCUGAUCAGGUUCGAUGGGCGCGGAUGUACGCAGUUGGGAACUUAUGACCGGAGACGAUUCUGAAAUUCCGGUAACACAGGUUCCGCUCGAGGUCGGAUCUGUGUGCGUCUCUAACGCCGAUGAGUCAGGGGCUUCCGUGGCGGGGUUGAGCUUCCCGUCCUCGGACGAUGCAGUCUGCUCCAGACCUGGGAGCAGAGCAGUUACAGGAGCUAUCUCCUGGGCAUGAUCCGAUGACAGAUUUAGGUCAUGUUCAUCGUUGAGGUGGGGAGCGGCUGUCAUGGGCUCGAAUCCGUCGAAGAUCAAGUCUCCGCGGAUAUCGGUGACAUAAUUCAAGCUUCCGAACCUAGCCUGAUGGCCAGGGGCGUAGCUAUCGAUCUGCUCUAGAUGGCCAAGCAAGUUGGCCCGUAGUGCGAAACCGCCGAAUACGAAGAUCUGUCUGGGGAGGAAAACCUCACCCAGGACUGCAUUGUUGUAGAUGAUUGAUGGAGCCAUCAAGACCUUCUCGUGAUGACGCAGCGGAACUCUCAAUGAAAGCACCAAUAUCGGUGUCAAAACCGGCGGGUCUUGGGUAGGGGGUCCCGAACUGUGCGUUUAAGGUUGAUGGUAACAGGAGGUGGGGACACCAUGUUUGCCCAGGCUUGGACCAUCUCUAUGGAGAUAAUACCCUACUUCCUGCUUGAUUGAUCUUGAUAAAUAUGAGUAUUACAAGAGUAGAUCUACCACGAGAUCGUAAUGACUAAACCCUAGAAGUCUAGCCUGUAUGAUUAUGAUUGUGUAUAUGCCUCUAUGAACUAAGCCCUCCUGUUUAUAUAGACACUGGAGGGGACUAGGGUUGUACCACUACAAGAAAUCUCCUAAUACAUGACGGACCUUGUCCGUCACAAAUCAAUGGAAAACUGUCAUGGGUAACCUUUCAUGACGAACUUGCAACCCGUCAUGUAUAUCGCGUCAUAAUUUGACAUCGCACCUUACAUGACGGUACUUGUCCGUCAUGGAUCUGCCCCAAGCCCGCCCUGGCACAAUUCAUUGUGACGGAACAAACCGUCACCGAUUAACGCCACGUAGGAUUUUUUAUUGACCAAUUUGAAUGACCUGGCUGCCUACGUGGAUACAUUUUCCGCCACAAAAUUCGUCAUGGUUGAGCACAUUAACCCAUAUCAUUUGGCCCACUUUUUACAUGAUACAUUUUUAGCAUAAUGCGUUACACAAAUUCCAGUGCCAAUUUUGGCCGAAGAAGAAGUAUUUGCAAAUUGUAUAACAUUACACUGAUCAACCAAUAUGCACCCAUCUAUAUAUAUGUAAAACGUAGCAGUUAACAAAAUCAUCUACAAAAAUGAUAACUUACAAUAUAGAUUGAAAACAAAAUCACACAUCAGGGUUAUGAAUGAGUACAAUUCAUUUUAUAUCAAUGUAACAUACAAACUAUAGAGGUCAUUAUUUAGGUUCUUGCUAUCGGCCCUCCUGAUGGCAACCAUCAUAUCGUGGCUGAUUGUGAUGUGCAGAAACAAGUAGCCAGCUUCCCAAUCUUACCUGCAUGUUUAUAAGAACCUUAGAUUUUUUUUAGGGAUAUGACUAGAUACUAGAAAUAAUAUAAUUGCAAAAAUAUAAAAAUGAAUUACAUGUCCAACAUUCUUAAAUCUUAUAGUUCCUACAAAUGAGAACAACAUUGUAUCCACUAUAAAACAAGAGUAAACAUGAGGUUUCUUAAAAUUAAUCCAAAGAAAAGUGUGCGAAGUAACAAAACACACAUCACAUCUAUAUCUAUCUAUCUAUCUAUCUAUCUAUCUAUACCUAUACUAAUUUGUGACUCCCUAGAAAUUACCAUGUUAAUCAGUAAUUAGGAGCCGUUAAUCUGGUGGGACCAAAUUAUUAUGGUGUAGAUCUCUCUUCAAUCUCUCCCAAAAAGAAAAAAAAUCUCAUGGUUAUCUCCCCCACGAUUGAAAUCUCUUAGGUGUAAAAAAACUCACGUACCUAUCUCUCUCCCACAACCAAAUCUAUCUAUCUAUUCUAUACCUAGGCUAACAAAAAAAAGAAUGCUAACUAACCACGUAAUAGUCUUGCGAGACCGUCUCUCCUGAUUAUGUGCUCGACCUAUACGCGGCGACGUACCACAAAGCCCGCCGCCGCCGCCGCCGCCGCCGCCAGUGCCAUCCAUCGUCCGCAGGCACAACCCCAUUGCCGGCAGCAUAAGAUGUGUUGCAGCCAAGAAGUAGAUUCCAUCGCACAGGAGAAGGUCAGAUUCAUAUCCAUAGCAUAAACAUCAUCACGUUAUGGAUGCACAUGCAUAUGUGAAUAGUGGCGUCAAUUGGGCGUAUUUUGUACAUGUACAUGUCCAAGUAGUAGUCUAAGUCUGUAAUCAAUGCAGUGAUUCUGCGUGCGUGUAUUGUGUGUGCAUCUUGCUAGAAUCAAGCACUCUAUGUUAGCUAGCUAGCAACCUUUACGUUGAUGCAUCCUUCUUCGAUUAAUACAGAUUUUAUCACAGAGGAACUGUCGCCGUCGACGUCGUCAUCGGGCCUUGCCGGGAGUAUCAACAGGUUUGCGCUGGUCCAUGUCUCUGGGCAUCAGGAGCUUCACAUAAGUGCUAAUUCCGUGACUGGGAUUUUCAAUAACUUUUAUACAUUAUCUGUAGUUGCACUAUGAUAAAAUUUAGAUUGCUUUACUAAUGUUCAAGCAUGCAAAAUAAUGCUUAGUUUAAUACACCGGCAUGUGGUUGUCAUUAUUUCUGAACUUAUUCCCUGCAGAGACUGUAGCAACAGAUCAAUAGCCUGCAUGUUACUACUUCGAUUCUGUUGUUUCCUAGAGACAAUAGCUAUGUAACCUAGCCGUCCUCUCUAACCUCAUCUAGGAAUUUGGUUUAUUAGAGUUCAACCAUGUCUUUCAAAAAUCAUACUUAAACAUAUUCCUUUUAUUUAUCACACUGUUUAUAGGUAAUGUGGUCAUCCCUUUGUAGUUCAAUUUGGAAGACAGUCACAGAACAUUAUUAGCUGGCAAUAGCAGCACUGUUUUAUGUCCGGCCAGGACAUCAAUAUGGCUGCUGCGAGCAGGCCGGUAGAGACCCAGAACAACAGUUUCGGGACUCCACCUCCAAUCAUCGUCAUGUGGUAUCUUGAGGUGCCCAAGUGUUAGGCCGUGGUGCAGCAGCUGGCGACGGCGUGUCUGGACGCCAUGGGCAGACAGUAUAGAUGUAUGUUUUUCUCACUUUAGCUGGUUUAUGAUGAAAUUGGGGAUCAUGUAUCCUAUGCAUGCAUGAUAACUACGUACAGUUUUUAUGUACAGAUGGUGUGUUGCACUGCUAUUUUGUUGAAAAGACAUUAUCCAUCAGUCCUUUUAUUUCUUAGUUUCUUUCCCUUCUAAUAAUUGAUUUGGUUGGUUUCUAGACUAAAGUAUUUGAAGGCAUGAAUAAUUGGUUAGAAGUAUAGUAUGUCUUGCGAUCUAAGUUUCCAAUUGUAUGUCAGAUCAACAUUCUGUAGGUGGCCGAUUGCUAUGUCUGCACGUAAACAUGCUAAAUUAUACAUGUUAUCUUCCAGUGAAGAGACGAUAAAAAUAGAGGAAUUUAAAUCUACGGACACUAGCAACUUCCAGUUUUAUAUAUGAGCACAUGGAGCUCUUUCAGAUCAAUCUGCAAUAUUUAUUGUUCUGCUAUGUCUAAAAGUAUAUCGAAAUUUUGUCCCCCUCUGUUCUUUAAAGAGCAUAUUGUGCUAGGCAUUAAUUUGAACAAGCCUGUGAUUGGGAAUUUUACGUUACUCAUAUUUUCUAAAUGCCUACAGUUUUGUCCUAUAAUUUGUACUGCAUAUAAUUAACUUAGGCUUGAGCAGCAGUUUUUCCAUAUUUACAAUUUAAUUAGGUGUAUGCAAAAAUAUGACAUGAUGUUAUUAAGGCAUAGGAAACACAUGGAGGACAUAUUUGUGAUAAGAAAAAUCAAACUUAUCUACCUAUACAUUUAUUAUUUUGUUUUCAUUAUCUUCCUUAAAAAUAUACUAAUAAGACCAUAUCAAGUGCAAACAUUUUUCUCACAGCCUUCUUUUAGACAAAAAAUUCAACAAAAUAAUACCAAUCAAAUCCCUCUUUAAAUAUGAGAAAUCCUGACUUUUUUCCUCACAUGUAAAUGUUUAUGCUAUCAUUUAAAUAUGGAAUACAUUUAUUUGCACGUUACACAAACAAUACUAAUGUGUGGGUCAUAAUUAUGAGACAAUAAAUGAAAUACGCACUCAUUUGUAUUUUUGUUAACAUACACACAAAAAUAUUAACUAUAAAGUUUUAUUAUUUCAGCCAACUACAUUAAUAUAUUUUUCUGAAACUUAGCAUGUAAACAUCUACAUUUGCAGUUUACAUGCAAUAUCAUGACAUUUGUUGCCAUUUAUGUUUAUACAGUGAAUUUUGCAAGCACGCGAGAUUUUGACUCACCUUUUUAUGAGAGGAAACGAUAGUAACUUUUCGUAAUGAAAACUUAUUUUCCCUUUUUCAGAGUAUAAGGUAUGUUACAAAGAAUAAGUUUGAGUUCUAGGAAAGGGAGAGAAAUAUUGUUUUUGCCACUUUCGUAGUAACAUGCAUUCAUGUAUACGAUAUUUCCUUCCAUUAAAAUUGUCACGAGGAAUAAAAGCAGAGAUGAGUCAUGUACUAUACUCUACAUGUGUGUAUUCCUUCCACAUAUAUUAAUUUAAAUAUUUAAUGAAGCUUCACACUUUACUGCAGCAUCAACAACUUACAUCACAAAAUAUUUUUAUGCUUGCUAUAGGUUUGGUAGUUGGCACUGGAUCAUUGAUCAUGACUUCAUUGCACCAAGGCGUAAUUCUUCACCUCAUAUUUAUAUAUUAAAUUAUAUACUCUAUGAAUUACGUGAGCUAUAAUUUAUUUUGGAGAGUAAUUUUGAAAGUUAUAUUUACAUUCCUCUUUUAUCCCCCCUUCAUGUACAAGUACCUAACUUCUAAAAAAUAUUGCAUGCAGCAAAAUGUUAAUAGAAGUACAAUGUAUAUACGUCUACCUAAAAUAGGCUAGCCCGCGCGCAUGCACGGGUUGACGACUAGUAACUAAUAAUAUAGCAGGAGUAGUUGAGCCAUAUAAAAAUGUCAACAAAAUUUGGUAUAAUCAUUUCGUACCAGAAGUGCAAACAUAACGCCUACUAAUGAUGCCUACACUCAAGAUACCUAUGCUCAUUAUUAAACGAACAAAUGAAAAUGAACAAUUUUAUCUUACAGUCAAUGCACUAACGCUCACUGAAUGAUAAAAGCUACGAAGAAGACCAUUUACCUGGUAUAGUUAAGAGUUAGCUUUUGUCAGGUUUAUAAGAUUACCAAAUGUUGGGCACCGUAUAUAAUUAGGAGGAAGAAUCUUCAAGCACUACACAUAUCUAACUCUGCACCAGUUUCUACUGUAAAUAAAUAAAACAGAGUAAAGGGUGGGAAAAGUUUAUGUCUACAACUUGUCUAGAUGGAGGCAUUUAGUACGUAACAUCCUCAACAUGGUGACAUGUACUAGGAACAAGAAAUUCAUCAUUGUGAUAUAUAUUAAAUUGAGCAAAAAUCUGGAGCUACUUGUACGCAUCAAUUAUAUAAGCUGAUAAAGUAAAAGGACAACAGCUACUUGUAGUUAUGCAUAUAAAAAAUAAUACCAACGAUUUGUAUAAGCAGCUUGGCAUUAACCCAGGAACAAUCAAGAGUGAGUUGUACCAGAUUUUGAUGUUAACAAUAACCAAGAAAUCAGGGGGCGACUGUUUGGUUUGUGCCCCAACUUGCCCUGCCUAAAUUCUGGCAUAACCAAAGCAAGGGCAAAAAAUUUGUGUGCUAGUGUUGUUUGGAUUAUAGCCAUAGCAUCUAUCAAUUUUUGGGCAAAAUGGCUGGGUCUCUGUUUUGUUUCUAGCAAAUUAACAUGCCACAUAUCUGUAUCUGAGGUAUUUUUUCUUUUUCUUUAGCAAAUGAGCAUUUGAGGUCCUAACUUGAAAUGUUGAUAUAAGGAGCCAAUAAAUCAUGAUGACCAAAUAGAAAAAAGGGCAGAAAAAGGUUCGAUGAAGCAGCAUGCACACGUGUUUGCCGAGUGAAACACACACAUAAUAGCUGGCUGACCGGUACGAUCGAUGGAGGCAUAAGCGUAUGGGCUAGCUAAUUGAUUUUCUGGCUCAUGUAACAGCCAAGCAUAAAAUAGCUUUGGCUCAAAACCAAACACACCCCAGAAUACAUAGUCAUCAGCUAUUUUGGCUUCCCCCUUUUCUUCAAGUAGUGUUUUUCUUGCAAAGGGACAUGUCUUUCAUAACAAAACAUACAAAAAAACACGUAUAUUUGCAGAUAACAAAUGUGAUCAACCAAGCAUUCCACCAUCAUCUCGGUACAAUAGCAUGAAAAUUCAUGUGGUGUAAAUUUAUCAACUUAGAUUGUGUGGAAACUGAUAUGAUGGCUAUUUUCACCACAUAACACAUAGAAAGUUUGCACAUAAUAUAUAACAGAGAAGCAGUGUAAUAGCAGGCCUAGUUAACAAACAAUCUACUCUUGGUCAAUGGAUUCAGUGAGAUAGAUGAAUUGCUUUCCCUCCAUAAACAAGAAAAUUCGAAGGAACCAACAGGAGCAUCUCAUGGGCAUUUACUUAUAAACUAGUACUCUCUCUGUAAACUAAUAUAAGAGCGUUUAGAUCACUACUUUAGUAUUCUAAACGCUCUUAUAUUAGUUUACGGAGGGAGUAGUUGCUUAACUAACUAGCAGAUCUCACAAAUUUUACAUUGCUAGACUCGCACCGUGAGAGACGAAAAAUAAAAUAGCCAGCAGUGCUAAUCUAUCGCUGGCUGUAAUAUGCGAGUAUCAGGAAAGGAAGUGGCCACGUUUUCCGCAUCAGGUUCAGUCCAAGCAAAUUUGAGAGCCCCCGGAGAAUUAUGCUAGAGCAGAGCAGCCAUCAUUUGGAAAGAAAAGAAAAAAAAACAGAGCGAGAGGAUCGACCUUCUUGUUCUGUGGGGAAUCAUAGUGGGCAGGGCGGACGACCUUGCCGUCGAGCUCGCCCAGCUCGUCGGGCUUGAGCGUGGGGUCCCAGUCAUCGCAAUCCAUGGAACUGGAGAGGCGGAGAGCUCCUGUUCAUCUAAAUCAAAGCAAAAAAAUUGAUUGGGGAUGGAGAGAGAAUGAAAGAAAGAUGAGACGAGGGGGCAAGUAGGGAGGGACCUUGUGCAGGGUAUCAUCAAGCUCGGGCCUCCGGCAGGUCACGGUCGUCAUCCUCUGCUAGUCCGACCCUUGCUGCUCCGAAUCUGCAUAUGGCGAGCCAAAUGCGGGGCCUGGGAGUCGGAGGAGGGAGGCCCGUGGUGAGAUCCAUGGCCCUGGCAGUUGGUUUUGAGCAGCAGAGGCACGCUGCGGCGGCUAGUGUUGGCCCCCGCUCCCAUGGGGUUGCUGCAACCGCAGCCACAAUGGAUCUCGGGCCACCAUCAUCGGUUGGAGUCGGGGAAGUGGAAGCGGGGAGGUGGAGGCGGAGGACGGGGAUGAGGAGACGAGAGGUGUGGUGGCGGAGGACGGGGAUGAGGAGACGAGAGGCGUGGCGGUGAGGACAGGGACGAGCAGAGGCAACGUGUGGCGGCGGCGGAUGGAGAAAUAGACUGGGGACGGGAAAGUGUGUUAGGGUUAGGUUUUAUAUGGGGCAAAGUUUAGGGCUUUAGGCGGGCUUUUCGCGGGUUUGCGGAGCUGUACUGGGCCGUUCAUGACGGUUUUAGAACUGUCAGCGAAAAUUUGUCAUGCAUUAACAGGUUUCUUGUAGCGUACGAAGUCGGUUACAGAGGAAGGAAUCUUCAUAUCCGGUCACCAAGCUUGGUUUCCACGUCAAGAAGAGUCUCAUCCGGACACAGGACGAAGUCUUCUGUCUUGUAUCUUCAUAGCCCAUCAGUCCGGCCCACAUCAAGAGUCCGGCUGUCCGAGGACCCCUUAAUCCGGGACUCCCUCAGUCAUGAUCUCCGACAAGGAGUAGGUUGGAUCAACGUAGUGCAUAGGUUUAUUUUAGUUUGCAUGUCUUUGUAUGGAUUUAAGAAUCGGAUAGAAGAUAUCCGGAUGUAACAAGUGAAGUUUGGGGUGUGUCUGGUCAGAAUGACGCGUCCGCCGGCAUUUAAGGGGCUGGAUUUGCCAUAUGUGUCUCUAGAUGCUCUGAUCAAAUGUUGAUUUAAAAUACGAGGGGCACAAUAAACCAAGAUAGAGGAAGUAUGUGUCAGUGUGGAGUAGCAUACAGGCAUAUAUGUUUACGGAUGUGAAACACUAGCUGGACGACACUAGUAGAAAAAGGACCUUAUAUGAGACACAUUAGUGCCGGUUUGAUUUUGAGCCGGCACUAAUGUGUCCAAUAGUGUCGGUUCCAACGGCUAGCCGGCCGUUCUCAUUAGUACCGGUUCGUGGCGAACCUUUAGUACUGGUUCGUGCCACGAACCGGUACUAAAGAGAGUGGUGGCAGGGGGUUGUCAGUCUGGGGCCCCUCCAGCACCUUUAAUACCGGUUCGUGGCACGAACCGGUACUAAAGGUCGACCUACAUAAACCCUUCGUCCACCCGAGCCACUCUGUUCUUCCCCUUUCCCCUCACUUCCUCUAUUCUUCCCCUCUCUUCCUCGAGCUCCUCACAAAUUUUGCCCAAAAUUUUUCAAGAUUUGAAGGCCCCCAUCCAUUCAAAUGAUCACAAAGGUUAGCAACUUUGUCCUUUCAACUCUCAUUGCUAGAUUAGCUCUUGCAAUGCUUUGUAUAGUGAUUAAUUUUGGGAGGAAUUAUAUUAGCUAGUAUUUGAUUUAUAUGCAAUUUGAGGUCAAAAAUAACACUUAGUUUGCAUAUGUAGGUGUGGUUUACUUAGUGCCUUCUAAAUCUCCGUCGUAAGCACCGUCGAUCGCCGGCACCGUCCCGUCGCCGGCACCACCUUGUGGUGAGGCUCUUGUUCAUGAAUGUUUUACAUUACCAAAUUGAUGUUUGUGUGAUUUGGAUAUAUAGUUACUCGUAUAAUUAUCUUAUCCAUACGUUGUUUGUUAUACAUAGUGCCAUGGUUUUGAUAUCCGUCCCCGUCGGCCCUCGUCCUUGUUAUGAUUCAGAUGUGGUAUAUUCUGAUUUAAAACUAGUUGUUGCAUUUCGUGUUUAUGACAAAUUAUGCCCAUCAAGUUGACAUAGAUAUUUUUAUCUAGGAGGUAUGUGAACCGAAAAUUCCAACCGAGCCUAUUGUCGAGAGGUUAAAUUUAGUUGAAAGAGAAAACGAGUAUUUGAAAGAAAAAUUGAAAAGAAUUGAGGGGGAGAAGAUGAAAUUGGAGUUGCAUGUUGCCGAUGUCGUCGAUGAUCACAAGAUCAAGAUGGAGAAAAUGAGGUUGAAUAUUAGAAAGAUUAGAAAAUAUGCCAUUGAUAGUGUGGCUUGGUAUCAUUAUGCUGUUGGAUCAAUUGUUACCUUACUUGCGAUCUUCAUCGCAUUUGUUGUUGCAUUUAAAUUCUUUAGCUAGAGAGUUAUUUGUAUGUUGCAUUUAAUUAAGUGUUGUAUAUGAACUUUAUGUAUGAACUUGUAUUAAUUUGGUCUAUUCGGUGUUGUGUAAUGAAGAUGAGCCGACAAUGGAUGUAUGAUGACAGAUGCUCUCCCGAGUUCAUUAAUGGCGUGCAUACUUUUCUGCUUGCCGCUGAGGCAAACAAGUGGGCGGAUGGUUUUAUGCCUUGUCCAUGUGCUGGCUGUAAGAAUGGUCACAGUUACUCUACAUCAAGAACCAUUCACGUCCACCUAUAUGAGUACGGUUUCAUGCCCCACUAUAAUGUUUGGACCAAGCACGGAGAAAUAGGGGUUAUGAUGGAAGACAAUGAAGCAGAAGAGGACGACGACGGCUAUCCUGGCCAUGGGUUCCCUGAAUACGAUGAUACAACAAUGGGGGAAGAAGCUGAGCCGACAAUGCAGAAAGAAGCUGAAGAAGAGGCAUCAGAUGAGCCCGCUGAUGAUCUAGGUCGGGCCAUUGCCGAUGCAAAGAGAAACUGCACAAGUGAUCUAGAGAGGACGAAGUUGUAGCGCAUGUUAGAGGAUCACAAGAAAUUAUUGUACCCGAAUUGCGAAGCUGACAAAAAAAAGUUGGGCACCACACUUGAAUUGCUGCAAUGGAAGGCAGAGAAUGGUGUAUCUGACAAGGGAUUUGGAAAGUUGCUGGUAAUGAUAAAGAAUAUGCUUCCAAAGGACAACAAAUUGCCCGAGAGUACGUAUGAAGCAAAGAAGGUUGUCUGCCCUCUAGGGUUAGAGGUGCAAAAGAUACAUGCAUGCCCUAAUGUCCUCUACCCCGGUGAGUAUGAGGAUUUGAAUGCUUGCCCAGUAUGCGGUGCAUUGCAUUAUAAGAUCAGUCGCGAUGACCCUGGUGAUGUCGAGGGUGAGCGCCCCAGGAAGAAGAUUCCUACCAAGGUGAUGUGGUAUGCUCCUAUAAUACCAUGGUUGAAACGUUUGUUCCAAAACAAAGAGCAUGCGAAGGCGAUGCGGUGGCACGCACAAGACCGUAAGAAAGACGGAAAGUUGAGUGUACCCGCUGACGGUUUGCAGUGGAGAAAAAUCGAGACAAAGUACUGGGAGGAGUUUGCAGGUGACCCAAGGAACGUAUGGUUUGGUCUAAGCGCAGAUGGCAUUAAUCCUUUUGGCGAGCGGAGCAGCAACCAUAGCAUGUGGCCUGUGACUCUAUGUUUGUAUAACCUUCCUCCUUGGUUGUGCAUGAAGCGGAAGUUCAUUAUGAUGCCAGUGCUCAUCCAAGGCCCUAAGCAACCCGGCAACGACAUUGAUGUGUACCUAAGGCCAUUAGUUGAAGAAUUCUUACAACUGUGGAAUGGAACAGGUGUACGUGCGUGGGAUGAGCACAUGAGGGCAGAAUUUGACCUAAAGGCGUUGCUGUUCGUGACCAUCAAUGAUUGGCCUGCUCUCAGUAACCUUUCAGGACAGACAAACAAGGGAUACCGUGGAUGCACGCACUGUUUGGAUGAUACCGACAGUAUAUAUUUGAGUAGUUGUAAGAAGAAUGUGUACUUGGGACAUCGUCGAUUUCUUCCGAGCAGGCAUCCCGUAAGAAAGAAAGGCAAGCAUUUCAAAGGUGAGGCGGAUCACCGGACGAAGCCUCGCCACCGUACUGGUGCUGAUGUACAUGACAUGGUCAAGGAUUUGAAGGUAAUCUUUGGAAAGGGUCCUGGCGGACAACCAGUUCCGAAGGACGCUGACGGACGCGCACCCAUGUGGAAGAAGAAAUCUAUAUUUUGGGACCUGCCAUAUUGGAAAGACCUAGAGGUCCGCUCCGCAAUCGACGUGAUGCACGUGACGAAGAAUCUUUGCGUGACCCUGCUUGGCUUUUUGGGCGUGUAUGGGAAGACAAAAGAUACACCAGAGGCACGGGAGGACCAGCAACGUAUGCACGGAAAAGACGACAUACAUCAGGGUCAGGCCAGCUACGCUCUUACCAAAGAAGAGAAGGAAAUCUUCUUCCAAUGCCUGCUCAGCAUGAAGGUACCGUCUGGCUUCUCGUCGAAUAUAAAGGGAAUAAUAAAUAUGGCAAAGAAAAAGUUCCAGAACCUAAAGUCUCAUGACUGCCACGUGAUUAUAACGCAACUCCUUCCGAUUGCAUUGAGGGGGCUUCUACCGGAAAACGUUCGAUUAGCCAUUAUGAAGCUAUGUGCAUUCCUCAAUGCAAUCUCUCAGAAGGUAAUCGAUCCAGAAAUCAUACCAAGGUUACAGAAUGAUUUGGUGCAAUGUCUUGUCAGUUUCAAGUUGGUGUUCCCACCAUCCUUCUUCAACAUCAUGACACACGUCCUAGUUCACCUUUGCGAAGAGAUUAACAUUUUGGGUCCUGUAUUUCUACACAAUAUGCUCCCCUUUGAAAGGUUCAUGGGAGUCUUGAAGAAAUAUGUUCAUAACCGUGCUAGGCCAGAAGGAAGCAUCUCGAAGGGCCAUCAAAAUGAGGAGGUCAUUGAGUUUUUUAUUGACUUUAUUCCUGACCUUAAGUCAAUUGGUGUUCCUGAAUCGCGGCAUAAGGGCAGACUGGAAGGAAAAGGCACGCUAGGAGGGCAUCAAAUAAUAUGUAUGGACGGGCAUUCUCUCACUGAAGCACACUACACAGUUCUAUAGAAUUCCGCCUCUGUGGCUCCGUAUAUGGAGGAACACAAGAAUUUUCUACAGUCCAAACACCCGGAGAAGUCUGACGACUAGAUUACACGCGAACAAACAAGGACUUUCGCCGCUUGGUUGCAGAAACGUGCCCUGAAUGAUGGCGAUAUUCAAAAUGACCUGUACUCGCUGUCCCAGUUACCAUCUUCGAAUAUAAUGACUUUCAAAGGGUACCAGAUAAAUGGGAAUACAUUUUACACGAUCGCCCAAGAUAAGAAGAGCACCAACCAAAACAGUGGUGUCCGCUUUGAUGCAACAACCAACACGGGAAAGGAAACAUAUUAUGGUUACAUAGAGGACAUAUGGGAACUUAACUAUGGAUCAGGUGAUUUGAAGGUCCCUUUGUUUCGGUGCAAAUGGGUCAAAAUGACACGAGGCGGGGUAACGGAAGACCCGCAGUACGGAAUGACAACAGUGGAUCUCAACAAUCUUGCGUAUGCAGACGAACCAUUCUUCCUAGCCAAUGAUGUGGCGCAGGUUUUUUAUGUGAAAGACAUGUCUACCAGGCCGAGAAAAAGAAAAGAUAAGGAAGCGAAUGGAUCAUACGACGAGCCAAAGUGCCACAUAGUUCUUUCAGGUAAAAGGAACAUCGUGGGAGUGGAUGACAAGACAGACAUGUCAGAAGAUUAUGAAAAGUUUGAUGAAAUUGCUCCAUUCACAGUGAAUAUUGACCCGAGCAUCCAGUUAAAUGAUGAAGAUUUUCCAUGGCUACGGCGCAAAGGGACACACCAGAAGAAAAAGUUUCACACCCAAAGAUCUGGGAUGUGAUCGGCUUCACUAUCAUCACUUUCUUGUGUGUUUCACACCCAGGAGGGAAUGUCUGUAGUAGUUAGGGUAGUUAAUUAUGUGUUUUGGCAUUUGAAACGCGAAGAAACUUUAUGUGCAAACAAAUCCUUUUCAUGCAUUACUGAUUUUUUUUUCCAGCUAAAUGACCCUGAAAUUGAAAAGCAUUUGAAAUGAACUCAGAAAAGUAGAGAGGGUUACGGCAAAAACUGGAUACACUUCGUGUGCAAAAUGGACAAUCUUUUUCGAAGUAUCAGGGUUUCCGACGAAAACUGAAAUGUUACAAAGGCAUUUCAUUUUUUAAAUAACCUAAGCAUUACCAAACUGAAUAUAAUGAUAAAACACACUAAUAUUAAACAUAAAAAAAAGAAUCACUGAAAAAAAAAUUCAAAGUUAAGUUAUUCACAAACUAGUGAUUCACACAAAUUUCAAAUAAUUCAAAAUUUAAACUAUUCAAAAUUAAAAACUACCGGCACUAACAGAAAGUUUGUAAUUUUUUGUACCUAAAGCAAAAAUAUUCACAAAGAAACUCUAAAUACAGCAAAACAACUCAAAAAUAAAUAAAACAAAAAUAAAUAAAGCGGAAAAAAUUAAGAAAAUAAAAAAGCCCACCUACUGGGUCAAAGCGGCCUGCAUACGACUAGGAACACAACCUUUAGUUGGGCCCGCAAAGGCCCGCAAAGGCCUAGUAGGCCCACAGGGCAGAAGAGGACAGGUAGGCCCAGUAGGCCUGCUUAGGAGAGGAGCUCGAGAGAGCUACCGCACUGGGGCUUAUAAACCAGUGCGGUAGCCCCUCGGGUAGCGAGGUGGGACUAAACUUGCGCACCGCCUGGAGCCAGCGCACCCCUUUAGUACCGGCUCGUGGCUUCAACCGGUACUAAAGACUCCCCUCCCCCUUUAGUUCCGGUUGGAGCCACCACCCGGUACUAAAGUGGGUGCGCUUCCCGCCGCUUGGCCUGGCCAAAACAGACCUUUAGUACCAGUUGGUGACUCCAACCGGUACUAAAGGUCCAUCCUAUAUAUACAACACUUAAAAAAAUUCAGUUUCCCUCUGUUUCUUUCCUCUGUUUCCUCCCUCCGUCGCGCCGCCCUACCCCGAUCGACGCCGUCCCCGUCGACGUCGCCGCCCCCGCCCCUCGUCACCGACCCCNNNNNNNNNNNNNNNNNNNNNNNNNNNNNNNNNNNNNNNNNNNNNNNNNNNNNNNNNNNNNNNNNNNNNNNNNNNNNNNNNNNNNNNNNNNNNNNNNNNNNNNNNNNNNNNNNNNNNNNNNNNNNNNNNNNNNNNNNNNNNNNNNNNNNNNNNNNNNNNNNNNNNNNNNNNNNNNNNNNNNNNNNNNNNNNNNNNNNNNNNNNNNNNNNNNNNNNNNNNNNNNNNNNNNNNNNNNNNNNNNNNNNNNNNNNNNNNNNNNNNNNNNNNNNNNNNNNNNNNNNNNNNNNNNNNNNNNNNNNNNNNNNNNNNNNNNNNNNNNNNNNNNNNNNNNNNNNNNNNNNNNNNNNNNNNNNNNNNNNNNNNNNNNNNNNNNNNNNNNNNNNNNNNNNNNNNNNNNNNNNNNNNNNNNNNNNNNNNNNNNNNNNNNNNNNNNNNNNNNNNNNNNNNNNNNNNNNNNNNNNNNNNNNNNNNNNNNNNNNNNNNNNNNNNNNNNNNNNNNNNNNNNNNNNNNNNNNNNNNNNNNNNNNNNNNNNNNNNNNNNNNNNNNNNUAUAGAAAUGUUAGCAAUUUUUUUGUUUUUUAGUUAUAUAAAUAUUAGAAUUGUUAUAGAAAUGUUAGUUAUAUAAUCAGGGAAUUUUAGAAUUAGUUUUAGUUAGAUGAAUUAGAUUAAUGUCAAAUUGUUAGAAUUUGCAUAUAUAUAUAUAUAUAUAUAUAUAUAUAUAUAUAGAAUUUUAGUUAUCACAAUCCAAUCAUUUAAAAAAUGUUACUUUUUGCGGGCAUAUAGUAUGUGUUGUCGACGAUAUGCCCGGCCCGCAUCCUCGCCGUCGACCCAUUCGCGACGACGUCAUGCUUCAGAGGACCCAUGUCCGGGACUGGAAUCCGCCGGGCUGGCACUGGGAGGUGCUACCUGGAGGGGCGCGCCGCUUGGUGAGGAACCCGACCUCCGGUCCCGUCGUCGACCCUGAUCUUCUUAUGUGGCGUUCACGUGGGCCACAUUCGGUGCAGAGGCAGCCGGCCCCGCCGGAGGUAGUGCGUCGCCGUGUCAGGGAGGAAGAUGAGCACGUCCAUCGCUACAUGGCUGCUAUGGACGACGUCAGGUUCUCCACUACAUGGCGGGUUCUUUGGGCAGAUGACCGGAGAUAUGAUCCUGUGAUGGUUCCUUCUCUUUGGGUGUGCACCGCCCGCGCCCCAGGAACCGCGAGUGGCGCCCUAGAUUCUUCUGUAGUACUCGAUCUUUAUUAGGUACCUAGCCAGUGAUGUAUUCGAUAUAUAAUAUUCGAGAUGAUGUAUUCGAGAUUAUAUAUAUUAAGACGAUGAUGUAUUCGAGAUUAUAUAUUCGAGACGAUGUAUUCGAGAUUCAGUUUUUCCUUAUUGAUUAAUUGCAUCCAUGCAUUGUAAUUUGAAUACUAAAUUGUUUUAUAUUUCUUCUGUAUUAAUUAGUAAAGUAAAAGCUAUGGCGGACAAUACCGGCAGAGAGAGAGAAGAGGAAUUGUUCGACAUCAUACGGAGCCCUCAUAGGCUAGAUGAUCUGAAUGAUGACGGCUCCCAAUAUCUGAACAAUACCGGAGAGGGUGAUGAAAAGAUAUUCGAUCUCGACGACCGAGCUGAUGAAGUCAUGAACUAUGAUUAUGAUGACACAGACAAUGUUAGUGAUGACAUAGACAAUGCUGAUCUUCAAAUAACAAAGACUUCCGGCGAGGUAUAUAUUUAUAUAAGCAUGCAUCCUGGUGAUCAUCACAUGUUUUUUUAUUGAAGAUAUAUUAACGAAUCGAUCUUUCUUCUUUCAGCCCUCCGGAUCGAGCAAAUCUGCUUCUACAGACAGCAAGACAAAGCAAGGCCCGAGCAGAUUGUUGAAGGAUGGUGUAAAGUACCACAUCGAAUCCACCAAACUUAGUGGCGAACCCCUCACGCCUAAGAACGUUGCAGACAAGUGGACUCAUCAGUGCGGAGUUCUUGUGAAGGACAAACUCCCGAUCUCCAUUCAAGAAUGGAAAGAGCCAAAGACUAAACGUCCAGGUGUUACUUGGGUUGAUGCCAGAUACAAAGAAGACCUGGUGAAAUCUCUGAUGGAACAUUUCACCCGACCAGAUUAUUUCACUAAAGCAGAUGUGGAGAAAGUCAAGGCCGCUGCUCUUAAGAAGAUGGCAAUUGCAUUCAACACCCACAAGAAAACUGUAUGGGCUAACUACCUCGCUAAUGAAAGGAAGACUCCAGAUUUCCAGGGAACAUUAGAGAAGCAAAGAGAACACUGGGACGAUUUCGUGACCUUCAAGGAUUCAGAAUUAUCUAAGGAACGGUCGAUGAAAAACAAGUCAAAUGCCGCAAGAAAUAUGCAGUUCCAUAGGCUGGGUCCAGGUGGCUACGCGGUGGGAUUGCCAAAGUGGGAUAAGUCUGAUCAAGAGAUGGAGGGUGCAGGGGUCACUCCGAUUACUAGGAGCUGGCCCCCCAGGUGCAGAACUUGGUUCUAUGCGCAUGGGGGGCGUUGGACCCAAAGAUAGGCCUGGUUUCGAAGAAGACAAGUCUAAAAGGAGCCGAACAAAAGAUACUUGACGCAAUAGAAGAAGCUCGAGCGGGGGUGUUCACGCCCAACAGAGAGAACGACGAGCUUACGCGUGCCCUGGGAAAUCCUGAAAACCCGGGAAGAACAUGAGGCAUGGGUGUUAUUCCCUGGUAUGAGGGCUUUUCGGACUGGAAUGACGACUACAGGUCCCGUGCAAGAAAGAAGAUGGAGGAGGACAAGAAGAGGAAGCUGGAGGAGGAGCAGAGGAAGCAGGACGCAGAACGUCUUCAAGGCCUAGAAGAAAGGCACGUGGACCUGGCACUCAAAUUCCAGUAGCAGCAGCAGCAGAUCGACUCACUUAGCCAGGAAAGGGGGUCUCAACAGCGACAACAGCAAGAGGAUGAUCGUCCAUCAUUGGAUAGCACCGUCCCAUCCAUGCCGAGAAGCAGCGUUGGUUCUGCCCCGGGCGACACACUGCUGGAUACAUACCCUGUGGAUGACAUCAUAGAGAAAACUAACUGUGAGCUACACUCCAAAAUGAAGAACAUAUCCAUGAAGGUGGCGGAUGGCGUUGCUUUUCCAAUGACCCCUGAAGCAACCUACCAUUGCAUCCCGAUUGCAGAGGGCUAUGCUCGUGCCAUGGUUGAUGAAGUGGUGGACCCAUAUUCGGGGCUAACGCUUGACAUUCCUGGAGGUGAAGACGUGCGCACACUGGGACAGGCCAUACAUCGUAUCAUCCUAUGGAGAAAGGAUUGCAUCAUCUUUCAAAGUCCACCGACACCGCGUCGUCUGCCGACUCCUCGAAGUCCGCCACCGAGUCAGCAGACUCCCGCUCCUCCAAGUCCACGAAUGCACGAGACGACUCCUCCUCGAAGUCCGCCACCUCCUCCAAGUCCCCGAACGCAUGAGCUGACUCCUCCGGUUUCAAGUCCGGCACAGCGUCAUGCCACUUCUCCGGUUUCAAGUCCGGCACCGUGUCAGGCCACACGUCCUGCUUCAAGUCUGGCACAUCAUCAGGCCACUUCUCCUGGUCCAACUCCACGUCAGCCGUCUCCGCCGUCUCAGCAAUCGCAGAAGAGACAUGCCGCAGAUUUGGUGCGUAGCGGUAUGAGUCGAGGUAGUUCAGGAAGUACAGGCGGAGACAAGCGAUAUAAAUAUGGUCCAAGCCUCGCUCCUCUUCCUCAGAGGCCUUACGACAUGACCGAGGAGCAAAACGCAGCCAUAGUGCAGGCCCAAGUGGACGCCCAUUUUGGACCGAAACCGGCACCGCCGCCAAAGGAGAAAGUGCCUGAGAAAACGAUUGACCACUUCAUUCAUAUGGCUAGAGCACCAGCUCCCAAGCCUGUUGACUCGGACUAUGAGCAUCAAAUCAGGAAGCUACAUCGAGCACGGCUACGGAAGGAAGCGAGCUCGAGCUCGAGCGAACAAGCAGCUGGCAAAAAAUGCGGGAAAACCGUUCCCCAGCUGGGAGAACAGGCGGCGCAAGAGAUUCCCCCGCUUGUUGUGCCAACAACACAUGAGAGGAGUACGCGCGCCAAAUAUUAUUGUGGGUAAACCGUUAGCGUUCCCCAGCAGGGCGAUGUGGUAAUAGUGGAGGAGCAUAUAAUGCAGGCUGAAAUGCUCAAGAUCUCUGCUGGACAACUCUUCGAAAUCGAGCCCAUGUCUCCGCUUAAAGAAUCAGAAAUAAAAUGGAAAUAUGUCUGUGGCCAACCUUUGGUCCAUCCAGACAAGGUCAAGGACCUCCCAAUGAGAAUGUAUGAAUUGCAUCAAUGGUACAUGAACAUGACCAAGAUUUCCAAUCGAGUGUCCCUCAUGGUGAAUGUCAAGAAGGAUCAUUAUUACCAUGAGAAAGCUCUGUCCAUUGAGUAUUCAGAACUAUAUCAGUUAUUCAAUCAAGACGCACUCGACAAGUCUAUCGUCAGUUGCUAUUGUCUGUAAGUGAUUUCUUUUUGUAAUUUAAGUCUCAAGCUAAUUAUGUAGUGAUAAUUUUGAUCAAUCAUUACAUGUAAUUAUCCUCACUAUAUUCUUUUCUAUGGUAUUAUAUGCAGGAUGAAGAUGUAUGAAAUGAAAAAAUCUGGACGCUAUGGCAUUGGGUUCAUAGACCCAAAUACCAUUAAUGAGGACAUAUGGAAGUAUCCAUUUUAUCAAGCAGGUGUAGAGGAAAGCAUGAUAGAGUUCUUGAAGCGCCUCAAUAGCAAUGAAGAUAUACUACUUCCUUACAACUUCCCGUGAGUCACAUUGUCUUGUACUACAAAUUCUGUUUUUUACUUACUAGCUAGCUAGAUGUUAAUAAUUAAGUGUAUACGGUUUACGGUAGUUGAUUAAUUUUAUGCACAUGCCCGCUUAUUUAAGACAUGCAAACGUGUGCGCAUGCAGUUGGCACUGGGUCUUGAUAGACAUUAAAGUUGAGGAAGGAAAAGUUGAAUUACUGGACUCGCUAACUAAAAAAGAAAGUGACUUCACCAUCGUGAAGGGGAUAGUCAGCAGGUAAUUUCAAUCAUUAUUNNNNNNNNNNNNNNNNNNNNNNNNNNNNNNNNNNNNNNNNNNNNNNNNNNNNNNNNNNNNNNNNNNNNNNNNNNNNNNNNNNNNNNNNNNNNNNNNNNNNNNNNNNNNNNNNNNNNNNNNNNNNNNNNNNNNNNNNNNNNNNNNNNNNNNNNNNNNNNNNNNNNNNNNNNNNNNNNNNNNNNNNNNNNNNNNNNNNNNNNNNNNNNNNNNNNNNNNNNNNNNNNNNNNNNNNNNNNNNNCGGCCUAUUAUUAGUUCGUCAUUUUCUGAUAUGAACUAUUUAAUAACCCCUUUAUUAAUUUUCUUUGUUGGCGGGCAGGGCGUGGGCAAAAUUCAUCGCGAUGACUCCAGGCGAAUGGAAACAAAAGUUGUUUUGGCAUCGACCAAAGGUAAGUAAUUAAGUAGUACUAGCUAGCUACCAUCUCUUUAAUUCUUGUUUCAAUAUCAUUAAUUAAGUAUCAUGCUUGAUUAAUCAUUAUCUGAUUCAAUUCCAUUCUCGUAAAUGCACCGAAGCAGGCGUCGGGGAAUAAUCUGUGUGCAUUCUACGUUUGCGAGAACAUUCGCAUGAUGACGUCCGAAAGGAGCAGAUCUGAUAGAUAAGACUGGGUACGUUUGUCAGAACACUAUUCACACCAUUAUCGAUAUCUAGUCACACAACUAACACACAUGCAUAUUGAUCUCCUUCUUAACAGUUCAGAGAGGUGCGGGAUAAGCUCCUACCAUCGGACCGCAUACUAGCACUUCAAGAGGAAAUAGCCGGAUUUUUGCUCGACUAGGUCAUAAAUCCCGAAGGAGAAUACUAUUACCCGCUACCGCCCCAUGAACCACUUGUCAUUGUGCUCCGGAGGCACCAAGGCAACAUAUGUAGGAGAAAUUGUAUAUGUAUACAUGUGUAUGUGUGAAUAAUGGUGUUGAUUGUGAGACAUUCGAUGAUAUANNNNNNNNNNNNNNNNNNNNNNNNNNNNNNNNNNNNNNNNNNNNNNNNNNNNNNNNNNNNNNNNNNNNNNNNNNNNNNNNNNNNNNNNNNNNNNNNNNNNNNNNNNNNNNNNNNNNNNNNNNNNNNNNNNNNNNNNNNNNNNNNNNNNNNNNNNNNNNNNNNNNNNNNNNNNNNNNNNNNNNNNNNNNNNNNNNNNNNNNNNNNNNNNNNNNNNNNNNNNNNNNNNNNNNNNNNNNNNNNNNNNNNNNNNNNNNNNNNNNNNNNNNNNNNNNNNNNNNNNNNNNNNNNNNNAUAACGUGUACAAUUUGUAGUAUCGUGAAAUACCAGGAAACAAAAAAAAAUGUAAUGGAAAAUAAAAAAAACACCCAAACAUUUAGUACCGGUUGAUGUUACCAACCGGUACUAAAGCCCUACGCGCACCCGGGCCUGGCUCGUGCCACGUGUUCGCACUUUAGCGCCGAUUCGUGACGAACCGGUACUAAAGGGGAGGGGGACCUUUAGUCCCCACUCUUUAGUGCCGGUUGUAGAACCGGCACUAAAGGCUGUUACGAGCCGGCACUAAAGGCCGAUUCUGCACUAGUGCGACUACAUGCCGAUGUCAUCAAUGCAUGUGACUCACAACCACUCACUCAGUGCCAUCAUUCACUUUGGAACUGUUAUCGACAUGGUCAUGCCAGCCCCGGUAUAGGAGUGGCGACCGCGGCACAUCGCAUGACUCGUUCACACAUAGUUAAAAAAAAUUACCAUGUUUCAAGUGCUUUGUAUUCUUUGGUGAACUUUUGGAAUUUAUUUGAUUCUUUUUCAGAAGAACAAAUAAAAGGAACACGCAGUUUGAAUCCAUUGGGCACGGAUGGAACGUGGCAUGUCUCCUGGCCAAGAUACAAGCGCGGUGGGCACGCUGCAAGGGCGACGUGGCAGUUUGGACGCCGAUGUGGCGCAUUCUCGCCACCAAUACGGACGGCCUGGUGUGUGUCACGCACCAAUAUAUAAAACAUCCAGAUCCAGGGCAGCUACGUCGAGCGAUGCGAUUGGCCAGCUCGACGAUAUGCCGGCGCAAGGAAAUAUGCCGAUCCAGACAAGAAACACGACGGCGAGAAUCGCGCGUACGCCCCACAUGCAUGCGACGUCGGACACCGCUCACCGAGUACCACUAUUAUUGGGGUCCAUGCACGCACGGCACCACAGGCUACACGUAAAUGCCAUGUGAUGCCUGGCACCACAGCAGGCCACAGACCAUCCAUGGACCGCGAUCACUGAGUACGUUUACUCUCUUUUGCAUUAUGCUUAAUAUGGCCAUGUGAUGUGUACGUGUUUAGCCUUUAUUAGGGGGGCAGAUCCUUCAUGCUCCCCCAUAUGCAGAUCCAGAUCGAGAGCCCACCGCCCAAUCAGUAGCCACGGCUGACCGCCAUAUCCUCAGCAGCUGGUUCUCUCUAGGAUUUAGUCGACUUAGACAUGGCGAAGUCUAAGUCGGCUGAUGUCACCUGUUUAUUUUUUCGUUUAUGUUCAAACUAUAUCCCGACGUUGCAUCUUGUGGCUUUUUGGCUGGCUCCUCUUUUUGUCUUUAGUCUGUGCGUUCAUCAAGUUGUGUUGAGCCAGAUAUUUUGGGCAGUUAUUUUUUGUUUGGUGCUGCUGCUCGUUGAUUAUGUAAUCUUUAGCUAUUGUUUGAGCAUUUUUUCUGAAACCUUUAGAUAUUGUUCGAGUAUAUUAGCUUUGUGGUACACCGGCCAGCUAUAUUAGCUGUUGUUCCUACAGUUUUCUUAACAUGCUAUUUAUUUCGUUUUGUUUGGAUUUCUUUUUCAUUUUUAUUUACAUUUUCACAUUUUGUUUCUAAAAAUUGUAAACAUUAGUUAACGCUCGUUUCUUUUUCAUUUUGUUUCACUAGAAAAUGUUUAAUAUUAUUUAAAAAUAUCCUUCAUGCCAUUACAAAAAUAUUCAAUGUUAGUUAACGCUCGUUUUUAGCUUACAUUUUCUUUAUUUGAUUGGGUUGAGUCGGGCAUUGUUUUACUUGUCUGUUUGUAAUUUCUCUAUCAUCCACAAAUUGAAAAAUGGUACUAACAAAAAUAAAGAGAGCUCAUCAUAUGUUGUUUCACAUGCGAUGCGGGCGUGCGACUAGGUUUGUGUGGCAUGCUUAAAAAAAAUUCCAAACAUCUCUUUUUUGAUAAAAAACAAAAUAUAAUAUAAUAUAAAAUAUAAAAUUAAUUUAAUAAUAGGGUGUGGAUACGACUCGGUCGAUUGAGACUUAGAAAGAAGUCUCAGUCAGCUGGCAUCAUGGCGGCAUGCAGUAGUAGCCCGAGGCGGCAGUUUCAGAUGCAGGUCUAGUGGCAUGCAUGCAAUUCUCCAUCUUCCGACAAAAACACCAGGAGUUGCACUCGUGGGCGACACAUGCAGUUGCAUGCCAAGUGUCGGACAUGCAACUUCUCCCUCCCAGACAAAAUACCACAGAGUUGCAGUCUGGUUUUAGACAUGCAGUUGCAGUCUGGGGCAACACUUGCAGUUGCAUGCGUAGUGUCGGGCAUGCAACUACCCCCUCCUCUCCCCGUUGCUCUUCGACAAUAACACAAAGGACAUUUGCAGUUGGGAGGGAGGCGUGCAAUUGCAGACGAGGGCAGCACGUGGAGUUGCAAGCCUAGUGUCGGGCAUAGAACUACCCCCCUCUCACGGUGCCCACCGACCAAACAAAAGGUUGGGUGCGGUUGGGUGUGUUGACAUGCAGUUGUAGUUGACGGCGACACUUGAGUUACAAGCUUAGUGUCUGGCAUGCAACUGCCCCUCUCCCUCCGCCCUCAAACAAAAACACAUGGCCAAUUGCAGUCAGGGCGGAGGUGUGCAAUUGCAUUUGAGGGUGGCACUUGUAGUUGCAGCCAUUUUGGGAGAUAUGAAGUUGCAGCCAGGGUGACACUUGCAGUUGCAUGCCUAGUGUUGGACAUGCAAUUGCCCACCUCUCUCGCCGCUUACUUGAAAAAAGGUCAGUUGCAGUCAAGUGCGUAGGCAUGCAAUUCAGUCAAGGGCGACACUUGCAGUUGCAAGCCUAGUGUCAGACAUCUAACUACCGCCCCCUCUCUCGCUGCCCACCAUAAAAAAGGUCAGUUGCGGUCGGAUGUAUGUACAUGACGUUGCACUCGAGGGCGACACUUGCAGUUUCAAGCCUAUUGUCGGACAUGCAACUUCCCCCUUCUCCCACCGCCCUCCGACAAAAACAUAAGGCUAGUUGCAGUCGAGAGGGAGGCAUUCAGUCGGGGGUGACACUUGUAGUUAUAUGGCUAGUAUUGGACAUGCAACCCCGCCCCCACCCCCGCCUACUCCUGUAGCCCACUUACAAAACAAAGGUCAAUUGCAUUCGGGUGUGUGAGCAUGCAGUUUCAGUCGGGGGCAACACUUGCAGCUGCAUGCCUAGUGUUACCCCCGCCCUCCCUACUGCCCACUAACAAUUGCAGUUGCAAGCCUAGUGUUGGAGCUGCAACUGCCCCCUUCUCCCGAUAAGAAAAGGAGGAAAUAUACACAAAAUCCAGUCCUUCAUCAAUUGCAUGUGGAGUAAGAUGUGUGUAGUUAUGCAUGUGUAAGCGAACUUGCUACACACAAUUAAUAUUUCCUUUGAGGCUAAAAAGUAAAGAAUAAGUAACAGCAUAGUUACACGCCGAUACGAUGUGUGCAGUCACGUGUGGAUGGAUGUACAUGUAGCUGAUAGUAUGAUUUGAAAAAUGACAAAAAUAAAUGUGAACAAUUAAGAAUUAAUAAAAUAUAAAAAUUAAAAUGAAAAAAACCACACAAACAUACUUCAAAGAAAUAAUUAUGAGAGAAAAGAGAACAAGAAAAGAAUGAGAAGAAUGGAAAUAAGUAAUAAUUUCAAAAGAAGCAACAAAAAUAAAAUUAGAAAGGAAAACUAUCCUUGAAAUCCAAAAUGAAUUGGCUCAAGCCAUUCUGAAAAAUAUUAUAAACAAUGUUGCGAUCGGAAAAAGGAAAUGCAACACAAAUUUGCACCAAUCUUGGCGCAUAGAGAUUGAACGGUUUAUCGUAUAACCAAAUCUUAUAUGAGCAAACCUUGACAUACAACAUGGAGGAAAAUAAAAAAAACGUGGAGAAAAAUUAAGAGUGUGCAUUGACCAUGACAUGCUAAAAGAUAUAGGGGAAGACACUGAGCGUGGAGGACACACAUGCUGGUCUAGUAGAAAAAAUGAGAAAAAACAAGACAACACACUUCCUCUUUGCGGUUUGAACGGUCUAUUUCUAACCACAACCCACCAAACAAACAAAAAGAAACAAGCUGGACGCAUCAUCCUAACAGGCCGAUUUAAACCAGACAAGCAGUUAGCAUAAAAAAUAUUCAAUGGAGGCGUCGACUGAGACUUGGAUAGAAAUCAGUCGACUGAUUUUUAGUCCCUCCGUUCCGUUAAAUCGCAGCUCCACCGCUCCCAUCAACCCUCGAACCUCGAUAAAAUGUUGUUUUUCUUUCCCGAAAAGAAGGUGAAAACACCGCAGCUUCUGCAUGGAUCCAUGUAGGAUCUUUCAUUCUCUUAUUGUAAUAUAAGGUUUAUUUAAGAUCCAACAUCUCGCACUAGGAGUACAAAAGGCCACCAAGGCCAUAAGAGCAUCUACGCACGCUCAUCACUCGAAUAUGUGUUAUAGCCGCACAUCUAACAUAGAGUGUUCAUCGGGGCAUACUCAUAGAAAUUUGCUGAUCGAUUCUUCUUACCUAACCCCCUAUGUGUCUAGUACUCUACAUGAUAUGUUAGGGCAUCUCCAACACCGACCUGUAAAUAUGCUCCCGCAUCCGUCCAUGAACAAGGGGACCAGUCCGCGGACAUGAAUGCGGGAGGCGGCCAUCCAACACUGCCAAUAUACAUUUCAACAACUUUUUAAAUCAGUCGAAUGAGAUUUUUGCAAACACGAUGGAAUUCAUUGUUCGGUUAUCUAUACAUAAUAUUAAAGGACGGAUUGUUUCUUCACUAUUUUUGGUCCAUCGAUGUUUUUUGUAUGUUUUUCGGUUUUCGUCCGUCGCUGUUUUAUGUUAAAAAAGAAUUUAGUCUCAAACGGACUCGAACCGCUGCCCACUUAUGUCAAGGUGCAAUUCAACAACUGUUGGGGAACGUAGCAGAAAUUCAAAAUUUUCUACGCAACACCAAGAUCAAUCUACGGAGAGACUAGCAACGAGAGAGAGGGGAGUGCAUCUUCAUACCCUUGAAGAUCGCGAUGCGGAAGCGUUACAAGAACGCGGUCGGUGGAGUCGUUCACGAAGCGAUUCAGAUCGCGACCGAAUCUGAUUUAAGCACCGAAGAACGGUGCCUCCGCGUUCAACACACGAGCAGCCCGGUGACGUCUCCCAUGCCUUGAUCCAGCAAGGGAAGAGGGAGAGGUUGGGGAAGACUCCGUCCAGCAGCAGCACGACGGCGUGGUGGUGGUGGAGGAGCGCGGUACUCCAGCAGGGCUUCGCCAAGCACUACGAGAGACAAGGAGGGAGAGAGGUAGGGCUGCGCCUUGGGAGAGAGAGACUCAUGUGUUGGGCAGCCCCAAAACCUCCACUAUAUAUAUGGGGAAGGGAGAGGGGGAGGCGCCCUAGGGUUUCCCCUAGGGGGGGCGUCGGCCAGGGCAGAUGGGAUCUCCCCUUUGGGUGACUUGGCCCCAAAGCCAGGAGGUGGGAACCCUAGAUGGGGCGCCCCAAACCCCCCGGUCACGUGGGAAUAGGUGAGGGGGCGCACAACCCCUUAGUGGGCUGGUUUGCCCCCUCCCCUUGGCCCAUGAAGCCCCCCCAACACUUGCUGGGGCUCCCGAAACACCUUUCGGUCAUGCUGGUCAUCACCCGGUACCUCCGGAACACUUCCGGACUCCAAAACCCUUCGUCCAAUAUAUCAAUCUUCACCUCCGGACCAUUCCGGGACUCCUAGUGACGUCCGGGAUAUCAUCCGGGACUCUGAACAACAUUCGUUAAUCACGUACAUACCUUCCCUAUAACCCUAGCGUCAUCGAACCUUAAGUGUGUAGACCCUACGGGUUCGGGAACCAUGCAGAAAUGACCGAGACAACUCUCCGUCCAAUAACCAACAGCGGGAUCUGGAUACCCAGUUGGCUCACACAUGUUCCACGAUGAUCUCAUCGGAUGAACCACGAUGUCAAGGAUUCAAUCAAUCCCGUAUGCAAUUCCCUUUGUCUACCAGUAUAGUACUUGCCCGAGAUUCGUUCGUCGGUAUGCCGAUACCUUGUUCAAUCUCGUUACCGGCAAGUCUUUUUACUCGUUCCGUAACACAUCAUCCCGUGAUCAACUCCUUGAUCACAUUGUGCACAUUAUGAUGAUGUCCUACCGAGUGGGCCCGGAGAUACCUCUCCGUCACACGGAGUGACAAAUCCCAGUCUCGAUUCGUGCCAACCCAACAGACACUUUCGGAGAUACCCUUAGUGCACCUUUAUAGCCACCCAGUUACGUUGUGACGUUUGGUACACCCAAAGCUUUCCUACGGUAUCCGGGAGUUGCACAAUCUCAUUGUGUAAGGAAAAGAUACUUGACAUUUAGAAAAGCUUUAGUAUACGAACUACACGAUCUUGUGCUAGGCUUAGGAUUGGGUCUUGUCCAUCACAUCAUUCUCCUAAUGAUGUGAUCCCGUUAUCAAUGACAUCCAAUGUCCAUGGUCAGGAAACCAUGACCAUCUGUUGAUCAACGAGCUAGUCAACUAGAGGCUCACUAGGGACAUGUUGUGGUCUUUGUAUUCACACAUGUAUUGCGGUUUCCGGUCAAUACAAUUAUAGCAUCAAUAAUAGACAAUUAUCCUGAACAAGGAAAUACAAUAAUAACCAUUUUAUUAUUGCCUCUAGGGCAUAUUUCCAACCGUCUCCCACUUGCACUAGAGUCAAUAAUCUAGUUCACAUCACUAUGUGAUUGUAAUGAAUCGACACCCAUGGGGUUUGAUCAUAUCUCGCUUAUGAGAGAGGUUAUUAGUCAACGGAUCUGAACCUUUCAGAUCCGUGUGUGCUUUGAAAAUCUCUAUGUCAUCUCCUAGAUGCAGCUACCACGCUCUAUUUGGAGCUAUUCCAAAUAACUGUUCUACUAUACGAAUCCGGUUUACUACUCAGAAUAAUCCGGAUUAGUGUCAAAGUUUGCAUCGGCGUAACCCUUUACGACGAACUCUUUUACCACCUCCAUAAUCGAGAAAAUUCCUUAGUCCACUAGUUACUAAGGAUAAGUUUGACCGCUGUCCUGUGAUCCAUUCCUGGAUUACUCUUGUACCCUUUGACUGACUCAUGGCAAGGCACACUUCCGGUGCGGUACACAGCAUAGCAUACUAUAGAGCCCACGUCUGAAGCAUAGGGGACGACCUUCGCCCUUACUCUCUCUUCUGCCGUCGUCAUGUCUUGAGUCUUACUCAAUACUCACACCAUAUAACACAGCCAAGAACUCCUUCUUUGCUGAUCUAUUUUGAACUCCUUCAAAAUCUUGUCACGGUAUGUAUUCAUUUGAAAGUACUAUUAAGCAUUUUGAUCUAUCCUUAUAGAUCUUGAUGCUCAAUGUUCAAGUAGCUUAAUCCAGGUUUUCCAUUGAAAAACACUUUUCAAAUAACCCUAUAUGCUUUCCAGAAAUUCUACAUCAUUUCCGAUCAACAAUAUGUCAACAACAUAUACUCAUCAAAAAUGCUAUAGUGCUCCCACUCACUUCUUUGGAAAUACAAGUUUCUCAUAAACUUUGUAUAAACCAAAAAAUCUUUGAUCUUCUCAUCAAAGCGUAUAUUCCAAGUCUGAGAUGCUUACUCCAGUCCCUAGAAGGAUUGCUGGAGCUUUGCACACUUGUUAGCAUCUUUCAGGAUUGACAAAACCUUCUGGUUGUAUCACAUACAACCUUUCCUCAAGAAUAUUGUCGAGGAAACAAUGUUUUGACAUCCUUUCUGCAAGAUUUCAUAAAUCAUGCAGUAAUUGCUAAUAUAAUUCCAACAAACUCUUAGCAUCGCUACGAAUGAGAAAGUCUCAUCGCAGUCAACUCCUUGAACUUGUCGGAAAACAUCUUAACGACAAGUCGAGCUUUCUUAAUGGUGAUACUUACCAUCAUUGUCCGUCUUUCUUUUAAAAUCCAUCUGUACCCAACAGCCUUACGACCAUCAAGUAGUUCUUCCAAAGUCCACACUUUCUUUUCAUACAUGGAUCCUCUCUCGGAUUUUAUGGCCUCUCGCCAUUUGUUGGAAUCCGGGACCACCAUCGCUUCUCCAUAGCUCGUAGGUUCAUUGUUGUCUAGCAACAUGACUUCCAAGACAGGAUUACUAUACCACUCUGAAGUACUACGCAUCCUUGUCGACUUACAAGGUUUGGUAGUGACUUGAUCCGAAGUUUCAUGAUCACUAUCAUCAGCUUCCACUUCAAUUGGUGUAGGUGCCACAGGAACAACUUCCUGUGCCCUGCUACACAUUGGUUGAAGUGAUGGUUCAAUAACCUCAUCAAGUCUCCACCAUCCUCCCACUCAAUUCUUUCAAGAGAAACCUUUUUCUCUAGAAAGGACCCGUUUCUAGAAACAAUCACUUUUGCUUCCGGGUCUGAAUUAGGAGGUAUACCCAACUGUUUUGAGUGUCCUAUGAAGAUGUAUUUAUCCGCUUUGGGUUCGAGCUUAUCAGGAUGAAACUUUUUCACAUAAGCGUCGCAGCCCCAAAUUUUCAAGAAACGACAGCUUAGGUUUCUCUAAACCAUAGUUCAUACGGUGUCAUCUCAACGGAAUUACUGGUGCCCUAUUUAAAGUGAAUGUGGUUGUCUCUAAUGCCUAACCCAUGAAUGAUAUUGGUAAUUCGAUAAGAGACAUCAUGGUAUGCACCAUAUCCAAUAGGGUGCAGCUAUGAUGUUCGGACACACCAUCACACUAUGGUGUUCCAGGCGGUAUUAGUUGUGAAACAAUUUCCACAAGGUCUUAAUUGUGUACCAAACUCGCAACUCAGAUAUUCAUCUUUAUGAUCAUAUCAUAGACAUUUUAUCCUCUUGUCACGAAGAUCUUCAACUUCACUCUGAAAUUACUUGAACCUUUCAAUAAUUCAAACUUGUGUUUCAUCAAGUAAAUAUACUCAGCAUCUACUCAAAUCAUCCGUGAAGUAAGAACAUAAUGAUAUCCACUGCGUGCCUCAGCACUCAUUGGACUGCACACAUCAAAAUGUAUUACUUCCAACAAGUUGCUUUCUUGUUCCAUCUUACUGAAAACGAGGCUUUUCAGUCAUCUUGCCCAUGUGGUAUGAUUUGCAUGUCUCAAGUGAUUCAAAAUCAAGUGAGUCCAAACGAUCCAUCUGCAUGGAGUUUCUCCAUGCGUACAUACCAAUAGACAUGGUUCGCAUGUCUCAAACUUUUCAAAAAAUGAGUGAGUCCAAAGUUCCAUCAACAUGGAGCUUCUUCAUGCGUUUUAUACCAAUAUGACUUACAUGGCAGUGCCACAAGCAGGUCGUACUAUCAUUACUAUCUUAUAUCUUUUGGCAUGAACAUGUGUAUCACUACGAUCGAGAUUCAAUAAACCAUUCUUUAUGGUGCAAGACCAUUAAAGGUAUUAUUCAAAUAAAUAGAGUAACCAUUAUUCUCCUUAAAUGAAUAACCGUAUUGCGAUAGACAUAAUCCAAUCAUGUCUAUGCUCAAUGCAAACACCAAAUAACAAUUAUUUAGGUUUAACACCAAUCUCGAUGGUAGAUGGAGCAGGCGAUGCUUGAUCACAUCAACCUUGGAAACACUUCCAACAUGCAUCGUCAUCUCACCUUUAGCUAGUCUUCGUUUAUUCUGUAGCUCUUUUAUUUCGAGUUACUAACACUUAGCAACCGAACCAGUAUCUUAAUACCCUGGUGCUACUAGGAGUACUAGUAAAGUACAAAUUUAAUUCAAUGUAUAUCCAAUAUACUCAUGUCAACCUUCCAGCCUUCUCAUCUACCAAGUAUCUAGGGUAGUUCUGCUUCAGUGACCGUUCCCUCAUUACAGAAGCACUUAGUCUCGGGUUUGGGUUCAACCCUGGGUUCUUCACUGGAGCAGCAACUGAUUUGCCAUUUCAUGAAGUACCCCUUCUUGCCCUUGCCCUUCUUGAAACUAGUGGUUUCACUAACCAUCAACAAUUGAUGCUCCUUCUUGAUUUCUACUUUUGCGGUGUCAAACAUCAUGAAUAUUUCAAGGAUCAUCAUAUCUAUCCCUGAUAUGUUAUAGUUCAUCACGAAGCUCUAGUAGCUUGGUGGCAAUGUCUUUGGAGAAACAUCACUAUCUCAUUUGGAAGAUUAACUCCCACUCGAUUCAAGUGAUUGUUGUACCCAGACAAUCUGAGUACAAGUUCAACGAUUGAGCUUUUCUCCCUUAGUUUGUAGGCCAAGAAGCUCGUCGGAGGUCUUAUACCUCUUGACGUGGGCACGAGCCUGAAAUCCCAUUUUCAGCUCUUGGAACAUCCCCUAUGUUCCGCGACAUUUCAAAAUCGUCUUCGGUGCCUCAAUUCUAAACCGUUUAACAUUACUGAACUAUCACGUAGUCAUCAAAACAUGUAUGUCAGAUGUUCGCAACAUCCACAGACGGCGUUCGAGGUUCAACACACCGAGCUGUGCAUUAAGGACAUAAGCCUUCUACGCAGCAAUGAGGACAAUCCUCAGUUUACGGACCCAAUCCGCAUAAUUGCUACUAUCAACUUUCAACUAAAUUUUCUCUAGGAACAUAUCUAAAACAGUAGAACUAAAGCGCGAGCUAUGACAUAAUUUGGAAAAACCUUUUGACUAUGUUCAGGAUAAUUAAGUUCAUCUAAUGAACUCCCACUCAGAUAGACAUCCCUCUAGUCAUCUAAGUGAUACAUGAUCCGAGUCAACUAGGCCAUGUCCGAUCAUCACGCGAGACGGACUAGUCAUCAUCGGUGAACAUCUUCAUGUUGAUCGUAUCCACUAUACGACUCAUGUUCGACCUUUCGGUCUCUUAUGUUCCGAGGCCAUGUCUGUACAUGCUAGGCUCGUCAAGUCAAACUAAGUGUUUCGCGUGUGUAAAUCUGGCUUACACCCAUUGUAUGUGAAUGUUAGAAUCUAUCACACCCGAUCAUCACAUGGUGCUUUGAAACAACGAACUUUCGCAACGGUGCACAGUUAGGGGGAACACUUUCUUGAAAUUAUUAUGAGGGAUCAUCUUAUUUACUACCGUCGUUCUAAGCAAAUAAGAUGCAUAAACAUGAUAAACAUCACAUGCAAUCAAAAAGUGACAUGAUAUGGCCAAUAUCAUUUUGCUCCUUCUGAUCUCCAUCUUCGGGGCUCCAUGAUCAUCAUCAUCACCGGCAUGACACCAUGAUCUCCAUCAUCAUGAUCUCCAUCAUCGCGUAUCCAUGAAGUUAUCUUGCCAACUAUUACUUCUACUACUAUGGCUAACGGUUUAGCAAUGAAGUAAAGUAAUUACAUGGCGUUAUUAAGUGACACAUAGGUCAUACAAUAAAUAAAGACAACUCCUAUGGCUCCUGCCGGUUGUCAUACUCAUCGACAUGCAAGUUGUUAUUCCUAUUACAAGAACAUGAUUAAUCUCAUACAUCACAUAUCAUUCAUCACAUUCUUUUUGGCCAUAUCACAUCACAUAACAUACCCAGCAAAAACAAGUUAGACGUCCUCUAAUUGUUGUUUGCAUGUUUUACGUGGCUGCUAUGGGUUUCUAGCAAGAACGUUUCUUACCUACGCAAAAGCCACAACGUGAUAUGCCAAUUGCUAUUUACCCUUCAUAAGGACCCUUUUCAUCGGAUCCGGUCCGACUAAAGUGGGAGAGACUGGCACCCGCUAGCCACAUUUUUUUAUGCAACAAGUGCAUGUCAGUCGGUGGAACCUGUCUCACGUAAGUGUGUAAGGUCGGUCCGGGCCGCUUCAUCCCACAAUACCGUCGAAACAAGAUAGGACUAGUAACGGUAAGCAUAUUGAACAAAAUCAAUGCCCAUAACAACUUGUGUUCUACUCGUGCAUAGAAACUACGCAUAGACCUAGCUCAUGAUGCCACUGUUGGGGAACGUAGCAGAAAUUCAAAAUUUUCUAUGCAACACCAAGAUCAAUGUAUGGAGAGACUAGCAACGAGAGAGAGGGGAGUGCAUCUUCAUACCCUUGAAGAUCGCGAUGCGGAAGCGUUACAAGAACGCGGUCGGUGGAGUCGUUCACGAAGCGAUUCAGAUCGCGGCUGAAUCCGAUCUAAGAACCGAAGAACGGUGCCUCCGUGUUCAACACACGUGCAACCCGGUGACGUCUCCCAUGCCUUGAUCCAGCAAGGAGAGAGGGAGAGGUUGGGUAAGACUCCGUCCAGCAGCAGCACGAUGGCGUGGUGGUGGUGGAGAAGCGUGGUACUCCAGCAGGGCUUCGCCAAGCACUACGAGAGACGAGGAGGGAGAGAGGUAGGGUUGCGCCUUGGGAGAGAGAGACUCAUGUGUUGGGCAGCCCCAAAACCUCCACUAUAUAUAUGGGAAGGGAGAGGGGAGGCGCCCUAGGGUUUCCCCUAGGGGGGCGGCGGCCAGGGCAGAUGGGAACCCUAGAUGGGGCGCCCCAAACCCCCCGGUCACGUGGGAAUAGGUGAGGGGGGCGCACAACCCCUUAGUGGGCUGGUUUGCCCCCUCCCCUUGGCCCAUGAAGCCCCCCCAACACUUGUCGGGGCUCCAGAAACACCUUUCGGUCAUGCUGGUCAUCACCCAGUACCUCCGGAACACUUCCGGACUCCAAAACCCUUCGUCCAAUAUAUCAAUCUUCACCUCCGGACCAUUCCGGGACUCCUCGUGAUGUCCGGGAUCUCAUCCGGGACUAUGAGCAACAUUCGGUAACCGCGUACAUACCUUCCCUCACUACUAGGGAAAAUCCUAGUAGUAGCGCGGGUUUUGAGGCUAUCAGCAGCGCGGGCACCCGCGCUACCAAUAAGGUGCUACAGCUAACUGUUAGUAGUAGCGCUAUAUGUACCCGCGCUACUACUAUUGACUAUAUCAGCAGCGCAUUUUUGAAACACGCUAUUAUUAGUUAGCUGUAGCGAUUUCCUGAGCCCGCGCUACUCUUAUAUCUUUCACCAUUUCCCCAUUCCAGCUUCAAUAAAUUGCAAUUUCUAGAUACUAGGUACUACUAGAUAUCAAUUUCAUAAAGCAUUAUAGGUACUAGGUAGUACUCCCACGGUUCCAAAUUACUCGUUGUGGUUUUAGUUCAAAUUUGAACUAAAACCACGAUGAGUAAUUUGGAACCGAGGGAGUACUAGAUAACAAUUUCUUAUAUACUCAACAUGCAUCCUCAAGUAGUACAAGGUGACAUCGACGACGAUCAUCAUAUUUAGUUCUAGAUGAUAUCGACGACGAUCAUCAUAUGUAGUUCUACAUGAUAUUGACGACGAUCAUCAUAUGUCGUUCUAGAUGAUAUAGCCAUACACACAUAUGUAGUUCUAGAUGAUAUCGAUGAUGAUCAUCAUCCUCAAGCCUGGGCGGUGGGUGUUCCUGAUAGUAAUUAGGAUGGCCUGUCCAACACGAAGAUUCUUGCCAAUAAGGAAUCUCUAACACCCAACCGAGUUUAAGUGUGUGCGACUGUCUGUGUCCAUGCGGUAUGUACAUAUGGUAACGGAGCCCCUUGCGGUAAGGCGUAGUCCAGCUGAGCCUUUUUCAUCAGGCUCGAUACCACAACUCACAGAUAGGUUCUUUGGCAAUUUCUGAAUAAGAAAAACAUAUCAAUUAAUAAAUAGCCUCACACAUACUCUUGCAAAUAUAUUUCUAUUAAGUCUAGAUUUCUACGCUAUCAAAAGACACAGUACUAUGCAUUUGUACUAAUUAAUCAUGAAUUCUACUAAUAAGUAUAUAUGGAUUAUCUACACUAUUAAUAGUUCCUUGGAUUCUACACAAAUAAGCAUGUGAUCAGACUCUACACUGAAGCAUAUCAAUGACUAGAUUCCACAGAACAUAUCAUUGGACUCUACACUAAGCAUAUCAUCGGAUAAUUUGCAUUUGCAAGUAUAACAUACCAUAUCAUGUCGAUCGACCAUGGUACUUGUCAGGCGGGUCACGAAUGGCACCCCGACAAAGUCAGCACGUGGUGGAAUUAUGUCCCAUAGGUUGCACACCUCCUCCUCGCUCGGCCUCAUUCAUUGAGCUACGAUGGCUUCAUGAAGUGGGUUCUCAUCACCUUCAUCGAGUGGGUCCUCAUUAUCUUCAUCAUCUUCUUCAUCUGCAUCAUCUUUGUCAUCUUCAUCAUCUUCGUCAUCUUCAUCAUCUUCCACCAGGUUGAGAUAAAUGACAGCUGUUGAACUCACCACCAGUAAGACGCAUGCGGGCGAGGAAACGGGCCCAUCCAUCUCCUCCAAUUUGCGACAUAUUGCGUCCUUUCUCGACAUCCAUAGUGUACGCCCCCCAGGAGCCUCAAAUGUCAUAGUGUCUGCUGUCAGCUUGUUGAAUGUCAACCUCACAUUGCAUGGGACGGUCUGUGUAAGAAAAUAAAAAUGACACAAUGCAGUAAUGCCAACACUAAAAAUAAAAUAGUUGUUACAUUUCAUCUAAUUUCUUACCGCCACAUGACAAAAACUCGGCUGGAAGUAGAUGCCAAACAGCUUGCCAGUUGCAAGGCUGCUGGCGCACCUUGACUUGCACAGUCGACAUAGUGGUGGUGGUGGUGGCGCCAUUUUCCUAAAGCAAUAUGAGCAAAGGAUUAAUGAUUCACUUCACAGGAAAGAAAAACAGUAGCAUGUGAUAUUUUCCUAAAGCAAUAUGAGCAAAUGAUUAAUGAUUCACUUCACAGGACAGAAAAAUAGUAGCAUAGUGGUGGUGGCGCCAUUUUAUGGACAAUUAUAAUCCUAAGAUCUAAUAACAUAUUAGAUGACAAAGUACCAUGUACCAAAGCAUUUCGGUGGCACCUAUUGCCGAAAAAAUAACAAUAAAAAUGGUGCAUACUAAAUCAACUAAAUCAACUAGCAUACUAAAUCCACUAGCAUACUAAAUCAACUAAAUCAAAAUGUUCUAAAUCAACUAAAUCAACUAGCCUACUAAAUCAACUAAAUAAACUAGCCUACUAAAUCAACUAAACCAACUAGCCUACUAAAUCAACUAAAUCAAAAUGUUCUAAAUCAACUAAAUCAACUAGCCUACUAAAUCAACUGAAUCAUAUCAACUAAAUCAGAAUGUUGCAUAUGAACUAGCCUACUAAAUCAAAAUGUAGCAGGGAGGAGGGAGAAGGAUGGGCGACUCGAGGAGGGAGAAGAGAGUAGGACGGAGGAGGAAGGCGGAGCAAGGAGGGGCUGGCCGGCGGCGAAUGGAGGGAGAAUGGAGGAGGAAGGCGGAGCGAGGAGGGGUCGGCCAGCGGCGAGUGGAGGGAGGACGGAAGAAGAGGCCGGUACCGAGUCCAGCGAGGAGGAUGAGAUGACGGCAUCGCAGAUCGGAGUAGGGGCGACAGAGGAGGACUGGCAGCACGGGGGUUGAGGGGGAGAUCGAGUGUGUGUGUGAGUGUGAUCUGGAUCGGAUAGGUAGGGGGGAGAUGGAAUGGCUUAGCAGUAACGCGCUAUAGCAACAUGCGCUACUGCUAAAUGACCUAUCAGUAGUGCCUUUCACUAAUAACGCGCUACUGCUAUGUUAGACAUAGACAUAAAAAAUACAUUGAUCAUCAAUUGUCUUUUUGUGUACAAUCUGAUUUGUCAAUAGGAAUCCUCGACGGUUGGUUUAAGAACAAGCGAGGAUUCUUAUUGCGGCCACAGAUCCUACACAUAGAGUUCAAUGAAGACCAAGUGCUUUUGAAAGUUGUGGAAGUAACAUAUUUAAGUUGGUAGAAACUCCCUUCACGGAGCGUGGUGGGACUAAAUUUUUGUAGUAACCUUAGUAGUAGCGAUUAUUGCAUAAAUGCGCUGCUGCUACGAUCCGUAGCAGUAGCGCUCUUUGUAUUAACGUGCGGCUGCUAUAACUGGCCUCGCAGCGGCCUCGUGGGAAUUUUAGCAGUAGCGCGUCCUAGAGUGUGCGCGCUACUGAUAAACUUGUUUCAACAGCGAGUUUUGAAAGCGCGCGCUACUGCUACAUAGCAGCAGCGCCUGCUUUUAAAGCGCGCUGCUGGUAAGAUUCUGUGUAUAGGCUUUUCCCUAGUAGUGCCGAUAACCCUAGCGUCAUCGAACCUUAAGUGUGUAGACCCUACGGGUUCGGGAACCAUGCAGACAUGACCGAGACAACUCUCUGGCCAAUAACCAACAACAGGAUCUGGAUACUCAUGUUGGCUCCCACAUGUUCCACGAUGAUCUCAUUGGAUGAACCACGAUGUCAAGGAUUCAAUCAAUCCCGUAUACAAUUCCCUUUGUCUACCGGUAUAGUACUUGCCCGAGAUUCGAUCGUCGGUAUGCAGAUACCUUGUUCAAUCUCGUUACCGGCAAGUCUCUUUACUCGUUCCGUAACACAUCAUCCCGUGAUCAACUCCUUGAUCACAUUGUGCACAUUAUGAUGAUGUCCUACCGAGUGGGCCCAGAGAUACCUCGCCGUCACACGAAGUGACAAAUCCCAGUCUCGAUUCAUGCCAACCCAAAAGAUACUUUCGGAGAUACCCAUAGUGCACCUUUAUAGCCACCCAGUUACGUUGUGACGUUUGGUACACCCAAACCAUUCCUACGGUAUCUGGGAGUUGCACAAUCUCAUGGUUUAAGGAAAAGAUAUUUGACAUUUAGAAAAGCUUUAGCAUACGAACUACACGAUCUUGUGCUAGGCUUAGGAUUGGGUCUUGUCCAUCACAUCAUUCUCCUAAUGAUGUGAUCCCGUUAUCAAUGACAUCCAAUGUCCAUGGUCAGGAAACCAUGACCAUCUGUUGAUCAACGAGGUAGUCAACUAGAGGCUCACUAGGGACAUGUUGUGGUCUAUGUAUUCACACAUGUAUUGUGGUUUCCGGUCAAUACAAUUCUAGCAUGAAUAAUCGACAAUUAUAAUGAACAAGGAAAUACAAUAAUAACCAUUUUAUUAUUGCCUCUAGGGCAUAUUUCCAACAACAACAACCAGUACACCCAAACACAAUGUUUCUUGAAAAACUGAGGAAUACUACCCCAUAUAUGGUACUCUCCUGCGCGCCCAAUUGAGCCGUCCCAUUAGCGGGGAGGGACUCCCCUUUUUUAUUUCGUUUUAUUUCUAUUUUCCUUAUUUAAAAUAAUUUGGGAUUUCAGAAAGUUCCAAAUUUCAAAAGAAAAUGAGAGUAUUNNNNNNNNNNNNNNNNNNNNNNNNNNNNNNNNNNNNNNNNNNNNNNNNNNNNNNNNNNNNNNNNNNNNNNNNNNNNNNNNNNNNNNNNNNNNNNNNNNNNNNNNNNNNNNNNNNNNNNNNNNNNNNNNNNNNNNNNNNNNNNNNNNNNNNNNNNNNNNNNNNNNNNNNNNNNNNNNNNNNNNNNNNNNNNNNNNNNNNNNNNNNNNNNNNNNNNNNNNNNNNNNNNNNNNNNNNNNNNNNNNNNNNNNNNNNNNNNNNNNNNNNNNNNNNNNNNNNNNNNNNNNNNNNNNNNNNNNNNNNNNNNNNNNNNNNNNNNNNNNNNNNNNNNNNNNNNNNNNNNNNNNNNNNNNNNNNNGAAGUAGUAAAAUGUUUAUGAAUUAAAAAAUCUGCGAUUUCAAAACAUGUUCAUCAUUUUUAAACAAUGUUCAUGAAAAUAAAAAAUUAUCAUGAAUUUCAAAAAAAGUUCACUCAUUGCAGAAAUAUUUGCCGAGUCAAAAUCUUCAUGCAUUAAAAAAAAUGUUCAUCAAACAAAAAAUGUUCACUAAUUUAAAAAAUGUUCACCCAUUCCAAAAAUGUGUGCCUAUUGAAAACAAUGAUCACAAGUUAUAAAAAAUGUUCAUCCAUUAAAAAAAUAAUCAUCUUGCUCUGUAAGAAAAUUUCCAAUUACUCACAACAAUAUUCAUCGAGAUGCGGUCAACCUCCUAGAUUUUGUUGAUGGUUUGAUUGUUGUCGUUAGCUGCAUGCAACAUGAUCCGUGCAAUCCAUGGGCAUGAACCAGAUGUUGCAGACUCUGUCAUUGCCUCGAUGAGGUCACUGAAAUUUUGCCCUGAUGUAAAAUUCAUGUCACUUUGUUGCCCUAAUCCCUUUUUUAUAUGUACUAAUUAUUCUAUUAGUAUUAAAGGAAGGAAGGAUUCUUCCCUUCAAUUAUAGUUUCGGUCGUCAUCUAUCUACCAAUGUACCACACACCUUUUAUGUUUCUCCGACGUGUGGGCCGAGCUAGGCUGCUCCACACUUUUUUCUUUGUUUGAUUCAAUUGUGGAGCAUCGAAAAAUAAUACGUUUCUAUUUCUCUCCUACGUUGGCCAAGAUGGGCCUAUUCCGAUACAUUUUAUUCUUCUUCUCAUUUGAUUGUGGCAUGUAGGUGAGAAUGAAACUAUGAAGCCGCAAACUGAACUGUGAUCAUUUUGCAAAGACGGUAUGAUUGAAAGCAUAAUUCUUUUUCAUCUCAACAAUAAUUGUCGUCGAUCAUAAAUUAAAUAUUUUUUUAUAUUUUAGUAUAUGCUAGGGAAGUUAAAUUUUCUCCUGUUGCAACGCACGGGCAUUUUUGCUAGUAAUAUACAUAAAAAGAUCGAUAUUUCAACUGUUUAACAAAAAAACUAGGAAAAAAAACCUAAACCCUAUACUGGACAACCACCACGUAUGUGUGGCCGCGCUGCACUGCCGCACGGCCGUCGCCGUCUGUGCCACCGAUGUCGUCGUCGUUGUCGUCCCUCCAGCGGCGGAACAACGCAGGAUGACCAUGACAGUCUUGUCCAACGGUUACCUGCCGCUCAUGGAGGAGCCGCUCCGCCUCUUGUUGCGCGGUGCGGAGGGCCUCCGCGGCCACUGUCGUGACCGGCAUUGGCAGAGUAGUCGCUAAGAUACCCCUCCUCACUGUCAAGGCGGCGGCGGCGCCUGGUGACGGUCUCUGUGGUGGUGUUGGAGCGGUUGAGCACCCACUCGGCAGAAAGGUCAGGGUCAUUACCAGCCCAUUCCGGCGCCACGUCCGACUUGGCGAACGCGGAUCGGUGACCGACAUUGCAUAGGUCGUAUCUCGCCCGCUACCUCGCCGCGAGCUCCGCCUCGAAAACAGUUGGUUCGUCGGUCGUUUUGCCCUGUUUUACAAAUUCACUAACUUUUUUUAAUACUUUCUAAAAAAUUGUAUUGAGCCAGCAAACAUUUUUCGAAAUUUGGGAACAAUAUUUGAAAUUUAGGUACAUUUUUAGUUUCUGAGGAAUAUUUUUUUGAGUUCAUGAAUACUUUUUGAAUCAGCAAACAUUUCUAAAUCUUUUGCACAUUAUUGGAAACACAAGAAUAGUUAUCAAAAUUCCUCAUUUUUUCAAUAUUGUGACAUUUUUCUAAAUUCCUAAAAAAACUCAGAAAUUCAUGAACAGUUUAUGAAUAUUGAACAUUUACUACUUCACGACCAAUUUUUACCAAUUCGUGAACAUUUAUUUCAAAUUGCGUUAUUUGUUUUUGAAUAUUUGAACACUUCCUAAAAAUCCUCAAAUUUUUAAGAAAAUUUAUGAACAUUUGUUUAAUACACGAACAUAUUUUGGAAAUCAUGAACCUUUUCUGAAUCUGUGAGCAUCUAUCAUUUCCUGAACAUUUUUUCAAUCAUGAAAUUUCUUUGAAUCUACAAACAAUUUUUUACAGUCUGCAACAUUUUGGAAAUCAGGAAUUAGUUUUUGAAAGGAAAAUACUGAUAACAGAAAAAAGAACAAACAAAGGGGCAACCCACCGCCACAUGGGUCGGCCCAUGAGGGUUUGCUGGGGAGACGGGUGGGGUAUAAGCACGGACGCGGGGAGCUCCAAUUGCGUGCGUCAGAAAAAAAGGAAAAGAAAGGUAAAAGAAAGAAAAAGUGGAAAGUUACCAGAUCAUGCUGGUGGCGGGUUGGUUACGCCCGGGGUACACGAUUAGGGUGGUUGCUCAACAUGACAAUGAGUACCCGCGAAUCCGACGGGUCAAAACACUAGUGGGUAAGGGUUUGAGAAAGUUAAAUACCCAUGGGUUUUUAAAUGGCACAAAAAUGUAACCUUCGGGUAAGCCUGGUAUAGGUACGGGAAGGCAAUACCCAUACCCGUAUACCCGCGUACCCGCUGCAUAUUAGUACAUCUCAUACGUAGGUCCCCUAUGUCAUUCACUUAAAAAAAGAAAAACCCUAGCCUAACCCAGCCGCAGCCUGCACACAAAAUGCCCUCCCCUUACCCACCCAUCGCUCCUCACUCAUAGAACACAAACACCGUAUACCCAUCUCACCUCGGCUGAAAUGCUAAAUAAACAGACUGAAAUGUUGUGUUUUAUCUACUAAAAUAUUGAAAUUAUACAUUGUACAAUUUGAAUUGAAAGGUGACCGAGAUGGGUAUUACCCGCACACGGUCAAGAUUGGCGAUUUGAAUUGAAAGGUGACCGAGAUGGCUGUGAAAAAAGUUGAUCAUGUAUUUAAAAUAUGUUAAACAACUAUUAGAAAAAUGUUAAUCAAGCUUUUGAACAAUGUUGAAUGUGUAUAGGAAUAAUGUUGACCAUAUAUUAAACAAAUGGUAAAAUAUUUUGAUCAUGUCUAUGAAAAUAUGAAUCAAGCAUUUAAGAAAAUGUUGAACAAGUAUUUCAAAAAAGUUAAUCAAGCAUUCGGAAAAUGUUAAAUGUGUAUAAAAAUUGUUUACCAUGCAUUCAAAUAAAUGUUAAUCUUGAAUUUGGAAAAUGUUGGUAAAGCAUUUAAAAAAUGUUAAUUAUUCAUUCAAAAAUUGUUGACCCUGUAUAAGAAAAAUGUUGACCAUGUAUUAGGAAAUUCUUGACCAUGUAUUUGAAAAAAUGUUAAUCAAUCAUUUGAAAAAAAAUUAAAGUGUGUAUAGGAAAAAUGUUGAUCACGGACACAAAAUAUGUUAAUCUUGUAUUUAACAUAUGUUAACCAAGCAUGGUGGUGAUGGUGGUGGUGGAGUCGGAAUACCGGUAGGGCUUCAUUAAGCGAAAAAACCGUGGACGAGAACUAUGCCGGGAGAGAGAGAGACGGGGCAGUAGUUAAGGCCAAUGUAUUGGGUACCUUUGCUGCGCCCCUCCCCCAUUUUUAUAUGCAUCGGGGGGGCUUGGAGUCCAGCCCUACUCCUAAUUAAUACGUGUUGGGGCCAAAGGGGUAGAGGACUUGGACUCCAAGCCAAUUCUAUUCCUACUAGGACUCCCCCUUUUCCCUUCCCCGGCUAUAUGGGCUUUUGAGGACUUGGUGCGCCUAGCCCAAUAAAGCCAGGGCGCCUCCCCUUAGCCCAUGUCAGCCCUUGGGACGUGGUGAACCCACUUGUGGACUUCCGGACCCCUCCGGAACCUUUUGGAAGCUUCCCAAUACAAUACCAAAAAAACUUCACCUUUUCCGAAACCCAACAUAUGACUUCCCAUAUAUAAAUCUUUACCUCUCGACCAUUUCCGAGACUCCUCGUGACGUCCGAGAUCUCAUCCGGGACUCCGAACAACAUUUGGUUACCAAUAUUACUCUAGCGUCACCAAACGUUAAGCGUGCGGACCCUACGGGUUCGAGAAUGAUGUAGACAUGACUAAGACACUUCUCCGGUCAAUAACCAAUAGCAGAACCUGGAUGCCCAUAUUGGUUCCUACAUAUUCUAUGAAGAUCUUUAUCGGUCGAACCUUUUAUGACAAUGAUACGUCUCCAAUGUAUCUAUACUUUUUGAUUGUCCAAUGCUAUUAUAUUAUCUAUUUUGGAUGUUUUUUAUGCAUUAAUAUGCUAUUUUAUAUUAUUUUUGGGACUAACCUAUUAACCUAGAGCCCAGUUGUCAGUUUCUGUUUUUUCUUUGUUUUUGAGCCUAGCAAAAAAGGAAUACCAAACAGAGUCCAAACGGAAUAAAACCUUCACAAUGAUUUUUGUUGUACCAAAAGACACCCGUUGGAUCUGGACUCCAAGUCAGAAGACCUUAGAGUACACGACAAGCCACAGGGGCGCGCCCUCUACCUUGUGGCCUACUCCAACACCCCCUGACCUAAUUCUUCAUCCUAUAUAUUAACAAAUAUUCCCAAACCACCAAAGGCAUCCACAAAAACACUUUUCCACUGCCGCAACCUUCUGUUCCCGUGAUAUCCCAUCUAGGGGCCUUUCCGGCAUCCUGCCAGAGGGGGAUUUGAUCACAGAGGGCUUCUACAUGAACUCUAUUGCCCUUCCGAUGAAGCGUGAGUAGUUUACCACAAACCUACGUGUCCAUCGCUAGUAGCUAGAUGGCUUCCUCUCUCUCUUUGAUUCUCAAUACCAUGUUCUCCUCGAUGUUCUUGGAGAUCUAUUCGAUGUAAUCUUCUUUUGUGGUGUAUUCGCCAAGAUCCGAUGAAUUGUGGAUUUAUGGUCAGCUUAACUAUGAAUAUUAUUUGAAUCUUCUCUGAAUUUUUAUAUGUAUGAUUUGAUAUCUUUGUAAUUCUCUUCGAACUAUCGUUUUAGUUUGGCCAACUAGAUUGCUUUUUCUUGCAAUGGGAGAAGUGCUUAGCUUUGGGUUCAAUCUUGCAGUGUCCUUUCCCUGUGACAGUAGGGGCAUCAAGGCACGUAUUGUAUUGUUGCCAUCGAGGAUAAAAAGAUGGGGUUUACAUCAUAUAUCUUGAGUUUAUUCCUCUACAUCAUGUCAUCUUACUUAAUGCGUUACUCUGUUCUUUAUGAACUUAAUACUCUAGAUGCAGGCAGGAGUCGGUCGAUGUGUGGAGUAAUAGUAAUAAAUGCAGGCAGGAGUUGGUCUACUUGACACAGACGUGAUGCCUAUAUUUCAUAAUCAUGGCCUUGGAUAUCAUCAUAACUUUGCGCUUUUCUAUCAAUACUCGACAGUAAUUUGUUCACCCACCGUAAUAUUUGCCUUCAUGAGACAAGCCUCUAGUGAAAUCUAUCUCCCCUUGGUCUAACUUCCAUCAUAUUAGUUUCUGAUCUAUUAUUUUGCAAUCUUUUACUUUCAGAUCUAUAAACCAAAAAAAUCCAAAAACAUUUUGUCUUUUGUUUAUCAAUCUCUAUCAGAUCUCACUUUUGCAAGUGACCGUGAAGGGAUUGACUACCCCUUUAUCAUGUUGGGUGCAAGUUGUUUGAUUGUUUGUGCAGGUAUUGGUGGCUUGUGCGUUGUCUCGUACUGGAUUGAUACCUUGGUUCUCUAACUGGGGGGAAAUACUUAUCUCUACUUCACCGCAUCACCCUUUCCUCUUCAAGGGAAAAACCAACGCAAUCUCAAGAAGUAGCAGGAAGAAUUUCUGGCACCGUUGCCAGGGAGAUCUGCGCAAAGUCAAGACAUACCAAGUGCCCAUCAUAAAACUCUGAUCUCUUGCAUUACAUUAUUCAUGAUUUGCCUCUCGUUUUCCUCUCCCCCACUUCUAAAACAAUUUUCGAAAAGAUUAGCCUUUUUAUUCGCCUUCUUUCCGUUUGACUUUUUGCUCAUUGGCUAUCUUUGCUUGUGUUCCCAUGUGCCCUCUAUUUUCUUGCAUCUUUGCUUGCUAAAAAUCUUUUGAUAUGGAACCACUUAAAGUUUUCUACUUGGAUCAUCUUUGAUCCAUAUGUGCUCGUGUUGAAACCCUAACUAGUUUAGUUGAGGGAAAAUCUUUAGAUGAGUAUGCUCAUUUUGUGUGUCAUUGUUUCUCUGAAAAAGGGAGACUCUUAUGGAAUCAAAUAAAUUGUUUGCUAUGUUAUGCUUGGAAUCUUUGUGAACUUUGUGAUUUUACUUGUUGCUCUAAGAACCCUAAAAAACACCUUCCCUACCUAUGUGAGUUUAAUGAUAAUGAAAUCUUAUCUUCUUAUGAAAAGGGUGUUUACAAUUACUAUGAUAUCGAACAAACGGAAGAAUUUGUUGCUUUUAAGGGUGCUUAUGAAGUUGCUUCUUUGAUUAAAAAGUAUGAUAUUACUCUCUACAAAUCUGAAAAUUUUGACAUACUUAAAUAUUGCUAUGAGAACUAUGCUCAUAAUGCCUAUGUUAAGGAAUUUAUUGAGAGAAUGACCGUUGAUUUGGAAUAAUAAUAAUGAUAUGCAUGAAUCCAUAGAUAAUUAUGAUUCUGAUGAUUUGAUUGAAAUAUCCCUUGAUGAACAUGAUGCCUGCUAUUCUUAUGGCCAUGAUGCCAAUAUUAAUUAUGCUUAUGGAGAUGAACUUGCUAUAGUUCCUUAUGUUAAACAAUGAAUUAUUUCUUUUGCAACCACACUUGAUAGUUCCUUCGAUGAAAAGGAUGAUCGUAAUGAUGUUAUUAUAAAUUCUAUUAAGGUCAAUUGUGUUAAUGAUAUGCAAAACACUAAGCUUGGAGAUGCUAGUUUUGUUAUGUCCACUACUUGUUGCAAUGAUCAUGAUUGGGGUGAUUCUUCUCAUGAUCUUGAAAAUAUAUUUAAACCUCAUGAUGAAUAUGUUUGCUAUAAUAUUGAAAGUGGGUUUGGAAGAGUGUCAACUUUAGAUCCCACAUAUUUGGAUAAUUUUCAAUCUUAUGAAGUUUUGAUAAAAGUGGGUUUGGAGAGGUCAUGACUUUAGUUAAUGUUAAUCCCACUAUUUUGGAAGAGUGUCAACUUCGCAUGCAUGUGGAUCUUGCUGAGAAUAUGUUAUGUGAUAGCUAUAUUGUUGAAUUUGAAUAUGAUCCCAUGUGCAAUAACUAUAAGAGAGGAAAAUAUGGUUUUAGAAAUUUUCAUGCUACUAAAUUACCUCUCUUCAUGUUGAGAUUGUCUAUGUUUUAUUCUUUCUUUGCAUAUGCUAGUUUUUGCUUGCCUUGAUAAUUCGUUUGCUUAUAAAAUGUCUAUGCAUAGGAAAUAUGUUAGACUUAGAUGUGUUUGUAACGUGUUUUAUGAUGCUCUCUUUGUGCUUCAAUUCUUCUCUUUUAUGUGAGCAUCAUUGAAAUUAUCAAUGCCUAGCUAAAAGUCUUUAAAGAAAAGCGCUUGUUGGGAGACAACCCGAUAUUUUUCAUUCGAGUUUUUCAAUAAAUAAUUCAUCUAGCCUCUGUUAUAUGUGUUUUUGUGUUUUAGUUAGUGUUUGUGCCAGGUAAGACCUUUGGAAUGGCUUACGGUGAUAGUUGUUUUGAUCUUGCUGAAAACCAGAAACUUUUGCGCCCAGGAAAAUAAUUUUCACUUUUUAUAGAAGCAUGCUUUUGAUCUAAUUAUUUUUGCACAAGAUUGGUUCACAAAUUUCCCAGGGUGUCCUAAUAUGUUAGAAUAUUUGUAGUUACAGAAGUAUUUGAAGAUUCCAGAUUGCUAUAUACUAUUCUGUUUUUGAUAGAUUUUGUUUUCUAUUGGUUGUUUGCUUAUUUUGAUGAAUAUAUGGGUAGUAUCGGGGGUAUGAACCAUGGAAAAGUUGGAAUACAGUAGAUAUUACCACUAGUAGAAAACAGGGCUACCGUUCGGCCCUGGCCAGCCCAUUAGUCCCGGUUGAUCAAGAACCGGGACCAAUGGGGGGUAUUACACCCGGUUCGUGAGCCCAGGGGGGCGACCGGGGCCUCGUGGGCAUUGGUCCCGGUUCGUGUGGAACCAUUUGUCCCGGUUCAAGCCACAAACCGGGACCAAUGGUCCUCGCUGCUGGCCCACAACCAUUGGUCCCAGUUCGUGGCUUGAACCGGGUAGAAGGGUUGGCUUUAGUCCCUGUUCAUGCCACGAACCGGGACAAAUAACUUGCCUACAUAUACCCACCGCUGGGCAGAGCACUCCACAGUGCUCUCUUUUUGUCAAGCCGGUGAGGGGAGGGCAUUUGGGUGCUGUAGUUCACCUCCUAUGCACAUGAGAUGUUCGACGAAAUGCCCGAGCCACACUAGUUAAGCUUUCUCCUCUCGAAACUCGACCUCCAAGCUCCAUUUUCAACGAGAUUUGUCUAGAUUUAGCGGUCCGUCACGCCCCGUCCCCGCCCUGUCUUCACCGCCGUCGACCGCCCGCGCCGAUCUCGUCGCCGGCACCAGCAUGGUGAGUCUCUUGUUCUUAUCUUCUUUCUGAAAGAAAAAAAUUCUGACUUCAGAUAGAUACUUGUCUAAUUUUCUUACUUUUAUUAUUCCUUUUUAUUAUAUAGUGCGAUGGUUUUGGUAUCCGCCCCCGUCGGCCCUCGUCCUGUCUAUGAUUCAGAUGCGGUAUAUAUUAUCUUUUCAUAACUAUUUGGUUCAUUUAUUGUUUAUGACAAUUAUGCCGACCAAUGUGACAUAGAUUUUAUUUAUCUAGGAGGUUGUUGAACCGGAAAUCCCAACCGACCCUAUUGUCGAGAGGUUAAAUUUAGUUGAAGAAGAAAACAAUUACUUGAAGGAAAAAAUAAGAAAAAUUGAGGAGGAGAAGAUGAUAUUGGAGUUGCAUGUUGCGGAUGUCGUCGAUGAUCACAAGAUCAAGAUGGAUGCAAUGCGGUUGAAGAUUAAAAAGAUUAGAAAAUAUGCCAUGCAUAUUGAGGCUUGGAAUCAUUAUGCAGUUGGAUCAGCUGCUACCUUGGUUGCGGUUAUGAUCGCAUUUGUUUUUGCAUUGAAAUGUUUUACAUAAUUUCAAUGUAUGGUUUAAUUAGAUGCUCUGGAGAGCUAUAUGUUGUUCAAUGAGAACUACGUAUGUACUUUGGUUUUAAUGCCAUGGAUAACUAUGUAUGUACUUUGGUUUCAGAGUUCAUUUCAAAUGCUUUUCAACUUCAUGGUCUUACAAGGAGAUUCCGUAUGAAACCCUGAUACUUCGAAGGAGAUUGUCUGUUUUGUACAUGAAGUGCAUCAAGUUUUUGCCGUAAGCCUCUCUACUUUCUUGCACAUGCUAUGUGGGUGAAAUGAUGACACCAUGCCAACUUGGAACCUUCUCAGAGUUCAUUUCAAAUGCUUUUCAAUUUCAUGGUCUUAUAGCUCAAAAUAAUCAGUAAAUGCAUGAAAAAUAACACAUGAAGUCAGAAAAGGUUGUAAAUUGAUGAUGUGGCUUUGAAUGGUGGAUUUUGAACACAGAAAAACAAGGGGGUUCAAAUAAGAUCAAAAAAUGAAAUCCCUUUGUAACAGAUGAGUUUUCGUAUGAAACCCUGAUACUUCGAAGGAGAUUGUCUGUUUUGUACACGAAGUACAUCCAGUUGUUGCCGUAAGCCUCUCUANNNNNNNNNNNNNNNNNNNNNNNNNNNNNNNNNNNNNNNNNNNNNNNNNNNNNNNNNNNNNNNNNNNNNNNNNNNNNNNNNNNNNNNNNNNNNNNNNNNNNNNNNNNNNNNNNNNNNNNNNNNNNNNNNNNNNNNNNNNNNNNNNNNNNNNNNNNNNNNNNNNNNNNNNNNNNNNNNNNNNNNNNNNNNNNNNNNNNNNNNNNNNNNNNNNNNNNNNNNNNNNNNNNNNNNNNNNNNNNNNNNNNNNNNNNNNNNNNNNNNNNNNNNNNNNNNNNNNNNNNNNNNNNNNNNNNNNNNNNNNNNNNNNNNNNNNNNNNNNNNNNNNNNNNNNNNNNNNNNNNNNNNNNNNNNNNNNNNNNNNNNNNNNNNNNNNNNNNNNNNNNNNNNNNNNNNNNNNNNNNNNNNNNNNNNNNNNNNNNNNNNNNNNNNNNNNNNNNNNNNNNNNNNNNNNNNNNNNNNNNNNNNNNNNNNNNNNNNNNNNNNNNNNNNNNNNNNNNNNNNNNNNNNNNNNNNNNNNNNNNNNNNNNNNNNNNNNNNNNNNNNNNNNNNNNNNNNNNNNNNNNNNNNNNNNNNNNNNNNNNNNNNNNNNNNNNNNNNNNNNNNNNNNNNNNNNNNNNNNNNNNNNNNNNNNNNNNNNNNNNNNNNNNNNNNNNNNNNNNNNNNNNNNNNNNNNNNNNNNNNNNNNNNNNNNNNNNNNNNNNNNNNNNNNNNNNNNNNNNNNNNNNNNNNNNNNNNNNNNNNNNNNNNNNNNNNNNNNNNNNNNNNNNNNNNNNNNNNNNNNNNNNNNNNNNNNNNNNNNNNNNNNNNNNNNNNNNNNNNNNNNNNNNNNNNNNNNNNNNNNNNNNNNNNNNNNNNNNNNNNNNNNNNNNNNNNNNNNNNNNNNNNNNNNNNNNNNNNNNNNNNNNNNNNNNNNNNNNNNNNNNNNNNNNNNNNNNNNNNNNNNNNNNNNNNNNNNNNNNNNNNNNNNNNNNNNNNNNNNNNNNNNNNNNNNNNNNNNNNNNNNNNNNNNNNAUGCUUUUCAAUUUCAUGGUCUUAUAGCUCAAAAUAAUCAGUAAAUACAUGAAAAAUAGCAAAUCAAGUCAGAAAGGGUUGUAAAUUGAUGAUGUGGCUUUGAAUGGUGCAUUUUGAACACAGAAAAACAAGGGGGUUCAAAUAAGUUCAAAAAAAAUUAAAUCCCUUUGUAACAGAUGAGUUUCCGUAUGAAACCUUGAUACUUCGAAGGAGAUUAUCUGUUUUGUACACGAAGUGCAUCCAGUUUUUGCCGUAAGCCUCUCUACUUUCUUGCAUAUGCUAUGUGGGUGAAAUUAUGAUACCAUGCCAACUUGGAACCUUUUUAGAGUUCAUUUCAAAUGCUUUUCAAUUUCAUGGUCUUAUAGCUCAAAAUAAUCAAUAAAUGCAUGAAAAAUAACAAAUGAAGUCAGAAAGGGUUGUAAAUUGAUGAUGUGGCUUUGAAUGGUGCAUUUUGAACACAGAAAAACAAGGGGGUUCAAAUAAGUUCAAAAAAAUGAAAUCCCUUUGUAACAGACGAGUUUCCGUAUAAAACCCGUAUACUUCGAAGGAGAUUGUCUGUUUUGUACACGAAGUGCAUCCAGUUUUUGUCGUAAGCCUCUCUACUUUCUUGCACUUGCUAUGUGGGUGAAAUGAUGAUACCAUGCCAACUUGGAAUCUUUUUAGAGUUCAUUUCAAAUGCUUUUCAAUUUCAUUGUCUUGUAGCUCAAAAUAAUCAGUAAAUGCAUGAAAAAUAACAAAUGAAGUCAGAAAUGGUUGAAAAUUGAUGAUGUGGCUUUGAAUGGUGCAUUUUUAACAUAGAAAAUCAAGGGGGUUAAAAUAAGUUCAAAAAAAUUGAAAUCCCUUUGUAACAGACGAAUUUUCGUAUGAAACCCUCAUACUUCGAAGGAGAUUGUCUGUUUUGUACACGAAGUGCAUCCUGUUUUUGCUGUAAGCCUGUCUACUUUCUUGCACAUGCUAUGUGGGUGAAAUGAUGAUACCAUGCCAACUUGGAACCUUUUCAAGGUUCCUUUCAAAUGCUUUUCAAUUUCAUGGUCUUAUAGUUCAAAAUAAUUAGUAAAUGCAUGAAAAAUAAUGAAUGAAGUCAGAAAGGGUUGUAAAUUGAUGAUGUGGCUUUGAAUGAUGCAUUUUGAACAUAGAAAAACAAGGGGGUUGAAAUAAGUUCAAAAAAAUUGAAAUCCCUUAGUAACAGACGAGUUUUCGUAUGAAACCCUGAUACUUCGAAGGAGAUUGCCUGUUUUGUACACGAAGUGCAUCCAGUUUUUGCCGUAAGCCUCUCUACUUUCUUGCACAUCCUAUGUGGGUGAAAUGAUGAUACCAUGCCAACUUAGAACCUUUUCAGAGUUCAUUUCAAAUGCUUUUCAAUUUCAUGGUCUUAUAGCUCAAAAUAAUCAGUAAAUGCAUGCAAAAUAACAAAUGAAGUCAGAAAGGGUUGUAAAUUGUUGAUGUGGCUUUGAAUGGUGCAUUUUGAACACAAAAAACAUGGGGGUUCAAAUAGGUUCAAAAAAGUUGAAAUCCCUUUGUAACAGACGAGUUUCCGUAUGAAACCCUGAUACUUCGAAGGAGAUUGUCUGUUUUGUACACGAAGUGCAUCCUGUUUUUGCCGUAAGCCUGUCUACUUUAUUGCACAUGCUAUGUGGGUAAAAUGAUGAUACCAUGCCAACUUGGAACCUUUUCAGAGUUCAUUUCAAAUGAUUUUCAAUUUCAUGGUCUUAUAGCUCAAAAUAAUCUGUAAAUGCAUGAAAAAUAACAAAUGAAGUCAGAAAGGGUUGUAAAUUGAUGAUGUGGCUUUGAAUGAUGCAUUUUGAACACAGAAAAACAAGGGAGUUGAAAUAAGUUCAAAAAAAUUGAAAUCCCUUUGUAACAGACGAGUUUCCGUAUGAAACCCUGAUACUUCGAAGGAGAUUGUCUGUUUUGUACACGAAGUGCAUCCAGUUUUUGUCGUAAGCCUCUCUACUUUCUUGCACUUGCUAUGUGGGUGAAAUGAUCAUACCAUGCCAACUUGGAACCUUUUCAGAGUUCAUUUCAAAUGCUUUUCAAUUUCAUGGUCUUAUAGCUCAAAAUAAUAAGUAAAUGCAUGCAAAAUAACAAAUGAAGUCAGAAAGGGUUGUAAAUUGUUCAUGUGGCUUUGAAUGGUGCAUUUUGAACACAAAAAAUCAAGGGGGUUCAAAUAGGUUCAAAAAAGUUGAAAUCCCUUUGUAGCAGACGAGUUUCCGUAUGAAACCCUGAUACUUCGAAGGAGAUUGUCUGUUUUGUACACGAAGUGCAUCCUGUUUUUGCCGUAAGCCUGUCUACUUUAUUGCACAUGCUAUGUGGGUGAAAUGAUGAUACCAUGCCAACUUGGAACCUUUUCUGAGUUCAUUUCAAAUGCUUUUCAAUUUCAUGGUCUUAUAGCUCAAAAUAAUCAGUAAAUGCAUGAAAAAUAACAAAUGAAGUCAGAAAGGGUUGUAAAUUGAUGAUGUGGCUUUGAAUGAUGCAUUUUGAACACAGAAAAACAAGGGGGUUGAAAUAAGUUCAAAAAAAGUGAAAUCCCUUAGUAACAGACGAGUUUUCGUAUGAAACCCUGAUACUUCGAAGGAGAUUGCCUGUUUUGUACACGAAGUGCAUCCAGUUUUUGCCGUAAGCCUCUCUACUUUCUUGCACAUCCUAUGUGGGUGAAAUGAUGAUACCAUGCCAACUUGGAACCUUUUUAGAGUUCAUUUCAAAUGCUUUUCAAUUUCAUGGUCUUAUAGCUCAAAAUAAUCAGUAAAUGCAUGCAAAAUAACAAAUGAAGUCAGAAAGGGUUGUAAAUUGUUGAUGUGGCUUUGAAUGGUGCAUUUUGAACACAAAAAAACAAGGGGGUUCAAAUAGGUUCAAAAAAGUUGAAAUCCCUUUGUAGCAGACGAGUUUCUGUAUGAAACCCUGAUACUUCGAAGGAGAUUGUCUGUUUUGUACACGAAGUGCAUCCUGUUUUUGCCGUAAGCCUGUCUACUUUAUUGCACAUGCUAUGUGGGUGAAAUGAUGAUACCAUGCCAACUUGGAACCUUUUCAGAGUUCAUUUCAAAUGCUUUUCAAUUUCAUGGUGUUAUAGCUCAAAAUAAUCAGUAAAUGCAUGAAAAAUAACAAAUGAAGUCAGAAAGGGUUGUAAAUUGAUGGUGUGGCUUUCAAUGGUGCAUUUUGAACACAGAAAAACAAGGGGGUUCAAAUAAGUUCAAAAAAAUGAAAUCCCUUUGAAACAGACGUGUCUCUGUAUGAAACCCUCAUACUUCGAAGGNNNNNNNNNNNNNNNNNNNNNNNNNNNNNNNNNNNNNNNNNNNNNNNNNNNNNNNNNNNNNNNNNNNNNNNNNNNNNNNNNNNNNNNNNNNNNNNNNNNNNNNNNNNNNNNNNNNNNNNNNNNNNNNNNNNNNNNNNNNNNNNNNNAUGAUGUGGCUUUGAAUGGUGCAUUUUUAACACAGAAAAACAAGGGGGUUAAAAUAAGUUCAAAAAAAUUGAAAUCCCUUUGUAACAGACGAAUUUUCGUAUGAAACCCUCAUACUUCGAAGGAGAUUGUCUGUUUUGUACACGAAGUGCAUCCAGUUUUUGCCGUAAGCCUCUCUACUUUCUUGCACACGCUAUGUGAGUGAAAUGAUGAUACCAUGCCAACUUGGAAUCUUUUCAGAGUUCAUUUCAAAUGCUUUUCAAUUUCAUUGUCUUGUAGCUCAAAAUAAUUAGUAAAUGCAUGAAAAACAACAAAUGAAGUCAGAAAUGGUUGUAAAUUGAUGAUGUGGCUUUGAAUGGUGCAUUUUUAACACAGAAAAACAAGGGGGUUAAAAUAAGUUCAAAAAAAUUGAAAUCCCUUUGUAACAGACGAAUUUUCGUAUGAAACCCUCAUACUUCGAAGGAGAUUGUCUGUUUUGUACACGAAGUGCAUCCAGUUUUUGCUGUAAGCCUCUCUACUUUCUUGCAUAUGCUAUGUGGGUGAAAUGAUGAUACCAUGCCAACUUGGAACCUUUUCAAGGUUCAUUUCAAAUGCUUUUCAAUUUCAUGGUCUUAUAGUUCAAAAUAAUUAGUAAAUGCAUGAAAAAUAAUGAAUGAAGUCAGAAAGGGUUGUAAAUUGAUGAUGUGGCUUUGAAUGGUGGAUUUUGAACACAGAAAAACAAGGGGGUUGAAAUAAGUUCAAAAAAAUUGAAAUCCCUUAGUAACAGACGAGUUUUCGUAUGAAACCCUGAUACUUCGAAGGAGAUUCCCUGUUUUGUACACGAAGUGCAUCCAGUUUUUGCCGUAAGCCUCUCUACUUUCUUGCACAUCCUAUGUGGGUGAAAUGAUGAUACCAUGCCAACUUGGAACCUUUUCAGAGUUCAUUUCAAAUGCUUUUCAAUUUCAUGGUCUUAUAGCUCAAAAUAAUCAGUAAAUGCAUGCAAAAUAACAAAUGAAGUCAGAAAGGGUUGUAAAUUGUUGAUGUGGCUUUGAAUGGUGCAUUUUGAACACAAAAAAACAUGGGGGUUCAAAUAGGUUCAAAAAAGUUGAAAUCCCUUUGUAGCAGACGAGUUUCCGUAUGAAACCCUGAUACUUCGAAGGAGAUUGUCUGUUUUGUACACGAAGUGCAUCCUGUUUUUGCCGUAAGCCUGUCUACUUUAUUGCACAUGCUAUGUGGGUGAAAUGAUGAUACCAUGCCAACUUGGAACCUUUUCAGAGUUCAUUUCAAAUGCUUUUCAAUUUCAUGGUCUUAUAGCUCAAAAUAAUCAGUAAAUGCAUGAAAAAUAACAAAUGAAGUCAGAAAGGGUUGUAAAUUGAUGAUGUGGCUUUGAAUGGUGCAUCUUGAACACAGAAAAACAAGGGGUUCAAAUAAGUUCAAAAAAAUGAAAUCCCUUCGAAACAGACGAGUCUCUGUAUGAAACCCUGAUACUUCGAAGGAGAUUGUCUGUUUUGUACACGAAGUGCAUCCAGUUUUUGCCAUAAGCCUCUCUACUUUCUUGCACACGUUAUGUGGGUGAAAUGAUGAUACCAUGCCAACUUGGAAUCUUUUCAGAGUUCAUUUCAAAUGCUUUUCAAUUUCAUUGUCUUGUAGCUCAAAAUAAUCAGUAAAUGCAUGAAAAACAACAAAUGAAGUCAGAAAUGGUUGUAAAUUGAUGAUGUGGCUUUGAAUGGUGCAUUUUUAACACAGAAAAACAAGGGGGUUAAAAUAAGUUCAAAAAAUUGAAAUCCCUUUGUAACAAAUGAAUUUUCGUAUGAAACCCUCAUACUUCGAAGGAGAUUGUCUGUUUUGUACACGAAGUGCAUCCAGUUUUUGCUGUAAGCCUCUCUACUUUCUUGCAUAUGCUAUGUGGGUGAAAUGAUGAUACCAUGCCAACUUGGAACCUUUUCAAGGUUCAUUUCAAAUGCUUUUCAAUGUCAUGGUCUUAUAGUUCAAAAUAAUUAGUAAAUGCAUGAAAAAUAAUGAAUGAAGUCAGAAAGGGUUGUAAAUUGAUGAUGUGGCUUUGAAUGGUGGAUUUUGAACACAGAAAAACAAGGGGGUUGAAAUAAGUUCAAAAAAAUUUAAAUCCCUUAGUAACAGACGAGUUUUGGUAUGAAACCCUGAUACUUCGAAGGAGAUUGCCUGUUUUGUACACGAAGUGCAUCCAGUUUUUGCCGUAAGCCUCUCUACUUUCUUGCACAUCCUAUGUGGGUGAAAUGAUGAUACCAUGCCAACUUGGAACCUUUUCCGAGUUCAUUUCAAAUGCUUUUCAAUUUCAUGGUCUUAUAGCUCAAAUAAUCAGUAAAUGCAUGCAAAAUAACAAAUGAAGUCAGAAAGGGUUGUAAAUUGUUGAUGUGGCUUUGAAUGGUGCAUUUUGAACACAAAAAAACAUGGUGGUUCAAAUAGGUUCAAAAAAGUUGAAAUCCCUUUGUAGCAGACGAGUUUUCGUAUGAAACCCUGAUACUUCGAAGGAGAUUGUCCGCUUUGUACACGAAGUGCAUCCUGUUUUUGCCGUAAGCCUGUCUACUUUAUUGCACAUGCUAUGUGGGUGAAAUGAUGAUACCAUGCCAACUUGGAACCUUUUAAGAGUUCAUUUCAAAUGCUUUUCAAUUUCAUGGUCUUGUAGCUAAAAAUAAUCAGUAAAUGCAUGAAAAACAACAAAUGAAGUCAGAAAUGGUUGUAAAUUGAUGAUGUGGCUUUGAAUGGUGCAUUUUUAACACAGAAAAACAAGGGGGUUAAAAUAAGUUCAAAAAAAUUGAAAUCCCUUUUUAACAGACGAAUUUUCGUAUGAAACCCUCAUACUUCGAAGGAGAUUGUCUGUUUUGUACACGAAGUGCAUCCAGUUUUUGCUGUAAGCCUCUCUACUUUCUUGCACAUGCUAUGUGGGUGAAAUGAUGAUACCAUGCCAACUUGGAACCUUUUUAGAGUUCAUUUCAAAUGCUUUUCAAUUUCAUGGUCUUAUAGCUCGAAACAAUCAGUAAAUGCAUGAAAAAUAACAAAUCAAGUCAAAAGGGUUGUCAAUUGAUGAUGUGGCUUUGAAUGGUGCAUUUUGAACACAUAAAAACAAGGGGGUUCAAGUAAGUUCAAAAUAAUUGAAAUCCCUUUGUAACAGACGAGUUUCCGUAUGAAACCCGUACNNNNNNNNNNNNNNNNNNNNNNNNNNNNNNNNNNNNNNNNNNNNNNNNNNNNNNNNNNNNNNNNNNNNNNNNNNNNNNNNNNNNNNNNNNNNNNNNNNNNNNNNNNNNNNNNNNNNNNNNNNNNNNNNNNNNNNNNNNNNNNNNNNNNNNNNNNNNNNNNNNNNNNNNNNNNNNNNNNNNNNNNNNNNNNNNNNNNNNNNNNNNNNNNNNNNNNNNNNNNNNNNNNNNNNNNNNNNNNNNNNNNNNNNNNNNNNNNNNNNNNNNNNNNNNNNNNNNNNNNNNNNNNNNNNNNNNNNNNNNNNNNNNNNNNNNNNNNNNNNNNNNNNNNNNNNNNNNNNNNNNNNNNNNNNNNNNNNNNNNNNNNNNNNNNNNNNNNNNNNNNNNNNNNNNNNNNNNNNNNNNNNNNNNNNNNNNNNNNNNNNNNNNNNNNNNNNNNNNNNNNNNNNNNNNNNNNNNNNNNNNNNNNNNNNNNNNNNNNNNNNNNNNNNNNNNNNNNNNNNNNNNNNNNNNNNNNNNNNNNNNNNNNNNNNNNNNNNNNNNNNNNNNNNNNNNNNNNNNNNNNNNNNNNNNNNNNNNNNNNNNNNNNNNNNNNNNNNNNNNNNNNNNNNNNNNNNNNNNNNNNNNNNNNNNNNNNNNNNNNNNNNNNNNNNNNNNNNNNNNNNNNNNNNNNNNNNNNNNNNNNNNNNNNNNNNNNNNNNNNNNNNNNNNNNNNNNNNNNNNNNNNNNNNNNNNNNNNNNNNNNNNNNNNNNNNNNNNNNNNNNNNNNNNNNNNNNNNNNNNNNNNNNNNNNNNNNNNNNNNNNNNNNNNNNNNNNNNNNNNNNNNNNNNNNNNNNNNNNNNNNNNNNNNNNNNNNNNNNNNNNNNNNNNNNNNNNNNNNNNNNNNNNNNNNNNNNNNNNNNNNNNNNNNNNNNNNNNNNNNNNNNNNNNNNNNNNNNNNNNNNNNNNNNNNNNNNNNNNNNNNNNNNNNNNNNNNNNNNNNNNNNNNNNNNNNNNNNNNNNNNNNNNNNNNNNNNNNNNNNNNNNNNNNNNNNNNNNNNNNNNNNNNNNNNNNNNNNNNNNNNNNNNNNNNNNNNNNNNNNNNNNNNNNNNNNNNNNNNNNNNNNNNNNNNNNNNNNNUUGUACACGAAGUGCAUCCAGUUUUUGCCGUAAGCCUCUCUACUUUCUUGCACAUGCUAUGUGGGUGAAAUGAUGAUACCAUGCCAACUUGGAACCUUUUCAGAGUUCAUUUCAAAUGAUUUUCAAUUUCAUGGUCUUAUAGCUCAAAAUAAUCAGUAAAUGCAUGAAAAAUAACAAAUCAAGUCAGAAGGGUUGUAAAUUGAUGAUGUGGCUUUGAAUGGUGCAUUUUGAAUACAGAAAAACAAGGGGGUUCAAGUAAGUUAAAAAUAAUUGAAAUCCCUUUGUAACAGACGAGUUUCCGUAUGAAACCCGUAUACUACGAAGGAGAUUGUCUGUUUUGUACACGAAGUGCAUCCAGUUUUUGCCGUAAGCCUCUCUACUUUCUUUCACUUGCUAUGUGGGUGAAAUAAUGAUACCAUGCCAACUUGGAACCUUUUCAGAGUUCUUUUCAAAUGCUUUUUAAUUUCAUGGUCUUAUAGCUCAAAAUAAUAAGUAAAUGCAUGAAAAAUAACAAAUGAAGUCAGAAAGGGUUGUAAAUUGAUGAUGUGGCUUUGAAUGGUGCAUUUUGAACAUAGAAAAUCAAGGGGGUUCAAAUAAGUUCAAAAAAAUUAAAUCCCUUUGUAAGAGACGAGUUUCCGUAUGAAACCCUGAUACUUUGAAGGAGAUUGUCCGUUUUGUACACGAAGUGCAUCCAAUUUUUGCCGCAAGCCUCUCUACUUUCUUGCACAUGCUAUGUGGGUGAAAUAAUGAUACCAUGCCAACUUGGAACCUUUUCAGAGUCCAUUUCAAAUUCUUUUCAAUUUCAUGGUCUUAUAGCUCAAAAUAAUCAGUAAAUGCAUGAAAAAAACAAAUGAAGUCAGAAAGGGUUGUAAAUUGAUGAUGUGGCUUUGAAUGGUUCAUUUCGAACACAGAAAAACAAGGCGUUUUAAAUAAGUUCAAAAAAAUGAAACCCCUUUGUAACAGACGCGUUUCCGUAUGAAACCCUGAUACUUCGAAGGAGAUUGUCUGUUUUGUACACGAAGUGCAUCCAGUUUUUGCUGUGAGCCUCUCUAAUUUCUUGCACAUGCUACGUGGGUGAAAUUAUGAUUCCAUGCCAACUUGGAACCUUUUCAGAGUUCAUUCCAAAUGCUUUUCAAUUUCAUGGUCUUAUAGCUCAAAAUAAUCAGUAAAUGCGUGAAAAAUAACAAAUGAAGUCCGAAAGGGUUGUAAAUUGAUGAUGUGGAUUUGAAUGGUGCAUUUUGAACACAUAAAAACAAGGGGGUUAAAAUAAGUUCAAAAAAUUGAAAUCCCUUUGUAACAGAUGAGUUUCCGUAUGAAACCGUGAUACUUCGAAGCAGAUUGUCUGUUUUGUACACGAAGUGCAUCCAGUUUUUGCCGUAAGCCUCUCUACUUUCUUGAAAAUGUUAUGUGGGUGAAAUGAUAAUACCAUGCCAACUUGGAACCUUUCCAGAGUUCAUUUCAAAUGCUUUUCAAUUUCAUGGUCUUAUAGCUCAAAAUAAUCAGUAAAUGCAUGAAAAAUAACAAAUGAAGUCAGAAAGGGUUGUUAAUUGAUGAUGUGGCUUUGAAUGGUGCAUUUUUAACACAGCAAAACAAGGGGGUUCAAAUAAAUUUCAAAUCCCUUUGUAACAGACGAGUUUCCGUAUGAAACCCUGAUACUUCGAAGGAGAUUGUCUGUUUUGUACACGAAGUGCAUCCAGUUUUUGCCAUAAGCCUCUCUACUUUCUUGCACCUUCUAUGUGGGUGAAAUUAUGAUACCAUGCCAACUUGGAACCUUUUCUUAGUUCAUUUCAAAUGAUUUUCAAUUUUGUGGUCUUAUAGCUCAAAAUAAUCAGUAAAUGCAUGGAAAAUAAGAAAUGAAGUCAGAAAGGGUUGUAAAUUGAUGAUGUGGCUUUGAAUGGUGCAUUUUGAACAUAGAAAAACAAUGGGGUUCAACAAGUUCAAAAAAAUGAAAUCCCUUUGUAACAGACGAGUUUCCGUAUGAAACCCUCAUACUUCAAAGGAGAUUGUCUGUUUUGUACACGAAGUUCAUCCAGUUUUUGCCGUAAGCCUCUCUAUUUUCUUGCACAUGCUAUGUGGGUGAAAUGAUGAUACCAUGCCAACUUGGAACCUUUUCAAAGUUCAUUUCAAAUGUUUUUCAAUUUCAUGGUCAAAAACAAAAUGAAGUCAGAAACAAAAUAAAAUAAAAUAAAUAUGUAAUUUGAAACAAAAUAAUAUAAACUUUAAUAAAAUAGAUAAUAGAAACAAAAAAAACUUUAAUAACAUAAAUAAAAAGUAUUUUCUAUUCAAAACAUUAUAAGCAACUUNNNNNNNNNNUGAUGUGGCUUUGAAUGGUGCAUUUUUAACACAGCAAAACAAGGGGGUUCAAAAAAAUUUCAAAUCCCUUUGUAACAGACGAGUUUCCGUAUGAAACCCUGAUACUUCGAAGGAGAUUGUCUGUUUUGUACACGAAGUGCAUCCAGUUUUUGCCAUAAGCCUCUCUACUUUCUUGCACAUUCUAUGUGGGUGAAAUUAUGAUACCAUGCCAACUUGGAACCUUUUCAUAGUUCAUUUCAAAUGAUUUUCAAUUUUGUGGUCUUAUAGCUCAAAAUAAUCAGUAAAUGCAUGGAAAAUAAGAAAUAAAGUCAGAAAGGGUUGUAAAUUGAUGAUGUGGCUUUGAAUGGUGCAUUUUGAACAUAGAAAAACAAUGGGGUUCAACAAGUUCAAAAAAAUGAAAUCCCUUUGUAACAGACGAGUUUCCGUAUGAAACCCUCAUACUUCAAAGGAGAUUGUCUGUUUUGUACACGAAGUGCAUCCAGUUUUUGCCGUAAGCCUCUCUAUUUUCUUGCACAUGCUAUGUGGGUGAAAUGAUGAUACCAUGCCAACUUGGAACCUUUUCAAAGUUCAUUUCAAAUGUUUUUCAAUUUCAUGGUCAGAAACAAAAUGAAGUCAGAAACAAAAUAAAAUAAAAUAAAUAUGUAAUUUGAAACAAAAUAAUAUAAACUUUAAUAAAAUAGAUAAGUAGAAACAAAAAAACUUUAAUAACAUAAAUAAAAAGUAUUUUCUGUUCAAAACAUUAUAAGCAACUUCUAGUAUUAUUGAAACUAAAAUUAUAUAAAAUUCAUGCAACUAAAAUUAUCAAAGUAUUUUCUGUUCAAAAUCAUUAAAAGCAAAAAGAAAUUUCAUAAAGAACUUUUUUUGUUAGAAACUUCAAUAGCAAAAAGAAUAAUCAUAAAAUAAAAUUAAUAAGUAAGUAUAAACAAAACAAAAUAAAAUAAAUAAGUAUUUUGUUGUAAGUAGAAACAAAAAAAUAAAGAAAAAAGAAAACAAAAAAACUGGGAAAAAAUAAAAAAUUUGCCACCAACUGGGCCACCACGGCCUGAAUACGACUAGAAACCCAUCCAUGGGCCAGGAUUCAGGCCCGCGGUAGGCCCAGAAGGCCCAGAAGGCAAAGCAGUAGCAAGUAGGCCCAUAAGCCUGCAGUGGAAGGAGCUCGAGAGGGGUGCGGCAGUGGGGCUUAUAAACCACUACACGCCCCUCUCAGCUAGCGAGGUGGGACUAAACUUUCGUGCCGCACCGCACCAGCACACGACCUUUGGUCCCGGUUGGUGCCACCAACCGGGACGAAAGGCCGCCGCUUCCCGCCCUUUGGGCUGCUGAAAAGAGACCUUUGGUCCCGGUUGGUGACACCAACCGGGACUAAAGGGGGGCAUUAGUCCCGGUUGGUGCCACCAACCGGGACUAAAGGCUUUGCUAUAUAAGCAACACUUAGCGGUUUCUGCAAAAAUCACUCCUCUUCUCCGCCCCGACGCCCCCACGCUGCUCCUUGUCGCCGUCGCUGCCGAGCCCUGCCCUGACGCCGUCGCCCGCACCCUCGCUCGACACUGUCGCCGCUCGCCGCCCUGCCCCGACGCCGUCGCCCGUGCCCUAGCCCGACGACGUCGCCGCUCGCNNNNNNNNNNNNNNNNNNNNNNNNNNNNNNNNNNNNNNNNNNNNNNNNNNNNNNNNNNNNNNNNNNNNNNNNNNNNNNNNNNNNNNNNNNNNNNNNNNNNNNNNNNNNNNNNNNNNNNNNNNNNNNNNNNNNNNNNNNNNNNNNNNNNNNNNNNNNNNNNNNNNNNNNNNNNNNNNNNNNNNNNNNNNNNNNNNNNNNNNNNNNNNNNNNNNNNNNNNNNNNNNNNNNNNNNNNNNNNNNNNNNNNNNNNNNNNNNNNNNNNNNNNNNNNNNNNNNNNNNNNNNNNNNNNNNNNNNNNNNNNNNNNNNNNNNNNNNNNNNNNNNNNNNNNNNNNNNNNNNNNNNNNNNNNNNNNNNNNNNNNNNNNNNNNNNNNNNNNGACGCCGUCGCCGUCGCCGCUUGCCGCCCUGCCCCGACCCCGCGCCCCUGCCCCUCCUCACCUUGGUCCGGCGGCGCCCUCCCCUAUUUUUUUAAUAUAUGUGAUAAUUGUUUUUGUUCAUAUAUAUGAUGAUUUUUUUUAUGGAAUAUGAUGUUUUUUUCAGAUUAUAUGUAUAUGAUUUUUUUAUAGAAUAUGAUGUUUUUGCUUUUUUAUAAAAAUGUAUAUAUGUUUGUAUGUUCUUUGUGUAUAUAUGUUCACAUAUGCAAAAGUUAGCUUUAGUACAUUUUAGGUUAGUUUAAUUUUUAGAAAAAAUUUAAAUAUCUAGCUAGGAAAGGAAGAAGAAGAAAAAUAAUGAGAGGAGAAAAAGGAAAAUAAGAAGAGGAAGAAAGGAGAAGAAGAGGAGAGGAAGAAGAGGAGAAAUAAAUAAGAAGAGGAAAAAAGAAGAAAAAAAGAGGAGAAGAAGAAAGGAAUAGAGGAGAAAGAAGAAAAAAUAGAAAUUUUCUAUUUUUUUUCUUCUUUCUCCUCUAUUCCUUUCUUCUUCUCCUUUUUUUCUUAUUUUUUUUCUUCAAUUGCUUCUCUUCUAUUCCUUUCUUCUUCUCCUCUUUUUAUUUCUUCUUUUGUCUUCUUAUUUUUUAUCGGGUAUGUCGUUGUCGAUAUACCCCCUCCCGAGAGUUUCAACACGAGGGGGGGGGUACCGAUAUACCCUCUCCCUGAUAACAUUAUUUUCCCACGUAUAUGUAUGUCGCGUCGUUGUCGAUAUAACCCCCUCCCGGAUAACUUCGACAUGAGGGGCGGUCGAUAUAUAUAUAUACCCACUCUCGACUGUGAUAACUUAUACCACGAGAGCACCCCCCUCGGCCCUCUCGCUCGACCAAAACUCUCGAGGACACCCAAACCCUAGAGAAAAAAUGAUGUUGGUCUCCAACCCCCUCCCGCCGCGCCCCUACCCGACAAACUCUCUCGAGGCCACCCAAAUUUACCAAGUUAAAAGAGCGUUGUCGUCGAGGCCACCCCAAACCCUUGAAGCAUUGUGUCGAGUACACCCCAAACCCUUGAAGCAUUGUCUAGGCCACCCCAAACCCUAGAGAAGCAGCGUCGAGGCCACUAACAUGAUUCCUUAUUGUGAUUAGCUAGCUAGUUCUACGUUUGCCACUAAAAUAUAUCCAUCUGUACCAUGUUUGAAUAAUAAUUGGCAUGUUGUAAAUAUUUGCAGAAACUAUGGAUCACUCCCGAGACGAAGCAACAGAAGCGAUGUUGGGGGAUAUGAUCGCACAAGGAAGUGAUGUCAUUGCAUCGUUUCUCUACGACACCGAUGGUCAGGAAGGACAAGGUGAAGAAGAGGGCUAUGUUCAUUAUGGCUCCGGUGACCCAUUAAUGCCGGUACAAGAAGAGUGAUAUGUUCAUGAUGGCUCCGGUGACCCAAUGGAGGUACAAGAAGGAGACCGUGUUGACUGCUCCGGUGACCGAACCGAGUCCGACCAGGUAUAUAUAUAUAUAGUUAAGCCCAUGCUGACUAGUUAAUUAAUGCAUUCAUUGUUUUCAUAUGUACACAUAUUAAUUAACUCUCGUCUUUCUUCUUUUUUCUCUAGCCCUCCGGAUCGAGCUCAACUUCGGUAAAGAAACGAGGCCCGAAGAAAAAGUUGCGCUCGGAUGAAAGGUUUGAGAUAACAGCAACCGCACGCGAUGGUAAGCCGAUUGAACCCAUCCAGAAAAGGGAUGCAUUUCAUGCUCAGUGCGGGGUUCUUGUUAGGGACAAGAUCCCGAUCAGUAUCCAGCAAUGGUUAAAGCCAAAGAAGAAGACCCUGAGGUGUCUUAUGUCUCCGAUAUGCAGAAAGAAGAUCUUUGGACAAUGCUUAAGGCAAAUUUCACCCUACCGCCAGAGGAGGAUCCAGAGAAGCCAGUUAAAGAGGAAUUCAUCAAGUCUCAUGCUCUUAAGAAGAUGGCAGAACUAUUCAGGAGGUGGAAGAAUGACCUGAAAAUGUUUGUCGACAAAGAAGAGACACCAGAAUUCACCGGCCGACUUGAGAAGAUCAGAGAUCAAUGGCCCGCAUUUGUGGCCCACAAGACAUCGGAAAAGAGUAAGAAGAUGUCAGCGACAAACAAGAUUAAUGCUGCGAAGAAGAAGCAUCACCGUCGCACGGGGUCAGGUGCUUACCUCAAAGCCCCACCUUUGUGGGACAAGGCUGAGAAUGACCUAAUUACUAAAGGGGUCGAACUAGAGACAUUGAGAUGGCCAGACCGUUGCCAGAUUUGGUUCUUCGGGGUUGGCGGAACCUUGGACCCUGUAUCAGGGAAGUGCGUUUGGACGGAUGAGCAACUGCGAAUACCCGUCAGGAAGCUUCGACACUAUAUCGCCGUAGCACAGGAAGGGACGUUCGUUCCAGACAGAGAGAAGGACGAGCUCACAAUGGCCCUCGGGAAUCCUAAGCACCCUGGACAGACACGAGGCACACCAGGCUCCCUUUCAUGGAAGGCUGGGUUUCCGGACACAGGGGGUUACAAAAACUAGGAGAGGAGGAAGAAAGUGGAGCACAGCCAACUGCAGGUGCUGCAUGAAAGGGUACAAGGGCUAGAGGAAUGAGAAGCAGAUCACAGCGAACGACCUAUCGAAGCUUCCCCUGAAGCUACCCCGCCAUCUCAGCGGAGAAGCAAUGUGGCUUCCACCGAGCAGACUCAGCAGCUGGAGCCUGUCUUCAUGGGCUACCCCGUGGAUGCUAUCACAGAGUCUCAACAUUGUCACCUUAUGACGCGAUGGAUGACAUUGAAAGUCAAGGCGGUUGUUGGCUCUGUUAUACCUAAUGAACCUGGCUCAACCUACCAUGGCCAGCCGAUUCCAGAAGGAUAUGCUAGGGUGAUGGUGGAUCAAAUAACGGACGGAUUUGAGGACCUUGAGCUUGACCACCCUACGGGUGAAGGGGAGAUUCGGCUGGCUUCCUCUCUGAAGACUCCAUGCCUAUGGCGGAAGGAGCUCAUCAACCUUCCGAACUGGACGCCUCUGCCUCCUCCUCCUCAUCCGGCGAGUCAGGGCACUCCGCCUCCUCCUUUGCCUUCUCCAGCGAGUGAUCAGGGCACUCAGCCUCCUUCUUCGGUGCGUGGCGGCACUCCGCCUCCUUCUCCGCCUGCGCCGGCGCGCCCGAGCAGCCAGCUGCCUCCUCCUUCUCCACCUCACCAGCAAGGGUAGAAGAGACCCGCCGCCGCCCCGGCUGCUCCGGCGCGUCGUAGUCCUUCUCCUCCACCUCGUAAGCAAGCACAAAAGAAGACAGUCGCAGCCGCUCCGUCUGCUCCGGCGUCUAGCAGUACAGCCAGAGGUGGGAGGCAAUACAGAUAUGGUCCAUCUCUCAAGCCUCUAGAGAAGUUACCGUACGAGAGGACCGAGGAGGAAAACGCGAAGAUCAUGCAGACCGAAGUGAAGGACUUCUUUGAAGGGUUGAAAGCAAAGAGACAUCCACCUCCGGAGGAGAAGGUAGAUCCGGUGAAAGCAAAGCGCACUAUCGAUGCCCUGAGCAAACUACCAAAGUCUCCGCCGAAAACCAACUAUGAGCGCAUUACUAAAAAGACAUAUCUCGAAGCUAACUGGCCGGGAAGUACUGUGAGUGAUCAAAGGUUAAAAGAACGAGCAGCUGGGAAAAAAAUUGCCCAGCUCGGCGAACAAGCAAAGCAAUCGUGCCCCCCGCUCAAUGUGUCUAGCGACAUCGUCGCUAAUGCGCCGGGGAUGGUGCCCGGUUAUAACAAUCUUGGAGGUUAGCUGCAUGAUGAUGUACAUUUUGAUUUCUUGGAGGUGGACAAACACAGAUACGAGUACGGGAAGCCUCUCGUUAAAGAUGAAAAAUCUCUAACAACGAUGAUGCAAAGAUUCCAUAAUUGGUACAUGAAAACCUGCAGAGAGUCUGGGGGGACGAAUACUUUGUAUCUGAGAAUUAAAGAGGAGCACGACCUCGUUGGAACUGAUCUGUUGCCUGUUCCAUUUGAGGAGUUCUUCGAGUUCUUCAAUCAAAAGGCCCUCGAUAAAUUAACGGUCUUUUGCUACUGUCUGUAAGUACUAUUUCUGUCAUUAAGUCUCUAUAUAUAGCUCGGCUCUUUCAUUGCAUGUAUUUAUAAUUAAUUAUCCUCACUAUAUUAUGCAGAUUGAAGAUCGUCGAGUGCAAAAGACAAGAAAUGUAUGAUAUUGGGUUCACUAACACAAAUAUCAUAGAUGAAUUUCAGGUUAAAAAGAACGCCGCAGAGGCCGAGGCCAACUUGCUACAAUCAUUGAUCAAAAAUCAAAACAAAGAUUUAAUACUCUUUCCUUACAACUUCAAGUGAGUGUUACUGUCGUGUGCAUAUUCGGUUUCCCUUAUUACUCGAGCGAGUUUAUAGUAAUGUAAUUGAUGAGUUAUGCAUGCGUCCGCAGCUUCCACUAUGUUCUUCUGGAUAUUAAGCUUGAGCGGGGACUAGUAACCGUCUUAGACUCGAGACGAAAAGAUCCCAAAACUUAUGUGGACAUGACUAAAUUGCUCAACAAGUAAUUUCAAUCGAUCAUUAUCGCACCAUAUCGGCAACUUUUUGUUCAUUUCCUGAUAUCUCAAGUAAUAAUAAUAAUUUUCUUUGUCUUGCAGGGUUUGGAAACAGUUCACCGCAGAAGCUCCGGGACUGCCGAAGGAGCUGCGAUAUACAUACCCGAAAGUAAGUACUACUAGCUAGCUAGUUGCGCGCAUCUCCCGUUGAUUCUAUAGCUAUACUUUCAUCAAUGCCAUUUAUAAUGCUUCAUUAUCAGUUUGAUUGACCUCUAUUUCUCGUAAAGUGCUUGUGGCAGGAAGAAGGGAAUAAUUUCUGUGGAUACUACGUGUGUGAGUUCAUCUACAACGCGACUUUCAAAAAUAAGCGGGGCUACUCUAAAAGACAAUAUGAAGUGCGUAAGCAAUAAUAUUCACAAUUUCAUUUUAUUACACCAUCAUUUCUGUUGAGUUUCAUUCAUAUACGUAUUAACCCCCUUCUUCAAAUUAGACGUGGCAGAUGCGGAAUGAACUCCUACCACAAGAUUGCAUGAAAGCAAUUCAAGAGGAAUUGGCGGGAUUCUUUCUUGACCACGUCAUCAAUAAAGCCGGAGAAUACCAUGUGGAAGUUGAUUUCAAAUGCUAGGGGAUUGUAAGAGAUCUUACAUAUUGUAUAUGUAUGUAGCCAGUAGCAUCGGAUAGAUAAUACAAAAAGUUGUUGUUCGACCAAUCUCUCAGAGAAGGAGAGGUCGAUCGAUCACUUCUCUCGGUAUGCAUGACGAACUUCUGUACUUGAUGGUUUCCGUCAUUUUCUUACUAGCUAGCAUGUCAAGGGCCUCUCUAUGUACAGUACGUAGCGUCGACCAAGCACGGACAUAAGAGAGGACACUUCUCUCUAUUAAUUAGCUAGCUAACACAAUAUAUGAAACACCUAAAUUAACCCCCCAAAAACCCCAACCCCCCUCCCCUUUCAAAAAAAACAAAAACCCCAACCCUGAAAAGCUCACGCGUGGAUGCCUUUGUUAGGGAACGUUGCAGAAAAUAAAAAAUUUCUGACGGUUUCACCAAGAUCAAUCUAUGAGUUCAUCUAGCAACGAGAGAGAGGAGUGCAUCUACAUACCAUUGUAGAUCCAGCGGAAGCGUUCAAGAGAACGGGGUUGAGGGAGUCGUACUCGUCGUGAUCCAAAUCAUCGGAGAUCCUAGCGCCGAAUGGACGACACCUCCGCAUUCAACACACGUACGGUCAGGGAGACGUAUCCUCCUUCUUGAUCCAGCAAGGGGGAAGGAGAGGUUGAUGAAGAUCCAGCAGCCCGACGGCGUGGUGGUGGAUGUAGUAGCGAUCUCGGCAGGGCUUCGCCAAGCGUCUGCGAGAGGGAGACGUGUAGCAAGGGGAGAAGGAGGCGCCAAGAGCAUGGGUGCGGCUGCCCUCCCUCCCUCCUCUUUAUAUAGGGCCCCUAGGGGGCGCCAGCCCUAGGAGAUGGGAUCUCCUAGGGGGGCGCCGGCCAAGGGGGUGGCUUUCCCCCCAAGGCAAGUGGAGGCGCCCCCCACCCCUAUGGUUUCCAACCCUAGGAGCAGGGGGGCCCAAGGGGGGCGCACCAGCCCACCAGAGGCUGGUUCCCCUCCCACUUCAGCCCAUGUGGCCCUCCGGGAUAGGUGGCCCCACCCGGUGGACCCCCGGGACCCUACCGAUGGUCCCGGUACAAUACUGGUAACCCCCGAAAUUUUCCCAAUGGCCGAAACUUCACUUCCUAUAUAUAAUUCUUUACCUCCGGACCAUUCCGGAACUCCUCGUGACGUCCGAGAUCUCAUUCGGGACUCUGAACAACUUUCACUUUACUGCAUACUCAUAUCUCUACAACCCUAGUGUCAUCGAACCUUAAGUGUGUAGACCCUAUAUGUUUGGGAGACAUGCAGUCAUGACCGAGACGCCUCUCCGGUCAAUAACCAACAGCGGGAUCUUGAUACCCAUGUUGGCUCCCACAUGCUCCUUGAUGAUCUCAUCGGAUGAACCACGAUGUCGAGGACUCAAGCAAUCCCGUAUACAAUUCCCUUUGUCAAUCGGUACGUUACAUGCCCGAGAUUCGAUCGCCGGUAUCCCAAUACCUUGUUUAAUAUCGUUACCGGCAAGUCACUUUACUCGUACCAUAAUGCAUGAUCUCGUGAUCAUACACUUGGUCACAUUGAGAUCAUUAUGAUGAUGCAUUACUGAGUGGGCCCAGAGAUACCUCUCCGUCAUACGGAGUGACAAAUCCCAGUCUCGAUUCGUGCCAACCCAACAGACACUUUCAGAGAUACCCGUAGUGGACCUUUAUAGUCACCCAGUUACGUUGUGAUGUUUGGCACACCCAAAGCACUCCUACGGUAUCCGGGAGUUACACGAUCUCAUGGUCUAAGGAAAAUAUACUUGACAUUGGAAAAGCUCUAGCAAAACGAACUACACGAUCUUGUGCUAUGCUUAGGAUUGGGUCUUGUCCAUCACAUCAUUCUCCUAAUGAUGUGAUCCCGUUAUCAAUAGCAUCCAAUGUCCAUAGUCAGGAAACCAUGACUAUCUGUUGAUCAACGAGCUAGUCAACUAGAGGCUCACUAGGGACACAUUGUGGUCUAUGUAUUCACAUGUGUAUUAUGAUUUUCGGAUAACACAAUUAUAGCAUGAAUCAUAGACUAUUACCAUGAACAAAGAAAUAUAAUAAUAAUCAUUUUAUUAUUGCCUCUAGGGCAUAUUUCCAACAGUCUCCCACUUGCACUAGAGUCAAUCAUCUAGUUACAUUGUGAUGAAUCGAACACCCAUGGAAUUUUGGUGUUGAUCAUGUUUUGCCCUAGGGAGAGGUUUAGUCAACGGAUCUGCUACAUUCAGGUCCGUGUGUACUUUACAAAUAUCUAUGUCUCCAUCUUGAACAUUUUCACGAAUGGAGUUGAAGCGACGCUUGAUGUGCCUGGUCUUCUUGUGAAACCUGGGCUCCUUGGCAAGUGCAAUAGCUCCAGUGCUGUCACAGAAGAGUUUGAUCGGCCCCGACGCAUUGGGUAUGACUCCUAGGUCGGUGAUGAACUCCUUCACCCAGAUUGCUUCAUGCGCUGCCUCCAAGGCUGCCAUGUACUCUGCUUCACAUGUAGAUCCCGCCACGACACUUUGCUUGCAACUGCACCAGCUUACUGCCCCACCAUUCAAAAUAUACACGUAUCCGGUUUGUGACUUAGAGUCAUCCAGAUCUGUGUCGAAGCUAGCGUCGACGUAACCCUUUACGACGACCUCUUCGUCACCUCCAUACACGAGAAACAUGUCCUUAGUCCUUUUCAGGUACUUCAGGAUAUUCUUGACCGAUGUCCAGUGUUCCUUGCCGGGAUUACUUUGGUACCUUCCUACCAAACUUACGGUAAGGUUUACAUCAGGUCUGAUACACAGCAUGGCAUACAUAAUAGACCCUAUGGCUGAGGCAUAGGGGAUGACACUCAUCUCUUCUAUAUCGUCUGCCGUGGUCGGACAUUGAGCCGAGCUCAAUUUCACACCUUGCAACACAGGCAAGAACCCCUUCUUAGACUGAUCCAUAUUGAACUUCUUCAAUAUCUUAUCAAGGUAUGUGCUUUGUGAAAGACCUAUGAGGCGUCUCGAUCUAUCUCUAUAGAUCUUGAUGCCUAAUAUAUAAGCAGCUUCUCCAAGGUCCUUCAUUGAAAAACACUUAUUCAAGUAGGCCUUAAUGUUGUCCAAGAGUUCUAUAUCAUUUCCCAUCAAAAGUAUGUCAUCUACAUAUAAUAUGAGAAAUGCUACAGCGCUCCCACUCACUUUCUUGUAAACGCAGGCUUCUCCAUAAGUCUGCAUAAACCCAAACGCUUUAAUCAUCUCAUCAAAGCAAAUGUUCCAACUCCGAGAUGCUUGCACCAGCCCAUAAAUGGAUCGCUGGAGCUUGCAUACCUUGUUAGCAUUCUCAGGGUCGACAAAACCUUCCGGCUGCAUCAUAUACAGUUCUUCCUUAAGAUGACCAUUAAGGAAUGUCGUUUUGACGUCCAUUUGCCAUAUCUCAUAAUCAUAGUAUGCGGCAAUUGCUAACAUGAUUCAGACGGACUUUAGCUUCGCUACGGAAGAGAAUGUCUCAUCGUAGCCAACCCCUUGAACUUGCCGAUAACCCUUAGCGACAAGUCGAGCUUUAUAGAUGGUAACAUUACCAUCCGCGGCCGUCUUCUUCUUAAAGAUCCAUUUGUUUUCUAUUGCUCGCCGAUCAUCGGGCAAGUCUGUCAAAGUCCAUACUUCAUUUUCAUACAUGGAUCCUAUCUGGGAUUGCAUGGUUUCAAGCCAUUUUUUGGAAUUUGGGCCCUCCAUCGCUUCUUCAUAGUUCGAAGGUUCACCGUUGUCUAACAACAUGAUUUCCAAGAUAGGGUUGCCAUACCACUCUGGUGUGGAACGUGUCCUCGUGGACCUACGAAGUUCAGUAGUAACUUGAUCCGAAGUACCUUGAUCAUCAUCAUUAACUUCCUCUUUAGUUGGUGCUGGCACCACAGGAACAUCUUCCUGAGUUGCGCUACUCACUGAUUCAAGAGGUAGUACUUCAUCAAGUUCCACUUUCCUCCCACUUACUUCUCUCGAGAGAAAUUCUUUCUCCAGAAAGGACCCGUUCUUGGCAACAAAGAUGUUGCCUUCGGAUCUGAGGUAGAAGGUAUACCCAAUGGUUUCCUUAGGGUAUCCUAUGAAGACACAUUUUUCCGACUUGGGUUCGAGCUUUUCAGGUUGAAGUUUCUUGACAUAACCAUCGCAUCCCCAAACUUUUAGAAACGACAACUUAGGUUUCUUCUCAAACCAUAAUUCAUAUGGUGUCGUCUCAACGGAUUUAGACGGUGCCCUAUUUAAAGUGAAUGUAGCUGUCUCUAGAGCGUAUCCCCAAAAAGAUAGCGGUAAAUCGGUAAGAGACAUCAUAGAUCGCACCAUAUCCAAUAAAGUGCGAUUAUGACGUUCGGACACACCGUUACACUGAGGUGUUCCAGGCGGCGUGAGUUAUGAAAUGAUUCCACAUUUCCUUAAGUGCGUACCAAAUUCAUGACUUCAAUAUUCUCCUCCACGAUCUGAUCGUAGGAACUUUAUCUUUCGGUCAUGUUGAUUCUCUACCUCAUUCUGAAAUUCCUUGAACUUUUCAAAGGUCUCAGACUUGUGUUUCAUCAAGUAGACAUACCCAUAUCUACUCAAGUCGUUAGUGAGAGUGAGAACAUAACGAUAUCCUCCGCAAGCCUCAACGCUCAUUGGACCGCACACAUCAGUAUGUAUGAUUUCCAAUAAAUUGGUUGCUCGCUCCAUUGUUCCGGAGAGCGUAGUCUUGGUCAUUUUGCCCAUGAGGCAUGGAUCGCAUGUGUCAAAUGAUUCAUAAUCGAGAGACUCUAAAAGUCCAUCAGCAUGGAGCUUCUUCAUGCACUUGACACCAAUGUGACCAAGGCGGCAGUGCCACAAGUAUGUGGGACUAUCGUUAUCAACUUUACAUCUUUUGGUAUUCACACUAUGAAUAUGUGUAACAUCACGUUCGAGAUUCAUUAAGAAUAAAGCAUUGACCAUCGGGGCAUGACCAUAAAACAUAUCUCUCAUAUAAAUAGAGCAACCAUUAUUCUCCGACUUAAAUGAGUAGCCAUCUCGUAUUAAACGAGAUCUAGAUACAAUGUUCAUGCUCAAACUUGGCACUAGAUAACAAUUAUUGAGGUUUAAAACUAAUCCCGUAGGUAAAUGUAGAGGUAGUGUGCCAACGGCGAUCACAUCGACCUUGGAACCAUUCCCGACGCGCAUCGUCACCUCGUCCUUCGCCAGUCUCCGUUUAUUCCGCAGUUCUUGCUUUGAGUUACAAAUAUGAGCAACCGCACCGGUAUCAAAUACCCAGGAGCUACUACGAGUACUGGUGAGGUACACAUCAAUUACAUGUAUAUCACAUAUACCUUUAGUGUUGCCGGCCUUCUUGUCCGCCAAGUACUUGGGGCAGUUCUGCUUCCAGUGACCACUUCCCUUGCAAUAAAAGCACUCAGUUUCAGGCUUGGGUCCAUUCUUUGACUUCUUCCCGGCAACUGGCUUACCGGGCGCGGUAACUCCCUUGCCGUCCUUCUUGAAAUUCUUCUUACCCUUGCCUUUCUUGAACUUAGUGGUUUUAUUCACCAUCAACACUUGAUGUUCUUUCUUGAUCUCUUCCUCCGCUGAUUUCAGCAUUGAAUAUACCUCAGGAAUGGUCUUUUCCAUCCCCUGCAUAUUGAAGUUCAUGACAAAGCUCUUGUAGCUUGGUGGAAGCGACUGGAAGAUUCUGUCAAUAACCGCGUCAUCCGGGAGAUUAACUCCCAGCUGAGUCAAGAGGUUGUGCAACCCAGACAUCUUGAGUAUGUGCUCACUGACAGAACUAUUCUCCUCCAUCUUACAGCUGAAGAACUUGCCGGAGACUUCAUAUCUCUCGACCCGGGCAUGAGCUUGGAAAACCAUUUUCAGCUCUUCGAACAUCUCAUAUGCUCUGUGUUGCUCAAAACGCUUUUGGAGCCCCGGUUCUAAGUUGUAAAGCAUGCCGCACUGAAUGAGGGAGUAAUCAUCAGCACGAGACCGCCAAGCGUUCAUAACGUCUUGGUUCUCUGGGAUGGGUGCUUCACCUAGCGGUGCUUCUAGGACAUAAUCUUUCUUGGCAGCUAUGAGGAUGAUCCUCAGAUUCCGGACCCAGUCUGUAUAGUUGCUGCCAUCAUCUUUCAGCUUGGUUUUCUCUAGGAACGCGUUGAAGUUGAGGGUAAUGUGGGCCAUUUGAUCUACAAGACAUAUUGUAAAGAUUUUAGACAAAGUUCAUGAUAAUUAAGUUCAUCUAAUCAAAUUAUUUAAUGAACUCCCACUCAAAUUAGACAUCCCUCUAGUCAUCUAAGUGAUACAUGAUCCGAGUCGACUAGGCCAUGUCUGAUCAUCACGUGAGACGGACUAAUCAUCAUCGGUGAACAUCUCCAUGUUGAUCGUAUCUUCCAUACGACUCAUGUUCGACCUUUCGGUCUCUUGUGUUCCGAGGCCAUGUAUGUACAUGCUAGGCUCGUCAAGUUAACCUAAGUGUUUAUGCAUGUGUAAAUCUUUCUUACACCCGUUGUAUGUGAAUGUUAGAAUCUAUCACACCCGAUCAUCACGUGGUGCUUUGAAACAACGAACUUUCGCAAUGGCACACAGUUAGGGGGAACACUUUCUUGAAAUUAUUAUGAGGGAUCAUCUUAUUUACUACCGUCGUUCUAAAUAAACAAGAUGCAAAAACAUGAUAAACAUCAUAUGCAAUCAAAUAGUGACAUGAUAUGGCCAAUGUCAUAUUGCUCCUUUGAUCUCCAUCUUUGGGGCUCCAUGAUCAUCUUCGUCACCGGCAAGACACCAUGAUCUCCAUCAUCAUGAUCUCCAUCAUCGUGUCUCCAUGAAGUUGCUCGCCAACUAUUACUUCUACUACUAUGGCUAAUGGUUUAGCAAUAAAGUAAAGUAAUUACAUGGCGUUGAAUCAAUGACGCGCAUGUCAUACAACAAUUAAGACAACUCCUAUGGCUCCUGCCGGUUGUCAUACUCAUCGACUUGCAAGUCGUGAUUCCUGUUACAAGAACAUGAUCUCAUACAUCACAUAUAUAUCAUCCAUCAUUCAUCACAACUUUUGGCCAUAUCACAUCACAAUCACAUGCUGCAAAAACAAGUUAGACGUCCUCUAAUUGUUGUUGCAUGUUUUAUGUGGCUGCAAUAGGGUUCUAGCAAGAACGUUUUCUUACAUACGUAAAAGCCACAAUGUGAUUUGUCAACUUCUAUUUACCCUUCAUAAGGACCCUUUUUAUCGAAUCCGCUCCAACUAAAGUGGGAGAGACAGACACUCACUAGCCACCUUAUGCAACUAGUGCAUGUCAGUCGGUGGAACCUGUCUCACGUAAGCGUACGUGUAAGGUCGGUCCGGGCCGCUUCAUCCCACAAUACCGCUGAAGCAAAAUAAGACUAGUAGUGGCAAGAAAGUUGACAACAUCUACGCCCACAACAAAUUUGUGUUCUACUCAUGCAAAGAGAACUACGCAUAGACCUAGCUCUGAUACCACUAUUGGGGAACGUUGCAGAAAAUAAAAUAUUUCCUACGGUUUCACCAAGAUCAAUCUAUGAGUUCAUCUAGAAACGAGAGAGAGGAGUGCAUCUACAUACCCUUGUAGAUCGAGCGGAAGCAUUCAAGAGAAUGGGGUUGAGGGAGUCGUACUCGUCGUGAUCCAAAUCACCGGAGAUCCUAGCGCCGAACGGACGGCACCUCCGCGUUCAACACACGUAUGGUCAGGGAGAAGUCUCCUCCUUCUUGAUCCAGCAAGGGGGAAGGAGAGGUUGAUGAAGAUCCAGCAUCACGAUGGCAUGGUGGUGGAAGCAGCAGCGAUCUCGGCAGGGCUUCGCCAAGCGUCUGCGAGAGGGAGAGGUGUAGCAAGGGGAGAGGGAGGCGCCAAGAGCAUGGGUGCGGCUGCCCUCCCUCCCCCCUCUUUAUAUAGGGCCCCUGGGGGGGCCUAGGAGAUGGGAUCUCCUAGGGGGGGCGGCGGCCAAGGGGGUGGCUUGCCCCUCAAGGCAAGUGGAGGCGCCCCCCACCCCUAGGGUUUCCAACCCUAGGCGCAGGGGGACCAAGGGGGGCGCACCAGCCCACCAGGGGCUGGUUCCCCUCCCACUUCAUCCCAUGUGGCCCUCCGGGAUAGGUGGCCCCACCCGGUGGACCCCCGGGACCCUUCCGGUGGUCCCGGUACAAUACCGGUAACCCCCGAAACUUUCCCGAUGGCCAAAACUUCACUUCAUAUAUAUAAUUCUUUACCUCCGGACCAUUUCAGAACUCCUUGUGAUGUCCGGGAUCUCAUCCGGGACUCCGAACAACUUUCGGUUUACUGCAUACUCAUAUCUCUACAACCCUAGCAUCACCGAACCUUAAGUGUGUAGACCCUACGGGUUCGGGAGACAUGCAGACAUGACCGAGACACCUCUCCGGUCAAUAACCAACAGCGGGAUCUGGAUACCCAUGUUGGCUCCCACAUGCUCCUCGAUGAUCUGAUCGGAUGAACCACGAUGUCGAGGACUCAAGCAAUCCCAUAUACAAUUCCCUUUUUCAAUCGGUACGUUACAUGCCCGAGAUUCGAUCGCCGGUAUCCCAAUACCUCGUUUAAUCUCGUUACCAGCAAGUCACUUUACUCGUACCAUAAUGCAUGAUCCCGUGACCAGACAAUUGGUCACAUUGAGCUCAUUAUGAUGAUGCAUUACCGAGUGGGCCCAGAGAUACCUCUCUGUCAUACGGAGUGACAAAUCCCAGUCUCGAUUCAUGCCAACCCAACAGACACUUUCGGAGAUACCCGUAGUGGACCUUUAUAGUCAUCUAGUUACGUUGUGAUGUUUGGCACACCCAAAGCACUCCUACGGUAUCCGGGAGUUGCACAAUCUCAUGGUCUAAGGAAAUGAUACUUGACACUUGGAAAAGCUCUAGCUAAACGAACUACACGAUCUUUGAGCUAUGCUUAGGAUUGGGUCCUUUCCAUCACAUCAUUCUCCUAAUGAUGUGAUCCCGUUAUCAAUGACAUCCAAUGCCCAUAGUCAGGAAACCAUGACUAUCUGUUGAUCAACGAGCUAGUCAACUAGAGGCUCACUAGGGACACGUUGUGGUCUAUGUAUUCACACGUGUAUUACGUUUUCCGGAUAACACAAUUAUAGCAUGAAUAAUAGACUAUUACCAUGAACAAAUAAAUAUAAUAAUAAUCAUUUUAUUAUUGCCUCUAAGGCAUAUUUCCAACAGCCUUUUGGUCCCGGUUGGUGCCACCAACCGGGACCAAAGGCCCUCCUACCUGGGCUCAGUGCACCGGCCACGUGGAGGCCCGUCUGUCCCGGUUUAUGCAAGAACCGGGACUAAAGGUUUAGGGCAUUAGUACCGACACUUUAGUCCCGGUUCAAAAACCAGGACAAAUGGCCCUCACGAACCGGGACUAUAGGUCCUUUUUAUACUAGUGUACACAAAUACAAAUAAAGAAUGACUUCGGAAUAGUACCAAAAGUGGUGAUUUAUUUUCUUAUACUAACGAAUCUCAUAAGAUUUUCUGUUGAGUUUUGUGUUGUGAAGUUUUCAAGUUUGAGUAAGGAUUUGAUGGACUAUGGAAUAAGGAGUGGCAAGAGCCUAAGCUUCGGGAUGCCCAAGGCACCCCAAGGUAAUAUUCAAGGACAACCAAGAGCCUAAGCUUGGGGAUGCCCCGGAAGGUAUUCCCUCUUUCAUCUUCGUCUAUCGGUAACUUUACUUGAAGCUAUAUUUUUGUUCACCACAUGAUAUGUGUUUUGCUUGGAGCGUCUUGUAUGAUAUGAGUCUUUACUUUUUAGUUUUCCAUAAUCAUACUUUUUGUACACACCUUUUGAUAGGGACACACAUGAAUCGUGAUUUAUUAGAAUACUCUAUGUGCUUCACUUAUAUCUUUUGAGCUAGGCAAUUUUAUUCUAGUGCUUCACUUAUAUAUCUUUAGAGCACGGUGGUGGCCUUAUUUUGUAGAAAUUGUUGUACUCUCAUGCUUCACUUAUAUUAUUUUGAGAGUUUCUCUAUACAGCGUGGUAAUUUUCUUUGGUUAUAAAUUUAUUCCUAAUAUGAUAGGCAUGCAAGAGGGAUAUAAUAGAAAUUUUUCAUAUAAAGUGCAUUGAAUACUAUGAGAAGUUUGAUUCCUUAUGAUUGUUUUGAGAUAUGAGGAUGGUGAUAUUAGAGUCAUGCAAGUGGAGUAAUUGUGUAUUGUAGAAAUACUUGUGUGGAGGUUUGUGAUUCCCGUAGCAUGCACGUAUGGUGAACCGUUCUGUAACGAAGUUGGAGCAUGAUUUAUUUAUUGAUUGUCUUCCUUAUGAGUGGCGGUCGGGGACGAGCGAUGGUCUUUUCCUACCAAUCUAUCCCCCUAGGAGCAUGCGUGUAGUACUUUGUUUCGAUGACUAAUAGAUAUUUGCAAUAAGUAUGUGAGUUCUUUAUGACUAAUGUUGAGCCCAUGGAUUAUACGCACUCUCACCCUUCCACCAUUGCUAGCCUCUCUAGUACCGGACAACUUUCGCUGGUACCAUAAACCCACCAUAUACCUUCCUCAAAACAGCCACCAUACCUACCUAUUAUGGCAUUUCCAUAGCCAUUCCGAGAUAUAUUGCCAUGCAACUUUCCACCGUUCCGUUUAUGAUGACACGCUUCAUCAUUGUCAUAUUGCUUUGCAUGAUCAUGCAGUUGACAUAGUAUUUGUGGCAAAGCCACCGUUCAUAAUUUUCAUACAUGUCACUCUUGACUCAUUGCACAUCCGGGUACACCACCGGAGGCAUUCAUAUAGAGUCAUAUUUUUCUCUAAGUAUCGAGUUGUGAUUCUUGAGUUGUAAGUAAAUAAACGUGUGAUGAUCAUCAUUAUUAGAACAUUGUCCCACGUGAGGUAAUUAAAAAAAAGAGGAGGCCAAGGAAGCCAUUGGAAAAAAUGAGAUAAAAAGAGAGAAUGGGCUAUGUUACUAUCCCUUUUCCACACUUGUGCUUCAAAGUAGCACCAUGGUCUUCAUGAUAGAGAAUCUCCUAUUUUGUCACUUUCAUAUACUAGUGGGAAUUUUUCAUUAUAGAACUUUGGCUUGUAUAUUCCAAAAAUGGGAUUGCUCAAAUUUCCCUAGGUCUUCAUGAGAAAGCAAGUUGGAUGCACAACCACUUAGUUUCUUUUUGAGCUUUCAUAAACUUAUAGCUCUAGUGCAUCUGUUGCAUGGCAAUCCCUACUCACUCACAUUGAUAUCUAUUGAUGGGCAUCUCCAUAGCCCGUUUAUACACCUAGUUGAUGUGAGACUAUCUCCUUCUUUUUUGUCUUCUCCACAACCACCAUAUUCAUUCCACCUAUAGUGCUAUGUCCAUGGCUCACGCUCAUGUAUUGCGUGAAAGUUGAAAAUGUUUGAGAACAUCAAAGUAUGAAACAAUUGAUUGGCUUGCCAUCGGGGUGUGCAUGAUUUGAAUAUUUUGUGUGAUGAAGAUGGAGCAUAACCAGACUAUAUGAUUUUGUAGCGAUAGAUUUCUUUGGCCAUGUUAUUUUGAGAAGACAUGAUUGCUUUAUUAGUAUGCUUGAAGUGUUAUCGUUUUUAUGUCAAUAUUAAUCUUUUGUUUUGAAUCUUAUGGAUCUAAACAUUCAUGCCACAAUGAAGAAAAUUACAUUGACAAAUAUGUUAGGUAUUAUUUCACAUCAAAAAUUAUGUUUUUAUCAUUUACCUACUCAAGGACGAGCAGGAAUUAAGCUUGGGAAUGCUUGAUACGUCUCCAAUGUAUCUAUAAUUUUUUUUAUUGUUCCAUUCUAUUAUAUUAUCUGUUUUGGAUGUUUUAUAUGCAUUAAUAUGCUAUUUUAUUUUAUUUUUGGGACUAACCUAUUAACCUAGAGCCAGUGCCAGUUUCGUUUUAACUUGUUUUUGAGCCUCGCGGAAAAGGAAUACCAAAUGGAGUCCAAGCGGAAUAAAACAUUCACGAUGAUUUUUCUUGGACCAGAAGACACCUAUUGGACGUGGACUCCAAGUCAGAAGACCUUGGAGUAGACGAAAAGCCACAGGGGCGCGCCCUAGGGGGUGGUGCGCCCCCUGCCUUGUGGCCUACUCCAACACCCCCUGACCUAAUGCUUCGUCCUAUAUAUUCUCAAAUAUUCCAAAACCACCAGAGGUAUCCACGAAAACACUUGUCCACCUCCGCAACCUUCUGUUCCCGUGAGAUUGCAUCUAGGGGCCUUUUCCGGCAUCCUGCCGGAGGGGGAUUAGAUCAUGGAGGGCUUCUACAUGAACUAUAUUUCCCUUUCGAUGAAGCGUGGGUAGUUUACCACAGACCUACGGGUCCAUAGCUAGUAGCUAGAUGGCUUAUUCUCUCUCUUAGAUUCUCAAUACCAUAUUCUCCUUGAUGUUCUUGGAGAUCUAUCCGAUGUAAUCUCCUUUUGCGGUGUGUUUGUCGAGAUUCAAUGAAUUGUGGAUUUAUGAUCAGCUUAUCUAUGAAUAUUAUUUGAAUCUUCUCUAAAUUCUUAUAUGCAUGAUUUGAUAUCUUUGUAAUUCUGUUCAAACUAUUGGUUUAGUUUGGCCAACUAGAUUGUUUUUUCUUGCAAUGGGAGAAGUGCUUAGCUUUGGGUUCAAUCUUGUGUGUCCUUUCCUAGUGACAGUAGGGGCAACAAGGCACGUAUUGUAUUAUUGCCAUCGAGGAUAAAAAGAUGGGGUUUUCAUCAUAUUUCUUGAGUUUAUUCCUCUACAUAAUGUCAUCUGAAUGUGUUACUCUGUUCUUAUUGAACUUAAUACUCUAGAUGCAGGCACGAGUCGGUUGAUGUGUGGAGUAAUAGUAGUAGAUGUAGGCAGGAGUCGGUCUACUUGACACGAACGUGAUGCCUAUAUUUCAUCAUCAUUGCCUUGGAUAUCGUCAUAACUUUGUACUUUUCUAUCAAUUGCUCGCCAGUAAUUUGUUCACCCACCGUAUUACACUAGUAGAAAACAGGGCAUACGUUCGGGCCAGAUAAGCCCAUUAGUCCUGGUUCAGUCACGAACCGGGACCCAUGGGGGCAUUAGUCCCGGUUCGUGUCUCAAACCAGGACUAAAGUCCCAGUUCAAAUGAGCCCUUUGGUCCCAAUUUGAGACACGAACCGAGACUAAAGGUUAUGCUCAAAUUCUAAAAGGAAAAAAAGUUAUGCUCAAAUUUCUUUUUUUUGAAUUUUUGUUAAAUCUGGUCAAACUACUUAUUCAAGAAGUAUUAGUGUUACUAAAUAAUUAUUCAAUAAUAUUAGUGUUAAUAAAUAAUUAUUUCAGUUUUUUUCAAUUUUGGUCAAAUCUGGUCAAACUGUGGUCAAACAUAGUCAAACUAUGGUCAAACUUAUUAUUCAAGAAAUAUUAGUGUUACUAAAUAAUUAUUGUUUUUUAGAAUAAUAGUUUCAAACUCAAAUAGUGAAACAUGUGACUUCAUGCUCAAGCUAAACUCCGGAGGGUAAUAGGAUUGACAUCUUACUAUUGUCAGGAAAACAACAAAUGCGGACUUGGAAACAAGGAGGAAUAGAACCCGGAGGUUAAGCGUGCUCAGGCUUGAGUAGUGAGAGGAUGGGUGACCGGCAGGGAAGUUAGAUGAUUUGGAAUGAUCAAGGGUGAUCAGAGAUUAGAGGAUAAAUUGAGCAGUGAUGAGGGGGGUGAGGGGUGAUUAGAGAUUAAAUUGUAAAAUAAUUCGGAAAUUUGAAAAUCCUGGAAAAAAAAUUAAUUUAAAAAAAAUCAAAAAAAUCGUAAAAAUACCUUUAGUCCUGGUUGGUGUUACCAACCGGGACUAAAGCUGGAGCUCCAGACAGCGACCACAUGGAGGGGCUUUAGUCCGGGUUCAUAAAAGAACCGGGACUAAAGGGGUGCCUUUAGUGACGACCCUUUAGUCCCGGUUCAAGAACCGGGACUAAAGGCCCUCACGAACCGACGCGAAUGGGGCUUUUUCUACUAGUGUUAUUUGCCUUCAUGAGAGAAGCCUCUAGUGAAACAUGUGGCCCCCGGGUCUAAUUUCCAUCAUAUUAGUUUCCGAUCUACUAUUUUGCAGUCUUUUAAUUUAAGAUCUAUAAACGAAAAAAACCCAAAAAUAUUUUAUCUUUUGUUUACCUAUCUCUAUCAGAUGUCACUUUUGCAAGUGACCGUGAAGGGAUUGACAACCCCUUUAUCGUGUUGGGUGCAAGUUGUUUGAUUGUUUGUGCAGGUAUUGGUGGCUUGUGUGUUGUCUCCUACUGGAUUGAUACCUUGGUUCUCUAACUGAGGAAAUACUUAUCUCUACUUUGUUGCAUCACCCUUUCCUCUUCAAGGGAAAAACCAACGCAAGCUCAAGAAGUAGCAGACAACAUAUGUAGUUCCAUUUCUCUGUCGGUAUGUUACUUGCCCGAUAUUUGAUCGUCGGUAUCUCCAUACCUAGUUCAAUCUCGUUUUCGGCAAGUCUCUUUACUCGUUCCAUAAUACAUUAUCCCGUAACUAACUCCUUAGUCACUUUGCUUGAAAGCUUCUUAUGAUGUUGUACUACCGAGAGGGCCCAGAGAUACCUAUCCAUCAUACAGAGUGACAAAUCCCAGUCUCGAUCCAUGCCAACUCAAUAGACACCUUCGGAGAUACCUGUAGAUCACCUUUAUGAUCACCUAGUUAUGUUGUGACGUUUGAUAGCACACAAGGCAUUCCUCUGGAGUCCGGAGUUGCAUUAUCUUAUGGUCGAAGAAACAUGUAUUUGACAUUAAGAAAGCAGUAGCAAUAAACUGAACGAUCAUAUGUUAUGCUAACGGUUGGGUCUUGUCCAUCACAUCAUUGUCCUAACACUACUAGGAAAAAGCCUAGUAGUAGCGCGGGUUAAAAGCUAGUAGUAGCGCGGGUGCCUGUGCUGCUACUACGGCGCUACAGCUAACUAGUAGUAGUAGUGCGGUGCAUCCCGCACUACUAGUACAUGUGUUAGUAGUAACCCGUGUUCGACACGCACUACUACUAACUAUCUGUAACGCGUGUCUGUGACCCGCGCUACUACUAUUAAUUUGAAAAACCAAAAAAAAAUCUCGACCCCGUGUGUGCUGUCAAUCAUGCAAGGAGAUCUCGACCAUGACGCGCACCUCGUGGAAGCCAUUGAGGACGGCCGCGGAGGCCAGCCCGGCGUGGGCCAGGAGCUGGAGGACUUGGAUCUUGGCAUCGUGCAUGGAGAGCAGCACCUCGCAGCGGCCGUCGCCGUUGAGGUCGGUGGCGGGAGGCGGUCCACGUCAUGCUCGAUUGGGAACCCGUCGUUUGACAGGUGGUACCAUGCCUCCUGGAAUGAGAAGUCACCCUCGUGCUGCCGAAGGAGGAGGGGGAUGGUUCAGCUAGGGUUCCGGGUUGAAUCGGAGAGGGGGGAAGGAGGAGGAGGGCUGACCUGGAGCGAGAAGAAGACGGUGAACGUGGAGAGGAGGAGGAUGCCGAGGUCGCACUUUCGCAUCUUGGCGGCGGCGAGGAGCUCAAGUGACCGCCCACCAGAGGGAUCUCAGAGAGGGAGGGGGAAGAAAGCAGAGUGUACCAGUGGCGGCAACCGCUGGAGUACGAGGGAGAGAGGAGGAAAGCGAGAGCGGGGGAAAGUGAGGGAGAGAGGAGGGAUUCAGCCGAGGAUAUGGGGAUUUCACCUACCUCGUACUUAGUAUUGGCGAGGGGUAUAAAACCGCGCUACUACUAUCAACUUAGUAGUAGCACGGGUUUGUACUCCUCGCUACUACUAUGGCAUGUCCAGGGAGGGCACGGUAGAGACCGCUUAGUAGUAGCGCGGGUUAAAAACCCGCGCUACUAGUAUCAACUUAGUAGUAGCGAGGGGUAAAAACCCGCGCUACUAGUAAGUAGCAGUAGCGAGGGUUAUAAACCCUCGCUACUAGUAAGCGUCUGCCUAUAAGCUUUUCCCUAGUAGUGUAAUGAUGUGGUCCCGUUAUCAAAUGACAACUCAUGUCUAUGGUUAGGAAACCUGAACCAUCUUUGAUCAACGAGUUAGUCUAGUAGAGGCUCACUAGGGACAUGCUAUCUGUUUAUGUAUCCACACAUGUAUUUAAGUUUCCGGUCAAUACCAUUCUAGCAUGAAUAAUAAACCUUUAUCGUGAAUAUGGAAAUAUGAUAAUAACAACUUUAUUAUUGCCUCUAGGGCAUAUUUCCAUCAUUUGAAUUGAUUAAGUUUGAUCUCCACCAGAAAGAGCCAACCUUAUGAUCUCCUGGGAGUUGUCCAUUACUAUAGUGUGUCUCCCAAAUUAAAUUAACCCAGGGUAUGUCAUGCCUAUUGAAGAACUUAUGGAGGUUUUUCAUGAGCAGAGUCUUGUUUUGUGUGUAGAUAUCCAUGACUCCCAAGCCUCCUUGACGUUUGGGUCUACAAACUGUGUGCCAUGCAAGUAAAGUUGGUCUGUGAUCUUCCAAAUCAGGGCUUCUCCAUAGACAGUGUAUCAAGUACUUAUGAUCUGUUUCUUGAUGGUAAUAGGUAUAUCUAGGCAACACAUGAAGAAAAUUGGUAAUGAUGCAAGCACUAAUUUUGACUAGGAGGAACCUUCCUGCCUGAGUCAUAUAAGUAGAAAUACCUGCUAAUCUCUUAGCAAUUCUGUUGACUAGGGGCAAACAUUGUUCCACAGUUGGUUUAUAGAUUCCUGAAGGUAGACCCAGGUAAGUAAAAGGGGAUUGUCCUCUUGCACAUUGCAGUGUGUGAUUGAAAAUAUGUAUUCUGUCUUCUACAAUGUUUAUGGGCACCAUGAUUGAUUUCCCAUAAUUGACUUUCAGUCCAGUGGCUGAGGCUAAUGUGAUUAACAAGGCUUUGAGACAUAUCAACUUCUUUGUAUUUGCUUGUAUAAGAAACAGUGUAUCAUCUGCAUACUAUACUACUGGAAAAUCAGGACGGGAGUUGACUUGCAGUGGUGGAGUAAUUAUACCCAGUCUCAUGGCCUUAUUAAGUAUUGAUUGUAGGAGAUCAGCAGCCAACACAAAAAUCAAUGGGGAAAGGGGAUCACCCUGCCUCACUCCUCGUCUAUAGUAGAUUUUUUUGCUAGAGACUCCAUUCAACAUCACAGCAGAUGUGGCAGAUGUGAAAAUUAAGUGCAUCCAGGAAAUCCAUUUCUUUGCAAAUGCCUUUGCUCUGAGUAUAUCAAUAAUUGCCUGAUGUUCAAUAGUGUCAAAAGCUUUCUCAAAAUCCAGUUUAAUCAUUAGCAUCUCUUCUUUUGAUUUAUGACAUUGAUGGAUAUAUUCAUAUGCCCAACCAAGGCAGUACUGGAUCAUUCUAGCUUUGAGGAACCCAUGUUGAUUGAUAUGUACCAUCUAGAGAAUAAUUCUUUGUAAUCUAUUGGCCAGUAGUUUGGUAAUUAUCUUAAGUACUGCAUUGAGCAGUGAGAUUGGUCUGAAAUCAUUGGGUGAGACUGGCACUUCCUUUUUGGAAUCAAUGUAAUGAAUGAUGUAUUGAUGCUUUCAAGAUUUAUAUUACCAGCAUGAAAAGCCAUGAUAAGCUCAGUGAUAUCCACUUUAAUGAUGUCCCAACAAGCUUUGAUGAACUCAUUAUUAAAUCCAUCAAGAACUGGAGAUUUAUCUGUACGAAGGUUUUUUACCACUUCAUCAAUUUCCUCCUAUGUAAAUUGCUUCUCAAGAUCUUGGAAGAUCUUAGGCUCAACUCUAUGUUCAUAUAGAUCAUUCAAAUCAAAGUGCAUUGUGUGACCAUUAGAUUGUCCCAAUCUUUUUUAAGGCCUCCCAAAGAAUAGUUGUUUUUCCUUCAUAGUCAGUAAUUUCCACUUGAUCAUCAUUCAGAAGCAUACAAUUUUAUUAUGUCUAUGAUUAAAAGAGGAUUUGGUAUGAAAGAAUUUGGUGUUCUCGUCACCAAACUAAACACCUUUUAUUUUCCCUCUUUGCUUCCAAUAAAUCUUCUAAUUAUUAAGUACUAUCAAUAGGAAUUCCUUCAGCAUAGACCUACAAUUCCCUUCAAAUACUGAGAGAUAUCUAUAUUCCUCAAUCAAGUCCCAGUGGAAAAUACAAGCAUUUAAAUCCUCAUACUGCUUUAUAAGACAGGACAAACUCUUGGCCGACAAUUUUAAAGAUCUUCUCAAAUUCUUAAACUUUGCAUUGAUUUUUUUUGGCUGGAUCAGUGUAACCCACAGGAAUAUUCCAGGCUGCUUGAACAAUGUCUUUGAAAGAGCUGUGUUUCAGCCAAUAACUUUCAAACUUGAAUACCUUGGACUUGGGAAUGUAGUCCAAACCAAUAUUCCACAUUAAACAAUGUUUAUUUGCGGACCAAUUUCAGAAGUGUCGCUUCUAUUCAUUUCCGUUCUCUAAUCUACUAGUCAAUUAAGUCUGAACCGAGAACCGAACCUAAAUCUCGGUCGACUGAAUCUUUGGUUAGGAAUUUUCCCGGUGACCAAUCGGUCAUCCUAUUUUGAAAACCAAAUUUCUUCAAAAGCUGAAGAACCGAACCGAACGUUUCGGUUACACAGAAUGCCAAGCUCUCCAAACACCUCCACUUUCUCCCAGUUGAACAUGUGAUAUUUCUUACACCGAGUCUUCUUGCCAAAGCAAUCUUCUCCCAAAACAAUCAAAUAUUUUAUUUACUCCCUUUGGCAAGCCAUAAAAGUAAAGCAUGCACAACGGUUUAUAUUUUCUAGACUACUUACUCUGGAGCAAAGCCCCGGUCCUUUAUUCAAAACCAAAUAGUAUGUACAGGGGUCAAGUAGUCAGCUACUAAGGGAGGCUGGCAAUCUAAGCCAGAAGAUUCGGCCUACCACAAGCCUUCACUCUAAAAGAAAGAAGGGUUAUAUCUUGUACAAAUUUACAACACCAUGAGCCAAAAGUGGCAUAGCUCUAAAUGUCCUUCCAUUUAUAACAAUCCAGAUAUUCCAAUUCCAAGCAGAGUCGGCAUAACCUCGAAGAAAGGAAGAUCAAACCUCAUGUUUGCCCCGGCAAUGCAUGGUCUGAUCUCAGACCCAUGUGGUUGAACUAGCGGGAGAGAAGAGAUGAAGUCUGUAACACAUUACACAUUGGUUAAUUGCUCAAAGAAGCAGUGAGCAAAGAGAACAUGCCUCCAAUGGAUACUAAUUUUCCUUGCGAAUAUUCUAAUCUCACAAAUACACGCCAUCAUUAUUGUAGAUUUAUGGAUGGUUGAGCCUUUGAAGGCAGAAUCCAACAACAAAUAACAUAAGUUUUUCCUCGACAUUUGCUUUUGCCCCUCAAUUUUAUUUUAUUUUAUUAAAAAAGGAGGAUUACCCCCGGCCUCUGCAUCAGAAUGAUGUACAUCAUCUAUACUAAUUCAACAUUAGAAAACAAGCACAAGGCCUCACUUUAUAUAGAUCGACGAGCUCCACAAGAACACGAUUAUUGAAUACAAAGGUUCAGCAAGCAAAAGGGAAAUAGUUCGGGCUGGGCAACAGCUUGCACAGGUAAUCUCGACAUAAAGAGAAAGAAAACAAGCUACGGAGCCGGGAGCUGCUGGCGAGCCACACCCUCGGCAGGCCAAGAAGGAGCCCAUCCAAUCCGCCGUGAUCCCGACGCCAAGCCAAGCGAGCAUCCGCCAUUACAGAAUCGAUCGAGGCUACUAAUUCAACAUCCUCGACAGUGAACUGAAACUGCCACAUCAUCCCUUCAUUUUAUUGCACCCAUCCGAUUAUUAAUUUCUUCAAACUAACUGCAUGCCAUGCAUCCAGCAUUGGAUUAUUUGUUCGAACAUAGCACCACUUCUCCAUCAUACGGAAACGGAGGCAGUCACGGUUGCGUUGUUAUUGGUAGUCUUAAGCAAGGGUUUUGGGACGGAGUUGAACUUGGCGAACCACUUGGCCGACUUCUUGAGCUUGCGCUUGUUGCCGUCCUUCUUGUCGAUGUAGACCAGGCCGAAUCGUGAGCUGUAGCCCAGGCUCCAUUCGAAGUUGUCGAUCAGACCCCACGUGAAGUGGCCCCGCACAUCCGCGCCCUGGCUGAAAGCACAGAUACAUACAUGAAAGCGCGCUUAGCAAGAAUUCAACAAUGUGUCUGUGUGUAUGUAUACACAUUUGAGUAAUCAGUGUGCCAUUAGGGUAUGUAUGUAUGUAUGUGGGUAAGAGUACAAAAUAAGUGAAAAAAAGAGGCAGGGUUUUAGCGUCUGUAGUUACUCUAUUGCGUCCUUGACGGCUGAGAUGUGACGCUGGAGGUAGUCUAGCCUCUUCCAGUCAUCCAAAGGAUCUCUCAUGGUUGGGUCGCUGUCCACAUCAGCGAUUCCUGCACACACACAAAUUAAGAAGUAAUCCAUCACACUUUCUUCAAAAAAAACCUCCCAUGAACCAUUACAUCAUAUCCAUGGAUUAGGUUCUUGUCUGAUUUAAGGGAACUAGUACCAGUUGAGCACAAAGAUUGCUUACACAUUAGUGUGUGUCAAUCUUCAUGAGGAUUAGUGUAAUGACGUCAGAUUUUCAACUAGUUACUUUUGAUGUCACUUUUGAUGUAAUUAGGGGAUCAUGGAAAUUUAACUAGUUACUUUUGAUGUCAGAUUUUCAACCUUUUUAUUAACUAAAAACUAGUACCUAAGCAACCCCUUGACAAAAGGUUUACAGAUUUGCUGUAGGUCAACUAAAGUUUGAUAUGAACCGAUGAUUGAUCAUUGGAUUACUACAAAAUCCAAUGCUACACACACACACACACACACACACACACACACAAAUGUCACUACUUACCAUUCUCAGUGAUGAAGAUGGGUGGGUUUCCGUAUUUCUCCUUCAUGAUCAGAAGGAGGUCUGUUAGGCCUUUUUGGUACAUGUAAAUCCAAUAAGUCCCUGUCUGCAAAUGGGUGUCCAAACUUUUAAUUAAUAACGAGAAAAAACUUCAGAUUUGUUUAAGCUUUACUUCAGAAACAAAGCAUUAUCAUGUCUAUGCCACUUAACCUUUUUGUUCAAAAGUUUAACUAGAGUCCUGGCUGACUAGUUCUACCGUAAGAAUUUGGUGAAAAUAAUCUACAUUAUCACUAUCAUCAUAUAUGUCGUAUGCAAAAUUAACCAGGUAGUAGGAAGAUACAUACUAUAGGACCGAUGUCAUUCCCAUCACUCCCUUUAGCUGCUCGAAGAGAAGAAAAAGGUGCAGGAUUAGCAUGAGGACAUGAAAUUUCUCAAAGGAUCUGUAAAGUACUAAGGUUUGUCCUCAACCAUAUUUUCUUACUUUCUGAACUGGCGUAAGCGUCGUCGGUGUUCAGCUUUGGCGUAAAGUCUGAUGAAAUGUCAACAUGCUUGGAGAACCUGGAGGUGUAAUAGUUGAGCCCCAUGAUGUCACAUGAGGACGCUAGCUUCUCCUGCUCCUCCUUAGUGAACAUGGGUAGACGAUGUCCAAUCAGUGAUCUCAUGGAGAAGGGGUAGUCACCACGAACAACUGGCUCCAGGAACCAUCCGAGGUUGUAGUCGAUGGAUCUUUCCCGGGCCUGGUCGUCGAGGAAGGAGUCUUGGAAUGGCUCGUAACCCAUUACAUCAAAGGCCAUCCCUAUCUUGGAAUCCCCAUGCUGCAGUUGGUCCAUCAAUAUAACUAAAUUAAAUACACAAAUACAUACGACUAGUUGUUGCUUGUUUAUUAGAUAAUGUAGAUGUCUCUCUUUGUGUAUGUACCUUGUUGUAACAAGCUUUGAACAGCUCAACAGCCUCAGCAUGAGCUAAGAGGAUGUGGUGACCAGCAGUGUAUGGCUCUCUGAGCGAGUCUCCUUUUGGGACGGCACAAUCCAUCCCUGGCGAGCACCUCCCAGGAGCAUGAAUCCCCUCACCAUAGGAGAAACAACAAUAUGUAUGUGGCUUGUUAAAGGUGAACCAGUUCUUCACCCUGUCGCCGAAGUUCUUAAAGCACACCUCGGCGAAUUGUUUGUAAUCAUCUCUGGAAAAAAAAACCAAACCCGAGCGAUGUUCAACAAAAUUGUUUCUUAGCUUAACAAUAAGUACUCCCUCCGUUCGGAAAUACUUGUCAUUAAAAUGAAUAAAAGGGGAUGUAUCUAGAUGUAUAUUAGUUUUAGAUACAUUCCUUUUUAUCCAUUUUGAUGACAAGUAUUUCCGGACGGAGGGAGUAGUUAUGUUAGUUUACUGAUGCAUCAUUGAAUGACAGUACAACAUUGUUUGUGUUCUGAAAAGAAACGUUUUUCUACUCAUGGUCCAAUAAUGGCCUUCCUCCAAUCGAAUUUAACAAUAUUAUAGUUCGUAGUUUUUAUACAUAUUGUAAUUGCAAUUACUGAUCUUUCUUUAGACCAUUUUCUUACAAAUCAAUUUUCUUUUGUUUGCUGCAUACUUACACAAUCUGCCUAUUUAAGAAGCUGCCGUACUUGUCCUCCAGUGCUUGAGGAGUGUCCCAGUGCCAAAUUGUAACAUAUGGCACUAUGUCUGAGUUUCAAAAAACAAAUAAUUAUUUGUGCAAGCCCUUGCGAGUCUGACUCAUUAAGCACUAAUCAAACAAAGAAGAAAAUGGUUUUCACCGUUAUCUAUCAGCGAGUUGAUCAGCUUAUUGUAGUAGUCGAUGCCUGCCUGGUUUACUUUUCCCGUCCCAUCUGAAAGCCAUAGUAAACAUGUGCUGAAAUUAGGACCCAAAUAUUAUAACAAGUCUUAUUGGCUGCGUCUAAUUUGUAGAGGACAUCUUUAUUGUUCCUAACUUAUUCACCAUACAAAAUAUACAUGGUUAUUUUGUAUUUACCUGGCAGUAUUCUGGACCAAGCGAUGGAGAACCUAUACACUUUCAUGCCCAUGUCCUUCAGCGCUUUGACAUCCUCCUGUCAGCCAUAAAUGAUGACAUGAAUAAUGAUGACAACGUAUUGUCAUGCAUAUCUUUAUUUUUAUUAGAAGUGCAUAUUCCAAAUGGUUUUUCCAAAAAAAAAAAUGCAACGACAUAACAUCAAUGCUGUCAUAAGAUUUGUUAGAUUUUUGUUUGGAAAAACCAUUGGUCCCGUCGGAGUACUUACUUCAUAUAGAUGGUAGGAGUUUGCUGCAACGUCCCCAUUGGUCUUGUCGGAUAUGCGCUCUGUUCGUAUAUAUACACAUAAAAUGAAGGAGAAGGACGCACGAAAGAAUAAUAUGAUAUAUAUGUUUAUUACACUCAAAAGGUAUAUGUUACCAGGAUAUGUGUGGCAGAAGUGGUCCCAAGUGCUUGGCCCCUUGCCAUCUUCAUUCCAAGCACCUUCAAUCUAAACGGAUGACGACAUAUAUAACAUUUUGUGCAAUCGAACAACCCACUAAACAUGCAUUUUGACAUCAUGUUUUCCCUUAGGUAUUUGUUAUCAUUGAAACAGUUGACACCAUUAUUUUCUUUUAAAUUAACAGAUAUACGGUUGUGCAAGAAAAUAAUUAGUACCUGGUACGCUGAAGUGGAGGCACCAAAGAGGAAGUCCUUGUUGAACCAGUCCCUUUUAGGGAUUUGCCGGGGCUUGAGCUUAGUGAACACAGGCCCAAUGGGCUCUGCUGGCUUUGAUGGUGUGCCUGCCCUGAUGGUGAGGUUACAAUGUUAGAGUUAUAAUAUAAGUCAUGUACCCCUUUGUAUUUAUCCCGUUGUAUAAACGGUUUCCUGCAUAUGUUCCACACCUGUACAUGUAUAUAUAUCGGCCUAUGGCCUCAUGGGAAUACAAGUUGCAUAUUUCCUAACAUGGUAUUAGAGCUAGGUCAAUUUUUUGCACGCUGCAACUCGUGCGAUUGAUCCAUCUGAUCGAUUUCCACCUGAUCGAUCUCCAACCGAACCGGGCCGCUCGAAGCUCAUCCUUCUCGAUCGAAACAGGGCCCCGCCCCGCAGGUCUUCGGCCCCGAUCUCCUCCCGCUUCCGUCCGGCCCGGAUCUCCUGCUGCUCUCGUCCGGCUGCCCCUCCCGUCCGGCCCCGGUCCCGUUCGUCCCCGGGUGCUGUCGAUCCGGCUGGAUCGCACCUCCAGCCAGUACUGCCUCCAGCCCGAUCGUCCUACUUCCGCUUGCCGUUGGUGUCCCAGCCGGCCCCAAGCAAUGAAGGUCCUCCCUCCAGCCGGCCCCAAGCAACGCAGGUCCUCCCUCCAGCCGGCCCCGCCUGCCCAGGACUCCCGCAGCCCUGCUCCAGCCGGCCCCGCCUGCUCUCUCUCGUCAGAUUCCACAAAAAAUGUCUGCUGCAUCGGGCUAUGUUGCUGUCCCUCGCUAUCCGGUGAUCUUUCAUGGUACUAACUACACCGAGUUCACUGGCUUUAUGCGCAUUCACAUGCGUGGCAUCCGUCUCUGGGGUGUUCUUUCUGGCGAGGUCUGCUGUCCGCCGCGUCCGGUUCCUCCAGUUGCCCCUACUCCGCCGACUCCACUGGUUCUUUCUACGGAUGCUAAUCAGGCCGCCAAGGAUGCGGCUAAGCUUGCUGAUGAGGCUGCUGAUCGUGCUUAUGAUGAGAGGGUUUUGGCUUAUGAGGAGGCUCUUCAGACGUAUCAUGGUGCUUUGUCUGUUUACAUCCAGUGGCUUGAUGAUGAUGCUCGUGCUGCAGCUGUUCUCACUGCUAGUGUUCUGCCUCAGUUUGCUUCUGAGAUUCUGGGUCUUCCUACUGUCUUUUAGAUGUGACCUGUCUUCGUCAGCGCUAUGAGCCCUCUGGUGAUGUCUUAUACCUUUCUGUGGUUCGUCAGGAGCAUGCUCUUCAGCAGGGUGACUCUACUGUUGAUGAUUUCUAUCGACAGAGUUCUGCUAUCUGGCACCAACUUGAUUCUCUCCACAGUGCUGGUUGUCGUACUUGCCCCUGUUGCCAGGCUGUCCAGGCUAAUUUGAAGUUUCAUCGCGUCUAUGAGUUCCUGUCUCGGCUCCCUAAGGAGUUUGAGCCCCGGCGUGCUCAGUUGUUUGCUCGUGGCCGUAUUUCUCUCAUGGAGGCGCUUUCAGAGAUACGUGCUGAGGAGACUCGCUUACGUGGUGCUGGUUUGCUGGAGGUUCCCUCUGUGCUCGCUACUCGGGCUUCUUCCACUCCACCUGCUGCACCAACCCCUUCUCGCUCGAGUGCUCCGCCGCUCUUGCCCACUCCUUCUGGAGGCUCAGGUGGCCCCCGUCCACAUUGUGACUACUGCAACAAUGAUGGUCAUAUUGAGUCCUAGUGCUACACGAAGCGGAAACACCUGCGCAAGGCACGAUCAUCAUCUUCAGGGACUUCGGCAUCUCCCUCGGCAGCUUCAGCCAUUGCUUUGACAGAGCAGGAUAUUCUAAGACUUAAGCGUCUGCUCGCGGCUUCAGGUUCUUCCUCGAUGGGUACUGCUGGUUCUGUGACUGAUGCUUUCCGCACUGAGCAACCAACCUCUACACAGUCAGGUACAUCCCCAUGGGUUCUGGACUAUGGAGCUUCUUUUCAUAUGUCUUCUCAUUCUUCCACUAUGACGCCCGGGUAGUCAAGCUACAGUAACCCUAUGGUAAUGAUGCCAUGUCACCACGAUUACCGUUGAUAAUCUUGUAUUAGUUCAGAACCGAUCCAUAUUCAAAUUUGAAUUAAAGUCAAACAAUAAAAGUUUUCAAUUGUCAAAUCUAAAAUGUUCAAAUUGCAGAAAAUAAAUCAUAGAUGAUUAUGGUGGAGAAACCGCACCUAUAUAUAAUGUUUAAGUACUACAAGAUGAAUAAAACAGUAGCAAAAACAAUUAUUUAAAUUCCUUUUGUAAUUAAUAAAAUUUCAAACUAAUUUAUCUGAGGACUAGACCUUUUGUGACUAUGGACUAAGCUGAAAUACUAAUUUAGAUAAUAAGUGUAUAUUUUACCAAAACUAAGAAAAAAUAGGAAACAAAACUAAAUCAAAAAAAGGUGAAAUAAAUAAAAAAAAGGGUGAAACCAAAACAAAACANNNNNNNNNNNNNNNNNNNNNNNNNNNNNNNNNNNNNNNNNNNNNNNNNNNNNNNNNNNNNNNNNNNNNNNNNNNNNNNNNNNNNNNNNNNNNNNNNNNNNNNNNNNNNNNNNNNNNNNNNNNNNNNNNNNNNNNNNNNNNNNNNNNNNNNNNNNNNNNNNNNNNNNNNNNNNNNNNNNNNNNNNNNNNNNNNNNNNNNNNNNNNNNNNNNNNNNNNNNNNNNNNNNNNNNNNNNNNNNNNNNNNNNNNNNNNNNNNNNNNNNNNNNNNNNNNNNNNNNNNNNNNNNNNNNNNNNNNNNNNNNNNNNNNNNNNNNNNNNNNNNNNNNNNNNNNNNNNNNNNNNNNNNNNNNNNNNNNNNNNNNNNNNNNNNNNNNNNNNNNNNNNNNNNNNNNNNNNNNNNNNNNNNNNNNNNNNNNNNNNNNNNNNNNNNNNNNNNNNNNNNNNNNNNNNNNNNNNNNNNNNNNNNNNNNNNNNNNNNNNNNNNNNNNNNNNNNNNNNNNNNNNNNNNNNNNNNNNNNNNNNNNNNNNNNNNNNNNNNNNNNNNNNNNNNNNNNNNNNNNNNNNNNNNNNNNNNNGAUCCACCUCGUCUCCCCACCUCGCCCCGAGUGAAUCUGGAUCGGGGCAACCGACGCCCCCGACCCCGCCCGUCGCACGCCCUGUCGCGCCUCCAUCCUCCUCCACGGCGUCACCUCACCGGCGCCGCUUCGCCACCGGAUCGCCACGUCUCCCCCACCUCUGCUUCGCCAGGACCGCCACUGCGCUCCCCCGUCCUCCUCUAGACCCCGCCGCCCCGAUGCCGUGCCGUCGUCCAUCGCCCUCGACGCGCCACCUCGCCGCAUUCGACCUCGUCUUUGCCCACGGCCACCGCAUGACCUCACGGUCGAUCUACUUCGCCGGAGCCUCCCCACCGGUCCGCCUCCUCGCCGCACGUCGUCCCUGACGACCUCCUCGACCCUCGCUGCCCGAAUCCCUACCGCCCCUGUGAGCUCCCCCUCUCCCUCUCCUCGUCGAACCUCGCGCUCGUCGCGCUCCCACUCGCCCCGUGCCCCGCUUCCACCUCUAGCCCUGUGGGCUACCGCCGUUUCGGCGGCCAGCUCCAGCGCCCGCCGCGCACUCUCUCCUCCUCGCUGCCGUCCUGUUCGUCCACCACGCCAGCCACAGCCCCCUGCUCUGCUCGGCCGCGACCGUUGCGCCCGCUGCACCCGCCACCACCUUCGGCGUCCAGCGCCGGCGUCACACCGGCUCCCUNNNNNNNNNNNNNNNNNNNNNNNNNNNNNNNNNNNNNNNNNNNNNNNNNNNNNNNNNNNNNNNNNNNNNNNNNNNNNNNNNNNNNNNNNNNNNNNNNNNNNNNNNNNNNNNNNNNNNNNNNNNNNNNNNNNNNNNNNNNNNNNNNNNNNNNNNNNNNNNNNNNNNNNNNNNNNNNNNNNNNNNNNNNNNNNNNNNNNNNNNNNNNNNNNNNNNNNNNNNNNNNNNNNNNNNNNNNNNNNNNNNNNNNNNNNNNNNNNNNNNNNNNNNNCGCCCCGAUUCGCCCGUCGCCCGCUAAGCCACUGGGCCCAUGACAUGAGGGCCCCACGCCCCCUGAACGUUUUAAAAAAAGAAGAAUUAAAAAUAAAUAGAUAAAUAAGUAAAUACAAAUAUUAAUUAAUUAAUUAAUUAACUUAAUGAAAUCCUGAUUAGUUAACUAGUUAAAUUUACUUAACCUGCUAAUUAAACUAAGUAAUUGUUAAUUAGUUAUUAGUCUAUGGCAGAAUGGACUCGCGCGUCAGUUUGACCAGUCAACACCUCGGUUGACUGCUGACGUCAUGAUGACGUCAGCAUACACUAUUCUGGAUGGAAAAACUUAGUACAUGAAAGUUGCUCAGAACAACGAGACGAAUCCAGAUACGCAGCCCGUUCAUCCGCCACACAUCCUAGCAUAGCAAACACGCAACUUUCUUCCUCCGGUUCAUCUGUCCGAAAACGCGGAACACCGGGGAUACUUUCCUGGAUGUUUCCCCCUUCGCCAGUAUUACCUCCUACUGCCUUAGGUCACCUCUAGCACCGCGUAUUGCCGCGUCUCGCUUUGUGAUGCUUUGAUUGCUCUGUUAUUUAUUGUGUUCCCCCUCCGUUACUUCUUUCUGGUAGACCCCGAGACUACCGGCGACCCCAGUUCGACUACGGAGUUGAUGACCCUACUUGCUAGAGCAACCAGGCAAGCCUCCCCCCUGAUCACCAGAUAUCGCCUAUUCUUCUCUAUACUGCUUGCAUUAGAGUAGUGUAGCAUGUUACUGUACGGUUACUCCUAUUCUGUUGCAUAGCCUGUCAUUGUUGCUACAGUCGUUGAUACAUUACCCGCAAUCCUAAAUGCUUAGUAUAGGAUGCUAGUUAUCAUCAUUGGCCCUACAUUCUUGUCAGUCUGCCUUGCUAUACUCUCGGGCCGUGAUCACUUGGGAGGUGAUCACGGGUAAAUACUAUACAUAUAUACAUACUAUACAGAUGGUGACUAAAGUCGGGUCAGCUCAUUGAGUACUUGCAAGUGAUUCCGAUGUGGGGGCUGGAAGGACAGGUGGCUCCAUCCCGGUAGAGGUGGGCCUAGGUUCCCGACGGCCCCCAAUUGUUACCGCGUAUUGCGACAGGGCGGGUUGAGACCACCUAGGCAAGAGGUGGGCCUGGCCUUGGUCGGUGUUCGCGGUUACUUCAUAAUAACAGGCUUAACGAGAUCUUGGUAUUUGAUCUGAGUCUGGCCAUUGGCCUAUACACAGUAACCAACUACGCGGGGAAGAUAUGGGCACUCGACGUCGUGGUAUCAGCCGAAGCCUUCGUGACGUCAGCGACUGAGCGGCGCGCGCCGGGUUGGACUGCGUUAACGCAACAUCCUUUGUAAUGGAGGUUGCUAGGUCGGCUUCCGGCCGCCCACGCAACGUGCAGGUGUGCAAUGUGCGAUGGUCCCAGACCCCUGCGCGCAUAGGAUUUAGACCAGCGUGCUGACCACUCUGUUGUGCCUAGGUGGGGCUGUGACGUGUUGAUCUUCCGAGGCCGGGCAUGACCCAGGAAAGUGUGUCCGGCCAAAUGGGAUCGAGCGUGUUGGGUUAUGUGGUGCACCCCUGCAGGGAAGUUUAUCUAUUCGAAUAGCCGUGUCCCUCGGUAAAAGGACGACCCGGAGUUGUACCUUGACCUUAUGACAACUAGAACCGGAUACUUAAUAAAACACACCCAGACAAGUUCCACAGACAAUCUGGUGAUCACUUUUCCACAGGGUGACGAGGGGAGGAUCGCCGGGUAGGAUUAUGCUAUGCGAUGCUACUUGGAGGACUUCAGUCUACUCUCUUCUACAUACUGCAAGACGGAGGCUGCCAGAAGCGUAGUCUUCGAUAAGACUAGCUAUCCCCCCUUAUUCUGGCAUUCUGCAGUUCAGUCCACCGAUAUUGCCACUACACAUAUACCCAUGCAUAUGUAGUGUAGCUCCUUGCUUGCGAGUACUUUGGAUGAGUACUCACGGUUGCUUUUCUCCCUCUUAUCCCCCCUCCCUUCUACCUGGUUGUUGCAACCAGAUGUCGGAGCCCAGGAGCCAGACGCCACCGUCGAUGACGACUCCUACUACACCGGAGGUGCCUACUACUACGUGCAGCCCGCUGACGAUGACCAGGAGUAGUUUAGGAGGAUCACAGGCAGGAGGCCUGCGCCUCUUUCGAUCUGUAUCCCAGUUUGUGCUAGCCAUCUUAUGGCACUUGUUUAACUUAUGUCUGUACUCAGAUAUUGUUGCUUCCUUUGACUCGUCUAUGAUCGAGCACUUGUAUUUGAGCCCUCGAGGCCCCUGGCUUGUAUUAUGAUGCUUGUAUGACUUAUUUUACUUUUAGAGUUGUGUUGUGAUAUCUUCCCGUGAAUCCCUGAUCUUGAUCGUACACAUUUGCGUGCAUGAUUAGUGUAUGAUUAAAUCGGGGGCGUCACAUCCACUUUGUCCUCUCUUCGAUCGCUGGAUUCUCCUGUUCAUGUUUUCACUACUUAUGGUACUCCACUUUCUGUUGCUAGUAGAGGCAAUCUUUCCACUCCUUAUUAUGUUCCUGAUGUUGCUCAUGUUCCUCGACUUACCAUGAAUCUGUUUUCUGCUGGUCAACUUACUGAUUCUGGUUGUCGCGUCAUCCUUGACGUUGACUCUUGUUCUGUCCAGAACCGUCGCACGCACAGUUUGGUUGGGGCUGGCCCUCGCCGUCGUAAUUCUCAGGGUCUUUGGGACUUGGACUGGCUUCAUGUUACUUCCGCUACCACCACCAUCGCCAGUUCCUCCGCUUCUGUCGCCUCCAUUACUGGUUCCUUCAAGCAGUGGCAUCAUCGACUUGGUCAUCUCUGUGGUUCUCGGUUGUCGUCUUUAGUUCAUCGAGGUCUUCUAGGGUCUGUCUCAGGAGAUUUCUCUUUAGAGUGUCAGGGUUGUCGUCUUGGCAAGCAGAUUCAGUUACCAUAUUCACAUAGUGAGGCAGUGUCUAAGCGUCCCUUCGAUUUAGUCCAUUCUGAUGUAUGGGGUCCGGCUCCUUUCGCUUCGAAAGGUGGUCAUAAAUACUAUAUUAUUUUCAUAGAUGAUUUUCUCUCGUUACACAUGGCUUUAUUUCAUGACUUCUCGUAGUGAGGUGUUGUCUAUUUAUAAGCAUUUUGCUGCCAUGGUUCAUACUCAGUUCUCUUCACCUAUUCGUGUCUUUCGUGCUGACUCCGCUGGCGAGUAUAUCUCUAAGAUGUUGCUUUGUGUUCUUGCUGAGCAAGGAACUCUCUCUCAAUUCUCUUGUCCUGGUGCUCAUGCUCAAAAUGGUGUGGCUGAGCAAAAGCAUCGACAUCUUCUUGAGACGGCUCGUGCAUUGAUGAUUGUUGCCUCUCUCCCGCCUCAUUUUUGGGCUGAGGCUGUCUCCACCUCCACCUAUUUUAUCAAUAUACAGCCUUCUGCUGCUCUAUAGGGUGGUGUUCCUUUCGAGCAUCUUUUUGAUCGUUCUCCCAAUUAUUCGAUGCUUCGUUUGUUUGGUUGUGUUUGCUAUGUUUUUCUUGCCCCUCGCGAAUGCACCAAACUGACCGCUCAGUCUGUUGAGUGUGUCUUCUUAGACUACAGUGAUGAGCAUAAGGGCUAUCGUUGUUGGGAUCCUAUCGGUCGUCGGAUGCAUAUCUCUUGAGACGUGACUUUUGAUGAGUCUCGUCGCUUCUACCCACGCCCAUCUUCAUCGACUCUUUCAGUGGAGGAUAUUUCUUUCCUCACUUUUCCUGACUCACCUAUCACCCCCGUCGAGCCUGUGCCUAUUCGUUCCACUCCUUCUGCUUUCUCCACCUCUAGUUGAUUUGCAGCCACCAUCUUCCCCGGUCUCCUCGCCUAGCAUGUCACCGGAUUCUACACCUUCAUCUCCGGUGACUUCUUCGUCGCCACCCCUCGAUUCUCCCUUGGCGAUUCCUCCUUCUAUUGUUCCCUCUUUUCCUCAGCAAUACACUCGUCGUUCCCGACCUGUGGAUGCCUCUAUGGAUGAGUUGUCAUCUUCCUCUCAGCCUACUUAUGGCUUGCGUUCUCGUCCUCGUCCUCCUGUUGAUCGCUUUGGAUUUCCCACCGCUGGUGCUGCUGUUCUUGAGCCGACUUCUUAUCGUCAGGCUGUUGUUCAUCCUGAAUGGCAGUUUGCGAUGGCAGAGAAGAUUGCUGCUCUUGAACGCACUGGUACCUGGGAUCUUGUUUCUCUUCCUCCCGGAGUCCGUCCCAUCACUUGUAAGUGGGUCUACAAGGUUACGACUCGCUUCGAUGGUUCUCUUGAGCGUCACAAAGCUCGUCUUGUGGCUCGUGGUUUUUAGCAAGAGCAUGGUCAUGAUUAUGACGAGACUUUUGCUCCUGUGGCCCAUAUGACCACUGUUCAUACACUUCUUGUUGUUGCUUCUGCACACCACUGGUCUAUAUCUCAGCUUGAUGUUAAGAAUGCCUUUCUUAAUGGUGAGCUGCGUGAGGAGGUGUACAUGCAGCCACCACCUGUGUAUUCUGUUCCUGAUGGCAUGGUAUGUCGUCUUCGUCGCUCUCUCUAUGGCCUUAAGCAAGCCCCCCGCGCCUGGUUUGAGCGUUUUGCCUCUGUGGUCACUGACGCUGGUUUUUCAGCAAGUGCUCAUGAUCCAACAUUGUUUAUUCACCUUUCUCCUCGUGGUCGGACUCUUCUUCUUCUCUAUGUUGAUGACAUGAUCAUCACUAGGGAUGACCCCGAGUAUAUUGCCUUUGUAAAGGCCCGUCUUAGUGAGCAGUUUCUUAUGUCUGUUCUUGGACCUCUUCGCUACUCUCUUGGGAUGGAAGUCUCUUCUUCCUCUGAUGGCUUUUUUAUAUCCCAGGAAAAGUAUAUCUAGGAUCUUCUUGCUCGUGUUGUUCUUACUGACGAGCGCAUUGUUGAGACUCCUAUGGAGCUCAAUGUUCACCUCCGUGCUACUGAUGGUGAUCCUCUCCCUGACCGGACGCGUUAUCGUCAUCUUGUUGGCAGUCUUGUCUAUCUAGCUGUCACUCGUCCGGACCUCUCUUAUCCGGUUCAUAUUCUGAGUCAGUUUGUCUCUGCUCCCACAUCGGUUCACUAUAGUCAUCUCCUUCGUGUUCUCCAAUAUCUUCGGGGCACGAUCUCUCACCGUCUAUUCUUUCCUUGCUCCAGUUCUUUACAGCUUCAGACCUAUUCGGAUGCUACGUGGGCUAGUGAUCCUUCAGAACCGUUCACUUUGUGCUUACUGUGUUUUUCUUGGUGGUUCUCUCAUUGCCUGGAAGACAAAGAAACAGAUUGCAGUUUCCCGUUCGAGUGCCGAGGCUGAGUUGCGAGCAAUGGCUCUUUUGACGACAGAGGUGACUUGGUUACGGUGGUUACUUUAGGAUUUGGGUGUUUCUGUCACUACACCAACUCUGCUCUUAUCUGACAGUACAGGUGCUAUUAGCAUUGCGCGGGAUCCUGUGAAGCAUGAGCUCACCAAGCAUAUUGGUGUUGAUGCUUUUUAUGUGCGCGCUGGUGUGCAGUAUCAGGUUAUUGCUCUUCAGUAUGUGCCUUCCGAGUUACAGUUGGCGGAUUUCCUGACGAAGGCCCAGACUAGAGCACAACAUGGUUUUUAUCUCUCCAAACUCAAUGUUGUUCAUCCACCAUAAGUUUGAGGGGGGUGUUAGAGUUAUAAUAUAAGUCAUAUACCCCUUUGUAUUUAUCCCGUUGUAUAAGGGGUUUCCUGCAUAUGUUCUACACAUGUACAUGUAUAUAUAUCGGCCUAUGGCCUCAUGGGAAUACAAGUUGCAUAUUUCCUAACAACAGAACCUUCCCUUGCUCUUCUGUGACGAAGCAGCAGACCGGAGCCAUAGGUUCUCACUGUUGUGUCCUGCACGGGGCUAAGGUGGGUGGUGGGAUUCAGGGUAGCAGCAGUAAGUAGAGCCAUCUCUUGCUAGCAGCUGCCUGAAAGUGUUGUGGGCAGCUUGAGGAGUGAGUUCCCUUGCAGGCUUAUGCAUCUAUUUAUAGAUGAGGAUGGAGAAUCUGUCAAGUGGGGCUGGUGGUGGGAUGAGAAUGAAGCUACGGCUAGAACCCUAAGACACAAGGCAGGGACGCCACUGAGUUGGCUAACCUGGUGGGAGCUCUUUGUAACUUACCACCAUGCAUUCCUGUAGCCCACAAAAAAAUUGGCAGAGGAGCUUAUCUCCAUGGGUCAAAUGCAACAAAAAAAAAGGUAGCGCUUUGUACAUAAAUUAAAGAGAACAGUGAAAAGUUGUACCUAUAGACAUUCGAAUGGCACACAUAUAAAUUUGAACACACUAAGUUAAAGAGAAAUGGCCAAACUCGGCUCUUUAAAUAUCAAUCUCUCUACCCGAAUCUGACAUGCUGAAAUUCUUCUUAUCUUAAGCUAAUUAACAGUAGUUUCAAAAUCUUAAGCAUGUAAUAUGUUCGGCAAUUGGUUUCGGGGUAUUGACAAACAAUUUUUUACACACAUUCUUGUGGGGCCGGGCGGCUACCUUAUGUUAGGCAGUGUGCCCUAUCAGGAAUGACCUGGUUUUUAAUAAUAAAUUUAUUUCAUAUCCUUUGCAGGUUAUUCAUGCAUGUAAGCGAUAGCUACGUACAUGGUCUAUCCUGCAGAGGCCAGAGGAUAGAAAUAUUUUUAUGGUGGCGCCUACCUGGCUAGAGCAUACGGCCAGGGAGGUUUCUCCAUUCAUGGAUGGUGGAGUAAUCUCCGGAUAGGAUCUACCCCACCUUAGGUUGGACUUUUUAUUAUUGUUGUAGAACAAUAUUUUAUUUUUGGUUGUGUUGGACGUGUUAGUUGUGUGCAUCGUGCUACGCUUAAGAUGAGCUUUCUUUUUAAUGUGGUUGUAUCACCUCGAUAAGUCAAUUGAAUGAAAUGUCCUUUAUUGAAAAAAAUGCUAAUUAAUGAUAGACAAAAGGCUUGACUUGACUCUACCUCCUAUAGAAAGUAAAUAAAGCAAAGUUGAUGGGUAUUGGGCCAUCUCUCGCUGAGCGUAUAUGGGCGGUGCAGGCGGAUCUGCAUAUUUGGGAUCGCGAUAUUCUUAAGGGACCGAAAAAAGAAUUUACAAACUAAAAAAAGAACUAGAAAGGCUGCGGAGGGGACCUAUGUGUGCGAAGUCUCAAGCGUGACAAAAGGAGAUUCUUGUCGUCAUUGAAACUCUGUCGGAACAAGAGGAGAUUUACUAGCUACAACGUGGUCGCGCAAACUGGCUAUUGCAUGGGGAUCGUAGCACCUCCUUUUUUCAUAAUGCGGCAACGGCCAGAAAGAAAAGAAAUCAGAUUAAAAAAUUGCUUGAUGAUAAUGGGCUAUGGGUGCAAGGUACAGAGAUGAAGAAUCACAUUACGUCAGAAGUUUCCCAUCCUAACUCGGAGGUUCUAUCUCUUGUCCAAUGAAAAGUGACCGAUGAAAUGAAUGAUGCUCUUCUAGCCCCCUAUACGGUCGAGGAGGUUCGAAAGGCCCUAUUUGAUAUUGGUGAUUUAAAAGCGCCAGGUCCCGUCGGCCUCCAUGCUAUUUUUUACAAAGUAUUUUGGUCUAUGUCGGGAGAUGACUUGACUGAAGAGGUUCUUCAAGCGGUAAAUACUUGUUCUAUACCAAAUGGGUGGAUGAUACUGCAAUUGUAAUGAUCCCAAAGAUUAACUCUCCUGAAAAGGUAACCCAAUUUAGACCAAUCAGCUUGUGCAAUGUGGUGUAUAAGGUUAUUUCAAAAAUUAUUGCUGCUCGUCUAAAGAUAAUCCUAUCAGAUAUUAUUAGCCCAACUCAGAGUGUCUUUGUGCCUGGAAGAUUGAUUACAGACAAUAUAUUGGUGGCAUAUGAAUGUUUCCAUACAAUAAAAAACAAAAGGGCGGGUAAAGAGGGUUUGUGUGCCAUCAAAUUAGAUAUGCACAAAGCAUAUAACCGAGUGGAGUGGUGUUUCUUAAAGGAAAUUAUGCGGAAGUUGGGUUUCAAAGAGAUUUGGGUGAACUUAAUUAUGAAAUGUGUAUCCUCUGUGGAGUACCGGGUCCAUAUUAAUGAUGAUGAGACGGAGAGUUUUAAACUAACUAGAGGAUUGAGGUAGGGAGAUCCCCUUUCUCCCUACUUAUUCUUGUUAUGUAAAAAGGGUUUGACCGCCCUUUUAGCUAAUGCGGAGGAGAAUGGAAACAUUUCCGGUAUAAAGGUAUGGGUCGUACCAAUGUUAAUCCUAUUUUGGGUAAGAUUUGGAAAUUAUCGUGUCCUGCAAAGGUAAAAAUAUUUAUCUGGCGAACGUUGCAUGGAACUCUACCGUGUCGUGUUACACUUGCCAAUAGACAUAUGAAAGUUUCGCCUCUUUGUCCAUCAUGCUCAAAUGGGCAAGAAGAUACAAAACACAUCUUGUUUUUGUGUCAGAAGGCAAAAGAGGUUUGGGGUAAGCUGGGGAUGUACGAGGUAAUUAAGAAAGCUUGUGUUAUUGAUCGUGCGGGUGAGCCGGUUAUUGAAUUCUUACUUCUUAUGACGCACCAAGAACUAUCUAUACGAGGUUGCCAGAAUGCAAGUGAAUUAAUCGCGAUAACCACUUGGUAUUUAUGCUGGGAGAGACGCAUGUUGGUUCAUGAAGGAAAGUCUCAAGAUUGGAACCAGAUUUUGAUGGGGGUUCGUGCUAUAACAACAAACUAUGUGAAUGCCCACUUCCCUAGUGCGACUAGUAGAAAAGAAGGAUGGAGCCGAUCUCCUAUGGGUUUUGUUAAACUAAAUGUUGAUGCUUCUUUUGACCAUGAUCUACUCAGGGGCACGACAGGUGCUGUAGUCAGAGAUGACAAAGAAAAAUUCAUUGUUGGCGGAAAUUAGAAGAUCGAUUGUUGUGCUGAUGUACUAACAGCAGAAGCGAUGGCUCUGAGGCUUGAUUUAAUUCUUGCACAAAAGGCGGGAUGCAAUCGUCUUAUUAUUAACUCUGAUAAUAUGGAAGUCAUUGACACAAUGAAAAAUGGAGGACAAUCGGCAGGAGUUGCGGCGGCGGUCUUCGAGGAUUGCUACUUCAUGGCAUGUGAUUUUCCGUUGACUAGAUUUGAACAUUGUAAUAGGAUAGCUAAUAAGGUUGCUCAUGAACAUGAUAGGCUAGCGAAAGUUUCUGUAACUAGAGAUUGGUUUGAGGAGCCUAUGGAGAAUAUUGCACCUCUUCUUAUAGACGACGUAACCAUUAGUUCCAAUUAAUAAAGUGCAUGUUUUCUUUAAAAAAAGAGUAAAAAGUAUAUAUGUUUAGCUUGGAAUCCAUCUCUACAUGCAAGUAUUAAGAUUUCAUAAACUUGUUUUUCAUAACUUUUAGUGCAUCAAUCCAUUAGCUUAACUUAGCAAUGUAACCAAUGCUAGCUCCGCCCCCGAUGAGAUCUAUUGUGUUUGCUAGAGAAAUACACACAUUUUGCAGUUCGAAAUUAUCUAAAGUAAGUAACCCUUAAUUGUAUAUAUCCCAUCAUACUACCCUAUAGAAGAAAGAAAAGACCCUAAAUCCACAUCAUUCAUUUAUCUGACAAGUAUUUCCAAACAGAGGGAGUACAUUAUCAGAAUAGUCUAGCCCCCUAAAUUUGCAUCUAAAUCAUGUGCCUAUCUCCACGUCCCCAUCUCUGUCAGAAAUAUGCCGACGAUUCCCUUCAAAAAAAAAAAGAAAUACGCCGACGAUGCUAAAAAAAACAGAGGCAUUUCCGGUGGCCUGUGGUGGUGACAUGCAUGAAUCCGAACAGUGGGCCUUUUCACCUUGUUGUUACUCACCGUCGUGGUCCGAACGCGUGGCUCGUGUAACGCGUGGCUCUUCCAUUUGUUAGUGCGGUCCAUACAUUCUGUGUGUGGUUGUGAGUUAAUUGUACAGAAGUAUCAAUUGAAGCAUCACAUAUAGAUUGGUAUCAAGAUUGCUAAUUUUUGCAUAUCAGUAUUAAGAUUGUGCCAGGCUGUUGCAAAUAGGUCUAAACUGCGUAUAAACGCGUAUUGACAGUGUAUCUGACUGUUGGGGCCCAUCUGUCAGGUGCCGAUGUGGCAUAUUUUUUGCAGAAAACCCCUUGCUUUAUACGUAAUCACAUAAAUACCAUUUUUUUGCGGAAAAAGUUAACGUGAGAGACUUGUAUUUUCGUUCGGACUUGUUUGGAAGUCGGCCCAACAAAUGUUACCGUCCAAUUCGACAAAUCUUUAUCUUUAUCUUUACCUAAUAUUAAAGGGAGGAUCGUUUCUCCACAUUUUUUGUCAUACCUAAUAUUAAAGGGAGGAGCGUUUCUCCACUUUUUUCGUCACUAGUAUAAAUGCCCGUGCGUUGCACCGGGCAAAAAAUGAAAUGUAACCUGCUUCACGUGCCAUUAUGCAACAUUUUUAUAAUCUAAUUUUCGCAAACAUCAGAAAUGAGGUUACACUGAGUAUUUUUUUUGUAUGAUGAAAUUUUGAAUAAGAAAUAAGGCUACAUGUGCACGGAUCUUCUAAGACUGCUCUGCGGCAAUGAACUGCACUUGUUGAAAGUCAGAGAAGAAACCAACGCCAGUCACCACAAAACUAUGGGGGUGAUAAUGGAAGCCACCCCCCCAACCAAAUCUUUGGAAUGUCAUCCAGCCUAACAGCAUCAUCAUGAAAGUUGCAAGUCCAGUUGCGGUAGAGAAAUCACCCAUGAAAGAUGAGUGCUCGUUUGGACUGGGGAACUGCCAAAAUGAAUAAGGAACCAUGAAAAGGUUAAAGGAGUACAAGGAAAGAAGAAAAACAAAAGCCGGAAAAAAUUACAUGUGCCUUGAGCUUCGAUUUCCAUGUGACUUACACAAAAUUGAUUAUAAUGCCAUAUGCAACAACUAAGGUAGCAAGGCCCCUCACAUAUUUUGAAGAGAUCAGAACUUUCAUACUCUCUUUCAUGCUAAGCUUAGGUUUGUUCUGUUGAAACAAUGGCUAUAUUCACAACUGUGGUGAUCUGAAAAUGAUUUAAUCAAAUCAACUUGAGCAAAAAGGGCUAUCAUUUGAUAAGAAAGCUGACCAAAGAUAAACUCAAAAUUCCAUAUGGCAGGCACAAUAAUGACAUGGACAAAUAAAGGCAUCACAAAGGUACCUCAAGGAAUUAGAACUGAAAGGUAAGGCUUGCGGCCAGUGACCGGAAGUAGAAUAUGCUUAACUUGGGACAGAGCAUUAAUCACUAAAGCACUUCCAGAUUCGUUCACUUCAGCCCUCACUGGUUACAAAGCAAAGGCAAACAAAUAUCAAACAGUGGUCUCAGCUCAACCAUCCAUCGUACCUCUUCAAACAUAAUCAGAAGUAAGGAUGUUCUUUGCAAGUUUGAUUAUGAAUCACCACAAAUUUCCCUGCUAAGAACAAAGUCAAGCAUGGUGAACAAUUCACUAACUUCGGUGCAGCAAAGGAAGGCCAAUACAUUGUCAGAAGCGCAACUACGCUUGGUCAGACACACAAUCAUUCAAACAUCACAUGAAAAUAUUAGCAUCAGCAACCUGAAACCACUGCACCUCGCUCCAAGUCAAAGCGAAGUAACUAAUCUUCAGUACACGUAGUGACAGCACAAAGAGACGACCAAGCAAUCGACGUACAAAUCUCAAGAAGACUUCAAGUCAGAGGCCGCCACCCACACGCCUCCGCAGGGAGCCCGGCCGGGGCCAGUGGACCAUGGCCAUAGGCACCACCGUCUGGGAGGAGCAGCGCUGGUGGCCGGUAGCACUGCCCCCGCGGUGUGUUCCGAAGGCCACGGCUGCGCCGUGGGCGCCGCCUCAAUUGCGGGCUGGUGCGCUUAAGAACGAGCCUUGCCGGCCAUGUGCCAUCGCCUCGCGGAGCGUCUUGGCCAAAAAUAUGAAACCUAAUGCUAUGCCCUGUUUAAAACUUUUUAUAAAGUAAAAAUAUUUCAAAAAAAAUAGACAUCACAAUUUUCCAUAUGUAUCACACACUAACGUUUAGACUUUGUAGUUUCUCUACAAAGAUUGACCACAUAUUCAAUACCAGUUGGUGAAAUAGGAACAUAUAGUUCUGCAUUUCCACUCUACACAAUGUUAUUUCUCCAAAAACGAAUCCAUUUUUAGAUCUUUGUCAUAUUUCUGAACUUCAAAUUGCUCAUUGUUUGAAGUAUUCAACAGUCUAUACACAGUCAGGGCAAGAUUGGACAGAUGAUGCUAAAAUUGCAAGGGUAAGAAGAUGGACCAGACACCAGAUUAGUGGACAACCAUGGGAUGACCUCAUAAUUCAGAAGGGAGUCAGACUAAUACAUGAUCAGUCAGCCUUAAAUUCAGCAUUCAAGGUAGUAACAAUACCCUGAUACUACAGAUACGCUGAUAGCAGAGCAUGGUGUCCGUACCAAGUGGAACCAAACUUGUAGGCAAGUAAACCUAACACCAUAUCAUAAUAUGAGCACGGUGUCUUUUACACUGUUAUAUUGUUCUGUCUACUUGGGCUGGCCCAACAGAUGCUUACAAAGAUGUUGGAUAAAAUAAAUAAAAAAUGCUGGAUGAAAGCUAGAUGCAAAUGAGGUUAUACAUCAUCAACAAUUCACUGCUAUAGUUUAUUUAGAUUCACGGACAUGCUGUUUUUAUAUGUUCACUGGCAGAAUCUACGGGACUGUAUAUGCCAAUAUCUGUGCAACUGUCUCUUCGAGCCUUGGCGCAGUGGUAAAGCUGCUGUCUUGUGACCAUGAGGUCAUGGGUUCAAGUCCUGGAAACAGCCUCUUACAGAAAUGUAGGGAAAGGCUGCGUACUAUAGACCCAAAGUGGUCGGACCCUUCCCUGGACCCUGCGCAAGCGGGAGCUACAUGCACCAGGUUGCCCUUUUUUUUUGUCUCUUCAAAUUGCUAGCCUGCAGGUUGACAUGAUCAGCAAAACAUUCCUAGAGGUACGGAUCAGCAAUGUAGUAGCAAUCUAAUCAAGUUUGUGUCUAGCCCGUGGCGCCAACGACACCUCCCGUGCCACUGCCGGCCUUAGAAAUACCAAAGAAUUAUCACCCAACAACUAUUGUAUGCUUGAUUUUUAUUGCUUAUAGCAAAAUAAGGCCAAAUUUAAAUAACACUAAUUUUACUAUUUUCUAUGUUCUUUGACGACUCUUGGUGAUGAUCUAGAUUGUGUCUAACAAAUCAAAGUAAUUUACUUCACUCUGUUUUGCAAGUUUCAGUUUCUAUAGCAUGGCUUGCAUGCGUCAAGGCAACAUAGAGUAGUCAUGAAUGUAUUACCAAUCAUAUCAUUAUUAGUAAUGAUCUUUGUAUGAAUUAAUAUAGGCAUCUACCUUACUGAUACACUCAACAUAAGCAACUUGGUCCAAUGUUAUUUGGUUGAUCAUCCCAUUUUACAUAAUCCAAUCGAAGAACUGAAUUUUAUGGGCACAACUGUACUACGUGCGAAGAAUUGUACAUAAGCAGAUUUGGUAAAUGAAUACAGAGGCAUGCUCUCCAUGAAAAGUAGGAUCAAAAUAAUGCCCCCCCCCCCGCAAUCAAUAUAUAUUGUUGUACUUAGUAUAGUGAAUUUUGGGGACAUCAAUGGCUGGUUUCGACAUAGAUAUGUGCAAGAUUUUCACCUGCAAAUAACAAUGGGUUUCUAUAUCUGUCCAUCAGAGUGCAUCAUCUCCAAUAAUUAUCCAACAGACUGCUAAAAAGAUUAUUUGUCCAUAUGAUGGCUCUAGUCAGAUAUAUAUUCAGAUGUCAUACCAGUCGAUGCAAUAUAUGUACUCCGAAACUAAGCCUGGUGUUUGUACUGUUUAUUAGCCUACAGAUGUUCUCACGUACUCACAAGUAUCUAUGCAAGAUUGUGGUAGUGGGCAGUAGCAGCGGGCUAUGGGAAAGUUGUUUCAUCAAUGCGAAUGCGCACUCCUUAUUCCAGCUCUGAGGUUGGUGUUGACACAACUCCUGACAGAAAAAAAUCAUGAAAAUGUGUUAGACACACAACUGUUCAUGUCCUACCGAGCACGUCAACAUAUUGCCAAUUGGUGGGUGAAUACAAAGGUACAAACUGCAUGCAUAUUAAGAAUGACGUACAUUAUGGAAACUAUGGUAACAGCCAAUACUUUGUCGCCUCCCACUACAGGCUCCCUUGCAACGUUGGGCAUGACUCCAUAUAUUCUGUAACCGUAUAACUGAGGACACCGGUGCCCCCUUUAACGAUUUCCACUGCAACCACCACUUCACCAUCCCAGACCAAGCAGCAAAGGCCCAUGUUGUUUCCGCACAGAUCUUAGUAAAACAUGAAAGCGAUACUGAAAAGAUAUAAGGACAAAAGAGUUUUGAAUAUAAACGCUAGCCAGAUAGAUAAAACGCCAUGUGCAUCUACAAAUUUGUAUGGAGACUUGGAUAGGCAAUGCGUCGUCUUUACCUCUAAUAAAAAGCAUGUAGAGAUCAGUACAUGUUCACUUAGUAAAAUUAUAGGCCCUCUAAGCAUGUCUUCUCCGUAAUAAUUACACUAAAAGCUGUAAAUCUGCAAGGGCUCUCUUGCUGGCAGGAAGACUUUUAUGAGAAGCCAUUGAUCAGGACUGAAUUAUUCAACAUCCUCACUCAAAGAUUUUUCAUCAUUCCCAUGGGAUAAAUCAUGUAGUUCAAUCCAUCUCCUUUUAUUACUCAAUGGCCGUUAGGUAGUAUACAUCAUCUUCAUCCCCUAUCUAACCAGCCUGAAAGUUUACUACUGGAACACCACGAUACAACCAUAGAGCCUCGUAAUCUUAGCAUGGAGCCGACGACUGCGACAUGUAAGUUGCGACGGCAUCUCCGACCACUACACGCUGACAGCCUGCUCAUACUUGACCUUGCUUCUCGAUCACACAUGUAAGGAGCGGCCGUUUGCAAAUUCAGCAUGAUGUGGUGAAGCAAUUUGAAGAAGGAAGUAGUGUGCGUACGCAUCUGAAGAUGGUGGUGGCGUCGGGGCUGAUCUCAAGGUGGGCAAUGAUGGAGCGACAGAAGAUGUGGCUUGGGCUGGGCCUUGGCUUGAUGCCGGGACGACUGGGGCGGCGGCACAUGCGAUUGCUGCAAGCGAGCGGGACGAGCGUCGUCCUCGUGCAGACGCGGGCAAGGAUAGACAGCGCCGACGCUGUUGGUCGAGCGGGGCGGUGCUCCAGUGACGAGGAUGGCGGGGCCCGGUCGGAUCCGGCCGGAUCUGGACGGGACGGAUCCAUUUUCGGCGGAUUUGGCGUGCAGGCGGCCGGAUCCGGCGAGAUUAAGGGCUGGUGGCGCCAUGGCCCUUCUGGAGGUCCCUGUUCAGCGAGAAAGAGAGAAAGAGGUGAGAGGAGAUCGAGAGGAAGGAGGAGAGGGGCGAGGCGGCGGAGCGGACGGAGCUCCGGCGGUGAGGCGCGGCGGAGGUGUGGGGUCGCCGGCGAGGCGGCUUGCGGGGGCGAGGGGAGCUCGGGCAAGAUGGAGCUGCGGGAGGCAGAGCGGUCUGGUUCGGGCUGGGUUUCCAGCGUUAUUUUUGUAAAAGUGAAAUGUUAUAUAGAGACCCAGUAAAACAGGGACUGCGGAUUAAUUUCUUACAAACUGAGGGACUUUUAUGCAAAAUUGCUAACGGCGACGGACGAGAGAAACCCAAUUUUCGAAAGUAUGACGCCCCACAUAUUCUUAUUCCUUUGUCUCAAAAAAAACAUAUUCUUAUUCUUUUGUUUGUACCUUUUAUUUUUAUUUUUUUUCUCUUAUUUUUUUUAGUUUCCUUUUUCCUAUUUAGGUUUGUAAACUAUUCAUCGCACUUUAAAAAAAAUUAAAUCAUGUAUUUAAAAAAUGUUAAACAUGUAUAAAAAAAUAUUUUUGAUGUAUAGGAAAAAUGUACAGUGUGUAUGAAAAAAUAGUGAUCAAAACAUGUAUUUGAAGAAAAUGUUAAUCAUCUAUUAAAAUAAUAUUAAACACAAAUAAAUAGGUUUCACAUGUAUAUGAAAAUUGUACAAUAUGUAUGAAAAAAAAGGUCAUCAAAAUAUAUAUUUCACGCAAUUUUAACCAUGUAUUUAAAACAAACCUGUGUAAUCAAUAUUUCAUAUGUAUGCAAAAGAUAUACAAUAUGUAGAAAAAACUAGACAUCAAAACGUAUAUAUGAAAAGAUGUUAAUCAUAUAUUAUAAAAAUGUUAAACAUGUAUAAAAGUAUGUACAAUGUGUAUCACAAAAUGUAGACAUGUGUUGAAAGAAAGUAGGCAUGAAAGAUUUAUUUCAAAAUAAUGUAAUUAUUUAUUUGAAAAAUGUUAAACAUGUAUAAAGAAAUGUUCCUAAUAUAUACAAACAAAUGUAUAAUGUGUAAGAAAAAACAUAGACAGUAAAACCUAUAUUAAAAUAAUGUUAACCAUGUAUUUAAAAAAGGAUAAACAUAUGCAAUAAAAAUGUCCCUUAUGUAUAAGAGAAAUGUACAUUAUGCGUAAAAAAAGUAGACAAGUGUUGAAAAAAAAAUGAAAAAAAUGGGGAAAACCAACUCUACCCCAAGGGUUCAUGGAGCACAUGUUGAACCUCAAUCAUCCAUCUCUGAUCUGUCCUUGCCCCCAUGAAUCGCAUCGUCGCGGACAUCUUAUAUGCGUGCAGUGUGAUCAGACACCACCCUUACCGAAUUGAUUGCUAAUUGGUACAGGCAAUCACAACAUCUCGGCCUACCAUCAAUAUUGAUACUACUGUGUACCUCAUGCUAGAUGUCCAAAUACAAGCAGAUACGCUAAUUAUCGUGACAAUUUUCAUUUUUCAAUGAAAGUUCUCAUUGAUAAACUAGACAUAUGAAAUCGUUCACGAGUCAUGUCCAAGGCGGUAGCAUUAGAUAGGCAGGUGUGAACAUGUACAAAGUUAGGUCCAUUUAGAUGCCACCUCUUUUCACCCAUGCCUUAUUUCUCUCUGCUUCCCCCCAUUCUCGAGAUCCAGCGCCCAAGUUCUCAUCUUUUCCGCCCCCAAAAAACAAUUCAGCCAUAUCCAGAUCCGGAGCGCAUGGCAAGUGGAUGGUCUCCUCCGUUAAGGACAAGGACAUUACAAAGCUCUGGGAGGCCGGGUAUCUGGCCAAGGAAAUCGCCCACCGACUUCUGGCCGAGGGACAGAUCGUCCCCACUCCGGAACCCCAGGAGAGGGUCGUAUUCCUCUCUCACUUCAUUCGCGGGCUGGUAUUUCCUCUCCACCCCUUCAUCCACGGACUCAUGUACUACUACGGGUUAGAUUUCCAUGAUCUAUCCCCAAAUUCAUUCCUCAACAUAUCGGCAUUCAUCAUCGUGUGUGAGGCUUUCCUCCACAUCCCACCACACUUCGGAUUGUGGCUAAAGACCUUCAUGUGAAGCCGAAGGUGGUGGGCGGCCAACACGCAGAGUACGGAAGCUCCAUGGUGAGCAAGAUGCCUAACGUUACAUGGCCAUCAGGUACAUUUAUUGAGACCGUCAAAGGGUGGCAACAAUAGUGGUUCUAUGUCACUGAGCCGCGCGACACCACCUGGGUCGCAGCCCCCGAAUUCCAAUCUGGAGCUCCGAUGCGGCUCACCUCCUGGCCCGAGAAGGGUCUGGACGGGUCUUCGUCAGACGAGCUGACAGUGCUUCAGGAGCGCAUCAAGAGCAUGGUGGACAAGAACAUCAAGCUUGUCAACAUGAUCCAGGUGAUGCUAGCUUGCCGAAUACUUCCAUGCCAAAGUCGGACUUGCCAUCCAUGGGAGUUCGAUCCGGCCAAGCACCAGACACUACUGGAGUUCUUUGGCACUAUGCACGAAGACAUCUGGAAGGUGCUAUUCAAGUCAAGCAAGACAUGGCCGGACACGGCCGAGGAUCAUGGGCACAACUUGGCCCGUCCCGCUAGUCCGGUAAGCCUUUACAUGUUUUCAAGGUGUAUCCUUUACUUGCAUACUUGAGGAAAAUGCCUAAACUUCCCUACCGAUUCUCUCGGGGAUAGACAAAGAUGGCGGAGUAGAUUUACUGUCCGGCCCCGCUGCCGAAGACCCAGCAAUUCUACUUCUGACAAAGAUGCUGAUUCUGGCGCCCUAUAAAGCGCCGGAGAAGAAGGCCAAGAAGAAGGCCAAGGAGACCGAGGAGACCAGAAGCGGUCUCCGUCACAAGAGUGCUUCGGACAUGACGUCCGAAGACGCCGAGACUCACUCCUCCGCCUCCGAGGACGACAAGGAAGAGGAGGAAGAAGAAAGCCAUUCCCCUCCUGGGGGGGAGGAAGAAGAUGGCGGCCUCCACGCGUCUGGAGGCCGAAGCGUCCAAGAAGGGAAAAACUUCCUUCCUGGACAACUCCACAAUGGCCACCGACAGCAGCUUGGAAUGGUGCCCGAGGGUCAACCCCCUGGCCAAAUCGUGAGUACUCAAAAACCCAAACACAUUCAUAUAUCUGGCCUCUCUACUUUAUAGUCUUAACAUGUUAAGUUAUUCAUCUGCAGUCUGGCUCGGUCCGACCUUGAGCGGUCCUCGUCUUUGGGAGAUUCGCUGGACCUGGAGGCAAUGGACAGUGGGCCCUCCCGGCGGCCUCCUCUCCCAAGGCCAUGGAUGGUGCCGAGGCGCUGUCCUGAAGGAUCCCAGGCCAAGAAGAGACUCGGGAGGCCGUCAAGGCGGUGCCGGAGGGUGAAACCUCGGCCGCCAGACACAUGGAGGAGUAGAUCCCCAGGGAGACUGGCAAUGAGGGCCAUAUCCAAUUCGGUCCCCAGCCGAAUACGAUUCCGGAGAUCUAUACGGCUCCGGAAUCAGGCAAGCAGCCUCUUUCAAAAGAAGGAGGUGUGCCUAUUCCAUCGGUAUCCUCUGUCCAUCCGGAGGCACCGAAUCAUUUGCUGGAAGCGCUGCGAGGCGCUUCCAUUGUUGAGGAACACCGUAAACUUAUGGGUACGGUGGUUGAGAAGGUCCAGUCUACCAAGAGCGGACUGACCGAAGCCUGCACAAGCCUUCUAACAGGCUUUGAGGUAAGCAAAGAAAUUAUGUAAAAAGAAUGUCACAGUUUAGACAGUAGCCCCUUAGACGAUGUCCGGUGUUCGGAAAGAAAAGCCAAACAGAGGAUCAAAUAACUAUCGCAGGAGAACAAACUAACAUGUCUAUAUGUAUAAGCAGGCAUCAUUGCUGGUUGCAACCUGUCAUGCUACUAAGGUCUCCGGACUGAAGCAAAGUAUGGAGCGGACCGAGGGAGAGGUCGGCCAUGUGAAGAAACAGCUGGAGGAUAAUCAAGGUAUGCAAUAAUGCGAUAACCUUGUCCAUAUUUCAGGAAGGAUGAAUGUUUUGUACUGACUAAAGUGCCAUGACAUUUAUUAGGCGCGGCGACCAAGGUGGAGACCCUUAAGAAGGCGCUGGACGAGGCCGAGGAGAGAGCGGUGAAGGAAAAAGCCUCCCGUGAAAGGCAUGAGGCCAGGGUCGUUGAGGUCCAGCAGGAGAUCCAGGACGCCGUGAAGAGAUGUGAGUCCUUGGAGCGCGACAUUACAAAUCAAGAGACCGAACUGACCAAGGCUCGCCAAAGCGCACACGAUACCCGGGUUGAAGCCCAGGGCGCCCUCCAGGAAGUCCAGGAGGCAAGAAAAAUCACGGCGGGUAAGGCAUUCAUAAUGCAGAGCAAAUAUGUAAGAAAAGGUUCCUCUUAUUGACCCGAAUUUGGAGUUCUCCAGGGGCAUUCGCGGAUCUUCCGCGCAGCAUUUUAGAUGCUGCGGAGUUCUUCCGAGCCGAAGAGGGGAGCUCUACGGAGAAGUUGUUUUGGUCGCAAUAUCUUGCGCCAGAACAUCUGGUGCCCUUUAGCGACCAGUUAAAACAGUUGGUCGAACUGCAUAGGGUGGCCGAACUAGCCAUGAAGGAUUUAAUAAUCUGGCUAUGGCCUGCCGAAGUCAUACCCAGCAGCUACUUCGGGCUCAUGAAGCGGCUGGUCAAAGCCUGCCCUUGGCUUAAUGACAUCAAGCGGUCGGUCUGCAUCGAAGGCGCGCGAAUGGCCUUUGCACGAAUCAAGAUGCAUUGGGUCAAGAUGGACGCCGUGAAGCUUGUAACCGAGGGACCACCCGUGGGCAAGGAGCAACGCACGCCCGAGCUGUAUUUUGACAAUGUCCUGGAGGGGUCCCGCAUUGUAGCAGAGAAAUGUACGAAGGAUAUUAUCUUGGAGUGACUACAUUCAUGUUAUCCUGUCCUGUACAAUGAAACAGAAUCGCUAUGUAAUAUAAUGCCUGUUACUUUAAAAUUUUACCUCAUGUGUGGCCCUUUUGUUAAAUCUGAGAGUUGGCCAGUCAUCGGCUUCAGCCCCCACGUAGAAAGUACGGGGGUGUUCAGGAUGAAUCUAAACAUUCUUUACUCCAGAGUUUGGUCCUUCAAGGAGGUGUUUAGCGCGACGAACCAGGCAAUCAUACUAUAUGGCUUUAUCACUCUCACUUAGCCAUAGGAGUUUGACAAUAAAAAUUUAGGCACAACCCCUAGUAUUCGGACUUGGGGUACUGUAAAUACCUCAUCGGGUAAAAACCGAUUCGUCGUAUAAUGCGAAAAAAAUCGCAAAAGAUUUGUGACCUCUCAAACAACUGACCGGCUCAUGCCGCAUCAUGACAGUCAGUUUUCGGCUUUCUCUACUGAGGUGCUCAUCCGGAAUAAUCAGGACACAAUCGCAGUAGUUCUCCCUUUACUACCUUAGCCGAUAUAGCGGAAUGUAAGGUAGCAAGCACAGGAGCAGGGAAACCCAACUAUUGAGCAAAGACAUGAUUCGGAGCCAAUGCAUAUAAUACUAUAAGUUCGGGGUGCCGAACUAUACUUAAAAAAGCAUUCAGACUUUGUUGCCGUAUUGUGGGGCGUAAUGAAGCCCCUGGCGAAUUUAAAGUGUACCAAAGUGUACGGGUGCAUUCAAUAAGAAUAACGAAAUAAAAUGAAAAAGCAAGUUAAUGCCACAUAAGUUGGGCCGCGGACUAUUUUUAUCGUAAUUUCAUUGAUACGUCGAAGCAUAUUUGCAUAGAUAGUGUGUUAAACAAUAUAGCCGAUUAACCUGCCCAGACCAGGGGGAGCUGCAUGCGGUUCCCAAAGACAGGUUGAAUGAUCAUAGAAGAGAACAUCUAUAGAUUCCCUCGCGCGUCCAUACUACUUCCCGCCUUGGUAUGUGUAUAUCAUUCGAAAGGAUCGACAAUCAGGACACCAGGAAAACCUGGAAAAAAGAAACCUGAAAAGAAAAAAAAAGUAAAAGUAUGUGGGUCCACGGGAGGUUGAGCCGUAUUAGGGACCACAAUAAUGUUACGCUCCGUCUAUGCCCAUGGUAUUUUGUGUGCCUAGUUAUGUACGCCCGGUACGUAUGCCGCCAUUUGAUCGGGAUUGCGGCGGUGGCCAAAUUGCUUAUCGAGCUCUUGAUGAGCUGGGUUGUCCUUCUGCAGAGUAGUCCGGACUCGUUUGACGGUGUCCGGGAGCCUGGCCGCCGAAUUGAAGUUCUACUUGUUAAGGCUGCUCUGUAUCUCUGCUGCCAGCGCGGCGGUGUGCUCCUCAGUAUGAAGGGAGAGUUCUGUGUUUCCAUUGACUGUUAUAACACCGCGUGGUCUAGGCAUCUUAAGUUUGAGAUAAGCAUAGUGUGGCACCGCAUUGAAUCGGGCAAAUGCUGUUCGUCCGAGCAAUGCGUGAUAGCCACUGCGGAAGGGGAAGAUAUCGAAGAGCAACUCUUCGCUUCGGAAGUUAUUCGGGGAUCCAAAGACCACUUCCAGUGUGAUUGAGCCCGUACAGCGGGCCUCUACACCUGGUAUGACUCCUUUAAAGGUGGUUUUCGUGGGCUUGAUUCUUGAGGGAUCGAUGCCCAUUUUGCACACUGUAUCCGGAUAGAGCAGGUUCAGGCUGCUGCCACCGUCCAUGAGGACAUGUGUGAGAUGGAAUCCAACAAUGAUUGGACCAAGGAACAAUGUGGUUGAACCGCCAUGAUGGAUACUGUUCAGAUGGUCCCUGCGAUCGAAAGUGAUCGGGUAGAAUGACCGUGGGUUGAAUUUUGGGGCGACUGGCUCCAUCGCAUAGACAUCCCUGAGCGCGUGCAUGUGCUCCCCCUUGGGGAUAUGGGUAGCGUAUAUCAUGUUAACCGUUUUAACAUGGGGGGGGGGGACUUCUUCUGUCCCCCUGUGUUCGGUGGCCGGGGCUCCUCAUCAUCUUCCUCGCUUUGUGACCCCUUCUCCUUAUUCUCGGCAUUUAACUUGCUAACCUGUUUAAAAACCCAACACACUCUGUUGGUAUGAUUGUCUAGUUUAUCAGGAGUGUCGUGGAUUUGACAUGGACGAUCGAGUAUGCGCACCAAGUUGGACGGGCCCAGAUUGUUUAUUUUUUAUGGCUUCUUCCGCUGACCGGACUUACAGCCGCUGAAUUGGUGUUCACCGCCGUGUAUUCGGUGUUGUCACCGUUGCUUCGACGCUUGUGUCUGUUGCGUCGGGGCUUGCCAUUGCUAUUUCUGGCUUCAGAAAUGCCAGGUUCGCUUAUAUUGUUGUUGCUACGGACCAGCCAGCUAUCCUCACCCGCACAGAAGCGGGUCAUAAGCGUCGUGAGGGCUGCCAUAGACUUCGGCUUUUCUUGGCCGAGGUGUCGGGUGAGCCAUUUGCCGUGGAUGGUGUGUUUAAAGGCCGCUAGGGCUUUGGCAUCCGGACAGUCGAUGAUCUGGUUCUUUUUAGUUAAGAAUCUAGUCCAAAAUUUCAUGGCGGACUCUCCGGGUUGAUGAACUAUGGGACUCAAGACAUCGUCGUUUCGAGGUCGGACGUAUGUGCCUGGAAGUUAUCGAGGAAGGCAUCCUCCAGGUCGUCCCAGCUGCCAAUUGAGUUCUUUGGCAAACUGUUCAACCAGUGCCGAGCAGGUCCCUUGAGUUUUAGCGGGAGGUAUUUGCUGGCGUGAAGGUCAUCACAGCGGGCCAUAUAUAUGAAUAUGUAGGAGAAAAUCCUCGAUCCAUACCGCGGGGUCUAUUGUCCCAUCAUAUGAUUUGAUGUUCAUGGGUUUAAAUCAUUCUGGGAAUUCAUGUCCCAUUACUUCAUCAGUGAAGUAGAGGGGGUGUGCGGCACCUCUAUGUCGGGCCACGUCGCGAUGUAGCUCGGAUGGAGUUAGUCUGCGGUAUUCGGCCCGUACAGGGUUAUAUUUGUCACGUCCGGCCUGAUGGCCAUCGUCAUGCAUCGAGGCACGCCCCCGCGAUGCAUAGAUUGAUCUGGUCUGACAUGCUCUGUUUUCCAGGAAAUGCCGCAGGUCAUAUGUGUAUCCUCGAGCUGUUGUGUCUUUGUUUUUUCGGAAAAGUAAUGCGAGAUGGUGUUCGGCUUGAGUUGCCGCUUUGUCCCGUCCACGCAGUGGCCGGUCAGCCGCAUUGUGCGCUCGUAGGACGGGCUCCAGCCCCUCGUCAUUGAAUUGGGGCAGCAAUUCGCACUUCGGGUAACUUUUGGUUGGCGCUCGAGAUCUUAUUCCAUGGCUGCCAGGACAUUAGUCCAUCUGUCAUUGAGUAGAUCUUGAUUAGCUUGAAGCUUCUGCUGCUUCUUUUUCAGGCUCAUUGCAGUGGCUAUUAGCUGGCGCUGAAAGCGCUCCUGGUCGAUGGGCUCCUCAGGCACGAUGAAGUUUUCGUCGCCGAGGCUCGACUCAUACUUGAAGGGUGGAAGAUAAGUGCUGUCCUCCGAGUCUUCGUUAGUGGCCUGUUCGUUAGGGCUGACUCGCCCAUCCUCCCGUUCAUCCUAUUCGGAAGUUGGCUCAACGGGGUCUUCGUUGUCUUCGGCAUCGUCCGGAGUAUUUUCUCCUGUGCCGAUGUUGCUGUUUUUUCCAUGGCAUGGUCUAGAGCGGCGCCGCUGACGUCGGCGCUUUGGCUGCUUCUCAAGAGGCUUAUCCUCAACUGGAUCCUUUCUGUUGUCCUUGUUAUCUUUGGGUGUAUCCACCAUGUAUACGUCAUACGAGGAGGUGGCUGUCCAGCGCCCUGUACGCGGUGGUUCUUGAGCCUGCUCCUCUCCGGCAUCAUCGUCCAUACCGUUAAUGUCUUGAUACGUCCAUUUUGCAUCAUGCUUUUAGAUCAAUAUUUAUUGCAUUAUGGGCUGUCAUUACACAUUAUAUCUCAAUACUUAUGGCUAUUCUCUCUUAUUUUAAAAGGUUUACCAUGAAGAGGGGGAAUGUCGGCUGCUGGAAUUCUGGCUGGAAAAGGAGCAAACAUUGCAAACCUAUUAUGCACAACUCCAAAAGUCCUGAAACUCCAUGAAACAAAUUUUUGGAUUUAUUAAGAAUUUAUGAGCGAAAGAAAUAGGCCACGGGCCCACACCCUGUCCAGGAGACAGGGGGCGCCCCCCUGUAGGGCGCGACCCCCUAUCUCCUAGCCCCCCUGGUGGGCCUCCGGUGUCCAUCUUCUGCUAUAUCAUCACUUUUACCCUGGAAAAAAAUUGGGGGCAAGCUUACGGGAUGAAACUCCACCGCCACGAGGCAGAACCUUGGCGAAAUCAAUCUAGGGCUUUGGCGGAGCUGUUCUGCCGGGGACACUUCCCUCUGGGAGAGGGAAAUCAUCACAAACAUCAUCACCAACGAUCCUCUCAUCGAGAGGGGGUCAAUCUCCAUCAACAUCUUCACCAGCACCAUCUCCUCUCAAAACCCUAGUUCAUCUCGUGUAUCCAAUCUUGUAUCAAAACCACAAAUUUGUACAUGUGGGUUGCUAGUAGUGUUGAUUACUCCUUGUAGUUGAUGCUAAUUGGUUUACUUGGUGGAAGAUCAUAUGUCCAGAUCCUUUAUGCAUAUUAUUACUCCUCUGAUUAUGAACAUGAAUAUGCUUUGUGAGUAGUUACGUUUGUUCCUGAGGACAUGGGUGAAGUCUUGCUAUUAGUAGUCAGGUGAAUUUGGUAUUCGUUCGAUAUUUUGAUGAGAUGUAUGUUGUCUUUCCUCUAGUGGUGUUCUGUGAACGUCGACUACAUGACACUUCACCAUUAUUUGGGCCUAGAGGAAGGCAUAGGGAAUUAACAAGUAGAUGAUGGGUUGCUAGAGUGACAGAAGCUUAAACCCUAGUUUAUGCGUUGCUUCGUUAGGGGUUGAUAUGCACCCAUAUGUUUAAUGUUGUGGUUAGGUUUACCUUAAUACUCUUUUUUGUAGUUGUGGAUGCUUGCAAUAGGGGUUAAUCAUAAGUGGGAUGCUUGUCCAAGUUAGGGCAGUACCCAAGUGCCGGUCCACCCACAUAUCAAAUUAUCAAAGUACCGAACGUGAAUCUUACGAACGUGAUGAAAACUAGCUUGACGAUAAUUCCCAAUGUGUCCUCGGGAGCUCCUUCCUCAUUAUUAGAAUUUGUCCAGUCUUUGAUACAUAAAGGAUUGGGCCACCUUGCUGCACUUUAUUUACUUUAUUUACUUUUUGCUCGUUACUAUUUAUCUUAUCACAAAACUAUCUAUCACCUAUUAGUUCAGUGCUUGCAGAGAAAACCUUACUGAAAACCGCUUAUCAUUUCCUUCUGCUCCUCGUUGGGUUCGACACUCUUACUUAUCUAAAGGACUAUGAUAGAUCCCCUACACUUGUGGGUCAUCAAGACUCUUUUCUGGCGCCGUUUCCGGGGAGUGUAGCGCUUUUGGUGAGUGGAACUUGGUAAGGAAACAUUUAUAUAGUGCGCUGAAAUUUUCUAUUACUUGUCACUAUGGAAACUAAUCCUUUGAGGGGCUUGUUUGGGGUAUAUUCACCCCAAACAGAAGAGAAAAGAGAUGCUCCUCAACCUACUGAACCUUAUGAAAAUAUUCAUUUUGAGAUUCCUUCGGGUAUGAUAGAAAAACUGCUAGCUAAUCCUUUUGCAGGAGACGGAACAUUGCAUCCCAACUUACACCUUAUCUUUGUGGAUGAAGUUUGUGGAUUAUUUAAUCUUGCAGGUAUUCCCGAUGAUGUUUUCAAAAGGAAGGUCUUCCCUUUAUCUUUGAAGGGAGAUGCAAUGACAUGGUAUAGGCUAUGUGAUGAUACGAGAUUUUGGAAUUAUAAGCGACUAAAGUUGGAAUUUCACCAAAAGUUAUAUCCUAUGCAUCUUGUACAUCGUGAUCGUAAUUACAUAUACAAUUUCUGGCCUCGCGAAGGAGAAAGCAUUGCUCAAUCUUGGGGGAGGCUUAAUUCAAUGUUAUAUUCAUGCCCCCAAUCAUGAGCUCUCUCGGGAAAUGAUUGUUCAGAAUUUUUAUGCUCGGCUUUCUCUUGAUAGUCGCAACCUGCUCGAUACUUCCUGUGCUGGUUCCUAUAUGCUGAAGACUAUUGAUUUCAAAUGGGACUUAUUGGAAAGAAUUAAACGCAACUCUAAAGAUUGGGGUUCCGACGAUGGUAAGGAGUCAGGUAUGACACCUAAGUUCGAUUGUGUUAAAUCUUUUAUGGAUACCGAUGCUUUCCAUGGAUUUAGCUCUAAGUAUGGACUUGACUCUGAGAUAGUAGCUCCUUUUUGUGAAACUUUUGCUACUCACGUUGAUCUCCAUAAAGAGAAGUGGUUUAAAUAUAAUCCUCCUGUUGAAGUGAAGGUAGUUGAACCUAUUACAGUCGAAGAAAAGACUAUUACAUAUAGUGAUCCUAUUAUUCCUACUGCUUAAGUCAAAAAACCUCCUUUUCAUGUUAGGAUAAAAGAUCAUGUUAAAGCUUCGACUGUUGUUCUUAAGAGUAAUACUAGGACUUAUACACCUCCUGAGGAAAUUAAUGUUGAACCUGGUAUUGCUAUGAUUAAAGAUCUCUUGGAUGAGGACUUAGAUGGGCAUUUUAUCUCUUUCUUGGGUGAAACUGCUAAUAUUGCUAGGCCCGAUACUAAGACACGUCGGCCUGUUGUAGGCACGCCUGUUAUUUUUGUUAAAAUAGGAGAUCAUUGUUAUCAUGGCUUAUGUGAUAUGGGUGCUAGUGCUAAUGCGAUACCUUAUGAUCUUUAUAAAGAAAUUAUGCACGAUAUUGCACGUGUUGAAUUAGAAGACAUUGAUGUUACUAUUAAGCUUGCUAAUAGGGACACCAUUAAACCUAUUGGGAUUGUUAGAGAUGUUGAAGUCUUGUGUGGGAAGAUUAAAUACCCUGCUGAUUUUCUUGUUCUUGGUUCCCCACAAGAUGAUUUUUGUCCCAUUAUUUUUGGUAGACCCUUCUUGAAUACUGCUACUGCUAAGAUUAAUUGUGAAAAGAAUAUUGUCACUGUUGGCAUAGAUGGUAUGUCUCAUGAUUUUAAUUUCGCUAAGUUUGGUAGACAACCUCGUGAAAGGGAACCACCUAGUAAGGAUGAAAUUAUUGGUCUUGCUUCCAUUGUUGUUCCUCCAAUUGAUCCAUUAGAACAAUAUUUGUUAGACCAUGAAAACGAUAUGUUUAUGAAGGAAAGGGAAGAAAUAGAUGAUGUGUUCCUUAAACAGGAACCUAUGCUGAAACAUAACCUUCCGUUGAAAUUCUUGGGGAUCCCCCUCCACCCAAGGGUGAUCCCGUGUUUGAACUCAAACCAUUACCUGAUAAUCUUAAGUAUGCUUAUCUUGAUGAAAAAGAAAUAUAUCCUGUUAUUAUUAGUGCUAACCUUUCAGAGAAAGAAGAAGAAAGAUUAUUGAAAACUCUGAAGAAGCACUGAGCAGCUAUUGGAUAUACUCUGGAUGAUCUUAAGGGCGUUAGUCCCACGUCAUGUCAACACAAAAUUACAUUGGAGGACGAUGUCAAACCAGUUAGAGAUCCCCAAAGACGAUUAAAUCCCAAGAUGAAGGAAGUGGUAAGAAAGGAGAUACUAAAGCUCCUUGAGACAGGUAUUUUUUAUCCCGUUGCUGAUAGUGAAUGGGUAAGCCCUGUCCAUUGUGUCCCUAAAAAGGGAGGUAUUACCGUUGUUCCUAAUGAUAAACAUGAAUUGAUCCCGCAAAGAAUUAUUACAAGCUAUAGGAUGGUAAUUGAUUUCUGUAAGUUAAAUAAAGCUACUAAGAAAGAUCAUUACCCUUUACUUCUUAUUGAUCAAAUGCUAGAAAGGCUAUCCAAACACACACAUUUUUGCUUUCUAGAUGGUUAUUCUGGCUGCUCUCAAAUACCUGUGUCCGCGAAGGAUCAAUCUAAAAUUACUUUUACUUGCCCUUUUGGUACUUUUGCUUAUAGACGUAUGCCUUUUGGUUUAUGUAAUGCACCUGCUACCUUUCAAAGAUGCAUGAUGGCUAUAUUUUCUGAUUUUUGUGAAAAGAUUUGUGAGGUAUUCAUGGAUGACUUCUCCGUCUAUGGAUCCUCUAUUGAUGAUUGUUUGAGCAACCUUGAUCGAGUUUUGCAGAGAUGCGAAGACACUAGUCUCGUCCUGAAUUGGGAAAAGUGUCACUUUAUGGUUAAUGAAGGCAUUGUCUUGGGGCACAAGAUCUCCGAGAGAUGUAUUGAAGUUGAUAAAGCCAAAGUUGAUGCUAUUGAAAAGAUGCCAUGUCCCAAGGACAUAAAAGGUAUAAGAAGUUUCCUCGGUCAUGUCAGCUUUUAUAGGAGGUUCAUUAAGGACUUUUCUAAAAUCCCUAGGCCUCUGACUAAUUUAUUGCAAAAAGAUAUUCCGUUUUUCUUUGAUGAUGAUUGUGUAGAAGCAUUUGAAACACUUAAGAAAGCCUUGAUCACUGCACCUAUUGUUUAGCCACCUAAUUGGAAUUUACCUUUUUAAAUUAUGUGCGAUGCUAGUGAUUAUGCUGUAGGUGCUGUUUUAGGACAAAGGGUCGAUAAGAAAUUGAAUGUUAUCCAGUAUGCUAGUAAGACUCUUGAUACUGCCCAGAGAAAUUAUGCUACUACUGAAAAAGAGUUAUUAGCAGUUGUGUUUGCAUGUGAUAAGUUUAGACCUUAUAUUGUUGAUUCCAAAGUUACUAUUCACACUGAUCAUGCUGCUAUUAAAUAUCUUAUGGAAAAUAAAGAUGCUAAGCCUAGACUCAUUAGAUGGGUUCUCUUGCUCCAAGAAUUUGACUUGCAUACUAUUGAUAGAAAGGGAGCUGAGAACCCCAUUGCAGACAACUUGUCUAGGUUAGAGAAUGUUCUUGAUGACCCAUUGCCUAUUAAUGAUAGUUUUCCUGAUGAACAAUUAGCGGUUGUCAAUGCUUCUCGUACUGCUCCUUAGUAUGAUGAUUAUGCUAAUUACAUUGUUGCUAAAUAUAUACCGCCUAGUUUCACAUACCAGCAAAAGAAAAAUUCUUUUAUGAUUUAAGACGUAACUUCUGGGAUGAUCCACACCUUUAUAAAGAAGGAGUAGAUGGUAUUAUUAGACGUUGUGUGCCUGAGCAUGAACAGGAACAAAUCCUACGCAUGUGUCACUAUGAAUCUUAUGGAGGACACCACGCUGGAGAUAGAACUGCACACAAGGUACUACAAUCUGGUUUUUAUUGGCCUACUCUUUUCAAAGAUGCUCGUAAGUUUGUCUUAUCUUGUGAUGAAUGUCAAAGAAUUGGUAACAUUAGUAGACGUCAAGAAAUGCCUAUGAAUUAUUCUCUUGUUAUUGAACCGUUUGAUGUUUGGGGCUUUGAUUAUAUGGGACCUUUUGCUGCCUCCAAUGGUUAUACAAAUAUUUUAGUUGCUAUUGAUUACGUUACUAAGUGGGUAGAAGCUAUUGCAACUAGUAGUGUUGAUCAUAACACUUCUAUUAAAAUGCUUAAACAAGUUAUUCUUCCGAGGUUUGGAGUCCCUAGAUAUCUUAUGACUGAUGGUGGUUCACACUUUAUUCAUGGUGCUUUCCGUAAGAUGCUUGCUAAAUAUGAUGUCAAUCAUAGAGCCGCAUCUCCUUAUCACCUGCAGUCUAGUGGUCAAGUAGAGUUGAGCAAUAAUAGAGAGCUCAAAUUAAUUUUGCAAAAGACUGUGAAUAGAUCUAGAAAGAAUUGGUCCAAAAAAUUUGAUGAUGCAUUAUGGGCCUAUAGAACUGCAUACAAAAGUCCUAUGGGUAUGUCUCCAUAUAAGAUGGUUUAAGGAAAAGCAUGUAAUUUACCUCUUGAACUUGAACAUAAAGCAUAUUAGGCUAUUAAAGAGCUCAAUUAUGACUUCAAACUUGCCGGUGAGAAGAGGUUGUUUGAUAUUAGCUCACUUGAUGAAUGGAGAACCCAAGCAUAUGAAAAUGCCAAGCUUUUCAAAGAAAAAGUCAAACGCUGGCAUGAUAAGAGGAUACAAAAGCGUGACUUUAACGUAGGAGAUUAUGUGUUAUUAUUUAACUCUCGUUUAAGAUUUUUUGCAGGAAAACUUCUCUCAAAAUGGGAAGGUCCCUACGUUAUCGAGGAGGUCUAUCGUCCUGGUGCUAUAAAAAUCAACAACUUCGAAGGCACAAAUCCGAGGGUGGUUAACGGUCAAAGAAUUAAACAUUAUAUUUCGGGUAAUCCUAUCAAUGUUGAAACUAAUAUUAUUGAAACCAUAACCCCCGAGGAAUACAUAAGAGACACUUUCCAGAACGUUCCAGACCCCGAAAAGGCAUGGGUACGUGGUACGGUAAGUAAACCGACUCCAAAACAACUCUAAUGGCAAUUUUUAUCAGUUUUGGAUUAUUUAAGAAUUUUAGGAAGAAAGAAGUAGUCCGAAAGGGACACGAGGCUCCCACGAGAGUGGAGGCUGCGCGCCACUUUGUAGGGCGCGCCCCCUGUCUCAUGGGCACCUCGUGUGCCUCCCGGACUCCAUUUUCUUGUAUGUUACGUAUUUUGGUCGGUAAAAAUUCAUUAUAUAUACUCCCGAAGGUUUUGACCACCGUAUCGCGCAAAUAUCCUCUGUUUUCAUUUCGAGCUGUUUCCGUUGCAGAUCUAGAGCACCAUGACUUCUCCAUCCUCCAACAACGAAGACAAGGAUGCUUGGCUAUUGAAGAUAGAGUUGAAAAGAGAGGAACCAGAAGAGAUCAACAAGGAUGAAGGUAACAAUAAGGCCAUGGCGGUUCAAGCUCCGGUGGUAAAAAAGAAGACAUCCCUCAACCUUUACCUAACCUUUUCACUCCAACAGAGAUUGAAGCUUUCAAGAUGAUUGAGUUAGCCCGCAUACAGAACAAGUAUCUCACACAGGAGAAUAUUUUGUUGAAGGAUGAUAUUGUUGGGCUCAAGGGCAUUAUCCGCAAGUUGGAGGAGCUUUUACGCUCGAUGUGCGAUUAUCCACCGUCAUCAUCACCACCUCCAUCUCCUCCGAGGAAAUAAUCACAUGGGUAUGGGCACUCCCCUUGGCAACUGCCAAGCUUGGGGAGGUGCCCAGAUAUCGUAUCACCAUCACACUCCUAUCUUUACCGCUUUAUUUAGUUUGAUCCUUUUAGUAGUAUCUUGAUCUAGUAGAUUGAAGUUUUGAUAUCAAGUAGUUUUGAGUUUUGCAUUGUGAUCUCUUUAUGUAAGCGAGUCUGUGUGCUAUCUAUAAUAAAGGUUAGUGUUGAGUCAAGGGCUUUGCUAUCUUGCUAUGAUCUUAAGAAAGUAGAAAGAACAAAAGAGUUCAUAUUGAUCUUAUGGAUAGUGAUAACUUCACACAUAGAAAGUAUGAGGCAUAAAAAUUGUUGAGAGUUGACGAACGUAGCCUUGAUCAUCGUUGCAAUUAAUAGGAAGUGAUAAGGAAAGAGGGGUUCACAUAUAGAUAUAUUAUCUUGGACAUCUUUUAUGAUUGUGAAUCACUCAUUAAGUAUGACAUGCUAAAAGAGUUGAUGUUGGACAAGGAAGACAACGUAAUGGUUUAUGUUUUCCGACAUCUCAGUUAAAGUAUAUUGUCAUUAACCUUCCAAACAUGUUGAGCUUGCCUUCCCCCCUCUUGCUGGCCAAAUUCCUUGCACCAAGUAGACAUACUACUUGUGCUUCCAAAUAUCCUCAAACCCAGUUCUGCCAUGAGAGUCCACCAUACCUACCUAUGGAUUGAGUAAGAUCCUUCAAGUAAGUUGUCAUCGGUGCAAGCAAUAAAAAUUGCUCUCUAAAUAUGUAUGACUUAUUAGUGCAGAGAAAAUAAGCUUUGUAUAAACUUGUUGUGGAAGUAAUAAAAGCGACGGAUUGCAUAAUAAAGGUCCACAUACAAGGGGAAAUAUAAAGUGACGUUCUUUUGCAUUAAGAUUUCAUGCAUCAACCCUAAACGCGCAUGACAACCUCUGCUUCCCUCUCCGAAGGCCCUAUCUUCUACUUUAUGUUUUCACUUUAUGUUUGAGUCAAGGUGAUCCUCACCUUUCCCCUUUUUCAUCUUAUCCUUUGGCAAGCUCCUCGUCUUUGAAAGAUCAUGAUACAUAUAUCCAAUUGGAUGUAAGUUGGCAUAGGCUAUUAUUGUUGACAUCACCUAAAGGUGAAUACGUUGGGAGGCAACACAAUAAGCCCCUAUCGUUCUUAGUGUCCGGCUGAAACUCUAUAACCACGAGUAUUGAGUGAGUGUUAGCAAUUAUGGGAGACUACGAGAUAGUUGAGUAUGUGAGCUUGUUGAAAAGCUCUAUUAUUGACUCUUUCUGAUGUUAUGAUAAAUUGCAAUUGCUUCAAUGACUGAGAUUAUAAUUUGUUAGUUCCCAAUGAAGUUUAUGAACCAUACUUGACAUUGUGAAUUGCUUAUUACUUUAGCAUAGGAGAUCAUAUGACAAAAUCUAUUUAUGUUACUGUUAUUAGAAUGAUCAUGAUGCCCUCAUGUCCGUAUUUUAUUUUUAUCGACACCUCUAUCUCUAAGCAUGUGGACAUAUUUUUCGAUUUCGGCUUCCGCUUGAGGACAAGCGAGGUCUAAGCUUAGGGGAGUUCAUACAUCCAUUUUGCAUCAUGCUUUUAUAUCAAUAUUUAUUGCAUUAUGGGCUGUCAUUACACAUUAUAUCUCAAUACUUAUGGCUAUUCUCUCUUAUUUUACAAGGUUUACCAUGAAGAGGGGGAAUGCCGGCAGCUGGAAUUCUGGCUAGAAAAGGAGCAAACGUUGGAAACCAAUUCUGCACAACUCCAAAAGUCCUGAAACUCCACAAAACAACUUUUCAGAUUUAUUAAGAAUUUAUGAGCGAAAGAAAUAGGCCAGGGGGGUGCCCCCCCUGUAGGGCGCGGCCCCCUAUCUCCUGGGCCCCCUAGUGGGCCUCCGGCGUCCAUCUUCUGUUAUAUCAUCAAUUUUACCCUGGAAAAAACCGGGGGCAAGCUACGGGACUAAACUCCGCCGCCAUGAGGCGGAACCUUGGCGGAAUCAAUCCAGGGCUCUGGCGGAGCUGUUCUGCCGGGGACACUUCCCUUCGGGAGGGGAAAAUCAUCACCAACGUCAUCACCAACGAUCCUCUCAUAGAGAGGGGGUCAGUCUCCAUCAACAUUUUCACCGGCACCAUCUCCUCUCAAAACCCUAGUUCAUCUCUUGUAUCCAAUCUUGCAUCAAAACCACAAAUUGCUACUUGUGGGUUGCUAGUAGUGUUGAUUACUCCUUGUAGUUGAUGCUAAUUGGUUUACUUGGUGGAAGAUCAUAUGUUCAGAUCCUUUAUGCAUAUUAUUACUCCUCUGAUUAUGAACAUGAAUAUGCUUUGUGAGUAGUUAUGUUUGUUCCUGAGGACAUGGGUGAAAUCUUGCUAUUAGUAGUCAUGUGAAUUUGGCAUUCAUUCGAUAUUUUGAUGAGAUGUAUGUUGUCUUUCCUCUAGUGGUGUUAUGUGAACGUCGACUACAUGACACUUCACCAUUAUUUGGGCCUAGAGGAAGGCAUAGGGAAGUAAUAAGUAGAUGAUGGAUUGCUAGAGUGACAGAAGCUUAAACCCUAGUUUAUGCGUUGCUUCAUUAGGGGUUGAUAUGGACCCAUAUGUUUAAUGUUGUGGUUAGGUUUACCUUAAUACUCUUUUUUGUAGUUGUGGAUGCUUGCAAUUGGGGUUAAUCAUAAGUGGGAUGCUUGUCCAUAUUAGGGCAGUACCCAAGUGCCGGUCCACCCACAUAUCAAAUUAUCAAAGUACCGAACGCGAAUCUUACGAACGUGAUGAAAACUAGCUUGACAAUAAUUCCCAAUGUGUCCUCGGGAGCUCCUUCCUCAUUAUUAGAAUUUGUCCAGGCUUAUCCUUUGCUACAUAAAGGAUUGGGCCACCUUGAUGCACUUUAUUUACUUUAUUUACUUUUUGCUCGUUACUAUUUAUCUUAUCACAAAACUAUCUAUCACCUAUUAUUUCAGUGCUUGCAGAGAAAACCUUACUGAAAACCGCUUAUCAUUUCCUUCUGCUCCUCGUUGGGUUCGACACUCUUACUUAUCGAAAGGACUACGAUAGAUCCCCUACACUUGUGGGUCAUCAUGUCUUCGGUGCCGUAAUCGAGCAUGUCGGUUAAGUCUUCGAAAGUGGCUAUGAAGUGGGCGGUGGGUGGGAAGCGGAAUUAUCCGCCCUCAGCUUCCAAUUCGAAAUGGAUAUAUUUCGGCUGAGAGUUCCCCAACAAGGAGAGGGCUCUUAUUGAGUUUAGCACAUCGUGGAAUGGUGAGUGCCGGACGAUGUCCACGGAGCUAAACUCAAAGAUCGGCGCCUGAUCAGGUUCGAUGGGCGCGGAUCUACGCAGUUGGGAACUUAUGACCGGAGACGAUUCUGAAAUUCCGGUAACACAGGUUCCGCUCGAGGUCGGAUCUGUGUGCGGCUCUAACGCCGAUGAGUCAGGGGCUUCCGUGGCGGGGUUGAGCUUCCCGUCCUCGGACGAUGCAGUCUGCUCCAGACCUGGGAGCAGAGCAGUUACAGGAGCUAUCUCCUGGGCACGAUCCGAUGACAGAUUUAGGUCAUGUUCAUCGUUGAGGUGGGGAGCGGCUGUCAUGGGCUCGAAUCCGUCGAAGAUCAAGUCUCCGAGGAUAUCGGUGACAUAAUUCAAGCUUCCGAACCUAGCCUGAUGGCCAGGGGCGUAGCUAUCGAUCUGCUCUAGAUGGCCAAGCAAGUUGGCCCGUAGUGCGAAACCGCCGAAUACGAAGAUCUGUCUGGGGAGGAAAACCUCACCCUGGACUGCAUUGUUGUAGAUGAUUGAUGGAGCCAUCAAGACCUUCUCGUGACGACGCAGCGGAACUCUCAAUGAAAGCACCAAUGUCGGUGUCAAAACCGGCGGGUCUUGGGUAGGGGGUCCCGAACUGUGCGUUUAAGGUUGAUGGUAACAGGAGGUGGGGACACCAUGUUUGCCCAGGCUUGGACCAUCUCUAUGGAGAUAAUACCCUACUUCCUGCUUGAUUGAUCUUGAUAAAUAUGAGUAUUACAAGAGUAGAUCUACCACGAGAUCGUAAUGACUAAACCCUAGAAGUCUAGCCUGUAUGAUUAUGAUUGUGUAUAUGCCUCUACGAACUAAGCCCUCCUGUUUAUAUAGACACUGGAGGGGACUAGGGUUGUACCACUACAAGAAAUCUCCUAAUACAUGACGGACCUUGUCCGUCACAAAUCAAUGGAAAACUGUCAUGGGUAACCUUUCAUGACGAACUUGCAACCCGUCAUGUAUAUCGCGUCAUAAUUUGACAUCGCACCUUACAUGACGGUACUUGUCCGUCAUGGAUCUGCCCCAAGCCCGCCCUGGCACAAUUCAUUGUGACAGAACAAACCGUCACCGAUUAACGCCACGUAGGAUUUUUUAUUGACCAAUUUGAAUGACAUGGCUGCCUACGUGGAUACAUUUUCCGCCACAAAAUUCGUCAUGGUUGAGCACAUUAACCCAUAUCAUUUGGCCCACUUUUUACAUGAUACAUUUUUAGCAUAAUGCGUUACACAAAUUCCAGUGCCAAUUUUGGCCGAAGAAGAAGUAUUUGCAAAUUGUAUAACAUUACACUGAUCAACCAAUAUGCACCCAUCUAUAUAUAUGUAAAACGUAGCAGUUAACAAAAUCAUCUACAAAAAUGAUAACUUACAAUAUAGAUUGAAAACAAAAUCACACAUCAGGGUUAUGAAUGAGUACAAUUCAUUUUAUAUCAAUGUAACAUACAAACUAUAGAGGUCAUUAUUUAGGUUCUUGCUAUCGGCCCUCCUGAUGGCAACCAUCAUAUCGUGGCUGAUUGUGAUGUGCAGAAACAAGUAGCCAGCUUCCCAAUCUUACCUGCAUGUUUAUAAGAACCUUAGAUUUUUUUUAGGGAUAUGACUAGAUACUAGAAAUAAUAUAAUUGCAAAAAUAUAAAAAUGAAUUACAUGUCCAACAUUCUUAAAUCUUAUAGUUCCUACAAAUGAGAACAACAUUGUAUCCACUAUAAAACAAGAGUAAACAUGAGGUUUCUUAAAAUUAAUCCAAAGAAAAGUGUGGCGAAGUAACAAAACACACAUCACAUCUAUCUAUAUCUAUCUAUCUAUCUAUCUAUCUAUCUAUACCUAUACUAAUUUGUGACUCCCUAGAAAUUACCAUGUUAAUCAGUAAUUAGGAGCCGUUAAUCUGGUGGGACCAAAUUAUUAUGGUGUAGAUCUCUCUUCAAUCUCUCCCAAAAAGAAAAAAAAUCUCAUGGUUAUCUCCCCCACGAUUGAAAUCUCUUAGGUGUAAAAAAACUCACGUACCUAUCUCUCUCCCACAACCAAAUCUAUCUAUCUAUUCUAUACCUAGGCUAACAAAAAAAAGAAUGCUAACUAACCACGUAAUAGUCUUGCGAGACCGUCUCUCCUGAUUAUGUGCUCGACCUAUACGCGGCGACGUACCACAAAGCCCGCCGCCGCCGCCGCCGCCGCCGCCAGUGCCAUCCAUCGUCCGCAGGCACAACCCCAUUGCCGGCAGCAUAAGAUGCGUUGCAGCCAAGAAGUAGAUUCCAUCGCACAGGAGAAGGUCAGAUUCAUAUCCAUAGCAUAAACAUCAUCACGUUAUGGAUGCACAUGCAUAUGUGAAUAGUGGCGUCAAUUGGGCGUAUUUUGUACAUGUACAUGUCCAAGUAGUAGUCUAAGUCUGUAAUCAAUGCAGUGAUUCUGCGUGCGUGUAUUGUGUGUGCAUCUUGCUAGAAUCAAGCACUCUAUGUUAGCUAACUAGCAACCUUUACGUUGAUGCAUCCUUCUUCGAUUAAUACAGAUUUUAUCACAGAGGAACUGUCGCCGUCGACGUCGUCAUCGGGCCUUGCCGGGAGUAUCAACAGGUUUACGCUGCGUCCAUGUCUCUGGGCAUCAGGAGCUUCACAUAAGUGCUAAUUCCGUGACUGGGAUUUUCAAUAACUUUUAUACAUUAUCUGUAGUUGCACUAUGAUAAAAUUUAGAUUGCUUUACUAAUGUUCAAGCAUGCAAAAUAAUGCUUAGUUUAAUACACCGGCAUGUGGUUGUCAUUAUUUCUGAACUUAUUCCCUGCAGAGACUGUAGCAACAGAUCAAUAGCCUGCAUGUUACUACUUCGAUUCUGUUGUUUCCUAGAGACAAUAGCUAUGUAACCUAGCCGUCCUCUCUAACCUCAUCUAGGAAUUUGGUUUAUUAGAGUUCAACCAUGUCUUUCAAAAAUCAUACUUAAACAUAUUCCAUUUAUUUAUCACACUGUUUAUAGGUAAUAUGGUCAUCCCUUUGUAGUUCAAUUUGGAAGACAGUCACAGAACAUUAUUAGCUGGCAAUAGCAGCACUGUUUUAUGUCCGGCCAGGACAUCAAUAUGGCUGCUGCGAGCAGGCCGGUAGAGACCCAGAACAACAGUUUCGGGACUCCACCUCCAAUCAUCGUCAUGUGGUAUCUUGAGGUGCCCAAGUGUUAGGCCGUGGUGCAGCAGCUGGCGACGGCGUGUCUGGACGCCAUGGGCAGACAGUAUAGAUGUAUGUUUUUCUCACUUUAGCUGGUUUAUGAUGAAAUUGGGGAUCAUGUAUCCUAUGCAUGCAUGAUAACUACGUACAGUUUUUAUGUACAGAUGGUGUGUUGCACUGCUAUUUUGUUGAAAAGACAUUAUCCAUCAGUCCUUUUAUUUCUUAGUUUCUUUCCCUUCUAAUAAUUGAUUUGGUUGGUUUCUAGACUAAAGUAUUUGAAGGCAUGAAUAAUUGGUUAGAAGUAUAGUAUGUCUUGCGAUCUAAGUUUCCAAUUGUAUGUCAGAUCAACAUUCUGUAGGUGGCCGAUUGCUAUGUCUGCACGUAAACAUGCUAAAUUAUACAUGUUAUCUUCCAGUGAAGAGACGAUAAAAAUAGAGGAAUUUAAAUCUACGGACACUAGCAAUUUCCAGUUUUAUAUAUGAGCACAUGGAGCUCUUUCAGAUCAAUCUGCAAUAUUUAUUGUUCUGCUAUGUCUAAAAGUAUAUCGAAAUUUUGUCCCCCUCUGUUCUUUAAAGAGCAUAUUGUGCUAGGCAUUAAUUUGAACAAGCCUGUGAUUGGGAAUUUUACGUUACUCAUAUUUUCUAAAUGCCUACAGUUUUGUCCUAUAAUUUGUACUGCAUAUAAUUAACUUAGGCUUGAGCAGCAGUUUUUCCAUAUUUACAAUUUAAUUAGGUGUAUGCAAAAAUAUGACAUGAUGUUAUUAAGGCAUAGGAAACACAUGGAGGACAUAUUUGUGAUAAGAAAAAUCAAACUUAUCUACCUAUACAUUUAUUAUUUUGUUUUCAUUAUCUUCCUUAAAAAUAUACUAAUAAGACCAUAUCAAGUGCAAACAUUUUUCUCACAGCCUUCUUUUAGACAAAAAAUUCAACAAAAUAAUACCAAUCAAAUCCCUCCUUAAAUAUGAGAAAUCCUGACUUUUUUCCUCACAUGUAAAUGUUUAUGCUAUCAUUUAAAUAUGGAAUACACUUAUUUGCACGUUACACAAACAAUACUAAUGUGUGGGUCAUAAUUAUGAGACAAUAAAUGAAAUACGCACUCAUUUGUAUUUUUGUUAACAUACACACAGAAAUAUUAACUAUAAAGUUUUAUUAUUUCAGCCAACUACAUUAAUAUAUUUUUCUGAAACUUAGCAUGUAAACAUCUACAUUUGCAGUUUACAUGCAAUAUCAUGACAUUUGUUGCCAUUUAUGUUUAUACAGUGAAUUUUGCAAGCACGCGAGAUUUUGACUCACCUUUUUAUGAGAGGAAACGAUAGUAACUUUUCGUAAUGAAAACUUAUUUUCCCUUUUUCAGAGUAUAAGGUAUGUUACAAAGAAUAAGUUUGAGUUCUAGGAAAGGGAGAGAAAUAUUGUUUUUGCCACUUUCGUAGUAACAUGCAUUCAUGUAUACGAUAUUUCCUUUCAUUAAAAUUGUCACGAGGAAUAAAAGCAGAGAUGAGUCAUGUACUAUACUCUACAUGUGUGUAUUCCUUCCACAUAUAUUAAUUUAAAUAUUUAAUGAAGCUUCACACUUUACUGCAGCAUCAACAACUUACAUCACAAAAUAUUUUUAUGCUUGCUAUAGGUUUGGUAGUUGGCACUGGAUCAUUGAUCAUGACUUCAUUGCACCAAGGCGUAAUUCUUCACCUCAUAUUUAUAUAUUAAAUUAUAUACUCUAUGAAUUACGUGAGCUAUAAUUUAUUUUGGAGAGUAAUUUUGAAAGUUAUAUUUACAUUCCUCUUUUAUCCCCCCUUCAUGUACAAGUACCUAACUUCUAAAAAAUAUUGCAUGCAGCAAAAUGUUAAUAGAAGUACAAUGUAUAUACGUCUACCUAAAAUAGGCUAGCCCGCGCGCAUGCACGGGUUGACGACUAGUAACUAAUAAUAUAGCAGGAGUAGUUGAGGCCAUAUAAACAUGUCAACAAAAUUUGGUAUAAUCAUUUCGUACCAGAAGUGCAAACAUAACGCCUACUAAUGAUGCCUACACUCAAGAUACCUAUGCUCAUUAUUAAACGAACAAAUGAAAAUGAACAAUUUUAUCUUACAGUCAAUGCACUAACGCUCACUGAAUGAUAAAAGCUACGAAGAAGACCAUUUACCUGGUAUAGUUAAGAGUUAGCUUUUGUCAGGUUUAUAAGAUUACCAAAUGUUGGGCACCGUAUAUAAUUAGGAGGAAGAAUCUUCAAGCACUACACAUAUCUAACUCUGCACCAGUUUCUACUGUAAAUAAAUAAAACAGAGUAAAGGGUGGGAAAAGUUUAUGUCUACAACUUGUCUAGAUGGAGGCAUUUAGUACGUAACAUCCUCAACAUGGUGACAUGUACUAGGAACAAGAAAUUCAUCAUUGUGAUAUAUAUUAAAUUGAGCAAAAAUCUGGAGCUACUUGUACGCAUCAAUUAUAUAAGCUGAUAAAGUAAAAGGACAACAGCUACUUGUAGUUAUGCAUAUAAAAAAUAAUACCAACGAUUUGUAUAAGCAGCUUGGCAUUAACCCAGGAACAAUCAAGAGUGAGUUGUACCAGAUUUUGAUGUUAACAAUAACCAAGAAAUCAGGGGGCGGCUGUUUGGUUUGUGCCCCAACUUGCCCUGCCUAAAUUUUGGCAUAACCAAAGCAAGGGCAAAAAAUUUGUGUGCUAGUGUUGUUUGGAUUAUAGCCAUAGCAUCUAUCAAUUUUUGGGCAAAAUGGCUGGGUCUCUGUUUUGUUUCUACCAAAUAGAAAAAAGGGCAGAAAAAGGUUCGAUGAAGCAGCAUGCACACGUGUUUGCCGAGUGAAACACACACAUAAUAGCUGGCUGACCGAUACGAUCGAUGGAGGCAUAAGCGUAUGGGCUAGCUAAUUGAUUUUCUGGCUCAUGUAACAGCCAAGCAUAAAAUAGCUUUGGCUCAAAACCAAACACACCCCAGAAUACAUAGUCAUCAGCUAUUUUGGCUUCCCCCUUUUCUUCAAGUAGUGUUUUUCUUGCAAAGGGACAUGUCUUUCAUAACAAAACAUACAAAAAAAACACGUAUAUUUGCAGAUAACAAAUGUGAUCAACCAAGCAUUCCACCAUCAUCUCGGUACAAUAGCAUGAAAAUUCAUGUGGUGUAAAUUUAUCAACUUAGAUUGUGUGGAAACUGAUAUGAUGGCUAUUUUCACCACAUAACACAUAGAAAGUUUGCACAUAAUAUAUAACAGAGAAGCAGUGUAAUAGCAGGCCUAGUUAACAAACAAUCUACUCUUGGUCAAUGGAUUCAGUGAGAUAGAUGAAUUGCUUUCCCUCCAUAAACAAGAAAAUUCGAAGGAACCAACAGGAGCAUCUCAUGGGCAUUUACUUAUAAACUAGUACUCCCUCUGUAAACUAAUAUAAGAGCGUUUAGAUCACUACUUUAGUAUUCUAAACGCUCUUAUAUUAGUUUACGGAGGGAGUAGUUGCUUAACUAACUAGCAGAUCUCACAAAUUUUACAUUGCUAGACUCGCACCGUGAGAGACGAAAAAUAAAAUAGCCAGCAGUGAUAAUCUAUCGCUGGCUGUAAUAUGCGAGUAUCAGGAAAGGAAGUGGCCACGUUUUCCGCAUCAGGUUCAGUCCAAGCAAAUUUGAGAGCCCCCGGAGAAUUAUGCUAGAGCAGAGCAGCCAUCAUUUGGAAAGAAAAGAAAAAAAACAGAGCGAGAGGAUCGACCUUCUUGUUCUGUGGGGAAUCAUAGUGGGCAGGGCGGACGACCUUGCCGUCGAGCUCGCCCAGCUCGUCGGGCUUGAGCGUGGGGUCCCAGUCAUCGCAAUCCAUGGAACUGGAGAGGCGGAGAGCUCCUGUUCAUCUAAAUCAAAGCAAAAAAAUUGAUUGGGGAUGGAGAGAGAAUGAAAGAAAGAUGAGACGAGGGGGCAAGUAGGGAGGGACCUUGUGCAGGGUAUCAUCAAGCUCGGGCCUCCGGCAGGUCACGGUCGUCAUCCUCUGCUAGUCCGACCCUUGCUGCUCCGAAUCUGCAUAUGGCGAGCCAAAUGCGGGGCCUGGGAGUCAGAGGAGGGAGGCCCGUGGUGAGAUCCAUGGCCCUGGCAGUUGGUUUUGAGCAGCAGAGGCACGCUGCGGCGGCUAGUGUUGGCCCCCGCUCCCAUGGGGUUGCUGCAACCGCAGCCACAAUGGAUCUCGGGCCACCAUCAUCGGUUGGAGUCGGGGAAGUGGAAGCGGGGAGGUGGAGGCGGAGGACGGGGAUGAGGAGACGAGAGGUGUGGUGGCGGAGGACGGGGAUGAGGAGACGAGAGGCGUGGCGGUGAGGACAGGGACGAGCAGAGGCAACGUGUGGCGGCGGCGGAUGGAGAAAUAGACUGGGGACGGGAAAGUGUGUUAGGGUUAGGUUUUAUAUGGGGCAAAGUUUAGGGCUUUAGGCGGGCUUUUUGCGGGUUUGCGGAGCUGUACUGGGCCGUUCAUGACGGUUUUAGAACUGUCAGCGAAAAUUUGUCAUGCAUUAACAGGUUUCUUGUAGUGUACGAAGUCGGUUACAGAGGAAGGAAUCUUCAUAUCCGGUCACCAAGCUUGGUUUCCACGUCAAGAAGAGUCUCAUCCGGACAUAGGACGAAGUCUUCUGUCUUGUAUCUUCAUAGCCCAUCAGUCCGGCCCACAUCAAGAGUCCGGCUGUCCGAGGACCCCUUAAUCCGGGACUCCCUCAGUCAUGAUCUCCGACAAGGAGUAGGUUGGAUCAACGUAGUGCAUAGGUUUAUUUUAGUUUGCAUGUCUUUGUAUGGAUUUAAGAAUCGGAUAGAAGAUAUCCGGAUGUAACAAGUGAAGUUUGGGGUGUGUCUGGUCAGAAUGACGCGUCCGCCGGCAUUUAAGGUGCUGGAUUUGCCAUAUGUGUCUCUAGAUGCUCUGAUCAAAUGUUGAUUUAAAAUACGAGGGGCACAAUAAACCAAGAUGGAGGAAGUAUGUGUCAGUGUGGAGUAGCAUACAGGCAUAUAUGUUUACGGAUGUGAAACACUAGCUGGACGACACUAGUAGAAAAAGGACCUUAUAUGAGACACAUUAGUGCCGGUUUGAUUUUGAGCCGGCACUAAUGUGUCCAAUAGUGUCGGUUCCAACGGCUAGCCGGCCGUUCUCAUUAGUACCGGUUCGUGGCGAACCUUUAGUACUGGUUCGUGCCACGAACCGGUACUAAAGAGAGUGGUGGCAGGGUGUUGUCAGUCUGGGGCCCCUCCAGCACCUUUAAUACCGGUUCGUGGCACGAACCGGUACUAAAGGUCGACCUACAUAAACCCUUCGUCCACCCGAGCCACUCUGUUCUUCCCCUUUCCCCUCACUUCCUCUGUUCUUCCCCUCUCUUCCUCGAGCUCCUCACAAAUUUUGCCCAAAAUUUUUCAAGAUUUGAAGGCCCCCAUCCAUUCAAAUGAUCACAAAGGUUAGCAACUUUGUCCUUUCAACUCUCAUUGCUAGAUUAGCUCUUGCAAUGCUUUGUAUAGUGAUUAAUUUUGGGAGGAAUUAUAUUAGCUAGUAUUUGAUUUAUAUGCAAUUUGAGGUCAAAAAUAACACUUAGUUUGCAUAUGUAGGUGUGGUUUACUUAGUGCCUUCUAAAUCUCCGUCGUAACACCGUCGAUCGCCGGCACCGUCCCGUCGCCGGCACCACCUUGUGGUGAGGCUCUUGUUCAUGAAUGUUUUACAUUACCAAAUUGAUAUUUGUGUGAUUUGGAUAUAUAGUUACUCGUAUAAUUAUCUUAUCCAUACGUUGUUUGUUAUACAUAGUGCCAUGGUUUUGAUAUCCGUCCCCGUCGGCCCUCGUCCUUGUUAUGAUUUAGAUGUGGUAUAUUCUGAUUUAAAACUAGUUGUUGCAUUUCGUGUUUAUGACAAAUUAUGCCCAUCAAGUUGACAUAGAUAUAUUUAUCUAGGAGGUAUGUGAACCGGAAAUUCCAACCGAGCCUAUUGUCGAGAGGUUAAAUUUAGUUGAAAGAGAAAACGAGUAUUUGAAAGAAAAAUUGAAAAGAAUUGAGGGGGAGAAGAUGAAAUUGGAGUUGCAUGUUGCCGAUGUCGUCGAUGAUCACAAGAUCAAGAUGGAGAAAAUGAGGUUGAAUAUUAGAAAGAUUAGAAAAUAUGCCAUUGAUAGUGUGGCUUGGUAUCAUUAUGCUGUUGGAUCAAUUGUUACCUUACUUGCGAUCUUCAUCGCAUUUGUUGUUGCAUUUAAAUUCUUUAGCUAGAGAGUUAUUUGUAUGUUGCAUUUAAUUAAGUGUUGUAUAUGAACUUUAUGUAUGAACUUGUAUUAAUUUGGUCUAUUCGGUGUUGUGUAAUGAAGAUGAGCCGACAAUGGAUGUAUGAUGACAGAUGCUCUCCCGAGUUCAUUAAUGGCGUGCAUACUUUUCUGCUUGCCGCUGAGGCAAACAAGCGGGCGGAUGGUUUUAUGCCUUGUCCAUGUGCUGGCUGUAAGAAUGGUCACAGUUACUCUACAUCAAGAACCAUUCACAUCCACCUAUAUGAGUACGGUUUCAUGCCCCACUAUAAUGUUUGGACCAAGCAUGGAGAAAUAGGGGUUAUGAUGGAAGACAAUGAAGCAGAAGAGGACGACGACGGCUAUCCUGGCCAUGGGUUCCCUGAAUACGAUGAUACAACAAUGGGGGAAGAAGCUGAGCCGACAAUGCAGAAAGAAGCUGAAGAAGAGGCAUCAGAUGAGCCCGCUGAUGAUCUAGGUCGGGCCAUUGCCGAUGCAAAGAGAAACUGCGCAAGUGAUCUGGAGAGGACGAAGUUGUAGCGCAUGUUAGAGGAUCACAAGAAGUUAUUGUACCCGAAUUGCGAAGCUGACAAAAAAAGUUGGGCACCACACUUGAAUUGCUGCAAUGGAAGGCAGAGAAUGGUGUAUCUGACAAGGGAUUUGGAAAGUUGCUGGUAAUGAUAAAGAAUAUGCUUCCAAAGGACAACAAAUUGCCUGAGAGUACGUAUGAAGCAAAGAAGGCUGUCUGCCCUCUAGGGUUAGAGGUGCAAAAGAUACAUGCAUGCCCUAAUGUCCUCUACCCCGGUGAGUAUGAGGAUUUGAAUGCUUGCCCAGUAUGCGGUGCAUUGCAUUAUAAGAUCAGUCGCGAUGACCCUGGUGAUGUCGAGGGUGAGCGCCCCAGGAAGAAGAUUCCUACCAAGGUGAUGUGGUAUGCUCCUAUAAUACCAUGGUUGAAACGUUUGUUCCAAAACAAAGAGCAUGCGAAGGCGAUGCGGUGGCACGCACAAGACCGUAAGAAAGACGGAAAGUUGAGUGUACCCGCUGAUGGUUUGCAGUGGAGAAAAAUCGAGACAAAGUACUGGGAGGAGUUUGCAGGUGACCCAAGGAACGUAUGGUAAGUCUAAGCGCAGAUGGCAUUAAUCCUUUUGGCGAGCGGAGCAGCAACCAUAGCAUGUGGCCUGUGACUCUAUGUUUGUAUAACCUUCCUCCUUGGUUGUGCAUGAAGCGGAAGUUCAUUAUGAUGCCAGUGCUCAUCCAAGGCCCUAAGCAACCCGGCAACGACAUUGAUGUGUACCUAAGGCCAUUAGUUGAAGAACUCUUACAACUGUGGAAUGGAACAGGUGUACGUGCGUGGGAUGAGCACAUGAGGGCAGAAUUUGACCUAAAGGCGUUGCUGUUCGUGACCAUCAAUGAUUGGCCUGCUCUUAGUAACCUUUCAGGACAGACAAACAAGGGAUACCGCGGAUGCACGCACUGUUUGGAUGAUACCGACAGUAUAUAUUUGAAUAGUUGUAAGAAGAAUGUGUACUUGGGACAUCGUCGAUUUCUUUCGAGUAGGCAUCCCGUAAGAAAGAAAGGCAAGCAUUUCAAAGGUGAGGCGGAUCACCGGACGAAGCCUCGCCACCGUACUGGUGCUGAUGUACAUGAUAUGGUCAAGGAUUUGAAGGUAAUCUUUGGAAAGGGUCCUGGCGGACAACCAGUUCCGAAGGACGCUGACGGACGCGCACCCAUGUGGAAGAAGAAAUCUAUAUUUUGGGACCUGCCAUAUUGGAAAGACCUAGAGGUCCGCUCCGCAAUCGACGUGAUGCACGUGACGAAGAAUCUUUGCGUGACCCUGCUUGGCUUUUUGGGCGUGUAUGGGAAGACAAAAGAUACACCAGAGGCACGGGAGGACCAGCAACGUAUGCACGGAAAAGACGACAUACAUCAGGGUCAGGCCAGCUACGCUCUUACCAAAGAAGAGAAGGAAAUCUUCUUCCAAUGCCUGCUCAGCAUGAAGGUACCGUCUGGCUUCUCGUCGAAUAUAAAGGGAAUAAUAAAUAUGGCAAAGAAAAAGUUCCAGAACCUAAAGUCUCAUGACUGCCACGUGAUUAUGACGCAACUCCUUCCGAUUGCAUUGAGGGGGCUUCUACCGGAAAACGUUCGAUUAGCCAUUAUGAAGCUAUGUGCAUUCCUCAAUGCAAUCUCUCAGAAGGUAAUCGAUCCAGAAAUCAUACCAAGGUUACAGAAUGAUUUGGUGCAAUGUCUUGUCAGUUUCAAGUUGGUGUUCCCACCAUCCUUCUUCAGCAUCAUGACACACGUCCUAGUUCACCUUUGCGAAGAGAUUAACAUUUUGGGUCCUGUAUUUCUACACAAUAUGCUCCCCUUUGAAAGGUUCAUGGGAGUCUUGAAGAAAUAUGUUCAUAACCGUGCUAGGCCAGAAGGAAGCAUCUCGAAGGGCCAUCAAAAUGAGGAGGUCAUUGAGUUUUUUAUUGACUUUAUUCCUGACCUUAAGUCGAUUGGUGUUCCUGAAUCGCGGCAUAAGGGCAGACUGGAAGGAAAAGGCACGCUAGGAGGGCAUCAAAUAAUAUGUAUGGGCGGGCAUUCUCUCACUGAAGCACACUACACAGUUCUACAGAAUUCCGCCUCUGUGGCUCCGUAUAUGGAGGAACACAAGAAUUUUCUACAGUCCAAACACCCGGAGAAGUCUGACGACUAGAUUACACACGAACAAACUAGGACUUUCGCCUCUUGGUUGCAGAAACGUGCCCUGAAUGAUGGCGAUAUUCAAAAUGACCUGUACUCGAUGUCCCAGUUACCAUCUUCGAAUAUAAUGACUUUCAAAGGGUACCAGAUAAAUGGGAAUACAUUUUACACGAUCGCCCAAGAUAAGAAGAGCACCAACCAAAACAGUGGUGUCCGCUUUGAUGCAACAACCAACACGGGAAAGGAAACAUAUUAUGGUUACAUAGAGGACAUAUGGGAACUUAACUAUGGAUCAGGUGAUUUGAAGGUCCCUUUGUUUCGGUGCAAAUGGGUCAAUAUGACACGAGGCGGGGUAACGGAAGACCCGCAGUACGGAAUGACAACAGUGGAUCUCAACAAUCUUGCGUAUGCAGACGAACCAUUCUUCCUAGCCAAUGAUGUGGCGCAGGUUUUUUAUGUGAAAGACAUGUCUACCAGGCCGAGAAAAAGAAAAGAUAAGGAAGCGAAUGGAUCAUACGACGACCAAAGUGCCACAUAGUUCUUUCAGGUAAAAGGAACAUCGUGGGAGUGGAUGACAAGACAGACAUGUCAGAAGAUUAUGAAAAGUUUGAUGAAAUUGCUCCAUUCACAGUGAAUAUUGACUCGAGCAUCCAGUUAAAUGAUGAAAAUUUUCCAUGGCUACGGCGCAAAGGGACACACCAGAAGAAAAAGUUUCACACCCAAAGAUCUGGGAUGUGAUCGGCUUCACUAUCAUCACUUUCUUGUGUGUUUCACACCCAGGAGGGAAUGUCUGUAGUAGUUAGGGUAGUUAAUUAUGUGUUUUGGCAUUUGAAACGCGAAGAAAUUUUAUGUGCAAACAAAUCCUUUUCAUGCAUUACUGAUUUUUUUUCCAGCUAAAUGACCAUGAAAUUGAAAAGCAUUUGAAAUGAACUCAGAAAAGUAGAGAGGGUUACGACAAAAACUGGAUACACUUCGUGUGCAAAAUGGACAAUCUUUUUCGAAGUAUCAGGGUUUCCGACGAAAACUGAAAUGUUACAAAGGCAUUUCAUUUUUUAAAUAACCUAAGCAUUACCAAACUGAAUAUACUGAUAAAACACACUAAUAUUAAACAUAAGGAAAAAGAAUCACUGAAAAAACUUUUUUCAAAGUUAAGUUAUUCACAAACUAGUGAUUCACACAAAUUUCAAAUAAUUCAAAAUUUAAACUAUUCAAAAUUAAAAACUACCGGCACUAAUAGAAAGUUUGUAAUUUUUUGUACCUAAAGCAAAAAUAUUCACAAAGAAACUCUAAAUACAGCAAAAACAACUCAAAAAUAAAUAAAACAAAAAUAAAUAAAGCGGAAAAAAUUAAGAAAAUAAAAAAGCCCACCUACUGGGUCAAAGCGGCCUGCAUACGACUAGGAACACAACCUUUAGUUGGGCCAGGAUGCAGGCCCGCAAAGGCCUAGUAGGCCCACAUGGCAGAAGAGGACAGGUAGGCCCAGUAGGCCUGCUUAAGAGAGGAGCUCGAGAGAGCUACCGCACUGGGGCUUAUAAACCAGUGCGGUAGCCCCUCGGGUAGCGAGGUGGGACUAAACUUGCGCACCGCUUGGAGCCAGCGCACCCCUUUAGUACCGGCUCGUGGCUUCAACCUGUACUAAAGACUCCCCUCCCCCUUUAGUACCGGUUGGAGCCACCACCCGGUACUAAAGUGGGUGCGCUUCCCGCCGCUUGGCCAGGCCAAAACAGACCUUUAGUACCAGUUGGUGACUCCAACCGGUACUAAAGGUCCAUCCUAUAUAUACAACACUUAAAAAAAUUCAGUUUCCCUCUGUUUCUUCCCUCUGUUUCCUCCCUUCGUCGCGCCUCCCUACCCCGAUCGACGCUGUCCCCGUCGACGUCGCCGCCCCCGCCCCUCGUCACCGACCCCGGCCGUCCCCGCCCCUCGUCGCCGCCCCCGUGGACGUCGCCGCCCCGGCCGUCCCCGUCCCCGUCGUCNNNNNNNNNNNNNNNNNNNNNNNNNNNNNNNNNNNNNNNNNNNNNNNNNNNNNNNNNNNNNNNNNNNNNNNNNNNNNNNNNNNNNNNNNNNNNNNNNNNNNNNNNNNNNNNNNNNNNNNNNNNNNNNNNNNNNNNNNNNNNNNNNNNNNNNNNNNNNNNNNNNNNNNNNNNNNNNNNNNNNNNNNNNNNNNNNNNNNNNNNNNNNNNNNNNNNNNNNNNNNNNNNNNNNNNNNNNNNNNNNNNNNNNNNNNNNNNNNNNNNNNNNNNNNNNNNNNNNNNNNNNNNNNNNNNNNNNNNNNNNNNNNNNNNNNNNNNNNNNNNNNNNNNNNNNNNNNNNNNNNNNNNNNNNNNNNNNNNNNNNNNNNNNNNNNNNNNNNNNNNNNNNNNNNNNNNNNNNNNNNNNNNNNNNNNNNNNNNNNNNNNNNNNNNNNNNNNNNNNNNNNNNNNNNNNNNNNNNNNNNNNNNNNNNNNNNNNNNNNNNNNNNNNNNNNNNNNNNNNNNNNNNNNNNNNNNNNNNNNNNNNNNNNNNNNNNNNNNNNNNNNNNNNNNNNNNNNNNNNNNNNNNNNNNNNNNNNNNNNNNNNNNNNNNNNNNNNNNNNNNNCAAACACACACACACACACACACACACACUACACACACACACUACACACACACAAACAUUAUUAGUUUAUUUGUUAAUUUUUUUUCUGUUUUUUAGUUAUAGAAAUGUUAGGAAAUUAUUCUGUUUUUUAGUUAUAUAAAUAUUAGAAAUGUUAGUUAUAUAGAAAUGUUAUAAAUGUUUUCUGUUUUUAGUUAUAGAAAUAUUUAUAGAAAUGUUAGCAAUUUUUUUGUUUUUUAGUUAUAUAAAUAUUAGAAUUGUUAUAGAAAUGUUAGUUAUAUAAUCAGGAAAUUUUAGAAUUAGUUUUAGUUAGAUAAAUUAGAUUAAUGUCAAAUUGUUAGAAUUUGCAUAUAUAAAUAUAGAAUUUUAGUUAUCACAAUCCAAUCAUUUAAAAAAUGUUACUUUUUGCGGGCAUAUAGUAUGUGUUCUCGACGAUAUGCCCGGCCCGCAUCCUCGCCGUCGACCCAUUCGCGACGACGUCAUGCUUCAGAGGACCCAUGUCCGGGACUGGAAUCCGCCGGGCUGGCACUGGGAGGUGCUACCUGGAGGGGCGCGCCGCUUGGUGAGGAACCCGACCUCCGGUCCCGUCGUCGACCCUGAUCUUCUUAUGUGGCGUUCACGUGGGCCACAUUCGGUGCAGAGGCAGCCGGCCCCGCCGGAGGUAGUGCGUCGCCGUGUCAGGGAGGAAGAUGAGCACGUCCAUCGCUACAUGGCUGCUAUGGACGACGUCAGGUUCUCCACUACUUGGCGGGUUCUUUGGGCAGAUGACCGGAGAUAUGAUCCUGUGAUGGUUCCUUCUCUUUGGGUGUGCACCGCCCGCGCCCCAGGAAUUGCGAGUGGCGCCCUAGAUUCUUCUGUAGUACUCGAUCUUUAUUAGGUACCUAGCCAGUGAUGUAUUCGAUAUAUAAUAUUCGAGAUGAUGUAUUCGAGAUUAUAUAUAUUAAGACGAUGAUGUAUUCGAGAUUAUAUAUUCGAGACGAUGUAUUCGAGAUUCAGUUUUUCCUUAUUGAUUAAUUGCAUCCAUGCAUUGUAAUUUGAAUACUAAAUUGUUUUAUAUUUCUUCUGUAUUAAUUAGUAAAGUAAAAGCUAUGGCGGACAAUACCGGCAGAGAGAGAGAGAAGAGGAAUUGUUCGACAUCAUAUGGAGCCCUCAUAGGCUAGAUGAUCUGAAUGAUGACGGCUCCCAAUAUCUGAACAAUACCGGAGAGGGUGAUGAAAAGAUAUUCGAUCUCGACGACCGAGCUGAUGAAGUCAUGAACUAUGAUUAUGAUGACACAGACAAUGUUAGUGAUGACACAGACAAUGCUGAUCUUCAAAUAACAAAGACUUCCGGCGAGGUAUAUAUUUAUAUAAGCAUGCAUCCUGGUGAUCAUCACAUGUUUUUUUAUUGAAGAUAUAUUAACGAAUCGAUCUUUCUUCUUUCAGCCCUCCGGAUCGAGCAAAUCUGCUUCUACAGACAGCAAGACAAAGCAAGGCCCGAGCAGAUUGUUGAAGGAUGGUGUAAAGUACCACAUCGAAUCCACCAAACUUAGUGGCGAACCCCUCACGCCUAAGAACAUUGCAGACAAGUGGACUCAUCAGUGCGGAGUUCUUGUGAAGGACAAACUCCCGAUCUCCAUUCAAGAAUGGAAAGAGCCAAAGACUAAACGUCCAGGUGUUACUUGGGUUGAUGCCAGAGACAAAGAAGACCUGGUGAAAUCUCUGAUGGAACAUUUCACCCUACCAGAUUAUUUCACUAAAGCAGAUGUGGAGAAAGUCAAGGCCGCUGCUCUUAAGAAGAUGGCAAUUGCAUUCAACACCCACAAGAAAACUGUAUGGGCUAACUACCUCGCUAAUGAAAGGAAGACUCCAGAUUUCCAGGGAACAUUGGAGAAGCAAAGAGAACACUGGGACGAUUUCGUGACCUUCAAGGAUUCAGAAUUAUCUAAGGAACGGUCGAUGAAAAACAAGGCAAAUGCUGCAAGAAAUAUGCAGUUCCAUAGGCUGGGUCCAGGUGGCUACACGGUGGGAUUGCCAAAGUGGGAUAAGUCUGAGCAAGAGAUGGAGGGUGCAGGGGUCACUCCGAUUACUAGGAGCUGGCCCCCCAGGUGUAGAACUUGGUUCUAUGCGCAUGGGGGGCGUUGGACCCGAAGACAGGCCUGGUUUAGAAGAAGACAAGUCUAAAAGGAGCCGAACAAAACAUACUUGACGCAAUAGAAGAAGCUCGAGCGGGGGUGUUCACGCCCAACAGAGAGAACGACGAGCUUACGCGUGCCCUGGGAAAUCCUGAACACCCGGGAAGAACAUGAGGCAUGGGUGUUAUUCCCUGGUAUGAGGGCUUUUCGGACUGGAAUGACGACUACAGGUCCCGUGCAAGAAAGAAGAUGGAGGAGGACAAGAAGAGGAAGCUGGAGGAGGAGCAGAGGAAGCAGGACGCAGAACGUCUUCAAGGCCUAGAAGAAAGGCACGUGGACCUGGCACUCAAAUUCCAGUAGCAGCAGCAGCAGAUCGACUCACUUAGCCAGGAAAGGGGGUCUCAGCAGCGACAACAGCAAGCGGAUGAUCGUCCAUCAUUGGAUAGCACCGUCCCAUCCAUGCCGAGAAGCAGCGUUGGUUCUGCCUCGGGCGACACACUGCUGGAUACAUACCCUGUGGAUGACAUCAUAGAGAAAACUAACUGUGAGCUACACUCCAAAAUGAAGAACAUAUCCAUGAAGGUGGCGGAUGGCGUUGCUUUUCCAGUGACCCCUGAAGCAACCUACCAUUGCAUCCCGAUUGCAGAGGGCUAUGCUCGUGCCAUGGUUGAUGAAGUGGUGGACCCAUAUUCGGGGCUAACGCUUGACAUUCCUGGAGGUGAAGACGUGCGCACACUGGGACAGGCCAUACAUCGUAUCAUCCUAUGGAGAAAGGAUUGCAUCAUCUUUCAAAGUCCACCGACACCGCGUCGUCUGCCGACUCCUCGAAGUCCGCCACCGAGUCAGCAGACUCCCGCUCCUCCAAGUCCACGAAUGCACGAGACGACUCCUCCUCGAAGUCCGCCACCUCCUCCAAGUCCCCAAACGCAUGAGCUGACUCCUCCGGUUUCAAGUCCGGCACAGCGUCAUGCCACUUCUCCGGUUUCAAGUCCGGCAUCGUGUCAGGCCACACGUCCUGCUUCAAGUCUGGCACAUCAUCAGGCCACUUCUCCUGGUCCAACUCCACGUCAGCCGUCUCCGCCGUCUCAGCAAUCGCACAAGAGACAUGCCGCAGAUUUGGUGCGUAGCGGUAUGAGUCGAGGUAGUUCAGGAAGUACAGGCGGAGACAAGCGAUAUAAAUAUGGUCCAAGCCUCGCUCCUCUUCCUCAGAGGCCUUACGACAUGACCGAGGAGCAAAACACAGCCAUAGUGCAGGCCCAAGUGGACGCCCAUUUUGGACCGAAACCGGCACCGCCGCCAAAGGAGAAAGUGCAUGAGAAAACGAUUGACCACUUCAUUCAUAUGGCUAGAGCACCAGCUCCCAAGCCUGUUGACUCGGACUAUGAGCAUCAAAUCAGGAAGCUACAUCGAGCACGGCUACGGAAGGAAGCGAGCUCGAGCUCGAGCGAACAAGCAGCUGGCAAAAAAUGCGGGAAAACCGUUCCCCAGCUGGGAGAACAGGCGGCGCAAGAGAUUCCCCCACUUGUUGUGCCAACAACACAUGAGAGGAGUACGCGCGCCAAAUAUUAUUGUGGGUAAACCGUUAGCGUUCCCCAGCAGGGCGAUGUGGUAAUAGUGGAGGAGCAUAUAAUGCAGGCUGAAAUGCUCAAGAUCUCUGCUGGACAACUCUUAGAAAUCGAGCACAUGUCUCCGCUUAAAGAAUCGGAAAUAAAAUGGAAAUAUGUCUGUGGCCAACCUUUGGUCCAUCCAGACAAGGUCAAGGACCUCCCAAUAAGAAUGUAUGAAUUGCAUCAAUGGUACAUGAACAUGACCAAGAUUUCCAAUCGAGUGUCCCUCAUGGUGAAUGUCAAGAAGGAUCAUUAUUACCAUGAGAAAGCUCUGUCCAUUGAGUAUUCAGAACUAUAUCAGUUAUUCAAUCAAGAUGCACUCGACAAGUCUAUCGUCAGUUGCUAUUGUCUGUAAGUGAUUUCUUUUUGUAAUUUAAGUCUCAAGCUAAUUAUGUAGUGAUAAUUUUGAUCAAUCAUUACAUGUAAUUAUCCUCACUAUAUUCUUUUCUAUGGUAUUAUAUGCAGGAUGAAGAUGUAUGAAAUGAAAAAAUCUGGACGCUAUGGCAUUGGGUUCAUAGACCCAAAUACCAUUAAUGAGGACAUAUGGAAGUAUCCAUUUUAUCAAGCAGGUGUAGAGGAAAGCAUGGUAGAGUUCUUGAAGCGCCUCAAUAGCAAUGAAGAUAUACUACUUCCUUACAACUUCCCGUGAGUUACACUGUCUUGUACUACAAAUUCUGUCUUUUACUUACUAGCUAGCUAGAUGUUAAUAAUUAAGUGUAUACGGUUUACGGUAGUUGAUUAAUUUUAUGCACAUGCCCGCUUAUUUAAGACAUGCAAACGUGUGCGCAUGCAGUUGGCACUGGGUCUUGAUAGACAUUAAAGUUGAGGAAGGAAAAGUUGAAUUACUGGACUCGCUAACUAAAAAAGAAAGUGACUUCACCAUCGUGAAGGGGAUAGUCAGCAGGUAAUUUCAAUCAUUAUUNNNNNNNNNNNNNNNNNNNNNNNNNNNNNNNNNNNNNNNNNNNNNNNNNNNNNNNNNNNNNNNNNNNNNNNNNNNNNNNNNNNNNNNNNNNNNNNNNNNNNNNNNNNNNNNNNNNNNNNNNNNNNNNNNNNNNNNNNNNNNNNNNNNNNNNNNNNNNNNNNNNNNNNNNNNNNNNNNNNNNNNNNNNNNNNNNNNNNNNNNNNNNNNNNNNNNNNNNNNNNNNNNNNNNNNNNNNNNNNNNNNNNNNNNNNNNNNNNNNNNNNNNNNNNNNNNNNNNNNNNNNNNNNNNNNAACCCCUUUAUUAAUUUUCUUUGCUGGCGGGCAGGGCAUGGGCAAAAUUCAUCGCGAUGACUCCAGGCGAAUCGAAACAAAAGUUGUUUUGGCAUCGACCAAAGGUAAGUAAUUAAGUAGUACUAGCUAGCUACCAUCUCUUUAAUUCUUGUUUCAAUAUCAUUAAUUAAGUAUCAUGCUUGAUUAAUCAUUAUCUGAUUCAAUUUCAUUCUCGUAAAUGCACCGAAGCAGGCGUCGGGGAAUAAUCUGUGUGCAUUCUACGUUUGCGAGAACAUUCGCAUGAUGACGUCCGAAAGGAGCAGAUCUGAUAGAUAAGACUGGGUACGUUUGUCAGAACACUAUUCACACCAUUAUCGAUAUCUAGUCACACAACUAACACACAUGCAUAUUGAUCUCCUUCUUAACAGUUCAGAGAGGUGCGGGAUAAGCUCCUACCAUCGGACCGCAUACUAGCACUUCAAGAGGAAAUAGCCGGAUUUUUGCUCGACCAGGUCAUAAAUCCCGAAGGAGAAUACUAUUACCCGCUACCGCCCCCAUGAACCACUUGUCAUUGUGCUCCGGAGGCACCAAGGCAACAUAUGUAGGAGAAAUUGUAUAUGUAUACAUGUGUAUGUGUGAAUAAUGGUGUUGAUUGUGAGACAUUCGAUGNNNNNNNNNNNNNNNNNNNNNNNNNNNNNNNNNNNNNNNNNNNNNNNNNNNNNNNNNNNNNNNNNNNNNNNNNNNNNNNNNNNNNNNNNNNNNNNNNNNNNNNNNNNNNNNNNNNNNNNNNNNNNNNNNNNNNNNNNNNNNNNNNNNNNNNNNNNNNNNNNNNNNNNNNNNNNNNNNNNNNNNNNNNNNNNNNNNNNNNNNNNNNNNNNNCAAUUUGUAGUAUCGUGAAAUACCAGCAAACAAAAAAAAUGUAAUGGAAAAUAAAAAAAACACCCAAACAUUUAGUACCGGUUGAUGUUACCAACCGGUACUAAAGCCCUACGCGCACCCGGGCCUGGCUCGUGCCACGUGUUCGCACUUUAGCGCCGAUUCGUGACGAACCGGUACUAAAGGGGAGGGGGACCUUUAGUCCCCACUCUUUAGUGCCGGUUGUAGAACCGGCACUAAAGGCUGUUACGAACCGGCACUAAAGGCCGAUUCUGCACUAGUGCGACUACAUGCCGGUGUCAUCAAUGCAUGUGACUCACAACCACUCACUCAGUGCCAUCAUUCACUUUGGAACUGUUAUCGACAUGGUCAUGCCAGCCCCGGUAUAGGAGUGGCGACCGCGGCACAUCGCAUGACUCGUUCGCACAUAGUUAAAAAAAAUUACCAUGUUUCAAGUGCUUUGUAUUCUUUGGUGAACUUUUGGAAUUUAUUUGAUUCUUUUUCAGAAGAACAAAUAAAAGGAACACGCAGUUUGAAUCCAUUGGGCACGGAUGGAACGUGGCAUGUCUCCUGGCCAAGAUACAAGCGCGGUGGGCACGCUGCAAGGGCGACGUGGCAGUUUGGACGCCGAUGUGGCGCAUUCUCGCCACCAAUACGGACGGCCUGGUGUGUGUCACGCACCAAUAUAUAAAACAUCCAGAUCCAGGGCAGCUACGUCGAGCGAUGCGAUUGGCCAGCUCGACGAUAUGCCGGCGCAAGGAAAUAUGCCGAUCCAGACAAGAAACACGACGGCGAGAAUCGCGCGUACGCCCCACAUGCAUGCGACGUCGGACACCGCUCACCGAGUACCACUAUUAUUGGGGUCCAUGCACGCACGGCACCACAGGCCACACGUAAAUGCCAUGUGAUGCCUGGCACCACAGCAGGCCACAGACCAUCCAUGGACCGCGAUCACUGAGUACGUUUACUCUCUUUGGCAUUAUGCUUAAUAUGGCCAUGUGAUGUGUACGUGUUUAGCCUUUAUUAGGAGGGCAGAUCCUUCAUGCUCCCCCGUAUGCAGAUCCAGAUCGAGAGCCCACCGCCCAAUCAGUAGCCACGGCUGACCGCCAUAUCCUCAGCAGCUGGUUCUCUCUAGGAUUUAGUCGACUUAGACAUGGCCAAGUCUAAGUCGGCUGAUGUCACCUGUUUAUUUUUUCGUUUAUGUUCAAACUAUAUCCCAACGUUGCAUCUUGUGGCUUUUUGGCUGGCUCCUUUUUUUGUCUUUAGUCUGUGCGUUCAUCAAGUUGUGUUGAGCCAGAUAUUUUGGGCAGUUAUUUUUUGUUUGGUGCUGCUGCUCGUUGAUUAUGUAAUCUUUAGCUAUUGUUUGAGCAUUUUUUCUGAAACCUUUAGAUAUUGUUCGAGUAUAUUAGCUUUGUGGUACACCGGCCAGCUAUAUUAGCUGUUGUUCCUACAGUUUUCUUAACAUGCUAUUUAUUUCGUUUUGUUUGGAUUUCUUUUUCAUUUUUAUUUACAUUUUCACAUUUUGUUUCUAAAAAUUGUAAACAUUAGUUAACGCUCGUUUCUUCUUCAUUUUGUUUCACUAGAAAAUGUUUAAUAUUAUUUAAAAAUAUCCUUCAUGCCAUUACAAAAAUAUUCAAUGUUAGUUAACGCUCGUUUUUAGCUUACAUUUUCUUUAUUUGAUUGGGUUGAGUCGGGCAUUGUUUUACUUGUCUGUUUGUAAUUUCUCUAUCAUCCACAAAUUGAAAAAUGGUACUAACAAAAAUAAAGAGAGCUCAUCAUAUGUUGUUUCACAUGCGAUGCGGGCGUGCGACUAGGUUUGUGUGGCAUGCUUAAAAAAAAUUCCAAACAUCUCUUUUUAGAUAAAAAACAAAAUAUAAUAUAAUAUAAAAUAUAAAAUUAAUUUAAUAAUAGGGUGUGGAUACGACUCGGUCGAUUGAGACUUAGAAAGAAGUCUCAGUCAGCUGGCAUCAUGGCGGCAUGCAGUAGUAGCCCGAGGCGGCAGUUUCAGAUGCAGGUCUAGUGGCAUGCAUGCAAUUCUCCAUCUUCCGACAAAAACACCAGGAGUUGCAGUCGUGGGCGACACAUGCAGUUGCAUGCCAAGUGUCGGACAUGCAACUUCUCCCUCCCAGACAAAAUACCACAGAGUUGCAGUCUGGUUUUAGACAUGCAGUUGCAGUCUGGGGCAACACUUGCAGUUGCAUGCGUAGUGUCGGGCAUGCAACUACCCCCUCCUCUCCCCGUUGCUCUUCGACAAUAACACAAAGGACAUUUGCAGUUGGGAGGGAGGCGUGCAAUUGCAGACGAGGGCAGCACAUGGAGUUGCAAGCCUAGUGUCGGGCAUAGAACUACCCCCCUCUCACGGUGCCCACCGACCAAACAAAAGGUUGGGUGCGGUUGGGUGUGUUGACAUGCAGUUGUAGUUGACGGCGACACUUGAGUUACAAGCUUAGUGUCUGGCAUGCAACUGCCCCUCUCCCUCCGCCCUCAAACAAAAACACAUGGCCAAUUGCAGUCAGGGCGGAGGUGUGCAAUUGCAUUUGAGGGUGGCACUUGUAGUUGCAGCCAUUUUGGGAGAUAUGAAGUUGCAGCCAGGGUGACACUUGCAGUUGCAUGCCUAGUGUUGGACAUGCAAUUGCCCACCUCUCUCGCUGCUUACUUGAAAAAAGGUCAGUUGCAGUCAAGUGCGUAGGCAUGCAAUUCAGUCAAGGGCGACACUUGCAGUUGCAAGCCUAGUGUCAGACAUCUAACUACCACCCCCUCUCUCGCUGCCCACCAUAAAAAAGGUCAGUUGCGGUCGGAUGUAUGUACAUGACAUUGCACUCGAGGGCGACACUUGCAGUUGCAAGCCUAUUGUCGGACAUGCAACUUCCCCCUUCUCCCACCGCCCUCCGACAAAAACAUAAGGCUAGUUGCAGUCGAGAGGGAGGCAUUCAGUCGGGGGGUGACACUUGUAGUUAUAUGGCUAGUAUUGUACAUGCAACCCCGCCCCCACCCCCGCCUACUCCUGUAGCCCACUUACAAAACAAAGGUCAAUUGCAUUCGGGUGUGUGAGCAUGCAGUUUCAGUCGGGGGCAACACUUGCAGCUGCAUGCCUAGUGUUACCCCCGCCCUCCCUACUGCCCACUAACAAUUGCAGUUGCAAGCCUAGUGUUGGAGCUGCAACUGCCCCCUUCUCCCGAUAAGAAAAGGAGGAAAUAUACACAAAAUCCAGUCCUUCAUCAAUUGCAUGUGGAGUAAGAUGUGUGUAGUUAUGCAUGUGUAAGCGAACUUGCUACACACAAUUAAUAUUUCCUUUGAGGCUAAAAAGUAAAGAAUAAGUAACAACAUAGUUACACGCCGAUACGAUGUGUGCAGUCACGUGUGGAUGGAUGUACAUGUAGCUGAUAGUAUGAUUUGAAAAAUGACAAAAAUAAAUGUGAACAAUUAAGAAUUAAUAAAAUAUAAAAAUUAAAAUGAAAAAAAUCACACAAACAUACUUCAAAGAAAUAAUUAUGAGAGAAAAGAGAACAAGAAAAGAAUGAGAAGAAUGGAAAUAAGUAAUAAUUUCAAAAGAAGCAACAAAAAUAAAAUUAGAAAGGAAAACUAUCCUUGAAAUCCAAAAUGAAUUGGCUCAAGCCAUUCUGAAAAAUAUUAUAAACAAUGUUGCGAUCGGAAAAAGGAAAUGCAACACAAAUUUGCACCAAUCUUGGCGCAUAGAGAUUGAACGGUUUACCGUAUAACCAAAUCUUAUAUGAGCAAACCUUGACGUACAACAUGGAGGAAAAUAAAAAAAACGUGGAGAAAAAUUAAGAGUGUGCAUUGACCAUGACAUGCUAAAAGAUAUAGGGGAAGACACUGAGCGUGGAGGACACACAUGCUGGUCUAGUAGAAAAAAUGAGAAAAAACAAGACAACACACUUCCUCUUUGCGGUUUGAACGGUCUAUUUCUAACCACAACCCAUCAAACAAACAAAAAGAAACAAGCUGGACGCAUCAUCCUAACAGGCCGAUUUAAACCAGACAAGCAGUUAGCAUAAAAAAUAUUCAAUGGAGGCGUCGACUGAGACUUGGAUAGAAAUCAGUCGACUGAUUUUUAGUCCCUCCGUUCCGUUAAAUCGCAGCUCCACCGCUCCCAUCAACCCUCGAACCUCGAUAAAAAUGUUGUUUUUCUUUCCCGAAAAGAAGGUGAAAACACCGCAGCUUCUGCAUGGAUCCAUGUAGGAUCUUUCAUUCUCUUAUUGUAAUAUAAGGUUUAUUUAAGAUCCAACAUCUCGCACUAGGAGUACAAAAGGCCACCAAGGCCAUAAGAGCAUCUACGCACGCUCAUCACUCGAAUAUGUGUUAUAACCGCACAUCUAACAUAGAGUGUUCAUCGGGGCAUACUCAUAGAAAUUUGCUGAUCGAUUCUUCUUACCUAACCCCCUAUGUGUCUAGUACUCUACAUGAUAUGUUAGGGCAUCUCCAACACCGACCUGUAAAUAUGCUCCCGCAUCCGUCCAUGAACAAGGGGACCAGUCCGCGGACAUGAAUGCGGGAGGCGGCCAUCCAACACUGCCAAUAUACAUUUCAACAACUUUUUAAAUCAGUCGAAUGAGAUUUUUGCAAACACGAUGGAAUUCAUUGUUCGGUUAUCUAUACAUAAUAUUAAAGGACGGAUUGUUUCUUCACUAUUUUUGGUCCAUCGAUGUUUUUUGUAUGUUUUUCGGUUUUCGUCCGUCGCUGUUUUAUGUUAAAAAAGAAUUUAGUCUCAAACGGACUCGAACCGCUGCCCACUUAUGUCAAGGUGCAAUUCAACAACUGUUGGGGAACGUAGCAGAAAUUCAAAAUUUUCUACGCAACACCAAGAUCAAUCUACGGAGAGACUAGCAACGAGAAAGAGGGGAGUGCAUCUUCAUACCCUUGAAGAUCGCGAUGCGGAAGCGUUACAAGAACGCGGUCGGUGGAGUCGUUCACGAAGCGAUUCAGAUCGCGACCGAAUCCGAUUUAAGCACCGAAGAACGGUGCCUCCGCGUUCAACACACGAGCAGCCCGGUGACGUCUCCCAUGCCUUGAUCCAGCAAGGGAAGAGGGAGAGGUUGGGGAAGAUUCCGUCCAGCAGCAGCACGACGGCGUGGUGGUGGUGGAGGAGCGCGGCACUCCAGCAGGGCUUCGCCAAGCACUACGAGAGACGAGGAGGGAGAGAGGUAGGGCUGCGCCUUGGGAGAGAGAGACUCAUGUGUUGGGCAGCCCCAAAACCUCCACUAUAUAUAUGGGGAAGGGAGAGGGGGAGGCGCCCUAGGGUUUCCCCUAGGGGGGGCGUCGGCCAGGGCAGAUGGGAUCUCCCCUUUGGGUGACUUGGCCCCAAAGCCAGGAGGUGGGAACCCUAGAUGGGGCGCCCCAAACCCCCCGGUCACGUGGGAAUAGGUGAGGGGGCGCACAACCCCUUAGUGGGCUGGUUUGCCCCCUCCCCUUGGCCCAUGAAGCCCCCCCAACACUUGUUGGGGCUCCCGAAACACCUUUCGGUCAUGCUGGUCAUCACCCGGUACCUCCGGAACACUUCCGGACUCCAAAACCCUUCGUCCAAUAUAUCAAUCUUCACCUCCGGACCAUUCCGGGACUCCUAGUGACGUCCGGGAUCUCAUCCAGGACUCUAAACAACAUUCGUUAAUCACGUACAUACCUUCCCUAUAACCCUAGCGUCAUCGAACCUUAAGUGUGUAGACCCUACGGGUUCGGGAACCAUGCAGAAAUGACCGAGACAACUCUCCGUCCAAUAACCAACAGCGGGAUCUGGAUACCCAGUUGGCUCACACAUGUUCCACGAUGAUCUCAUCGGAUGAACCAUGAUGUCAAGGAUUCAAUCAAUCCCGUAUGCAAUUCCCUUUGUCUACCGGUAUAGUACUUGCCCGAGAUUCGUUCAUCGGUAUGCCGAUACCUUGUUCAAUCUCGUUACCGGCAAGUCUUUUUACUCGUUCCGUAACACAUCAUCCCGUGAUCAACUCCUUGAUCACAUUGUGCACAUUAUGAUGAUGUCCUACCGAGUGGGCUCAGAGAUACCUCUCCGUCACACGGAGUGACAAAUCCCAGUCUCGAUUCGUGCCAACCCAACAGACACUAUCGGAGAUACCCUUAGUGCACCUUUAUAGCCACCCAGUUACGUUGUGACGUUUGGUACACCCAAAGCUUUCCUACGGUAUCCGGGAGUUGCACAAUCUCAUUGUGUAAGGAAAAGAUACUUGACAUUUAGAAAAGCUUUAGUAUACGAACUACACGAUCUUGUGCUAGGCUUAGGAUUGGGUCUUGUCCAUCACAUCAUUCUCCUAAUGAUGUGAUCCCGUUAUCAAUGACAUCCAAUGUCCAUGGUCAGGAAACCAUGACCAUCUGUUGAUCAACGAGCUAGUCAACUAGAGGCUCACUAGGGACAUGUUGUGGUCUUUGUAUUCACACAUGUAUUGCGGUUUCCGGUCAAUACAAUUAUAGCAUCAAUAAUAGACAAUUAUCCUGAACAAGGAAAUACAAUAAUAACCAUUUUAUUAUUGCCUCUAGGGCAUAUUUCCAACCGUCUCCCACUUGCACUAGAGUCAAUAAUCUAGUUCACAUCACUAUGUGAUUGUAAUGAAUCGACACCCAUGGGGUUUGAUCAUAUCUCGCUUAUGAGAGAGGUUAUUAGUCAACGGAUCUGAACCUUUUAGAUCCGUGUGUGCUUUGAAAAUCUCUAUGUAAUCUCCUAGAUGCAGCUACCACGCUCUAUUUGGAGCUAUUCCAAAUAACUGUUCUACUAUACGAAUCCGGUUUACUACUCAGAAUAAUCCGGAUUAGUGUCAAAGUUUGCAUCGGCGUAACCCUUUACGACGAACUCUUUUACCACCUCCAUAAUCGAGAAAAUUCCUUAGUCCACUAGUUACUAAGGAUAAGUUUGACCGCUGUCCUGUGAUCCAUUCCUGGAUUACUCUUGUACCAUUUGACUGACUCAUGGCAAGGCACACUUCCGGUGCGGUACAUAGCAUAGCAUACUAUAGAGCCUACGUCUGAAGCAUAGGGGAUGACCUUCGCCCUUACUAUCUCUUCUGCCGUCGUCAUGUCUUGAGUCUUACUCAAUACUCACACCAUAUAACACAGCCAAGAACUCCUUCUUUGCUGAUCUAUUUUGAACUCCUUCAAAAUCUUGUCACGGUAUGUAUUCAUUUGAAAGUACUAUUAAGCAUUUUGAUCUAUCCUUAUAGAUCUUGAUGCUCAAUGUUCAAGUAGCUUAAUCCAGGUUUUCCAUUGAAAAACACUUUUCAAAUAACCCUAUAUGCUUUCCAGAAAUUCUACAUCAUUUCCGAUCAACAAUAUGUCAACAACAUAUACUCAUCAAAAAUGCUAUAGUGCUCCCACUAACUUCUUUGGAAAUACAAGUUUCUCAUAAACUUUGUAUAAACCAAAAAAUCUUUGAUCUUCUCAUCAAAGCGUAUAUUCCAAGUCUGAGAUGCUUACUCCAGUCCCUAGAAGGAUUGCUGGAGCUUUGCACACUUGUUAGCAUCUUUCAGGAUUGACAAAACCUUCUGGUUGUAUCACAUACAACCUUUCCUCAAGAAUAUCGUCGAGGAAACAAUGUUUUGACAUCCUAUCUGCAAGAUUUCAUAAAUCAUGCAGUAAUUGCUAAUAUAAUUCCAACAAACUCUUAGCAUCACUACGAAUGAGAAAGUCUCAUCGCAGUCAACUCCUUGAACUUGUCGGAAAACAUCUUAACGACAAGUCGAGCUUUCUUAAUGGUGAUACUUACCAUCAUUGUCCGUCUUUCUUUUAAAAUCCAUCUGUACCCAACAGCCUUACGACCAUCAAGUAGUUCUUCCAAAGUCCACACUUUCUUUUCAUACAUGGAUCCUCUCUCGGAUUUUAUGGCCUCUCGCCAUUUGUUGGAAUCCGGGACCACCAUCACUUCUCCAUAGCUCGUAGGUUCAUUGUUGUCUAGCAACAUGACUUCCAAGACAGGAUUACCGUACCACUCUGAAGUACUACGCAUCCUUGUCGACUUACAAGGUUUGGUAGUGACUUGAUCCGAAGUUUCAUGAUCACUAUCAUCAGCUUCCACUUCAAUUGGUGUAGGUGCCACAGGAACAACUUCCUGUGCCCUGCUACACAUUGGUUGAAGUGAUGGUUCAAUAACCUCAUCAAGUCUCCACCAUCCUCCCACUCAAUUCUUUCAAGAGAAACCUUUUUCUCUAGAAAGGACCCGUUUCUAGAAACAAUCACUUUUGCUUCCGGGUCUGAAUUAGGAGGUAUACCCAACUGUUUUGAGUGUCCUAUGAAGAUGUAUUUAUCCGCUUUGGGUUCGAGCUUAUCAGGAUGAAACUUUUUCACAUAAGCGUCGCAGCCCCAAAUUUUCAAGAAACGACAGCUUAGGUUUCUCUAAACCAUAGUUCAUACGGUGUCAUCUCAACGGAAUUACUGGUGCCCUAUUUAAAGUGAAUGUGGUUGUCUCUAAUGCCUAACCCAUGAAUGAUAUUGGUAAUUCGAUAAGAGACAUCAUGGUAUGCACCAUAUCCAAUAGGGUGCAGCUAUGAUGUUCGGACACACCAUCACACUAUGGUGUUCCAGGCGGUAUUAGUUGUGAAACAAUUUCCACAAGGUCUUAAUUGUGUACCAAACUCGCAACUCAGAUAUUCAUCUUUAUGAUCAUAUCAUAGACAUUUUAUCCUCUUGUCACGAAGAUCUUCAACUUCACUCUGAAAUUACUUGAACCUUUCAAUAAUUCAAACUUGUGUUUCAUCAAGUAAAUAUACUCAGCAUCUACUCAAAUCAUCUAUGAAGUAAGAACAUAAUGAUAUCCACUGCGUGCCUCAGCACUCAUUGGACUGCACACAUCAAAAUGUAUUACUUCCAACAAGUUGAUUUCUUGUUCCAUCUUACUGAAAACGAGGCUUUUCAGUCAUCUUGCCCAUGUGGUAUGAUUUGCAUGUCUCAAGUGAUUCAAAAUCAAGUGAGUCCAAACGAUCCAUCUGCAUGGAGUUUCUCCAUGCGUACAUACCAAUAGACAUGGUUCGCAUGUCUCAAACUUUUCAAAAAAUGAGUGAGUCCAAAGUUCCAUCAACAUGGAGCUUCUUCAUGCGUUUUAUACCAAUAUGACUUACAUGGCAGUGCCACAAGCAGGUCGUACUAUCAUUACUAUCUUAUAUCUUUUGGCAUGAACAUGUGUAUCACUACGAUCGAGAUUCAAUAAACCAUUCUUUAUGGUGCAAGACCAUUAAAGGUAUUAUUCAAAUAAAUAGAGUAACCAUUAUUCUCCUUAAAUGAAUAACCGUAUUGCGAUAGACAUAAUCCAAUCAUGUCUAUGCUCAAUGCAAACACCAAAUAACAAUUAUUUAGGUUUAACACCAAUCUCGAUGGUAGAUGGAGCAGGCGAUGCUUGAUCACAUCAACCUUGGAAACACUUCCAACAUGCAUCGUCAUCUCACCUUUAGCUAGUCUUCGUUUAUUCUGUAGCUCUUUUAUUUCGAGUUACUAACACUUAGCAACCGAACCAGUAUCUUAAUACCCUGGUGCUACUAGGAGUACUAGUAAAGUACAAAUUUAAUUCAAUGUAUAUCCAAUAUACUCAUGUCAACCUUCCAGCCUUCUCAUCUACCAAGUAUCUAGGGUAGUUCUGCUUCAGUGACCGUUCCCUCAUUACAGAAGCACUUAGUCUCGGGUUUGGGUUCAACCCUGGGUUCUUCACUGGAGCAGCAACUGAUUUGCCGUUUCAUGAAGUACCCCUUCUUGCCCUUGCCCUUCUUGAAACUAGUGGUUUCACUAACCAUCAACAAUUGAUGCUCCUUCUUGAUUUCUACUUUUGCGGUGUCAAACAUCAUGAAUAUUUCAAGGAUCAUCAUAUCUAUCCCUGAUAUGUUAUAGUUCAUCACGAAGCUCUAGUAGCUUGGUGGCAAUGUCUUUGGAGAAACAUCACUAUCUCAUUUGGAAGAUUAACUCCCACUCGAUUCAAGUGAUUGUUGUACCCAGACAAUCUGAGUACAAGCUCAACGAUUGAGCUUUUCUCCCUUAGUUUGUAGGCCAAGAAGCUCGUCGGAGGUCUUAUACCUCUGACGUGGGCACGAGCCUGAAAUCCCAUUUUCAGCUCUUGGAACAUCCCCUAUGUUCCGCGACGUUUCAAAAUCGUCUUCGGUGCCUCAAUUCUAAACCGUUUAACAUUACUGAACUAUCACGUAGUCAUCAAAACAUGUAUGUCAGAUGUUCGCAACAUCCACAGACGACGUUCGAGGUUCAACACACCGAGCAGUGCAUUAAGGACAUAAGCCUUCUACGCAGCAAUGAGGACAAUCCUCAGUUUACGGACCCAAUUCGCAUAAUUGCUACUAUCAACUUUCAACUAAAUUUUCUCUAGGAACAUAUCUAAAACAGUAGAACUAAAGCGCGAGCUAUGACAUAAUUUGGAAAAACCUUUUGACUAUGUUCAGGAUAAUUAAGUUCAUCUAAUGAACUCCCACUCAGAUAGACAUCCCUCUAGUCAUCUAAGUGAUACAUGAUCCGAGUCAACUAGGCCAUGUCCGAUCAUCACGCGAGACGGACUAGUCAUCAUCGGUGAACAUCUUCAUGUUGAUCGUAUCCACUAUACGACUCAUGUUCGACCUUUCAGUCUCUUAUGUUCCGAGGCCAUGUCUGUACAUGCUAGGCUCGUCAAGUCAAACUAAGUGUUUCGCGUGUGUAAAUCUGGCUUACACCCAUUGUAUGUGAAUGUUAGAAUCUAUCACACCCGAUCAUCACGUGGUGCUUUGAAACAACGAACUUGCGCAACGGUGCACAGUUAGGGGGAACACUUUCUUGAAAUUAUUAUGAGGGAUCAUCUUAUUUACUACCGUCGUUCUAAGCAAAUAAGAUGCAUAAACAUGAUAAACAUCACAUGCAAUCAAAAAGUGACAUGAUAUGGCCAAUAUCAUUUUGCUCCUUCUGAUCUCCAUCUUCGGGGCUCCAUGAUCAUCAUCAUCACCGGCAUGACACCAUGAUCUCCAUCAUCAUGAUCUCCAUCAUCGUGUAUCCAUGAAGUUAUCUCGCCAACUAUUACUUCUACUACUAUGGCUAACGGUUUAGCAAUGAAGUAAAGUAAUUACAUGGCGUUAUUAAGUGACACGUAGGUCAUACAAUAAAUAAAGACAACUCCUAUGGCUCCUGCCGGUUGUCAUACUCAUCGACAUGCAAGUCGUUAUUCCUAUUACAAGAACAUGAUUAAUCUCAUACAUCACAUAUCAUUCAUCACAUUCUUUUUGGCCAUAUCACAUCACAUAACAUACCCUGCAAAAACAAGUUAGACGUCCUCUAAUUGUUGUUUGCAUGUUUUAUGUGGCUGCUAUGGGUUUCUAGCAAGAACGUUUCUUACCUACGCAAAAGCCACAACGUGAUAUGCCAAUUGCUAUUUACCCUUCAUAAGGACCCUUUUCAUCGAAUCCGGUCCGACUAAAGUGGGAGAGACUGGCACCCACUAGCCACAUUUUUUUAUGCAACAAGUGCAUGUCAGUCGGUGGAACCUGUCUCACGUAAGUGUGUAAGGUCGGUCCGGGCCGCUUCAUCCCACAAUACCGUCGAAACAAGAUAGGACUAGUAACGGUAAGCAUAUUGAACAAAAUCAAUGCCCAUAACAACUUGUGUUCUACUCGUGCAUAGAAACUACGCAUAGACCUAGCUCAUGAUGCCACUGUUGGGGAACGUAGCAGAAAUUCAAAAUUUUCUAUGCAACACCAAGAUCAAUGUAUGGAGACACUAGCAACGAGAGAGAGGGGAGUGCAUCUUCAUACCCUUGAAGAUCGCGAUGCGGAAGCGUUACAAGAACGCGGUCGGUGGAGUCGUUCACGAAGCGAUUCAGAUCGCGGCUGAAUCCGAUCUAAGAACCGAAGUACGGUGCCUCCGUGUUCAACACACGUGCAACCCGGUGACGUCUCCCAUGCCUUGAUCCAGCAAGGAGAGAGGGAGAGGUUGGGUAAGACUCCGUCCAGCAGCAGCACGAUGGCGUGGUGGUGGUGGAGGAGCGUGGUACUCCAGCAGGGCUUCGCCAAGCACUACGAGAGACGAGGAGGGAGAGAGGUAGGGCUGCGCCUUUGGAGAUAGAGACUCGUGUGUUGGGCAGCCCCAAAACCUCCACUAUAUAUAUGGGAAGGGAGAGGGGGAGGCGCCCUAGGGUUUCCCCUAGGGGGGCGGCGGCCAGGGCAGAUGGGAACCCUAGAUGGGGCGCCCCAAACCCCCCGGUCACGUGGGAAUAGGUGAGGGGGGCGCACAACCCCUUAGUGGGCUGGUUUGCCCCCUCCCCUUGGCCCAUGAAGCCCCCCCAACACUUGUCGGGGCUCCAGAAACACCUUUCGGUCAUGCUGGUCAUCACCCAGUACCUCCGGAACACUUCCGGACUCCAAAACCCUUCCUCCAAUAUAUCAAUCUUCACCUCCGGACCAUUCCGGGACUCCUCGUGAUGUCCGGGAUCUCAUCCGGGACUAUGAGCAACAUUCGGUAACCGCGUACAUACCUUCCCUCACUACUAGGGAAAAUCCUAGUAGUAGCGCGGGUUUUGAGGCUAUCAGCAGCGCGGGCACCCGCGCUACCAAUAAGGUGCUACAGCUAACUGUUAGUAGUAGCGCUGUAUGUACCCGCGCUACUACUAUUGACUAUAUCAGCAGCGCAUUUUUGAAACACGCUAUUAUUAGUUAGCUGUAGCGAUUUCCUGAGCCCGCGCUACUCUUAUAUCUUUCACCAUUUCCCCAUUCCAGCUUCAAUAAAUUGCAAUUUCCAGAUACUAGGUACUACUAGAUAUCAAUUUCAUAAAGCAUUAUAGGUACUAGGUAGUACUCCCACGGUUCCAAAUUACUCGUUGUGGUUUUAGUUCAAAUUUGAACUAAAACCACGAUGAGUAAUUUGGAACCGAGGGAGUACUAGAUAACAAUUUCUUAUAUACUCAACAUGCAUCCUCAAGUAGUACAAGGUGACAUCGACGACGAUCAUCAUAUUUAGUUCUAGAUGAUAUCGACGACGAUCAUCAUAUGUAGUUCUACAUGAUAUCGACGACGAUCAUCAUAUGUAGUUCUAGAUGAUAUAGCCAUACACACAUAUGUAGUUCUAGAUGAUAUCGAUGAUGAUCAUCAUCCUCAAGCCUGGGCGGUGGGUGUUCCUGAUAGUAAUUAGGAUGGCCUGUCCAACACGAAGAUUCUUGCCAAUAAGGAAUCUCUAACACCCAACCGAGUUUAAGUGUGUGCGACUGUCUGUGUCCAUGCGGUAUGUACAUAUGGUAACGGAGCCCCUUGCGGUAAGGCGUAGUCCAGCCGAGCCUUCUUCAUCAGGCUCGAUACCAUAACUCACAGAUAGGUUCUUUGGCAAUUUCUGAAUAAGAAAAACAUAUCAAUUAAUAAAUAGCCUCACACAUACUCUUGCAAAUAUAUUUCUAUAAAGUCUAGAUUUCUACGCUAUCAAAAGACACAGUACUAUGCAUUUGUACUAAUUAAUCAUGAAUUCUACUAAUAAGUAUAUAUGGAUUAUCUACACUAUUAAUAGUUCCUUGGAUUCUACACAAAUAAGCAUGUGAUCAGACUCUACACUAAAGCAUAUCAAUGACUAGAUUCCACAGAACAUAUCAUUGGACUCUACACUAAGCAUAUCAUCGGAUAAUUUGCAUUUGCAAGUAUAACAUACCAUAUCAUGUCGAUCGACCAUGGUACUUGUCAGGCGGGUCACGAAUGGCACCCCGACAAAGUCAGCACGUGGUGGAAUUAUGUCCCAUAGGUUGCACACCUCCUCCUCGCUCGGCCUCAUUCAUUGAGCUACGAUGGCUUCAUGAAGUGGGUUCUCAUCACCUUCAUCGAGUGGGUCCUCAUUAUCUUCAUCAUCUUCUUCAUCUGCAUCAUCUUUGUCAUCUUCAUCAUCUUCGUUAUCUUCAUCAUCUUCCACCAGGUUGAGAUAAAUGACAGCUGAUGAACUCACCACCAGUAAGACGCAUGCGGGCGAGGAAACGGGCCCAUCCAUCUCCUCCAAUUUGCGACAUAUUGCGUCCUUUCUCGACAUCCAUAGUGUACGGCCCCCAGGAGCCUCAAAUGUCAUAGUGUCUCCUGUGAGCUUGUUGAAUGUCAACCUCACAUUGCAUGGGACGGUCUGUGUAAGAAAAUAAAAAUGACACAAUGCAGUAAUGCCAACACUAAAAAUAAAAUAGUUGUUACAUUUCAUCUAAUUUCUUACCGCCACAUGACAAAAACUCGGCUGGAAGUAGAUGCCAAACAGCUUGCCAGUUGCAAGGCUGCUGGCGCACCUUGACUUGCACAGUCGACAUAGUGGUGGUGGUGGUAGCGCCAUUUUCCUAAAGCAAUAUGAGCAAAGGAUUAAUGAUUCACUUCACAGGAAAGAAAAACAGUAGCAUGUGAUAUUUUCCUAAAGCAAUAUGAGCAAAUGAUUAAUGAUUCACUUCACAGGACAGAAAAACAGUAGCAUAGUGGUGGUGGCGCCAUUUUAUGGACAAUUAUAAUCCUAAGAUCUAAUAACAUAUUAGAUGACAAAGUACCAUGUACCAAAGCAUUUCGGUGGCACCUAUUGCCGAAAAAAUAACAAUAAAAAUGGUGCAUACUAAAUCAACUAAAUCAACUAGCAUACUAAAUCCACUAGCAUACUAAAUCAACUAAAUCAAAAUGUUCUAAAUCAACUAAAUCAACUAGCCUACUAAAUCAACUAAAUAAACUAGCCUACUAAAUCAACUAAACCAACUAGCCUACUAAAUCAACUAAAUCAAAAUGUUCUAAAUCAACUAAAUCAACUAGCCUACUAAAUCAACUGAAUCAUAUCAACUAAAUCAGAAUGUUGCAUAUGAACUAGCCUACUAAAUCAAAAUGUAGCAGGGAGGAGGGAGAAGGAUGGGCGACUCGAGGAGGGAGAAGAGAGUAGGACGGAGGAGGAAGGCGGAGCGAGGAGGGGCUGGCCGGCGGCGAAUGGAGGGAGAAUGGAGGAGGGAGGCGGAGCGAGGAGGGGUCGGCCAGCGGCGAGUGGAGGGAGGACGGAAGAGGAGGCCGGUACCGAGUCCAGCGAGGAGGAUGAGAUGACGGCAGCGCAGAUCGGAGUAGGGGCGACAGGGGAGGACUGGCAGCACGGGGGUUGAGGGGGAGAUCGAGUGUGUGUGUGAGUGUGAUCUGGAUUGGAUAGGUAGGGGGAGAUGGAAUGGCUUAGCAGUAGCGCGCUAUAGCAACAUGCGCUACUGCUAAAUGACCUAUCAGUAGUGCCUUUCACUGAUAACGUGCUACUGCUAUGUUAGACAUAGACAUAAAAAAUACAUUGAUCAUCAAUUGUCUUUUUGUGUACAAUCUGAUUUGUCAAUAGGAAUCCUCGACGGUUGGUUUAAGAACAAGCGAGGAUUCUUAUUGCGGCCACAGAUCCUACACAUAGAGUUCAAUGAAGACCAAGUGCUUUUGAAAGUUGUGGAAGUAACAUAUUUAAGUUGGUAGAAACUCCCUUCACGGAGCGUGGUGGGACUAAAUUUUUGUAGUAACCUUAGUAGUAGCGAUUAUUGCAUAAAUGUGUUGCUGCUACGAUCCGUAGCAGUAGCGCUCUUUGUAUUAACGUGCGGCUGCUAUAACUGGCCUCGCAGCGGCCUCGUGGGAAUUUCAGCAGUAGCGCGUCCUAGAGUGUGCGCGCUACUGAUAAACUUGUUUCAACAGCGAGUUUUGAAAGCGCGCGCUACUGCUACAUAGCAGCAGCGCCUGCUUUUAAAGCGCGCUGCUGGUAAGAUUCUGUGUAUAGGCUUUUCCCUAGUAGUGCCGAUAACCCUAGCGUCAUCGAACCUUAAGUGUGUAGACCCUACGGGUUCGGGAACCAUGCAGACAUGACCGAGACAACUCUCUGGCCAAUAACCAACAACAGGAUCUGGAUACCCAUGUUGGCUCCCACAUGUUCCACGAUGAUCUCAUUGGAUGAACCACGAUGUCAAGGAUUCAAUCAAUCCCGUAUACAAUUCCCUUUGUCUACCGGUAUAGUACUUGCCCGAGAUUCGAUCGUCGGUAUGCCGAUACCUUGUUCAAUCUCGUUACCGGCAAGUCUCUUUACUCGUUCCGCAACACAUCAUCCCGUGAUCAACUCCUUGAUCACAUUGUGCACAUUAUGAUGAUGUCCUACCGAGUGGGCCCAGAGAUACCUCGCCGUCACACGAAGUGACAAAUCCCAGUCUCGAUUCAUGCCAACCCAAAAGAUACUUUCGGAGAUACCCAUAGUGCACCUUUAUAGACACCCAGUUACGUUGUGACGUUUGGUACACCCAAACCAUUCCUACGGUAUCUGGGAGUUGCACAAUCUCAUGGUUUAAGGAAAAGAUACUUGACAUUUAGAAAAGCUUUAGCAUACGAACUACACGAUCUUGUGCUAGGCUUAGGAUUGGGUCUUGUCCAUCACAUCAUUCUCCUAAUGAUGUGAUCCCGUUAUCAAUGACAUCCAAUGUCCAUGGUCAGGAAACCAUGACCAUCUGUUGAUCAACGAGCUAGUCAACUAGAGGCUCACUAGGGACAUGUUGUGGUCUAUGUAUUCACACAUGUAUUGUGGUUUCCGGUCAAUACAAUUCUAGCAUGAAUAAUCGACAAUUAUAAUGAACAAGGAAAUACAAUAAUAACCAUUUUAUUAUUGCCUCUAGGGCAUAUUUCCAACAACAACAACCAGUACACCCAAACACAAUGUUUCUUGAAAAACUGAGGAAUACUACCCCAUAUAUGGUACUCUCCUGCGCGCCCAAUUGAGCCGGCCCAUUAGCGGGGAGGGACUCCCCUUUUUUAUUUCGUUUUAUUUCUAUUUUCCUUAUUUAAAAUAAUUUGGGAUUUCAGAAAGUUCCAAAUUUCAAAAGAAAAUGAGAGUAUUGAAAAUGUUNNNNNNNNNNNNNNNNNNNNNNNNNNNNNNNNNNNNNNNNNNNNNNNNNNNNNNNNNNNNNNNNNNNNNNNNNNNNNNNNNNNNNNNNNNNNNNNNNNNNNNNNNNNNNNNNNNNNNNNNNNNNNNNNNNNNNNNNNNNNNNNNNNNNNNNNNNNNNNNNNNNNNNNNNNNNNNNNNNNNNNNNNNNNNNNNNNNNNNNNNNNNNNNNNNNNNNNNNNNNNNNNNNNNNNNNNNNNNNNNNNNNNNNNNNNNNNNNNNNNNNNNNNNNNNNNNNNNNGUAGUAAAAUGUUUAUGAAUUAAAAAAUCUGCGAUUUCAAAACAUGUUCAUCAUUUUUAAACAAUGUUCAUGAAAAUAAAAAAUUAUCAUGAAUUUCAAAAAAAGUUCACUCAUUGCAGAAAUAUUUGCUGAGUCAAAAUCUUCAUGCAUUAAAAAAAUGUUCAUCAAACAAAAAAUGUUCACUAAUUUAAAAAAAUUUCACCCAUUCCAAAAAUGUGUGCCUAUUGAAAACAAUGAUCACAAGUUAUAAAAAAUGUUCAUCCAUUAAAAAAAUAAUCAUCUUGCUCUGUAAGAAAAUUUCCAAUUACUCACAACAAUAUUCAUCGAGAUGCGGUCAACCUCCUAGAUUUUGUUGAUGGUUUGAUUGUUGUCGUUAGCUGCAUGCAACAUGAUCCGUGCAAUCCAUGGGCAUGAACCAGAUGUUGCAGACUCUGUCAUUGCCUCGAUGAGGUCACUGAAAUUUUGCCCUGAUGUAAAAUUCAUGUCACUUUGUUGCCCUAAUCCCUUUUUUAUAUGUACUAAUUAUUCUAUUAGUAUUAAAGGAAGGAAGGAUUCUUCCCUUCAAUUAUAGUUUCGGUCGUCAUCUAUCUACCAAUGUACCACACACCUUUUAUGUUUCUCCGACGUGUGGGCCGAGCUAGGCUGCUCCACACUUUUUUCUUUGUUUGAUUCAAUUGUGGAGCAUCGAAAAAUAAUUCGUUUCUAUUUCUCUCCUACGUUGGCCAAGAUGGGCCUAUUCCGAUACAUUUUAUUCUUCUUCUCAUUUGAUUGUGGCAUGUAGGUGAGAAUGAAACUAUGAAGCCGCAAACUGAACUGUGAUCAUUUUGCAAAGACGGUAUGAUUGAAAGCAUAAUUCUUUUUCAUCUCAACAAUAAUUGUCGUCGAUCAUAAAUUAAAUUUUUUUUAUAUUUUAGUAUAUGCUAGGGAAGUUAAAUUUUCUCCUGUUGCAACGCACGGGCAUUUUUGCUAGUAAUAUACAUAAAAAGAUCGAUAUUUCAACUGUUUAACAAAAAAACUAGGAAAAAAAACCUAAACCCUAUACUGGACAACCACCACGUAUGUGUGGCCGCGCUGCACUGCCGCACGGCGUCGCCGUCUGUGCCACCGAUGUCGUCGUCGUUGUCGUCCCUCCAGCGGCGGAACAACGCAGGAUGACCAUGACAGUCUUGUCCAACGGUUACCUGCCGCUCAUGGAGGAGCCGCUCCGCCUCUUGUUGCGCGGUGCGGAGGGCCUCCGCGGCCACUGUCAUGACCGGCAUUGGCAGAGUAGUCGCUAAGAUACCCCUCCUCACUGUCAAGGCGGCGGCGGCGCCUGGCGACGGUCUCUGUGGUGGUGUUGGAGCGGUUGAGCACCCACUCGGCAGAAAGGUCAGGGUCAUUACCGGCCCAUUCCGGCGUCCGACUUGGCGAACGCGGAUCGGUGACCGACAUUGCAUAGGUCGUAUCUCGCCCGCUACCUCGCCGCGAGCUCCGCCUCGAAAACAGUUGGCUCGUCGGUCGUUUUGCCCAGUUUUACAAAUUCACUAACUUUUUUUAAUACUUUCUAAACAAUUGUAUUGAGCCAGCAAACAUUUUUCGAAAUUUGGGAACAAUAUUUGAAAUUUAGGUACAUUUUUAGUUUCUGACGAAUAUUUUUUUGAGUUCAUGAAUACUUUUUGAAUCAGCAAACAUUUCUAAAUCUUUUGCACAUUAUUGGAAACACAAGAAUAGUUAUCAAAAUUCCUCAUUUUUUCAAUAUUGUGACAUUUUUCUAAAUUCCUAAAAAAACUCAGAAAUUCAUGAACAGUUUAUGAAUAUUGAACAUUUACUACUUCACGACCAAUUUUUACCAAUUCGUGAACAUUUAUUUCAAAUUGCGCUAUUUGUUUUUGAAUAUUUGAACACUUCCUAAAAGUCCUCAAAUUUUUAAGAAAAUUUAUGAACAUUUGUUUAAUACACGAACAUAUUUUGGAAAUCAUGAACCUUUUCUGAAUCUGUGAGCAUCUAUCAUUUCCUGAACAUUUUUUCAAUCAUGAAAUUUCUUUGAAUCUACAAACAAUUUUUUACAGUCUGCAACUUUUUGGAAAUCAGGAAUUAGUUUUUGAAAGGAAAAUACUGAUAACAGAAAAAAGAACAAACAAAGGGGCAACCCACCGCCACAUGGGUCCGCCCAUGAGGGUUUGCUGGGGAGACGGGUGGGGUAUAAGCACGGACGCGGGGAGCUCCAAUUGCGUGCGUCAGAAAAAAAGGAAAAGAAAGGUAAAAGAAAGAAAAAGUGGAAAGUUACCAGAUCAUGCUGGUGGCGGGUUGGUUACGCCCGUGGUACACGAUUAGGGUGGUUGCUCAACAUGACAAUGAGUACCCGCGAAUCCGACGGGUCAAAACACUAGUGGGUAAGGGUUUGAGAAAGUUAAAUACCCAUGGGUUUUUAAAUGGCACAAAAAUGUAACCUUCGGGUAAGCCUGGUAUAGGUACGGGAAGGCAAUACCCAUACCCGUAUACCCGCGUACCCGCUGCAUAGUAGUACAUCUCAUACGUAGGUCCCCUAUGUCAUUCACUUAAAAAGAGAAAAACCCUAGCCUAACCCAGCCGCAGCCUGCACACAAAAUGCCCUCCCGUUACCCACCCAUCGCUCCUCACUCAUAGAACACAAACACCGUAUACCCAUCUCACCUCGGCUGAAAUGCUAAAUAAACAGACUGAAAUGUUGUGUUUUAUCUACUGAAAUAUUGAAAUUAUACAUUGUACAAUUUGAAUUGAAAGGUGACCGAGAUGGGUAUUACCCGCACACGGUCAAGAUUGGCGAUUUGAAUUGAAAGGUGACCGAGAUGGCUGUGAAAAAAGUUGAUCAUGUAUUUAAAAUAUGUUAAACAACUAUUAGAAAAAUGUUAAUCAAGCUUUAGAACAAUGUUGAAUGUGUAUAGGAAUAAUGUUGACCAUAUAUUAAACAAAUGGUAAAAUAUUUUGAUCAUGUCUAUGAAAAUAUGAAUCAAGCAUUUAAGAAAAUGUUGAACAAGUAUUUCAAAAAAAGUUAAUCAAGCAUUCGGAAAAUGUUAAAUGUGUAUAAAAAUUGUUUACCAUGCAUUCAAAUAAAUGUUAAUCUUGAAUUUGGAAAAUGUUGGUAAAGCAUUUAAAAAAUGUUAAUUAUUCAUUAAAAAAUUGUUGACCCUGUAUAAGAAAAAUGUUGACCAUGUAUUAGGAAAUUCUUGACCAUGUAUUUGAAAAAAUGUUAAUCAAUCAUUUGAAAAAAAAUUAAAGUGUGUAUAGGAAAAAUGUUGAUCACGGACACAAAAAAUGUUAAUCUUGUAUUUAACAUAUGCUAACCAAGCAUGGUGGUGAUGGUGGUGGUGGAGUCGGAAUACCGGCAGGGCUUCACUAAGCGAAAAAACCGUGGACGAGAACUAUGCCGGGAGAGAGAGAGACGGGGCAGUAGUUAAGGCCAAUGUAUUGGGUACCUUUGCUGCGCCCCUCCCCCAUAUUUAUAUGCAUCGGGGGGGCUUGGAGUCCAGCCCUACUCCUAAUUAAUACGUGUUGGGGCCAAAGGGGUAGAGGACUUGGACUCCAAGCCCAAUUCUAUUCCUACUAGGACUCCCCCUUUUCCCUUCCCCGGCCAUAUGGGCUUUUGAGGACUUGGUGCGCCUAGCCCAAUAAAGCCAGGGCGCCUCCCCUUAGCCCAUGUCAGUCCUUGGGACGUGGUGAACCCACUUGUGGACUUCCGGACCCCUCCGGAUCCUUUUGAAAGCUUCCCAAUACAAUGCCAAAAAAACUUCACCUUUUCCGAAACCCAACAUAUGACUUCCCAUAUAUAAAUCUUUACCUCUCGACCAUUUCCGAGACUCCUCGUGACGUCCGAGAUCUCAUCCGGGACUCCGAACAACAUUUGGUUACCAACAUACAUAUCCCAAUAUUACUCUAGCGUCACCAAACGUUAAGCGUGCGGACCCUACGGGUUCGAGAAUGAUGUAGACAUGACUAAGACACUUCUCCGGUCAAUAACCAAUAGCAGAACCUGGAUGCCCAUAUUGGUUCCUACAUAUUCUAUGAAGAUCUUUAUCGGUCGAACCUUUUAUGACAAUGAUACGUCUCCAAUGUAUCUAUACGUUUUGAUUGUCCAAUGCUAUUAUAUUAUCUAUUUUGGAUGUUUUUUAUGCAUUAAUAUGCUAUUUUAUAUUAUUUUUGGGACUAACCUAUUAACCUAGAGCCCAGUUGUCAGUUUCUGUUUUUUCUUUGUUUUUGAGCCUAGCAAAAAAGGAAUACCAAACAGAGUCCAAACGGAAUAAAACCUUCACAAUGAUUUUUGUUGUACCAAAAGACACCCGUUGGAUCUGGACUCCAAGUCAGAAGACCUUAGAGUACACGACAAGCCACAGGGGCGCGCCCUCUGCCUUGUGGCCUACUCCAACACCCCCUGACCUAAUUCUUCAUCCUAUAUAUUAACAAAUAUUCCCAAACCACCAAAGGCAUCCACAAAAACACUUUUCCACUGCCGCAACCUUCUGUUCCCGUGAUAUCCCAUCUAGGGGCCUUUCCGGCAUCCUGCCAGAGGGGGAUUUGAUCACAGAGGGCUUCUACAUGAACUCUAUUGCCCUUCCGAUGAAGCGUGAGUAGUGUACCACAAACCUACGUGUCCAUCUCUAGUAGCUAGAUGGCUUCCUCUCUCUCUUUGAUUCUCAAUACCAUGUUCUCCUCGAUGUUCUUGGAGAUCUAUUCGAUGUAAUCUUCUUUUGUGGUGUAUUCGUCAAGAUCCGAUGAAUUGUGGAUUUAUGGUCAGCUUAACUAUGAAUAUUAUUUGAAUCUUCUCUGAAUUCUUAUAUGCAUGAUUUGAUAUCUUUGUAAUUCUCUUCGAACUAUCGUUUUAGUUUGGCCAACUAGAUUGGUUUUUCUUGCAAUGGGAGAAGUGCUUAGCUUUGGGUUCAAUCUUGCAGUGUCCUUUCCCUGUGACAGUAGGGGCAUCAAGGCACGUAUUGUAUUGUUGCCAUCGAGGAUAAAAAGAUGGGGUUUACAUCAUAUUUCUUGAGUUUAUUCCUCUACAUCAUGUCAUCUUACUUAAUGCGUUACUCUGUUCUUUAUGAACUUAAUACUCUAGAUGCAGGCAGGAGUCGGUCAAUGUGUGGAGUAAUAGUAGUAAAUGCAGGCAGGAGUUGGUCUACUUGACACAGACGUGAUGCCUAUAUUUCAUAAUCAUGGCCUUGGAUAUCAUCAUAACUUUGCGCUUUUCUAUCAAUACUCGACAGUAAUUUGUUCACCCACCGUAAUAUUUGCCUUCAUGAGAUAAGCCUCUAGUGAAAUCUAUCUCCCCUUGGUCUAACUUCCAUCAUAUUAGUUUCUGAUCUAUUAUUUUGCAAUCUUUUACUUUCAGAUCUAUAAACCAAAAAAAUCCAAAAAUAUUUUGUCUUUUGUUUAUCAAUCUCUAUCAGAUCUCACUUUUGCAAGUGACCGUGAAGGGAUUGACUACCCCUUUAUCAUGUUGGGUGCAAGUUGUUUGAUUGUUUGUGCAGGUAUUGGUGGCUUGUGCGUUGUCUCCUACUGGAUUGAUACCUUGGUUCUCUAACUGGGGGGAAAUACUUAUCUCUACUUCACCGCAUCACCCUUUCCUCUUCAAGGGAAAAACCAACGCAAUCUCAAGAAGUAGCAGGAAGAAUUUCUGGCACCGUUGCCAGGGAGAUCUGCGCAAAGUCAAGACAUACCAAGUGCCCAUCAUAAAACUCUGAUCUCUUGCAUUACAUUAUUCAUGAUUUGCCUCUCGUUUUCCUCUCCCCCACUUCUAAAACAAUUUUCGAAAAGAUUAGCCUUUUUAUUCGCCUUCUUUCCGUUUGACUUUUUGCUCAUUGGCUAUCUUUGCUUGUGUUCCCAUGUGCCCUCUAUUUUGUUGCAUCUUUGCUUGCUAAAAAUCUUUUGAUAUGGAACCACUUAAAGUUUUCUACUUGGAUCAUCUUUGAUCCAUAUGUGCUCGUGUUGAAACCCCAACUAGUUUAGUUGAGGGAAAAUCUUUAGAUGAGUAUGCUCAUUUUGUGUGUCAUUGUUUCUCUGAAAAAGGGAGACUCUUAUGGAAUCAAAUAAAUUGUUUGCUAUGUUAUGCUUGGAAUCUUUGUGAACUUUGUGAUUUUACUUGUUGCUCUAAGAACCCUAAAAAACACCUUCCCUACCUAUGUGAGUUUAAUGAUAAUGAAAUCUUAUCUUCUUAUGAAAAGGGUGUUUACAAUUACUAUGAUAUCGAACAAACUGAAGAAUUUGUUGCUUUUAAGUGUGCUUAUGAAGUUGCUUCUUUGAUUAAAAAGUAUGAUAUUACUCUCUACAAAUCUGAAAAUUUUGACAUACUUAAAUAUUGCUAUGAGAACUAUGCUCAUAAUGCCUAUGUUAAGGAAUUUAUUGAGAGAAUGACCGUUGAUUUGGAAAAAUAAUAAUGAUAUGCAUGAAUCCAUAGAUAAUUAUGAUUCUGAUGAUUUGAUUGAAAUAUCCCUUGAUGAACAUGAUGCUUGCUAUUCUUAUGGCCAUGAUGCCAAUAUUAAUUAUGCUUAUGGAGAUGAACUUGCUAUAGUUCCUUAUGUUAAACAAUGAAUUAUUUCUUUUGCAACCACACUUGAUAGUUCCUUCGAUGAAAAGGAUGAUCGUAAUGAUGUUAUUAUAAAUUCUAUUAAGGUCAAUUGUGUUAAUGAUAUGCAAAACACUAAGCUUGGAGAUGCUAGUUUUCUUAUGUCCACUACUUGUUGCAAUGAUCAUGAUUGGGGUGAUUCUUCUCAUGAUCUUGAAAAUAUAUUUAAACCUCAUGAUGAAUAUGUUUGCUAUAAUAUUGAAAGUGGGUUUGGAAGAGUGUCAACUUUAGAUCCCACAUAUUUGGAUAAUUUUCAAUCUUAUGAAGUUUUGAUAAAAGUGGGUUUGGAGAGGUCAUGACUUUAGUUAAUGUUAAUCCCACUAUUUUGGAAGAGUGUCAACUUCGCAUGCAUGUGGAUCUUGCUGAGAAUAUGUUAUGUGAUAGCUAUAUUGUUGAAUUGGAAUAUGAUCCCAUGUGCAAUAACUAUAAGAGAGGAAAAUAUGGUUUUAGAAAUUUUCAUGCUACUAAAUUACCUCUCUUCAUGUUGAGAUUGUCUAUGUUUUAUUCUUUCUUUGCAUAUGCUAGUUUUUGCUUGCCUUGAUAAUUCGUUUGCUUAUAAAAUGUCUAUGCAUAGGAAAUAUGUUAGACUUAGAUGUGUUUGUAACGUGUUUUAUGAUGCUCUCUUUGUGCUUCAAUUCUUCUCUUUUAUGUGAGCAUCAUUGAAAUUAUCAAUGCCUAGCUAAAAGGCUUUAAAGAAAAGCGCUUGUUGGGAGACAACCCAAUAUUUUUCAUUCGAGUUUUUCAAUAAAUAAUUCAUCUAGCCUCUGUUAGAUGUGUUUUUGUGUUUUAGUUAGUGUUUGUGCCAGGUAAGACCUUUGGAAUGGCUUACGGUGAUAGUUGUUUUGAUCUUGCUGAAAACCAAAAACUUUUGCGCCCAGGAAAAUAAUUUUCACUUUUUAUAGAAGCAUGCUUUUGAUCUAAUUAUUUUUGCACAAGAUUGGUUCACAAAUUUCCCAGGGUGUCCUAAUAUGUCAGAAUAUUUGUAGUUACAGAAGUAUUUGAAGAUUCCAGAUUCCUAUAGACUAUUCUGUUUUUGAUAGAUUUUGUUUUCUAUUGGCUGUUUGCUUAUUUUGAUGAAUAUAUGGGUAGUAUCGGGGGUAUGAACCAUGGAAAAGUUGGAAUACAGUAGAUAUUACCACUAGUAGAAAACAGGGCUACCGUUCGGCCCUGGCCAGCCCAUUAGUCCCGGUUCUUCAAGAACCGGGACCGAUGGGGGGUAUUACACCCGGUUCGUGAGCCCAGGGGGGCGACCGGGGCCUCGUGGGCAUUGGUCCCGGUUCGUGUGGAACCAUUUGUCCCGGUUCAAGCCACAAACCGGGACCAAUGGUCCUCGCUGCUGGCCCACAACCAUUGGUCCCAGUUCGUGGCUUGAACCGGGAUAGAAGGGUUGGCUUUAGUCCCUGUUCAUGCCACGAACCAGGACAAAUAACUUUCCUACAUAUACCCACCGCUGGGCAGAGCACUCCACAGUGCUCUCUUUUUGUCAAGCCGGUGAGGGGAGGGCAUUUGGGUGCUGUAGUUCACCUCCUAUGCACAUGAGGUGUUCGACGAAAUGCCCGAGCCACACUAGUUAAGCUUUCUCCUCUCGAAACUCGACCUCCAAGCUCCAUUUUCAACGAGAUUUGUCUAGAUUUAGCGGUCCGUCACACCCCGUCCCCGCCCCGUCUUCACCGCCGUCGACCGCCCGCGCCGAUCUCGUCGCCGGCACCACCAUGGUGAGUCUCUUGUUCUUAUCUUCUUUCUGAAAGAAAAAAAUUCUGACUUCAGAUAGAUACUUGUCUAAUUUUCUUACUUUUAUUAUUCCUUUUUAUUAUAUAGUGCGAUGGUUUUGGUAUCCGCCCCCGUCGGCCCUCGUCCUGUCUAUGAUUCAGAUGCGGUAUAUAUUAUCUUUUCAUAACUAUUUGGUUCAUUUAUUGUUUAUGACAAAUAUGCCGACCAAUGUGACAUAGAUUUUAUUUAUCUUGGAGGUUGUUGAACCGGAAAUUCCAACCGACCCUAUUGUCGAGAGAUUAAAUUUAGUUGAAGAAGAAAACAAUUACUUGAAGGAAAAAAUAAGAAAAAUUGAGGAGGAGAAGAUGAUAUUGGAGUUGCAUGUUGCGGAUGUCGUCGAUGAUCACAAGAUCAAGAUGGAUGCAAUGCGGUUGAAGAUUAAAAAGAUUAGAAAAUAUGCCAUGCAUACUGAGGCUUGGAAUCAUUAUGCAGUUGGAUCAGCUGCUACCUUGGUUGCGGUUAUGAUCGCAUUUGUUUUUGCAUUACAUAAUUUCAAUGUAUGGUUUAAUUAGAUGCUCUAGAGAGCUAUAUGUUGUUCAAUGAGAACUACGUAUGUACUUUGGUUUUAAUGCCAUGGAUAACUAUGUAUGUACUUUGGUUUCAGAGUUCAUUUCAAAUGCUUUUCAACUUCAUGGUCUUACAAGGAGAUUCCGUAUGAAACCCUGAUACUUCGAAGGAGAUUGUCUGUUUUGUACACGAAGUGCAUCAAGUUUUUGCCGUAAGCCUCUCUACUUUCUUGCACAUGCUAUGUGGGUGAAAUGAUGACACCAUGCCAACUUGGAACCUUCUCAGAGUUCAUUUCAAAUGCUUUUCAAUUUCAUGGUCUUAUAGCUCAAAAUAAUCAGUAAAUGCAUGAAAAAUAACAAAUGAAGUCAGAAAAGGUUGUAAAUUGAUGAUGUGGCUUUGAAUGGUGGAUUUUGAACACAGAAAAACAAGGGGGUUCAAAUAAGAUCAAAAAAUGAAAUCCCUUUGUAACAGACGAGUUUUCGUAUGAAACCCUGAUACUUCGAAGGAGAUUGUCUGUUUUGUACACGAAGUACAUCCAGUUGUUGCCGUAAGCCUCUCUACUUUCUUGCACAUCCUAUGUGGGUGAAAUGAUGAUACCAUGCCAACUUGGAACCGUUUCAGAGUUUAUUUCAAAUGCUUUUCAAUUUCAUGGUCUUAUAGCUCAAAAUAAUCAGCAAAUGCAUGCAAAAUAACAAAUGAAGUCAGAAAGGGUUGUAAAUUGAUGAUGUGGCUUUGAAUGGUGCAUUUUGAACACAGAAAAACAAGGGGGUGAAAUGAAAUCCCUUUGAAACAGACGAGUUUCCGUAUGAAACCCUGAUACUUCGAAGGAGAUUGUCUGUUUUGUACACGAAGUGCAUCCAGUUUUUGCCGUAAGCCUGUCUACUUUAUUGCACAUGCUAUGUGGGUGAAAUGAUGAUAGCGUGCCAACUUGGAACCUUUUCAGAGUUCAUUUCAAAUGCUUUUCAAUUUCAUGGUCUUAUAGAUCAAAAUAAUCAGUAAACGCAUGAAAAAUAACAAAUGAAGUCAGAAAGGGUUGUAAAUUGAUGAUGUGGCUUUGAAUGAUGCAUUUUUAACAUAGAAAAACAAGGGGGCUAAAAUAAGUUCAAAAAACUUGAAAUCCCUUUGUAACAAACGAGUUUCCGUAUGAAACUCGUAUACUUCGAAGGAGAUUGUCUGUUUUGUACAUGAAGUGCAUCCAGUUUUUGCCGUAAGCCUCUCUACUUUCUUGCACAUGCUAUGUGGGUGAAAUGAUGAUACCAUGACAACUUGGAACCUUUUCAGAGUUCAUUUCAAACGCUUUUCAAUUUCAUGGUCUUAUAGCUCAAAAUAAUUAGUAAAUGCAUGAAAAAUAACAAAUGAAGUCAGAAAGGGUUGUAAAUUGAUGAUGUGGCUUUGAAUGGUGCAUUUUGAACACAGAAAAACAAGGGGGUCCAAAUAAGUUCAAAAAAAUUGAAAUCCCUUUGUAACAGACGAGUUUCCACAUGNNNNNNNNNNNNNNNNNNNNNNNNNNNNNNNNNNNNNNNNNNNNNNNNNNNNNNNNNNNNNNNNNNNNNNNNNNNNNNNNNNNNNNNNNNNNNNNNNNNNNNNNNNNNNNNNNNNNNNNNNNNNNNNNNNNNNNNNNNNNNNNNNNNNNNNNNNNNNNNNNNNNNNNNNNNNNNNNNNNNNNNNNNNNNNNNNNNNNNNNNNNNNNNNNNNNNNNNNNNNNNNNNNNNNNNNNNNNNNNNNNNNNNNNNNNNNNNNNNNNNNNNNNNNNNNNNNNNNNNNNNNNNNNNNNNNNNNNNNNNNNNNNNNNNNNNNNNNNNNNNNNNNNNNNNNNNNNNNNNNNNNNNNNNNNNNNNNNNNNNNNNNNNNNNNNNNNNNNNNNNNNNNNNNNNNNNNNNNNNNNNNNNNNNNNNNNNNNNNNNNNNNNNNNNNNNNNNNNNNNNNNNNNNNNNNNNNNNNNNNNNNNNNNNNNNNNNNNNNNNNNNNNNNNNNNNNNNNNNNNNNNNNNNNNNNNNNNNNNNNNNNNNNNNNNNNNNNNNNNNNNNNNNNNNNNNNNNNNNNNNNNNNNNNNNNNNNNNNNNNNNNNNNNNNNNNNNNNNNNNNNNNNNNNNNNNNNNNNNNNNNNNNNNNNNNNNNNNNNNNNNNNNNNNNNNNNNNNNNNNNNNNNNNNNNNNNNNNNNNNNNNNNNNNNNNNNNNNNNNNNNNNNNNNNNNNNNNNNNNNNNNNNNNNNNNNNNNNNNNNNNNNNNNNNNNNNNNGAAAAACAAGGGGGUGAAAUGAAAUCCCUUUGAAACAGACGAGUUUCCGUAUGAAACCCUGAUACUUCGAAGGAGAUUGUCUGUUUUGUACACGAAGUGCAUCCAGGUUUUGCCGUAAGCCUGUCUACUUUAUUGCACAUGCUAUGUGGGUGAAAUGAUGAUAGCAUGCCAACUUGGAACCUUUUCAGAGUUCAUUUCAAAUGCUUUUCAAUUUCAUGGUCUUAUAGCUCAAAAUAAUCAGUAAAUGCAUGAAAAAUAACAAAUGAAGUCAGAAAGGGUUGUAAAUUGAUGAUGUGGCUUUGAAUGAUGCAUUUUUAACAUAGAAAAACAAGGGGGCUAAAAUAAGUUCAAAAAACUUGAAAUCCCUUUGUCACAGACGAGUUUCCGUAUGAAACUCGUAUACUUCGAAGGAGAUUGUCUGUUUUGUACACGAAGUGCAUCCAGUUUUUGCCGUAAGCCUCUCUACUUUCUUGCACAUGCUAUGUGGGUGAAAUGAUGAUACCAUGACAACUUGGAACCUUUUCAGAGUUCAUUUCAAAUGCUUUUCAAUUUCAUGGUCUUAUAGCUCAAAAUAAUCAGUAAAUGCAUGAAAAAUAACAAAUGAAGUCAGAAAGGGUUGUAAAUUGAUGAUGUGGCUUUGAAUGGUACAUUUUGAACACAGAAAAACAAGGGGGUUCAAAUAAGUUCAAAAAAAUUGAAAUCCCUUUGUAACAGAAGAGUUUCCAUAUGAAACCGUGAUACUUCGAAGGAGAUUGNNNNNNNNNNNNNNNNNNNNNNNNNNNNNNNNNNNNNNNNNNNNNNNNNNNNNNNNNNNNNNNNNNNNNNNNNNNNNNNNNNNNNNNNNNNNNNNNNNNNNNNNNNNNNNNNNNNNNNNNNNNNNNNNNNNNNNNNNNNNNNNNNNNNNNNNNNNNNNNNNNNNNNNNNNNNNNNNNNNNNNNNNNNNNNNNNNNNNNNNNNNNNNNNNNNNNNNNNNNNNNNNNNNNNNNNNNNNNNNNNNNNNNNNNNNNNNNNNNNNNNNNNNNNNNNNNNNNNNNNNNNNNNNNNNNNNNNNNNNNNNNNNNNNNNNNNNNNNNNNNNNNNNNNNNNNNNNNNNNNNNNNNNNNNNNNNNNNNNNNNNNNNNNNNNNNNNNNNNNNNNNNNNNNNNNNNNNNNNNNNNNNNNNNNNNNNNNNNNNNNNNNNNNNNNNNNNNNNNNNNNNNNNNNNNNNNNNNNNNNNNNNNNNNNNNNNNNNNNNNNNNNNNNNNNNNNNNNNNNNNNNNNNNNNNNNNNNNNNNNNNNNNNNNNNNNNNNNNNNNNNNNNNNNNNNNNNNNNNNNNNNNNNNNNNNNNNNNNNNNNNNNNNNNNNNNNNNNNNNNNNNNNNNNNNNNNNNNNNNNNNNNNNNNNNNNNNNNNNNNNNNNNNNNNNNNNNNNNNNNNNNNNNNNNNNNNNNNNNNNNNNNNNNNNNNNNNNNNNNNNNNNNNNNNNNNNNNNNNNNNNNNNNNNNNNNNNNNNNNNNNNNNNNNNNNNNNNNNNNNNNNNNNNNNNNNNNNNNNNNNNNNNNNNNNNNNNNNNNNNNNNNNNNNNNNNNNNNNNNNNNNNNNNNNNNNNNNNNNNNNNNNNNNNNNNNNNNNNNNNNNNNNNNNNNNNNNNNNNNNNNNNNNNNNNNNNNNNNNNNNNNNNNNNNNNNNNNNNNNNNNNNNNNNNNNNNNNNNNNNNNNNNNNNNNNNNNNNNNNNNNNNNNNNNNNNNNNNNNNNNNNNNNNNNNNNNNNNNNNNNNNNNNNNNNNNNNNNNNNNNNNNNNNNNNNNNNNNNNNNNNNNNNNNNNNNNNNNNNNNNNNNNNNNNNNNNUGGUGCAUUUUGAACACAGAAAAACAAGGGGGUUCCAAUAAGUUCAAAAAAAUGAAAUCCCUUUGAAACAGACGAGUCUCUGUAUGAAACCCUGAUACUUCGAAGGAGAUUGUCUGUUUUGUACACGAAGUGCAUCCAGUUUUUGCCGUAAGCCUCUCUACUUUCUUGCACAUGCUAUGUGGGUGAAAUGAUGAUACCAUGCCAACUUGGAAUCUUUUCAGAGUUCAUUUCAAAUGCUUUUCAAUUUCAUUGUCUUGUAGCUCAAAAUAAUCAGUAAAUGCAUGAAAAAGAAUGAAUGAAGUCAGAAAUGGUUGAAAAUUGAUGAUGUGGCUUUGAAUGGUGCAUUUUUAACACAGAAAAACAAGGGGGUUAAAAUAAGUUCAAAAGAAUUGAAAUCCCUUUGUAACAGACGAAUUUUCGUAUGAAACCCUCAUACUUCGACGGAGAUUGUCUGUUUUGUACAUGAAGUGCAUCCAGUUUUUGCUGUAAGCCUCUCUACUUUCUUGCAUAUGCUAUGUGGGUAAAUGAUGAUACCAUGCCAACUUGGAACCUUUUCAAGGUUCAUUUCAAAUGCUUUUCAAUUUCAUGGUCUUAUAGUUCAAAAUAAUUAGUAAAUGCAUGAAAAAUAAUGAAUGAAGUCAGAAAGGGUUGUAAAUUGAUGAUGUGGCUUUGAAUGGUGGAUUUUGAACACAGAAAAACAAGGGGGUUGAAAUAAGUUCAAAAAAAUUGAAAUCCCUUAGUAACAGACGAGUUUUCGUAUGAAACCCUGAUACUUCGAAGGAGAUUGCCUGUUUUGUACACGAAGUGCAUUCAGUUUUUGCCGUAAGCCUCUCUACUUUCUUGCACAUCCUAUGUGGGUGAAAUGAUGAUACCAUGCCAACUUGGAACCUUUUCAGAGUUCAUUUCAAAUGCUUUUCAAUUUCAUGGUCUUAUAGCUCAAAAUAAUCAGUAAAUGCAUGCAAAAUAACAAAUGAAGUCAGAAAGGGUUGUAAAAUGUUGAUGUGGCUUUGAAUGGUGCAUUUUGAACACAAAAAAACAUGGGGGUUCAAAUAGGUUCAAAAAAGUUGAAAUCCCUUUGUAGCAGACGAGUUUCCGUAUGAAACCCUGAUACUUCGAAGGAGAUUGUCUGUUUUGUACACGAAGUGCAUCCUGUUUUUGCCGUAAGCCUGUCUACUUUAUUGCACAUGCUAUGUGGGUGAAAUGAUGAUACCAUGCCAACUUGGAACCUUUUCAGAGUUCAUUUCAAAUGCUUUUCAAUUUCAUGGUCUUAUAGCUCAAAAUAAUCAGUAAAUGCAUGAAAAAUAACAAAUGAAGUCAGAAAGGGUUGUAAAUUGAUGAUGUGGCUUUGAAUGAUGUAUUUUGAACACAGAAAAACAAGGGGGUUGAAAUAAUUUCAAAAAAAUUGAAAUCCCUUAGUAACAAACGAGUUUUCGUAUGAAACCCUGAUACUUCGAAGGAGAUUGCCUGUUUUGUACACGAAGUGCAUCCAGUUUUUGCCGUAAGCCUCUCUACUUUCUUGCACAUCCUAUGUGGGUGAAAUGAUGAUACCAUGCCAACUUGGAACCUUUUCAGAGUUCAUUUCAAAUGCUUUUCAAUUUCAUGGUCUUAUAGCUCAAAAUAAUCAGUAAAUGCAUGCAAAAUAAGAAAUGAAGUCAGAAAGGGUUGUAAAUUGUUGAUGUGGCUUUGAAUGGUGCAUUUUGAACACAAAAAACCAUGGGGGUUCAAAUAGGUUCAAAAAAGUUGAAAUCCCUUUGUAGCAGACGAGUUUCCGUAUGAAACCCUGAUACUUCGAAGGAGAUUGUCUGUUUUGUACAUGAAGUGCAUCCUGUUUUUGCCGUAAGCCUGUCUACUUUAUUGCACAUGCUAUGUGGGUGAAAUGAUGAUACCAUGCCAACUUGGAACCUUUUCAGAGUUCAUUUCAAAUGCUUUUCAAUUUCAUGGUCUUAUAGCUCAAAAUAAUCAGUAAAUGCAUGAACAAUAACAAAUGAAGUCAGAAAGGGUUGUAAAUUGAUGAUGUGGCUUUGAAUGAUGCAUUUUGAACACAGAAAAACAAGGGGGUUGAAAUAAUUUCAAAAAAAAUUGAAAUCCCUUAGUAACAGACGAGUUUUCGUAUGAAACCCUGAUACUUCGAAGGAGAUUGCCUGUNNNNNNNNNNCCUGUUUUGUACACGAAGUGCAUCCAGUUUUUGCCGUAAGCCUCUCUACUUUCUUGCACAUCCUAUGUGGGUGAAAUGAUGAUACCAUGCCAACUUGGAACCUUUUCAGAGUUCAUUUCAAAUGCUUUUCAAUUUCAUGGUCUUAUAGCUCAAAAUAAUCAGUAAAUGCAUGCAAAAUAACAAAUGAAGUCAGAAAGGGUUGUAAAUUGUUGAUGUGGCUUUGAAUGGUGCAUUUUGAACACAAAAAAACAUGGGGGUUCAAAUAGGUUCAAAAAAGUUGAAAUCCCUUUGUAGCAGACGAGUUUCCGUAUGAAACCCUGAUACUUCGAAGGAGAUUGUCUGUUUUGUACACGAAGUGCAUCCUGUUUUUGCCGUAAGCCUGUCUACUUUAUUGCACAUGCUAUGUGGGUGAAAUGAUGAUACCAUGCCAACUUGGAACCUUUUNNNNNNNNNNGGCUUUGAAUGAUGCAUUUUGAACACAGAAAAACAAGGGGGUUGAAAUAAUUUCAAAAAAAAUUGAAAUCCCUUAGUAACAGACGAGUUUUCGUAUGAAACCCUGAUACUUCGAAGGAGAUUGCCUGUUUUGUACAUGAAGUGCAUCCAGUUUUUGCCGUAAGCCUCUCUACUUUCUUGCACAUCCUAUGUGGGUGAAAUGAUGAUACCAUGCCAACUUGGAACCUUUUCAGAGUUCAUUUCAAAUGCUUUUCAAUUUCAUGGUCUUAUAGCUCAAAAUAAUCAGUAAAUGCAUGCAAAAUAACAAAUGAAGUCAGAAAGGGUUGUAAAUUGUUGAUGUGGCUUUGAAUGGUGCAUUUUGAACACAAAAAAACAUGGGGGUUCAAAUAGGUUCAAAAAAGUUGAAAUCCAUUUGUAGCAGACGAGUUUCCGUAUGAAACCCUGAUACUUCGAAGGAGAUUGUCUGUUUUGUACACGAAGUGCAUCCUGUUUUUGCCGUAAGCCUGUCUACUUUAUUGCACAUGCUAUGUGGGUGAAAUGAUGAUACCAUGCCAACUUGGAACCUUUUUAGACUUCAUUUCAAAUGCUUUUCAAUUUCAUGGUCUUAUAGCUCAAAAUAAUCAGUAAAUGCAUGAAAAAUAACAAAUGAAGUCAGAAAGGGUUGUAAAUUGAUGAUGUGGCUUUGAAUGAUGCAUUUUGAACACAGAAAAACAAGGGGGUUGAAAUAAGUUCAAAAAAAUUGAAAUCCCUUAGUAACAGACGAGUUUUCGUAUGAAACCCUGAUACUUCGAAGGAGAUUGCCUGUUUUGUACACGAAGUGCAUCCAGUUUUUGCCGUAAGCCUCUCUACUUUCUUGCACAUCCUAUGUGGGUGAAAUGAUGAUACCAUGCCAACUUGGAACCUUUUCAGAGUUCAUUUCAAAUGCUUUUCAAUUUCAUGGUCUUAUAGCUCAAAAUAAUCAGUAAAUGCAUGCAAAAUAACAAAUGAAGUCAGAAAGGGUUGUAAAUUGUUGAUGUGGCUUUGAAUGGUGCAUUUUGAACACAAAAAAACAUGGGGGUUCAAAUAGGUUCAAAAAAGUUGAAAUCCCUUUGUAGCAGACGAGUUUCCGUAUGAAACCCUGAUACUUCGAAGGAGAUUGUCUGUUUUGUACACGAAGUGCAUCCUGUUUUUGCCGUAAGCCUGUCUACUUUAUUGCACAUGCUAUGUGGGUGAAAUGAUGAUACCAUGCCAACUUGGAACCUUUUUAGAGUUCAUUUCAAAUGCUUUUCAAUUUCAUGGUCUUAUAGCUCGAAACAAUCAGUAAAUGCAUGAAAAAUAACAAAUCAAGUCAAAAGGGUUGUCAAUUGAUGAUGUGGCUUUGAAUGGUGCAUUUUGAACACAGAAAAACAAGGGGGUUCAAGUAAGUUCAAAAUAAUUGAAAUCCCUUUGUAACAGACGAGUUUCCGUAUGAAACCCGUAUACUUCGAAGGAGAUUGUCUGUUUUGUACACGAAGUGCAUCCAGUUUUUGCCGUAAGCCUCUCUACUUUCUUGCACAUGCUAUGUGGGUGAAAUAAUAAUACCAUGCCAACUUGGAACCUUUUCAGAGUUCUUUUCAAAUGCUUUUUAAUUUCAUGGUCUUAUAGCUCAAAAUAAUCAGUAAAUGCAUGAAAAAUAACAAAUGAAGUCAUAAAGGGUUGUAAAUUGAUGAUGUGGCUUUGAAUGGUGCAUUUUGAACACAUAAAAACAAGGGGGUUCAAAUAAGUUCAAAAAAAUGAAAUCCCUUUGUAACAGACGAGUUUCCGUAUGAAACCCUGAUACUUCGAAGGAGAUUGUCUGUUUUGUACACGAAGUGCAUCCAAUUUUUGCCGNNNNNNNNNNNNNNNNNNNNNNNNNNNNNNNNNNNNNNNNNNNNNNNNNNNNNNNNNNNNNNNNNNNNNNNNNNNNNNNNNNNNNNNNNNNNNNNNNNNNNNNNNNNNNNNNNNNNNNNNNNNNNNNNNNNNNNNNNNNNNNNNNNNNNNAAAAAUAACAAAUGAAGUCAUAAAGGGUUGUAAAUUGAAGGUGGCUCUGAAUGGUGCAUUUUGAACACAGAAAAACAUGGGGGUUCAAAUAGGUUCAAAAAAGUUGAAAUCCCUUUGUAGCAGACGAGUUUCCGUAUGAAACCCUGAUACUUCGAAGGAGAUUGUCUGUUUUGUACGCGAAGUGCAUCUAGUUUUUGCCGUAAGCCUCUCUACUUUCUUGCACAUGCUAUGUGGGUGAAAUGAUGAUACCAUGCUAACUUGGAACCUUUUCAGAGUUCAUUUCAAAUGAUUUUCAAUUUCAUGGUCUUAUAGCUCAAAAUAAUCAGUAAAUGCAUGAAAAAUAACAAAUGAAGUCAGAAGGGUUGUAAAUUGAUGAUGUGGCUUUGAAUGGUCCAUUUUGAACACAGAAAAACAAGGGGGUUCAAGUAAGUUAAAAAUAAUUGAAAUCCCUUUGUAACAGACGAGUUUCCGUAUGAAACCCGUACACUACGAAGGAGAUUGUCUGUUUUGUACACGAAGUGCAUCCAGUUUUUGUCGUAAGCCUCUCUACUUUCUUGCACUUGCUAUGUGGGUGAAAUAAUGAUACCAUGCCAACUUGGAACCUUUUCAGAGUUCUUUUCAAAUGCUUUUUAAUUUCAUGGUCUUAUAGCUCAAAAUAAUAAGUAAAUGCAUGAAAAAUAAUAAAUGAAGUCAGAAAGGGUUGUAAAUUGAUGAUGUGGCUUUGAAUGGUGCAUUUUGAACAUAGAAAAUCAAGGGGGUUCAAAUAAGUUAAAAAAACGAAAUCCCUUUGUAAGAGAUGAGUUUCCGUAUGAAACCCUGAUACUUUGAAGGAGAUUGUCCGUUUUGUACACGAAGUGCAUCCAAUUUUUGCCGCAAGCCUCUCUACUUUCUUGCACAUGCUAUGUGGGUGAAAUAAAGAUACCAUGCCAACUUGGAACCUUUUCAAAGUCCAUUUCAAAUGCUUUUCGAUUUCAUGGUCUUAUAGCUCAAAAUAAUCAGUAAAUGCAUGAAAAAAACAAAUGAAGUCAGAAAGGGUUGUAAAUUGAUGAUGUGGCUUUGAAUGGUUCAUUUUGAACACAGAAAAACAAGGCGUUUCAAAUAAGUUCAAAAAAAUGAAAUCCCUUUGUAACAGACGCGUUUCCGUAUGAAACCCUGAUACUUCGAAGGAGAUUGUCUGUUUUGUACACGAAGUGCAUCCAGUUUUUGCUGUAAGCCUCUCUAAUUUCUUGCACAUGCUAUGUUGGUGAAAUUAUGAUUCCAUGCCAACUUGGAACCUUUUCAGAGUUCAUUCCAAAUGCUUUUCAAUUUCAUGGUCUUAUAGCUGAAAAUAAUCAGUAAAUGCGUGAAAAAUAACAAAUGAAGUCUGAAAGGGUUGUAAAUUGAUGAUGUGGAUUUGAAUGGUGCAUUUUGAACACAUAAAAACAAGGGGGUUAAAAUAAGUUCAAAAAAUUGAAAUCCCUUUGUAACAGAUGAGUUUCCGUAUGAAACCGUGAUACUUCGAAGCAGAUUGUCUGUUUUGUACACGAAGUGCAUCCAGUUUUUGCCGUAAGCCUCUCUACUUUCUUGAAAAUGUUAUGUGGGUGAAAUGAUAAUACCAUGCCAACUUGGAACCUUUCCAGAGUUCAUUUCAAAUGCUUUUCAAUUUCAUGGUCUUAUAGCUCAAAAUAAUCAGUAAAUGCAUGAAAAAUAACAAAUGAAGUCAGAAAGGGUUGUUAAUUGAUGAUGUGGCUUUGAAUGGUGCAUUUUUAACACAGCAAAACAAGGGGGUUCAAAUAAAUUUCAAAUCCCUUUGUAACAGACGAGUUUCCGUAUGAAACCCUGAUACUUCGAAGGAGAUUGUCUGUUUUGUACACGAAGUGCAUCCAGUUUUUGCCAUAAGCCUCUCUACUUUCUUGCACCUUCUAUGUGGGUGAAAUUAUGAUACCAUGCCAACUUGGAACCUUUUCUUAGUUCAUUUCAAAUGAUUUUCAAUUUUGUGGUCUUAUAGCUCAAAAUAAUCAGUAAAUGCAUGGAAAAUAAGAAAUGAAGUCAGAAAGGGUUGUAAAUUGAUGAUGUGGCUUUGAAUGGUGCAUUUUGAACAUAGAAAAACAAUGGGGUUCAACAAGUUCAAAAAAAUGAAAUCCCUUUGUAACAGACGAGUUUCCGUAUGAAACCCUCAUACUUCAAAGGAGAUUGUCUGUUUUGUACACGAAGUUCAUCCAGUUUUUGCCGUAAGCCUCUCUAUUUUCUUGCACAUGCUAUGUGGGUGAAAUGAUGAUACCAUGCCAACUUGGAACCUUUUCAAAGUUCAUUUCAAAUGUUUUUCAAUUUCAUGGUCAAAAACAAAAUGAAGUCAGAAACAAAAUAAAAUAAAAUAAAUAUGUAAUUUGAAACAAAAUAAUAUAAACUUUAAUAAAAUAGAUAAUAGAAACAAAAAAAACUUUAAUAACAUAAAUAAAAAGUAUUUUCUAUUCAAAACAUUAUAAGCAACUUNNNNNNNNNNNNNNNNNNNNNNNNNNNNNNNNNNNNNNNNNNNNNNNNNNNNNNNNNNNNNNNNNNNNNNNNNNNNNNNNNNNNNNNNNNNNNNNNNNNNNNNNNNNNNNNNNNNNNNNNNNNNNNNNNNNNNNNNNNNNNNNNNAGCAAAAAGAAAUUUCAUAAAGAACUUUUUUUGUUAGAAACUUUAAUAGCAAAAAGAAUUAUCAUAAAAUAAAAUUAAUAAGUAAUUAUAAACAAAACAAAAUAAAAUAAAUAAGUAUUUUGUUGUAAGUAGAAACAAAAAAAAUAAAGAAAAAAGAAAACAAAAAAAGUGGGAAAAAAUAAAAAAUUUGCCACCAACUGGGCCACCACGGCCUGAAUACGACUAGAAACCCAUCCAUGGGCCAGGAUUCAGGCCCACGGUAGGCCCAGAAGGCCCAGAAGGCAAAGCAGUAGCAAGUAGGCCCAUAAGCCUGCAGUGGAAGGAGCUCGAGAGGGGUGCGGCAGUGGGGCUUAUAAACCACUACACGCCCCUCUCAGCUAGUGAGGUGGGACUAAACUUUCGUGCCGCACCGCACCAGCACACGACCUUUGGUCCCGGUUGGUGCCACCAACCGGGACGAAAGGCCGCCGCUUCCCGCCCUUUGGGCUGCUGAAAAGAGACCUUUGGUCCCGGUUGGUGGCACCAACCGGGACUAAAGGCUUUGCUAUAUAAGCAAAACUUAGCGGUUUCUGCAAAAAUCACUCUUCUUCUCCGCCCCGACGCCCCCACGCUGCUCCUUGUCGCCGUCGCUGCCGAGCCCUUCCCUGACGCCGUCGCCCGCACCCUCGCUCGACACUGUCGCCGGUCGCCGCCCUACCCCGACACCGUCGCCCGUGCCCUAGCCCGACGACGUCGCCGCUCGUCGCCCUGCCCCGACGCCGUCGCCGUCACGCCNNNNNNNNNNNNNNNNNNNNNNNNNNNNNNNNNNNNNNNNNNNNNNNNNNNNNNNNNNNNNNNNNNNNNNNNNNNNNNNNNNNNNNNNNNNNNNNNNNNNNNNNNNNNNNNNNNNNNNNNNNNNNNNNNNNNNNNNNNNNNNNNNNNNNNNNNNNNNNNNNNNNNNNNNNNNNNNNNNNNNNNNNNNNNNNNNNNNNNNNNNNNNNNNNNNNNNNNNNNNNNNNNNNNNNNNNNNNNNNNNNNNNNNNNNNNNNNNNNNNNNNNNNNNNNNNNNNNNNNNNNNNNNNNNNNNNNNNNNNNNNNNNNNNNNNNNNNNNNNNNNNNNNNNNNNNNNNNNNNNNNNNNNNNNNNNNNNNNNNNNNNNNNNNNNNNNNNNNNNNNNNNNNNNNNNNNNNNNNNNNNNNNNNNNNNNNNNNNNNNNNNNNNNNNNNNNNNNNNNNNNNNNNNNNNNNNNNNNNNNNNNNNNNNNNNNNNNNNNNNNNNNNNNNNNNNNNNNNNNNACGCCGCCCCAGAACUGCCCCGACGCCGUCGCCGUCGCCGCUUGCCGCCCUGCCCCGACCCCGCGCCCCUGCCCCUCCUCACCUUGGUCCGGCGGCGCCCUCCCCUAUUUUUUAAUAUAUGUGAUAAUUGUUUUUGUUCAUAUAUAUGAUGAUUUUUUUUAUGGAAUAUGAUGUUUUUUCAGAUUAUAUGUAUAUGAUUUUUUUAUAGAAUAUGAUGUUUUUGCUUUUUUAUAAAAAUGUAUAUAUGUUUGUAUGUUCUUUGUGUAUAUAUGUUCACAUAUGCAAAAGUUAGCUUUAGUACAUUUUAGCUUAGUUUAAUUUUUAGAAAAAAUUUAAAUAUCUAGCUAGGAAAGGAAGAAGAAGAAAAAUAAUGAGAGGAGAAAAAGGAAAAUAAGAAGAGGAAGAAAGGAGAAGAAGAGGAGAGGAAGAAGAGGAGAAAUAAAUAAGAAGAGGAAAAAAGAAGAAAAAAAGAGGAGAAGAAGAAAGGAAUAGAGGAGAAAGAAGAAAAAAUAGAAAUUUUCUAUUUUUUUUCUUCUUUCUCCUCUAUUCCUUUCUUCUUCUCCUUUUUUUCUUAUUUUUUUUCUUCAAUUGCUUCUCUUCUAUUCCUUUCUUCUUCUCCUCUUUUUAUUUCUUCUUUUAUCUUCUUAUUUUUUAUCGGGUAUGUCGUUGUCGAUAUACCCCCUCCCGAGAGUUUCAACACGAGGGGGGGUACCGAUAUACCCUCUCCCUGAUAACAUUAUUUUCCCACGUAUAUGUAUGUCGCGUCGUUGUCGAUAUAACCCCCUCCCGGAUAACUUCGACAUGAGGGGCGGUUGAUAUAUAUAUACCCACUCUCGACUGUGAUAACUUAUACCACGAGAGCACCCCCCUCGGCACUCUCGCUCGACCAAAACUCUCGAGGACACCCAAACCCUAGAGAAAAAAUGAUGUUGGUCUCCUACCCCCUCCCGCCGCGCCCCUACCCGACAAACUCUCUCGAGGCCACCCAAAUUUACCAAGUUAAAAGAGCGUUGUCGUGGAGGCCACCCCAAACCCUUGAAGCAUUGUGUCGAGUCCACCCCAAACCCUUGAAGCAUUGUCUAGGCCACCCCAAACCCUAGAGAAGUAGCAUCGAGGCCACUAACAUGAUUCCUUAUUGUGAUUAGCUAGCUAGUUCUACGUUUGCCACUAAAAUAUAUCCAUCUGUACCAUGUUUGAAUAAUAAUUGGCAUGUUGUAAAUAUUUGCAGAAACUAUGGAUCACUCCCGAGACGAAGCAACAGAAGCGAUGUUGGGGGAUAUGAUCGCACAAGGAAGUGAUGUCGUUGCGUCGUUUCUCUACGACACCGAUGGUCAGGAAGGACAAGGUGAAGAAGAGGGCUAUGUUCAUUAUGGCUCCGGUGACCCAUUAAUGCCGGUACAAGAAGAGCGAUAUGUUCAUGAUGGCUCCGGUGACCCAAUGGAGGUACAAGAAGGAGACCGUGUUGACUGCUCCGGUGACCGAACCGAGUCCGACCAGGUAUAUAUAUAUAUAGUUAAGCCCGUGCUGACUAGUUAAUUAAUGCAUUCAUUGUUUUCAUAUGUACACAUAUUAAUUAACUCUCGUCUUUCUUCUUUUUUCUCUAGCCCUCCGGAUCGAGCUCAACUUCGGUAAAGAAACGAGGCCCGAAGAAAAAGUUGCGCUCGGAUAAAAGGUUUGAGAUCACAGCAACCGCACGCGAUGGUAAGCCGAUUGAACCCAUCCAGAAAAGGGAUGCAUUUCAUGCUCAGUGCGGGGUUCUUGUUAGGGACAAGAUCCCGAUCAGUAUCCAGCAAUGGUUAAAGCCAAAGAAGAAGACCCUGAGGUGUCUUAUGUCUCCAAUAUGCAGAAAGAAGAUCUUUGGACAAUGCUUAAGGCAAAUUUCACCCUACCGCUAGAGGAGGAUCCAGAGAAGCCAGUUAAAGAGGAAUUGAUCAAGUCUCAUGCUCUUAAGAAGAUGGCAGAACUAUUCAGGAGGUGGAAGAAUGACCUGAAAAUGUUUGUCGACAAAGAAGAGACACCAGAAUUCACCGGCCGACUUGAGAAGAUCAGAGAUCAAUGGCCCGCAUUUGUGGCCCACAAGACAUCAGAAAAGAGUAAGAAGAUGUCAGCGACAAACAAGAUUAAUGCUGCGAAGAAGAAGCAUCACCGUCGCACGGGGUUAGGUGCUUACCUCAAAGCCCCACCUUUGUGGGACAAGGCUGAGAAUGACCUAAUUACUAAAGGGGUCGAACUAGAGACAUUGAGAUGGCCAGACCGUUGCCAGAUUUGGUUCUUCGGGGUUGGCGGAACCUUGGACCCUGUAUCAGGGAAGUGCGUUUGGACGGAUGAGCAACUGCGAAUACCCGUCAGGAAGCUUCGGCACUAUAUCGCCGCAGCACAGGAAGGGACGUUCGUUCCAGACAGAGAGAAGGACGAGCUCACAAUGGCCCUCGGGAAUCCUAAGCACCCUGGACAGACACGAGGCACACCAGGCUCCCUUUCAUGGAAGGCUGGGUUUCCGGACACAGGGGGUUACAAAAACUAGGAGAGGAGGAAGAAAGUGGAGCACAGCCAACUGCAGGUGCUGCAUGAAAGGGUACAAGGGCUAGAGGAAUGAGAAGCAGAUCACAGCGAACGACCUGUCGAAGCUUCCCCUGAAGCUACCCCGCCAUCUCAGCGGAGAAGUAAUGUGGCUUCCACCGAGCAGACUCAGCAGCUGGAGCCUGUCUUCAUGGGCUACCCCGUGGAUGCUAUCACAGAGUCUCAACAUUGUCACCUUAUGACGCGAUGGAUGACAUUGAAAGUCAAGGCGGUUGUUGGCUCUGUUAUACCUAAUGAACCUGGCUCAACCUACCACGGCCAGCCGAUUCCAGAAGGAUAUGCUAGGGUGAUGGUGGAUCAAAUAACGGACGGAUUUGAGGACCUUGAGCUUGACCACCCUACGGGUGAAGGGGAGAUUCGGCUGGGUUCCUCUCUGAAGACUCCAUGCCUAUGGCGGAAGGAGCUCAUCAACCUUCCGAACUGGACGCCUCUGCCUCCUCCUCCUCAUCCGGCGAGUCAGGGCACUCCGCCUCCUCCUUUGCCUUCUCCAGCGAGUGAUCAGGGCACUCAGCCUCCUUCUUCGGUGCGUGGCGGCACUCCGCCUCCUUCUCCGCCUGCGCCGGCGCGCCCGAGCAGCCAGCUGCCUCCUCCUUCUCCACCUCACCAGCAAGGGCAGAAGAGACCCGCCGCCGCCCCGGCUGCUCCGGCGCGUCGUAGUCCUUCUCCUCCACCUCGUAAGCAAGCACAAAAGAAGACAGUCGCAGCCGCUCCGUCUGCUCCGGCGUCUAGCAGUACAGCCAGAGGUGGGAGGCAAUACAGAUACGGUCCAUCUCUCAAGCCUCUAAAGAAGUUACCGUACGAGAGGACCGAGGAGGAAAACGCGAAGAUCAUGCAGACCGAAGUGAAGGACUUCUUUGAAGGGUUGAAAGCAAAGAGACAUCCACCUCCGGAGGAGAAGGUAGAUCCGGUGAAAGCAAAGCGCACUAUCGAUGCCCUGAGCAAACUACCAAAGUCUCCGCCGAAAACCAACUAUGAGCGCAUUACUAAAAAGACAUAUCUCGAAGCUAACUGGCCGGGAAGUACUGUGAGUGAUCAAAGGUUAAAAGAACGAGCAGCUGGGAAAAAAAUUGCCCAGCUCGGCGAACAAGCAAAGCAAUCGUGCCCCCCGCUCAAUGUGUCUAGCGACAUCGUCGCUAAUGCUCCGGGGAUGGUGCCCGGUUAUAACAAUCUUGGAGAUUAGCUGCAUGAUGAUGUACAUUUUGAUUUCUUGGAGGUGGACAAACACAGAUACGAGUACGGGAAGCCUCUCGUUAAAGAUGAAAAAUCUCUAACAACGAUGAUGCAAAGAUUCCAUAAUUGGUACAUGAAAACCUGCAGAGAGUCUGGGGGGACGAAUACUUUGUAUCUGAGAAUUAAAGAGGAGCACGACCUCGUUGGAACUGAUCUGUUGCCUAUUCCAUUUGAGGAGUUCUUCGAGUUCUUCAAUCAAAAGGCCCUCGAUAAAUUAACGGUCUUCUGCUACUGUCUGUAAGUACUAUUUCUGUCAUUAAGUCUCUAUAUAUCGCUCGGCUCUUUCAUUGCAUGUAUUUAUAAUUAAUUAUCCUCACUAUAUUAUGCAGAUUGAAGAUCGUCGAGUGCAAAAGACAAGAAAUGUAUGAUAUUGGGUUCACUAACACAAAUAUCAUAGAUGAAUUUCAGGUUAAAAAGAACGCCGCAGAGGCCGAGGCCAACUUGCUACAAUCAUUGAUCAAAAAUCAAAACAAAGAUUUAAUACUCUUUCCUUACAACUUCAAGUGAGUGUUACUGUCGUGUGCAUAUUCGGUUUCCCUUAUUACUCGAGCGAGUUUAUAGUAAUGUAAUUGAUGAGUUAUGCAUGCGUCCGCAGCUUCCACUAUGUUCUUCUGGAUAUUAAGCUUGAGCGGGGACUAGUAACCGUCUUAGACUCGAGACGAAAAGAUCCCAAAACCUAUGUGGACAUGACUAAAUUGCUCAACAAGUAAUUUCAAUCGAUCAUUAUCGCACCAUAUCGGCAACUUUUUGUUCAUUUCCUGAUAUCUCAAGUAAUAAUAAUAAUUUUCUUUGUCUUGCAGGGUUUGGAAACAGUUCACCGCAGAAGCUCCGGGACUGCCGAAGGAGCUGCGAUAUACAUACCCAAAAGUAAGUACUACUAGCUAGCUAGUUGCGCGCAUCUCCCGUUGAUUCUAUAGCUAUACUUUCAUCAAUGCCAUUUAUAAUGCUUCAUUAUCAGUUUGAUUGACCUCUAUUUCUCGUAAAGUGCUUGUGGCAGGAAGAAGGGAAUAAUUUCUGUGGAUACUACGUGUGUGAGUUCAUCUACAACGCGACUUUCAAAAAUAAGCGGGGCUACUCUAAAAGACAAUAUGAAGUGCGUAAGCAAUAAUAUUCACAAUUUCAUUUUAUUACACCAUCAUUUCUGUUGAGUUUCAUUCAUAUACGUAUUAACCCCCUUCUUCAAAUUAGACGUGGCAGAUGCGGAAUGAACUCCUACCACAAGAUCGCAUGAAAGCAAUUCAAGAGGAAUUGGCAGGAUUCUUUCUUGACCACGUCAUCAAUAAAGCCGGAGAAUACCAUGUGGAAGUUGAUUUCAAAUGCUAGGGGAUUGUAAGAGAUCCUACAUAUUGUAUAUGUAUGUAGCCAGUAGCAUCGGAUAGAUAAUACAAAAAGUUGUUGUUCGACCAAUCUCUCAGAGAAAGAGAGGUCGAUCGAUCACUUCUCUCGGUAUGCAUGACGAACUUCUGUACUUGAUGGUUUCCUUCAUUUUCUUACUAGCUAGCAUGUCAAGGGCCUCUCUAUGUACAGUACGUAGCGUCGACCAAGCACGGACAUAAGAGAGGACACUUCUCUCUAUUAAUUAGCUAGCUAACACAAUAUAUGAAACACCUAAAUUAACCCCCCAAAAACCCCAACCCCCCCCUCCCCUUUCAAAAAAACAAAAACCCCAACCCUGAAAUGCUCACGCGUGGAUGCCUUUGUUAGGGAACGUUGCAGAAAAUAAAAAAUUUCCGACGGUUUCACCAAGAUCAAUCUAUGAGUUCAUCUAGCAACGAGAGAGAGGAGUGCAUCUACAUACCAUUGUAGAUCCAGCGGAAGCGUUCAAGAGAACGGGGUUGAGGGAGUCGUACUCGUCGUGAUCCAAAUCAUCGGAGAUCCUAGCGCCAAAUGGACGACACCUCCGCAUUCAACACACGUACGGUCAGGGAGACGUCUCCUCCUUCUUGAUCCAGCAAGGGGGAAGGAGAGGUUGAUGAAGAUCCAGCAGCCCGACGGCGUGGUAGUGGAUGCAGUAGCGAUCUCGGCAGGGCUUCGCCAAGCGUCUGCGAGAGGGAGACGUGUAGCAAGGGGAGAAGGAGGCGCCAAGAGCAUGGGUGCGGCUGCCCUCCCUCCCUCCUCUUUAUAUAGGGCCCCUAGGGGGGCGCCAGCCCUAGGAGAUGGGAUCUCCUAGGGGGGCGCCGGCCAAGGGGGUGGCUUUCCCCCCAAGGCAAGUGGAGGCGCCCCCCACCCCUAUGGUUUCCAACCCUAGGAGCAGGGGGGCCCAAGGGGGGCGCACCAGCCCACCAGGGGCUGGUUCCCCUCCCACUUCAGCCCAUGUGGCCCUCCGGGAUAGGUGGCCCCACCCGGUGGACCCCCGGGACCCUACCGAUGGUCCCGGUACAAUACUGGUAACCCCCGAAACUUUCCCGAUGGCCGAAACUUCACUUCCUAUAUAUAAUUCUUUACCUCCGGACCAUUCCGGAACUCCUCGUGACGUCCGAGAUCUCAUUCGGGACUCUGAACAACUUUCACUUUACUGCAUACUCAUAUCUCUACAACCCUAGUGUCACCGAACCUUAAGUGUGUAGACCCUAUGGGUUUGGGAGACAUGCAGUCAUGACCGAGACGCCUCUCCGGUCAAUAACCAACAGCGGGAUCUUGAUACCCAUGUUGGCUCCCACAUGCUCCUUGAUGAUCUCAUCGGAUGAACCACGAUGUCGAGGACUCAAGCAAUCCCGUAUACAAUUCCCUUUGUCAAUCGGUACGUUACAUGCCCGAGAUUCGAUCGCCGGUAUCCCCAUACCUUGUUUAAUAUUGUUACCGGCAAGUCACUUUACUCGUACCAUAAUGCAUGAUCUCGUGAUCAGACACUUGGUCACAUUGAGAUCAUUAUGAUGAUGCAUUACUGAGUGGGCCCAGAGAUACCUCUCUGUCAUACGGAGUGACAAAUCCCAGUCUCGAUUCGUGCCAACCCAACAGACACUUUGAGAGAUACCCGUAGUGGACCUUUAUAGUCACCCAGUUACGUUGUGACGUUUGGCACACCCAAAGCACUCCUACGGUAUCUGGGAGUUGCACAAUCUCAUGGUCUAAGGAAAUGAUACUUGACACUUGGAAAAGCUCUAGCUAAACGAACUACACGAUCUUUGAGCUAUGCUUAGGAUUGGGUCUUGUCCAUCACAUCAUUCUCCUAAUGAUGUGAUCCUGUUAUCAAUGACAUCCAAUGCCCAUAGUCAGGAAACCAUGACUAUCUGUUGAUCAACGAGCUAGUCAACUAGAGGCUCACUAGGGACACAUUGUGGUCUAUGUAUUCACAUGUGUAUUAUGAUUUUCGGAUAACACAAUUAUAGCAUGAAUCAUAGACUAUUACCAUGAACAAAGAAAUAUAAUAAUAAUCAUUUUAUUAUUGCCUCUAGGGCAUAUUUCCAACAGUCUCCCACUUGCACUAGAGUCAAUCAUCUAGUUACAUUGUGAUGAAUCGAACACCCAUGUAAUUUUGGUGUUGAUCAUGUUUUGCCCUAGGGAGAGGUUUAGUCAACGGAUCUGCUACAUUCAGGUCCGUGUGUACUUUACAAAUAUCUAUGUCUCCAUCUUGAACAUUUUCACGAAUGGAGUUGAAGCGACGCUUGAUGUGCCUGGUCUUCUUGUGAAACCUGGGCUCCUUGGCAAGUGCAAUAGCUCCAGUGCUGUCACAGAAGAGUUUGAUCGGCCCCGACGCAUUGGGUAUGACUCCUAGGUCGGUGAUGAACUCCUUCACCCAGAUUGCUUCAUGCGCUGCCUCCAAGGCUGCCAUGUACUCUGCUUCACAUGUAGAUCCCGCCACGACACUUUGCUUGCAACUGCACCAGCUUACUGCCCCACCAUUCAAAAUAUACACGUAUCCGGUUUGUGACUUAGAGUCAUCCAGAUCUGUGUCGAAGCUAGCGUCGACGUAACCCUUUACGACGACCUCUUCGUCACCUCCAUACACGAGAAACAUGUCCUUAGUCCUUUUUAGGUACUUCAGGAUAUUCUUGACCGAUGUCCAGUGUUCCUUGCCGGGAUUACUUUGGUACCUUCCUACCAAACUUACGGUAAGGUUUACAUCAGGUCUGGUACAUAGCAUGGCAUACAUAAUAGACCCUAUGGCUGAGGCAUAGGGGAUGACACUCAUCUCUUCUAUAUCGUCUGCCGUGGUCGGACAUUGAGCCGAGCUCAAUUUCACACCUUGCAACACAGGCAAGAACCCCUUCUUAGACUGAUCCAUAUUGAACUUCUUCAAUAUCUUAUCAAGGUAUGUGCUUUGUGAAAGACCUAUGAGGCAUCUCGAUCUAUCUCUAUAGAUCUUGAUGCCUAAUAUAUAAGCAGCUUCUCCAAGGUCCUUCAUUGAAAAACACUUAUUCAAGUAGGCCUUAAUGUUGUCCAAGAGUUCUAUAUCAUUUCCCAUCAAAAGUAUGUCAUCUACAUAUAAUAUGAGAAAUGCUACAGCGCUCCCACUCACUUUCUUGUAAACGCAGGCUUCUCCAUAAGUCUGCAUAAACCCAAACGCUUUAAUCAUCUCAUCAAAGCAAAUGUUCCAACUCCGAGAUGCUUGCACCAGCCCAUAAAUGGAUCGCUGGAGCUUGCAUACCUUGUUAGAAUUCUCAGGGUCGACAAAACCUUCCGGCUGCAUCAUAUACAGUUCUUCCUUAAGAUGACCAUUAAGGAAUGUCGUUUUGACGUCCAUUUGCCAUAUCUCAUAAUCAUAGUAUGCGGCAAUUGCUAACAUGAUUCAGAUGGACUUUAGCUUCGCUACGGAAGAGAAUGUCUCAUCGUAGUCAACCCCUUGAACUUGCCGAUAACCCUUAGCGACAAGUCGAGCUUUAUAGAUGGUAACAUUACCAUCCGCGGCCGUCUUCUUCUUAAAGAUCCAUUUGUUUUCUAUUGCUCGCCGAUCAUCGGGCAAGUCUGUCAAAGUCCAUACUUCGUUUUCAUACAUGGAUCCUAUCUGGGAUUGCAUGGCUUCAAGCCAUUUUUUUGAAUUUGGGCCCUCCAUCGCUUCUUCAUAGUUUGAAGGUUCACCGUUGUCUAACAACAUGAUUUCCAAGAUAGGGUUGCCAUACCACUCUGGUGUGGAACGUGUCCUCGUGGACCUACGAAGUUUAGUAGUAACUUGAUCCGAAGUACCUUGAUCAUCAUCAUUAACUUCCUCUUUAGUUGGUGCUGGCACCACAGGAACAUCUUCCUGAGUUGCGCUACUCACUGAUUCAAGAGGUAGUACUUCAUCAAGUUCCACUUUCCUCCCACUUACUUCUCUCGAGAGAAAUUCUUUCUCCAGAAAGGACCCGUUCUUGGCAACAAAGAUGUUGCCUUCGGAUCUGAGGUAGAAGGUAUACCCAAUGGUUUCCUUAGGGUAUCCUAUGAAGACACAUUUUUCCGACUUGGGUUCGAGCUUUUCAGGUUGAAGUUUCUUGACAUAACCAUCGCAUCCCCAAACUUUUAGAAACGACAGCUUAGGUUUCUUCUCAAACCAUAAUUCAUAUGGUGUCGUCUCAACGGAUUUAGACGGUGCCCUAUUUAAAGUGAAUGUAGCUGUCUCUAGAGCGUAUCCCCAAAAAGAUAGCGGUAAAUCGUUAAGAGACAUCAUAGAUCGCACCAUAUCCAAUAAAGUGCGAUUAUGACAUUCGGACACACCGUUACACUGAGGUGUUCCAGGCGGCGUGAGUUGUGAAAUGAUUCCACAUUUCCUUAAGUGCGUACCAAAUUCGUGACUUCAAUAUUCUCCUCCACGAUCUGAUCGUAGGAACUUUAUCUUUCGGUCAUGUUGAUUCUCUACCUCAUUCUGAAAUUCCUUGAACUUUUCAAAGGUCUCAGACUUGUGUUUCAUCAAGUAGACAUACCCAUAUCUACUCAAGUCGUCAGUGAGAGUGAGAACAUAACGAUAUCCUCCGCAAGCCUCAACGCUCAUUGGACCGCACACAUCAGUAUGUAUGAUUUCCAAUAAGUUGGUUGCUCGCUCCAUUGUUCCGGAGAGCGCAGUCUUGGUCAUUUUGCCCAUGAGGCAUGGAUCGCAUGUGUCAAAUGAUUCAUAAUCGAGAGACUCUAAAAGUCCAUCAGCAUGGAGCUUCUUCAUGCACUUGACACCAAUGUGACCAAGGCGGCAGUGCCACAAGUAUGUGGGACUAUCGUUAUCAACUUUACAUCUUUUGGUAUUCACACUAUGAAUAUGUGUAACAUCACGUUCGAGAUUCAUUAAGAAUAAAGCAUUGACCAUCGGGGCAUGACCAUAAAACAUAUCUCUCAUAUAAAUAGAGCAACCAUUAUUCUCCGACUUAAAUGAGUAGCCAUCUCGUAUUAAAUGAGAUCUAGAUACAAUGUUCAUGCUCAAACUUGGCACUAGAUAACAAUUAUUGAGGUUUAAAACUAAUCCCGUAGGUAAAUGUAGAGGUAGCGUGCCAACGGCGAUCACAUCGACCUUGGAACCAUUCCCGACGCGCUUCGUCACCUCGUCCUUCGCCAGUCUCCGUUUAUUCCGCAGUUCUUGCUUUGAGUUACAAAUAUGAGCAACCGCACCGGUAUCAAAUACCCAGGAGCUACUACGAGUACUGGUGAGGUACACAUCAAUUACAUGUAUAUCACAUAUACCUUUAGUGUUGCCGGCCUUCUUGUCCGCCAAGUACUUGGGGCAGUUCUGCUUCCAGUGACCACUUCCCUUGCAAUAAAAGCACUCAGUUUCAGGCUUGGGUCCAUUCUUUGACUUCUUCCCGGCAACUGGCUUACCGGGCGCGGUAACUCCCUUGCCGUCCUUCUUGAAAUUCUUCUUACCCUUGCCUUUCUUGAACUUAGUGGUUUUAUUCACCAUCAACACUUGAUGUUCUUUCUUGAUCUCUUCCUCCGCUGAUUUCAGCGUUGAAUAUACCUCAGGAAUGGUCUUUUCCAUCCCCUGCAUAUUGAAGUUCAUGACAAAGCUCUUGUAGCUUGGUGGAAGCGACUGGAAGAUUCUAUCAAUAACCGCGUCAUCCGGGAGAUUAACUCCCAGCUGAGUCAAGAGGUUGUGCAACCCAGACAUCUUGAGUAUGUGCUCACUGACAGAACUAUUCUCCUCCAUCUUACAGCUGAAGAACUUGCCGGAGACUUCAUAUCUCUCGACCCGGGCAUGAGCUUGGAAAACCAUUUUCAGCUCUUCGAACAUCUCAUAUGCUCUGUGUUGCUCAAAACGCUUUUGGAGCCCCGGUUCUAAGCUGUAAAGCAUGCCGCACUGAAUGAGGGAGUAAUCAUCAGCACGAGACCGCCAAGCGUUCAUAACGUCUUGGUUCUCUGGGAUGGGUGCUUCACCUAGCAGUGCUUCUAGGACAUAAUCUUUCUUGGCAGCUAUGAGGAUGAUCCUCAGAUUCCGGACCCAGUCUGUAUAGUUGCUGCCAUCAUCUUUCAGCUUGGUUUUCUCUAGGUACGCGUUGAAGUUGAGGGUAAUGUGGGCCAUUUGAUCUACAAGACAUAUUGUAAAGAUUUUAGACAAAGUUCAUGAUAAUUAAGUUCAUCUAAUCAAAUUAUUUAAUGAACUCCCACUCAGAUUAGACAUCCCUCUAGUAAUCUAAGUGAUACAUGAUCCGAGUCGACUAGGCCAUGUCUGAUCAUCACGUGAGACGGACUAAUCAUCAUCGGUGAACAUCUCCAUGUUGAUCGUAUCUUCCAUACGACUCAUGUUCGACCUUUCGGUCUCUUGUGUUCCGAGGCCAUGUAUGUACAUGCUAGGCUCGUCAAGUUAACCUAAGUGUUUAUGCAUGUGUAAAUCUUUCUUACACCCAUUGUAUGUGAAUGUUAGAAUCUAUCACACCCGAUCAUCACGUGGUGCUUUGAAACAACGAACUUUCACAAUGGCACACAGUUAGGGGGAACACUUUCUUGAAAUUAUUAUGAGGGAUCAUCUUAUUUACUACCAUCGUUCUAAGUAAACAAGAUGGAAAAACAUGAUAAACAUCAUAUGCAAUCAAAUAGUGACAUGAUAUGGCCAAUGUCAUAUUGCUCCUUUGAUCUCCAUCUUUGGGGCUCCAUGAUCAUCUUCGUCACCGGCAAGACACCAUGAUCUCCAUCAUCAUGAUCUCCAUCAUCGUGUCUCCAUGAAGUUGCUCGCCAACUAUUACUUCUACUACUAUGGCUAAUGGUUUAGCAAUAAAGUAAAGUAAUUACAUGGCGUUGAAUCAAUGACGCGCAUGUCAUACAACAAUUAAGACAACUCCUAUGGCUCCUGCCGGUUGUCAUACUCAUCGACAUGCAAGUCGUGAUUCCUGUUACAAGAACAUGAUCUCAUACAUCACAUAUAUAUCAUCCAUCAUUCAUCACAACUUUUGGCCAUAUCACAUCACAAUCACAUGCUGCAAAAACAAGUUAGACGUCCUCUAAUUGUUGUUGCAUGUUUUAUGUGGCUGCAAUAGGGUUCUAGCAAGAACGUUUUCUUACAUACGUAAAAGCCACAAUGUGAUUUGUCAACUUCUAUUUACCCUUCAUAAGGACCCUUUUUAUCGAAUCCGCUCCAACUAAAGUGGGAGAGACAGACACUCACUAGCCACCUUAUGCAACUAGUGCAUGUCAGUCGGUGGAACCUGUCUCACGUAAGCGUACGUGUAAGGUCGGUCCGGGCCGCUUCAUCCCACAAUACCGCUGAAGCAAAAUAAGACUAGUAGUGGCAAGAAAGUUGACAAUAUCUACGCCCACAACAAAUUUGUGUUCUACUCGUGCAAAGAGAACUAUGCAUAGACCUAGCUCUGAUACCACUAUUGGGGAACGUUGCAGAAAAUAAAAUAUUUCCUACGGUUUCACCAAGAUCAAUAUAUGAGUUCAUCUAGAAACGAGAGAGAGGAGUGCAUCUACAUACCCUUGUAGAUCGAGCGGAAGCGUUCAAGAGAACGGGGUUGAGGGAGUCGUACUCGUCGUGAUCCAAAUCACCGGAGAUCCUAGCGCCGAACGGACGGCACCUCCGCGUUCAACACACGUACGGUCAGGGAGAAGUCUCCUCCUUCUUGAUCCAGCAAGGGGGAAGGAGAGGUUGAUGAAGAUCCAGCAUCACGACGGCAUGGUGGUGGAUGCAGCAGCGAUCUCGGCAGGGCUUCGCCAAGCGUCUGCGAGAGGGAGAGGUGUAGCAAGGGGAGAGGGAGGCGCCAAGAGCAUGGGUGCGGCUGUCCUCCCUCCCCCCUCUUUAUAUAGGGCCCCUGGGGGGGGCCUAGGAGAUGAGAUCUCCUAGAGGGGGCGGCGGCCAAGGGGGUGGCUUGCCCCUCAAGGCAAGUGGAGGCGCCCCCCACCCCUAGGGUUUCCAACCCUAGGCGCAGGGGGGACCAAGGGGGGGCGCACCAGCCCACCAGGGGCUGGUUCCCCUCCCACUUCAUCCCAUGUGGCCCUCCGGGAUAGGUGGCCCCACCCGGUGGACCCCCGGGACCCUUCCGGUGGUCCCGGUACAAUAUCGGUAACCCCCGAAACUUUCCCGAUGGCCAAAACUUCACUUCAUAUAUAUAAUUAUUUACCUACGGACCAUUUCGGAACUCCUUGUGAUGUCCGGGAUCUCAUCCGGGACUCCGAACAACUUUCGGUUUACUGCAUACUCAUAUCUCUACAACCCUAGCAUCACCGAACCUUAAGUGUGUAGACCCUACGGGUUCGGGAGACAUGCAGACAUGACCGAGACACCUCUCCGGUCAAUAACCAAUAGCGGGAUCUGGAUACCCAUGUUGGCUCCCACAUGCUCCUCGAUGAUCUGAUCGGAUGAACCACGAUGUCGAGGACUCAAGCAAUCCCAUAUACAAUUCCCUUUUUCAAUCGGUACGUUACAUGCCCGAGAUUCGAUCGCCGGUAUCCCAAUACCUCGUUUAAUCUCGUUACCAGCAAGUCACUUUACUCGUACCAUAAUGCAUGAUCCCGUGACCAGACAAUUGGUCACAUUGAGCUCAUUAUGAUGAUGCAUUACCGAGUGGGCCCAGAGAUACCUCUCUGUCAUACGGAGUGACAAAUCCUAGUCUCUAUUCGUGCCAACCCAACAGACACUUUCGGAGAUACCCGUAGUGGACCUUUAUAGUCAUCUAGUUACGUUGUGAUGUUUGGCACACCCAAAGCACUCCUACGGUAUCCGGGAGUUGCACAAUCUCAUGGUCUAAGGAAAUGAUACUUGACACUUGGAAAAGCUCUAGCUAAACGAACUACACGAUCUUUGAGCUAUGCUUAGGAUUGGGUCUUGUCCAUCACAUCAUUCUCCUAAUGAUGUGAUCCCAUUAUCAAUGACAUCCAAUGCCCAUAGUCAGGAAACCAUGACUAUCUGUUGAUCAACGAGCUAGUCAACUAGAGGCUCACUAGGGACACGUUGUGGUCUAUGUAUUCACACGUGUAUUACGUUUUCCAGAUAACACAAUUAUAGCUUGAAUAAUAGACUAUUACCAUGAACAAAUAAAUAUAAUAAUAAUCAUUUUAUUAUUGCCUCUAGAGCAUAUUUCCAACAGCCUUUUGGUCCCGGUUGGUGCCACCAACCGGGACCAAAGGCCCUCCUACCUAGGCUCAGUGCACCGGCCACGUGGAGGCCCGUCUGUCCCGGUUUAUGCAAGAACCGGGACUAAAGGUUUAGGGCAUUAGUACCGACACUUUAGUCCCGGUUCAAAAACCAGGACAAAUGGCCCUCACGAACCGCGACUAUAGGUCCUUUUUCUACUAGUGUACACAAAUACAAAUAAAGAAUGACUUCGGAAUAGUACCAAAAGUGGUGAUUUAUUUUCUUAUACUAACAAAUCUCAUAAGAUUUUCUGUUGAGUUUUGUGUUGUGAAGUUUUCAAGUUUGAGUAAGGAUUUGAUGGACUAUGGAAUAAGGAGUGGCAAGAGCCUAAGCUUCGGGAUGCCCAAGGCACCCCAAGGUAAUAUUCAAGGACAACCAAGAGCCUAAGCUUGGGGAUGCCCCGGAAGGUAUCCCCUCUUUCAUCUUCGUCUAUCGGUAACUUUACUUGAAGCUAUAUUUUUGUUCACCUCAUGAUAUGUGUUUUGCUUGGAGCGUCUUGUAUGAUAUGAGUCUUUACUUUUUAGUUUUCCAUAAUCAUACUUUUUGUACACACCUUUUGAUAGGGACACGCAUGAAUCGUGAUUUAUUAGAAUACUCUAUGUGCUUCACUUAUAUCUUUUGAGCUAGGCAAUUUUAUUCUAGUGCUUCACUUAUAUAUUUUUAGAGCACGGUGGUGGCCUUAUUUUGUAGAAAUUGUUGUACUCUCAUGCUUCACUUAUAUUAUUUUGAGAGUUUCUCUAUACAGCGUGGUAAUUUGCUUUGGUUAUAAAUUUAUUCCUAAUAUGAUAGGCAUGCAAGAGGGAUAUAAUAGAAAUUUUUCAUAUAAAGUGCAUUGAAUACUAUGAGAAGUUUGAUUCCUUAUGAUUGUUUUGAGAUAUGAGGAUGGUGAUAUUAGAGUCAUGCAAGUGGAUUAAUUGUGUAUUGUAGAAAUACUUGUGUGGAGGUUUGUGAUUCCCGUAGCAUGCACGUAUGGUGAACCGUUCUGUAACGAAGUUGGAGCAUGAUUUAUUUAUUGAUUGUCUUCCUUAUGAGUGGCGGUCGGGGACGAGCGAUGGUCUUUUCCUACCAAUCUAUCCCCCUAGGAGCAUGCGUGUAGUACUUUGUUUCGAUGACUAAUAGAUAUUUGCAAUAAGUAUGUGAGUUCUUUAUGACUAAUGUUGAGCCCAUGGAUUAUACGCACUCUCACCCUUCCACCAUUGCUAGCCUCUCUAGUACCGGACAACUUUCGCUGGUACCAUAAACCCACCAUAUACCUUCCUCAAAACAGCCACCAUACCUACCUAUUAUGGCAUUUCCAUAGCCAUUCCGAGAUAUAUUGCCAUGCAACUUUCCACCGUUCCGUUUAUGAUGACACGCUUCAUCAUUGUCAUAUUGCUUUGCAUGAUCAUGCAGUUGACAUAGUAUUUGUGGCAAAGCCACCAUUCAUAAUUUUCAUACAUGUCACUCUUGACUCAUUGCACAUCCGGGUACACCACCGGAGGCAUUCAUAUAGAGUCAUAUUUUUCUCUAAGUAUCGAGUUGUGAUUCUUGAGUUGUAAGUAAAUAAACGUGUGAUGAUCAUCAUUAUUAGAACAUUGUCCCACGUGAGGUAAUUAAAAAAAAGAGGAGGCCAAGGAAGCCAUUGGAAAAAAUGAGAUAAAAAGAGAGAAUGGGCUAUGUUACUAUCCCUUUUCCACACUUGUGCUUCAAAGUAGCACCAUGGUCUUCAUGAUAGAGAAUCUCCUAUUUUGUCACUUUCAUAUACUAGUGGGAAUUUUUCAUUAUAGAACUUUGGCUUGUAUAUUCCAAAAAUGGGAUUGCUCAAAUUUCCCUAGGUCUUCAUGAGAAAGCAAGUUGGAUGCACAACCACUUAGUUUCUUUUUGAGCUUUCAUAAACUUAUAGCUCUAGUGCAUCUGUUGCAUGGCAAUCCCUACUCACUCACAUUGAUAUCUAUUGAUGGGCAUCUCCAUAGCCCGUUUAUACACCUAGUUGAUGUGAUACUAUCUCCUUCUUUUUUGUCUUCUCCACAACCACCAUAUUCAUUCCACCUAUAGUGCUAUGUCCAUGGCUCACGCUCAUGUAUUGCGUGAAAGUUGAAAAUGUUUGAGAACAUCAAAGUAUGAAACAAUUGAUUGGCUUGCCAUCGGGGUGUGCAUGAUUUGAAUAUUUUGUGUGAUGAAGAUGGAGCAUAACCAGACUAUAUGAUUUUCUAGCGAUAGAUUUCUUUGGCCAUGUUAUUUUGAGAAGACAUGAUUGCUUUAUUAGUAUGCUUGAAGUGUUAUCGUUUUUAUGUCAAUAUUAAUCUUUUGUUUUGAAUCUUAUGGAUCUGAACAUUCAUGCCACAAUGAAGAAAAUUACAUUGACAAAUAUGUUAGGUAUUAUUCCACAUCAAAAAUUAUGUUUUUAUCAUUUACCUACUCAAGGACGAGCAGGAAUUAAGCUUGGGAAUGCUUGAUACGUCUCCAAUGUAUCUAUAAUUUUUUUUAUUGUUCCAUUCUAUUAUAUUAUCUGUUUUGGAUGUUUUAUAUGCAUUAAUAUGCUAUUUUACUUUAUUUUUGGGACUAACCUAUUAACCUAGAGCCAGUGCCAGUUUCGUUUUAACUUGUUUUUGAGCCUCGCGGAAAAGGAAUACCAAAUGGAGUCCAAGCAGAAUAAAACCUUCACGAUGAUUUUUCUUGGACCAGAAGACACCUAUUGGACGUGGACUCCAAGUCAGAAGACCUUGGAGUAGACGAAAAGCCACAGGGGCACGCCCUAGGGGGUGGUGCGCCCCCUGCCUUGUGGCCUACUCCAACACCCCCUGACCUAAUGCUUCGUCCUAUAUAUUCUCAAAUAUUCCAAAACCACCAGAGGUAUCCACGAAAACACUUGUCCACCUCCGCAACCUUCUGUUCCCGUGAGAUUGCAUCUAGGGGCCUUUUCCGGCAUCCUGCCGGAGGGGGAUUAGAUCAUGGAGGGCUUCUACAUGAACUAUAUUUCCCUUUCGAUGAAGCGUGGGUAGUUUACCACAGACCUACGGGUCCAUAGCUAGUAGCUAGAUGGCUUAUUCUCUCUCUUAGAUUCUCAAUACCAUAUUCUCCUUGAUGUUCUUGGAGAUCUAUCCGAUGUAAUCUCCUUUGGCGGUGUGUUUGUCGAGAUUCAAUGAAUUGUGGAUUUAUGAUCAGCUUAUCUAUGAAUAUUAUUUGAAUCUUCUCUAAAUUCUUAUAUGCAUGAUUUGAUAUCUUUGUAAUUCUGUUCAAACUAUUGGUUUAGUUUGGCCAACUAGAUUGUUUUUUCUUGCAAUGGGAGAAGUGCUUAGCUUUGGGUUCAAUCUUGUGUGUCCUUUCCUAGUGACAGUAGGGGCAACAAGGCACGUAUUGUAUUAUUGCCAUCGAGGAUAAAAAGAUGGGGUUUUCAUCAUAUUUCUUGAGUUUAUUCCUCUACAUAAUGUCAUCUGAAUGUGUUACUCUGUUCUUAUUGAACUUAAUACUCUAGAUGCAGGCACGAGUCAGUUGAUGUGUGGAGUAAUAGUAGUAGAUGUAGGCAGGAGUCGGUCUACUUGACACGAACGUGAUGCCUAUAUUUCAUCAUCAUUGCCUUGGAUAUCGUCAUAACUUUGUACUUUUCUAUCAAUUGCUCGCCAGUAAUUUGUUCACCCACCGUAUUACACUAGUAGAAAACAGGGCAUACGUUCGGGCCAGAUAAGCCCAUUAGUCCUGGUUCAGUCACGAACCGGGACCCAUGGGGGCAUUACUCCCGGUUCGUGUCUCAAACCGGGACUAAAGUCCCAGUUCAAAUGAGCCCUUUGGUCCCAAUUUGAGACACGAACCGAGACUAAAGGUUAUGCUCAAAUUCUAAAAGGAAAAAAGUUAUGCUCAAAUUUCUUUUUUUUGAAUUUUUGUUAAAUCUAGUCAAACUAUGGUCAAACUACUUAUUCAAGAAGUAUUAGUGUUACUAAAUAAUUAUUCAAUAAUAUUAGUGUUAAUAAAUAAUUAUUUCAGUUUUUUUUCAAUUUUGGUCAAAUCUGGUCAAACUGUGGUCAAACAUAGUCAAACUAUGGUCAAACUUAUUAUUCAAGAAAUAUUAGUGUUACUAAAUAAUUAUUGUUUUUUAGAAUAAUAGUUUCAAACUCAAAUAGUGAAACAUGUGACUUCAUGCUCAAGCUAAACUCCGGAGGGUAAUAGGAUUGACAUCUUACUAUUGUCAGGAAAACAACAAAUGCGGACUUGGAAACAAGGAGGAAUAGAACCCGGAGGUUAAGCGUGCUCAGGCUUGAGUAGUGAGAGGAUGGGUGACCGGCAGGGAAGUUAGAUGAUUUGGAAUGAUCAGGGGUGAUCAGAGAUUAGAGGAUAAAUUGAGCAGUGAUGAGGGGGAUGAGGGGUGAUUAGAGAUUAUAUUGUAAAAUAAUUCGGAAAUUUGAAAAUCCUGUAAAAAAAUUAAUUUAAAAAAAUCAAAAAAAUCGUAAAAAUACCUUUAGUCCCGGUUGGUGUUACCAACUGGGACUAAAGCUGGAGCUCCAGACAGCGACCACGUGGAGGGGCUUUAGUCCGGGUUCAUAAAAGAACCGGGACUAAACGGGUGCCUUUAGUGACGACCCUUUAGUCCCGGUUCAAGAACCGGGACUAAAGGCCCUCACGAACCGACGCGAAUGGGGCUUUUUCUACUAGUGUUAUUUGCCUUCAUGAGAGAAGCCUCUAGUGAAACAUGUGGCCCCCGGGUCUAAUUUCCAUCAUAUUAGUUUCCGAUCUACUAUUUUGCAGUCUUUUAAUUUAAGAUCUAUAAACCAAAAAAACCCAAAAAUAUUUUAUCUUUUGUUUACCUAUCUCUAUCAGAUGUCACUUUUGCAAGUGACCGUGAAGGGAUUGACAACCCCUUUAUCGUGUUGGGUGCAAGUUGUUUGAUUGUUUGUGCAGGUAUUGGUGGCUUGUGUGUUGUCUCCUACUGGAUUGAUACCUUGGUUCUCUAACUGAGGAAAUACUUAUCUCUACUUUGUUGCAUCACCCUUUCCUCUUCAAGGGAAAAACCAACGCAAGCUCAAGAAGUAGCAGACAACAUACGUAGUUCCAUUUCUCUGUCGGUAUGUUACUUGCCCGAUAUUUGAUCGUCGGUAUCUCCAUACCUAGUUCAAUCUCGUUUUCGGCAAGUCUCUUUACUCGUUCCGUAAUACAUUAUCCCGUAACUAACUCCUUAGUCACUUUGCUUGAAAGCUUCUUAUGAUGUUGUACUACCGAGAGGGCCCAGAGAUACCUAUCCAUCAUACAGAGUGACAAAUCCCAGUCUCGAUCCAUGCCAACUCAAUAGACACCUUCGGAGAUACCUGUAGAUCACCUUUAUGAUCACCUAGUUAUGUUGUGACGUUUGAUAGCACACAAGGCAUUCCUCUGGAGUCCGGAGUUGCAUUAUCUUAUGGUCGAAGAAACAUGUAUUUGGCAUUAAGAAAGCAGUAGCAAUAAACUGAAUGAUCAUAUGUUAUGCUAACGGUUGGGUCUUGUCCAUCACAUCAUUGUCCUAACACUACUAGGAAAAAGCCUAGUAGUAGCGCGGGUUAAAAGCUAGUAGUAGCGCGGGUGCCUGUGAUGCUACUACGGCGCUACAGCUAACUAGUAGUAGUAGUGCGGUGCAUCCCGCGCUACUAGUACAUGUGUUAGUAGUAACCCGUGUUCGACACGCACUACUACUAACUAUCUGUAACGCGUGUCUGUGACCCGCGCUACUACUAUUAAUUUGAAAAACCAAAAAAAAAUCUCGACCCCGUGUGUGCUGUCAAUCAUGCAAGGAGAUCUCGACCAUGACGCGCGCCUCGUGGAAGCCAUUGAGGACGGCCGCGGAGGCCAGCCCGGCGUGGGCCAGGAGCUGGAGGACUUGGAUCUUGGCAUCGUGCAUGGAGAGCAGCACCUCGCAGCGGCCGUCGCCGUUGAGGUCGGCGGCGGGAGGCGGUCCACGUCAUGCUCGAUUGGGAACCCGUCGUUUGACAGGUGGUACCAUGCCUCCUGGAAUGAGAAGUCGCCCUCGUGCUGCCGAAGGAGGAGGGGGAUGGUUCAGCUAGGGUUCCGGGUCGAAUCGGAGAGGGGGGAAGGAGGAGGAGGGCUGACCUGGAGCGAGAAGAAGACGGUGAAGGCGGCGAGGAGGAGGAUGCCGAGGUCGCACUUUCGCAUCUUGGCGGCGGCGAGGAGCUCAGGUGACCGCCCACCAGAGGGAUCUCAGAGAGGGAGGGGGAAGAAAGCAGAGUGUACCAGUGGCGGCAACCGCUGGAGUACGAGGGAGAGAGGAGGAAAGCGAGAGCGGGGGAAAGUGAGGGAGAGAGGAGGGAUUCGGCCGAGGAUAUGGGGAUUUCACCUACCUCGUACUUAGUAUUGGCGAGGGGUAUAAAACCGCGCUACUACUAUCAACUUAGUAGUAGCACGGGUUUGUACUCCUCGCUACUACUAUGGCAUGUCCAGGGAGGGCACGAUAGAGACCGCUUAGUAGUAGCGCGGGUUAAAAACCUGCGCUACUAGUAUCAACUUAGUAGUAGCGAGGGGUAAAAACCCGCGCUACUAGUAAGUAGCAGUAGCGAGGGUUAUAAACCCUCGCUACUAGUAAGCGUCUGCCUAUAAGCUUUUCCCUAGUAGUGUAAUGAUGUGGUCCCGUUAUCAAAUGACAACUCAUGUCUAUGGUUAGGAAACCUUAACCAUCUUUGAUCAACGAGUUAGUCUAGUAGAGGCUCACUAGGGACAUGCUAUCUGUUUAUGUAUCCACACAUGUAUUUAAGUUUCCGGUCAAUACAAUUCUAGCAUGAAUAAUAAACCUUUAUCGUGAAUAUGGAAAUAUGAUAAUAACAACUUUAUUAUUGCCUCUAGGGCAUAUUUCCAUCAUUUGAAUUGAUUAAGUUUGAUCUCCACCAGAAAGAGCCAACCUUAUGAUCUCCUGGGAGUUGUCCAUUACUAUAGUGUGUCUCCCAAAUUAAAUUAACCCAGGGUAUGUCAUGCCUAUUGAAGAACUUAUGGAGGUUUUUCAUGAGCAGAGUCUUGUUUUGUGUGUAGAUAUCCAUGACUCCCAAGCCUCCUUGACGUUUGGGUCUACAAACUGUGUGCCAUGCAAGUAAAGUUGGUCUGUGAUCUUCCAAAUCAAGGCUUCUCCAUAGACAGUGUAUAAAGUACUUAUGAUCUGUUUCUUGAUGGUAAUAGGUAUGUCUAGGCAACACAUGAAGAAAAUUGGUAAUGAUGCAAGCACUAAUUUUGACUAGGAGGAACCUUCCUGCCUGAGUCAUAUAAGUAGAAAUACCUGCUAAUCUCUUAGCAAUUCUGUUGACUAGGGGCAAACAUUGUUCCACAGUUGGUUUAUAGAUUCCUGAAGGUAGACCCAGGUAAGUAAAAGGGGAUUGUCCUCUUGCACAUUGCAGUGUGUGAUUGAAAAUAUGUAUUCUGUCUUCUGCAAUGUUUAUGGGCACCAUGAUUGAUUUCCCAUAAUUGACUUUCAGUCCAGUGGCUGAGGCUAAUGUGAUUAACAAGGCUUUGAGACAUAUCAACUUCUUUGCAUUUGCUUGUAUAAGAAACAGUGUAUCAUCUGCAUACUAUACUACUGGAAAAUCAGGACGGGAGUUGACUUGCAGUGGUGGAGUAAUUAUACCCAGUCUCAUGGCCUUAUUAAGUAUUGAUUGUAGGAGAUCAGCAGCCAACACAAAAAUCAAUGGGGAAAGGGGAUCACCCUGCCUCACUCCUCGUCUACAGUAGAUUUUUUUGCUAGGGACUCCAUUCAACAUCACAGCAGAUGUGGCAGAUGUGAAAAUUAAGUGCAUCCAGGAAAUCCAUUUCUUUGCAAAUCCCUUUGCUCUGAGUAUAUCAAUAAUUGCCUGAUGUUCAAUAGUGUCAAAAGCUUUCUCAAAAUCCAGUUUAAUCAUUAGCAUCUCUUCUUUUGAUUUAUGACAUUGAUGGAUAUAUUCAUAUGCCCAACCAAGGCAGUACUGGAUCAUUCUAGCUUUGAGGAACCCAUGUUGAUUGAUAUGUACCAUCUAGAGAAUAAUUCUUUGUAAUCUAUUGGCCAGUAGUUUGGUAAUUAUCUUAAGUACUGCAUUGAGCAGUGAGAUUGGUCUGAAAUCAUUGGGUGAGACUGGCACUUCCUUUUUGGAAUCAAUGUAAUGAAUGAUGUAUUGAUGCUUUCAAGAUUUAUAUUACCAGCAUGAAAAGCCAUGAUAAGCUCAGUGAUAUCCACUUUAAUGAUGUCCCAACAAGCUUUGAUGAACUCAUUAUUAAAUCCAUCAAGAACUGGAGAUUUAUCUGUACGAAGGUUUUUUACCACUUCAUCAAUUUCCUCCUAUGUAAAUUGCUUCUCAAGAUCUUGGAAGAUCUUAGGCUCAACUCUAUGUUCAUAUAGAUCAUUCAAAUCAAAGUGCAUUGUGUGACCAUUAGAUUGUCCCAAUCUUUUUUAAGGCCUCCCAAAGAAUAGUUGUUUUUCCUUCAUGGUCAGUAAUUUCCACUUGAUCAUCAUUCAGAAGCAUACAAUUUUAUUAUGUCUAUGAUUAAAAGAGGAUUUGGUAUGAAAGAAUUUGGUGUUCUCCUCACCAAACUAAACACCUUUUAUUUUCCCUCUUUGCUUCCAAUAAAUCUUCUAAUUAUUAAGUACUAUCAAUAGGAAUUCCUUCAGCAUAGACCUACAAUUCCCUUCAAAUACUGAGAGAUAUCUAUAUUCCUCAAUCAAGUCCCAGUGGAAAAUACAAGCAUUUAAAUCCUCAUACUGCUUUAUAAGACAGGACAAACUCUUGGCCGACAAUUUUAAAGAUCUUCUCAAAUUCUUAAACUUUGCAUUGAUUUUUUUUGGCUGGAUCAGUGUAACCCACAGGAAUAUUCCAGGCUGCUUGAACAAUGUCUUUGAAAGAGCUGUGUUUCAGCCAAUAAUUUUCAAACUUGAAUACCUUGGACUUGGGAAUGUAGUCCAAACCAAUAUUCCACAUUAAACAAUGUUUAUUUGCGGACCAAUUUCAGAAGUGUCGCUUCUAUUCAUUUCCGUUCUCUAAUCUACUAGUCAAUUAAGUCUGAACCGAGAACCGAACCUAAAUCUCGGUCGACUGAAUCUUUGGUUAGGAAUUUUCCCGGUGACCAAUCGGUCAUCCUAUUUUGAAAACCAAAUUUCUUCAAAAGCUGAAGAACCGAACCGAACGGUUCGGUUACACAGAAUGCCAAGCUCUCCAAACACCUCCACUUUCUCCCAGUUGAACAUGUGAUAUUUCUUACACCGAGUCUUCUUGCCAAAGCAAUCUUCUCCCAAAACAAUCAAAUAUUUUAUUUACUCCCUUUGGCAAGCCAUAAAAGUAAAGCAUGCACAACGGUUUAUAUUUUCUAGACUACUUACUCUGGAGCAAAGCCCCGGUCCUUUAUUCAAAACCAAAUAGUAUGUACAGGGGUCAAGUAGUCAGCUACUAAGGGAGGCUGGCAAUCUAAGCCAGAAGAUUCGGCCUACCACAAGCCUUCACUCUAAAAGAAAGAAGGGUUAUAUCUUGUACAAAUUUACAACACCAUGAGCCAAAGGGGCAUAGCUCUAAAUGUCCUUCCAUUUAUAACAAUCCAGAUAUUCCAAUUCCAAGCAGAGUCGGCAUAACCUCGAAGAAAGGAAGAUCAAACCUCAUGUUUGCCCCGGCAAUGCAUGGUCUGAUCUCAGACCCAUGUGGUUGAACUAGCGGGAGAGAAGAGAUGAAGUCUGUAACACAUUACACAUUGGUUAAUUGCUCAAAGAAGCAGUGAGCAAAGAGAACAUGCCUCCAAUGGAUACUAAUUUUCCUUGCGAAUAUUCUAAUCUCACAAAUACACGCCAUCAUUAUUGUAGAUUUAUGGAUGGUUGAGCCUUUGAAGGCAGAAUCCAACAACAAAUAACAUAAGUUUUUCCUCGACAUUUGCUUUUGCCCCUCAAUUUUAUUUUAUUUUAUUGAAAAAGGAGGAUUACCCCCGGCCUCUGCAUCAGAAUGAUGUACAUCAUCUAUACUAAUUCAACAUUAGAAAACAAGCACAAGGCCUCACUUUAUAUAGAUAAAUCGACGAGCUCCACAAGAACACGAUUAUUGAAUACAAAGGUUCAGCAAGCAAAAGGGAAAUAGUUCGGGCUGGGCAACAGCUCGCACAGGUAAUCUCGACAUAAAGAGAAAGAAAACAGGCUACGGAGCCGGGAGCUGCUGGCGAGCCACACCCUCGGCAGGCCAAGAAGGAGCCCAUCCAAUCCGCCGUGAUCCCGACGCCAAGCCAAGCGAGCAUCCGCCAUUACAGAAUCGAUCGAGGCUACUAAUUCAACAUCCUCGACAGUGAACUGAAACUGCCACAUCAUCCCUUCAUUUUAUUGCACCCAUCCGAUUAUUAAUUUCUUCAAACUAACUGCAUGCCAUGCAUCCAGCAUUGGAUUAUUUGUUCGAACAUAGCACCACUUCUCCAUCAUACGGAAACGGAGGCAGUCACGGUUGCGUUGUUAUUGGUAGUCUUAAGCAAGGGUUUUGGGACGGAGUUGAACUUGGCGAACCACUUGGCCGACUUCUUGAGCUUGCGCUUGUUGCCGUCCUUCUUGUCGAUGUAGACCAGGCCGAAUCGUGAGCUGUAGCCCAGGCUCCAUUCGAAGUUGUCGAUCAGACCCCACGUGAAGUGGCCCCGCACGUCCGCGCCCUGGCUGAAAGCACAGAUACAUACAUGAAAGCGCGCUUAGCAAGAAUUCAACAAUGUGUCUGUGUGUAUGUAUACACAUUUGAGUAAUCAGUGUGCCAUUAGGGUAUGUAUGUAUGUAUGUGGGUAAGAGUACAAAAUAAGUGAAAAAAAGAGGCAGGGUUUUAGCGUCUGUAGUUACUCUAUUGCGUCCUUGACGGCUGAGAUGUGACGCUGGAGGUAGUCUAGCCUCUUCCAGUCAUCCAAAGGAUCUCUCAUGGUUGGGUCGCUGUCCACAUCAGCGAUUCCUGCACACACACAAGUUAAGAAGUAAUCCAUCACACUUUCUUCAAAAAAAACCUCCCAUGAACCAUUACAUCAUAUCCAUGGAUUAGGUUCUUGUCUGAUUUAAGGGAACUAGUACCAGUUGAGCACAAAGAUUGCUUACACAUUAGUGUGUGUCAAUCUUCAUCAGGAUUAGUGUAAUGACGUCAGAUUUUCAACUAGUUACUUUUGAUGUCACUUUUGAUGUAAUUAGGGGAUCAUGGAAAUUUAACUAGUUACUUUUGAUGUCAGAUUUUCAACCUUUUUAUUAACUAAAAACUAGUACCUAAGCAACCCCUUGACAGAAGGUUUACAGAUUUGCUGUAGGUCAACUAAAGUUUGAUAUGAACCGAUGAUUGAUCAUUGGAUUACUACAAAAUCCAAUGCUACACACACACANNNNNNNNNNNNNNNNNNNNNNNNNNNNNNNNNNNNNNNNNNNNNNNNNNNNNNNNNNNNNNNNNNNNNNNNNNNNNNNNNNNNNNNNNNNNNNNNNNNNNNNNNNNNNNNNNUCACUACUUACCGUUCUCAGUGAUGAAGACGGGUGGGUUUCCGUAUUUCUCCUUCAUGAUCAGAAGGAGGUCUGUUAGGCCUUUUUGGUACAUGUAAAUCCAAUAAGUCCCUGUCUGCAAAUGGGUGUCCAAACUUUUAAUUAAUAACGAGAAAAAACUUCAGAUUUGUUUAAGCUUUACUUCAGAAACAAAGCAUUAUCAUGUCUAUGCCACUUAACCUUUUUGUUCAAAAGUUUAACUAGAGUCCUGGCUGACUAGUUCUACCGUAAGAAUUUGGUGAAAAUAAUCUACAUUAUCACUAUCAUCAUAUAUGUCGUAUGCAAAAUUAACCAGGUAGUAGGAAGAUACAUACUAUAGGACCGAUGUCAUUCCCAUCACUCCCUUUAGCUGCUCGAAGAGAAGAAAAAGGUGCAGGAUUAGCAUGAGGACAUGAAAUUUCUCAAAGGAUCUGUAAAGUACUAAGGUUUGCCUCAACCAUAUUUUCUUACUUUCUGAACUGGCGUAAGCGUCGUCGGUGUUCAGCUUUGGCGUAAAGUCUGAUGAAAUGUCAACAUGCUUGGAGAACCUGGAGGUGUAAUAGUUGAGCCCCAUGAUGUCACAUGAGGACGCUAGCUUCUCCUGCUCCUCCUUAGUGAACAUGGGUAGACGAUGUCCAAUCAGUGAUCUCAUGGAGAAGGGGUAGUCACCACGAACAACUGGCUCCAGGAACCAUCCGAGGUUGUAGUCGAUGGAUCUUUCCCGGGCCUGGUCGUCGAGGAAGGAGUCUUGGAAUGG
RNAcentral lists this long non-coding RNA (424513 nucleotides) under Triticum aestivum (bread wheat). RNAcentral's name for it is "long non-coding RNA (TAES_LNC023362)". The stretch from base 345705 to 345791 matches the Rfam family "MIR1120/MIR1122 microRNA precursor family". Lineage: Eukaryota; Viridiplantae; Streptophyta; Magnoliopsida; Poales; Poaceae. The record is from RNAcentral.